This 380273-nucleotide long non-coding RNA is filed under the name Triticum aestivum (bread wheat). Its description in RNAcentral is "long non-coding RNA (TAES_LNC008957)". Lineage: Eukaryota; Viridiplantae; Streptophyta; Magnoliopsida; Poales; Poaceae. The record is from RNAcentral.
UGAGAUAGUUUCAUAGAAGGACAACAUCAAGAGAAAAUAAGUAAUAGCAAGGCAGACAUGAUGAUGGCACUUAUCAAGAAAAAUACACACAUUCUCUAUUGUGUUGCUCUUUUGCUGAUGUGUACCACUUUUCUGUGUGGCCUUGCAUCAGCUGGGAGGGACAUAGGUAAUUUCCAAAUACGUUUCUUGAAUGAGUUUCUCGAUAUUCAACAGACCCAAAUGAUUAAGUAUCUUGUAUUCCAUAUGGAUUAAUUUGUAUGUUGUGGUGAUUCCUUCACUGUGUUUAGGUACCAACGCUGCAUUUGGAAACCAAUGUUUUACUUACUCGGUAUGCAUGGACCCAUAUCAAUAGGCCGUUGAUUAUUGCAACAAAGAGUGCAAAAUACUUGGCUAUGACGGGCAGAAAGGCUACUGCAAGAAGGAGAAUAACGGCGUGCGUUGUUGUGUUACUCCCUCCCUAAUGUGAAAAUCAUGUUAAACUAUCAUUUUAUAGAAAGCCAUUCCAUAUAUUUGCUAGUAAAAAUAUCAAUUUAUAUGGAUUAUACGAGCAUUUCAAUCAAGUAUAGAGGUAGUUGCUUUCGAAGACCAACUUGACUAGCCGAUCAAUUCUUCAAGUAAUAUGAAACAACAAUGAGGCCGCUAAAAAAUGAAAGUACUAAUAAUCUUAAAAAAUUAAAUCGGGAAGUGAAUUGAUGGAAAUAUAUCAAAAGACUCAUAUCAUACAAGAUGCUCCAAGCAAAACGCAUAUCUCAUGUGGUGAAUAAAAAUAUAACCUCAAGUAAAUUUACCGAUAGACGAAGACGAAAGAGGGGAUGCCAUCCAGGGCAUCCCCAAGCUUAGAUGCUGGGUUGUCCUUGAAUAUUAACUUGUGAUGCCUUGGGCAUCCCCAAGCUUAGGCUCUUGCUACUCCUUAUUACGUAGUCCAUCAAAUCUUUACCCAAAACUUGAAAACUUCACAAACACAAAACUCAACUGAAAGCUCAUGAGAUCCGUUAGUAUAAGAAAAUAAAUAACCACUUUUUAGUACUGUUAUGAACUCAUUCUUUAUUUAUAUUGGUGUAAUAUCUACUGUAUUCCAACUUCUCCAUGGUUCAUAUCCCCGAUACUACCCAUAGAUUCAUUAAAAUAAGAAAACAACACAUGGAAAACAGAAUCUGUCAACAAACAGAACAGUCUAUAGCAAUCUGGAAACUUUGAAUACUUCUGAAACUCUAAAAAUCCUGAAAGAUUAGGAAAAUCUGGGAAAUUUGUAUAUCAAUCUUGUGUAAAACAUUCAGAUCAAAAUUACGCUUCUGUGAUUUUUGAAAAUUAUUAUACUGGGCAUAAAAGUUUCUGUUUUUCAGUAAGAUCAAAUCAACUAUCACUAUUAGGGAAAACCUUAUACACAGAAUUUUAGCAGUAGCGCUUGUUAAAAAAGCUCUCUACUGCUAGACAGCAGUAGCGCGUGCAAAAUACGCGCGCUGCAGAUACAUAUUUAGCAGUAGCGCGUCUCGUUGAAAAAGCGCUACUAUAAAAAUUCCAACCACUAAGCCGAUAGGCUACACAUAGUAGUAGCGAUCUUUCAAGAACCGCGCUACCGCUAAUAUUGUUAUAGCAGCGCCGUUUAGGUGUAAGGCACUACUGCUAACGAAAAUAAAAUGAAAUGAAAAACAAAUAGAAAAGUAAAUAAAAAUGAAAGAAAUAGAAAAAAGGAGAAAGGAAAAAAAAUAAAACAUAAAGAAAAAUAAACGAUAAAGGGAAAAAAGGAUGAAGGCAUAGCAGUAGCGCGUUUGCUGAAACGCGCCAUAGCUAACUUAGCUAUAGCGCAUUUUCAGUAACGCGCUACCGUUAUGUUUCACUUAACCCAGCGCCCCCCCCCAACCACCACUUCUCCCCCCAAAUCCCUCGCCCCACUUCGUCGUCGUCUGCCCAAUUCGCCAUCGCCCUACUUUGCCGCCGUCUCCUGCCGGCGUCGACGCUGGCAACCUCACCGUCUCCCCCUGAGGCCGCGGUCAUCCUCACCGCCGCCGCCCGAGGCCGCCCAGCCUCACCGCCACCGCCUCUCGGNNNNNNNNNNNNNNNNNNNNNNNNNNNNNNNNNNNNNNNNNNNNNNNNNNNNNNNNNNNNNNNNNNNNNNNNNNNNNNNNNNNNNNNNNNNNNNNNNNNNNNNNNNNNNNNNNNNNNNNNNNNNNNNNNNNNNNNNNNNNNNNNNNNNNNNNNNNNNNNNNNNNNNNNNNNNNNNNNNNNNNNNNNNNNNNNNNNNNNNNNNNNNNNNNNNNNNNNNNNNNNNNNNNNNNNNNNNNNNNNNNNNNNNNNNNNNNNNNNNNNNNNNNNNNNNNNNNNNNNNNNNNNNNNNNNNNNNNNNNNNNNNNNNNNNNNNNNNNNNNNNNNNNNNNNNNNNNNNNNNNNNNNNNNNNNNCGCCACUGCCCGAGCCCAAGCCCGCCCUCCCCGCCCUACCUCCGUCGCCGAGCACCUCCACGCCACAGUCUAUCCUCUCUCUGUAAGCCCCCACCCCUCCUCUCUCUCUCCAUUUUAAUUAGUAGAUGUUAGAGCAAAAAUUAGUUAGUAUAAAAAGAUGUUAAGUAGUAGAUGUUAGAGCAAAAAUUAGUUUAGAGCAAAAAAUUUAGUUUUGAGCAAAAGAUGUUAAGUAUAUAGUGAUACUAGUAGAUGUUAAUUAGGUUAGGGCAGUAGUGGUACUAGUAGAUGUUAAUUAGACGCUUUUUAGUUAGGGCAGUAGAGUUUUGCUAGGUUAAUUAGGUUAGUAAGGCUGCUAGUAGUAGUGGUACUGUCGGGGGGAUGAACCCCGGGCAGGCAAUAGAACCCAGAUCCUUUUCAAAAACGGCAGGGCCCGCAUCGCCCCGCGAACCGGCACGUGCCUGGCCGGGUCGCUCAACCCGGCAAGGUCCACAACCCGGCCAAGCUCUUCGACUCGGCAAGCUACAUCGACCCGACCACAGCAACUGGCGCAAGACAACACAACCCAACGCCACCAAGGCUUCCCAAACAAGCCGACCCCACCCAUGGCAUGCAUGGCAACCCAGCCACGGGUCAGCUCCCGUCCCAUCCAGGCCAUACGAUGGGACGAGACUUCAAUCACCGAUGACCAAGACUACAGUGCUUCCGCCCAUGCCUAUGGUCAGCCGGAGCGUGGCAACAAUGCCCCUUACCUACCCGCUGACCGAGGCUGGUGUGGCAACAGUGCUCCCGCCUUCGCCGCCGACGGCAGCAAGCGGCAACCUGACAGAGAGCACUGUACACGACUCGACUCGGCAUGCCCUGACGAUUGACAGGACGACGAACAGUUCCCCUAGGCACGCGGGGCCCGCACCUAGGGGAACCCGGCGAACCACAAGCCCUCAAGUGGGACCCAGCCCGGUAUCCCGGACACCGACAAUACGGACCGACUCAGCGUAUUACCAUUGUAACCCUGGGUGGGUUGAUCUAUAAACCCCCCCAGGAACCCACGCCUACAGAGAGAGGCACAUGUAUGAGACACGAGAGAAACAUAAGCAAACAUAGGACUAGCCACCCAACAGUAGCACCAGAGAGAAGGAGCAGCCCAAGCCUUGGCCAGCCCCCUUCCUCCUCCAUACAGCUCCAGGAGAAACAUUGUACUAUCGAUCAUCCAACUAAACUCGGCAGGACUAGGGGUAUUAUCUCUCAGGAGAUCCCCGAACCUGGGUAUGUCCGGCGUCCCGCGCCCGCGCAUGCCAACCUUGCCUCUGGAGCCCACCAGCGCCCUCGAGCCUCCUCCUCUCUUUAGCCAUCCCUUGACAUCUGUCGUGCGCCCACCACGACAGUUGGCGCCCACCAUGGGGCAGCUCGAGGAGCUGGCCGGGAGCAUGCUUCAGACGGGGCCCUUCUCCUACUCCGACGAGUCCGUCGCUCUGGCGGACGACGUCAUCGGCGCGCUCGCCGCCUUCUUCACUGUGCUGUGCAUCUCCGAUGCAUUCGUGGUUGACGAGUACCCCAGCGAGGUGCUCAGCUACUCCGACUCUCCGCUCUCCCUCGGCGGCGGAUUCACCGCCGGGGUGAUGGACGCCCAUGUGGAGGUUUUCGUCACCGGCGAUGGUGCCUCUUCCUCGUCGAGCAAGGCGAGGAGGGUCGCAGAAGCCGGGGCCGCUGCGGCACGAACCGAGCCAUCCGACCCGCUGCACGCCGCGAUGCAGAGCCUCCGUAUCCCCAUCGGCACCGAUGUCGACGCCACCAACGUCGCUGAAGCCCGAACCUAGCUCGAGGAUAGACGCCAGCAGAUGCUGGACCUGUCCAAGAUGCUGGCCGCCACCAAGCGUCGCCUGGAGGCCGCUCAGAUGGAGCAUGACGCCGCCCACGGAUUCAUGCCCGCCGCGGCCGAGCCAAGCCUGGUUGCCGAUGCUCGCACCCGGGAAGGAGCAAUCGGCCGGGCUGUAGGACCUUGAAGUAUGUCUAGAGGGGGGUGAUUAGACUACUUGACCAAUAAAAACUUAACCUUUUCCCAAUUUUAGAGUUUGGCAGAUUUUAGCUAUUUUAGGACAAGUCAAGCAAUCAUCACACAAUCCAAGCAAGCAUGCAAAGAGUGUAUAGGCAGCGGAAUUAAAGCAUGCAACUUGCAAGAAAGUAAAGGGAAGGGUUUGGAGGAUUCAAACGCAAUUGGAGACACGGAUGUUUUUGGCAUGGUUCUGAUAGGUGGUGCUAUCGUACAUCCACGUUGAUGGAGACUUCAACCCACGAAGGGUAACGGCUGCGCGAGUCCACGGAGGUCUCCACCCACGAAGGGUCCACGAAGUAGCAACCUUGUCUAUCCCACCAUGGCCGUCGCCCACGAAGGACUUGCCUCACUAGCGGUAGAUCUUCACGAAGUAGGUGAUCUCCUUGCCCUUACAAACUCCUUGGUUCAACUCCACAAUCUUGUCGGAGGCUCCCAAGUGACACCAGGCCAAUCUAGGAGACACCACUCUCCAAGAAGUAACAAAUGGUGCGUUGAUGAUGAACUCCUUGCUCUUGUGCUUCAAAUGAUAGUCUCCCCAACACUCAACUCUCUCUCAUAGGAUUUGGAUCUGAUGGAAAGAUGAUUUGAGUGGAAAGCAACUUGGGAAAGGCUAGAGAUCAAGAUUCAUAUGGUAGGAAUGGAAUAUCUUGGCCUCAACACAUGAGUAGGUGGUUCUCUCUCAGAAAUGGUAAGUUGGAAGUGUAGGUUUAGUCUGAUGGCUCUCUCCACGAAUGAAGAGGAGGUGGAGGGGUAUAUAUAGCCUCCACACAAAAUCUAACCAUUACACACAAUUUACCAAACUCGGUGGGACCGAAUAGUUAAACUCGGUCGAACCGAUUUAGUAAACCUAGUGACCAUUAGUGAUUUUCGGUGGGACUGACAUGCAUCUCGGUGAGACCGAUUCGGUUAGGGUUAGGGCAUAACGUAAUCUCGGUGAGACCGAUUAAACAAACUCGGUGGGACCGAUUUUGGUAAUUAGCUAACCAGAGAGUUGGUCAGGUAAACUUGGUGGGACCGAUUUGCUCUUUUCGGUGAGACCAAAAUUUUACAAAAAAGGAAACAGAGAGUUUACAUUGCAAUCUCGGUGGGACCGAUCGCUCACUUCGGUUAGACCGAAACAUUACGAAGGGAAACAGAGAGAUUGCAACCCCAUCUCGGUGCGACCGAGAUCCCUAUGGGUAAGACUGAUUUGCUUAGGGUUUGUGGCAGUGGCUAUGACUUUUGGAAUCGGUGGCGCCGGAUAGAAAGAAUCGGUGUGACCGAUUUUGGCUUUGGGUUUAGGUCAUUUGUGGAUGUGGGAAAGUAGUUGAUGGUUUUGGAGCAUAUCACUAAGCACAUGAAGCAAGAGGCUCAUUAAGAAACACCUCAUCCCUUCUUGAUAGUAUUGGCUUUUCCUAUAGACUCAAUGUGAUCUUGGAUCACUAAAAUGUAAAAUGAAGAGUCUUGAGCUUGAGCCAAUCCUUUGUCCUUAGUAUUUUGAGGGAUCCUCUUUCAUCAUCCAUGCCAUGCCAUUCAUUGAGCUUUCCUGAAAUAUAUGUCUUGGAAUAGCAUUAGCUCAAUGAGCUAUAUGUUGUUAUGAAUUACCAAAACCACCUAGGGAUAGUUGCACUUUCAGUCUCCCCCUUUUUGGUAAUUGAUGACAACAUAUAGAUCAAAGCUUCGACAAAUGAUAAUAAAAUUUAAAUAACAUCGUCGCUUUGAGAAAUAUGUGAUAAGCAAGAGCUUCCCCUAAAUUUGUGCAUAGUUUUAGAUUUGCUUUGGACUGCAAAUGCACAAGGAAUUAGGCUCAUGGGUUACUCUUCCAUGUCACAUACAUCUUGGUGGAGCGCUCAAAAUAAUAAACAAUGAAUACAUGCACUCAUCACCAAGCAUAGUGAGUGAUCACAUAAGAUAGAUAGGAUAAUAUCAUCAAACAUGCAUAAGUGUAGCUUAUGAUCAAACACAUGAUCAUCAAUGUCUCACAAGCAUAGUAUCUCAACCAAAAGCAAACAAAGAUUGAAAAACCACCAAAUAAAGCAAGAGAGACUAAAAGCAACACACACUCUCUCUCUCGAAGCCUAUGAUCUAUACAUUUUCUCCCCCUUUGGCAACAAGUUACCAAAAAGUUCAUAGAAAAUGCAUAGUGCUAGAUCGACUCUCAGGCUUGAUCUUCUGGUGGUGGUGUCCUAAUAACUCCUUGGACGAAGGCUUCAGUUGAUGUAGAGGGUGCUGGAGUUGAUGCUGAAGCUGGUUGCAGUGGAGCUGAAGGGGCAGUAGCUGGUGCUGAAGAUGUUGCUCUAGUGUCUGUCACUGGCACUGCAACUGACCUCUAGGCUCUGGUCACUCUGGCAAACACAUUGGUGGUAGUCUUGCCCUUCCUCUCCUGCAUGUCAUCCUGCAGCUGCUCCACAACUGACUGAAUCUCAGUUACCUUGACAUCUAGAUCAUAGAAUUUUUGUUCCAUGAUUCUUUCCAGGCUCUCCUGGUUUUGAGUUAGGGUGGCCAACCCCUUCUUAAUCCUCAGAGAUGAUGCUAUCAAGUAACCAAGCUGCUCCUGUUUGGUUUUCAAGAAAUAUUCAGAUGCCUCCUCUUGAGUUGGCAUCUUGGAAUCCUUCUCCUUCCUUGCCUUCUCCUUCUUCUCCUAAGCUUGAACUGAUGAUGGAUCAUCCUCAUUCAUGACAACCUCAUUUUCCUCAAAGUCUGGAUAGAGUGGAAAAUGUUCCCUAUCCAAUAGAUAUUUUCCUGUGCCCAUCUUUGAGUUUAUCAAUUCUUGAAUCUGAGGUGCAUAUCCACAGCUCCUCUUCUGAUCUGCUGCAGUCCUCUUGAUUGUUUCAAUGAUCAGGCUCAUGACUUCGAAUUUUUGUGGCACAUCAAACACAUGCAACAUGUUGAUGGCAUGCCCUCUGAUCAUGUUGUGGUCACCAGACUUGGGCAACAAUGUGUGCCUCAGAAUCCAAUUUAUGGUAGGCAGCCCUGAUAGCAGAAAGUGAACUGAUCCAAAAGUGAAAGUCUCUAGGGCUUUGUCUGGGAUCUCCUUGUACAUGUGAGCCAUUGAAUUGUGACCCAUCUUCUUCUUUGCAUAAAUGUCCAGAUCAUCAUCAUUCUCCUUUGGGGCAUUUAUCAGACUUGCCCAUUCUUCUACAGUGGACUGGUACCUUGUACCUUCAGACAUCCAAACAAUUCUUCCAUCUGGGUAAAAAUGUGCUGUGGAGUAGAAUUGCAUGAUAAGUUCAUCAUUCCAGUUGGUGAACUUCUGUCCAACAAAAUCUGCAACUCCACAAGCAACAAAGCUGUCUUGCACUCCAGGAUAGUGCUGUUCAUUCUCCUUGAUGAAUUUCCAGUCAACCCACCUCAUGUCACAGACUAUGGGCUUCUUGUCCAACAGAAUUGUUUCAUAGAAGUCCUGCUAUUCCUUUGUAUGGAACCUGUAAUCAACAACAGUUCUUCUCCUUGUGGCAUAUGGAUCUGCCAUCCUCCACAGUCUCAGCCCUGAAUCCUUCCUGAUUCUCAUGUCCUCAGCCACAGGAUGGGCAUCAUUGUGGUCUGGUAUCUUUGGCUUGAGCUUUCUUAGAACUUUCCUCCUUCAUCUUCCUCCUCAGCAACCUCAGGCACUAGGGCCUUGUUCUUCUCAGCAGCUGGAAUACUCCUAGUAUUCCUCUUUGGUGCAGACUUGGCCUUGGGGGCAGCUUUGGGUGCUUCCUUGGGCUUGGAUGUUGCAGCCCCAGAUCUGAUUGCAUCACCCAUAAGCUUUGGUGCCUUUGGUGCUGGUGCAACAAGCUCUUCCUCUUCCAUCAUGGAAGGUUUCCCUACAACUCUGGCCAUGGUCUUCUUGACCCUUUCCUUCCUCUUCUUGCUUUCAUCAGCUGGGUCUUUGGGAUCAGGAUUUUCAGGCAGUUGAGUUGAUGCUCUAGCCUUCGGCAUAGGUUGCCUUCUUGCAGGACUUUUGAUCUUCAUGCCUGGCUUUAUAUCUUUUGCUUAGCCAUAUUCCUUCUUGAGCACCACUUUCUUGGAAGUAGCCUCAUCUUCCUCAGCUUUGUAGUCUUCAUCCUCUGAAUCUGAAGUUCUUUUCCUCCUUUGCCUAGUUGCAGCCUUAGGUAAAUUGCUAGGAGUACUUUUGCUCCCUUCAUCUGAAGUACUGGAGGGACUAGUGCCCUCACUCAAGUGAAUCUGCUCUUCUGGCCUGUUCUGGCUGUCACUUUGAUCAUACAUACUGCACAAGCUGACUGCUGACCCUGUGAAGAGUUAUAGAUGAGAUAGAAAAUAUGAGCAUCACAAAAUGCAGAGGUUUUUGCAAAAUAAUGACUCAAAAGUUCAGUCUUAGUUUUCCACAAAAAGCAUUUCGGAUCCACCGAUUUUCAAACUCGGUGAUACCGAAGCAGUUUUGGAACCUAAACUGAUGAUCUCGGUUGGACCGAGUUUCAGUUCGGUGGUACUGAGACUGCUAGGGUUUCACUGAAUCCUAAAAUCGGUUGCACCGAUUAGUAAUUCUCGGUCAGACCGAGAGUCACUAGUGCAAUGGCAUAAGCCAAAUCGGUGAGACCGAGUUUUUCAACUCGGCGGGUCCGAGAUGGUUUCGGCGGAAACCUAAACCUAAAAAUUUGAAUCACAUCUAAUCUAUGAACUACUUUGGCUGGAUAGAAGAGUUUCAAUCGUGGCAAGAAUCAAUAUGAAAACAAUGUGCUAGGAAUCAGAUGUGGAUAGCACAAAGAUCAAGUCCAUACCCUAACUUGGCGGUGGACUUGCUACGGCUGCAACGACGGGGACGAAAUCUGUUAACAGCGGCAGAGACCAGCGACAGGAGGCUGCUGGCGACGAGGAGACGAUCCGGAGACCACGAUGGCAGAGCGAGCUGUUGCGCGGGUGAAGGGUUUCGGAGAAAUUUCCAAAAUUUUGCCCGUGUCUAUAUAUAGCCCGACCCUGUCGGUGUGACCGAGUGGAACAACUCGGUGGCACCGAGAUGCAUAACUGUGUUCAGUUACAGCAAAUCAGUGAGACCAAAAAGUUCAAAUCGGUUGCACCGAGAUUGAAAACUCAGAUCAACUUGAUGAUAUCGGUAGGACCAAAAUGGAAGAAUUGGUCAGACCGAGAAUCACAAAGAGGUUUUGGAAGUUUAAGUCUAUGACGAAUCGGGGACUCCGAGUGCUCCUCACACAGAGUGGUUCGAAUCUGACUUGAUCAAAUUUUGUGAUGUAGCAUGAAUAGAGUUUGAGACGAGAAAAACAUAGAUAGCUAAAGAAGGUUCUUAGGCAUUCUUGUCCAUCCACUUGGUCAAAAGAAGAAAGAACCAAACAAUCAAAACAACAAGUGGAUGUCCUUGAAUGAGUAAAAUAUGCACCAACAUGCUCACACAAUAAAAUGGCAAAUGAAAUAUGUGGCAAAGCAUGCACAACCAAUUCUAGCAUCUAUCAAACAAUUGGCGAUGACUAGGUCAUCUAUAUAUGAGUAUAUUGACUUAGGAGUCAAAUGAGAACAUUUGAUCAUAGGUCAUACUCAUCGUUUAAGCUCAAGUGGGGCUACCACUUUUACAUAAUGCAUUAAUGUGUUCACACCAUUAGAGUUGCUUUGACUCAAUUCCUAGAGUUAAGCUCCCCCUAGAUGUGAGAUCCCCCCUUAGAGGGAUGAACUAACCUUGGGUUUUGUCGAUGAUGACUUCAUGUAGGUGUUGAAGAUGUAGAUGCUCAAUGUUGAUGUAGAUCAUUUGGAGCAAUCCUUUGGAGUGAGUUGCACUUUCAACUUGCCUACAUGGGUUAGUCCCACAAGGAACAAACAAGAAUAUCCAUAGACAUAGAGUGAUGCACACACAAGAUGAUGUCCAUGAAAACAUUAGGUUACCUUGUCCCUUGCCUUACCAACAUGAGGGUUUGUGACUCCUUGAACUAGUGCAAGAUGUGAAAGUUGAUUGCACUUGUUCUUGCCAAAAUGAUAUGAGUGAAGAAUGUUGGCGGAGUCACCCUCAAGAACUCUCUAGUUCUUCUUCUUCAGGAUCCACAUCAUCUUGAUGGGAAUCCUUGGAGUUGUAGUUGUACUUGAUGAAGUAGAACUUGACGUAGUCUUGGGAACCCACUUGAUGGAGACCUUAGGUUCUUCUUCAAAUGCAUCAAUCUCUUCUUGAAGCUUGUCCUUGCCUUUGUUCUUGUGGUCUUGUGGUGGAAGAUCAUCUUGAGCUUGUGUCCCCUUGAAGGAAGUAGGAUCAUACUUCUCUUGUUGAGGGACAAACUUCGUCUUGGGGUAUUGAUCUUCUUCCCAUUCAACUCCAUUGGCAUUGAACAUUUGUUCAAAACCAACACCUUGAUUCUUCCGGUGUCUUCCUUGCUUGUGUACAAUUUCCUCGAAUUGCUUACUCCCGGCAAGGCUCUUGUAAACACCUUUCUCUAUAAUUCCCUUCAAGAAACUAUUUUCUUGCUCAAGUAUAACUUGGCUAAGAGAAUCAUUAGUGGAAUCAAGAGAAUUACUAGAAGCAACAACAUUGGAUUUAACAUUAUUAUUGUUACUACUAGAGGAAGUAUCUUUCUUGUACUUGUUACUAGACUUGACUUGAGGCAUGUAAGUAGAUAAGAGUAAACGCUUGGCAAUGUAAGAAGAACUUUUCUUGCGGAGAUCAUCAUUGAUUGCCUUUAAGAACUAAUGUUCUUGCUCAAGAUUGAGCUUUUCAAAGUGUAACUUCUCAUGAGCCCUUAAAAGUUCUCGAUGAUCUUUGAAGAUAGUUUCAUGAGCCAACUUAAGAGUGUUUAGUUCUUUAGUUAGAAGCUCAAUUUUCUCCUUAUCAUUGUCAUUCGUUUGAUUAGCAUGAUUAAUUGACGUUUCAUCAUAGUAUUCAUCACUAGAGUUGUCAACAAGUAAAUCAUCAUCCACAAGCAAGUCAUCUUCAUCACUAUUAAAAUCAACAUACUCGGGAUGUGUUACCUUUGGACCUUUGGCCAUGAAGCAUCUUCCAAUUCCUUCAUUUGGUGAAUCAAAUAUGUCGUAGGAGUUGGUUGACACAAGUGCUAGACCGGCAACACCUUCAUCUUGAGUAUGUUCGGAGUUGGAGUGAUAGCUUCUCUUGGAGUGAUUGUCGAAGUCGGAGCCGGAUACCCAUUCACCAACAUGAGCUUGAUGUCUUCGUUUUGUGUAGCUCCUUGAUGGCUUGUCCUUCCUUUCCGAAUCCUUGCUUCUCCGUGAGGGUCUUCGUUCAUAACGAUCAUCUCUACUCCUCCUCUCUCUUGGUGGUGAUUCUUCUCUUUUGCUUCUUCUUUUUGGAGAAUCUUCUCUUCUUUUGUAGGGUGCCAUACACUCAUUGGAGUAGUGUCCGGGUCUCCCACAAUUGUAGCAAUUGCGCUCUCGACUAGAAUAUCUCUUGUCAUGAUAAGACCUUGACUUGGAGCUUCUUUCUAUGCUUCUACUCUUGUAGAAUUUGUUGAAGUUCUUCACCAUUAAGCUCAAUUCUUCAUUGAAGGUUUGUUUCUCACUUGAUGAUGCGGGAGCUUCACUUGAGGCUUUGUAAGCACCACUUGACUUGUUGUGAAGUUCCUCCUUAUCCUUGAGUGACAUCUCAUGAGCAACAAUCCUUCCAAUGACUUCCAUUGGCUUGAGAUUUUUGUAGUUUGGCAUCAUUUGGAUCAAUGUGCACACGGUAUCAUACUUUCCAUCCAAUGCUCUUAGGAUUUUCUUGAUGAUGAAUUUGUCGGUCAUCUCUUCACUCCCUAAGCCGGCAAUCUCAUUUGUGAUAAGAGCAAGCCUAGAGUACAUUUUAGCGACACCUUCACCAUCCUUCAUUUUGAACUUGUCAAGCUGACUUUGGAGCACAUCCAACUUGGAUUCCUUAACGGAUUAGGUACCUUCGUGCAUAUCAAUCAAAGUAUCCCAAAUUUCCUUUGCAUUCUCAAGAGGCUGAUUUUGUUGAACUCUUCGGGGCACAACCCGUUAAAGAUUAUAUCACAAGCUUGAGCGUUGUAUUGCAGCAUCUUCAAUUCUUCCGCAUUCGCUUCACGGUUCGGUUCUCUCCCAUCAAAGAAUUCACCUUGCAAGCCAAUACAAAUAAUUGCCCAAACGGCGGGGUUAUGUCCAAGAAUAUGCAUUUUCAUCUUGUGCUUCCAACUAGCAAAAUUAGUACCAUCAAAGUAAGGACCUCUACGGUGAUAAUUUCCCUCGCUAGACGCCAUACUCUCCUAGGUUGUGAAACCAAGGCUAUGACCACCAAAAGCUAUGGAAAUCAAAGCAAAUGGAGACCAAAGCUCUGAUACCACUUGUAGGACCUUGAAGUAUGUCUAGAGGGGGGGGGGUGAUUAGACUACUUGACCAAUAAAAACUUAACCUUUUCCCAAUUUUAGAGUUUGGCAGAUUUUAGCUAUUUUAGGACAAGUCAAGCAAUCAUCACACAAUCCAAGCAAGCAUGCAAAGAGUGUAUAGGCAGCGGAAUUAAAGCAUGCAACUUGCAAGAAAGUAAAGGGAAGGGUUUGGAGGAUUCAAACGCAAUUGGAGACACAGAUGUUUUUGGCGUGGUUCCGAUAAGUGGUGCUAUCGUACAUCCAUGUUGAUGGAGACUUCAACCCACGAAGGGUAACGGCUGCGCGAGUCCAUGGAGGGCUCCACCCACGAAGGGUCCACGAAGUAGCAACCUUGUCUAUCCCACCAUGGCCGUCGCCCACGAAGGACUUGCCUCACUAGCGGUAGAUCUUCACGAAGUAGGCGAUCUCCUUGCCCUUACAAACUCCUUGGUUCAACUCCACAAUCUUGUCGGAGGCUCCCAAGUGACACCUAGCCAAUCUAGGAGACACCACUCUCCAAGAAGUAACAAAUGGUGCGUUGAUGAUGAACUCCUUGCUCUUGUGCUUCAAAUGAUAGUCUCCCCAACAUUCAACUCUCUCUCAUAGGAUUUGGAUCUGAUGGAAAGAUGAUUUGAGUGGAAAGCAACUUGGGGAGGGCUAGAGAUCAAGAUUCAUAUGGUAGGAAUGGAAUAUCUUGGCCUCAACACAUGAGUAGGUGGUUCUCUCUCGGAAAUGGUAAGUUGGAAGUGUAGGUUUAGUCUGAUGGCUCUCUCCACGAAUGAAGAGGAGGUGGAGGGGUAUAUAUAGCCUCCACACAAAAUCUAACCGUUACACACAAUUUACCAAACUCGGUGGGACCGAAUAGUUAAACUCGGUCGGACCGAUUUAGUAAACCUAGUGACCGUUAGUGAUUUUCGAUGGGACUGACAUGCAUCUCGGUGAGACCGAUUCGGUUAGGGUUAGGGCAUAAUGUAAUCUCGGUGAGACCGAUUACACAAACUCGGUGGGACCGAUUUUGGUAAUUAGCUAACCAGAGAGUUGGUCAGGUAAACUCGGUGGGACCGAUUUGCUCUUUUCGGUGAGACCGAAAUGUUACAAAAAAGGAAACAGAGAGUUUACAUUGCAAUCUCGGUGGGACCGAUCGCUCACUUCGGUUAGACCGAAACGUUACGAAGGGAAACAGAGAGAUUGCAACCCCAUCUCGGUGAGACCGAGAUCCCUAUCGGUAAGACCGAUUUGCUUAGGGUUUGUGGCAGUGGCUAUGACUUUUGGAAUCGGUGGCGUCGGAUAGAAAGAAUCGGUGUGACCGAUUUUGGCUUUGGGUUUAGGUCAUUUGUGGAUGUGGGAAAGUAGUUGAGGGUUUUGGAGCAUAUCACUAAGCACAUGAAGCAAGAGGCUCAUUAAGCAACAUCUCAUCCCUUCUUGAUAGUAUUGGCUUUUCCUAUAGACUCAAUGUGAUCUUGGAUCACUAAAAUGUAAAAUGAAGAGUCUUGAGCUUUAGUCAAUCCUUUGUCCUUAGUAUUUUGAGGGAUCCACUUUCAUCAUCCUUUCCAUGCCAUUCAUUGAGCUUUCCUGAAAUAUAUGUCUUGGAAUAGCAUUAGCUCAAUGAGCUAUAUGUUGUUAUGAAUUACCAAAACCACCUAGGGAUAGUUACACUUUCACGGGCCUUCGGCGCCGUCCGGACCGUAUACGAGACCCUAGUGAAGAACAUGCGCGCCGCGGAGGCAGCCGCGGUCGACCUCGACCAACUCACGGGUGAGGAGCUCAAAGAGCGCAUCGGGCGGAUGCGCAAGCUCCUCCACGCCGGCAACAGCCUGCAGGAUCGCCUCAACCAGCUCGCCAAGCCGGCGGGAUCCAGCUCCGCCCGCCAUGGCGGACCCGACGGAUUCCUGCACACAGCUUCCUCACCACCCGGCGAGGCUCACUCCGGCCAAACCGGACUCGGCACAACCCGGCCACCACGGCCGCCAACAUCCCGGGCAAAGAGCCCGCCCCGAAGACCUAGCGCGGACCCGACCAACAUGGCCGGCGUCCGGCUCCAACCGACCCGGCCCCUCGGGGCCUGGCUGCCAGUUGACUCGGUCCGUGCGCUAUCAACAAUGCCGACGUGCGCCACCGCCUCAAUCAGCUCGCUCGCUCCCUGGAGGUGGAUGAGAGCGGCACUAUCGGGCCGGCGUGCUUCAGCCCACGCAUCCGGGAGGAGCCCUUUCCCAAAGGGUUCGUGCUCCCCCGCGACACCCCCAAGAACAAUGGGACGGUGAAGCCGGAAGACUGGCUCACCGACUACACCAUGGCCAUUGGCAUCACCGGUGCCAAUCGUCGUCUCGCCGUGCGCUACUCACCGCUCAUGCUCUAGGGGUCGGCCCGCACAUGGUUGAACAGCCUGCCGAUGGGCAGCAUCAACGCGUGGGUCGACUUCGAGGAGGCCUUUGUCCGCAACUUCACGGGGACCUACAAGCGACCCGGUCGCCCCAGCCAGCUCGCCAUGUGCGUGUAGGGGCCGACGGAGAACGGCCGCGAGUACCUCGCACGCUGGACCGAGCUCCGGAACAGCAGCGAGGGCGUCCAUGAAAUCCAGGCGAUCCAGUACUUCGUCAGCGGGUGCCGAGACGGCACCCUCCUCAAGCACAAGCUCCUAUGCUCCGAGCCGGCCACCAUGUCCGCGCUCAUGGUGACGGCGGACAAGUACGCUAACGCCGACUCCGCCAUGAAGAUCCAGGCGGUGCUAGAUGAAGCCAGCAAGGCGAAGCCGGUUCCCUCUCAGAAGCUGGCUGGCGAAAGUAGCCGGCAGCAACAUCACCAGAACAACAAGCGCAAGGCCGACCAGCCGGGGCAGCGUCACGACAACUGGCUCGUCGCGGCCGCCGAGCCCGCAGCAGACCCGGUGGCGAAGCGCGGGCAAAUCGGCAAGAUGGCAUGGCAACCCGCCAUGAGUUUUUAAGAGAUGCUCGACACCCCCUGCAAGCAUCACAGUGGCGCAAGACCCUCGACAUACACGCUUCGACAGUGCGCCAUCACCAAGCGCAUCAUGAGGGGAGACGUCCUGCCUCCUCCGGCUCCAGCUCCAGGCGCGGGGCAGCUGCCUCCGCCUCCACCGCCGCCUCCCGCCGGCGGCAUGAUGCGGAACGAUGCCUACCCGGACCAGAACGCGGCCUACGUCGUCUUCACCAGCCUCGGCGAUGACAAGCGUAGCAAGCGCCUCCUUCGGCAGGAGGUGAACACCGUCGUCCCAGCCAAGCCGGAGUUCAUGCAUUGGUCGGAUCGCCCGAUCACCUGGACCCGGGAGGAUCACCCGGCAGUCAUGCCAAUCCCGGGUGGUUAUGCCCUCGUCCUCAACCCCACCAUCAUCACGCGGCGUACAUGCAAGUUCUCCCGAGUCCUCAUCAAUGGCGGCAACAACAUCAACAUCCUCUACCGCGACACGAUGACCAAGCUCGGCCUCAAGGCCGAGGACCUGGAGCCGACCCGGACUAUCUUCCACGGCAUCGUACCCGGUCUCUCCUGCUCGCCCAUUGGCCAGGUUCGGCUCCAUGUCCUGUUCGGAGACAGCAGCCACUUCCGACGCGAACCGGUCUGGUUUGAGGUGGUGGACCUGUCCAGCGCGUAUCACGCAUUGCUGGGCCGGCCCGCGCUCGCCAAGUUCAUGGCGGUUCCCCACUACGCAUAUAUGAAGAUGAAGAUGUCGGGUCCCAAGGGUAUCAUCACCAUCACCGGCGAUUACCGCAAGUCCAUGGAGUGCGCCCGAGACGUUGCCAAGUUGGCCAAGUAGCUGGUCAUUGCCGAGGAGCGGCGCCAGCUUGACCGGAUCGUCGCCCUGGUCGGCGAAGCCUUCGCUGCGUCGAUCCCGACCCUGGACCCGGCUGACAAGGCCGCCUUCAAGCCCUCCAAGGAGACCAAGAGAGUGAAGCUCAACCCGGAAGACCCCAGCUGCAGCAAGUACGUUGUUGUAGGCACCCGCCUCGACAACAAAUAGGAAGGAGAGCUCGUCGACUUCCUCCGUGAGAAUCGAGAUAUCUUCGCAUGGAACCCCAAGGACAUGCCGGGUAUCCCGAGGAAGUACGCCAAGCACAAACUUCACGUCCGCAAGGACGCCAAGCUUGUCCGUCAACCCCUCCGACGAUUUUCUGAAGAGAAGAGAAGAACCAUUGGUGAAGAAGUUGCCAAGCUUUUGGCGGCCGGCUUCAUAAUGGAAGUGUUUCACCCCGAGUGGCUGGCCAAUCCAGUCCUCGUCCUGAAGAAGAACAAGACCUGGCGCAUGUGUAUCGACUACACCAGCCUCAACAAGGCAUGUCCCAAGGAUCCGUUCACCCUCUCGCGGAUCGACCAAGUCAUCGACUCGACCGCCGGGUGCGAGCUCCUGUCCUUCCUGGACGCUUACUCUGGCUAUCACCAGAUCAAGCUAGACCUGGCCGAUGCCCUGAAGACGUCCUUCAUCACGCCCUUUGGGGCGUAUUGCUACAUCACCAUGUCGUUCAGCUUGAAGAACGCCGGCGCCACCUUCCAAUGCUGCAUGCAGAAAUGCCGGCUGCCGCAACUCGGCCGCAAUAUCCACGUGUACGUGGACGAUAUCGUGGUGAAGACCAAGCAGCACCUCACACUCCUCGACGAUUUGAAGGAAACAUUCGGCAACCUCCGCGAAUACAAGGUCAAGCUUAACCAGGAAAAGUGCGUCUUCGGCGUCCCGGCCGGAAAGCUACUUAGCUUCCUCGUCUCGGAACGCGGCAUCGAGGCGAACCCAGAGAAGAUCAAGGCCAUUGAGCGCAUGCGCAGGCCGGCUCGGCUGCGCGAUGUUCAGAAGUUCACAGGGUGCUUGGCCUCGGUCAGCCGAUUUCUGAGCCGACUGGGCGAGAGGGCGCUACCUUUGUACCAGCUGAUGAAGAAUACAAGCCCGUUCAAAUGGAACAACAAGGUAGACGAGGCCUUCCAAGACCUCAAGCGAAAGCUCUCCAUCGCACCAGUCCUGGCCGCGCCAACUGACAAGGAGCCGCUGUUGCUCUACAUGGCCGCGACCUCUCGAGUGGUCAGCACGAUGCUGGUGGUCGAGCGACCAGAGAAGGGCAAGAUCCAGGCCGUCCAGCGUCCUGUCUACUACCUGAGCAAGGUGCUCUCCACCUCCAAGCAGAACUACCCGCACUAUCAGAAGAUGUGCUACAGUGUGUACCUCACCGCUAAGAAGCUGAAGCAGUACUUUCAAGAGCACGUCGUCAUCGUCAUUAGCACGAUGCCUAUCGAAGAAAUCAUCGGGUGCCGGGACGCCUCUGGCCGGGUCGCCAAGUGGGUGAUCCAGCUAGCCGGCCACACCAUCCUCUACGAGCCCCGCACUACGAUCAAGUCUCAAGCCCUGGUCGACUUCCUCGUUGACUCGACUGAGACCCAGUACUUGCCGCCGCCUCCCGACUCGAAGCAUUGGCGCAAGCACUUCGACGGGUCCAAGAUGCGACUCGGCUUGGGGGUGGCAUCGUACUAUCAUCUCCGAAGGGUGACCGGCUCCGCUACGCGCUCCAGAUCCACUUCGCCGCCUCCAACAAUGUCGCCGAAUAUGAAGCCCUUGUGCAUGGCCUCCAGCUUGCCAAGGAAGUCGACAUCCGGCGCAUCCUGUCCACGGCGACUCGGACCUGGUGGUGCAGCAAUGCUCCGGCGAAUGGGAUGCCCGCGACUCCAACAUGGCAAGCUACCGCUUCCUCGUCAAGAAGCUGUCUGGAUCCUUCGAGGGCUGCGAGUUCCUCCAUGUCCCGCGCGCGGAGAACGAAGCAGCUGACACGCUCGCCAAGAUCGCCUUGUCACGCCAAGCCACCCCGUCCGGUGUCUCCCUCGAGCACCUGCGCAAGCCGUCCGUCAAGCCAUCGCCGGACUCCGAGUACAUCCACGUCCCAGACGACCCGACCACUCCGCAAGCUGGACCUGGGGAUGCUGAACCCGGCCCGGGGGCUGCUCAGCUCAACCGACCACCAUCACCCCAGACCCGACCAUCGCCGUCCCCUACCCGGGGGCCGCUCAACCCAGCCGAGGGGCCGCCGACUCGGAACCCACCCAGGUGGCCGUCUUCACCAUGGUAGCGGCCCCAUCUUGGGCCCUGCCGAUAUCAGAAUUUCUGGAGAACAGGGUUCUCCCCAUGGACGAAAUCGAGGCUCGGCAAGUGCAGCGCUGGGCGUCCGCCUAUAACAUCAUCAACAAUGAGCUCGUCAAGUGCAGCUCCACCGGCAUGUUCCAGCGCUGCGUCGAGCAGGAUCGGGGCAUCACAUCCUCCUCGACAUUCACAAGGGCGAGUGCGGGCACCACGCCGCAUCGCGAUCCCUGGUGGCCAAGGCGUUCUGCCACGGUUUCUACUGGCCCACGGCCCUCGAAGACGCCGAGUCACUCGUUCUCAAGUGCGAAGGGUGCCAGUGCUUCAGCAAACGCAGCCACCAGCCGGCGUCAGCACUCCGCACUAUACCGAUCGCCUGGCCCUUCGUGGUCUGGGGACUCGACAUGGUUGGACCCUUCAAAACCGCUCGAGGCGGCAUGACGCACUUGCUGGUGCCAGUGGACAAAUUCACCAAGUGGAUAGAGGCAAGACCAAUCAAGAAACUGAACGGGCCAACAGCCGUCUGGUUCAUCAAGGACACAGCGGUGCGCUACGGCAUGCCGAACAACAUCGUCACCGACAACAGCACCAACUUCGCCAAGGGCGCGCUCAAGCAAUACUGCUCCGUCUCCGGCAUCCGCCUCGACCUGGCCUCUGUGGCACAUCCGCAUUCCAACGGGCCAGUCGAGCGGGCCAACGGACUCAUCCUGUCCGGCAUCAACCCGCGACUCGUCGAGCCACUCAUCCGCUCACCUGGCAGCUGGCUUGACGAGUUGCUGGCAGUUCUCUGGAGUCUACGCACCAUGCCGAACCGGUCGACCGGGUUCUCCCCGUUCUUCCUUGUUUAUGGAGCCGAAGCCGUCAUCCCGACCAACAUCGAGUUUGACUCGCCGCGUGUCGUGAUGUACACCGAAGCCGAAGCCGAAGAGGCACGCGAAGACGGUGUCGACCUGCUCGAGGAAGCGUGCCUUCUGGCACUCAGCCGUUCGGACAUCUACCAGCAAGGCCUGAGGCACUACCACAACAAGAAGAUCAAGCCCCUCGCAUUCCGCGAGGGCGACCUCGUCCUCCGACUCGUCCAAGUAUAGGCAGGCCAGCACAAGCUGUCCUCUCCAUGGGAGGGCCCAUUCAUCGUGAGCAGGGCCUUGCGCAAUCGCAACGCCUACUACCUAAUGGACGCACGCAAGUCAAAGAAGCGCAAGAAGGACACCGCCGGCGAAGAAACGACCCGGCCGUGGAACGCGGAACUCCUCCGCCCGUUUUACAGUUAGCCGCACGAGUGUAUGUAUCAUAACCUUUUGUAAACGCAUGAAACUAUGGGGUCCCCGAACGAGACUCGGGGGCUGCCUUUUGUCGACCAAUUUAUUGCGUCCCUAUUUUCCUGCAUCACUUUACCAUUGAACCCGGCCACCGGCUCGACUCGCUCGACCCGGGGGCUCGGGGGCAGGCCGACUCGGUCGCCACCCCGCCGCCUUACUUGGUGAUUCCUGAUAAAGUUGGGAUGCCACGGUCCCCCACUUCGCCCUAAAACCGCAGAUCCAGCUUUGGCUGUCGGCGGGCAAGCACAAUGGGCCAAAGCUCCUCUACGAUUCAUACACUGAGUCAAAGGCCGCUCGGUUGAUCAACUCGGCCCGUCACUCAUCAAAUAAGUAGCCACAUGACCGGCUGCUCACCAGAUGGCUAAGCCGGAUUGCCACCAGCCGACCCAGUGGGUGUUUCGCUCGCGCUCAACGCUUCUAAGGACCCAAGUCCUGCACACCCCUCUCGAAGAAUCGAUCUCCUUGUCACGGACCGGAGCCUCGGCCAUCUGACUCAUGCAGGGGGGGGAGGAGGUUUGAGAGAGGAAAAGCGUAUGAAAUCGGUCCAAAAAAGCGAAAUGCAAAGAGCAAAAAAGCACUCACGACAUUUACACACAAAUAUUUAAGCAAAGGCCCACGGACCGAGUUCAUUACACCCUAAAACCCCUAGUGGGUGGGUGGACCUGCUACUUAACAGUUUUUACACAAAGUGUCUCAGGCAUCUCCAGCGCUGCGUCGCGAUAUCGACGACUCUCCCCUGGCAGCCUCCGGGUCCGGCGAGGCACCAGUGUCCUCUUCAGCAUCCGUGUCACCGUAGACGCCCGUCUCCUCCGAGCUCCACUCCAGAUCCUGAAGAAGCAAGCCGUAGUCGUCGCCAUCCACGGCCCUGCCGUCUUCCGUCCGCUCCAGAUGGAACUCAUCGUGGAAGGCGAACUCGGUGAUGUAGCUGGCCCGGGAGGUGAUUCGAAGGGCUUGCUCCUGCAGCAACUACUCCGAGCUGGCGCGCUGGCCCAUCAGCGCGUCCAGUUGAAGACUCGAAUGCCAAGACAACGCGAACCAGAGCACCAUCUCAGCAUCGGCACGAGCGGCGGAAACACGCCACUCGCCAAGCCGGUCCGAACCCAUCUCCAACCAACGCGCCAGGCGCGAGAAGCUACGUGGAUGGACGGAAUCCGGCCACAAGGCCUUCGUCAUCGCGGUGCCGGCCCAGGACAGCCGCUCCAUUUGCGUCCCCAGGUCCCGCAGACGGGCCUCAGCAGCAGCGAUAAUCUCUGGGAAGGUCCAGGCCGUCCGCGGAUCCGUCCUAGACCCAGCAACGCUGGUUGGGUCACGCUGAUAGUGGACGGCUUCCUCCGCCAGCCGCUGUGUCUCCGGGAAGGCCCCUGUCGCAAAGGAAGAAGCAAGUUAGAAGAAGAACAACAAGGAAGAAAGGCCGAGUCCCGACCCGACAAACUACAAGAAACAACACUUACUGGAGAAGGACUCUUCCAGGUGCUGCGCCUCAAUGAACGUACCAUACCGCUCCCGCUCCAUGGCUUAGUCGCGCUCCCCGAGUGCCUUCUCCAGAUCGGCCGCCUUAGCAAGGGUCGCCUUCAGCUCGGCGUCCUUGUCUUCGGCCGCCUUCUCGGCCGCCUCACAGCAGCGGGCCUCGUCCUGACGGCCCCCUCAGCCGCGGUGGCUUGCUCCCGCAGGCGAUCCACCUCGGCCUGGAGUCAACCCUUGUUGUCGGCCAGCUGGCCGUGCUGCUGGUCCGCCUCGACCAGGGCCUGCUGCGUCUCCACCACCUUGGCGGCCUCCGCCUUAAGAAGCUCCACCUCGGCCUCGAGGUGGCUCUUGUGACCCGCCACCUGCUCAUGCAGCCGGGUGGCCUCAUCAAGAGACCGUCGGGCCGCGGCCGCCUCCGCCCUUGCCUGCGCCGCCUCGACGCCAAGACGGACAGUAUCGGCAACGAGCCAGUCAUAGUGAUGGCCGGCCUGGAGCAGACAAAUCCGCCAGGACAGCACCUCGGCUGCAAAGAAGAAGAAUUCAGCAGCAGAAGAAAAAAAAGACAAGACUUAAGAUUUGGCCCAACUGUUACACAGUUGGCCCAAAUCUCGGGGGCUACACCCAGUGGGUGCACUAGCGCGCCCCCACUAGAAAAGAGCACAAGGGUACCUGCGACGAUGCGAAGCUCCUCCUCCUUGGCAGCAAGUUGCUCCUUGAGCUCCCGAUGCUUGCCCAUGAGACGGUUGAAGCGGCAACCCGGAAGGCGUCAAGAUGCUGAAAAAAGACAGAAGUCAGAACAAGGCCAACGCUCCUAAGAUUCGACCCAACUGCUAUGUAGUUAGCCCGAACCUCGGGGGCUACACCCAGUGGGUGCGCUGGCGCGCCCCCACAAAGAAGAAAUUACAAGAAAAAGAAGGCUUACAAGCGCGCUCCAGGUUGCGUCCGCUCCACCUCGGCCUGGGCAAAGAACUCGAACCAAUCCGUCUACCCGCGUAGACGGCAGCUGACGGCGUCCAGCGCCGCCUCCUCCUGGGUCUGAGGGCCGAAGAUAGCGGCGCCCCCGCUCCACGCCGGCUGCGGCGCGACUGCACUUUGUCCACCCUGCCGGGGCACCAAGGCAUGCUCCUUGCUGGCCGUUCGCGACGCGGCCAGCACCAACUCUGACGCGGACCCAGAUGCCGGGACGCCCUGCGUCGCCGCCUCCGGUCCGGACGCCAGGACGUCCUGCUGUGCCACCACCGGCCCAGCUGCCGGGGUGGCCUCCGGCUCCUCCGUCCGUAGUGUCGCCUCCAACACCAGCGGCGCCUCCAGCACUGCCGCUCGCAGCACCUCUUCCAAGACGGCACCGCCUCCACCACCAUCAGCCCCCGCAUGCACGACCACGUCGGCCCGCGGCGGGGUAUCACCCUCCACCUCCACGACCUCCUGGUCGAGGAUCACCACCUCAGCCCGGCUUCCCCGGCCGCGCUCCCUCACCGACGACGGCUCAAAGACCGUCGCUGCCACCACCGUGCCCUCCGGCAUCUCGUGCCAGGCCGGCUCCGCGCUGGCUCGCGCCCACAUCGCCGCCGCUUUGGUCCAAGCCCGGACCGGCGCCGCCUCCAGCUCCGCCUCGACCCGGUUCCUGUCCCGCCAAGCCAAGGCUUCGGUGUCGUUCGGGUCCAGGACGAGGUCCGAGUCGGCCCGUCCGUCGCCUCGGCUUGGUCGGCGAGGUCGAACCGGCUCCUGCGGAACGUGGCCCCUUCGGUGGCCGCGGCUUCCACCGCCGCCCUCGCCAGCACGAUUGGCGACAUGAAUAAGAAGGCAGAAUAAGCCAAAAAAGAAGACAAGUCCGGCUCGACAAUCCGGACGCACGCAGAAGAUAAAGCUUACCCCUUCAAGACCGGGACCGGGGUCGGCCUCCCGCCGUGCCUUCUCUUGGCCGGCCUCCCAUGCUCGGCCAGGUCCGUCGUGCGCUUCGGGGCCCGGGGUCGCGGCGCGAUGCUGUCUUUCCCAUGCAGGCAGCUCGCCGCCGCCCCAUGCAAGGACCCGGCUCCGCCCGCGUCGCCGCCUUCCCCGCCCAACGCCAUUGCACCAACAAUCGGCGUCAGUGUCGCCCGCACCACGACAUGAUCAACAAUUCAAGACAAAUAAAGAAAGAAGAAUUCAGGUCUUACCCGCGUGACGCCCAGCGCCGGCGUCGGACUCGGCCACCUCCUUGCCACCUUGGGCCGCGGGCUCCUUUGGUGCCAUCGGCGCCACCUGCGACAGAGCCCGAACAUAAGGAUGCCAAAUCACGUUCAAGAGUAUCUCUUGCGUCGCGUCAAGACGAAUGAGAAGAUGCGCAACAACAAAGUAAGAAGACCAGACGCUCACCUGCGGUGCUGGGUUCGACUGCUGUACAGCGCCUUGCCGAACCGCUAGUCCUCUCCAAGGUUGGCCUUGGAGAUGUCGUUCACGCCACGCGCGACCUGCUCCACAGACAACUGCGACGACCCCCUGCGGUUGGGGUCCUGAAGGCCGAUCAUUUCGCCGAUGAGGCAGGAGUGCCUCUAAAGCGGAAGGACCAGAUGAGUGAUGAACGCGGCAAGGAGGUCAGUGCCGGUGAGCCCCUCCUGCGUCCUCAUCACCGUCACCCGCUCGCAGAGGUUGACGAUCUCCUACGACGGGCGCCGGAGCAAGUAGCCCCAGUUCGUCUUCACCCGCGGCGGCGCAAUGACGAAGGGAGGAAGAUUGAUAUGGUCCGCACCGUGGUUGCGGACGUAGAAGGAGUUCUGCCACUUCUUGGCGGAAUCCUCCAGCGGGAUCUUGGGGAAAUCUGCCCCCGACCGCUUCGAGAUGAUGGCGGCGCCACAGUUGGCGAACUCCCCGGCCGAUGUGUUGGGGAACGUAGUAAUUUCAAAAAAAAUUCCUACGCACACGCAAGAUCAUGGUGAUGCAUAGCAACGAGAGGGGAGAGUGUGUCCACGUACCCUCGUAGACCGUAAGCGGAAGCGUUAUGACAAUGUGGUUGAUGUAGUCGUACGUCUUCACGAUCCGACCGGUCCAAGCACCGAACGUACGGCACCUUCGAGUUCAGCACACGUUCAGCUCGAUGACGAUCCCCGGGCUCCGAUCCAGCAAAGCUUCGGGGAUGAGUUCCGUCAGCACGACGGCCUGGUGACGAUGAUGAUGUUCUACCGGCGCAGGGCUUCGCCUAAACUCCGCGACGAUAUGACCGAGGUGGAAUAUGGUGGAGGGGGGCACCGCACACGGCUAAGGAACGAUCCGUAGAUCAACUUGUGUUGUUUUGCCUAGAGGUGCCCCCCUGCCCCCGUAUAUAAAGGAGCAAGGGGGAGGGGGCGGCCGGCCUAGGAGGGGGCGCGCCAAGGGGAGUCCUACUCCCACCGGGAGUAGGACUCCCUCCUUCCUUGUUGGAGUAGGAGAAGGGGAAAGAGGGGGAGAGGAAGAAGGAAAGGGGGGCUGCGCCCCUUGUCCAAUUCGGACCAGAGGGGGGGGGGCGCAGGCCUCCUUCCUUUUGGCCUCUCUCCUCUAUUCCCGUAUGGCCCAAUAAGGCCCAUAUACUCCCCGGCGAAUUCCCGUAACUCUCCGAUACUCCGAAAAAUACCCGAAUCACUCGGAACCUUUCCGAACUCCGAAUAUAGUCGUCCAAUAUAUCGAUCUUUACAUCUCGACCAUUUCGAGACUCCUCGUCAUGUUCCCGAUCUCAUCGGGGACUCCGAACUCCUUCGGUACAUCAAAACUCAUAAACUCAUAAUAUAACUGUCAUCGAAACCUUAAGCGUGCGGACCCUACGGGUUCGAAAACUAUGUAGACAUGACCUAGAACUAUUCUUGGUCAAUAACCAAUAGCGGAACCUGGAUGCCCAUAUUGGCUCCUACAUAUUCUACGAAGAUCUUUAUCGGUCAAACCGCAUAACAACAUACUUUGUUCCCUUUGUCAUCGGUAUGUUACUUGCCUGAGAUUCGAUCGUCGGUAUCCAAUACCUAGUUCAAUCUCGUUACCGGCAAGUCUCUUUACUCGUUACGUAAUGCAUCAUUCCGUAACUAACUCAUUAGCUACAUUGCUUGCAAGGCUUAUAGUGAUGUGCAUUACCGAGAGGGCCCAGAGAUAGCUCUCCGACGAUCGGAGUGACAAAACCUAAUCUCGAAAUACGCAACCUAACAUGUACCUUUGGAGACACCUGUAGUACUCCUUUAUAAUCACCCAGUUACGUUGUGACGUUUGGUAGCACCCAAAGUGUUCCUCCGGUAAACGGGAGUUGCAUAAUCUCAUAGUUACAGGAGCAUGUAUAAGUCAUGAAGAAAGCAAUAGCAACAUACUAAACGAUCGUGUGCUAAGCUAACGGAAUGGGUCAAGUCAAUCACAUCAUUCUCCUAAUGAUGUGAUCCCGUUAAUCAAAUGACAACUCAUGUCUAUGGUUAGGAAACUUAACCAUCUUUGAUUCACGAGCUAGUCAAGUAGAGGCAUACUAGUGAGAUUUUGUUUGUUUAUGUAUUCACACAUGUAUCAUGUUUUCGGUUAAUAAAAUUCUAGCAUGAAUAAUAAACAUUUAUCAUGAAAUAAGGAAAUAAAUAAUAACUCGUGCUUAAAGGUGGCUGGCGGGUGUCUGUCUCUCUCACUUUAGCUGAAUCGAGUGUGGCUAAGCCCGGUCCUUGCAAAGGUUAAAACAGCACCAACUUGACAAACUAUCGUUUGGUUUUGAUGCGUAGGUAAGAAUGGUUCUUGCUAAGCCCGUAGCAGCCACGUAAAAUUUGCAACAACAAAGUAGAGGACGUCUAACUUGUUUUUCCAGGGCAUGUUGUGAUGUGAUAUGGUCAAGACGUGAUGCUAUAUUUUAUUGUAUGAGAUGAUCAUGUUUUGUAACCGAAGUUAUCGGCAACUGGCAGGAGCCAUAUGGUUGUCGCUUUAUUGUAUGAAAUGCAAACGCCCUGUAAUUGCUUUACUUUAUCACUAAGCGGUAGCGAUAGUCGUAGAAGCAAUAGAUGGCAUAACGACAACGAUGCUACGAUGGAGAUCAAGGUGUCGCGCCGGUGACAAUGGUGAUCAUGACGGUGCUUCGAAGAUGGAGAUCACAAGCACAAGAUGAUGAUGGCCAUGUCAUAUCACUUAUAUUGAUUGCAUGUGAUGUUUAUCCUUUAUGCAUCUUAUCUUGCUUUGAUUGACGGUAGCAUUUUAAGAUGAUCUCUCACUUAAUAAUCAAGAAGUGUUCUCCCUGAGUAUGCACCGUUGCGAAAGUUCUUCGUGCUGAGACACCACGUGAUGAUCGGGUGUGAUAGGCUCUACGUUCAAAUACAACGGGUGCAAAACAGUUGCGCACACGGAAUACUCAGGUCAUACUUGACGAGCCUAGCAUAUACAGAUAUGGCCUCGGAACACGGAGACCAAAAGGUCGAACGUGAAUCAUAUAGUAGAUAUGAUCAACAUAGUGAUGUUCACCAUUGAAACUACUCCAUCUCACGUGAUGAUCGAACAUGGUUUAGUUGAUUUGGAUCACGUGAUCACUUAGAUGACUAGAGAGAUGUCUGUCUAAGUGGGAGUUCUUAAGUAAUAUGAUUAAUUGAACUUAAAUUUAUCAUGAACUUAGUACCUGAUAGUAUUUUGCUUGUCUAUGUUUGUUUAUAGAUAGAUGGCUCGUGCUGUUGUUCCGUUGAAUUUUAGUGCGUUCCUUGAGAAAGCAAAGUUGAAAGAUGAUGGUAGCAAUUACACGGACUGGGUCCGUAACCUGAGGAUUAUCCUCAUUGCUGCACAGAAAAGUUAUGUCCUGGAAGCACCGCUGGGUGCCAGGCCUGCUGCUGAUGCAACUGACGACGUUAAGAACGUCUGGCAGAGCAAAGCUGAUGACUACUCUAUAGUUCAGUGUGCCAUGCUUUACGGCUUAGAACCGGGUCUUCAACGACGUUUUGAACGUCAUGGAGCAUAUGAGAUGUUCCAGGAGUUGAAGUUAAUAUUUCAAGCAAAUGCCCGGAUUGAGAGACAUGAAGUCUCCAAUAAGUUCUACAGCUGCAAGAUGGAGGAGAAUAGUUCUGUCAGUGAACACAUACUCAAAAUGUCUGGGUAUAAUAAUCACUUGAUUCAACUGGGAGUUAAUCUUCUUGAUGAUAGUGUCAUUGACAGAAUUCUCCAAUCACUACCACCAAGCUACAAGAGCUUCGUGAUGAACUAUAAUAUGCAAGGGAUGAACAAAACUAUUCCCGAGCUCUUCGCAAUGCUAAAAGCUGCGGAGGUAGAAAUCAAAAAGGAGCAUCAAGUGUUGAUGGUUAACAAGACCACCAGUUUCAAGAAAAAGGGAAAGGGAAGAAGAAGGGGAACUUCAAAAAGAACAGCAAGCAAGUUGCUGCUCAAGAGAAGAAACCCAAGUUUGGACCUAAGCCUGAAACUGAGUGCUUCUACUGCAAGCAGACUGGACACUGGAAGUGGAAUUGCCCCAAGUAUUUGGCGGAUAAGAAGGAUGGCAAAGUGAACAAAGGUAUAUGUGAUAUACAUGUUAUUGAUGUGUACCUUACUAAUGCUCGCAGUAGCACCUGGGUAUUUGAUACUGGUUCUGUUGCUAAUAUUUGCAACUCGAAACAGGGACUACGAAUUAAGCGAAGAUUAGAUAAGGACGAGGUGACGAUGCGCGUGGGAAAUGGUUCCAAAGUCGAUGUGAUCGCGGUCGGCACGCUACCUCUACAUCUACCUUCGGGAUUAGUUUUAGACCUAAAUAAUUGUUAUUUGGUGCCAGCGUUGAGCAUGAACAUUAUAUCUGGAUCUUGUUUGAUGCGAGAUGGUUAUUCAUUUAAAUCAGAGAAUAAUGGUUGUUCUAUUUAUAUGAGUAAUAUCUUUUAUGGUCAUGCACCCUUGAAGAGUGGUCUAUUUUUUAAAUCUCGAUAGUAGUGACACACAUAUUCAUAGUGUUGAAACCAAAAGAUGCAGAGUUGAUAACGAUAGUGCAACUUAUUUGUGGCACUGCCGUUUAGGUCAUAUCGGUGUAAAGCGCAUGAAGAAACUCCAUACUGAUGGGCUUUUGGAAUCACUUGAUUAUGAAUCACUUGGUACUUGCGAACCGUGCCUCAUGGGCAAGAUGACUAAAACGCCGUUCUCCGGAACUAUGGAGCGAGCAACUGAUUUGUUGGAGAUCAUACAUACUAAUGUUUGUGGUCCAAUGAAUGUUGAGGCUCGCGGCGGGUAUCGUUAUUUUCUCACCUUCACAGAUGAUUUGAGCAGAUAUGGGUAUAUCUACUUAAUGAAACACAAGUCUGAAACAUUUGAAAAGUUCAAAGAAUUUCAGAGUGAAGUGGAAAAUCACCGUAACAAGAAAAUAAAGUUUCUACGAUCUGAUCGUGGAGGAGAAUAUUUGAGUUACGAGUUUGGUCUACACUUGAAACAAUACGGAAUAGUUUCGCAACUCACGCCACCCGGAACACCACAACGAAAUGGUGUGUCCGAACGUCGUAAUCGUACUUUACUAGAUAUGGCGCGAUCUAUGAUGUCUCUUACAGAUUUACCGCUAUCGUUUUGGGGUUAUGCUUUAGAGACGGCCGCAUUCACGUUAAAUAGGGCACCAUCAAAAUCCAUUGAGACGACACCUUAUGAACUGUGGUUUGGCAAGAAACCAAAGUUCUCGUUUCUUAAAGUUUGGGGCUGCGAUGCUUAUGUAAAGAAACUUCAACCAGAUAAGCUCGAACACAAAUUGGAGAAAUGUGUCUUCAUAGGAUACCCAAAGGAGACUAUUGGGUACACCUUCUAUCAUAGAUUUGAGGGCAAGAUUUUCGUUGCUAAAUUCAGAUCCUUUCUAGAGAAGGAGUUUCUCUCGAAAGAAGUGAGUGGGAGGAAAGUAGAACUUGAUGAGAUAACUGUAUCUACUCCCUUGUUGGAAAAUAGUUCGUCACAAGAACCAGUUCCUGUGACAACUACACCAACUAGUGAGGAAGCUAAUGAUAUUGAUCAUGAAACUUCAGAUCAAGUUUCUACUGAACCUCACAGGUCUACCAGAAUAAGAUCCACACCAGAGUGGUACGGUAAUCCUAUUCUGGAAGUCAUGUUACUUGACCAUGAUGAACCUACGAACUAUGAGGAAGCGAUGAUGAGCCCAAAUUCCGCAAAAUGGCUAGAGGCCAUGAAAUUUGAGAUGGGAUCCAUGUACGAAAACAAAGUAUGGACUUUGGUUGACUUGCCCGAUGAUCGGCAAGCCAUUGAGAAUAAAUGGAUUUUUAAGAAGAAGACUGACGCUGAUGGUAAUAUAACUGUCUAUAAAGCUUGACUUGUUGCGAAAGGUUUUCGACAAGUUCAAGGGGUUGACUACGAUGAGACUUUCUCACCCGUAGCGAUGCUUAAGUCUGUCCGAAUCAUGUUAGCUAUUGCUGCAUUUCACGAUUAUGAAAUUUGGCAAAUGGAUGUCAAAACUGCAUUCUUGAAUGGAUUUCUGGAAGAAGAGUUGUAUAUGAUGCAACCAGAAGGUUUUGUUGAUCCAAAAGGUGCUAACAAAGUGUGCAAACUCCAGCGAUCUAUUUAUGGGCUGGUGCAAGCAUCUCGGAGUUGGAAUAAACGUUUUGAUAGUGUGAUCAAAGCAUAUGGUUUUAUACAGACUUUUGGAGAAGCCUGUAUUUACAAGAAAGUGAGUGGGAGCUCUGUAGCAUUUCUGAUUUUAUAUGUAGAUGACAUAUUAUUAAUUGGAAAUGAUAUAGAAUUUCUGGAUAGCAUAAAGGGAUACUUGAAUAAAAGUUUUUCGAUGAAAGACCUCGGUGAAGCUGCUUACAUAUUAGGCAUCAAGAUCUAUAGAGAUAGAUCAAGACGCUUAAUAGGACUUUCACAAAGCACAUACCUUGACAAAAUUUUGAAAAAGUUCAAAAUGGAUCAGGCAAAGAAAGGUUUCUUGCCUGUGCUACAAGGUGUGAAGUUGAGUCAAACUCAAUGCCCGACCAGAGCAGAAGAUAGAGAGAAAAUGAAAGAUGUUCCCUAUGCUUCAGCCAUAGGCUCUAUCAUGUAUGCAAUGCUGUGUACCAGACCUGACAUAUGCUUAGCAAUAAGCUUGGCAGGAAGGUACCAAAGUAAUCCAGGAGUGGAUCACUGGACAUCGGUCAAGAACAUCCUAAAAUACCUGAAAAGGACUAAGGAUAUGUUUCUCGUAUAUGGAGGUGACAAAGAGCUAGUCGUAAAAGGUUACGUCGAUGCAAGCUUUGACACUGAUCCGGACGAUUCUAAAUCGCAAACCGGAUACGUGUUUAUAUUAAACGAUGGAGCUGUAAGUUGGUGCAGUUCUAAACAAAGCGUCGUGGCUGGAUCUACAUGUGAAGCGGAGUACAUAGCUGCUUCUGAAGCAACAAAUGAAGGAGUCUGGAUGAAGGAGUUCAUUAUCGAUCUAGGUGUCAUACCUAGUGCAUCGGACCAAUGAAGAUCUUCUGUGACAAUACUGGUGCAAUUGCUUAGGCAAAGGAAUCCAAAUUUCACAAGAGGACCAAGCUCAUCAAGAGACGCUUAAAUUCCAUUCGGGACCAAGUCCAAGUGGGAGACAUAGAGAUUUGCAAAAUACAUACGGAUCUGAAUGUUGCAGACCCAUUGACUAAGCCUCUCUCACGAGCAAAACAUGAUCAACACCAAAACUCCAUGGGUGUUAGAAUCAUUACUAUGUAAUAUAGAUUAUUGACUCUAGUGCAAGUGGGAGACUGAAGGAAAUAUGCCCUAGAGGCAAUAAUAAAGUUAUUAUUAAUUUCCUCAUAUCAUGAUAAAUGUUUAUUAUUCAUGCUAGAAUUGUAUUAACCGGAAACAUGAUACAUGUGUGAAUACAUAGACAAACAUAUAGUCACUAGUAUGCCUCUACUUGACUAGCUCAUUAAUCAAAGAUGGUUAUGUUUCCUAACCAUAAACAUGUGUUGUCAUUUGAUUAAUGGGAUCACAUCAUUAGGAGAAUGAUGUGAUUGACAUGACCCAUCCCGUUAGCUUAGCACUUGAUCGAUUAGUAUUCUACUAUUGCUUUCUUCAUGACUUAUACAUGUUCCUGCAACUAUGAGAAAUAUGCAACUCCCGUUUAUCGGAAGAACACUUUGGGUACUACCAAACGUCACAACGUAACUGGGUGAUUAUAAAGGAGUACUACAGGUGUCUCCGAAGGUACAUGUUGAGUUGGCGUAUUUCAAGAUUAGGUUUUGUCACUCCGAUUGUCGGAGAGGUAUCUCUGGGCCCUCUCGGUAAUACUCAUCACUUAAGCCUUGCAAGCAUUAUAACUAAUAAGUUAGUUAUGAGAUGACAUAUUACAAAACGAGUAAAGAGACUUGCCGGUAACGAGAUUGAACUAGGUAUUGGAUACCGACGAUCAAAUCUCGGGCAAGUAACAUACCGAUGACAAAGGGAACAACGUAUGUUGUUAUGCGGUUUGACCGAUAAAGAUCUUCGUAGAAUAUGUAGGAACCAAUAUGGGCAUCCAGGUCCCGCUAUUGGUUAUUGACCGAGAAUGGUUUUAGAUCAUGUCUACAUAGUUCUCGAACCCGUAGGGUCCGCACGCUUAACGUUUCGAUGACAGUUUUAUUAUGAGUUUACAAGUUUUGAUGUACCGAAGUUUGUUCGGAGUCCCGGAUGUGAUCACGGACAUGACGAGGAGUCUCGGAAUGGUCGAGACAUAAAGAUUGAUAUAUUGGAAGCCUAUGUUUGGACAUCAGAAUGGUUCCGGGUGAAAUCGGCAUUUUACCGGAGUACCGGGAGGUUACCGGAACCCCCCGGGGGGUUAAUGGGCCUACAUGGGCCACGAGGGAGAAGAGAGAAGGAGCCAGGAGGGGACCGCGCACCCCUCCCCCUCCUAGUCCGAAUAGGACAAGGGAAGGCGGGCGGCGCCCCCCUUUCCUUCCCCUCUUCCUCCUCUUCCCCCCUUCUCCUAUUCCAACUAGGAAAGAAGGGAGUCCUACUGCCGGUGGGAGUAGGACUCCCCCCUUGGCGCGCCCUCCUUGGCCAGCCACCUCCUCCCCCCUUGGCGCGCCCUCCUUGGCCAGCCACCUCCUCCCCCCUGGCUCCUUUAUAUACGGGGGCGGGGGGGAACCCUAGAAACACAAGUUGAUCUACGGAUCGUUCCUUAGCCGUGUGCGGUGCCCCCUCCACCAUAUUCCACCUCGGUCAUAUCGUCACGGAGUUUAGGCGAAGCCCUGCGCCGGUAGAGCAUCAUCAUCGUCACCACGCCGUCGUGCUAACGGAACUCAUCCCCGAAGCUUUGCUGGAUCGGAGCCCGAGGAUAAUCAUCGAGAUGAACGUGUGCUGAACUCGGAGGUGCCGUACGUUCGGUGCUUGGAUCGGUCGGAUCGUGAAGACGUACGACUACAUCAACCGCGUUGUGCUAACGCUUCCGCUUACGGUCUACGAGGGUACAUGGACGAACACUCUCCCCUCUCGUUGCUAUAUCAUCACCAUGAUCUUGCGUGUGCGUAGGAAUUUUUUUUUUGAAAUUACUACGUUCCCCAACACUACUAACUUAGUGAUGGUGACUAGAGAACUCUGUCAAUCACUAUCUUAUCUGGAAGAUUAACUCCCACUUGAUUCAAGCGAUUGUAGUACCCAGACAAUCUGAGCACAUGCUCACUAGUUGAGCGAUUCUCCUUCAUCUUUUAGCAAUAGAACUUGUUGGAGACUUCAUAUCUCUCAACUCGGGUAUUUGUUUGAAAUAUUAACUUCAAUUCCUGGAACAUCUCAUAUGGUCCAUGACGUUCAAAACGUCUUUGAAGUCCCGAUUCUAAGCUGUUAAGCAUGGUGCACUAAACUAUCAAGUAGUCAUCAUAUUGAGCUAGCCAAACAUUCAUAACGUCUGCAUCUGCUCCUGCAAUAGGUUUGUCACCUAGCGGUGCAUCAAUGACAUAAUUCUUCUGCGCAGCAAUGAAGAUAAACCUCAAAUCACGGAUCCAAUCCGCAUCAUUGCUACUAACAUUUUUCAACACAAUUUUCUCUAGGAACAUAUCAAAAUAAACAUAUGAAAGCAACAAUGCAAGCUAUUGAUCUACAACAUAAUUUGCAAAAUACUACCAGGACUAAGUUCAUAAUAAAUUUAAGUUCAAUUAAUCAUAUUACUUAAGAACUCCCACUUAGAAAGACAUCCCUCUAAUCCUCUAAGUGAUCAGGUGAUCCAAAUCAACUAAACCAUAACCGAUCAUCACGUGAAAUGGAGUAGCUUUCAAUGGUGAACAUCAUUAUGUUGAUCAUAUCUACUAUAUGAUUCACGCUCGACCUUUCGGUCUCCGUGUUCCGAGGCCAUAUCUGCAUAUGCUAGGCUCGUCAAGUUUAACCUGAGUAUUCCGCGUGUGCAAAACUGGCUUGCACCCGUUGUAGAUGGACGUAGAGCCUAUCACACCCGAUCAUCACGUGGUGUCUGGGCACGACGAACUUUGGCAACGGUGCAUACUCAGGGAGAACACUUCUUGAUAAUUAGUGAGAGAUCAUCUUAUAAUGCUACCGUCAAACAAAACAGAAUAAGAUGUAUAACAGAUAAACAUCAUAUGCAAUCAAAAUAUGUGACAUGAUAUGGCCAUGAUCAUCUUGCGCCUUUGAUCUCCAUCUCCAAAGUACUUUCAUGAUCUCUAUCGUCACCGGCACGACACCAUGAUCUUCAUCAUCUUGAUCUAUAUCAAUGUGUCGUCACAUGGUCGUCUCGCCAACUAUUGCUCUUGCAACUAUUGCUAUCGCAUAGCGAUAAAGUAAAGCAAUUAUUUGGCACUUGCAUCUUAUGCAACAAAGAGACAACCAUAGAGCUUCUGCCAGUUGCCGAUAACUUCAGCAAAACAUGAUCAUAUCAUACAACAACUUAUAUCUCAUCACGUCUUGACCAUAUCACAUCACAACAUGCCCUGCAAAAAAAAAGUUAGACAUCCUCUACUUUGUUGUUGCAAGUUUUACGUGGCUGCUACGGGCUGAGCAAGAACCGUUCUUACCUACGCAUCAAAACCACAACGAUAGUUCGUCAAGUUGGUGCUGUUUUAACCUUCUCAAGGACCGGGCGUAGCCACACUCGGUUCAACUAAAGUUGGAGAAACUGACACCCGCUAGUCACCUGUGUGCAAAGCACGGCGGUAAAACCAGUCUCGCGUAAGCGUGCGCGUAAUGUCGGUCCAGGCCGCUUCAUCCAACAAUACCGCCGAACCAAAGUAUGACAUGCUGGUAAGCAGUAUGACUUGUAUCGCCCACAACUCACUUGUGUUCUACUCGUGCAUAUAACAUCAACGCAUAAAACCUAGGCUCGGAUGCCACUGUUGGGGAACGUAGUAAUUUCAAAAAAAUAUCCUACGCACACGCAAGAUCAUGGUGAUGCAUAGCAACGAGAGGGGAGAGUGUGUCCACGUACCCUCGUAGACCGUAAGCGGAAGCGUUAUGACAACGCGGUUGAUGUAGUCGUACGUCUUCACGAUCCGACCGAUCCAAGCACCGAACGUAUGGCACCUCCGAGUUCAGCACAUGUUCAGCUCGAUGACGAUCCCCGGGCUCCGAUCCAGCAAAGCUUCGGGGAUGAGUUCCGUCAGCACGACGGCGUGGUGACGAUGAUGAUGUUCUACCGGCGCAGGGCUUCGCCUAAACUCCGCGACNNNNNNNNNNNNNNNNNNNNNNNNNNNNNNNNNNNNNNNNNNNNNNNNNNNNNNNNNNNNNNNNNNNNNNNNNNNNNNNNNNNNNNNNNNNNNNNNNNNNNNNNNNNNNNNNNNNNNNNNNNNNNNNNNNNNNNNNNNNNNNNNNNNNNNNNNNNNNNNNNNNNNNNNNNNNNNNNNNNNNNNNNNNNNNNNNNNNNNNNNNNNNNNNNNNNNNNNNNNNNNNNNNNNNNNNNNNNNNNNNNNNNNNNNNNNNNNNNNNNNNNNNNNNNNNNNNNNNNNNNNNNNNNNNNNNNNNNNNNNNNNNNNNNNNNNNNNNNNNNNNNNNNNNNNNNNNNNNNNNNNNNNNNNNNNNNNNNNNNNNNNNNNNNNNNNNNNNNNNNNNNNNNNNNNNNNNNNNNNNNNNNNNNNGGGCACAGGCCUCCUUCCUUUUGGCCUCUCUCCUCUAUUCCCGUAUGGCCCAAUAAGGCCCAUAUACUCCCCGGCGAAUUCCCGUAACUCUCCGGUACUCCGAAAAAUACCCGAAUCACUCGGAACCUUUCCGAACUCCGAAUACAGUCGUCCAAUAUAUCGAUCUUUAUGUCUCGACCAUUUCGAGACUCCUUGUCAUGUCCCCGAUCUCAUCCGGGACUCCGAACUCCUUCGGUACAUCAAAACUCAUAAACUCAUAAUAUAACUGUCAUCGAAACCUUAAGCGUGCGGACCCUACGGGUUCGAGAACUAUGUAGACAUGACCUAGAACUAUUCUUGGUCAAUAACCAAUAGCGGAACCUGGAUGCCCAUAUUGGCUCCUACAUAUUCUACGAAGAUCUUUAUCGGUCAAAUCGCAUAACAACAUACUUGUUCCCUUUGUCAUCGGUAUGUUACUUACCCGAGAUUCGAUCGUCGGUAUCCAAUACCUAGUUCAAUCUCGUUACCGGCAAGUCUCUUUAGUCAUUACGUAAUGCAUCAUUCCGUAACUAACUCAUUAGCUACAUUGCUUGCAAGGCUUAUAGUGAUGUGCAUUACCGAGAGGGCCCAGAGAUACUUCUCCGACAAUCGGAGUGACAAAACCUAAUCUCGAAAUACGCCAACCCAACAUGUACCUUUGGAGACACCUAUAGUACUCCUUUAUAAUCACCCAGUUAUGUUGUGACGUUUGGUAGCACCCAAAGUGUUCCUCCGGUAAACGGGAGUUGCAUAAUCUCAUAGUUACAGGAACAUGUAUAAGUCAUGAAGAAAGCAAUAGCAACAUACUAAACGAUCGUGUGCUAAGCUAACGGAAUGGGUCAAGUCAAUCACAUCAUUCUCCUAAUGAUGUGAUCCCGUUAAUCAAAUGACAACUCAUGUCUAUGGUUAGGAAACUUAACCAUCUUUGAUUCACGAGCUAGUCAAGUAGAGGCAUACUAGUGACACUUUGUUUGUCUAUGUAUUCACACAUGUAUCAUGUUUCCGGUUAAUAAGAUUCUAGCAUGAAUAAUAAACAUUUAUCAUGAAAUAAGGAAAUAAAUAAUAACUUUAUUAUUGCCUCUAGGGCAUAUUUCCUUCACGAUGGCCCCUGCUGCUUCAAGGAGAAGAAGCGCGCCCAGAGGUCGAUCAUGGGCUCUACCCCCAGGUACCCCUCGCACAGGGUCACAAAGCCGGAGAGCUGGACGAUGGCACCGGCGCCAAGAUGAUGCGGCUGGAGCCUGAAGAACUCCAAGAACACGCGGAAGAAGGUGCUCGCUGGCAGCCCAAAACCGCGUUCGAAAUGCGUGAGGAAGACGACGCGCUCCUGCCCCUCGGGCCGGGGCCUCUGCUCGCCGCGCGGCAGGCGGACGUCAACGUCCGUCUCCCGCGGCAGGAGCCGCGAAGCUCGAAGAUGGGUGAUGUCAUCGGUGGCGACAAUCGAGCCCAUCCAGGAGCCCAACGACAGCGGCAUGGACAGAAGAAGAAGAGAGAGGAUGGACGAUGGAGGAAGCUCUACUCGGUGCUGUGGGCGUAGCUGUGCGUCGGUGGCAAAGAGCAGAGCAGGAGCAUGGGGACAGGAGGGCGCGAGCGAGAAUGGUGUCCGCCGCCCCCUUGCCCGCUCAAUUUAUAACCCUUGGUUCAAACGUGGGGAAGUGGGAUCGUCUGCACGCACCCGUUCCAGUACCCUGCAAUAAGUGCGCACGUACACGCGCAGUAACUGCCCGGGGAAGAGCAACCAACCCCCGGAUGCUACAAUAAAUCCGCGCGCGUGGGCCAAGGGUGCGCGACGGCGGGCCCCGGCCCAUCGCCCGGUCCCGUCAUGCGCGUGGCCUGUCAUGCCCCUCUGGCUUCUGGGCACCACCUGGCGCCUGCGCGAAGCCCGAGGGAUUGCCUCAAGAUUCAGCGGAAUCCUCGGUUCCCACCACAGCCGGGAUGCCGCGAUCCGGUUUCCCAGAAAACCGGCACACAGUGGGUGUUGCCGGAUCCGGCGCUCGCAGAAUCCACCUUGCUCAAGGGGGAAACUGCGAAGGCCCACUCAUCCGAAGACGGUGGACCUUCAUAGCUUCGGGGACUACUAUCAGGGGGAUGAACCCCGGGCAGGCAACAGAACCUGGAUCCUUUUCAAAAAUGGUGGGGCCCACAUCGCCCUGCAAACCGGCACGCGCCUGGCCGGGUCGCUCGACCCGGCAAGGCCUGCAACCCGGCCAAGCUCUUCGACUCGGCAAGCUACAUUGACCUGGCCACAACAACUAGCGCAAGACAACCCAACCCGGUGCCACCAAGGCUUCCCCAACAAGCCGAACCCACCUGUGCCGUGCACGACAACCCAGCCACGGGUCAGAUCCCGUCCCAUCCAAGCCGUACGAUGGGACGAGGCUUCAAUCACCUAUGACCAAGACUACAGUCCUUCCGCCCAUGCCUAUGGUUAGCCAGACACUACUAGGGAAAACCUUAUACACAGAAUCUUACCAGUAGCGCGUGUUAAAAUGAGGCGCUACUGCUACUUAGCAGUAGCGCGUCUGCCAAAACCGCGCUACUGUUACCCCCUUAGCAGUAGCGCGACAGGAAAAGAACGCGCUACUACUAUAAUUGCCACACCGUUCCCGACUAGCUAGGUAUAGUAGUAGCGCCCUUCUGGAAAUGGCGCUACUACUACGGAUUUUAGCAGCAGCGUGUUUUUCCUCCCCACGCUACUGUUAAAGCUAUUUUCACCUAACCCCCCGCGCGGCCUGAUUCCCUCUCCUCUGCUUCCUCCCCCAAUUCCCCACUCUCUCUUCUCCCCCUCGUCGCCCCCGCCUCGCCGCCGUCUCCCCCGACCCUGCCUUGCGGCCGUCUCCCCCGCCCGCCUCGCCACCGUCUCCCCCGGCCCCGCCUCGCCGCUGUCUCCCNNNNNNNNNNCCUCGGCCCCGCCUCGCCGCCGUCUCCCUCGACCCGCCUCACCGCUGUCUCCUCGACCCCGCCUCGCAGCCGUCUCCGCCGACCCCGCCUCGCCGCGCCUCGGUGCCGCCGUCUCCCCCGACCCCAUCUCUCUCCCCGCCCUCUGUAAGCACUCUCCCCUUCCGAUCCCUCUUGUUUGCUUAGUAUGAACCCUAGCUAUUUAGUGCUAGUUAGUAUGAACCCUAGGCUAUUUUUAGUGCUAGUUAGUUAAUUACAAUUAGUAUUAACCCUAUUUAAUUAGGGCAGUAGUUCCUAGGUACUAAUUAGUUAGUAAGAACUAGGUACUAAUUAGCUAGGUACUAGUUUAUUUUUAUUUAUAGUAAGUUUAUUUUCAGUAAGAACUAAUUGAAUUAAUAGAACUAGUUAGUAAGAACUUGUUGCUAUUUUUUUAGUUAAAGCAAUUUUUCCCGCAUCGACGUUGACGAUGCCUAUCCCGCAUCCUCGUUGUCGAGUCAGCGGAGGACGACACCUGCUUGACUAGAUGGGCCAUGUCCGGGACUGGGCUCUGCCGGGGUGGUACUGGGAGGCGCUACCUACCGGGGGCGCAGGUUGGUGAGGAGCCAGCCUAUCGUUGACCCGAACCUUCAUUGGUGGAGGUCGCGUGGGCCAGUGACGGUCCAGAGGCUCGAGGACCCCGCGGAGGUGGUGCGUCACUGUGUCAGUGAGGAGGACGCGCACGUCCGUCGCUACUUGUUUGCGUUGGAGCACAUGUUCUCCAAAACCUGGCAGGUUCUCCAGGGAUCUCACUGGAGCUAUGAUCCCGUGAUGGUUCCUUCUCUGUGGGUGUCCACCACCCGCGCCGAUACCCGUCGUGUGCUAGGGUUUUAGUUGUAUUAGUGAUGUUAUAUGUAUGACACUAUUCAGGAUGUAUUAGUGAUAAUAUUCGACGAUGUACGAACACGCAUGAGAUGAUUUACUUUUGCUUAUUCAAUGCAUCCUAAUUUGAGUCCUAUAAGAUAUUUUGAAAUGUAUAUCUUGUGUUUCUCAAAUAGGAUAUGUGCUUUCCCAAGUGGCCGGUCAUGUUUGCAGGUUACACCUCCGAGUGUCCUAUGUUUUGCCGGAGUGUUGAUUCUUUUCCGUUCCGGCAAAUUUCAGGCGCUCGAUAUGUCCUAUUUUAGCAAAGGUCAUGCCGGAUUUUUCUGUGAAUUUUGGCAUGACUUGUGCCAGAAUAUGUAGGAAAUAUCGAGUGCCCCGGAUUUGCGUGUUGAUUAUCCUGGUAGUUGUCUUCGAUCGAUUUUCAAUUAAUGUUUUAACUAUGAACAUAGGAAAUGUCUGACGAUGAAAAGGACUUCGGUAUUUGCAAAUACUGCGAAGACGAGCGCGGCCUGUGCGAUGGAAUCUUCCUAGAUGAUGAUAGGCGCUUCAGCAUCAAGCUGGACGAGAACUUCGAAGUGGAUACAGUAAGUCACAACGACAAGUCUUUUUUCGUAAUUAAGCAUGACAUAUGCUUCAUUUGCUUCAACUUAUAAUUUGUUUUUACUAUUCUACUAGCGUAUCCCCUGCCAUGCAAGAGUUUUUGUAUUGGAUAAGAUAGGUUGCAGUUGUACUAUGGAGGUAAAGAAAUUUUACUUGAAGACUGAGCAUGGUUAUAUUUUCCACACAAAAUUAUACAAUUCAGACGACUACACCUAUUUUGGAUGCAAAACAUGGCGAGCACUAUGCAAGACUUAUGCAUUUGAGCCUGAUAUGGUUAUCACCUUUGAUAUUCGUCCGGAAGAUGAUAUUGAAGGUAAUACCGACAUCUGGGUCGAUGUGCAGAUGCCUCCAGUUAUACCAAAAUGUGAGUUUCUCAACCAUAUUUAUGUCUUUGAUAUUGUUUAUUCAAAAAUAGUUGACAAUUAAUUUCUAUUGAUAGCUUAUUUCGGUGCGAGCAAACAUGUCCAGCGCUUGGUAGACAGGACCGUAUACUGUGCCGGGGCUGAACUCAACUGCGAGGAGCUCAGUCAUUAUGUUUCAUGGCUUGCGGAUCUUGAUACUGUCAAGACAAAUUUUCUUCCUGCAUUUAGAAAUGUUAGUACUGAAAACGUGCGACCAAUAGUGUUCGUAAUGAACUACAGUCACAUCUAUUUAGGAAGGAUGGUAAGAUUUUUAAUAUUUGUCCUCAGUGCAUCUUUUCCAUACAUUAUUUUUGAAGCUAAACUUCAUUGCUAAGUAUGUUACCAUACGAUGUUCUUCAACAAGGAGUCCCGAUGAAUGUUGUGCCUUAUGGGAUCGAGACUAAAGGUACCAUGAGUAUUAUUAGCUUACGGCCAAGAUAUCCUACAGAUUACUUUAAUGCAUUCAAGAUUAGCGAUGGAUGCUUAAUAGUGCAAGACUGGACCAAAUAUGUGAUGGGGGAGCGUAGAGAAGUACUAGGGGGCAGCAAACAGAUGCGCUACCCACGGUUAGGAGAUAGGUUCAUCUGCAUGCUCCAACUUGAUCAAGGAGGAGAGCUAUACAUGUUUUAUGUUAUUUUACGUGCGAGAGAGCAGCAGGAGUGAUUAGCUAGCUAGAAAUGAGUUUGAAGAUGAUGAUGUGCUACACUAUUACUAUGAUGAUAAAAUAGCUAGUGUUGGUGGUAAUGACUAUGAUGAUUAUUAUUAGCUAGCGUUAGUGGUGAUUAAAUAAAUAUUGUUGGUGAUAAUGACUAUGAUGAUGAUUAAAUAGCUUGUGCUGGCGGAUUAGAUUCAAGUGGAGGCAACAUGUAGUGCACAUCGAAAGUACUACUAGUCCAAACUAGAUCAAGUUUGGAUUAGUAGUAUACUUUUGACAUGCACCACAUAUUGCCUCCACUUGAACCUAAUCCACCUUCAUUUGACACACUGUUAUGGACAUAAUGAUGUAAACCUCAUAACUGGUAUUGUACCAAUAUUUGUACGAUAGAGAGAAAACCGCAUAAAUACAGUAAAAAAAAUGAAUACUAGUAGCGAUGGAGAGAAAACGCGCCGCCACUAGUUUCAUUAGCAGUAGCGUGGGGUUGAACAAACGCUGCAGCUAGUUGUCCUAGCAGUAGCACACGCCGGCACACGUUACUACUAAGCAAUAGUUGUAGCGCCUUAUUAGUAGCGCGCCUACCUGCGCUACUAGUGAGCACAAAACCAGCGCUACUAGUGAGCACAAAACCAGCGCUACUGCUAGGGUUUUCCCUAGUAGUGAGAGCGUGGCAACAGUGCCCCUUACCUACCCGCUGACCGAGGCUGGCGUGGCAAUAGUGCUCCCGCCUUCGCCGCUAACGGCAGCAAGCGGCAACCUAACGGAGAGCAUUGUACAUGACUCGACUCGGCCACGCCCUGACGAUUGAUAAGACGGCGAAUAGUUCCCCUAGGCACGCGGGGCCUGCACCUAGGGGAACCCAGCAAACCACAAGCCCUCAAGCGGGACCCAGCCCAGUAUCCCGGACACCGAUAAUACGGACCCACCGACUCGGCGUAUUACCAUUGUAACCCUGGGUGGGUUGAUCUAUAAACCCCCCCAGGAACCCACGCCUACAGAGAGAGGCACAUGUAUGAGACACGAGAGAAACACAAGCAAGCAUAGGACUAGCCACCCAACGUCAGCACCGGAGAGAAGGAGCAGCCCAAGCCUUGUCCAGCUUCCUUCCUCCUCAUACAGCUCCAGGAGCAACAUUGUACUAUCGAUCAUCCAACUAAACUCGGCAGGACUAGGGGUAUUAUCUCUCCGGAGAGCCCCGAACCUGGGUAUGUGCGGCGUCCCACGCCCGCGCAUGCCAACCUCGCCUCUAGAUCCCACCAGCACCUCGGGCCUCCUCCUCUCUUUAGCCAUCCCUUGGCAAACAGGUACAGUAGGUUAAUUAGGUGAAGUUAAGUGAAUAACCUAAAUGAAUGAAAUUAGUAGUUAACUGUUUUUUUUCCUUUCAUCAUUAUUGAGCACUAAAGUAAACUGAAUUUUGUUCUAUUAGUAGUUAAAUGAGUUUUUUUCUACACUUAGUUUUUGAAUUAGUUUGUGAAAUUUGGACAUGUGGUUGCUCGUGUAUAUUUGGACAUGUGUUGCAGUGUCGAAGAUGGAUAUUUGAACACUGUUUCCAGGGAAUGAAGCCGAGUGGCCUAUGUUUUGCUGGAAUGUUGAUUCAUUUGUUGGAGGAACGUAGCAGAAAUUCGAAAUUUUCCUACGAGUCAUCAAGAUCUAUCUAUGGAGAAACUAGCAACGAAGGUAAGGAGAGUGCAUCUACAUACCCUUGUAGAUCGCUAAGCGGAAGCAUUCAAGAGAACGGGGUUGAAGGAGUCGUACUCGUCGUGAUCCAAAUCACCGGAGAUCCUAGUGCCGAACAGACGGCACCUCCGCAUUCAACACACGUACAGCCCGGUGACGUCUCCCACGCCUUGAUCCAGCAAGGAGAGAGGGAGAGAUUGGGGAAGACUUCGUCCAGCAGCAGCACGACAGCGUGGUGGUGGAGGAGUGUGGCAAUCCUGCAAGGCUUCGCCAAGCACCGCGGGAGAGGAGGAGUACUUGGGAGAGGGGGAGGGCUGCGGCAGAACUUGGGGUGCGGCUGCCCUCCCACCCCUCCACUAUUUAUAGGUGGGGAGAGAAGGGGGCCGGCCCCCCUAGAUCCCAUCUAGGGUUGGGGGCGGCGGCCAAGGGGGGGAGGAGUGCCUCCCAAGUCAAGUGGAGGCCCUCCCCCUUAGGGUUUCCCCUCUCCCAUGCGCAUGGGCCUUGGGGGGGCUGGUGCCCCUGGCCCAUUAAGGCUAGGGUGCCCCCUUACAGCCCAUGCUGCUGUAUUGGACAUGGUGGAACAAUUUCCGGACCUCCGGACCCCUCCGGAAUCCUUCGGAACCUUCUGGAAGCUUCCCGGUACAAUACCAGAAAAACUCGAACUUUUCCCGGAACCCGAACAACAACUUUCCAUAUAUAAAUCUUUACCUCCGAACCAUUCCGGAACUCCUUGUGAUGUCCGGGAUCUCAUCUGGGACUCCGAACAACAUUCGUUAACCACAUACAAAUUUCCUUUAUAACCCUAGCGUCAUCGAACCUUAAGUGUGUAGACCCUACGGGUUCGGGAACCAUGCAGACAUGACCGAGACGUUCUCCGGUCAAUAACCAAUAGCGGGAUCUGGAUACCCAUGUUGGCUCCCACAUGUUCCAUGAUGAUCUCAUCGGAUGAACCACGAUGUCGAGGAAUCAAUCAACCCCGUAUACAAUUCCCUUUGUCUAGCGGUAUUGUACUUGCCCGAGAUUCGAUCGUCGGUAUCCCAAUACCUUGUUCAAUCUCGUUACUGGCAAGUCUCUUUACUCGUUCCGUAACACAUCAUCCCGUGAUCAACCCCUUGGUCACAUUAUGCACAUUAUGAUGAUGUCCUACCGAGUGGGCCCAGAGAUACCUCUCCGUCAACCAGAGUGACAAAUCCCAGUCUCGAUUCGUGCCAACCCAACAGACACUUUCGGAGAUACCCGUAGUUCACCUUUAUAGCCACCCAGUUACGUUGUGACGUUUGGUACACCCAAAGCAUUCCUAAGCUAUCCGGGAGUUGCACAAUCUCAUGGUCUAAGGAAAUGAUACUUGACAUUAGAAAAGCUUUAGCAUACGAACUACACGAUCUUUGUGCUAGGCUAGGAUUGGGUCUUGUCCAUCACAUCAUUCUCCUAAUGAUGUGAUCCCGUUAUCAACGACAUCCAAUGUCCAUGGUCAGGAAACUGUAACCAUCUAUUGAUCAACAAGCUAGUCAAUUAGAGGCUUACUAGGGACAUGGUGUUGUCUAUGUACCCACACAUGUAUCUGAGUUUCCUAUCAAUACAAUUAUAGCAUGGAUAAUAAAUGAUUAUCAUGAACAAGGAAAUAUAAUAAUAAUACCUAAUUUAUUAUUGCCUCUAGGGCAUAUUUCCAACACUCUCCCACUUGCACUAGAGUCAAUAAUCUAGUUCACAUGGCCAUGUGAUUAACACUGAUAGGUCACAUCGCCAUGUGACCAACAUCCAAAGAGUUUACUAGUGUCACUAAACUAGUUCACAUCACCAUGUGAUUAAGACUCAAUGUGUUCUGGGGUUUGAUCUUGUUUUGCUUGUGAGAGAGGUUUUAGUCAAUGGGUCUGCAACAUCCAGAUCCGUAUGUAUUUUGCAAAUCUCUAGGUCAUAUUGUAAAUACUGCUUCCACGCUCCACUUUGAGCUAUUCCAAAUGGUUGCUCCACUAUACGUAUCCGGUUUGCUACUCGGAGUCACUCGGAUAGGUGUUAAAGCUUGCAUCGACAUAACCGUUUACGCCGAACUCUUUAUCACCUCCAUAUCGGUGUAAAGCGCAUGAAGAAACUCCAUACUGAUGGGCUUUUGGAAUCACUUGAUUAUGAAUCACUUGGUACUUGCGAACCGUGCCUCAUGGGCAAGAUGACUAAAACGCCGUUCUCCGGAACUAUGGAGCGAGCAACUGAUUUGUUGGAGAUCAUACAUACUAAUGUUUGUGGUCCAAUGAAUGUUGAGGCUCCCGGCGGGUAUCGUUAUUUUCUCACCUUCACAGAUGAUUUGAGCAGAUAUGGGUAUAUCUACUUAAUGAAACACAAGUCUGAAACAUUUGAAAAGUUCAAAGAAUUUCAGAGUGAAGUGGAAAAUCACCGUAACAAGAAAAUAAAGUUUCUACGAUCUGAUCGUGGAGGAGAAUAUUUGAGUUACGAGUUUGGUCUACACUUGAAACAAUACGGAAUAGUUUCGCAACUCACGCCACCCGGAACACCACAACGAAAUGGUGUGUCCGAACGUCGUAAUCGUACUUUACUAGAUAUGGCGCGAUCUAUGAUGUCUCUUACAGAUUUACCGCUAUCGUUUUGGGGUUAUGCUUUAGAGACGGCCGCAUUCACGUUAAAUAGGGCACCAUCAAAAUCCGUUGAGACGACACCUUAUGAACUGUGGUUUGGCAAGAAACCAAAGUUCUCGUUUCUUAAAGUUUGGGGCUGCGAUGCUUAUGUAAAGAAACUUCAACCAGAUAAGCUCGAACACAAAUUGGAGAAAUGUGUCUUCAUAGGAUACCCAAAGGAGACUAUUGGGUACACCUUCUAUCACAGAUCUGAGGGCAAGAUUUUCGUUGCUAAAUUCAGAUCCUUUCUAGAGAAGGAGUUUCUCUCGAAAGAAGUGAGUGGGAGGAAAGUAGAACUUGAUGAGAUAACUGUAUCUACUCCCUUGUUGGAAAAUAGUUCGUCACAAGAACCAGUUCCUGUGACAACUACACCAACUAGUGAGGAAGCUAAUGAUAUUGAUCAUGAAACUUCAGAUCAAGUUUCUACUGAACCUCACAGGUCUACCAGAAUAAGAUCCACACCAGAGUGGUACGGUAAUCCUAUUCUGGAAGUCAUGUUACUUGACCAUGAUGAACCUACGAACUAUGAGGAAGCGAUGAUGAGCCCAAAUUCCGCAAAAUGGCUAGAGGCCAUGAAAUUUGAGAUGGGAUCCAUGUACGAAAACAAAGUAUGGACUUUGGUUGACUUGCCCGAUGAUCGGCAAGCCAUUGAGAAUAAAUGGAUUUUUAAGAAGAAGACUGACGCUGAUGGUAAUAUAACUGUCUAUAAAGCUUGACUUGUUGCGAAAGGUUUUCGACAAGUUCAAGGGGUUGACUACGAUGAGACUUUCUCACCCGUAGCGAUGCUUAAGUCUGUCCGAAUCAUGUUAGCUAUUGCUGCAUUUCACGAUUAUGAAAUUUGGCAAAUGGAUGUCAAAACUGCAUUCUUGAAUGGAUUUCUAGAAGAAGAGUUGUAUAUGAUGCAACCAGAAGGUUUUGUUGAUCCAAAAGGUGCUAACAAAGUGUGCAAACUCCAGCGAUCUAUUUAUGGGCUGGUGCAAGCAUCUCGGAGUUGGAAUAAACGUUUUGAUAGUGUGAUCAAAGCAUAUGGUUUUAUACAGACUUUUGGAGAAGCCUGUAUUUACAAGAAAGUGAGUGGGAGCUCUGUAGCAUUUCUGAUUUUAUAUGUAGAUGACAUAUUAUUAAUUGGAAAUGAUAUAGAAUUUCUGGAUAGCAUAAAGGGAUACUUGAAUAAAAGUUUUUCGAUGAAAGACCUCGGUGAAGCUGCUUACAUAUUAGGCAUCAAGAUCUAUAGAGAUAGAUCAAGACGCUUAAUAGGACUUUCACAAAGCACAUACCUUGACAAAAUUUUGAAAAAGUUCAAAAUGGAUCAGGCAAAGAAAGGUUUCUUGCCUGUGCUACAAGGUGUGAAGUUGAGUCAAACUCAAUGCCCGACCAGAGCAGAAGAUAGAGAGAAAAUGAAAGAUGUUCCCUAUGCUUCAGCCAUAGGCUCUAUCAUGUAUGCAAUGCUGUGUACCAGACCUGACAUAUGCUUAGCAAUAAGCUUGGCAGGAAGGUACCAAAGUAAUCCAGGAGUGGAUCACUGGACAUCGGUCAAGAACAUCCUAAAAUACCUGAAAAGGACUAAGGAUAUGUUUCUCGUAUAUGGAGGUGACAAAGAGCUAGUCGUAAAAGGUUACGUCGAUGCAAGCUUUGACACUGAUCCGGACGAUUCUAAAUCGCAAACCGGAUACGUGUUUAUAUUAAACGAUGGAGCUGUAAGUUGGUGCAGUUCUAAACAAAGCGUCGUGGCUGGAUCUACAUGUGAAGCGGAGUACAUAGCUGCUUCUGAAGCAACAAAUGAAGGAGUCUGGAUGAAGGAGUUCAUUAUCGAUCUAGGUGUCAUACCUAGUGCAUCGGACCAAUGAAGAUCUUCUGUGACAAUACUGGUGCAAUUGCUUAGGCAAAGGAAUCCAAAUUUCACAAGAGGACCAAGCUCAUCAAGAGACGCUUAAAUUCCAUUCGGGACCAAGUCCAAGUGGGAGACAUAGAGAUUUGCAAAAUACAUACGGAUCUGAAUGUUGCAGACCCAUUGACUAAGCCUCUCUCACGAGCAAAACAUGAUCAACACCAAAACUCCAUGGGUGUUAGAAUCAUUACUAUGUAAUNNNNNNNNNNNNNNNNNNNNNNNNNNNNNNNNNNNNNNNNNNNNNNNNNNNNNNNNNNNNNNNNNNNNNNNNNNNNNNNNNNNNNNNNNNNNNNNNNNNNNNNNNNNNNNNNNNNNNNNNNNNNNNNNNNNNNNNNNNNNNNNNNNNNNNNNNNNNNNNNNNNNNNNNNNNNNNNNNNNNNNNNNNNNNNNNNNNNNNNNNNNNNNNNNNNNNNNNNNNNNNNNNNNNNNNNNNNNNNNNNNNNNNNNNNNNNNNNNNNNNNNNNNNNNNNNNNNNNNNNNNNNNNNNNNNNNNNNNNNNNNNNNNNNNNNNNNNNNNNNNNNNNNNNNNNNNNNNNNNNNNNNNNNNNNNNNNNNNNNNNNNNNNNNNNNNNNNNNNNNNNNNNNNNNNNNNNNNNNNNNNNNNNNNNNNNNNNNNNNNNNNNNNNNNNNNNNNNNNNNNNNNNNNNNNNNNNNNNNNNNNNNNNNNNNNNNNNNNNNNNNNNNNNNNNNNNNNNNNNNNNNNNNNNNNNNNNNNNNNNNNNNNNNNNNNNNNNNNNNNNNNNNNNNNNNNNNNNNNNNNNNNNNNNNNNNNNNNNNNNNNNNNNNNNNNNNNNNNNNNNNNNNNNNNNNNNNNNNNNNNNNNNNNNNNNNNNNNNNNNNNNNNNNNNNNNNNNNNNNNNNNNNNNNNNNNNNNNNNNNNNNNNNNNNNNNNNNNNNNNNNNNNNNNNNNNNNNNNNNNNNNNNNNNNNNNNNNNNNNNNNNNNNNNNNNNNNNNNNNNNNNNNNNNNNNNNNNNNNNNNNNNNNNNNNNNNNNNNNNNNNNNNNNNNNNNNNNNNNNNNNNNNNNNNNNNNNNNNNNNNNNNNNNNNNNNNNNNNNNNNNNNNNNNNNNNNNNNNNNNNNNNNNNNNNNNNNNNNNNNNNNNNNNNNNNNNNNNNNNNNNNNNNNNNNNNNNNNNNNNNNNNNNNNNNNNNNNNNNNNNNNNNNNNNNNNNNNNNNNNNNNNNNNNNNNNNNNNNNNNNNNNNNNNNNNNNNNNNNNNNNNNNNNNNNNNNNNNNNNNNNNNNNNNNNNNNNNNNNNNNNNNNNNNNNNNNNNNNNNNNNNNNNNNNNNNNNNNNNNNNNNNNNNNNNNNNNNNNNNNNNNNNNNNNNNNNNNNNNNNNNNNNNNNNNNNNNNNNNNNNNNNNNNNNNNNNNNNNNNNNNNNNNNNNNNNNNNNNNNNNNNNNNNNNNNNNNNNNNNNNNNNNNNNNNNNNNNNNNNNNNNNNNNNNNNNNNNNNNNNNNNNNNNNNNNNNNNNNNNNNNNNNNNNNNNNNNNNNNNNNNNNNNNNNNNNNNNNNNNNNNNNNNNNNNNNNNNNNNNNNNNNNNNNNNNNNNNNNNNNNNNNNNNNNNNNNNNNNNNNNNNNNNNNNNNNNNNNNNNNNNNNNNNNNNNNNNNNNNNNNNNNNNNNNNNNNNNNNNNNNNNNNNNNNNNNNNNNNNNNNNNNNNNNNNNNNNNNNNNNNNNNNNNNNNNNNNNNNNNNNNNNNNNNNNNNNNNNNNNNNNNNNNNNNNNNNNNNNNNNNNNNNNNNNNNNNNNNNNNNNNNNNNNNNNNNNNNNNNNNNNNNNNNNNNNNNNNNNNNNNNNNNNNNNNNNNNNNNNNNNNNNNNNNNNNNNNNNNNNNNNNNNNNNNNNNNNNNNNNNNNNNNNNNNNNNNNNNNNNNNNNNNNNNNNNNNNNNNNNNNNNNNNCCUCGGUCAUAUCGUCGCGGAGUUUAGGCGAAGCCCUGCGCCGGUAGAGCAUCAUCAUCGUCACCACGCCGUCGUGCUAACGGAACUCAUCCCCGAAGCUUUGCUGGAUCGGAGCCCGGGGAUAAUCAUCGAGAUGAACGUGUGCUGAACUCGGAGGUGCCGUACGUUCGGUGCUUGGAUCGGUCGGAUCGUGAAGACGUACGACCACAUCAACCGCGUUGUGCUAACGCUUCCGCUUACGGUCUACGAGGGUACAUGGACGAACACUCUCCCCUCUCGUUGCUAUAUCAUCACCAUGAUCUUGCGUGUGCGUAGGAAUUUUUUUUUUGAAAUUACUACGUUCCCCAACACUACUAACUUAGUGAUGGUGACUAGAGAACUCUGUCAAUCACUAUCUUAUCUGGAAGAUUAACUCCCACUUGAUUCAAGCGAUUGUAGUACCCAGACAAUCUGAGCACAUGCUCACUAGUUGAGCGAUUCUCCUUCAUCUUUUAGCAAUAGAACUUGUUGGAGACUUCAUAUCUCUCAACUCGGGUAUUUGUUUGAAAUAUUAACUUCAAUUCCUGGAACAUCUCAUAUGGUCCAUGACGUUCAAAACGUCUUUGAAGUCCCGAUUCUAAGCUGUUAAGCAUGGUGCACUAAACUAUCAAGUAGUCAUCAUAUUGAGCUAGCCAAACAUUCAUAACGUCUGCAUCUGCUCCUGCAAUAGGUUUGUCACCUAGCGGUGCAUCAAUGACAUAAUUCUUCUGCGCAUCAAUGAAGAUAAACCUCAAAUCACGGAUCCAAUCCGCAUCAUUGCUACUAACAUUUUUCAACACAAUUUUCUCUAGGAACAUAUCAAAAUAAACAUAUGAAAGCAACAAUGCAAGCUAUUGAUCUACAACAUAAUUUGCAAAAUACUACCAGGACUAAGUUCAUAAUAAAUUUAAGUUCAAUUAAUCAUAUUACUUAAGAACUCCCACUUAGAAAGACAUCCCUCUAAUCCUCUAAGUGAUCAGGUGAUCCAAAUCAACUAAACCAUAACCGAUCAUCACGUGAAAUGGAGUAGCUUUCAAUGGUGAACAUCAUUAUGUUGAUCAUAUCUACUAUAUGAUUCACGCUCGACCUUUCGGUCUCCGUGUUCCGAGGCCAUAUCUGCAUAUGCUAGGCUCGUCAAGUUUAACCUGAGUAUUCCGCGUGUGCAAAACUGGCUUGCACCCGUUGUAGAUGGACGUAGAGCCUAUCACACCCGAUCAUCACGUGGUGUCUGGGCACGACGAACUUUGGCAACGGUGCAUACUCAGGGAGAACACUUCUUGAUAAUUAGUGAGAGAUCAUCUUAUAAUGCUACCGUCAAACAAAACAGAAUAAGAUGUAUAACAGAUAAACAUCAUAUGCAAUCAAAAUAUGUGACAUGAUAUGGCCAUGAUCAUCUUGCGCCUUUGAUCUCCAUCUCCAAAGUACUUUCAUGAUCUCUAUCGUCACCGGCACGACACCAUGAUCUUCAUCAUCUUGAUCUAUAUCAAUGUGUCGUCACAUGGUCGUCUCGCCAACUAUUGCUCUUGCAACUAUUGCUAUCGCAUAGCGAUAAAGUAAAGCAAUUAUUUGGCACUUGCAUCUUAUGCAACAAAGAGACAACCAUAGAGCUUCUGCCAGUUGCCGAUAACUUCAGCAAAACAUGAUCAUAUCAUACAACAACUUAUAUCUCAUCACGUCUUGACCAUAUCACAUCACAACAUGCCCUGCAAAAAAAAAGUUAGACAUCCUCUACUUUGUUGUUGCAAGUUUUACGUGGCUGCUACGGGCUGAGCAAGAACCGUUCUUACCUACGCAUCAAAACCACAACGAUAGUUCGUCAAGUUGGUGCUGUUUUAACCUUCUCAAGGACCGGGCGUAGCCACACUCGGUUCAACUAAAGUUGGAGAAACUGACACCCGCUAGUCACCUGUGUGCAAAGCACGGCGGUAAAACCAGUCUCGCGUAAGCGUGCGCGUAAUGUCGGUCCAGGCCGCUUCAUCCAACAAUACCGCCGAACCAAAGUAUGACAUGCUGGUAAGCAGUAUGACUUGUAUCGCCCACAACUCACUUGUGUUCUACUCGUGCAUAUAACAUCAACGCAUAAAACCUAGGCUCGGAUGCCACUGUUGGGGAACGUAGUAAUUUCAAAAAAAUAUCCUACGCACACGCAAGAUCAUGGUGAUGCAUAGCAACGAGAGGGGAGAGUGUGUCCACGUACCCUCGUAGACCGUAAGCGGAAGCGUUAUGACAACGCGGUUGAUGUAGUCGUACGUCUUCACGAUCCGACCGAUCCAAGCACCGAACGUAUGGCACCUCCGAGUUCAGCACAUGUUCAGCUCGAUGACGAUCCCCGGGCUCCGAUCCAGCAAAGCUUCGGGGAUGAGUUCCGUCAGCACGACGGCGUGGUGACGAUGAUGAUGUUCUACCGGCGCAGGGCUUCGCCUAAACUCCGCGACNNNNNNNNNNUAGAUUAUUGACUCUAGUGCAAGUGGGAGACUGAAGGAAAUAUGCCCUAGAGGCAAUAAUAAAGUUAUUAUUAAUUUCCUCAUAUCAUGAUAAAUGUUUAUUAUUCAUGCUAGAAUUGUAUUAACCGGAAACAUGAUACAUGUGUGAAUACAUAGACAAACAUAUAGUCACUAGUAUGCCUCUACUUGACUAGCUCAUUAAUCAAAGAUGGUUAUGUUUCCUAACCAUAAACAUGUGUUGUCAUUUGAUUAAUGGGAUCACAUCAUUAGGAGAAUGAUGUGAUUGACAUGACCCAUCCCGUUAGCUUAGCACUUGAUCGAUUAGUAUUCUACUAUUGCUUUCUUCAUGACUUAUACAUGUUCCUGCAACUAUGAGAAAUAUGCAACUCCCGUUUAUCGGAAGAACACUUUGGGUACUACCAAACGUCACAACGUAACUGGGUGAUUAUAAAGGAGUACUACAGGUGUCUCCGAAGGUACAUGUUGAGUUGGCGUAUUUCAAGAUUAGGUUUUGUCACUCCGAUUGUCGGAGAGGUAUCUCUGGGCCCUCUCGGUAAUACUCAUCACUUAAGCCUUGCAAGCAUUAUAACUAAUAAGUUAGUUAUGAGAUGACCUAUUACAAAACGAGUAAAGAGACUUGCCAGUAACGAGAUUGAACUAGGUAUUGGAUACCGACGAUCAAAUCUCGGGCAAGUAACAUACCGAUGACAAAGGGAACAACGUAUGUUGUUAUGCGGUUUGACCGAUAAAGAUCUUCGUAGAAUAUGUAGGAACCAAUAUGGGCAUCCAGGUCCCGCUAUUGGUUAUUGACCGAGAAUGGUUUUAGAUCAUGUCUACAUAGUUCUCGAACCCGUAGGGUCCGCACGCUUAACGUUUUGAUGACAGUUUUAUUAUGAGUUUACAAGUUUUGAUGUACCGAAGUUUGUUCGGAGUCCCGGAUGUGAUCACGGACAUGACGAGGAGUCUCGGAAUGGUCGAGACAUAAAGAUUGAUAUAUUGGAAGCCUAUGUUUGGACAUCAGAAUGGUUCCGGGUGAAAUCGGCAUUUUACCGGAGUACCGGGAGGUUACCGGAACCCCCCGGGGGGUUAAUGGGCCUACAUGGGCCACGAGGGAGAAGAGAGAAGGAGCCAGGAGGGGACCGCGCACCCCUCCCCCUCCUAGUCCGAAUAGGACAAGGGAAGGCGGGCGGCGCCCCCCUUUCCUUCCCCUCUUCCUCCUCUUCCCCCCUUCUCCUAUUCCAACUAGGAAAGAAGGGAGUCCUACUGCCGGUGGGAGUAGGACUCCCCCCUUGGCGCGCCCUCCUUGGCCAGCCACCUCCUCCCCCCUNNNNNNNNNNCAAUGAAGAUAAACCUCAAAUCACGGAUCCAAUCCGCAUCAUUGCUACUAACAUUUUUCAACACAAUUUUCUCUAGGAACAUAUCAAAAUAAACAUAUGAAAGCAACAAUGCAAGCUAUUGAUCUACAACAUAAUUUGCAAAAUACUACCAGGACUAAGUUCAUAAUAAAUUUAAGUUCAAUUAAUCAUAUUACUUAAGAACUCCCACUUAGAAAGACAUCCCUCUAAUCCUCUAAGUGAUCAGGUGAUCCAAAUCAACUAAACCAUAACCGAUCAUCACGUGAAAUGGAGUAGCUUUCAAUGGUGAACAUCAUUAUGUUGAUCAUAUCUACUAUAUGAUUCACGCUCGACCUUUCGGUCUCCGUGUUCCGAGGCCAUAUCUGCAUAUGCUAGGCUCGUCAAGUUUAACCUGAGUAUUCCGCGUGUGCAAAACUGGCUUGCACCCGUUGUAGAUGGACGUAGAGCCUAUCACACCCGAUCAUCACGUGGUGUCUGGGCACGACGAACUUUGGCAACGGUGCAUACUCAGGGAGAACACUUCUUGAUAAUUAGUGAGAGAUCAUCUUAUAAUGCUACCGUCAAACAAAACAGAAUAAGAUGUAUAACAGAUAAACAUCAUAUGCAAUCAAAAUAUGUGACAUGAUAUGGCCAUGAUCAUCUUGCGCCUUUGAUCUCCAUCUCCAAAGUACUUUCAUGAUCUCUAUCGUCACCGGCACGACACCAUGAUCUUCAUCAUCUUGAUCUAUAUCAAUGUGUCGUCACAUGGUCGUCUCGCCAACUAUUGCUCUUGCAACUAUUGCUAUCGCAUAGCGAUAAAGUAAAGCAAUUAUUUGGCACUUGCAUCUUAUGCAACAAAGAGACAACCAUAGAGCUUCUGCCAGUUGCCGAUAACUUCAGCAAAACAUGAUCAUAUCAUACAACAACUUAUAUCUCAUCACGUCUUGACCAUAUCACAUCACAACAUGCCCUGCAAAAAAAAAGUUAGACAUCCUCUACUUUGUUGUUGCAAGUUUUACGUGGCUGCUACGGGCUGAGCAAGAACCGUUCUUACCUACGCAUCAAAACCACAACGAUAGUUCGUCAAGUUGGUGCUGUUUUAACCUUCUCAAGGACCGGGCGUAGCCACACUCGGUUCAACUAAAGUUGGAGAAACUGACACCCGCUAGUCACCUGUGUGCAAAGCACGGCGGUAAAACCAGUCUCGCGUAAGCGUGCGCGUAAUGUCGGUCCAGGCCGCUUCAUCCAACAAUACCGCCGAACCAAAGUAUGACAUGCUGGUAAGCAGUAUGACUUGUAUCGCCCACAACUCACUUGUGUUCUACUCGUGCAUAUAACAUCAACGCAUAAAACCUAGGCUCGGAUGCCACUGUUGGGGAACGUAGUAAUUUCAAAAAAAUAUCCUACGCACACGCAAGAUCAUGGUGAUGCAUAGCAACGAGAGGGGAGAGUGUGUCCACGUACCCUCGUAGACCGUAAGCGGAAGCGUUAUGACAACGCGGUUGAUGUAGUCGUACGUCUUCACGAUCCGACCGAUCCAAGCACCGAACGUAUGGCACCUCCGAGUUCAGCACAUGUUCAGCUCGAUGACGAUCCCCGGGCUCCGAUCCAGCAAAGCUUCGGGGAUGAGUUCCGUCAGCACGACGGCGUGGUGACGAUGAUGAUGUUCUACCGGCGCAGGGCUUCGCCUAAACUCCGCGACAAUAUGACCGAGGUGGAAUAUGGUGGAGGGGGGCACCGCACACGGCUAAGGAACGAUCCGUAGAUCAACUUGUGUUGUUUUGCCUAGAGGUGCCCCCUGCCCCCGUAUAUAAAGGAGCAAGGGGGAGGGGGCGGCCGGCCUAGGAGGGGGCGCGCCAAGGGGAGUCCUACUCCCACCGGGAGUAGGACUCCCUCCUUCCUUGUUGGAGUAGGAGAAGGGGAAAGAGGGGGAGAGGAAGAAGGAAAGGGGGCUGCGCCCCUUGUCCAAUUCGGACCAGAGGGGGGGGAGGGCACAGGCCUCCUUCCUUUUGGCCUCUCUCCUCUAUUCCCGUAUGGCCCAAUAAGGCCCAUAUACUCCCCGGCGAAUUCCCGUAACUCUCCGGUACUCCGAAAAAUACCCGAAUCACUCGGAACCUUUCCGAACUCCGAAUACAGUCGUCCAAUAUAUCGAUCUUUAUGUCUCGACCAUUUCGAGACUCCUUGUCAUGUCCCCGAUCUCAUCCGGGACUCCGAACUCCUUCGGUACAUCAAAACUCAUAAACUCAUAAUAUAACUGUCAUCGAAACCUUAAGCGUGCGGACCCUACGGGUUCGAGAACUAUGUAGACAUGACCUAGAACUAUUCUUGGUCAAUAACCAAUAGCGGAACCUGGAUGCCCAUAUUGGCUCCUACAUAUUCUACGAAGAUCUUUAUCGGUCAAAUCGCAUAACAACAUACUUGUUCCCUUUGUCAUCGGUAUGUUACUUACCCGAGAUUCGAUCGUCGGUAUCCAAUACCUAGUUCAAUCUCGUUACCGGCAAGUCUCUUUAGUCAUUACGUAAUGCAUCAUUCCGUAACUAACUCAUUAGCUACAUUGCUUGCAAGGCUUAUAGUGAUGUGCAUUACCGAGAGGGCCCAGAGAUACUUCUCCGACAAUCGGAGUGACAAAACCUAAUCUCGAAAUACGCCAACCCAACAUGUACCUUUGGAGACACCUAUAGUACUCCUUUAUAAUCACCCAGUUAUGUUGUGACGUUUGGUAGCACCCAAAGUGUUCCUCCGGUAAACGGGAGUUGCAUAAUCUCAUAGUUACAGGAACAUGUAUAAGUCAUGAAGAAAGCAAUAGCAACAUACUAAACGAUCGUGUGCUAAGCUAACGGAAUGGGUCAAGUCAAUCACAUCAUUCUCCUAAUGAUGUGAUCCCGUUAAUCAAAUGACAACUCAUGUCUAUGGUUAGGAAACUUAACCAUCUUUGAUUCACGAGCUAGUCAAGUAGAGGCAUACUAGUGACACUUUGUUUGUCUAUGUAUUCACACAUGUAUCAUGUUUCCGGUUAAUAAGAUUCUAGCAUGAAUAAUAAACAUUUAUCAUGAAAUAAGGAAAUAAAUAAUAACUUUAUUAUUGCCUCUAGGGCAUAUUUCCUUCACGAUGGCCCCUGCUGCUUCAAGGAGAAGAAGCGCGCCCAGAGGUCGAUCAUGGGCUCUACCCCCAGGUACCCCUCGCACAGGGUCACAAAGCCGGAGAGCUGGACGAUGGCACCGGCGCCAAGAUGAUGCGGCUGGAGCCUGAAGAACUCCAAGAACACGCGGAAGAAGGUGCUCGCUGGCAGCCCAAAACCGCGUUCGAAAUGCGUGAGGAAGACGACGCGCUCCUGCCCCUCGGGCCGGGGCCUCUGCUCGCCGCGCGGCAGGCGGACGUCAACGUCCGUCUCCCGCGGCAGGAGCCGCGAAGCUCGAAGAUGGGUGAUGUCAUCGGUGGCGACAAUCGAGCCCAUCCAGGAGCCCAACGACAGCGGCAUGGACAGAAGAAGAAGAGAGAGGAUGGACGAUGGAGGAAGCUCUACUCGGUGCUGUGGGCGUAGCUGUGCGUCGGUGGCAAAGAGCAGAGCAGGAGCAUGGGGACAGGAGGGCGCGAGCGAGAAUGGUGUCCGCCGCCCCCUUGCCCGCUCAAUUUAUAACCCUUGGUUCAAACGUGGGGAAGUGGGAUCGUCUGCACGCACCCGUUCCAGUACCCUGCAAUAAGUGCGCACGUACACGCGCAGUAACUGCCCGGGGAAGAGCAACCAACCCCCGGAUGCUACAAUAAAUCCGCGCGCGUGGGCCAAGGGUGCGCGACGGCGGGCCCCGGCCCAUCGCCCGGUCCCGUCAUGCGCGUGGCCUGUCAUGCCCCUCUGGCUUCUGGGCACCACCUGGCGCCUGCNNNNNNNNNNCCCAUGCCUAUGGUUAGCCAGACACUACUAGGGAAAACCUUAUACACAGAAUCUUACCAGUAGCGCGUGUUAAAAUGAGGCGCUACUGCUACUUAGCAGUAGCGCGUCUGCCAAAACCGCGCUACUGUUACCCCCUUAGCAGUAGCGCGACAGGAAAAGAACGCGCUACUACUAUAAUUGCCACACCGUUCCCGACUAGCUAGGUAUAGUAGUAGCGCCCUUCUGGAAAUGGCGCUACUACUACGGAUUUUAGCAGCAGCGUGUUUUUCCUCCCCACGCUACUGUUAAAGCUAUUUUCACCUAACCCCCCGCGCGGCCUGAUUCCCUCUCCUCUGCUUCCUCCCCCAAUUCCCCACUCUCUCUUCUCCCCCUCGUCGCCCCCGCCUCGCCGCCGUCUCCCCCGACCCUGCCUUGCGGCCGUCUCCCCCGCCCGCCUCGCCACCGUCUCCCCCGGCCCCGCCUCGCCGCUGUCUCCCNNNNNNNNNNNNNNNNNNNNNNNNNNNNNNNNNNNNNNNNNNNNNNNNNNNNNNNNNNNNNNNNNNNNNNNNNNNNNNNNNNNNNNNNACCCUGCCUCGCAGCCGUCUCCCCCGACCCCGCCUCGCCGCGCGUCGGUGCUGCCGUCUCCCCUGACCCCAUCUCUCUCCCCGCCCUCUGUAAGCACUCUCCCCUUCCCAUCCCUCUUGUUUGCUUAGUAUGAACCCUAGCUAUUUAGUGCUAGUUAGUAUGAACCCUAGGCUAUUUUUAGUGCUAGUUAGUUAAUCACAAUUAGUAUUAACCCUAUUUAAUUAGGGCAGUAGUUCCUAGGUACUAAUUAGUUAGUAAGAACUAGGUACAUAGGAAAUGUCUGACGAUGAAAAGGACUUCGGUAUUUGCAAAUACUGCGAAGACGAGCGCGGCCUGUGCGAUGGAAUCUUCCUAGAUGAUGAUAGGCGCUUCAGCAUCAAGCUGGACGAGAACUUCGAAGUGGAUACAGUAAGUCAUAACGACAAGUCUUUUUUCGUAAUUAAGCAUGACAUAUGCUUCAUUUGCUUCAACUUAUAAUUUGUUUUUACUAUUCUACUAGCGUAUCCCCUGCCAUGCAAGAGUUUUUGUAUUGGAUAAGAUAGGUUGCAGUUGUACUAUGGAGGUAAAGAAAUUUUACUUGAAGACUGAGCAUGGUUAUAUUUUCCACACAAAAUUAUACAAUUCAGACGACUACACCUAUUUUGGAUGCAAAACAUGGCGAGCACUAUGCAAGACUUAUGCAUUUGAGCCUGAUAUGGUUAUCACCUUUGAUAUUCGUCCGGAAGAUGAUAUUGAAGGUAAUACCGACAUCUGGGUCGAUGUGCAGAUGCCUCCAGUUAUACCAAAAUGUGAGUUUCUCAACCAUAUUUAUGUCUUUGAUAUUGUUUAUUCAAAAAUAGUUGACAAUUAAUUUCUAUUGAUAGCUUAUUUCGGUGCGAGCAAACAUGUCCAGCGCUUGGUAGACAGGACCGUAUACUGUGCCGGGGCUGAACUCAACUGCGAGGAGCUCAGUCAUUAUGUUUCAUGGCUUGCGGAUCUUGAUACUGUCAAGACAAAUUUUCUUCCUGCAUUUAGAAAUGUUAGUACUGAAAACGUGCGACCAAUAGUGUUCGUAAUGAACUACAGUCACAUCUAUUUAGGAAGGAUGGUAAGAUUUUUAAUAUUUGUCCUCAGUGCAUCUUUUCCAUACAUUAUUUUUGAAGCUAAACUUCAUUGCUAAGUAUGUUACCAUACGAUGUUCUUCAACAAGGAGUCCCGAUGAAUGUUGUGCCUUAUGGGAUCGAGACUAAAGGUACCAUGAGUAUUAUUAGCUUACGGCCAAGAUAUCCUACAGAUUACUUUAAUGCAUUCAAGAUUAGCGAUGGAUGCUUAAUAGUGCAAGACUNNNNNNNNNNGGGCACAGGCCUCCUUCCUUUUGGCCUCUCUCCUCUAUUCCCGUAUGGCCCAAUAAGGCCCAUAUACUCCCCGGCGAAUUCCCGUAACUCUCCGGUACUCCGAAAAAUACCCGAAUCACUCGGAACCUUUCCGAACUCCGAAUACAGUCGUCCAAUAUAUCGAUCUUUAUGUCUCGACCAUUUCGAGACUCCUUGUCAUGUCCCCGAUCUCAUCCGGGACUCCGAACUCCUUCGGUACAUCAAAACUCAUAAACUCAUAAUAUAACUGUCAUCGAAACCUUAAGCGUGCGGACCCUACGGGUUCGAGAACUAUGUAGACAUGACCUAGAACUAUUCUUGGUCAAUAACCAAUAGCGGAACCUGGAUGCCCAUAUUGGCUCCUACAUAUUCUACGAAGAUCUUUAUCGGUCAAAUCGCAUAACAACAUACUUGUUCCCUUUGUCAUCGGUAUGUUACUUACCCGAGAUUCGAUCGUCGGUAUCCAAUACCUAGUUCAAUCUCGUUACCGGCAAGUCUCUUUAGUCAUUACGUAAUGCAUCAUUCCGUAACUAACUCAUUAGCUACAUUGCUUGCAAGGCUUAUAGUGAUGUGCAUUACCGAGAGGGCCCAGAGAUACUUCUCCGACAAUCGGAGUGACAAAACCUAAUCUCGAAAUACGCCAACCCAACAUGUACCUUUGGAGACACCUAUAGUACUCCUUUAUAAUCACCCAGUUAUGUUGUGACGUUUGGUAGCACCCAAAGUGUUCCUCCGGUAAACGGGAGUUGCAUAAUCUCAUAGUUACAGGAACAUGUAUAAGUCAUGAAGAAAGCAAUAGCAACAUACUAAACGAUCGUGUGCUAAGCUAACGGAAUGGGUCAAGUCAAUCACAUCAUUCUCCUAAUGAUGUGAUCCCGUUAAUCAAAUGACAACUCAUGUCUAUGGUUAGGAAACUUAACCAUCUUUGAUUCACGAGCUAGUCAAGUAGAGGCAUACUAGUGACACUUUGUUUGUCUAUGUAUUCACACAUGUAUCAUGUUUCCGGUUAAUAAGAUUCUAGCAUGAAUAAUAAACAUUUAUCAUGAAAUAAGGAAAUAAAUAAUAACUUUAUUAUUGCCUCUAGGGCAUAUUUCCUUCACGAUGGCCCCUGCUGCUUCAAGGAGAAGAAGCGCGCCCAGAGGUCGAUCAUGGGCUCUACCCCCAGGUACCCCUCGCACAGGGUCACAAAGCCGGAGAGCUGGACGAUGGCACCGGCGCCAAGAUGAUGCGGCUGGAGCCUGAAGAACUCCAAGAACACGCGGAAGAAGGUGCUCGCUGGCAGCCCAAAACCGCGUUCGAAAUGCGUGAGGAAGACGACGCGCUCCUGCCCCUCGGGCCGGGGCCUCUGCUCGCCGCGCGGCAGGCGGACGUCAACGUCCGUCUCCCGCGGCAGGAGCCGCGAAGCUCGAAGAUGGGUGAUGUCAUCGGUGGCGACAAUCGAGCCCAUCCAGGAGCCCAACGACAGCGGCAUGGACAGAAGAAGAAGAGAGAGGAUGGACGAUGGAGGAAGCUCUACUCGGUGCUGUGGGCGUAGCUGUGCGUCGGUGGCAAAGAGCAGAGCAGGAGCAUGGGGACAGGAGGGCGCGAGCGAGAAUGGUGUCCGCCGCCCCCUUGCCCGCUCAAUUUAUAACCCUUGGUUCAAACGUGGGGAAGUGGGAUCGUCUGCACGCACCCGUUCCAGUACCCUGCAAUAAGUGCGCACGUACACGCGCAGUAACUGCCCGGGGAAGAGCAACCAACCCCCGGAUGCUACAAUAAAUCCGCGCGCGUGGGCCAAGGGUGCGCGACGGCGGGCCCCGGCCCAUCGCCCGGUCCCGUCAUGCGCGUGGCCUGUCAUGCCCCUCUGGCUUCUGGGCACCACCUGGCGCCUGCACGAAGCCCGAGGGAUUGCCUCAAGAUUCAGCGGAAUCCUCGGUUCCCACCACAGCCGGGAUGCCGCGAUCCGGUUUCCCAGAAAACCGGCACACAGUGGGUGUUGCCGGAUCCGGCGCUCGCAGAAUCCACCUUGCUCAAGGGGGAAACUGCGAAGGCCCACUCAUCCGAAGACGGUGGACCUUCAUAGCUUCGGGGACUACUAUCAGGGGGAUGAACCCCGGGCAGGCAACAGAACCUGGAUCCUUUUCAAAAAUGGCGGGGCCCACAUCGCCCUGCAAACCGGCACGCGCCUGGCCGGGUCGCUCGACCCGGCAAGGCCUGCAACCCGGCCAAGCUCUUCGACUCGGCAAGCUACAUUGACCUGGCCACAACAACUAGCGCAAGACAACCCAACCCGGCGCCACCAAGGCUUCCCCAACAAGCCGAACCCACCUGUGCCGUGCACGACAACCCAGCGACGGGUCAGAUCCCGUCCCAUCCAAGCCGUACGAUGGGACGAGGCUUCAAUCACCUAUGACCAAGACUACAGUCCUUCCACCCAUGCCUAUGGUUAGCCAGACACUACUAGGGAAAACCUUAUACACAGAAUCUUACCAGUAGCGCGUGUUAAAAUGAGGCGCUACUGCUACUUAGCAGUAGCGCGUCUGCCAAAACCGCGCUACUGUUACCCCCUUAGCAGUAGCGCGACAGGAAAAGAACGCGCUACUACUAUAAUUGCCACACCGUUCCCGACUAGCUAGGUAUAGUAGUAGCGCCCUUCUGGAAAUGGCGCUACUACUACGGAUUUUAGCAGCAGCGUGUUUUUCCUCCCCACGCUACUGUUAAAGCUAUUUUCACCUAACCCCCCGCGCGGCCUGAUUCCCUCUCCUCUGCUUCCUCCCCCAAUUCCCCACUCUCUCUUCUCCCCCUCGUCGCCCCCGCCUCGCCGCCGUCUCCCCCGACCCUGCCUUGCGGCCGUCUCCCCCGCCCGCCUCGCCACCGUCUCCCCCGGCCCCGCCUCGCCGCUGUCUCCCNNNNNNNNNNNNNNNNNNNNNNNNNNNNNNNNNNNNNNNNNNNNNNNNNNNNNNNNNNNNNNNNNNNNNNNNNNNNNNNNNNNNNNNNNNNNNNNNNNNNNNNNNNNNNNNNNNNNNNNNNNNNNNNNNNNNNNNNNNNNNNNNNNNNNNNNNNNNNNNNNNNNNNNNNNNNNNNNNNNNNNNNNNNNNNNNNNNNNNNNNNNNNNNNNNNNNNNNNNNNNNNNNNNNNNNNNNNNNNNNNNNNNNNNNNNNNNNNNNNNNNNNNNNNNNNNNNNNNNNNNNNNNNNNNNNNNNNNNNNNNNNNNNNNNNNNNNNNNNNNNNNNNNNNNNNNNNNNNNNNNNNNNNNNNNNNNNNNNNNNNNNNNNNNNNNNNNNNNNNNNNNNNNNNNNNNNNNNNNNNNNNNNNNNNNNNNNNNNNNNNNNNNNNNNNNNNNNNNNNNNNNNNNNNNNNNNNNNNNNNNNNNNNNNNNNNNNNNNNNNNNNNNNNNNNNNNNNNNNNNNNNNNNNNNNNNNNNNNNNNNNNNNNNNNNNNNNNNNNNNNNNNNNNNNNNNNNNNNNNNNNNNNNNNNNNNNNNNNNNNNNNNNNNNNNNNNNNNNNNNNNNNNNNNNNNNNNNNNNNNNNNNNNNNNNNNNNNNNNNNNNNNNNNNNNNNNNNNNNNNNNNNNNNNNNNNNNNNNNNNNNNNNNNNNNNNAACGACAAGUCUUUUUUCGUAAUUAAGCAUGACAUAUGCUUCAUUUGCUUCAACUUAUAAUUUGUUUUUACUAUUCUACUAGCGUAUCCCCUGCCAUGCAAGAGUUUUUGUAUUGGAUAAGAUAGGUUGCAGUUGUACUAUGGAGGUAAAGAAAUUUUACUUGAAGACUGAGCAUGGUUAUAUUUUCCACACAAAAUUAUACAAUUCAGACGACUACACCUAUUUUGGAUGCAAAACAUGGCGAGCACUAUGCAAGACUUAUGCAUUUGAGCCUGAUAUGGUUAUCACCUUUGAUAUUCGUCCGGAAGAUGAUAUUGAAGGUAAUACCGACAUCUGGGUCGAUGUGCAGAUGCCUCCAGUUAUACCAAAAUGUGAGUUUCUCAACCAUAUUUAUGUCUUUGAUAUUGUUUAUUCAAAAAUAGUUGACAAUUAAUUUCUAUUGAUAGCUUAUUUCGGUGCGAGCAAACAUGUCCAGCGCUUGGUAGACAGGACCGUAUACUGUGCCGGGGCUGAACUCAACUGCGAGGAGCUCAGUCAUUAUGUUUCAUGGCUUGCGGAUCUUGAUACUGUCAAGACAAAUUUUCUUCCUGCAUUUAGAAAUGUUAGUACUGAAAACGUGCGACCAAUAGUGUUCGUAAUGAACUACAGUCACAUCUAUUUAGGAAGGAUGGUAAGAUUUUUAAUAUUUGUCCUCAGUGCAUCUUUUCCAUACAUUAUUUUUGAAGCUAAACUUCAUUGCUAAGUAUGUUACCAUACGAUGUUCUUCAACAAGGAGUCCCGAUGAAUGUUGUGCCUUAUGGGAUCGAGACUAAAGGUACCAUGAGUAUUAUUAGCUUACGGCCAAGAUAUCCUACAGAUUACUUUAAUGCAUUCAAGAUUAGCGAUGGAUGCUUAAUAGUGCAAGACUAGACCAAAUAUAUGAUGGGGGAGCGCAGAGAAGUACUAGGGGGCAGCAAACAGAUGCGCUACCCACGGUUAGGAGAUAGGUUCAUCUGCAUGCUCCAACUUGAUCAAGGAGGAGAGGUAUACAUGUUUUAUGUUAUUUUACGUGCGAGAGAGCAGCAGGAGUGAUUAGCUAGCUAGAAAUGAGUUUGAAGAUGAUGAUGUGCUACACUAUUACUAUGAUGAUAAAAUAGCUAGUGUUGGUGGUAAUGACUAUGAUGAUUAUUAUUAGCUAGCGUUAGUGGUGAUUAAAUAAAUAUUGUUGGUGAUAAUGACUAUGAUGAUGAUUAAAUAGCUUGUGCUGGCGGAUUAGAUUCAAGUGGAGGCAACAUGUAGUGCACAUCGAAAGUACUACUAGUCCAAACUAGAUCAAGUUUGGAUUAGUAGUAUACUUUUGACAUGCACCACAUAUUGCCUCCACUUGAACCUAAUCCACCUUCAUUUGACACACUGUUAUGGACAUAAUGAUGUAAACCUCAUAACUGGUAUUGUACCAAUAUUUGUACGAUAGAGAGAAAACCGCAUAAAUACAGUAAAAAAAAUGAAUACUAGUAGCGAUGGAGAGAAAACGCGCCGCCACUAGUUUCAUUAGCAGUAGCGUGGGGUUGAACAAACGCUGCAGCUAGUUGUCCUAGCAGUAGCACACGCCGGCACACGUUACUACUAAGCAAUAGUUGUAGCGCCUUAUUAGUAGCACGCCUACCUGCGCUACUAGUGAGCACAAAACCAGCGCUACUAGUGAGCACAAAACCAGCGCUACUGCUAGGGUUUUCCCUAGUAGUGAGAGCAUGGCAACAGUGCCCCUUACCUACCCGCUGACCGAGGCUGGCGUGGCAAUAGUGCUCCCGCCUUCGCCGCUAACGGCAGCAAGCGGCAACCUAACGGAGAGCAUUGUACAUGACUCGACUCGGCCACGCCCUGACGAUUGAUAAGACGGCGAAUAGUUCCCCUAGGCACGCGGGGCCUGCACCUAGGGGAACCCAGCAAACCACAAGCCCUCAAGCGGGACCCAGCCCAGUAUCCCGGACACCGAUAAUACGGACCCACCGACUCGGCGUAUUACCAUUGUAACCCUGGGUGGGUUGAUCUAUAAACCCCCCCAGGAACCCACGCCUACAGAGAGAGGCACAUGUAUGAGACACGAGAGAAACACAAGCAAGCAUAGGACUAGCCACCCAACGCCAGCACCGGAGAGAAGGAGCAGCCCAAGCCUUGUCCAGCUUCCUUCCUCCUCAUACAGCUCCAGGAGCAACAUUGUACUAUCGAUCAUCCAACUAAACUCGGCAGGACUAGGGGUAUUAUCUCUCCGGAGAGCCCCGAACCUGGGUAUGUGCGGCGUCCCACGCCCGCGCAUGCCAACCUCGCCUCUAGAUCCCACCAGCACCUCGGGCCUCCUCCUCUCUUUAGCCAUCCCUUGGCAAACAGGUAUAGUAGGUUAAUUAGGUGAAGUUAAGUGAAUAACCUAAAUGAAUGAAAUUAGUAGUUAACUGUUUUUUUCCUUUCAUCAUUAUUGAGCACUAAAGUAAACUGAAUUUUGUUCUAUUAGUAGUUAAAUGAGUUUUUUUUCUACACUUAGUUUUUGAAUUAGUUUGUGAAAUUUGGACAUGUGGUUGCUCGUGUAUAUUUGGACAUGUGUUGCAGUGUCGAAGAUGGAUAUUUGAACACUGUUUCCAGGGAAUGAAGCCGAGUGGCCUAUGUUUUGCUGGAAUGUUGAUUCAUUUGUUGGAGGAACGUAGCAGAAAUUCGAAAUUUUCCUACGAGUCAUCAAGAUCUAUCUAUGGAGAAACUAGCAACGAAGGUAAGGAGAGUGCAUCUACAUACCCUUGUAGAUCGCUAAGCGGAAGCAUUCAAGAGAACGGGGUUGAAGGAGUCGUACUCGUCGUGAUCCAAAUCACCGGAGAUCCUAGUGCCGAACGGACGGCACCUCCGCAUUCAACACACGUACGGCCCGGUGACGUCUCCCACGCCUUGAUCCAGCAAGGAGAGAGGGAGAGAUUGGGGAAGACUUCGUCCAGCAGCAGCACGACGGCGUGGUGGUGGAGGAGUGUGGCAAUCCUGCAAGGCUUCGCCAAGCACCGCGGGAGAGGAGUACUUGGGAGAGGGGGAGGGCUGCGGCAGAACUUGGGGUGCGGCUGCCCUCCCACCCCUCCACUAUUUAUAGGUGGGGAGAGAAGGGGGCCGGCCCCCCUAGAUCCCAUCUAGGGUUGGGGGCGGCGGCCAAGGGGGGGAGGAGUGCCUCCCAAGUCAAGUGGAGGCCCUCCCCCUUAGGGUUUCCCCUCUCCCAUGCGCAUGGGCCUUGGGGGGGCUGGUGCCCCUGGCCCAUUAAGGCUAGGGCGCCCCCUUACAGCCCAUGCUGCUGUAUUGGACAUGGUGGAACAAUUUCCGGACCUCCGGACCCCUCCGGAAUCCUUCGGAACCUUCUGGAAGCUUCCCGGUACAAUACCAGAAAAACUCGAACUUUUCCCGGAACCCGAACAACAACUUUCCAUAUAUAAAUCUUUACCUCCGAACCAUUCCGGAACUCCUUGUGAUGUCCAGGAUCUCAUCUGGGACUCCGAACAACAUUCGUUAACCACAUACAAAUUUCCUUUAUAACCCUAGCGUCAUCGAACCUUAAGUGUGUAGACCCUACGGGUUCGGGAACCAUGCAGACAUGACCGAGACGUUCUCCGGUCAAUAACCAAUAGCGGGAUCUGGAUACCCAUGUUGGCUCCCACAUGUUCCAUGAUGAUCUCAUCGGAUGAACCACGAUGUCGAGGAAUCAAUCAACCCCGUAUACAAUUCCCUUUGUCUAGCGGUAUUGUACUUGCCCGAGAUUCGAUCGUCGGUAUCCCAAUACCUUGUUCAAUCUCGUUACUGGCAAGUCUCUUUACUCGUUCCGUAACACAUCAUCCCGUGAUCAACCCCUUGGUCACAUUAUGCACAUUAUGAUGAUGUCCUACCGAGUGGGCCCAGAGAUACCUCUCCGUCAACCAGAGUGACAAAUCCCAGUCUCGAUUCGUGCCAACCCAACAGACACUUUCGGAGAUACCCGUAGUUCACCUUUAUAGCCACCCAGUUACGUUGUGACGUUUGGUACACCCAAAGCAUUCCUAAGCUAUCCGGGAGUUGCACAAUCUCAUGGUCGAAGGAAAUCAUACUUGACAUUAGAAAAGCUUUAGCAUACGAACUACACGAUCUUUGUGCUAGGCUAGGAUUGGGUCUUGUCCAUCACAUCAUUCUCCUAAUGAUGUGAUCCCGUUAUCAACGACAUCCAAUGUCCAUGGUCAGGAAACUGUAACCAUCUAUUGAUCAACAAGCUAGUCAAUUAGAGGCUUACUAGGGACAUGGUGUUGUCUAUGUACCCACACAUGUAUCUGAGUUUCCUAUCAAUACAAUUAUAGCAUGGAUAAUAAAUGAUUAUCAUGAACAAGGAAAUAUAAUAAUAAUAACUAAUUUAUUAUUGCCUCUAGGGCAUAUUUCCAACACUCUCCCACUUGCACUAGAGUCAAUAAUCUAGUUCACAUGGCCAUGUGAUUAAAACUGAUAGGUCACAUCGCCAUGUGACCAACAUCCAAAGAGUUUACUAGUGUCACUAAACUAGUUCACAUCACCAUGUGAUUAAGACUCAAUGUGUUCUGGGGUUUGAUCUUGUUUUGCUUGUGAGAGAGGUUUUAGUCAACGGGUCUGCAACAUCCAGAUCCGUAUGUAUUUUGCAAAUCUCUAGGUCAUAUUGUAAAUACUGCUUCCACGCUCCACUUUGAGCUAUUCCAAAUGGUUGCUCCACUAUACGUAUCCGGUUUGCUACUCGGAGUCACUCGGAUAGGUGUUAAAGCUUGCAUCGACAUAACCGUUUACGCCGAACUCUUUAUCACCUCCAUAAUCGAGAAACAUGUCCUUAUUUACUCCAAGGACAAUUUUGACCGCUGUCCAAUGAUCCAUUCCUGGAUCAUUCUUGUACCCCUUGACUGACUCAUAGCAAGGCACACUUCCGGUGCGGUACAUAGCAUAGAAUACUAUAGAGCCUACGUCUGAAGCAUAGGGGAUGACCUUCGUCCUUUCUCUCUCUUCUGCCGUGGUCGAGCUUUAAGUCUUAACUUCAUACCUUACAACUCAGGCAAGAACUCCUUCUUUGACUGAUUCAUCUUGAACACCUUCAAGAUCAUGUCAAGGUAUGUGCUCAUUUGAAAGUACCAUUUAGCGGUUUUUGUUCUAUCCUCAUAGAUCUUGAUGCUCAAUGUUCAAGCAGCUUAAUCCAGGUUUUCUAUUGAAAAACACCUUUCAAACAACCCUAUAUGCUUUCCAGAAAUUCUACAUCAUUUCCGAUCAACAAUAUGUCAACAACAUAUACUCAUCAGAAAUGCUAUAGUGCUCCCACUCACUUCUUUGGAAAUACAAGUUUCUCAUAAACUUUGUAUAAACCCAAAAUCUUUGAUCAUCUCAUCAAAGCGUAUAUUCCAACUCCUAGAUGCUUACUCCAGUCCUUAGAAGGAUUGCUGGAGCUUUGCAUACUUGUUAGCAUCUUUCAGGAUUGACAAAACCUUCUGGUUGUAACACAUACAACCUUUCCUCAAGAAUGUCGAGGAAACAAUGUUUUGACAUCCUAUCUGCAAGAUUUCAUAAAUCAUGCAAUAACUUCUAAUCCAAUUCCAACAGACUCUUAGCAUCGCUACGAGUGAGGAAGCUUCACCGUAGUCAACUCCUUGAACUUGUCGGAAAACAUCUUAACGACAAGUCGAGCUUUCUUAAUGGUGAUACUUACCAUCAUUGUCCGUCUUUCUUUUAAAAUCCAUCUGUACCCAACAGCCUUACGAACAUCAAGUACUUCUUCCAAAGUCCACACUUUGUUUUCAUACAUGGACCCUCUCUCGGAUUUUAUGGCCUCUAGCCAUUUGUCGGAAUCCGGGCCCACCAUCGCUUCUCCAUAGCUCGUAGGUUCAUUGUUGUCUAGCAACAUGACUUCCAAGACAGGAUUACUGUACCACUCUGAAGUAGUACGCAUCCUCGUCACCCUACGAGGUACGGUAGUGACUUGAUCCGAAGUUUCAUGAUCACUAUCAUAAGCUUCUACUUCAAUUGGUGUAGGUGCCACAGGAACAACUUCCUGUGCCCUGCUACAACUAAUUGUAGUGACGGUUCAAUAACCAUAUCAAGUCUCCACCAUCCGCCCACUCAAUUUUUCGAGACAAACUUUUCCUCGAGAAAGGACCCGAUUCAAGAAACAAUCCCUAUUGCUUUCGGAUAUGAAUUAGGAGGUAUACCCAACUGUUUUGGGUGUCCUAUGAAGAUGCAUUUUAUCUGCUUUGGAUUCGAGCUUAUCAACCUGAAACCUUUUCACAUAAGCGUCGCAGCCCCAAACUUUUAAGAAACGACAACUCAGGUUUCUCCAAACCAUAGUUCAAACGGUGUCGUCUCAACGGAAUUAUGUGGUGCCCUAUUAAAGUGAGCGCGGUUGUCUCUAAUGCCUAACCCAUGAAUGAUAGUGGUAAUUCGAUGAGAGACAUCAUGGUACGCACCAUAUCCAAUAGGGUGCAACUAUGAUGUUCGGACACACCAUCACACUAUGGUGUUCCAGGCGGUAUUAAUUGUGAAACAAUUUCCAUAGUGUCUUAAUUGCGUGCCAAAGCUCGUAACUCAGAUACUCAUCUCUAUGUUCAUAUCAUAGACAUUUUAUCCCCUUGUCACGAUGAUCUUCAACUUCACUUUGAAAUUACUUGAACCAUUCAAUAAUUCAGACUUGUGUUUCGUCAAGUAAAUAUACUCGACAUCUACUCGAAUCAUCUGUGAAGUAAGAACAUAACGAUAUUCACUCCAUGCCUCAUCACUCAUUGGACUGCACACAUAAAAAAUGUGUUACUUCCAACAAGUUGCUAUAUUGUUCCAUCUUACUGAAAACGAGGCUUUUCAGUCAUCUUGCCCUUGUGGUAUGAUUUGCAUAUCUCAAGUGAUUCAAAAUCAAGUGAGUCCAAACGAUCCAUCUGCAUGGAGUUUCAUCAUGCGUAUACACCAGUAGACAUGGUUCACAUGUCUCAAACUUUUCAAAAACGAGUGAGUCCAAAGAUCCAUCAACAUGGAGCUUCUUCAUGCGUUUUAUACCAAUAUGACUUACAUGGCAGUGCCACAAGUAAGUGGUACUAUCAUUACUAUCUUAUAUUUUUUGCAUGAAAAUGUGUAUCACUACGAUCGAGAUUCAAUAAACCAUUCUUUUAGGUGCAAGACCAUUGAAGGUAUUAUUCAAAUAAACAGAGUAACCAUUAUUCUCCUUAAAUGAAUAACCGUAUUGCAAUAGACAUAAUCCAAUCAUGUCUAUGCUCAACGCAAACACCAAAUAACAAUUAUUUUGGUUUAACACCAAUCUCAAUGGUAGAGGGAGCGUGCGAUGCUUGAUCACAUCAACCUUGGAAACACUUCCAACACAUAUCGUCAGUUCACCUUUAGGUAGUCUCCGUUUAUUCCGUAGCUUUUAUUUCGAGUUACUAACACUUAGCAACCGGACCGGUAUCUAAUACCUUGGUGCUACUAGGAGUACUAGUAAAGUACACAUUAACAUGAUGUAUAUCAAAUAUACUUCAGUCGACCUUGCCUGCCCUCUUAUCUACCAAGUAUCUAGGGUGGUUCUGCUUUAGUGUCCGUUCCUCUCAUUACAAAAGCACUUAGUCUUGGGUUUGGGUUCAACGUUGGUUUUUUUCCAGAGCAGCAACUAUUUUGCCGUUUCAUGAAGCAUCCCUUCUUGCCCUUGCCUUUCUUAAAACUAGUGGUUUUACUAACCAAUUGAUGCUCCUACUUGACUUCUACUUUCAUGGUGUCAAACAUCGCGAAUACUGCAAGGAUCAUCAUAUCUAUCCCUGAUAUGUUAUAGUUCAUCACGAAGCUCUAGUAGCUUGGUGGCAAUGACUUUGGAGAAACAUUACUAUCUCAUCUGGGAGAUUAACUCCCACUCGAUUCAAGUGAUUGUUGUACCCAGACAAUCUGAGUACAAGCUCAACGAUUGACCUUUUCUCCCUUAGUCUGCAGGCUAAGAAUCUCGUCGGAGGUCUUAUACCUCUUGACGUGGGCACGAGCCUGAAAUUCCAAUUCAGCCCUCGAAACAUCUCAUAUGUUCUACGACGUUUCGAAAUCGUCUUUGGUGCCUCAACUCUAUACCGUUUAACUGAACUAUCACGUAGUUAUCAAAAUGUGUAUGUCAGAUGUUCGAAACAUCCACAGACGACGUUCGAGGUUCAGCACACCGAGCGGUGCAUUAAGGACAUAAGCCUUCUACUGUCCGCAUAAUUGCUACUGUCAACUUUCAACUAUAUUUUCUCUAGGAACAUAUCUAAAACAGUAGAACUAAAGCGCGAGCUAUGACAUAAUUUGCAAAGGGUUUUUGACUAUGUUCAGGAUAAUUAAAUUCAUCUUAUGAACUCCCACUCAGAUAGACAUCCCUCCAGUCAUCUAAGUGAUUACAUGAUCCGAGUCAACUAGGACGUGUACGAUCAUCACGUGAGACGGACUAGUCAUCAUCGGUGAACAUCUUCAUGUUGAUCGUAUCCACCAUAAGACUCAUGCUCGACCUUUUGGUCUCUUGUGUUCCGAGGCCAUGUCUGUACAUGCUAGGCUCGUCAAGUUAACCUAAGUGUUUCACGUGUGUAAAUCUGGCUUACACCCGUUGUAUGUGAACGUUAGAAUCUGUCACACCCGAUCAUCACGUGGUGCUUCGAAACGACGAACUUUUGCAAUGGUGCACAGUUAGGGGGAACACUUUCUUGAAAUUUUAAUGAGGGAUCAUCUUAUUUACUACCGUCAUUCUAAGCAAAUAAGAUGUAUAAACAUGAUAAACAUCACAUGCAAUCAAAUAGUGACAUGAUAUGGCCAAUAUCAUUUUGCUCCUUUUGAUCUCCAUCUUCGGGGCUCCAUGAUCAUCAUCGUCACCGGCAUGACACCAUGAUCUCCAUCACCGUGUCUUCAUGAAGUUGUCUCGCCAACUAUUACUUCUACUACUAUGGCUACCGGUUAGCAAUAAAGUAAAGUAAUUACAUGGCGUUGUUUAAUGACACGCAUGUCAUACAAUAAAUUAAGACAACUCCUAUGGAUCCUGCUGGUUGUCAUACUCAUCGACAUGCAAGUCGUGAUUCCUAUUACAAGAACAUGAUCAAUCUCAUACAUCACAUAUCAUUCAUCACAUUCUUUUUGGCCAUAUCACAUCACAUAGCAUACCCUGCAAAAACAAGUUAGACGUCCUCUAAUUGUUGUUGCAAGUUUUUACGUGUCUGCUAUAGGUUUCUAGCAAGAACGUUUCUUACCUAUGCCAAAACCACAACGUGAUAUGCCAAUUGCUAUUUACCCUUCAUAAGGACCCUUUUCAUCGAAUCCGAUCCGACUAAAGUGGGAGAGACUGGCACCCGCUAGCCACCUUAUGCAACAAGUGCAUGUCAGUCGGUGGAACUUGUCUCACGUAAGUGUACGUGUAAGGUCGGUCUGGGCUGCUUCAUCCCACAAUACCGCUGAAUCAAGAUUGGACUAGUAACAUUAAGCAUAUUGAACAAAAUCAACGCCCACAACUACUUUGUGUUCUACUCAUGCAAAGAAUCCACGCAAUAGACCUAGCUCAUGAUGCCACUGUUGGAGGAACGUAGCAGAAAUUCAAAAUUUUCUUACAAGUCACCAAGAUCUAUCUAUGGAGAAACUAGCAACGAAGGGAAGGAUAGUGCAUCUACAUACCCUUGUAGAUCACUAAGCGGAAGCGUUCAAGAGAACAGGGUUGAAGGAGUCAUACUCGUCGUGAUCCAAAUCACCGAAUAUCCUAGUGUCGAACGGACGGCACCUCCGCGUUCAACACACGUACAGCCCGGUGACGUCUCCCACGCCUCGAUCCAGCAAGGAGAGAGGGAGAGGCUGGGGAAGACUCCAUCCAGUAGCAGGACGACGGGGUGGUGGUGGUGGAGGAGCGUGGCAAUCCUGCAGGGCUUCGCCAAGCACCACGGGAGAGGAGGAGUACUUGGGAGAGGGGGAGGGCUGCGGCAGAACUUGGGGUGCGGCUGCCCUCCCACCCCUCCACUAUUUAUAGGUGGGGAGAGAAGGGGGCCGGCCCCCCUAGAUCCCAUCUAGGGUUGGGGGCGGCGGCCAAGGGGGGGAGGAGUGCCUCCCAAGUCAAGUGGAGGCCCUCCCCCUUAGGGUUUCCCCUCUCCCAUGCGCAUGGGCCUUGGGGAGGGGGGCUGGUGCCCCUGGACCAUUAAGGCUAGGGCACCCCCUUACAGCCCAUGCUGCUGUAUUGGAGGUGGUGGAACAAUUUCCGGACCUCCGGACCCCUCCGGAAUCCUCCGGAACCUUCUGGAAGCUUCCCGGUACAAUACCAGAAAAAUCCGAACUUUUCCCGAAACCCGAACAACAACUUUCCAUAUAUAAAUCUUUACCUCCGAACCAUUCCGGAACUCCUCGCGACACCCAGGAUCUAAUCCGGGACUCCGAACAACAUUCGGUAACCACAUAUAAACUUCCUUUAUAACCCUAGCGUCAUUGAACCUUAAGUGUGUAGACCCUACGGGUUCGGGAACCAUGCAGACAUGACCGAGACGUUCUCCGGUCAAUAACCAACAGCAGGAUCUGGAUACCCAUGUUGGCUCCCACAUGUUCCACGAUGAUCUAAUCGGAUGAACCAUGAUGUCGAGGAAUCAAUCAACCCCGUAUACAAUUCUCUUUGUUUAGCGGUAUUGUACCUGCCCGAGAUUCGAUCGUCGGUAUCCCGAUACCUUGUUCAAUCUCGUUACUGGCAAGUCUCUUUACUCGUUUCGUAACACAUCAUCCCGUGAUCAACCCCUUGGUCACAUUGUGCACAUUAUGAUGAUGUCCUACUAGGCCCAGAGAUACCUCUCCGUCAACCGGAGUGACAAAUCCCAGUCUCGAUCCGUGCCAACCCAACAAACACUUUCGGAGAUACCCGUAGUGCACCUUUAUAGCCACCCAGUUACGUUGUGACGUUUGGUACACCCAAAGCAUUCCUAAGGUAUCCGGGAGUUGCACAAUCUCAUGGUCUAAGGAAAUGAUACUUGACAUUAGAAAAGCUUUAGCAUACGAACUACACGAUCUUUGUGCUAGGCUUAGGAUUGGGUCUUGUCCAUCACAUCAUUCUCCUAAUGAUGUGAUCCCGUUAUCAAUGACAUCCAAUGUCCAUGGUCAGAAAACUGUAACCAUCUAUUGAUCAACGAGCAAGUCAAUUAGAGGCUUACUAGGGACAUGGUGUUGUCUAUGUACCCACACAUGUAUCUGAGUUUCCUAUCAAUACAAUUAUAGCAUGGAUAAUAAACAAUUAUCAUGAACAAGGAAAUAUAAUAAUAAUAACUAAUUUAUUAUAGCCUCUAGGGCAUAUUUCCAACAUCAUUUCCGUUCCAGAAAAUUUCAGGUUCUCGAUUUGUCCACUUUUUAGCAAAAGUCAUGCCGAAUUUUUCCUUGAAUUUCAGCAUGACUUGUGCUAUAAAUUAGGACAUACCAAGUGCCCGGGAUUUGCCGCACCGGGAAGGACUCAACGUUCCUGCCAAGCAUAGGCCUUUUUUAUGUCAUUAUUCAUUUUAUUAGGUCUAGAAUUAAUUGACUAGAUUUAAUCGUAGGAAACAUGGCUAGCAACGAUGAAGGACAGUGUUCUGGUGACUGCGACAACGUGUACCUGGCGGCAGAGGAAUUUUUGAGGGAAGCCGAUGAUCAAAGUUGAUGUUGUUGGGUCCACCUGUCACAUCAGAGACUGAGACCGACAUUGAGACCGGCGCUGAGACUGAGACCGGCGCUGAGACUGAGACCGCCAUCGAGACCGGCGCUGAGACUGAGACCUGCACCGAGACUAGCAGAGCCGGUAUAGAACCGAAAGCAAAUAGGCAACAACUUCCUAACAAGCUCAGGACUACUAGACUGGUGGUCACGAAGGUGGAUGAUGGCAAUUUUGAGCCAAACGCGCCCACGGAAGCGCGCGCGUGCUAUAGGUAGCAUCAUAUGGACAACCGCCACCAUCAAUGAUGAGAAACUAAAGAAGAUAGAUAAUAUGAGGCCCUCCCUCCUAAACAAGCUGCACCAGAUAUUCUUGUUCCCGGACCAUAAUGAAAAGGAUUAUAAAGAUCCAGAUAAGGACCCGGCAAUGAAGAAGAUAAACAAACACGCCAUGACCAAGUUUAGCGACACAUUGGCCGCUUGAAAAGCAAGGGUGAAACAUCGAAUUGUCAACAAAAAGGAACCCCACUCCAAGAUUGUAAAGGAUAAUCCGACAAUCACAUAAGAGCACUUUGAAAUAUUUAAGGCGGCUUGCAAGGCCGAAGCUGCCAAAAAAAAGUAGAAGUACAUGAAGAGGCUUCAACAGAGGAACAUUGGGUGCCACCACCUCGGAAGCCGUGGUUACGGCGGGAAGAGGUCCAUAUGGGCCAAGGUGGACGCGGAAGCCGAGAGUCUAGGCAUCCCAGACCCCUUGGCGGAGUUCACCGUCCCGCAGGAGCGUGAUGUCCUCAGGGCCCGGCACCAUUGAGACCCAGUGAAGAAGGUUUUCGAGAUGAAAGCGGUCACGACGGAGUUCAUGAGACUGCUUGUAAUUUUAGUUUCUGAUCAAUUUGACUGCAUGUUAGUCAUAUUUGUAAAUUAUCCUUGUGCCUUUUGCAGAGAGAGCAGCACAGGAUUGCGGCCAAAAGUGACUCGCCGUCUGAGGCGUUGGCGAUGCCCAAGUGGGACACUCCACUCAACUGGGCGUUGAACAUAUUGAAAGGACUCCCAAUGGAGAUUCAACCAUCGUAUGGACGCGUGCAUGGCGUCAGAGAUGGCGCCACGUGGAAGAAGUACUACCUUGAGACCACGGAGGAGAGAAAGGAAAGACGGAGGUUAACUGAAGAAAACAUCGACAAGAAGGUUGAGAUUGCGGUUGAGAAGAAAUCAUCUGAGAUAGUCGCAACAGCGGUAGCUGCCACAAAACAGGUGGUUGCAGAUAUGUCUACUGUCUUGGUUCCGACCGUUCUCAAUUGGAGUAGGCAAAAUCCAGAAAAAAAUGCAGCGGACUUUCCCCUUGCUGACUUCUUCGGGAGCAGCUCGACUAGCAUUGCACCAGCACCUGUGAUACGUCUCCAACGUAUCUACUUUUCCAAACACUUUUGCCCUUGUUUUGGACUCUAAUUUGCAUGAUUGAAUGAAACUAACCCGGACUGACGUUGUUUUUAGCAGAACUGCCAUGGUGUUGUUUAUUGUGCAGAAAACAAAAUUUCUCGGAAUGACCUAAAAAUCCACGGAGAUAACUUUUGGAAAAUAUAAAAAUACUGGCGAAAGAAUCAAGACCAGGGGGCCCACACCCUUUCCACGAGGGUGGGGGGCGCGCCCCUCCCCCUGGGUGCGCCCCCUGCCUCGUGGGACCCCUGGAGCUCCACCGACCUCAACUCCAACUCUAUAUAUUCCGUUUCGCGGAGAAAAAAAUCAGAGAUAAAGUUUCAUCGCAUUUUACGAUAUGGAGCCACCGCCAAGCCCUAAUCUCUCUCGGGAGGGCUGAUUUAGAGUUCGUUCGGGGCUUCGGAGAGGGGGAUUCGUCGCCGUCGUCAUCAUCAUCAACCAUCCUCCAUCGCCAAUUUCAUGAUGCUCACCACCGUGCGUGAGUAAUUCCAUCGUAGGCUUGCUGGACGGUGAUGGGUUGGAUGAGAUUUACCAUGUAAUCAAGUUAGUUUUGUUAGGGUUUGAUCCCUAGUAUCCACUAUGUUCUGAGAUUGAUGUUGCUAUGACUUUGCUAUGCUUAAUGCUUGUCACUAGGGCCCGAGUGCCAUGAUUUCAGAUCUGAACCUAUUAUGUUUUCAUGAAUAUAUGUGAGUUCUUGAUCCUAUAUUGCAAGUCUAUAGUCACCUAUUAUGUGUUAUGAUCCGACAACCCCGAAGUGACAAUAAUCGGGAUACUUCUCGGUGAUGACCGUAGUUUGAGGAGUUCAUGUAUUCACUAUGUGUUAAUGCUUUGGUCCGGUACUCUAUUAAAAGGAGGCCUUAAUAUCCCUUAGUUUCCACUAGGACCCCGCUACCACGGGAGGGUAGGACACAAGAUGUCAUACAAGUUCUUUUCCAUAAGCACGUAUGACUAUAUUUGGAAUACAUGCCUACAUUACAUUGAUGAACUGGAGCUAGUUCUGUGUCACCCUAUGUUAUAGCUAUUACAUGAGGAAUCGCAUUCGACAUAAUUAUCCAUCACUGAUCCAAUGCCUAUGAUCUUUUCACAUAUUGUGCUUUGCUUAUUUACUUUUCCGUUGCUACUGUUACAAUCACUACAAAACUGCUAUCUUUACUUUUGCCCCUGUUACCGUUACUAUCAUACUACUUUGCUACUAAAUACUUUGCUGCAGAUACUAAGUUAUCCAGGUGUGGUUGAAUUGACAACUCAACUGCUAAUACUUAAGAAUAUUCUUUGGCUCCCCUUGUGUUGAAUCAAUAAAUUUGGGUUGAAUACUCUACCCUCGAAAGCUGUUGCGAUCCCCUAUACUUGUGGGUUAUCAAGACUAAUUUCUGGCGCUGUUGCCGGGGAGCAUAGCUCUAUUCUUUGAGUCACCUGGGAUUUAUAUCUGCUGAUCACUAUGAAGAACUUGAAAGACGCAAGAACUAAGAUUUUUCCCUCAACUACGAGGGGAGGUAAGGAACUGCCAUCUAGCUCUGCACUAGAUUCUCCUUCUGUUUUGAGCAAGCUUGCGACACCUUAACUUGUUACUGCUAUGAAUUCUGAUAUGUUGCAUGUUAUUGAUGAUGCCACUUCUGCUAUGCAUGAUACUUAUGAUGAAACUACUUCUAUGCUUGAUACUACUGUGCCAUUAGGUGAAUAUCUUGAUGAACAACUUGCUAGGGUUAGAGAGAAUGAAAUUAUUGAAAACAAAAUUAUUGAUGAUAGUGAUGAUGAUGGUUCUCCCCCUAAUUAUGAAUUGCCUGUUGUUCCUGAGGGUUAUGUUAUGGAUGAAGAAGCCGCUAGAGCUAUUUUUGCUUGCAAUGAUAGAUAUGAUCUUAAGAAGUUAUUAGCUAAAUGGAAGCAGCAAUCUCUUAGUGCUAGAAUGAAACCUGACCCCGCUUUUGCUACUUCACCUAUCUAUGUUACCGAUAAGGAUUAUGAAUUCUCUGUUGAUCCUGAGAUAAUUACUUUGGUUGAAUCUGAUCCUUUUUAUGGCUAUGAAUCUAAAACUGUUGUGGCACAUCUUACCAAGUUGAAUGAUAUAGCCACCCUGUUUACUAAUGAUGAGAAGUACCACUAUUAUUAUAUCCUUAAGAUAUUUCCAUUCUCAUUAAAGGGUGAUGCUAAAACUUGGUUUAAUUCUCUUGAUCCUGGUUGUGUGCGUAGUCCCCAGGAUAUGAUUUAUUACUUCUCUGCUAAAUAUUUCCCUGCUCAUAAGAAACAAGCUGCCUUGCAGGAAAUAUAUAAUUUUGUGCAAAUCGAAGAAGAGAGUCUCCCACAAGCUUGGGGGAGGCUUCUCCGAUUACUUAAUUCUUUGCCUGAUCAUCCUCUUUAGAAAAAUGAAAUACUUGAUAUCUAUUAUAAUGGACUAACCGAUGCUUCCAAGGACUACUUGGAUAGUUGUGCUGGUUGUGUUUUCAGGGAAAGACCAGUCGACCAAGCUGAAUUACUAUUGAAUAAUAUGUUGACUAAUGAAAAUAAUUGGACUCUUCCUGAGCCAAUUCCUGAGGCAAUUGAGCCAACUCCCGAGCCUAUUCCUAAACCAACUCCGAAGAAGAGGGGUGUUCUAUUUCUCAGUCCUGAAGAUAUGCAAGAGGCAAAGAAAUCAAUGAAAGAAAAAGGUAGUAAAGCUGAAGAUGUUAAAAAUUUACCUCCUAUUGAAGAAAUACACGGUCUUAAUCUGCCGCCUAUUGAAGAAACACAUUGUCUUGAUAACCCGACAUAGGUAGUAAAGGUAAAUUGUCUCUAUAGACAUGAUAAAGUUGAAAUCCCGUCUACUAAAUUUUAUAGCCCAUGCUUAGAUGAAUUUGAUGACUUUAUGACUAGACAAGAAAGUUUUAAUGCUUAUGUUGGUAGAGAAUUAAAGAAUAAUGCUUUCAAGAUUGGACGCUUGAGUGAUUAUAUGGCUAGAGUUAAAGGUGAACUUAAACUCAUUAGCAAAUAUGCUUCUAUGGUUACCACUCAAGCUGAGCAAGUACUUAAAGCUCAAAGUGAUUUGCUCGAUGAAUUAAAUAAUAAACAUGACUUUGCUAUUAGAGUGGCUACUAGAACUGGUAGAAUGACUCAGGAACCUUUGUAUCCUGAAGGCCACCCUAAGAGAAUCGAGCAGGAUUCUCAGAGAAAUGAUGUAGAUGCACCUAGUCCUUCUAAAAAGAAGAAAAAGAAAAAUGAUAGGACUUUGCAUGCUUCUAGUGAACCUGUUGUAGACACACCUGAGAAUCCCAAUGAUAUUUCUAUUUCUGAUGCUAAAACACAAUCAGGUGAUGAACAUGAACCUAGUAAUAAUGUUAAUGAUAAUGUUCAUGUUGAUGCUCUACCUAGCAAUAAUAAUGAUGUAGAGAUUAAACCUGCUGUUGAUCUUGAUAACCCACAAUCAAAGAAUCAACAUUAUGGUAAGAGAGAUUUUGUUGCUAGGAAGCACGGUAGAGAGAGAGAACCAUGGGUUUAGAAACCCAUGCCCUUUCCUCCUAAACCAUCCAAUACAAAAGAUGAUGAAGAUUUUGAGCGCUUUGCUAAAAUGAUUAGACCUAUCUUCUUAUGUAUGCGCUUGACUGAUAUGCUUAAAUCAAAUCCUUAUGCUAAAUAUAUGAAAGAUAUCAUUACCAAUAAAAGAAAGAUACCGGAAGAUGAAAUUUCCACCAUGCUUGCUAAUUACACUUUUAAAGGUGGAAUACCAAAGAAACUUGGAGAUCCAGGAGUACCAACUAUACCAUGCUCCAUUAAAAGAAUUAUGUUAAAACUGCUUUAUGUGAUCUUGGAGCCGGUGUUAGUGUUAUGCCUCUCUCUUUAUAUCGUAGACUUGAACUGAAUAAGUUGACACCUACUGAAAUAUCUUUGCAAAUGGCUGAUAAAUCAACUGCUAUACCUGUCGGCAUUUGUGAGGAUGUGCCUGUUGUGGUUGCAAAUGUCAGUAUCUUAACGGACUUUGUUAUUCUUGAUAUUCCUGAGGACGAUAGUAUGUCAGUCAUCCUUGGUAGACCCUUUUUGAAUACUGCAGGGGCUGUUAUUGAUUGCAACAAAGGCAAUGCCACUUUUCAUGUUAAUGGUAAUGAGCAUACGGUACACUUACCGAGGAAACAACCUCAAGUUCAUAACAUCAAUUCUAUUGGAAAAAUUCCAACUAUCAUUAUUGGAGGUUACGAAUUUCCUCUUCCUACUGUCAAGAAAAUAUAUGAUAUUCUUAUUGUUGGGGAUGUGCAUAUCCCCGCUGAGGUAACCUAGUGUUAUUCGAAAUUUCUCCGGUUCCGUGUUAUUCGGAAUGAGUUUGUUAACAAGACUUGAUCAACCUUGUUAGUGGAUUCAUUUUGAUGAUCAUGAGAUGGAUGAAACUAGAAGGCACAACCUUCUGUACCCUCUUUUUACUUUCUGUUAUUUAGAAUAAAUAAAGCAAAAGUAGUAUUAUCUGUCUAUUUUCUGAAUUAUCCGUGUAAUAAGAAAAUAUCCCAAAAAUAAAAAUGCUCCAAAUGCCCUGCAAAUUUAGUAUGAUUUUUUAUGGAAUAUUAGAGGAUUUUAGGCACUGAGAACACUGCAGGGGGGGCUGGGGGUGGGGCAAGCACAUGGCCACAAGGGUGGAGGGCGCGCCCACCCUGGGCACGCCCCCUGUCUUGUGGGCCCAUGGUGGCCCCCUCCACUUAUUCCUGCACCCACACACUCCAUCUUCCUCCCAAAAAAAUCCCCAUCCAGCUUAAGCACGAGUGUAUCCUGGCAGAUUGUUUACAUGUUAUUCAAUUUUGCCAAGGUUGUUGUAGUUGAUCCUUGCAUGCUAUGAACUUGUUCUUGCCUUGGUUUGUUUCACAAACAUGCCUUAUUGAUGAUGCUAUACUUAUCUUGUCAUGCAAUGACUUGUGGUGAGUGUAUCAAGCUUGUUAAGUAGUGUACUUGCUGUUGCUUUUUUGUUAGGCUGAAUCUGUUAUUUCGUGAUGCUAUGUAAACCUGCCGCUACUAGUCAUUCUAUGCAUAAUCUGGAGAUGUUCACUAAGAGUGUUUUGUUCUACAUGUCAUGCUCUAUCCAUUCAUGCCCCUGGUUGCAAUUAUAGCUUGCUGUAGCUUGUUCAUAUCUUGCUACAAAGUUGCUUGAUAAUGUUGCUGUCAGCCUGUUAACAUUAAGUUCAGUUGUUGCCAUGAUUGUUGCUAGUGUUCCAUGCAACCUAUGAACUUGCUCUUGCCAUGCUUAGCUUCAUAAACAUGCCUUCUUACUGUUGGUUGCCUUGCCAUGCCAUAUAUUGCUCUGUGGUGAGUGGUACAAGCUCAUCAACAUGCCUUCAUAAUUCUGUUCCUGUCAUGUAUGAAUCUGUAUUAUUACUUGCCAUGUUUACAUGGGUGCCAUCAUAUCUUCUGAUCCUUUUUGGCUUAUGGCCAGUAAGGGACUCUUGUUCUAUGAAAUUAGUUGAUUCAUGCCAUGCCUUUGUUUGCCAUGAUAAGUUCCUGUAACAUGUUGUUUGAUAGCUCUAAACAUUGCAACCUGAUGUUAAUUUCUGCAAAGUCUGAAACUAUUAUCAUUUGCAAUCUUGCCAUGUGUGUUUGAGCAUGUUCUAGUGAUUUCUGGAGAUAGCUCAGUGUUCAUGUUUUGUAAUGCUUUACCUGUAAAUCAUGCCCAUGCCUUUUGUUUUCUUGUUGAGGUCCUAUAGCAUACUGUUUUGAUGCUUGCAAUAUGCCUAGUUGCUGUUUUGGGCAGAUUGUUGUUAUGACUUGUAUAGAGUGUAUGUGUUGCACCGUUGCUCCGUUUUGAGUGUGCUCUAUAUGAAACUUGCUUAGAAUUUCAUUUAGUUUCAUAUUAUCAUGUUGCAUCCUUGUUUUGAGGUGUUUGCUUAAUGUUUGGGUGCAUUUUGCAUCAAUGCCAUGUUUAACUUAUUUUGGUCAUAUCUUCUAGGCCGUAGCUCCGAACUAAAUGAACUUUAUAUGUAACUUGACUAGAAUCUCGUGUAGAUCAUAUUGGUGCAUCUUAACUUGCUGUUUAACAACUUGAACAUAAGGUUUAUUCAGAUCUGGACCAAUUUCGAAAUUUGCAUAUGAGGACUUACCGGAAUUGUUAUAUGUUGUUUCCGGCCUCAUUUAAACUUGCUUUGAUGUGUUGCUCUUGUUUGCAUCUUCUCUUGCCAUGAGUAGCUUCAUGUAGUCUUGUCUUGCAUUAUGCUUGUUGUGCAUCAUGUCUUGUCUAUGUGUGGUGUGUUUACUAUGCUGUGUGCUUCUUCUUGUUAGUUCAUGUUUCGUUGCGAUCGUGAGGAUUCGUUCGUCUACACUUGGUUCGGCUUCAUCCGUUCGUCUUCUUCAUGGACUCGUUCUUCUUCCUAGCGGGAUUUCAGGCAAGAUGACCGCUACCCUAGAUCUCACUACUAUCAUUGCUAUGCUAGUUGCUUUGUUCUAUCGCUUUGCUGCGCUACCUAUCACCUGUUUAUCAAGCCUCCCAUAUUGCCAUGAACCUCUAACCUUUGACACCUUUCCUAUGCAAACCAUUGUUUGGCUAUCUUACCGCUUUGCUCAGCCCUCUUAUAGCGUUGCUAGUUGCAGGUGAAGUUGAAGAUUGCUCCAUGAUGGACAGGAUUUGUUGGGAUAUCACAAUAUCUCUUAUUUAAUUAAUGCAUCUAUAUAUUUGGUAAAGGGUGGAAGGCUCGGCCUUAUGCCUGGUGCUUUGUUCCACUCUUGCCGCCCUAGUUUCCGUCAUACCGGUGUUAUGUUCCCGGAUUUUGUGUUCCUUACGCGGUCGGGUGAUUUAUGGGACCCCAUUGACAGUUCGCUUUGAAUAAAACUCCUCCAGCAAGGCCCAACAUUGGUUUUACCAUUUGCCUCACCACCACCUACAUUUCCCUUGGGAGUAUUUAACCCAAGGGUCAUCUUUAUUUUAGCCCCCCCCGGGCCAGUGCUUGUCUAAGUGUUGGUCCAAACUAGAGCACCGUGCGGGGCCAUCCCUUGGCAACUUGGGUUACGUCGGUUCCUGUACGCUUCGCUCAUCCGGUGUGCCCUGAGAACGAGAUAUGUGCAACUCCUAUCGGGAUUUGUCGGCACAUCGGGAAGCUUUGCUGGUUUUGUUUUACCAUUGUCGAAAUGUCUUGUAAACCGGGAUUCCGAGUCUGAUCGGGUCUUCCUGGGAGAAGGUAUAUCCUUCGUUGAUCGCAAGAGCUUGUCAUGGGCUAAGUUGGGACACCCCUGCAGGGUAUAAUCUUUCGAAAGCCGUGCCUGCAGUUAUAGGCAGAUGAGAAUUUGUUAAUGUCCGGUUGUAGAUAACUUGACACCAGAUCCGAAUUAAAACGCAUCAACCGUGUGUGUACCCGUGAUGGUCUCUUUUCGGCGGAGUCCGGGAAGUGAACACGGUUUCUGGGUUAUGUUUGACGUAAGUAGGAGUUCAGGAUCACUUCUUGAUCAUUGCUAGCUUCACGACCGUUUCUUUGCUCUCUUCUCGCUCUUAUGUGCGUAUGUUAGCCACCAUAUAUGCGACCCUAUCCAAAAGGAACUCGAAGGUCCCACCAAGGAUAGACCCGCAUAUUGAAACUCUUUUGCAAGGUGGAUAUCAUUACAUCAACAUUACAUAAUAGAAUGGGGAUACAUACAUAAGGCAUACAAUGCCACACGAUUACAACAUCACAAUACAUAAGAGCAUCAUCCGACUACGGAUGAAACACAAACAAAAACUCAAACGACAUCCACCCUGCUAGCCCAGACUGCCGACCUGGAACCUAUCCCCUGAUCGAAGAAGAAGGAGAAGAAGAACUCCAAACAAGCAAACAUCACUCUCGCGUCAUGAUCAUCGCGUAAACCGGUACCUCCAACUGUUGUUGUACUAAUCUGUGAGCCACGAGGACUCAGCAAUCCCAUUACCAUGGGUAUCAAGACUAGCAAAACUCAAUGGGUAAGGAAGGGGUAAAGUGGUGUGGUUGCAGCAGCGACUAAGCAUAUAUGGUGGCUAACAUACACAAAUAAGAGCGAGAAGAGAGCAAGCAGAACGGUCGUGAAGCUAGCAAUGAUCAAGAAGUGAUCCUGAACUCCUACUUACGUCAAACAUAACCCAGAAACCGUGUUCACUUCCCAGACUCCGCAGAGAAGAGACCAUCACGGCUACACACGCGGUUGAUGCAUUUUAAUUCGGAUCUGGUGUCAAGUUAUCUACAACCGGACAUUAACAAAUUCCCAUCUGCUUAUAACCGCAAGCACGAAUUUUGAAAGAUUAUACCCUGCAGGGGUGUCCCAACUUAGCCCAUGAUAAGCUCUCGCGAUCAACGAAGGAUAUACCUUCUCCCAGGAAGACCCGAUCAGACUCAGAAUCCCGGUUUACAAGACAUUUCGACAAUGGUAAAACAAAACCAGCAAAGCCGCCCGCUACGCCGACAAAUCCCGAUAGGAGCUGCACAUAUCUCGUUCUCAAGGCACACCGGAUGAGGAAGACGACGGGUUGGCAUAGACCCUAGUUGCCCAGGGGGCGCCGGACAUCGCUCAGGUUGGACCAACACUCGAAGGAGCACUGGCCCGGGGGGGGGGGUAAAUAAAGAUGACCCUCGGGCUCCGGAAACCCAAGGGAAAAAGGGCUAGGUGAGGCAAAUGGUAAAACCAAGGUUGGGCCUUGCUGGAGGAGUUUUAUUCAAAGCGAACUGUCAAGGGGGUCCCAUAAAUCACCCAACCGCGUAAGGAACGCAAAAUCCGGGAACAUAACACCGGUAUGACGGAAACUAGGGCGGCAAGAGUGGAACAAAACACCCGGCAUAAGGCCGAGUCUUCCACCCUUUACCAAGUAUAUAGAUGCAUUAAUUAAAUAAGAGAUAUUGUGAUAUCCCAACAUAAUCCUGUCCAUCAAGGAGCAAUCUUCAACUUCACCUGCAACUAACAAUGCUAUAAGAGGGGCUGAGCAAAAGCGGUAACAUAGCCAAGCAAUGGUUUGCUAGGAAGGAUGAAAAAGGUUAGAGGCUGACAUGGCAAUUGGUGAGGCUUGAGCAACAAGAGAUAGGUAGCGCGGCAAAGCGAUAGAAUGAAGCAACUAGCAUAGCAAUGAUAGUGAUGAGAUCCAAGGUAGCGGUCAUCUUGCCUGAAAUCCCGCUAGAAAGAAGAACGAGUCCAUGAAGAAGACAAGCGGGCGUGGUCGAACGAAUCCUCACAACUCCGGAACGAAACCGAAGGCAAGCCGGAAAAUAGCAAACAACAUGGUAAACCAACAAGCAUAAGCAUGGCAUGAUGCACAAUCAAGUAUGAUGCAUGUCCGGUUUAAUGAGGCAUGGCAUGGCAAAGUGCAACAAACAAUACUACAAGUUAAGUGGAGCUCAAUAUGCAACGAGUUGCAUAUUGACAAAACACCACAAGCAAUUAUUUAGUUCUCUCUCGGUUAGGUACACAACAAUAUUAAAUGUUGUUAAACAUGACAAGAGGUGAAACAUAAUGAAACUACCUGUCUAGGCAAGUUUAAAUGUGGCCGGAAGUAACAAACAACAAUUUCGGAAACUACCUAUCUAGGCAAGUUUUCCAGAAUUGUUGUUUGUUACUUCCGGCCUCAUUUAAACUUGCCUAGAUAGGUAGUUUCAUUAUGUUUCACCUCUUGCCAUGUUUAACAACAUUUAAUAUUGUUGUGUACCUAACCGAGAGAGAACUAAAUAAUUGCUUAUGGUGUUUUGUCAAUAUGCAACUCGUUGCAUAUUGAGCUCCACUUAACUUGUAGUAUUGUUUGUUGCACUUUGCCAUGCCAUGCCUCAUUAAACCGGACAUGCAUCAUACUUGAUGGUGCAUCAUGCCAUGCUUAUGCUUGUUGGUUUACCAUGUUGUUUGCUUCUUUCCGGGUUGCCUUCGGUUUCGUUUCGGAGUUGUGAGGAUUCGUUCCACCAUGCCCGCUUGUCUUCUUCAUGGACUUGUUCUUCUUCCUAGCGGGAUUUCAGGCAAGAUGACCGCUACCUUGGAUCUCAUCACUAUCAUUGCUAUGCUAGUUGCUUCAUUCUAUCGCUUUGCCGUGCUACCUAUCUCUUGUUGCUCAAGCCUCACCAAUUGCCAUGUCAGCCUCUAACCUUUUUCUUGGCUAUGUUACCGCUUUUGCUCAGCCCCUCUUAUAGCGUUGUUAGUUGCAGGUGAAGUUGAAGAUUGCUCCUUGAUGGACAGGAUUAUGUUGGGAUAUCACAAUAUCUCUUAUUUAAUUAAUGCAUCUAUAUACUUGGUAAAGGGUGGAAGACUCGACCUUAUGCCUGGUGUUUUGUUCCACUCUUGCCGCCCUAGUUUCCGUCAUACCGGUGUUAUGUUCCCGGAUUUUGCGUUGCUUACGCGGUUGGGUGAUUUAUGGGACCCCCUUGACAGUUCACUUUGAAUAAAACUCCUCCAGCAAGGCCCAACCUUGGUUUUACCAUUUGCCUCACCUAGCCCUUUUUCCCUUGGGUUUCCAGAGCCCGAGGGUCAUCUUUAUUUACCCCCCCGGGCCAGUGCUCCUCCGAGUGUUGGUCCAACCUGAGCGAUGUUCGGCGCCCCCAGGGCAACCAGGGUCUAUGCCAACCUGUCGUCUUGCUCAUCUGGUGUGCCCUGAGAACGAGAUAUGUGCAACUCCUAUCGGGAUUUGUCGGCACAUCGGGCGGCUUUGCAGGUUUUGUUUUACCAUUGUCGAAAUGUCUUGUAAACCGGGAUUCCGAGUCUGAUCGGGGGUUCCUAGGAGAAGGUAUAUCCUUCAUUGAUCGUGAGAGCUUAUCAUGGGCUAAGUUGGGACACCCCUGUAGGGUAUUAUCUUUCGAAAGCCGUGCCCGCGGUUAUGUGGCAGAUGGGAAUUUGUUAAUGUCCGGUUGUAGAUAACUUAACACCAGAUCCAAAUUAAAACGCAUCAACCGCGUGUGUAGCCGUGAUGGUCUCUUUUCGGCGGAGUCCGGGAAGUGAACACGGUUUUGGGUUAUGUUUGACGUAAGUAGGAGUUCAGGAUCACUUCUUGAUCAUUGCUAGCUUCACGACCGUUCCGCUUGCUCUCUUCUUGCUCUUAUUUGCGUAUGUUAGCCACCAUAUAUGCUUAGUCGCUGCUGCAACCUCACCACUUUACCCCUUCCUUUCCCAUUGAGCUUUGCUAGUCUUGAUACCCAUGGUAAUGGGAUUGCUAAGUCCUCGUGGCUCACAGAUUACUACAACAACAGUUGCAGGUAUAGGUUUUUGCGAUGAUCAUGACGCAAGAGCGAUGCUUGAUUGUUUAGGAGUUCUCCUUCUGCUUCUCCUUCGAUCAGGGGAUAGGUUCCAGGUCGGCAGCCUGGGCUAGCAGGGUGGAUGUCAUUUGAGUUUCUGUUUGUGUUUCAUCCGUAGUCGGAUGUUGUUCUCAUGUAUGAUAUGAUGUUGUAUUCGUGUGGCAUUGUAUGCCUCUUGUAAGUAUCCCCAUCUAUUUAUGUAAUGUUGAUGUAAUGAUAUCCACCUUGCAAAAGCGUUUCAAUAUGCGGGUCUAUCCUUGGUGGGACCUUCGAGUUCCUUUUGGAUAGGGUCGCAUAUUGGGCGUGACACACAUGUGGGUAGCUUCGGUUAAUUAAUUAUACCUCCAGCACACCCCUUUUUACUUGAAGAAUGUAUGAAAUGUAAUGAAAUCCAACAUGUUUAUAUGAAAUCCGACCGUGUAUGAAUGAAUUUAUUUUGAUUAGUUCGAAUUCAUGUAUCACUGGCAUUGGAUGAACAUGCAAAACAAUACGUACUAGCAUUAUUCCCAGGGUGAUCACCUUGUUUGCAACAGUUUCACAUGUACUCCCUCCGGUCCUUUCUAGUCUGCAUACAAGUUUUGUCUGCAGUCAAAGUAUCUCUAUUUUGACCAAUCUAAUACAAAAAAGUAUGCACUUUCACAAUGUGCAAAGUAAAAAGGAACAGAAGGAGUACAAAGAGUUUGAGCAGCUUUUUAGUGUUUCUGUACAUUGCAAUCAAACACACAUGGCUGGAAAUUCAUAGAGAACAUUCAAAACAAUUGAUGAUUAUGCAUCUCAGCGACUCACAUGUCAGAGGCAAUAUUUACUUCACAACUAAAGAAUAAAUAAAAAAUUGACCGACGCUGCUGACAGCAAAGGGCGUCCAAUUCGAAAAUAUCAAACACAUGUCUUGCUAAAAUCAAUGAGCAAAAUUUGACAAGGUUGUCCCAUUCCAAAAUAUCAAAUGCCUAUGAUUGUGGAAUUGGCAGGGUUUGCCAUCAGUUCGGACAUUGACAUGGCACCUCGUGCUAAAUAAACCAGCUAUUCUUUUUGUGCAAUUCCACCAAAAUCAACCAAAUUCGCGCGUAGCUUGUAUGAUUUCACCCUUUUAUUUUGCAAUGCCUUGAACUUAUCGGCUCCUCCUUUCUUGUGGUGGAAAUGAAUGAUUCGAUGUAUUCAUGAACAUUUUGUGUAGUUCCCAUUGAAAUCAAGCUGAGCACCCCUAUUUGCACAAAUACAAAAAGUGAUUAGUAUAAAGCAAACUGUACUAUGAAUUGAUAGUUUAAAUAGGCACCUACAUGGUCCAUGUAGAGCACACUUUUAGAGAAAUGGAACUCACCAGAAAGAAUCCUAGAACAACAUUGUACUCGCGCAUCACAGCAAAAAAAUGGAGAUUUGUCAGUCCUUCUGAGCUGAAGUUAGUUUGGUCUUGUGGGGAGUAAUGUAACCAUCCUUCAACUGCUCCUUCUAAUGUGAAGAUAGACAGGGCCUCUUCAUCCUGGCAUAAUUGGAACUAGUCACUUCACAUACUCCAUAUUCUUCUUCAGAGGAAGAUGAUCCUGUUGUGCAAAGACAAGAGGACUACUAGCAUCCUUGUUUGCUCAAAAAAAGGAAAGGAAAUAUUUAAAACAACACAGAUGAAGCACUUCUCAAGGACAAUUCCACUUUUUCAUGACAGUAUCUAAAUAGUAGCACAACACCAAUAGAGAUGACAAAUCUCAAUCAUAUGGAUGAAAUCAGUGGGCGAGUACCAACCUUUGUCAGGAGCUUAUUGUGUAGAGCAUACAUAUGAAUCACUUCUCCGGAACCAUCUGUUGCUAUCUACGGUGGUGGCCAUGCUUACUAUAUACUCCUUGAUUAGUUUAAUGUUUCCAACAUCAUCUUGCGAAGUUCCACUAAAAUAUAUGGUAUCUUCAAAGAAGAUCCCUGUUUGCACAAGUAGAGAUAAUUGCGUAUCACAUUAAGAGUGGCAUCAAAUCAGUGGCAAAACAACUGCUCGUUUCAGCCAUAGCAAUAAAUUAAGAUGCAAAACUAUAUCAUUACUUGUCUCAUCAUAGUUCCAGUGCUUCAUUACAGCACCGGAGUUGAUUUUUGUUUUUAUUCCGCUUGUUCUUCCCCUUCAUCACUUGGUUCAAUAACAGACAAGCUUCGCCUUCAAUGUAAUAUUUGGCAUGUCAAUUAGGGAGCACAAGUAUAGUACUAAACUUAAUUUUCUGAUGAAAGUGGCAAAAUACAGGCCAACAGUUGUGAAAUAUCCUUAUCUUACCUCAAUGGGAUAUUACAGUGCACAUACAGAUUGGAAGUCUUGUCUCCAUUUGUGUAGUUCACUAAAAUGAAGCAACAUUAUCGUACAAGUAGCACAACAUAUGAAAGCACACUGCGGAAUCAUGUGAAAGAAGGCUAGUACUAACCUCUCAUGAUGCGGAAUUCAAACAACUCACAGGAAGAAGAUCUGAACCAAAUUUGCCAACACGGAUAGGAAGUAAGAUCUCCUCUUGUGUAGUUCCACUAAGAUCAAGCAAUCAAGCAACGUUGUCGGUGUGACAUUUUGGUUGAACUGCAGAAAACACUCUUAAAAUAAAAGUGUUUUGUGCAGUGCAACAAAAGGUCACAAUGGCAACGAGGUGAAGUAGAUAACCCUGUUUACACAGAGGUGCAAAGGAAACAAUUAGUGGUCAAUAACGGUGGAUGACAUAGAAGCCAACAAAAAGAAGCAUCUACCUUAUCUAAAUGGGAAAGAAAGCAAGACAGUAGCAUUUCUCAAACGGUGGCAUUUAUUAAUAUUAACAUAUAGAUUAUAUUAACAAUAAAAUUUGUUAAACAUGUAAUUUGCUUUUAACGGUGGCAUUGCAUCAAUUUUCCAGCGGCAUUAUUAGAGGGUGUUUGUUUACAGGGACAUUUUGGUGUAGGGACUAAAAAAACUCUAUGUCAGUCCCAUCUAAACCAAACAGGAGGGACUUUUAGGGACUAAAAGUGGGCAUUUGGGACUAAAGAAAGAAGACCCCGCGGGAGUCUUUUUGGGACUUUUUCCAACAGUUGCCCCUGCCACGCAUCGCACCUUGUCUCUAUUAGUUCAUUACUAGGGGUAACAUGGUCUUUUAGCAUGUCAUUUAAUAACCUCUAGUCCAUGUUUAGCCCCUGGAAACAAGCAGGUAGGGACUAGGGAGUUUUGAACCAAACAGGGCCUUAGAUUAACAACAGCUAAUGAGUUGCACGGGACAGUGGACGCACCAGCACCAUGUGCAUCUAUCGAUGUACUGUGGUCAUGGACAGUCUGUUGCAACAAAGAACAAACAACCAAGGAGCAUAUUUGUGUUGCUCCCAGUUUUGUUAUCUUUAGACACCUUUCCCUAUGUGAGCGUAGCAAAUCUAGUCCUGCUCAAACUCUACAGCCUUGUCCCUUCCUUUCCUUUUUGAACUAGUACUUUGGCCCCUUCCUUUCCUCUUUGAACCACGUCCUAGAUUUAUGCGAUACAACUUUCCCCACUACUUUCCCCCAUUCCUUUCCUCUUUGAAACACAUCCUAGAUUCAUGCUAUACAACUUUCCCCCUUCAUUUCCUCUUUGAACUAUGUCCUAGAUUCAUGCUAUAUACAACUUUUCCCACUACUUUCCCCCACUCCUUUCCUCUUUGAACCAUGUCCUAGAUUCAUGGUAUACAUGCAGCUAGAGCAAUGUAUGUGGAGUAAGUAAAUUAUACCUUAAGGUUCUUGGGGCGUGGUUUGGUGGGCGACGGGACGGCGGCGAAGAAGAAGGGGUCGGAGACCCUCCCGUGCCACCGCUGGGUGAAAAUGAAGAGCUGCGCCGGUAGUGGAUUCCCUCCCUCGCUGACAGCGACAGUGUUAAGCCUCCUUCCCUUCCCGGUGGACGGAUCCUGCCGGCUCUUUGAGCAACAGUGAGGGGAGAGAGAGGCCAACAAAGUCUUGUUUAGAUCUGGAGAAGGCGAGAGUGUGUGAAGAGAGCAACUACAAGCGCCGAGGCUCCGGCGUAUAUAUAUAUACUGGAGAGAGUGUGAAGCGUGUAAACCGUAGAAAACAAGUGCCGAGGAUGCAGCUUAUACGUGAUGAGGUGAUUAUACGGUCACUACGAGAUCGUAUAGCUCCUUAUCCAUCCAUUUUGACCAGUCAAAGAAUCCUCCUUGCACAAAUUAUGCUCAAGUGUAGUUAUCGAACCCAAGACCUCAAGUUUGAUGAGCGAACAGGCUGACCAGCUACACAACCCUCCCGUUAUGUUCAACGAGAGGAAAAUAAUCUUUUAUACAUUCCUGCAUUUGUGUGACAAGCAUGUCGUGUUUUUUUGUGUGUGUGGGAGUCAUUGGGAUUUCAAUCAUAAUCAUGUCAUGUGGCUUUGGUGGUAAGACUAUCCAAAGUGGUGCAGAAAUAAUGCAGCCUUAGUCACCUUACCUCUCUCCAUGUAGUACGUUGGGUCCUACCAGUCAGAGGGUGAAACAAACAAAUUAAUAAGAAAAAUUAAAAGCGUCAGCGGUGUAUGUUACCUCACACAUCUCGCUACUGCUCGGGAACACUGUCCAAUUGAUCCCUCUGUUCGCUCACGUACUAGUGAAUCCUUAUUAUAACAUGCACACAAAUUUUGGGCACUUGUAUUUGACUUAAGUCAGUGUGCCACCGUAUCUCAUAUACUUACUACUCCCUCCAUCUAGGUGUAAUAAGUCACGUUAGAAGGUGUAAUGGGACCAAGGUGCGUGCGUGUGCGUGUGUGUGUUUAACAACACGUGUGUGUUAGAGAGAGCGACAUAUCGACCUACUCCUAUAGAGAGAUGGUGUGUAGUGUACGAUUUUAGCCGCGAGAGUCGGUGCAUCCUCUUGGUUCCGGGCGUGUCCGGUAGGGACAUGCGGACAGCUGCCACGCCAGCUCCUGACCAGCCUUGCCCACCCAAAGCCUCUCCAUCGCAUGUGCACGCUUCCUGCCCGAAACGGUCAGCACUGCUCCAAAGAAUUGGUGCCGCAUUCAUGCCCGGGCAGAGCGGACGCGACCUCUCACUGGCACAAGAGUGAUGGUUGCUUCUUCCAUCCAACUUACUAUUGGGUCUAUGUGAUUUGACGGCUCAUUUGUCUUUAUUACUGAGGUGGUAGGACUAAUGGAUGUCCCACGCUUUCGGCGAAAGGAGGUACUACUACUAGAUUACAAUUUUCUCCAUUCUUACAGCGGAGGAGUGCAAGAGUAGUGAAAACAUGCAGGCUCAGUGAUUACAUGGCCCACCUCACACUAUCACGGUGCGACACCUAACUCUUCACAUAGUACUCCCUCUGUUCCUAAAUAUUACUAGAUGAGUCCCCGCACGUUGCCGCGGAACAACCGUAUAUCUCUCUGCGCAAAAUUAUCAAUUUCAUAGAACUAAAAAAAACUCUAUAACCGCAUGACAAAUGUGGUAGCCAAACUAAAUAAACUCCCAUCAUCAUUUAGAUCAUCCGACGUAAGGAAAAAAGAUCAGCCAACUCCUACUGCAUAAUGGGAUUAUAUUUUUCUUUUUGACAUGUUAAUGGGACUUAAAAGCUCACUUACAUGCAUGCUACUGGUGCAUGCUUGCAUGCAUACAUGUUGAUGUGAUUUAAAACCCACUCACGUGCAUGCCACAGUAUUUCUGCAUGCUUGCAUGUGGCUUAGUGCGGAGCCUCUCAACGUCUAGAUCAGACGGCUAUUAUGGACUGAUUUAGUUCAUCUAACGGCUACAUUAAUUUUGAUGAUGUGGCUCAAGGAGAGGAUAGAGAAUUCCUAGUAGUGGGGGCUAGCUAUUAAUAGUAGAUAAGUCUUUGUAGAGAUUCCACUAGGUGAACUACAUACGGAACAAAAUUAAUGAAUCUACACUUAAAAUGCAUCUAUAUACAUCCGCAUGUGGUUCAUGGUGAAAUCUCUACAAAGACUUAUAUUUAGGAACGGAGGAAGUACUAGUAUAGUACGUACUGUAAUUUAUCAGCGAGAUAAAUUUGUACAAUGCUAUGAAGCUUCCAGCUUCUGUUACAUGUAUCUUGCAUCCAAGGUUGCCCGUUGCAACAUUUCAUCAAAUACAAAGGAGACUAACAUGCAUGCUAUUGCAUCUCAAUGAUUGACAGAUCAUAGCAAAUAUGUACUCCCUCCGUUCCAAAAUAAGUGUCUCAACUUUGUGCAAACUUUAUACAAAGUUGUACUACUACUAAAGUUGACACUUAUUUUGGAACAGAGGCAGCUAAAGAAAAAAAUGAUCCAUGCAGUCCCUAGCCCUUGAACCGUGAACCCUGACCAGGCUUCAAUUUGCUGGCAACGUUCGAGCUUCCUAAUAAAUGAAGUUUGCAACCUUUUGACCAUCGGAUCAUUUUGUGCAGUUUCACCAAAAUCGAGAUGAGCAUCCCUGUGGCAAAGAAAUUGAAGAAGCGUGAUUAGAAUAAGAUUACUGGGACUAGUUGAUGAGACAUAAACUCAUCACAAAUACAGUACGUAGAAGCCAUUAGAGGUAUGUGCGGGGCAAAGAAGUAGAGAAAUAUCCACAUGGAGUGAUGUGGGCAGCUGGAGCAGUGGUGCAAGCCGGCUGUAAAGGGAGUUGUACCUAAGGGACGUAGCUCAACCUUGAGGAGGGCGGACGGAGGCGGCAACUGCCCACGUUGCGGCAGUGAGCAAGGGACGAAGGCAACCUCACCGGCUUUGUGAGAGAGAACGGCGGGGACCCCUGAUCGGGAAGUGCCGACAGUGGGUUUUCACCGUCGGCGACAGCCACCGCAUCUACACUAAGCAUCCACCCCUUCCCCAAGCGGACGUGAUCCGCCGGGAUGUUAGAGAUGUGGCCACAGUCGUUUUGUGCGAGAUAGUGUGAAGAGAGCAACCCCAGCAAGAAACCGUGUACGCUGGCCCGUCCUGACUAUGUAUAUAGUGGAGCGGUUUCCUUUUCUCUCCAUAUGAACCAAUCAUAUUGCGUACGUGCCACUGAAGAAAAAAAACUUUAUUUAUAAAUGACGCAGCACCUACUACUCGUUCUCAUAUAAUCUUGCGCUUGGCAUCUCCAAAAUAUUAACCUUGCGAUUGGCUCUUCGCCUCUUCAGGAAGUCGAGCAAUAAUGGUAGUGCAGUAUAUAUCGUUCCGGCUAUAUGAGACCGAAUGAGUUGCUGCAUGUCCACCACGUGGGCGAGGGUCGAGGGGCGAGGGAGAGUGCUACAUACGGAGCAAAAUUAGUGAAUCUACACUCUAAAAUACGUCUAUAUACAUCAGUGUUUGGAGUAUGUACUAGUAGUUCAUAUUGAAAUCUACUAAAGGACAUAUAUAUUCCAAACAAUAUAAUAUAAUCUCUAUAACCAAGGUAGUAGGGACGAGGAGUAAACGGAGGGAGUAGUAAUUUUUUCUCCUCGUCCUGCGAGCCACUGCACGCAUGGGCAAGGGAGCGGGCAUAAGGCGAAGCAAGCUUCACCUCAUCCUGCGAGCCACCGCGCCCGUGGGCGGGGGAGAUGGCAUACUAAGCAAGCUUCUCCUCGUUCAGCGAGUUGACGGGACACAUCAAAAGUAAUCCAGUGUAUAAAGCCUUGCCUCUAAGGUAGGCCCCACUGGUUUGCCUCUUUUUUUAAUUUAACAUAACGCGUCAAGUCGCAAUUUGUUUGUUCACCCGUGGUAGACGAUCCUCCCUCCACCAAGUGGACAACCAGUACACGUGCCAAAUUACCACGUGGGCUGCCUUUUUCGUACAGAAAUGAGCUCCACCGUGUACCCGCGCGGGUGUGGUUGGGAAAGAGACGGGAGUACGUGCGCCGUGNNNNNNNNNNNNNNNNNNNNNNNNNNNNNNNNNNNNNNNNNNNNNNNNNNNNNNNNNNNNNNNNNNNNNNNNNNNNNNNNNNNNNNNNNNNNNNNNNNNNNNNNNNNNNNNNNNNNNNNNNNNNNNNNNNNNNNNNNNNNNNNNNNNNNNNNNNNNNNNNNNNNNNNNNNNNNNNNNNNNNNNNNNNNNNNNNNNNNNNNNNNNNNNNNNNNNNNNNNNNNNNNNNNNNNNNNNNNNNNNNNNNNNNNNNNNNNNNNNNNNNNNNNNNNNNNNNNNNNNNNNNNNNNNNNNNNNNNNNNNNNNNNNNNNNNNNNNNNNNNNNNNNNNNNNNNNNNNNNNNNNNNNNNNNNNNNNNNNNNNNNNNNNNNNNNNNNACUAGAGCGCUCGAUGUAUCGGUGUGUGUGGGGGGGAGGGGUGGGGGGAGGGGUAGGUAGAGGCCUAACUAUAGAGGUAGAACGACUCGUAUAUGUGUUGAGAAGGAGAGACCCAACUAUGUCUUGAGGGAGAUCGGUCGACAUCCAUACAUAACUGAAGGACGGGAAAUAUGAUGGGACAGAGAGAUAGAGGAGAGAGAGAGGGAGGGAGAGGGGUAGAGUGCUGGAUGGGUGAUGGAGUUGCUUCUCGGAGAUGGUGGGAGAGGCCUACUAGACAAACUGAGGGUGGAACUGCAAUGUUACCAAUAAGAGUGGGGAUGUGUUUCUGUGUGUGCCUGUGCAUGAUAGAUCUAUCAGGAUGCAUCCAUGGAUGAUGAAGGGGAACCAUGUGUUUGGUAAGCAAACCUAACUAGAUCGGUAGAUCAACUGCUGUUUGUCGGAGGAAGGGAGAGACACAACUAAUGAGGUAGAUCAAUGGACGCGUGGGUAAAAACGACUUAUAAGGACCUAGCUAGCUAUAUGUAUAGCGAGAGAUCGGUCGGUGUACGUCCAUUUAUUAGAGGCAAAUAAGGCCCAGCGAGACGGAUAGACAGAGAGAAUGGAGCUAGGAGGUGGUGCGAGAGGCCCAGCUACUAGCUAGAUAGGGGGAGGAGUGUGCGGUUGUGAGAUCGAUGAAAAGAGGGACAGAGUUUACACGUGUGUGUGACCGUAUGAGGGACACCAGGCAAGGACACAUAAAGGAGGAGAUUGAAGGUGUGUGUGUAUGUUGUAGGUAGGCAUCACUGGAGAGGUUUAGCGAUCGGUGUGUGUCGGAAAGGAGUUGUGGAUACUCUGGGAGAACGACCUAAAAAAAUAAAAUGAAUGUGCCCGAUGGAUAGAAUGCCGAGGGAGGGGGAGGGAAAGGAGGGUGUGUGCAUGCACGAGAGAAAGUUAGUGGUAGCUACAAAGGUUAGAGGAUUGUGUGGGUGUAAGAGACAAACAAAGAUCAUAAUUUGAUAUGAAAGCGGAUUCAUAUAUUUGAAUAGGAGAUCAUAGUGUUUUAAACAUUGCAUGCAUGAAUAUAGCGGUGAUACACGUGCUGUGCACAUGUUAUACCAUAAUGUGAUAAUGCAUGGCGUUUGCAACUCACAGCUAAAUGCCGAACAAUCUAAACCAUACUAUACAUCAAACAAUCUCACAUUUUAUUUGAAUUUGUGAUAAUGUGUGGCGUUUGCAGCUUACAACUAAAUAUCGAACAAUCUAACAAUACUAUAUAUCGAACAUUCUCACAUUUUAUUUGAGUUCGUGGUAAUGUGUGGUGUUUGCAACUCACAUCUAAAUACUUGUAGGCGUAGGGGGCGGGGCAGCAUACAUAAUGUGAUAAACACAUUAUACAUAUGAGACAUGGUUUAGAUUAUGAAGAUCUAGAUAGAGCUAGAAAUGUAAUGUGAUUUGAAAUCAAAAUAAAGUGGAUUCAAAAAAUCGAGUUCGAGUUCAUAUAGUACACAUAGUUCAUAUGUAACUCGAGACUAAUCAUGUGGUGUGCUGUGAAGAUAAUACACAAACGAUGGUUUAACUUGACAAUAACGAUGAUUGUAGAUCUUAUUAAAACAGAGAAACAAAUUCAAAUGCUUUGACUUCACAACAAUCAUUACUGUAGAUCUUAUUGAAUAGAGAAACGAAUUCAAAUUUAGUUCAUAUUGAAGCGGUAGUAUAUACGUUUGGAAUGCACUAAAACGUUCAUUUGAGUAGUAGGUUGCAUGCAUUAUACACGUAGCGAAAUAUUUUAAUUGAACAUAACAUGAAUUGAAAGUUUUGAAUGACAUUUGUAGUGCGCAUUGAUUUGUUACAAUACACGUUAGGCUUGUCCGAAAAUUUCAACCCGCGCCUUGUUAGCCCAAAAUAUUUAAGAUAUAUCUUUGUCUCGUCGUGCUCCGACAACUCCCUCCAUCUCAACCCGCGCCUUGCUAUUCCAAAAUUACAACGCACGUGAAAACUCCCACCUCCUGUGAAAUCCCGACACGCAAAAUGCCCGUGGUACCCCUGAACCAAAAGAACAACCUCAAAUCGGUGGGGGUACUUUCAUACUUACCCCACAUUUCGGACAAGCGCGUCCCUAAGCCAUGGUUCCCCACUGCCAUCCCAUCUAACCACCCAUUCAUACACCGAGGCGACGAAAACCCGCGACGAAACCCCACACCCUGCUCCCUCCGCCACCCAGCGGGAGCCUCUUCCCCGACGAUGUCGUCCACAAUAACACCUCGACGUCCCUCAUCCACCAUACCGGAUGAGGAUCCGUCAUCAAUCUCGUCGUCCCGCCGGUUCAGCCACCCCAUCCUCCACCUCCAAGGAGCUGCCCCGACGUUCCCGUCGUCUUUCGCGCCACCUCCAUUCCCACACCACCGUCUUCACCUACACCACCGAAAGAGCAUCAUCAUCACCGUUUCCUCGGAUGAAGCUGCGGCCUAAUCGGCGCAACCAAAGAGGUUGUAUACUAAUCGCCGCAUUUUCAUCUUGAUUCGAUCUCACGGUGCUGCCGGCGCUCGGUCCCGAGCCGACACGACGCGGCUCCAUCCACGGCGGCGUUGCUGGCCACUUCCUCCACGGUGUUGCUCCCUCAGUGGCGACGUCCACAUCAGUAGGAGCUGCUGCUGCUUUAGCUCUUGCUCGCGCUGCUGCUCUGCUCUUGCUCUCGAUCCCUUGCCUGGUCUACUCUUGCUAUUGCUCUUGCUCGCGCUGCUGCUCUUGCUCUUGCUCUUGCUUGCAAUGCUGCUCCGAUUUAUCUACACUUCAGUCGACUGAAUCGACUUUUGGGUCAGUCGAUUUUUAGGGGGUAGGGGGGCUCGUCGGGGUGAAGGAAGAAGCAACCACAGCGGGGAGGGGGGCUCGCCGAAGAGGUACCCCACUAUCUAUCUUAGGGUACAUGGUGGGGGCAGUGGUCGCCGGCGGUGGUGGGGCGUUGGCGGGGCGGUGGCAUGGGGAUUGCCGGAGAAAAAGCUCGGCACGGGGGGGCCUAGAGGGAUGGCCGGGGCGGCGGCGGACCGGCCGUGGGGAGUGUUUUCAGGGCAGGCGGGGCGGCGCACCGCCGGCCACGUGCGGCGGGGGGCUGCUGUUUGGCCGUUGGUGGCUGGCGGCUCAGGGGGGUGGAGGUUGAAGAUGAACUACAUGCCCUUGAUUUCGUAUCCAACGGCUGCAAAAUCGACUGACUAGAGAUGAAAAAGUCAGUCGACCGACGUGUAGCCUCACCUUGCUAGUGCGUUCAGUUUCGACAGCAAAAUUCAGUUUCGACAGCAACAUUCAGUUUCGAUAGUUAAGUUCAGUUUCGACAGUUAAGUUUAGUUUCGACAGUUAAAUUCAGUUUUGACAGUUAAGUUCAGAGAUGAGCGGCUGAUGUAUUUUACAUCUAGUACUUUGCGGUUAUGUAUUUUACGUGAUGUAAUGGAGAUGCUAUUAGAAUUCCACUCAGGUUAACAUUGUUCGUUGUAUCUCUUGUCCUGCUUCAGCCUCGGCGUCGUACAACUCACCGGAGCUACUCCAACGACGAAACCCUCCAUCACAGUGGAGUAGUACCUCGGGCUCCAUCUCCAGACGCCUAAGAUCUUCUUCCCCUCCUCCGACAGCAAAGUCAGCAGGAGCAUCCUCACCGGCCAACCCAAUCACACUGAGAUCGACAUGGCUUCGCCAAAGAGGUUGUACACUUGUUGCAUCUAUUUUUUACUCUACAUGUUAUAUAUAUUGUCCACUGAGCACACGGAUUUGUUCCUUUAGUGUCUCCUUGAAAGAAAAAACAUAGGAAUUUUAAUUUUCACUUGUCCUCCUUUUCAAAUUCCUAUUCAUGAAGCACAAGACUAAGAGAUAGUAGCAUAAUAACACUAUAACCAUACAUUUUCUUGUGGUUUGACUUAAUCUCACCAUGCUUCUUUGCAUCUUGUGAUCUUCCAAUUGUUGUGAAUCAAACACCCAGAUUGGCAGAAAUUCUCUGUUUUGCACGUGCAUUCCUAUCCUAUUCCUGUCUAUUUCCUAUCCCUGCAUUGUUGGAAUCCUCCAAUUCAAACGAGCCCUUACAGAAUUACUUCUCUUACAGAUAGUUGUCAAAGAAAACCUUGCGUGGUUUGUCCCGCUCCUGCUGCACCGUCGUCCACCCCAGCGUAGCUGCUCCAAUGACAGAAGGUCCAGCACAGCAGGGAUCCGGCCUCCAGUCUGUCUUUCGCCGCCUCAGAUCUUCUUCCCCACCGCUGGCAGCCAUGAAAACUACAUUACCAUCAUCAACCGAGCAGAUGACAUUGAGGACUACACGGGUCCGCAAGAGAGGUUGCACUCUUUCUUGUCUGCUUACGUUAUGCAUCGCUUAAUAUUACAUGCUACUUUAUCGUCCUAUUCACCGAUUAGACUCUGAAUCAGCUCCAAACUAAUGGUUAAACUUGAGUUUUUAAAUGGUUGUGGGGUACAUAUCGGGGCCGCUAUCAAUAGUAUAUAUCUACUAUCUGGUUAAUCUCCGGUGUCUACUAUGAGUUUCAUGUUGGGUGGGAAACAAACAGUAAAUAAGCCAUUGUCUGUAUUUUUUAACUGAAGCCAUCAUCUGCCUGCUAUUAUUGGUUUUGGGUCUAUCCAUAGGUUUCUACCAUCACUCUAGAUUUCUGCAUGCACUCCUUACAUAAUCUCACUAUGUUUUAUUCCUAUGCAUGACAGUUGUUGUAAACAAGGGAACUAAACAUGUAGAGCAAAAGAGACGAGCCUUGCGUGGCAAUAAAGUUUCAUGCAGACGUUGCUCCAUGGUAGGCGCAAGGCAGCCUCCCUCCAUGCAUUUCGGAUUGUAAUCGAGAGGAAUAUAUCUGUUCUGAGGGGGAUUCAGAAGGAGAAGACAAUUCCUAUUUACCCCCUGAGGUCUUCGCUCCAACUUGGCAUGCUCAUGUUGGUUAUAUCAUGCAUAUGGUGUCUUGCAUUGCUUACUUUAUACAUCAAACAUGUCAUCUGCUUAGUUUAGACAUCCUUUGUGCGAAUGCCAUCUGUUUAGUUUAUUCAUCGUUUAUGUGAAUUAUGCAACACCAUCUUGUUUAGCCAGGCAUCAUAUAUGUGAAUUUUGCAAUGCCAUCUGCUUAGCCAGUCAUCUUAUAUGUAAAUUAUAUAAGUCCAUCCUUUUUUUGUUACAUAUUACAUUUGUCAACAAUGUUAGUACAUUCAAAUUCUCUUCGUGUGCAUCAGCCAUUUGACACGGUGAUGGCAAAUUCUAGAGUGAAAGCAAGGUCUUCAGAGCAGACUAUGCUAUCUGACAAAGUGCAUAUCUCGCUGGUUACGGAUAGCUCCUCAGAGGAGGAUUCAGAGACAGAUGACCAGUCCUAUUCCCCCCCGAGGUGUAUGCUCUAACUUUGCAGGGUUAUGUUUCUCAUAUCAUGCAUAUGGUGUCUCGCAUUACUAUGUCAUUUGAUUAGUUUAGACAUGCUUUGUGUGAAUGCCACCUAUUUAGUGUCUAAUUACCAUAUAUGUGAAUUAUGCUUUGCCAUCUUGUUGCAAGAAAUUAUAUAUGUGAAUUAUACAAUGCUAUCUUGUUGCAAAGGCAUUAUAUAUGUGAAUUAUGCAAUGCCAUGCUGUUUAGACAAUCAUCAUGUAUGUGAAUUAUAUCAUGCUAUCAUUUUUUUGUAUUACGUGUUCCAUUUGUCGACAACGUUUGUAUAUUCAACCACUCUUCCUGUGCAUCAGCCAUUUGAAGCGGUGAUGGAAGUAUCUGGAGUGAAAACAAGGUAUUCAGAGCAGACAAUGCUACCUACUGAAGCAGACAUCUUGCCGGUUACAGAGAGCUCCUCAGAGGAGGAUUCAGAGACUGAUGACCAGUCCUAUUUCUCCCCUGAGGUCUAUGCUCAAACUUGGCAGGGUUAUAUUACCCAUGUCAUGCAUGUUGUCUUGCAUUUCUUAGUUUUUACAUCAUAUAUGGAUUGCCAUCUGCUUACUUGCUUACUAUAUAAAUCAUAUAUUUGAAUUAUAUCAUGCCAUCAUGUUUACAUAGUACAUACACAUCAUCUAUCUGAAUUAUGGCAUGGCAACCCAUUUAAUAAAGACAUCAUAUAGUUAUAUCAUCUCAUCCUGUUUAGUGUUUACAGUCAUCAUAUUUUGAAUUAUGGCAUUCUAUCCGUGAAUGUAUGUGAAUUAUGGCAUGCCAACCUAUUUAAUAAACACAUUAUAUAUUUAUGUCAUGUCAUCCUGUUUACAUAGUCUGAUAUUUUGAACUAUGUCUUUCCAUCUUUUUUAGUUAGCCAUCAUAAUGUGAAAUUGUGUCAUGCUAUCCUGUUUAGUUAGCCAUCAUAUAUGUGAAAUUGUGUCAUGCUAUCCUGUUUGGUUAGACAACAUAAAUAUGACUUAUUUCAUGCCCUCUUUUAUUCCCCACUAUCCAUUGCACCUGUCUAUCAUACAAUGUCUAUACUUUCAAUUACUUUUCUUGUUUAUCAGCCAUUUGAAUUGGAGAGGGUGAUGGCAAUAUCUAAGGGAGUAACAACACGGUCUUCAGAAAAGAUAUUGCUACCAGUUAAUGCAGAUAGAAACACGGUUGUACUUGCCCAAGGACCAGAUCCACCACACAUAACCCAGACUCUCACAGAUUGUACCCCUACCCAGUUGGAUAGAGAACCAGCUACACCUCUUCUAACCCCAACCCCGACAGAUAGUAACCCAGUUCUAGUUGACACAAUACCGUCUCCACCACAGAGCACCCAAACACGAGCAGUUAGUAAGGGAACUGCAGUGCCCAAAGCACGAGGACCACCACUCCGAAUCCCAACUCAACGCUUAAAGGAGAAGAAGAUUUGUUCUCAGGUCAGGUUCUGUAGCUAUGGUUCAUACUCCUUUACUCUUGCAUUACUGUAUUUACUCAUACCAACUAUUUUCAAAUUUGAAGGAUGGAAUUGAAACUCCAAUGGCACAAUAGGUAUGUUUUAAACCUGUUUCUUUAACUUGUUUGAUGCUGUAACCUGCUCUAUGUUGAUUUUAGUUUCAAUUGAAUAAACAGUUAUGUUCUCAUGUCAUGCACAUUACAAGUGUUAUUAUUGCUCUAUAGUUACCCACACUUAUAUUCUGUCUAUUCUGCUUUGUCUUGAACAAAUAUUAUUUGAACUGUGUCUCUAUCUUGAUUUGGCAACAAAAACUAGAAUGAUAUAGACAAUAAAGUGACCAUGGUACAUAGAUAUAUGUUUGUUUCAUGCUGUUAUCCUGCCCACUUUACUACUCAAAUCAUUUACCAAAAUGAGUUUCAUAUACAACAUGGUAAACAUGUGAUGUGUCUGCUUGUUUCUCUUUUAGAAUGCGGAUAAAAUAUUGGAGAACAGUAUCGCGUUAUCCAAUGGUAAAGGAAGUAAUGCAGAUAAGGUUCAAGAUAGUGAGACAUCCCUGUUGGUCUCCAAGAAAGCUGAUAAAAACUAUCUUGAUGACAGUGAGAGAACCCAAAAGUCCUGUCUUGAUGUAGUGUUCGAGUUACUGGCCACUACUGCUGGCACAAGCUCUUCGAACUCGCUGCCUGAAUCAGUUCGUCUUCUUGAGUCUCCACUUCAAGUUGAAAGACAUCGAUCAGAUGUGCUGCGACAGGAAGCUGAAGGACUGAGGAAGGCCCUGCAGAAUUCAGAUGCAUAUUUCCUGGUGCAACAGCAAGCGCUGGAGGAUUUAAGCGCCAAACAAUAGAAAGUUAAUAAGCUUGCUAAGCAUCUUGCCAGCAUUAUGGGUACCCAGGAUAUUGUUUCUUGAGAUCUUCUGAAGUGGUUUCAGUUCUGGAUUUGUUUUGCUACGGCGUUUAUUUGCGCUGGUCGCCAACUUUGACAACCAGUGUAUAUGAUAUGCUGCUUUGUUCCCUAUAUUUGCACUGGUGGCGAACUUUGAUGCCCAGUGUAUGUAAUAUGUGUAAUAGCCAUGAUAGCCUAGCGUUAGUUUCUUGCUUAUUUAUUUCCUUGUUGUCUUGUUUAUUUGUUUGCUUGUAGUCAUUACAGUUCUUUUUCUGUGGUUUGCUAGUGGCUGCAAUAACCUAUUUUUAAAAACUAGGCCACAAUAACCAUGGGCUAAUAUUUACUGUAGUGACACUGGGCCUCCUGCUGGCCGUAGAAACAGUGGGCCUUCUACGGGCCAUAGAAACAAUGGGCCUUCUACGGGCUGUAGAAACAAUGGGCCUUCUGCGGGCCGUAUCGUCAAUGGGCCUUAUACGGGCCGUAUGAUCGAUUGGCCAAAUAUGGGCCAAACAGACCGCAUUAUGGCCGUAAACGGGCUAGAGUUGGAAUCAUCCGUUCAUGGGCCGACCAUAACGGGCCAUCGUUAAUAGGCCGUAUUUGAUGACGCUAUGAAAAUGGGCCAACAUAUUAACGGACCACAAACGGGCCGAUUGUAACCACGGGCUAAAUUUGGCCCACAAGCAGAAAAUGGCAGUAACGGGCCGUAAGUAAACGAAUGCUAGAAAUGAGCCCAAGAAUAAAUGGGCUCUGAGAAGGCUGAAAGAUAACAUGGGAUGGAAACGGCCCAAUGGAAUAACGGGCCGUUAAUGGGUUUAACGUGAUACACUGUUCAUUAUGGGCCAGUUUCACCAUGGGUCGUUAAUGGGUGUAAAGUGAUACACUGUUCAUUACGGGCCAGUUUCACCACGGGCCGUCAAUAGGCCAAGAGUUACAAAGGGCCUCAUAUGGGCCGAAAGACGUCAUGGGCCAUACAUGGGCCAGAAGUGGAAACGGGCUGGAAUCAUAUUGGAUGGCCCAGAUGAUGCUACUGGGCCUAAUUCGGAUAGGGCGUAACGGGCCUUGGGUUAGCGGGCUGUAAAUGGGCUAUAUGCGAACAGGCCGUUAACAGGCUUUCCAUGGGCCGGCCCGCCACCUUUUUACCAAGUCAAACGGGCCGACCUUUUCACAGGAAUGGGCCUCUGUUGGUCCGUGCCACGUGUCGACGUAUCAUAGGUGCCUUCUGUCCAAUGAGUGGAUGACAUCUGUCCCAACAAUGAGCCGACACGUGUUUCCUCCAGCCAAUGAUGAUUUUACACGUGGAAAAUCCCCAUUGGUCGGGGCUGUUAACGGGUUAUCGGAUCCAAAACCCGACCCGAUAGCUUAACGGCGUUCCGUUACGAUGGAUGCCACGUGUCGGUCACCCUUGAUGAAAGCACUUCUGUGACGCGCGAUUUAUCGUCAUGGAAGAGGACACUUCCGUGAUGAUAAUUUUGGUAAUGUCAUGGAAAACUUCUAUGACAGCACAUGUAUGACUAUCUUGAUUCUGUCAUAGAAUCGUCACCGAUGUACAUGCAUGACAAAAAACGCGACCUACUGUGACAAACACGUAUCAUCACGGAAGUGUAUUUUUUUGUAGUGAUGUGCCUCGCUACCCCUACUAUGUCACUGGGUGAUGACACCGCAAGAUUGAACCCAAAACUAAACACCUCUCCCAUUGCAAGAAAAACCAAUCUAGUUGGCCAAACCAAACCGAUAAUUCGUAGAGAAAUACAAAGAUAUCAAAUCAUGCAUAUAAGAAUUUAGAGGAGACUUAAAUAAUAUUCAUAGAUAAUCUGAUCAUAAGUCCACAAUUCAUCGGAUCUCAACAAAAACACCGCAAAAGAAGAUUACAUCAGAAAUAACUCCAUGAACAUCGAGGAGAACGUGGUAUUGAAGAUCAAAGAGACAGUAGAAACCAUCUAGCUACUAGCUAUGGACCCGUAGGUCUGUGGUAAACUACUCACAUAUCAUCGAUAGGGUAAUAUGGUUGAUGUAGAAGCCCGGUGUGAUCGAAUCCCCCUCUGGCAGAUCAUCGGAAAAGGCCCCAAGAUGGGAUCUCACGACAACAAAAGCUUGCGGUGGCGGAAAAAUAUUUUUGUGGAUGCUUCUGUUGGUUUGGGGAUAUUUUGGAAUUUAUAGUGCAAUGAUUAGGGUUGGGGUAAUCCCGAGAGGGCCACGGGCCAGGGAGGUGCGUACCUCCCCCUAGGGCGCGCCUCUGUGGCUUUUGGACUCCUCGUGAGUCUUCUGACCCCCUCCCCAAGCCUUCUGGUCCAAGGAAAAUCACCAAGAAAGUUUUAUUCCGUUUGGACUCCGUUUGAUAUUCUUUUCUGAAAAAAAAUCAAAAACAAGGAAAAAACAACAACUGGCACUGGGCACUAGGUUAAUAGGUUAGUCCCAAAAAAAGAUAUAAAAAAGUAUGGUAAUGGAUAUAGAACAUCCAAGAUAGAUAAUAUAAUAGCAUGGAGCAAUAAAAAUUUAUAGAUACGUUGGAGACAUAUCAAGCAUCCCCAAGCUUAAUUCCUGCUUGUCCUCAAGUAGGUAAAUGAUAAAAACAAAAAAUUUGAUGCAGAAUGCUACCUAACAUAAUCAUUAAUGCAAUUUUCUUUAUUGUGGAAAAAAUAUUCAUAUCCAUAAGAUUCAAAACAAAAGUUUAUUAUUGACAUAAAAACAAUAAUACUUCAAGCAUACUAAUAAAGCAAUUAUGUCUUCUCAAAAUAACAUGGCCAAAGAAAGUUAUCCCUACAAAACCAUAUAGUCUGGCUAUGCUCCUUCUUCAUCACGCAAUUUCAUCAUGCACAACCCCAAUGACAAGCCAAGCAAUUGUUUCAUACUUUUGCUGUUCUCAAAACUUUUUCAACUUUCACGCAAUACAUGAGUGUGUGCCAUGGAUAUAGCACUGUAUGUGGAAUAGAAUAUGGUGCUUGUGGAGCAGACAAAAAGAAGGAGAAAGUCUCACAUCAACUAGGAAAAUUAAUGAGCUAUGGAGAUGCCCAUCAAUCGAUAUCGAUGCAAGUGGGUAGGGAUUGCCAUGCAACGGAUGAACUAGAGCUAUAAGUGUAUGAAAGCUCAAAAAGAAACUAAGUGGGUGUGCAUCCAACUUGCUUGCUCAUGAAGACCUAGGGCAAUUAGAGGAAGCCCAUCAUUGGAAUAUACAAACCAAGUUCUAUAAUGAAAAUUUCCCACUUGUAUAUGAAAGUGAUAAUAUAGGAGACUCUCUAUCAUGAAGAUCAUAGUGCUACUUUGAAGCACAAGUGUGGAAAAAUGAUAGUAACAUUGUCCCUUCUCUCUUUCCUCUCAUUUUUUGUUUGGGCUUCUUUGGCCUCUUUUUUCUCUCGUUUUUAUAUUCAGUCCAGAGACAUCUCCCAACUUGUGAGGGAAUCAUAGCUUCCAUCAUCCUUUCCUCACAUGGGACAAUUCUCUAAUAAUGAUGAUCAUCACACUUUUAUUUACUUACAACUCGAUGCUAGAACAAAAAUAUGACUCUAUGUGAAUGCCUCAUGCAUAUGAGAACAAUAUGACAAUGAUGGUACGUGUCAUGAUAAACGGAACGGUGGAAGUUCCAUGGCAAUAUAUCUCAGAAUGGCUAUGGAAAUGCCGUAAUAGGUAGGUAUGGUGUCUGUUUUGAGGAAGAUAUAUGGUGAGUUAAUUGCACCAUGGAAAGUUGUGCGAUACUAGAGAGGCUAGCAAUGGUGGAAGGGUGUGAGUGCGUAUAAUCCAUGGACUAAACAUUAUUCAUAAAGAACUCACAUACUUAUUGCAAAAGUCCAUUAGACAUCAAAACGAAGUACUACACACACGCUCCUAGGGGGAUAGAUUGGUAUGCAAAGACCAUCGCUCAUCCUCGACCGCCACUCAUAAGGAAGACAAUCAAAAAAUAAAUCAUGCUCCUACUUCAUCACAUAACGGUUCACCAUACGUGCAUGCUAUGCGAAUCACAAACUUUAACAGAAGUAUUUCUACCAAUCCAAAAUUACCCACUAGCAUGAAUCUAAUAUCACCAUCUCUAUAUCUCAAAAAAAUGCAAGGAAUCAAACUUCUCACAUAUUCAAUGCUCUUUAUAUGAACGUUUUUAUUAUAUCCCUCUUGGAUGCCCAUCAUAUUAGGACCAAAUUCAUAACCUAAGCAAAUUACCAUGCUAUUAAAGACUAUCAAAAUAAUAUAAGUGAAGGAUGAGGGUUCAUCAAUUUCUAUAAAAUAUGGCCACUGCCGUGCUCUAAAAACAUAUAAGUGAAGCACUAGAGCAAACUACCUAGCUCAAAAGAUAUAAGUGAAGCACAUAGAGUAUUCUAAUAAAUUCAUGAUUAAUGUGUGUCCCUCUCAAAAGGUGUGUACAGCAAGGAUGAUCGUGACAAACUAAAAAGCAAAGACACAUAUCAUACAAGACACUCCAAGCAAAACAUGUAUCAUGUGGUGAAUAAAAAUAUAGCCUUGAUUAAAUUUACUGAUAGAUUGAAGAUGAAAGAGGGGAUGCCAUCCAGGGCAUCCCCAAAGUUAGAUGCUUGGUCAUCCUUGAAUAUUAGCUUGGGGUGCCUUGGGCAUCCCCAUGCUUAGGCUCUUGCCACUCCUUAUUCCAUUGUCCAUCAAAUCUUUCCCAAAACUUGAAAACUUUACAACACAAAACUCAACAGAAAACUCAUAAGCUCCGUUAGUAUAAGAAAAUAAAAUCACCACUUUAGGUACUAUUUUGAACUCAUUCUAAAUUUAUAUUUGUGUUAUAUCUACUGUAUUCCAACUUAUCCAUGGUUCAUAACCCCCGAUGCUACCCAUAGAUUUAUCAAAAUAAGCAAACAACACAUAGAAAACAAAAUCUAUCAAAAACAAAACAGCCCGUAACAAUCUGGAAACUUCGUAUACUUCUGUAACUCUCAAAAUUCUGAAAAGUUAGGACAACCUAGGAAAUUUGUAUAUCAAUCAUGUGUAAAAAAUCCAGAUCAAAAGCACACUUCUGUGAAUUAUGAAAAUUCCAGCAAUGAGCGCAAAAAUUCUGUUUUUCAGCAAAAUGAAAUCAACUAUCACAAUAGAUCAUCCCAAAGGUCUUAGUUGGCUCAAACACUAACUAAAACACUAUGACAAAAUUACUACAUAAGUAAUAAUGUGUAUUUUCAUAAAACUAGAAAAUAAAAAUAUUGGGUUGUCUCCCAACAAGCGCUUUUCUUUAAAGCCUUUUAGCUAGGUGUUGAUAUUUCGAUGAUGCUCACAUGAAAGAUAAUAAUUGAAACACAAAGAGAACAUCAUGAAGCAUGGGAAAAACAUCUAACUCUAAGAUACUUCUAAUGCAUGCGCAUUUUAUUAGCAACAAAAUUAUCAAAACAAGAGACAACUAGCAUAUGCAAGGAAUAAGAAUAAACAUUGACAACCUCAACAUGAAGAGAGGUAAUGUAGUAACAUGAAAAUUUCUUCAACCAUAUUUCCCUCUCUCAUAAUAAUUACAUGUAGGGUCAUAGUCAAAUUCAACAAUAUAGCAAUCAUAUAAAAUAUUCUCAACAUGAUCCACAUGCAUGCAAAGUUGACACUCUUCCAAAAUAGUGGGAUUAUCAUCAAAUAAGGUCAUGACCUCUCCAAACCCAGUUUUAUCAAAAAUUUCAUAAUAUUUAUCAAUCUCCAAAGUAGUGGGAUCAUUAUUUCCUAAACUUGACACUCUUCCAAACCCACUUUAGAUGUUAUAGCAAACUUAUUCAUCAUGAGGCUUAAAUAAAUUUUCAAGAUCAUAAGAAGCAUUAUCACCCCAAUCAUGAUCAUUGCAAUAAGUAGCGGACAUAGCAAAACUAGCAUCCCCAAGCUUGGGGUUUUGCAUAUUAUUAGCAAAACUAGUGUUAAUAGAAUUUAUAAUAACAUCAUUGCAACCAUUGUUUUCAUUCAAUGAGCUAUCGUGAAUUACUUCAUAAAUUUCAUCACAACUUUCAGAUUCACGAAUUUCAAGCAAAACUUCAUAAAGAUAAUCUAGUGUACUCAACUCACUAGAAAUAUGUUCAUCAUAACUGGAUCUCUUAAAAAGAUUAGCAAGUGGAUGAGGAUCCACAAACUUUUUAUUCUUGAUUUCCAAUAAAUACACAAUUAUGCCAAGCGAACAAGCAAACAAACCAAGUAAGACAUUAAGGCAAACGGAAAGAAGGCAAAUAAAACGGCAAAUAUUUUUGUAUUUUCUUGAAAGCGUUUCAGAAGUGGGGGAGAGGAAAAUGAGAGGCAAAUGACAAAUAAUGUAAUGUAAUAGAUGAGAGCUUAUGAUUGGUACUUGGUAGGCUUGAUGUAGAACCUCCCCGGCAACGGCGCCAGAAAUUCUUCUUGCUACUUCUUGACUUGCGUUGGUUUUUCCCAUGAAGAGGAAAGGGUGAUGCAGCAAGUAGAGGUAAGUAUUUCCCUCAGUGAGAACCAAGGUAUCAAUCCAGUAGGAGGUACAAGCAAGUCUCCAAUCUAUGCACCUACACAAACAAUCAAACACUUGCACCCAACACGAUAAAGGGGUUGUCAAUCCCUCGGUGUUCACUUGCAAGGAUGAGAUCUGAUAGAGAUACAUAUAAAAGAUUACUAAAAUGUAAAAUAAAGUAAACACAAAUAAAUUGCAGCAAAGUACUUUUGGGUUCAUGGUUUUGUAGAUCUUAAAAUAUAUGAUGGAAAAUAGACCCGGGGGCCAUAGGGUUCAGUAGAGGCUUCUCUCUUGAAAGAAAACUUAAGGUGGGUAGACAAAUUAUUGUUGAUCAAUUGAUAGAAUAGCGUAAAGUCUUGACGAUAACUAAGGCAAUGAUCAUGAAUAUAUGCAUCAUGUCCGUGACAAGGAGACCGACUCCUGCCUGCAUGUACUAUUAUUACUCCACACAUCGAUCGCUAUCCAACAUGCAUCUAGAGUAUUAAGUUCUUAAGAACGGAGUAACACCUUAAGCAAGAUGACAAGAUGUAGAGGGAUAAACUCAAACAAUAUGAUAUAAACCCCAUCUUUUUAUCCUUGAUGGGAAAAAUACAAUACGUGCCUCGCUACCCCUACUAUGUCACUAGGUGAGGACACCGCAAGAUUGAACCCAAAACUAAGCACCUCUCCCAUUGCAAGAAAAUCCAAUCUAGUUGGCCAAACCAAACUGAUAAUUCGAAGAGAAAUACAAAGAUAUCAAAUCAUGCAUAUAAGAAUUUAGAGGAAACUCAAAUAAUAUUCAUAGAUAAUCUGAUCAUAAAUCCACAAUUCAUGGGAUGUUAACAAACACACCACAAAAGAAGAUUACAUCGGAUAGAACUCCAUGAAGAUUGAGGAGAACAUGGUAUUGAAGAUUAAAGAGAGAGAAUAAGCCAUCUAGCUACUAGCUAUGAACCCAUAGGUCUGUGGUGAACUACUCAGACAUCAUCUGUAGGGCAAUAUGAUUGAUGUAGAAGCCCUCCGUGAUCGAAUCCCCCUCCGACAAAUCGCUGGAAAAGGCCCCAAAAUGGGAUCUUACGAGAAAAGAAGCUUGCGACGGUGGAAAAGUAUUUUGGUGGAUGCUUCUGUUGGUUUGGGAAUAUUUUGGAAUUUAUAGAGCAAAGAUUAGGGUUGGGGGACUCCCGAGGGGGCCACAAGCCAGGGAGGCGCACCCCCUACCCCUAGGGCAUGCCCCUGUGGCUUGUGGACUCUUCGUGGGUGUUCUGACCCCCUCCCCAAGUCUUCUGGGUGUCUUCUGGUCUAAGAAAAAUCAUUGCGAAAGUUUUAUUCCGUUUGGACCCCGUUUGAUAUUCCUUUACGAAAAAGUCAAAAACAAGGAAAAAACAGCCACUGGCACUAGGUUAAUAGGUUAGUCCCGAAAAUGAUAAAAAAUAGUGUGGUAAUGCAUAUAAAGCAUCCGACAUAGAUAAUAUAAUAGCAUGGAAAAAUAAAAAAUUAUAGAUACGUUGGAGACGUAUCAGAGACCCACAUGAACAUGGGUAGUGGGGAAAUUCCUCACACCCCUGGUCUAGGCGCACCAAGAUCCUCCCUUAAAAGUAAUCGUAUCAUAUCCCAAAGGGAUAAGAUUAGAAUCCCUAAAAGGGGGGAUAGCGAUCGGUGGGGUAGGAAAGGAGGGAUUUCCUUUGUCCCCCUUUGACCAACGAUCCUAGGUCCUUGGAGGGCAAGCCACCAACCCCCUCCAUGCCUAUAUAAAGGUGGGGAGGCAUUGGGGGCAGCCCCCUUGAAUCUUGGCCCGUUACCUCUCUCAAGUGCUCCCACGUUUCACCGAUAUGUGCUUUGCGAAGCCCUGCCGGAGUUCCGAUGCCACCAGCACCAUGACGUCGUGUUGAUUCAAAUGUCAUCUACCUCCUCUCCCUCCCUUGCUGGAUCAAGAAGGAGAGGACGCCGCCGAGCCGUAUGUGUGCUAAACUCGGAGGUAGCGCACGUGCGGUACUUGGAUAGGAUUGGAUCUUGACGCGAGUACGACUACGCUAACUAUUAUCUCUAGAUCGUUAACACUUUCGGUCUACAAGGGUAUGUAGACACCACUAUUCAUAUCAUCACCAUCAAAUAUGUGAGUCAAUAAUCCCUGUGGAACAUGUUGUGUGUUACUCGAAUCAUCCAUUAAUGUAUGCCAUCACACUUGUCAUGAUGUUUGUUGUCUCCAUGUGCGAGUAGACCCCUAGUUCUCGAGGAUAUGGAUGAACAUUGGUAUGUGUAGAAUCUCAAAAGUUACUUUGGAUAUGAGAUUCCAUGUUGAAUGCUUAGUUUAAUAACUUCAUGAAUGUUGUGAAGGGGGCCCACUCAGCAUUUGUGCCUAUUUGCCACGAAGUAUAUCUUUGUCAUUUUUUUGACUAUAUACUGCAAGGCAAAAAUCAUCACAAUUCACUUUAUUAAAAAAAACAAAUAGAAAAGAGUCAUGUACAAGCUAGAGAAAGGGAGAUAUACUUACAAAGUAAUACUUACAUAGAAGGAAGUUAGCCUAAGAAACUAACUAGGGUAGAUUAGACAACCAGUCCAUGUAACCAUCCUUAAAUUUACAUUUGAUCCUAUGGGUUAACACAGUCAUGUCAUGGAUGAAGUUUUGCCUCCAAAGUCUUAACAGAGGCCUUUCAUUCCUAAAAACCUUUCCAUUCCUAAUGAUCCAGAUGUUCCAAGCAGCAGUAAAGACCACCUUAGUCAUUCUAAAGGGCUAGGACGUGAAGGUAAUUCAGGGUGACAGUAAAAGCCUUUGCCCCUAACCUUUGCAAUUGAUAGGUUAAUUACAGAGAACCCUUAGAGAGGCCGUGUCACGGGGUAAACCCUUAAUUAUCAUGAGCUAUAACCCUAUGGGGGAGACUAUGAAGGUGGCAGGUGUGGCACAAAGUGUACUUCGGGAGAACAUGUAAUGUAUCCUGCUCCGCCCAACAAAAUCUCAUUGACCUUUCAACUAGGUUGCUUCUGAAAAUUUUAGCCAUAAGGGCUAUUACAUCAAUUACAAUUGGCACUAUUGGGUUUAGUAUCUGUAAUAUCAUCGUCUCUACAAGUUUUCUUGACACCCAAGUCUUGUAAGACUUUUUCUUGUACGUGCUUAUUCUUUGUUAACAUCACUUUAUUUUAAUAGACCGAUUUUUAUGGAUUUUUUUAGAAAGUUACAAAUACAUUUUUUCUCGCUCUAAGUUUUAGAAAGUGAUUACACCGGUACCUUGGAUCAUUCAACUGUACAUAUUAUCAUAUGAAAUUUAAUGCGCAUGGGCACGACCUCUAAAAUAUAACUUUGGCCCAUAAUAUUUUUGUUAUGUAAGGAUACAAGUCAAUAUGGCAAUUAAAUUGCACCAAAACUAGGAAGAAACCAUUAAUGCGGAAAAGGAAACGAGUAUGAAUCAUUGUGCAUUUGCUCCUCUUUAUAAGCACCGAUGCAGGAGAGAUACUUUCAUAGAAGGACAACAUCAAGAGAAAGUAAGUAAUAGCCAGGCAUUCAUGACGAUGGCACUUAUCAAGAAAAAGACACACAUUCUCUAUUUUGUUGCUCUUUUGCUGAUGUGUACCCCUUUUCUGUGUGGCCCUGUAGCAGCUGGGAGGGACAUAGGUAAUUUCCAAAUACGUUUCUUGAAUGAGUUUCUCGAUAUUCAACAAACCCAAAUGAUUAAGUAUCUUGUAUUCCAUAUGUAUUAAUUUGUAUGUUGUGGUGCUUCCUGCAUUGUGUUUAGGUACCAACACUGCAUUUGGAAACCAAUGUUUUACUUACUCGGUAUGCAUGGACCCAUAUCAAUACGCCGUUGAUUACUGCAAUAAAGAGUGAAAAAUUCUUGUCUAUGACGGGCAGAAAGGCUACUACAAGAAGGAGAAUAACGGCGUGUGUUGUUGUGUUGCUCCCUCCCUAAUGUGAAAAUCAUGUUAUACUAUCAUUUUAUAGAAAACCAUUGCUUGUAUUUGCUAGUCAGAAUACCAAUUUAUAUGAAUUAUAUGAGAAUUUCAAUAAAUUAUAGAGGUAGUUUCUUUCAAACACCAACUUGACUAGCCGAUCAAUUCUUCAGGUCAUUUGAAACAACAAUGAAGCAGCUAAAAAAUUGAAAGUACUAAAAAUCUUAAAAAAUAUAUUGGGGAGUGAAUUGAUGAAAAUAUAUCAAAAAAUUGGUAUAAAAUUUUUGUCAUUGAAAGAUGUUAGUUAAUAGUAAUUGAUGGACGUACAACUCAAAAUAUCCAUAAUUCAACCCUAGACUAUCACAAAUGUCUAAGAAUCAACCCCAAACUUUGAAACAAUCUAAGUUGCAAUUCUGAAAUGUCAAAGCCAAUCAAGUAUCAAUUUUUCCUCUCCUCAAACCGGUUUUUGGUGAGUUGAAGUGAUUUUGAACAGUUUACCGCCUAGUUAGCCGCCAUAGCACCCAAUAUUCUUCUGAUUAUGUAUUUUAUUGCAUUUUGUAGUAUGUUUGGUAGUAAUUUGUGGAACUUCCCAGAUUGAUCACCAUGGUAGUGUAGAUUUUAAGUAUUUUUAGGAAACUUUCAUUGUUUGUUAAAUAUUGAAAUAAGAGGCUGAAUAUGUAUUUUUCUUGUAUUUUUUAAGAGUGGCACAUCAUUGGGAUCAACAUGACCAUUUUUAGUAGCAAGCAUUUUCAUAGAGCAUCCAUUUUAUCACUCAAAGUAGAGACUUCCUUGGCUGAGUUUACCUUCUUACCAGUUGGAGCUCUAGAGGUGUGCCAUUGGUAAUUAUUUGUCAUUAUAUUAUCAUGGAGUUUUAUCGCUUCUCCCAAUGUGAUUCUCUUAAAAAUGCAUAUAAAGUAUCUGUCAGAAUCGGGACUCCGCGGACCCAAACAAGGUUUGAACUCCGGGGCGUGAACGAAGGAUCCAGCCUAGCUAUAGGUCGCUGCUCACCAUCCCAUGGCCUGGCUCCGACGAGUUCGGGCGAGCGGGAAGAAGAAGUGGAGACGGUGAUUUUCUGUAGCGACUAGACCUCAAACGGUCAAGUCUCAGAGCAUCUAUGUCAUCCCCGGAUUGGUAAUGAUGACACACAUAGUACUCGAGGAAUUAUAAUAGAGUCUCAAUCACACACUUAUUACAUCGAGUCCUCGUAAAGAUUAUGAUUACAAAAAUAUAAUGGCUGAAGGCCAUCUAAACUAGAUAACUGUGGACGCUUCGAAGGUAAAUGAGUCCAUCAACUCCAACGACAUAGCUGAGUGCAAAACAACAACCUAUCACACCUUAUUCGUCGUCUGAGUAGUCUGCAACAUAAGACGUUGCAGCCCGAAAUGGGUCAGCACAUGGAAUAUGCUGGCAUAGUUACACUGUAAAGCAAUGAAAUGCAAUAACUAUAUCUACAUGCAAUAUUUGGCUGGUGGAGGCUGUAAGUUUCAUGAUUUUUCAUAAAGCUAGUUUUUCCCUACAACAAAGGAAUAAAUUUAUUUAACUACUCCAAUGUUGCCCAUUAUUUGAGAAGGUAACCCCAACUCAAAUCCCAAUUAAAAGUAUCAUCAUUAACCCAACUCAAUUUAAUUAAAGUAACAUGACGAGAUCACAUCAAUAGAUUCAAGUACUAGAUACUCAAGACGUCCAUAACCGGGGUCAUGUCUAACCAUGAUUAGUUUAUACACUCUACAAGGGUUUGCACACUUUUCCCCACAAGACUUGACCGCAUCCAUGAUCGGAUGAUCGAGACAUAGCCUUUCUGAAGCAUUAACUCUCUACUCCGGGUAGACAGUACCACCUACAACCCUCUACAUCUGCUAGUCUACCUCUUCAAGAGCUCACGCAACUUACUCAACUAUGCCAGAGCCCAUAAUGGCUUGUGGCUGCACAUGGAAGUUUCUAGCUUGAAUAAUCUUAUGAUCCCUUUGGGCCCGGGUGGCAUUCCAUAGGAUAAUCACACAGAUACCCCGGGAUUUCCAAAAACAGGCAACACUGGGUUCCCCAGGUGCCUCAACCAAUCCACCUAGCUGUGUAUUAAAGUUGCCACCUUAAUGUUAUCCAUAAUUAAAAUAACUCUCAAACUUCCAUGUGUGAAUCACGAUCCAAUCCCCGUCUAUGAGCAUGGCUAAGCAACAAUAAGCAUAACGUAUAUUCCUGGGGUGAUCAAAAGGUAUUAGGUUCCUACCUCAAGCACUAUAACCAAAACCACAUGUUCCCAAUCCUACUAAAUGCAAAUAUUUGUGGGGCAAUACUAACGCAUAGUAAAAACUGGGUAUAAAAGAGUAUGAUCAAAGUGUAACUUGCCUUGCUGACGAUAUGCAAACUCUAGAGAUUCGUAGUAACUAGCUUUGCACUUCGGGUAAUCUAGCGUAGACAAACAAUAGCAUACAUAAGCAAUCACUCAAACAAAACACGAGAGACACCGAGAAAAGAUCCAAAUCAAACACGAAACAAGCAAACGGCUUAAACUAGCAAGUGUCAAAACCUAACAACAAUAUUAACAUGUGAAUUAGAUCUUAACAGUAGAUACAUGUGACUAGCUACGAUUCACAAAAAGAUUCAACUCAAACGGAGAAACGAAACUCAAAAUACGAAUGAAACAAGAUCGUUUACUAAUCUGGACUAAAAUCAAAUUUUUAUAGUAGCAAAAUGAUGUUCAAGUUGGUUAUCCGGAAAAAACAGAAUGAAACAAAGAUUUUGGCGCUAGUUUCAUGUAAUUUGGAUAAACGAGUAAAAAGUUAUGCUAAUUUAAAGAUCAGGGGCUAAAUCAUGAUAAAAAUAUUCACGGAUAAGUCUCUGGCCGAGAAUAAACUAAAAAGAAAAAGGCUAUCGAACGAACAUUCGCUGACUGAACUAAUCCGACGAAUAACGUUCGUUAAACGAACAAACGUCCGCUAAAUAAAAUAACCGAACGAAAAACCGAUCUAAAACAAAACCCCGAAAACCUUAAAAAAAUCGGGCGGUCCGAUUCGUACCUGUUUGGGAAAAACAGUUGGCAGCGGCGGGGUCAAUGGCGGCGGCGGAGGCUAACUAUGAGGCGGCGGCUUCGAGGCAGGGUGGCGGGUCCGGCGUCGCGGGGCGGCGGCGGCGGCAGCUAGAAGCGGCGGCGCGCAACGCGAGUGUCGGUGUCAAAACUGGGGGAUCUCAGGUAGGGGGUCCCGAACUGUGUGUCUAAGGCUAAUGGUAACAGGAGGCAGCGGACAUGAUGUUUUACCUAGGUCCGGGCCCUCUCGAUGGAUGUAAUACCCUACUUCAUGCUUGAUUGAUCUUGAUGAUAUGAGUAUUACAAGAGUUGAUCUACCACGAGAUCGUAGAGGCUAAAGAGCUAGCCUAUGAUUAUGAUUGUUGUUGUCCUACGGACUAAACCCUUUGGUUUAUAUAGACACCAGAGGGGGCUAGGGUUACACAGAGUCGGUUAUAGAGAAGGAGAUCUACAUAUCCGAAUUGCCAAGCUUGCCUUCCACACAAAGGAGAGUCCCAUCCGGACACGGGACGAAGUCUUCAAUCUUGUAUCUUCAUAGUCCAACAGUCCAGCAAAAGUAUAUAGUCUGGUUGUCGGAGGACCCCUUAAUCCAGGACUCCCUCAGUAGCCCCUGAACCAGACUUCAAUGACGAUGAGUCCGGCACACAGAUUGUCUUCGGCAUUGCAAGGUGGUUUCCUUCUCCGAAUACUCCAUAGAAGAUUUUGAACACAAGGAUCGUGUCCAGCUCUGCAAAACAAAUUCCACAUACCACCGUAGAGAGUACAACAUUCCACAAAUCUAAUCUGCCGACAACUUUUUCAUAGUGUGACAUCACGCCAUGGCCCGGUCAUUAUUUGAACCGUUUUUCACAACCUGCCACUGCACAUAUCGCGAGGCAGCUUUAUCGGCACGUCUCGUCGAAGCAGAUAUUGUGUCCCCUUAUCACGGGAUUUGCAUCAAUACGGGUGUGGGCAACCCAACCGUGCCAUCAAUCGUGGCGCUUGGGGAAUAAGCGAUUUUAGCGGGCAAGUGGGGAGGCGCAGGAUCUCUGCUGCCUUUAUAAGGGGAUAAGAACUUCCUUUUUCACCCACGCCCUCCUCUACUCAUCCAUUCCUUUUCGCUCGAGCCCUAGUGCCCAAGCGCUCCUCUUCUCCACCCAAAAAGGCUUCCCGAAAAUGUCCAGAUCCAGAGCAGGAGGUAAGUGGAUGGCCUCUACCGUCCGGGAGAAGGAUAUCAAAAAGCUUCGGGGGGCCGGGUAUCUGGCCAAGAGAAUUGGCCACCAUCUUCCAACGGUGGGACAAAUCAUCCCCACUCUGGAACUCUACAAGAGGGUGGUAUUCCUCCCUCAUUUUAUCCGCGGGCUAGGGUUUCCCCUUCAUCCGUUCGUUCGCGGCAUCAUGUAUUAUUACGGGAUUGAUUUUCAUGAUCUAUCCCCAAAUUCCUUCCUCAACAUCUCGACAUUCAUCGUCGUGUGCGAGGCCUUUCUCCGCGUCCCGCCGCACUCCGACUUAUGGCUGAAGGUUUUUAAUGUGAAUCCCAAGGUAGUGAGAGGAGAGCGUGCCGAAUGCGGAGGCGCCAUGGUGAGCAAGAUGCCCAAUGUUACAUGGCCAACAGGUACUUUUAAUGAUUUCGUCAAGGAGUGGCAGCAGCAGUGGUUUUACAUCACCGAGCCGCGUGGCAAGGAAUGGGCCGCCGCUCCAGAGUUCAGAUCCGGUGCCCCCCUGUGACUUACGUCCUGGCACAAGAAGGGCCUGAACUAGGCUUCGUCUGACGAGUUAUCAGAGCUCCAGACGCACGUCCAAGACAUGGAAGACAAGAACAUCAAGCUUGUCAAUGUAGUCCAGGUGAUGUUGGUUCGCCGGAUUCUACCAUGUCAACACCGGGCUUGCAAUCUAUGGGAGUUCGACCCGGCCAAGCAGCAGACCAUGCUAGAGCUCUUUGGCUCUAUGCACAAGGACAUCUGGAAGGUGCUUUUUAAGUCCGGCAAACCGUGGCCGGACUCCGCCGAGGACCGCGCGUACCAACUGUCCCGCCCCGCAAGUUCGGUAAGUAACUGUAAGUUGACAAUUCGUGUGUUUUAUCUGCACAUCCCCAGGAAAAUACUUAAUGUAUUUCCCAUCAAUUUCCUAGGGCUUGGCGAAGAAGGCGGGGCGGAUCUACUGUCCGGCCCCGCUGCAAAAAGAACCGGCCGGCCCACUUCUGAUGAAGAUGCUGGUCCCGGCGCCUUACAAGGCGCCAAAGAAGAAGGCCGAAAAGGAGGCCAAGAAGACCAGGGGCGGCCUCCGUCGUUGUGGAGCCUCGGACAAAAAAUCCGAAGACUCCAAUGCCCAUUCUUCCUCCGAAGAGGACGGGGAGGAGGAGGAAGACGAAUCCCCCGUGGGGAAAAAAAAGAAAAGGACGGCCUCCACAUCCUUGGAGGCCGAUUCGGCUAAGAGGGGAAAGACUCCCCUUCAAGAGGAGUCCACCGCCGCCGCCGAUAGCAUCCCAGAGUGUGAUCCCAGGGCCGAGCCCCUAGUGAACUCGUGAGUAUAAAAUUCGAACACGCUCAUGUGUCCAGACUUGUCACGGCGUGAUAUUUUAAUCUGAGCCAUACUUUUUCAGUCCGGCGAGGUCCCGCGCCGAACAAUCCUCGUCAGAGGAUUUACUAGGUUCGGAUGCAAUGGAGAGCGGGACACCGCCGAAGGCCCCCUCCCCCAAACAUAUGACUGAAACCAAGGUUUCAUCCCAGAAGGACCCAGGCCAUGGGGAGGGGGGGGGGGAGAUCGCAAAGGCGGCGCCAGGAGGCCAGACUUCAUGGUCCGGACAUACGGGAGAGAAGGCUCCCGUGAAUGUCGAUGAUGGGGGUUAUCUUGAAUCCGGCCCCCAGCCGGACACGAUCCUGGAGACCCAUAAUACUGUAGGGUCAGGAAGGCGACCUCCAUUAGCUGGAGGAGGUGUGUCUGUUCCACCGGCAACCUCUGUCCAACCAGAGGUGCCGGAUGCUUUAUUGGCAGCGCUGAAGGAUGCCUCCAUCGUUGAUGAACAUUGUACCCUUAUGGGUGCGGUGAUUGAGAAGAUUCAGUCUGCUGAGAGUGGACUAAAUGAAUCCUGUAUCAGCCUCAUAAGAGGCUUUGAGGUAUGUUUUAUGAAGUUUGGAAGAGUGUCAUGGUAUAGAUAGCAGCCCCUGAUACACUGUUCGGUGAAAGAAAGAACUGGACAGAGGAUCAAAUUUAUGUUUGCAGGAGACUCACUUGAUGACAUCUAUCACUCUUUUUAAUAAGCAGGUGUCUAGCGACUGCUGCCUCUCAUGCUGCGGAAGUAUCCAGACUGAGGCGUAGUCUGGAGCGGGCUGAAGGAGAACUUGGCCAAGUGAAGAAACAACUGGAGGGUAACAAAGGUAUGCAGAAACCUUGCUUAUUUAGCACAAAUGAAUAAGUGUGCAUGAUGAAAAUAUUUUGAUAAUGUGCUCUAGGGGUGACGGCCGAAAUUGAGGCUCUUAAGAAGGCUGUGGCCGAAGCCGAGAAGAAGGCACCUGCAGAGCAGGCUCUUCGUGAGAAGCACGAGGCCAGAGUUAUUGAAGCUGAGCGGGAGCUUCAGGAGGCCGUAAAGAAAUGCGAGUCCUUGGAGCAAAGCUUAUCAGGGAAAGAAUCUGAACUCUCCCAGGCUCGCCAAGCCACCAGUGAUUCCCAGGGGGAAGCCCGAGGUGUCGUGAAGGAAAUCCAGGAGGCGAGGACGAUUGCGGCUGGUAAGGCUUUUUCUAUACAAAGCGGGUAUUUGAGCGGAGAAAAUCAAGUUUGAUAGCAUGAAUUUUGAUUUCUACAGGGGUAUUCGCGGAGCUGCCGUGCAGCAUAUCUGAUGCCGCCCAAUUCUAUCGAGCCGAAGAGAGGAAUACUGCGGAUAAGCUCUUCUGGAUGCAGUAUCUGGCGCCGAAUUAUCCGGUGCCUUUCUCCGAUCAACUGAAGCAGUUGGUCGAACUACGUAAGGCGGACGAGCUAGCCAUGAAGGAUUUAAUUAUCCGGAUGUGGCCCACUGAGCCAAUUCCUAGCAGUUACUUCGGGCUCGUGAAGCGGCUUGUGAGUGCCUACCCUCGACUCGAAGUCAUCAAGCGGUCAGUCUGCAUAGAGGGUGCGCGAAUGGCCUUCGCCCAUGCAAAGGUGCAUUGGGGGAAGAUGGAUGCGGAAAAGCUGAUGACCGAGGGACUGCCGGAGGGGAAGGAGCACCGCAAGCCCGAACUGUAUUAUGAAGGUGUCUUGAAAGGAGCCCGCCUUGCGGUGGAGCAAUGCACUAAGACAUUAUAUUUCCUGUGCUAGUUCUUAUAUGCUGAAGACUAGUAAAUUCAAGUGGGAUUUACUGGAGAAGAAUUAAACGCAACUUUGAAGAUUGGGGUUCCGACGAUGGUAAGUGACGGUGUCCUGGACUAGGGGGUACUCACCACGUCGUCCCCCAAUCGGUUAGAUUGGGCCGAGGACCCCCAGGGCCGUAUACUCAUGGGCCAGUCCGAACAGCUGCCGCAUACAAGGAAGAAUCCACAAGACUCGGCGAUCAAGACAAGGACUCCUCCCCCACCGGCGUAUUCGGCUAGGACUCUUGUUAUCCUAGGCCUCUGGUGCAUUAUAUAAACCAGGGCCAGGCUAGUCGACAGAUACAACAAUCAUACCAUAACUAGCUUCUAGGGUUUAGCCUCCUUGAUCUCGUGGUAGAUCUACUCUUGUAACCCACAUCAUCAAUAUUAAUCAAGCAGGACGUAGGGUUUUACCUCCAUCAAGAGGGCCCGAACCUGGGUAAACAUCGUGUCCCUUGUCUCCUGUUACCAUUGAUCCUAAGACGCACUGCUUGGGACCCCCUACCCGAGAUCCGCCGGUUUUGACACCGACAUUGGUGCUUUCAUUGAGAGUUCCGCUGUGUGAUCGGCGAAAGGAUCGAUGGCUCGCCUGCAGAUCAACUACGACUUCGGCAUCUUCGUCACCAGCUCGACUGGUCACCUUGGUUCGAUCAAGGACUGUGCCCUACCUCCGAUUGUCGUGUUCGGAUGAGGGCCUUCAUCAUCAUCAACUCCGAUCUCUAUCAAGAUCAUGGAGGAAUCAUCCAGGGAGCCCGGGGGCUCAACGUCAACAUUGCCCUCGGGCGACCGUACUAUUUUUCUGGACAGCGGACUUGUGUCCGCCGCCACCGCCUCCCCAAGCGUCAUUUUAACGAUUGCUUCGGUGUAAUUGUGCGGAAUUGAGUCUACAACAACCCUGGAAAAUUUUGUCGAGUUCCGAUGGAGGAAUCUCUGGCAAUCUCCGAUAUACCGGAGCCGCAUUGAAUCUGGACGAGAAUCCGGACGAGUUUAGGGCAUGGUGUCCAGAUUCUAGCUCGGACUUCCUUUGGAAGAUCCAACCGUUGAUCGGCUGCGGAAUUCCUAUAUCUACCACCCCUCAAAAUUUCAGCUCGAUCUGACCGUCCAAACUCUAGGAACCUUCCGAUUAGUGCAUCACUUUUUGGAUCUGUUUUCUGCGCGAAAACGAAUCCGACGCGAGUUCGUCUUUUUUAUGAACGGGAUUUCGGACAUCCUUUUUGAAGGAAGUUUUGUAUGGGGUGUUGUGUUUUGUUCCCGAACACAUCCAACUAACUUUAAGAUCUUUUGAACAUGAUCUUCAACAUCAUGCUGGUGUCAAACCAGUCCGGCAAUAUUGCUCCACGGCUGCCGACCUGCACUAGACACGUCGUCACUUUGUUGAGCCAAGCUCAACUUCUUCGGAUCAUCAUCUUGGUAAGCCGAACAAGAGUCUGGCAUCACGAAGGAUAAAUCAUCACCAACAUCGCCGCCCCGCGGAUUACACGGAGCGGGCAUACCGGCAUCGCCACUUGGUCACUUCAUCAAGCCGGCAUUAACCACGUCACGACCUGCAUCGGCAGGGUUGCACUAUUGCUUCUUCAAGCUGGUGUCCAUCAUGCCGACCUACUUCGACUCAUCGGCUGACACCAAGGCCUUAUCACGUUAGCUGGACCGGGGGCUUCAUCAUCUCUUCAUCAACCUACUCCGGACACUUCGGCGUCACUAGCCGACCAGCUCCGUCACGUUAGCUGGGCCGAGGGCUUUGCCUCGGAGAGCCAACCUUUGCCGGCAUCAUCAUGCCGUCGUUUUAUCACCCAUCAGGCAAUGGGUGCGCGGAUCGAGUCCCGAUUCUGGGAAUCACCUUCCUUCAGAUUACUACAAUGAAUAAACUAGGUGCUAUUAAUCCUAGUAUUUUUUUGCUUGUUUGGGCUCAUUUUUUCCACGAAAUUAUUACUCUGGUUUGUCCAUCAUAUGUACACAGGUCUAUCAAGUGGUGGCCGAAUUAUCGACGGUUGCAUGAUGGUUCGGUCAGUUUCCGUACAAAGUCCGGCGAACGCCGCACCCGGAACUUGAACCGACCUGCGAAUUCAGGCCUUGCCAUGCCUUUACCACGUCACGCCGCCGCCCUGCACCGACUUCGGCGCCAGGCCAUAUUUCUUUUAUUACUCAUUUUGCAUAAAUUAUUUAUUAUGCAACAUUUUUUUUAUUAUCUCUGGUUUGCACUAUUUUUUGUGCACGGGAAAAUGAUCCAGCCGGACUUUAUCCUUCGACGUCACCUCGGCUGGACGGGGGGCUUCGUCAACACUUCAUUACUCCAUGCCAGGGACUUCGGCGUCACUCUGUCGUCCUGCAUUGACCGUGCUAUGUCACCACUUCACAGUGCCGAGCUCUUUGCUCCGCCACCUCGGGACCGGCUUGGGGGAUAGAACCUUGUCCCGCAUCAAGCUCAGACCGCAUCGUCAAUACCGAACACAUUAACCAGCUAAGUUUCAUUCAUGCUCAAAGUUUUAAAUUUCUAACUUGUGUUCGUUCGACCAAGCAUUAUACUUUUUUGUAAAAAAGUUGCUUGUAAAAAUUUUCCUUGUCGAAACUUUGUUCACACACACUUGACGCGCUACCCGCGCUCAUUAUACCUGGGGGCUUCUUUAACAGAAGCUUAUUAAUACGGGCUUUAUGCCCAACACAUGUGUCACACUUCUGCAUGUACCUUUUAUUCACCAUUAUAUGCAUCGAUAUGACUUAAGUUUUGGCCAAGCUGGGUUGCCUGGCUCCUGUGCUUACCCCUACGUUCCCGAUUGUUCGGCUAGGUGGUAAAGGGAGCACCUCUGCGAUUGUUACUGCCGGGUUAGCCGGAUGUGUACCUCAGACUGGGUGAAGCCGAAAGCUAGCGUUCUUAAGAGAAUACUCGGUCGGUGAACUAAAAGAUGAUUUCUUACCUAUUUAUUUACCUGCCCCCAGAUGUUUUUCUGCUCUUUUCGCAGUCCGGACAUGCACUUUAGGGCAUGCCUCCCAGGGAAAGGAACCCCUAACGGAACUAUUCUCCCUGGAACAUGUUUCUUACUAACCAUGUAAUAUAACAUAAAUAGUUGGGCACUUGUCUGAUAAAGCACUAAUGACCCCUACGCUUGGUCUCCACGCAUGCCCCGGUUUUUAUAACCGCGAGGGUGUUCGGACACACUCCGGACUAUUGGGUCCAGAGGUUGAAGCGAAAAGGUCCGCUACGACAAACGAUCUACAAUCCGGCUAGAAGGCAUUUUACAUGUCACCUUACAUUUUAUAGUCAACUUUUACCCAAGUCGCUUCGGGGCUCUCAUGUUUAUUUGAGCCGUUUCAUACUAAGUGUUUUUCUUCUUAGUCGUUGCAAAGUUAAAGCACGACAGAAGCACUUUUUUUUUCUAAAGUCCAAUUUUCGGAUUGGCACCGAACACUUGAUCUUGUUCGGACGUCAUGUUUUUACUGACGUUUUUUGGUUUUCCAAGCUUUUGGCACUUUUAACUAUUUGUGUGUUUUCAGCACAAGUCUCGCAGUGCAACGCCGGACACCUUUAAAGAUUCGGCAAAAACAUUCUCGGAUGUUGCUAUAUAUGCAUCAGCUUCGAAUUGUGUCUUCGGUCAAUAGUUGGGUUGCUCGGCUCCCGCGAUUGCCUCCUACGUUCCGCUUUGUUCGGCUAGGUGUGCAAAAGGAGAACCCCUGCGAUUGUGCUUCCAGCUCAUAUGGUUAAGCACCUCAGUGGAGAAAGCCGAAAACUAACUGUCACAAUAAGCAUAAACUGGUCGGUGAUCCGAUGACGGCGUUAAACGACGGGCCAUUCAUAACAAUGGCCGAAGUGUUUACGGCUUGACCUCGACUGUCGCCGAGCACUAGCGGGGGCUAUUAACUGGCCUCCCAAACUAAAUCCUCGAUAUUUUGCUCUUACAUUGGAGCUGAGGUUUCAUGAUCAUGCUUAGCAUGACAACCCAAAGAAAGGAACCGAUAGCGGGACUAUUUUCUUUGGAAGACAUUUCUUCUGUUAAACAGUAAUAUAACAUAUCUCUCUGCGUACCUUUGUUUAGAAAGCCGUAUGACCAGAUUGCCUUGUUUGUCGUAAAUCUUUGCCCUCAUAAAGGCUUUAUAAAGUAGGACAAACACUCCUCGGCUACCGGCUGAGGAGGUUGAAGCCCAUGGUCGGUCAACAAAGUUUUGUACAAUGCGGAUCCGAGCAUUAAUGACAUAAAGUACUUGGAUACAUUGAGUCAUUACACAUAAUUUGUGAUUUUACUAUGGAUAUUGAUCCUUAAUUCGGCCACCCGUGCCCGCAUUAAGGCUCGGGGGCUACUGGGCUUCGGGCUUAUUAUUUAAAAAUAUUAAAGGGGCACAUUGAUCCCCUGAUCUGGUGUUGCCACCCGACCAGUGUAUCGGGGGCUACUGCGUUGCUUGUUCUAUGCAGAAAAUCUUAAGUGCAAUACAGUUUCCAAGGAGAUUUUGAUCCUCAGGUUGGUCGGCCGCACCCAACCUGAGUCUCGAGGACUGAGCAUGCCGCUUUUUGUGUCCCGAAGUAUUCUGCCGAGCUAGGACUUGAUCCUCAGACCGAUUUUCCAAAUCAACCCGAGUCUCAGCGGCUAUGGGGAUCAGCGGUCUUAUGUCAUCCUUCAGGUGCAUCUCGGGUUUUAGACCGAUACAUACCUUGAGGGCUACUGGCUAUAUAUCUCGUUAGAGAAUAAAUUACAUCAAUAAAAAACAUUAACCAAAAAUCAGCCCAUGACCGAGGUGCUUAACCACCUCGGAAGCGGUUCGACAUAUAGCUCAGAUGCAAGUGGCUGGCUCCUUAGAGGGCAUUUCCGGCAUUAAGCUCGGCUAAACUCCUUCAAACUUCUUUGGACCAAGGUGAUUUUCGACACCUCGGAUACAGUCCGGCAUUGGAGCUCGGAUAUAGUCCGGCGUUGGAGCUCGGAUACAGUCCGGCGUUGGAGCUCGAAUACAUAGUCCGGCGAUAGAGCUGGGAAGCAGUCCGGCAUUGGUGCUCGGCUGCAAAAGAUACCUCGAAUGUAGUCCGGCGUUAGAGCUCGGACGCAAGAGGACACUGCCUCCCGGGCAUAACUUCAAACCCGAGGCGUGGCAUAAAAAUAAGGCAUUGAUAAAGGCCGUAAACUUAAAGGGGCUCCUCGGAUACCCAACGUGUAAACUCGUCGAAUGCAUUUCAGCGAUCCUCAAGAUAUAAGAUUUGUUGAACCAGUUUUCAAGACCGACGACCGAAGAUGAAGAACAGUUCGGAAGAAUCGAGGAGCGUCCCUAACUUGAAGACCGGUUCAGGGGGCUACUGACGGUGUCCUGGACUAGGGGGUACUCACGACGUCGUCCCCCAAUCGGUUAGAUUGGGCCGAGGACCCCCAGGGCCGUAUACUCAUGGGCCAGUCCGGACAGCUGCCGCAUACAAGGAAGAAUCCACAAGACUUGGCGAUCAAGACAAGGACUCCUCCCCCACCGGCGUAUUCGGCUAGGACUCUUGUUAUCCUAGGCCUCUCGUGCAUUAUAUAAACCAGGGCCAGGCUAGUCAACAGAUACAACAAUCAUACCAUAGGCUAGCUUCUAGGGUUUAGCCUCCUUGAUCUCGUGGUAGAUCUACUCUGGUAACCCACAUCAUCAAUAUUAAUCAAGCAGGACGUAGGGUUUUACCUCCAUCAAGAGGGCCCGAACCUGGGUAAACAUCGUGUCCCUUGUCUCCUGUUACCAUUGAUCCUAAGACACACUGCUUGGGACCCCCUACCCGAGAGCCGCUAGUUUUGACACCGACAGUAAGGAUUCAAGUAUGACACCUAAGUUUGAUUGUGUUAAAUCUUUUAUGGAUACCGAUGCUUUUCGUGGAUUUAGCGCUAAAUAUGGACUUGACUCUGAGAUAGUAGGUUCUUUCUGUGAAUCUUUUGCUGCUCAUGUUGAUCUCCCUAAGGAGAAGUGGUUAAAUACAAUCCUCCCAUUGAAGAAAAAGUAGUUGCACCUAUUACAGUUGAAGAAAAGUCUAUCACUUAUAAUGAUCCUAUUGUUCCUACUACUUCUGUUGAGAAACCACCUUUUCCUGUUAGGAUAAAUGAUCAUGCUAAAGCUGCAACUGUGGUCCGUAAGAGUAAUACUAGAACAUAUACACCUCCUGAGCAAAUUAAAGUUGAACCUAGUAUUGCUAUGGUUAAAGAUCUCUUGGAUGAUAAUAUAGAUGGGCAUGUUAUUUAUUUCUAUGGUGAAACUGCUAAUAUUGCUAGACCAAAUGCUAAGAUACAUAGACCUGUUGUAGGCAUGCCUGUUAUUUCUGUUAAAAUAGGAGAUCAUUGUUAUCAUGGCUUAUGUGAUAUGGGUGCUAGUGCUAGUGCAAUACCUAUUUCCUUAUACAAAGAAAUUAUGCAUGAUAUCGUACCCAUUGAGUUAGAAGAUAUUGAUGUUACAAUUAUGCUUGCCAAUAGGGAUACUAUCACACCAUUUGGGAUUGUUAGAGAUGUCGAAGUCUUGUGUGGGAAAGUUAAAUAUCCUGCUGAUUUUCUUGUUCUUGGUUCCCCACAAGACGACUUUUGUCCCAUUAUAUUUGGUAGACCCUUCUUGAAUACUGUCAAUGCUAAGAUUGAUUGUGAAAGAGACGUUGUUACAAUUGGCCUAGGGGAUAUGAUACACGAGUUUAAUUUUGCUAAGUUUCGUAGACAACCCCAUGAUAAAUAAUUGCCUAGUAAAGAUGAAAUUAUUGGUCUUGCUUCUAUUGUCGUGCCUCCUACUGAUCCGUUAGAACAAUAUUUGCUAGACCAUGAAAAUGAUAUGUUUAUCAAUGAAAGAAGGGAAAUAGAUGAAGUAUUCCUUAAACAGGGUCCUAUUUUGAAACACAAGUUGCCUGUUGAAAUCCUAGGGGAUCCCCCUGAGGGAGUCCUGGAUAAGGGGGUAUCCAGACAAUCGAACUAUAUGCUUUGGCCGGACUAUUGGACUAUGAAGAUACAAGAUUGAAGACUUCGUCCCGUGUCCGGAUGGGACUCUCCUUGGUGUGGAAGGCAAGCUUGGCGAUUUGGAUGUAGAUCUCCUUCUCUGUAAACCGACUCUAAGUAACCCUAGCCCCCUCCGGUGUCUAUAUAAACCGGAGGGUUUAGUCCAUAGGACACAACAACUAUCAUACCAUAGGCUAGCUUAUAGGGUUUAGCCUCUCUGAUCUCGUGGUAGAUCAACUCUUGUAAUACUGAUAUCAUCAAGAUCAAUCAAGCAGGAAGUAGGGUAUUACAUCCAUCGAGAGGGCCCGAACCUGGGUAAACAUCACAUCCCUAGUUUCCUGUUACCAUUAGCCUUAGACGCAUAGUUCGGGACCCCCUACCCGAGAUCCGUCGGUUUUGACACCGAAAUUGGUGCUUUCAUUGAGAGUUCCUCUGUGUCGUCGUUGUAAGGCUCGAUGGCUCCUCCAACCUUCAACAACGCCAUCCUGGGUGAGAUUUUCCUCCCCAAACAGAUCUUCGUGUUCGGUGGCUUCGCACUGCGGGCCAACUUGCUUGGCCAUCAGGAGCAGAUCGACAGCUACGCCCCUGGCCAUCAGGUCAGGUUUGGAAACCUAAACUACACUUCCGACAUCCGCGGGGACUUGAUCUUCGAUGGAUUCGGGCCCAUGUCAGGAGCACCGAACAAUCACGACAUGCACGACCUAGAUCUGCCGUCGGACAGUAUUCGGAACAUCGCACGUGCUACGGCUCCGGACGUUCCGGAGCAGGUCGUGUCUUCCGAGGACGGGUGGAUGGACCCCGCCCUGGAGGCCGCAUACUCAUCGGUGUUGGAGCCGAACACAGACUCUGCUCCUAAGGAGAUCUCUGUCUCCGGACCCCCGGACUAGUCUCCGGCCGUGUGUUCCGGACCGCGCGCACACAUGCCCAUUAAAUCUAAUUGGGCUCCGUGUAUGGAGUUCACCGCCACGGAUAUCUUUCAACACUCACCCUUCGUAGACGUGCUAGAUUUAUUAAGGUCUCUCUCUCUCUCUCUGUCAGGAGAUUCCUGGCCGAACCAUGUUCGGCUCGAGUGGGAAGCUGGCGACGAAGAAAUUCGUUACCCACCCACCACCCACUUAAUAGCCACGGUCGAUGACUUGAACGAUGUGCUUAACUUUGAUUCCAAAGACAUUGACGUUAUAGACGACGAUGAGGGAGCAGAACAGGAACCACUACCCACAGGCGCUGGACUGCCACCUCUUCAUAUGAUAUAUAUAUGGUGGAUACUCCCAAAGAAAACAAUGGCGAUGAGGCAACAAGAGAUAACCCCUCAGGGAAGAAAUCAAAGCAUGGACGUCACUGGCGCCGCUCCAAGCCCCACCACAGAAACACCGACACUGGAGAAGAAAAUCCAGAUGGUGCCGAAGAGGAAUAUGAUCCUGAUCAACCCACCUUCGAGCAAGCCGAAUAGGAACACGGGCAGGCCAGCCCAGACGAAUAGGCGACGGACGGAUACAUGGAGGACGAUAACUAUAUGCCUCCCUCCGAAGAUGAGGUGAGCCUCGGUGACGACGAAUUCGGCGUACCAGAGGAUCCCAUAGAGCAGGUGCGCUUCAAGCGCCGGCUUAUAGCCACUGCAAGAAGCCUGAAAAAGAAGUAGCAGGAGCUCCAAGUUGAUCGGGAUCUGCUCACAGACAGAUGGACUGAAGUCCUGGCAGCUGAGGAAUACGGACUCGAGCCCCCCAUCAGGGGUUACCCAAAGCACAAAUCGCUAGAAGAACAGGCCGAAGAGCCUGAACUUCCAGCACGAGAUGAGGCUGACCAGCCACCCCGUGGCCGGGACAAAACGGCAUAUCAGGCCAGAUACCAGCCCGCACCCCCACGCCGGUUCACUACGGCCCGGGGCAAUACGCAAGACCUGCGAGACAUAUUGGAAAACAACGCAUGACAACCAAGAUCGAUCUACGGAUCAUGGGGGCGCGCCACUGAUCGUUAUGCCGGAUAUAAUACUGAUAAAUCUGGCCGGGCCGAACACAACUGACCAGACCUAAUCGGACUGCGCCACGACAUAACCCGGCACAGAGGCGCCGCACACCCCCUCUGCUUCACUGAUGAAGUAAUGGAACAUGAAUUCCCAGUAGGGUUUAAACCCGUCAACAUCGAGUCAUACGAUGGCACAACAGACCCUGCAGUGUGGAUCGAAGAUUUUCUUCUCCAGAUUCAUAUGGCCCGCGGUGAUGACCUACACACCAUCAAGUAUCUCCCACUCAAGCUUAAAGGGGCAGCCAGACAUUGGCUGAAUAGCCUGCCAACAAACUCCAUUGGCAGUUGGGAAAAUCUUGAGGAUGCAUUCCUCGAUAACUUCAAAGGCACCUACGUGCGACCACUGGAUGCUGAUGACUUAAGUCACAUUACCCAACAGCCCUGAGAGUCAACCAGGUAAUUCUGGACUCGGUUCCUAACUAAAAAGAACCAAUUUGUCGAUUGUCUGGAUGCCGAGGCCCUGGCGGCCUUUAAGCAUAAUAUCCGCGACGAGUGGCCUGCCCGACACCUCGGGCAAGAAAAACCGAAGUCCAUGGCGGCCCUCACGACACUAAUGACCCACUUUUGCGCGGGUGAGGAUAGCUGGCUAGCUCACAGUAACACCGCACCAGGAAACUCUGGCACUUCAGAUAUCCAUGACAGUAACAGAAAGCCACGACGAAACAGACACAAACGUCAAAACAAUGGUGACAAUGCUGAGGAUACGGCAGUCAAUGCCGGAUUUAGCAACUCCAAAUCCGGUCAGCGGAAGAAGCCGUUCAAAAGAAACAAUCCGGGAUCGUCCAGUCUAGAUCGCAUACUUGAUCGCUCGUGCCAGAUUCACAGCACCGCCGACAAACCAGCCAAUCACACUAACAUAGAUUGCUGGUUGUUCAAACAGGCCGGCAAGAUAAAUGCCGAGAACAAGGACAAGGGGCUGCAUAGCAAUGAUGACGAGGAGCCCCGACGUCCGAACACUGGGGGACAGAAGAAAUUUCCCCCCAGGUGAAAACGGUGAACAUGAUCUAUGCCACUCACAUACCCAAACGGGAGCGAAAGCGUGCACUUAGGGACGUCUAUGCGAUGGAGCCCAUCGCCCCAAAGUUCAACCCAUGGUCAUUGUCGGUGUCAAAACCGGCGGAUCUCGGGUAGGGGGUCCCGAACUGUGUGUCUAGGCGGAUGGUAACAGGAGACAAGGGACACGAUGUUUUACCCAGGUUCGGGCCCUCUUGAUGGAGGUAAAACCCUACGUCCUGCUUGAUUGAUAUUGAUGAUGUGGGUAUUACAAGAGUAGAUCUACCACGAGAUCAAGGAGGCUAAACCCUAGAAGCUAGCCAAUGGUAUGAUUGUUGUUCGUCCUAUGGACUAAAGCCAUCCGGUUUAUAUAGACACCGGAAAGGGCUAGGGUUACACAGAGUCGGUUACAAUGGUAGGAGAACUACAUAUCCGUAUUGCCAAGCUUGCCUUCCACGCUAAGGAAAGUCCCAUCCGGACAUGGGACGAAGUCUUCAAUCUCGUAUCUUCAUAGUCUUGGAGUCCGGCCGAUGAUGAUAGUUCGGCUAUCCGGACACCCCCUAGUCCAGGACUCCCUCAGUAGCCCCUGAACCAGGCUUCAAUGAGGACGAGUCCAGCGCGCAUAUUGUCUUCGGCAUUGCAAGGCGGGUUCCUUCUCCGAAUAAUUUAUAGAAGAUUGUGAACACCAGGAUAGUGUCCGGCUCUGCAAAAUAAAUUCCACAUACCACCGUAGAGAGAAUAAUAUUUACAAAAGUUCAAUCUGCUGACGUAUUUUGUGGCGUGACGUCACACCACUACUAAGCCUUUACUCGAAUUGUUUUUACUGUACCACCUCAGCGUGUUUAGCGAAGCGGUUUCCUUGGCACGUCUUGUCGAGGCAGAGAUCGUGUUCCCCUUAUUCCUGGAUUCCCAUCAAUACGGACAUGGGUAACCCAACCGCGCCAUUGAUUGUGGCGCUUGGGAGAUAAGCGAGUUUUAUCAGGCCAGUGGGGACACAUGUUUUCGUCCGCCCAUAUAAGGGGAUAAAGAUCCAACCCUUGUACCUACGCCUUCUUCCUCCUUUGCUUAUCCAUCUCCGCGAACUCGAGCUCCAGCACCCAAGUCCGCACAUCUCACCUCAACCUUCUCCAACUAUGUCCGGAGCGGGAGGCAAGUGGAUGGCCUCCUCCGUUACGGAGGGGCACAUCCAGAAGUUGCGCAACACCGGAUAUCUGUCCAGCGACAUCGCGCACCGGCUCCCUGACGAGGGGGAGCUCAUCCCCACCCCCAGGCCCCAUGAGAGGGUAGUAUUUCUUUCCCAUUUCCUUCGCGGACUGGGCUUCCCACUCCAUCCCUUUGUCCGGGGGCUCAUGUUCUACUACGGCCUGGAUUUCCAUGAUCUGGCCCCGAAUUUCAUCCACAAUAUCUCGGUGUUUAUCGUCGUGUGUGAGGCCUUCCUGUGCAUCCAGCCUCACUUAGGCUUGUGGCUCAAGACCUUCAGUGUCAAGCCGAAGGUUGUGAAGGGCAGCCAAGCGGAGUGCGGAGGCGCCAUGGUGGGCAAGAUGCCCAACGUUACUUGGCUCGAGGGCACCUUCGUGGAAAACAUUAAGGGGUGGCAAUCGGGGUGGUUCUACAUCACCGAGCCGCGUGACCCUGAAUGGGCAGCGGCCCCCGAAUUCAGAUCUGGCAUCCCCAUACGACUCACCUCCUGGAAAGAGAGUGGCCCGACAUGGGGUGAUUCGGAGGAGCUAACCGGACUUCAAGCCUACAUCCAAAAGCUAGUGAACAAGAAGCUCAAGCUUUUCAACGUAGUCCAGGUCAUGCUCAUCCGCCGGAUUCUCCCGUGCCAACAAUGGGACUUCAAUAUGUGGGAGUUCGAUCCGUCGCAGCACCAGACUUUGAGCGGGCUCUUCAACACUACGUACGAAGAGGCAUGGAGGGUGCUGUUUAAGGGCACCGAGGCUCCCGCAUCCGGUACCGAAGAUCACGGAUUCAGCUCGCAGCGUCCGGCUAGCGAGGUAAGCGAUUUUGCCCUUUACGGGACACUUGUUUUCCAUAGUUUGACUCUAUGCGGGAUCUAAACCCCUCCUUUGACAGGACUGGCUGAAGAAGGCCGAACAGACUAUCUGUCCAGCCCCAUUGCCAGAAGACCCAGCGGACGCCCGCUUAACGGGGCUGCUGGCUCCGGCACCCCACGUGGUGCCGGAGAAGAAGGCCAAGAAGAAGGCCACGGGCCUCGAAAGAGUUCCCCUUUUCAGGUGUCAUCGGACGAUGACUCCGAGGCAGACUCCUCCCACAAAGGCGAGGAGGAGAAGAAGGAGGCCUCUCCCCCAGCGGGGGGAGGGAAGAAAAGGAAGGCCUCCUCAACGAGGGAGGCCGAAGGGUCCAAGAAGGGAAGGAAUCUUCCCCCGGACUGCUCCGCCAACGCCGGCGACGACAACGAGGAUUGGCCUCCAAGGGCCAAGCCUCUGGCGAGAUCGUAAGUAUCCGGACUCCUGAAUAACUUCAUGGUUUUUCUUUUCGCCACAUGGUGUCUUCCUAAUGCCGCAUACUACCCUGCAGUCCACAUGAUCCUCCCGCUUCGUCGAGCGGGUCCUUGGGUGCAUCAGAUAUGGAUUGUCUUCCGACCGCCUCCACCCCCCGUGAUGCAGACGAUGCCGAGGUGGGAUCCUGGGAAGGGACCCGCCAGGAGGAGGAGUCCCUGGAGGUGCCGCAGGGCAACCUCUCGGACUUUGCACCGGACUCCACCCCAGAACCUGUAGUGGCUCCGGAGUCCGGCGGGCGGCCCCUUCAUAAGAAGGGCAAGACCAUGACGCCGGCGGCCUCCGUCCAACCGGAGGCGCCGGAUAGCUUGCUGGAGGCGCUCAACGGCGCCUCCAUCGAAGAGGAUCAGCGCACUGUCAUGAGUGCGGUGAUUCAGAAGGUUCAGCUCGCCAAGAGCAGGCUGACCGAAGCCUGCAGCAGCCUUCUAACAUGCUUUGAGGUAAGAAUUUUGAUAUAUGUAAAAUAGUACCGCAUAGACAGUAGCCCCUGAUGCUCGGUUCGGUAUUCAGAAAGAAAAGCCGGACUGAGGAUCUAAAAAGAUAUACGCAGGAGUCAUAAAAAAAGUAUGUCAAUAUGGGAUUGCAGGCUGUGCUGCUGACCUCUGCCGCCCUGACUGCGGAGGGCAAUACUUUGAAGCAAAGCCUCGAGUGGUCCGAGAACGAGCUCGGCCGUGCCAAGAAGCAGCUCGAGGAUAAGGAAGGUGAGUAACACCUUAUUAAAAUUGUACCUUACAGAAAAGGAUUUGGUUGCAAGAAGGAUGACAAGGAUAACAUGGGUAUUGCAGGGGCCACGAACGAGGUGGCGACCUUGAAGGAGGCGGUGUCUGCGGCCGAACGUAAUGCGGCCGCGGAGCGCACCGAGCGAGAGAAGCAGGAGGCGCGGGUGGCGGAGGUACAUCAAUAGCUGCAGGCUCUCGUGGAAAAACAUGGGAGUUUAGAGCAUGACUCGAAGACUCAAGAGUCCGAGCUUGCAUCGACUCUUGAGAGUGCCAAAGCCGCUAAGGCCGAAGCCUACCAGGCCCUCCAGGAAAUCGAGGCGUUGAAGAAAAUAGCGGCGGGUAAGGCAUUUUUCAUGCAAAGUAAGCAUGUGAGUGUGAAUUACCUAUCACUUACCCGAAUUCGGAGCUCUCCAGGAGCGUUCGCAGAUCUACCCUGCAGCGUGUCCGAUGCUGCCGCUUUCUAUAGGGCCAAGGAGGGGAGCUCGACGGAGAGGGUCUUCUGGUCUCAGUAUGCUGAGGCCGGACAUCCGGUGCCCCUUAGCGACCAGCUGAAGCAGUUGGUCGAGCUCCACAAGGUGGCCGAACAGGCCAUGAAGGGCCUCAUAGUUCGGCUGUGGCCUAAGGAGGCCAUGCCUGGGAGCUACUUCGGCCUGGUGCGGCGGCUGGUGGAUGCGUGUCCACGGGUUGAAGUCAUCAAGCACUCCGCCUGCAUUGAAAUUGCCCGUCGGGACCUUGCCCGCGCAAAGGUGCAAUGGGGCAAGAUGGAUGCUGAGAAGCUUGUGACGGACGCGCCACCGCCGGGCAAGGAGUAUCGCACGCCCGAGAUGUAUUAUAAGAGUGUCCUGAAGGCUGCCCGCAUUAUUGCGGGUGAGUGCUCCAAAGAUGUAAUAUUUGAGUAGACUCACAUUUUGUUAUCCCGUGCGCUGAAAACUUUGCUCAUAUGCGCUAAGCAACGCUUUUUAAUUUAAAAUAUUACCUUCUGUGCGGCCAUUUAUCAAAUCUGAGAGAUGGCAAGUCGUCGGCUUCAACCCCCAUGCCACGAGUGCUGGGGUGUUCGGGAUAAAUUUUAGCACUCUUGUUCCCAUUUUUGGGUCCAUCUAGGGAGGCGCUCAACACAACGAACAAGGCAACCGGACUUAUAAUGCUUGAACACUCUCACUUAGCCAUAGAAUUCUAUAAUUUUAAAUUUCGGUGAAGCCCCUAGUGUUCGGAAGGCCAAAUUUGGGGCGCUAUCCACACCUGGGCCGGACAAAGCCGGUUCCUCGCUCUAAGCGGCAUAAGUCUUUCGGGACUCGAAAAAACCUCUCGAACAGCGACUGGCUCUCGCCGCAUCAUGACGGUCAGUUUUAGCUUUCUCCACUGAGGCGCUCGCCCAGCUCAACUGGGGCGCAAUUGCAGUGGUUCUCCCAGUGCUACCUUAGCCGAUACAACGGAACAUAAGGUACCAAAACAUGGGAGCCGGGCAAACCCAACUAUUGACCCAAGACAUGAUUCGGAGCCGAUGCAUAUAAUGCUAUAAGUUCGGGGUGCCGCACUUGUGAAAGUGUUCGGACUUAUCACACCAUGAUGAGGGAAGCAUAAGCCCCUGGUGUAUUUAGCCGUACCAAAGUGUACGGAUGCAACAUGUCAUAUAUGUAUAAGAAAGAAAUGCAAUUAUAAGCAAAAUGGUGCUGCAUUGUUUAUUCAAGAAAUACUGCUGUGAAUGCAUAACGAUACAAAUGGUGCGAUAAGCAAGGGAUGGGACUAUUAAACCUGCCCCCCUCCAGGGGUAGGCUGCGGAAUGGUGUAUUAAACAGAUUAAUGCUCGUAAUGGAGACCACCUGGAUAUUCAUCGUAGCCUUUCUCCUUCCCUGGCUGUUGCAUCGUGAGUUCGGCAGGUCUACUACCGGACAGGGCCUCUAAUGAACAGAGUCCUGUGGAUAAAAAAAAGAAAAAGAGAGAAAAAAAGAACGACACACUUGAGAGCCCCUGGUGUAGUUAAGCCGCAUUCUGGGCCUAUCGUGGUCGUGCCCCUCCCCCUAUGCCCAUGGUAUCUCCAGAGUGUAAUGAUGUACGCGAAGGACCUGUCUUGAAAUUUUGCAGGGGCUGGGGUUGGGGCCGCAUUGCUAUGCGUGCUCGGAACGUGCCAGGUGGUCUUGUUGUAGGUUACUCCGGGCGCGUUUAGCCGUGUCCGGUCGCUUAGCGGCCGGACUCGAGAAUUGCCUUAAGAGGCUGCACUGUACUUCUGACGCGAGAGCCGCUGUAUGUUCCUCCGUUCGGAGAGAGCGUUCAGUGUUUCCAUUGACCGUGAUGACUCCUCGAGGGCCUGGCAUCUUGAGCUUGAGGUAUGCGUAGUGCGGCACCGCGUUGAACUUUGCAAACGCGGUACGUCCGAGCAGAGCAUGAUAGCCGCUGCGGAACGGAACUAUGUCUAAGAUUAACUCCUCGCUUCGGAAGUUAUCCGGGGAUCCGAAGACCACUUUCAGUGUAACUGAGCCUGUACAAUUGGCCUCUACACCUGGUAUGACGCCUUUAAAGGUCGUCUUUGUAGGUUUAAUCCUUGAGGGGUCUAUGCCCAUUUUGCACACCGUAUCCUGAUAAAGCAGGUUCAGGCUGCUGCCGCCGUCCAUCGGGACUCUGGUGAGGUGAAAUCCAUAGAUGAUUUGGUCUAAAACCAAUGCGGCGAAUCCGCCGUGGCGGAUGCUGGUGGGGUGGUCCCUUCGAUCAAAAGUGAUCGGGCAGGAGGACCAUGGAUUGAACUUCGGGGCGACUGGCUCCAUCGCGUAUACAUCCCUGAGUGCACGCUUCCGCUCCCUUUUGGGUAUGUGGGUUGCGUAUAUCAUGUUCACCGUCCGCACUUGUGGGGGGAAACCCUUCUGUCCUCUAUUGUUCGGCGGUCGGGUCUCUUCCUUGUCAUCGCUAUGCAGCCCCUUGUCGUUAUUUUCGGAAAUUAACUUGUCUGCCUGCUUGAAUACCCAACAGUCCCUGUUGGUGUGGUUAGCUGGCUUUUCGGGGGUGCCGUGUAUCUGGAACAAGCGGUCGAGUAUUCGGUCCAAAUUGGACGGACCCGGAGUAGUUCUUUUGAAUGGCUUUUUCUGCUGACCGGGUUUGGAGCCUCUGAAUCCUGCAUUGACUGCCGUAUCCUCACUAUUGUCGCUGUUAAUGCGGCGUUCGUUUUUGUUGCGACGCGACCUGCCAUUGCGGUCCUUGAUAUCCAGACUGCCAGAAUUUUUGCUGAGGUUGUUGCUGCGGGCUAGCCAGCUGUCCUCACCCACGCAGAAGCGGGUCAUGAGUGAUGUGAGGGCUGCCAUGGAUUUCGGCUUUUCUUGUCCUAGGUGUCGGGCAAGCCACUCGUCGCGGAUGUUAUGUUUGAAGGCCACGAGGGCCUCCACAUCCGGACAGUCGACGAUUUGAUUUUUCUUAGUUAGGAACCGUGUCCAGAAUUGUCUGGCCAAUUCGUCUGGCUGCUGAAUUAUAUGGCUUAGGUCGUCAGCGUCUGGUGGUCGCACAUACGUGCCUUGGAAGUUAUCGAGGAAUGCGGCUUCUAGGUCUUCCCAACUCCCAAUUGACUCUGCUGGCAAGCUAUUAAGCCAAUGCCAGGCUGGUCCUUUAAGCUUGAGUGGGAGGUAUUUGAUGGCGUGAAGAUCAUCACCGCGGGCCAUGUGGAUAUGAAGGAGAUAGUCCUCGAUCCAAACCGCGGGGUCUGUUGUACCAUCAUAAGAUUCAAUGUUCACGGGUUUAAACCCUUCGGGGAUUUGAUGAUCCAUUACUUCAUCUUUGAAGCAUAGUGGGUGUGCGGUGCCUCUGUAUUGGCCAAUAUCACGACGAAGUUCAAAAGAGCUUUGUCUACUGUGUUCGGCCCGGCCGGACUUACUGUGUCCGGCGUGAUGGUUGUCGUCACGUAUCAUGGGGCUCCCAUGCGAUCCAUAGAUCGAUCUUGAUUGUCUUGCCUUAUCCUCCAAUAUAUCUCGCAAGUCCAGAGUGUUCCCCUGUGGCCUUGUGCUUUUCGAGCGAUGCCGGGGUACGGUUCUAGUGGAGGGCCUAGAGGCCUCUCUGUCGCGGCCACGGGGUGGUCGGUCAGCCGUAUUGUCCGCUGGUGAUGCAAGUUCAUAUGCCUCCUCCCCUAAUCGGGGGAGCAGCUUGCGUUUAGGGUAGCUUUUGGAGGGGCGUUCGAGCUCAUGCUCUUUGGCCGCAAGGACUUCAGUCCAUCUGUCGGCUAGCAGAUUUUGAUCAGCUCUAAGCUCUUGCUGCUUUUUCUUGAGGCCGUUUGCCGUGGCCAUAAGCCUUCGUUUAAAACGCUGUUGUUCGACGGGAUCCUCAGGUACGACGAAUUCGUCGUCGUCGUCGAGGCUUGCCUCGUCUUCGGAGGGAGGCAUGUAAUCCUCUACCUCUUCGUCUGCCGCUCUCUCAUGAGGGCUGGCGUCUCCGUCCUCCUGUGCUGAAUCUUGCUGGAGGGGGUUGUCUUCGGCACUGUCUGGGGUGUUAUUAUCUCCGGUGCCGGAAUCUCCAUUCUUGCUGUGGCGGGAUUUAGAGCGGCGCCGCUGACGAUGGCGCUUGGGCUGUUUCUUGGAGGGGUCAUACUUCGCUGUUCCUUCGCCAUUCCCAUCCUUUGGGAUAUCCACCAUGUAUAUGUCAUAUGAUGAGGUGGCUUUCCAGUGCCCAGUAGGCGCUGGUUCUUGGUCGUCUCUGGCAUCGUCGUCCAUACCGUCGAUGUCUUCGGAGUCGUAGUCUAGCAAGUCGGUUAGAUCGUCGACAGUGGCUACUAAGUAGGUGGUGGGUGGGCUUUGAAUUUCUUCGUCAUCCGCAUCCCAACCGUCCUGACCGCAGUCCGGCCAGGGCUCUCCUGAUAACGAGAGAUACUUUAGCGAACUCAAGAUGUGGCCAAAAGGUGAGUGUUGAAAGAUGUCCGCAGCGGUGAACUCCAUGAUCGGCGCCCAAUCGGAUUCGAUUGGAGGGGGCAUGGGAGGUUCGGAGUCCGGCGAGGAGUCCGGCACCUCGGAGUAACGAGCUUCAUGAGGGACAAGGUCAGUGUUCGGCUCCAUCGUCAUAGAGGUUGCAGCCCCCGAGGCAGUGUCUAGCCACCCGUCCUCGAUCUGCACAGCCGGCUCCGAAUUGAGGAUCGGAGCGGACUUGUGUGCGGCCUCCAGGGCACUGUCCGGCUGCAGAGCUAAAUCAUGCCCAUCGUGACAGUGCGGCGCGGUCGGCUGUGGCUCGAAUCCAUCGAAGAUCAAGUCUCCAUGGAUGUUAGCCGUGAAGUUCAAACUUCCAAAUCUGACCUGACGGCCAGGGGCGUAGCUUUCGAUCUGCUCCAGAUGGCCAAGUGAAUUGGCCCGCAGUGCAAAGCCGCCGAAUACGAAGAUCUGUCCGGGGAGAAAGGUCUCACCCUGGACUGCGUCGUUGUUGAUGAUCGAAGAAGCCAUCGAGCCUAUUGGUGACGACACAGAGGAACUCUCAAUGAAAGCACCAAUGUCGGUGUCAAAACCGGCGGAUCUCGGGUAGGGGGUCCCGAACUGUGCGUCUAGGCGGAUGGUAACAGGAGACAAGGGACAUGAUGUUUUACCCAGGUUCGGGCCCUCUUGAUGGAGGUAAAACCCUACAUCCUGCUUGAUUGAUAUUGAUGAUGUGGGUAUUACAAGAGUAGAUCUACCACGAGAUCAAGGUGGCUAAACCCUAGAAGCUAGCCAAAGGUAUGAUUGUUGUUCGACCUAUGGACUAAAGCCAUCCGGUUUAUAUAGACAACGGAGAGGGCUAGGGUUACACAGAGUCGGUUACAAUGGUAGGAGAUCUACAUAUCCGUAUUGCCAAGCUUGCCUUCCACGCAAAGGAAAGUCCCAUCCGGACACGGGACGAAGUCUUCAAUCUUGUAUCUUCAUAGUCUUGGAGUCCGGCCGAUGAUGAUAGUUUGGCUAUCUGGACACCCCCUAGUCCAGGACUCCCUCAGUCAUCCUGCCCGAUCACCUUUGAUUGUAGGGACCAUCCAACCAGCAUCCAUCAUGGCGGCUCAGCCGCAUUGGUCCUUGACCCAAUCAUCGACGGAUUCCACCUCACACAAGUCCUCAUGGACAGUGGCAGUAGCCUGAACUUGCUUUAUCAGGACACAGUGCGCAAAAUGGGCAUCGAUCCGUCAUGGAUCAAACCCACCAAAACCACCUUCAAGGGUGUAAUUCCAGGGGUAGAGGCCUGCUGUACGGGAUCAAUAACACUGGAAGCGGUCUUCGGAUCUCCAGAUAACUUCCGAAGCGAGGAGUUCAUCUUCGACAUCGUCCCUUUCCGUAGUGGCUAUUAUGCACUACUUGGACAAACCGCGUUUGCUCGAUUCAAUGCGGUACCACACUAUGCAUACCUCAAGCUCAAAAUGCCAGGACCUAACGGGGUUAUAACAGUCAAUGGAAACACAGACCGUUGCCUCCGUACGGAAGAGCACACUGCGGCCCUCGCGGCAGAAGUACAAAGCAGCCUCCUUCGACAAACAGCCAAUUCAGCAACAACAACCCCGAACACCGUCAAGCGAGUCCAGAGCACCCCGCAACAGGACCGUCUGGCAUGCCAGGAGCUCGAUUAGCAAUCCGGCCUCCACCCCAGCCCCAUUUAGGCGGCAUUCAUGCCACGCGUACACAAAUACACGCUUAAAAUACCAUGGGCAUAGGUGGAGGCGAGACGACCAUGCGGCCUGCAGUGCAGUUCAGCCGCCAUGAGGCCCGCACACCAUUUUUCUUUCUUUCUUUCAGGACCCUACUUUCGGGCAGCCCCUUCAGAGAGAUCGGAUAACCAGACUCAUCCCAGGAGGGAACACCAAGUAGGCAAGCGGCGUUGCACACAAGGGAGUACCCAAGUGGUCUUUGUUAAUGAUCGUUAUACCUGUUUUACGUACCUGCAUGCAGCCUGCCCUUGGAUAGGACAUGUCAAAUGGCCCUAUUUGUUUUCGCUUAAUGCAUUAAUUGUAAACAUACGCCUUGACGUAUUAUACAAAUAACAAUGGGAAACGAUAUACCAACGUCAACUUCUUACUAAUAUCUUCAUAUUUUCCCUUGAAUAUUUAUUUAAUAUUGCAUCCGUACAUUUUGGUAUGCUCAAUUUGCCAGGGGCUUCUUAUCGAGCCCCAUAACAUGGCAAGAAAAGUCCAAACACUUUCGACAGUGCGGCACCCCGAACUAAUAGCAUUAUAUGCAACAACUCCGAAUUAUGUCUUGGGUCAAUAGUUGGGUUAGCCCGGCUCCCUUGUUUUGGUACCUUACGUUCCGUUAUAUCGGCUAAGGUAGCGCAGGGAGAACUACUGCGAUUGUGUCCCGGUUCUUCCGGACGAGCACCUCAGUAGAGAAAGCCAAAGACUGACCUUCAUGAUGCGGCGAGAGCUAGUCGCUGUUCGCGAGGUACUAAAUCCUUAAAUAUUUUUUCCGCUUAAGGCGAGGAAUCGGCCUUUCUCGAUUUAGGCGUGUAUAGCGCCCUAGUUCGGCCUUCCGAAUAUUAGGGGCUUCACCGAAAUUUAAAAUUAUAGACUUCUAUGGCCAAGUGAGAGUUAUAAAGCCGAAUAGCCCAAUUGCCUUGUUUGCUGCGCUAAACACCUCCUUAAAGGACCAAGAACUUGGAUAAAUAGUGUUUGAGUUUCCACCAACACCCCAGUACUAGUUACAAGGGGGCGGAAGCCGACGACUGGCCUACUUUCAGAUUUUGAUAAAUUGCCGCAGAGAAGGUAAUAUUUUAAAUCAAACAAAGUGAUAUAUAGCACAAACAAACCCGUUCUCAUAUUACAAGGACGACAUGAGUACAUUCACUCAAAAAUUAUGUUCUUAGGACAUUCAUUUGCCACGAGCCGAGCGCCUUUCAUAACGCCAUCAUAAUACUUUUCGGGGUAGCGAUGCUCCUUACGCUCCAGGGGUCCAUCCAUCAUGAGCUUCUCAGCAUCCAGUUUGGCCCAAUGCACCUUCGCGCGGGCAAAGGCCCGCCGGGCACCUUCAAUACAGACGGACAGCUUGAUAACUUCUAGCCGUCGACAGGUAUUCACCAUCCGCUUUAUCAGGCUAAAAUAGCUGCCGGGUAGGGGCUCGCCAUGCCACAUCCGGACUAUGAGGUCCUUCAUGGCCCGUUCAGCUGCAUUGUGGAGUUCGACCAGUUGCUUGAUACGUCUCCAACGUAUCUAUAAUUUUUGAUUGUUCCAUGCUAUUAUAUUACCUGUUUUGGAUGCUUAUGGUCUUUAUUUUACAUAAUUAUAUUAUUUUUGGGACUAACCUACUAACCGGAGGCCCAUCCCAUAUUGCUAUUUUUUUCCUAUUUUAGUAUUUCGAAGAAAAGGAAUAUCAAACGGAGUCCAAACGGAAUGAAACCUUCGGGAGCGUUAUUUUUGGAACAAAUCUGAUCCGGAGAGCCUGGAGUGCAAGUCAAGAAAGCUCCGAGGGCCCCAUAAGAUAGAAGGGCGCCCCCCUGUAGGGCGCACCCCCUGUUUCGUGGGCCCAUCGGGCGUCCACCGACAUACUUCUUCCUCCUAUAUAUACCUACGGACCCCGAAAACAUCCGGGGGCACCACGAAACACAAUUUCCACCACCGUAACCUUCUGUAUCCGUGAGAUCCUGUUGGGGGAGGCUGAUCUACCAACACCUAUGGGGACAGGGCCCCUUUUGGUUCGGUGGGAGGCGGAGAACGCACAAAGAGCGGAUCGAGGCGGUACACGCGAGCGGUUUUACCCAGCUCCGGGCCGCACGGAUGCGUAAAACCCUACUGCUGCUUGUUUGUGUGUAUUAAAUUCUUGCUCAGGAGCGAUGGACGCUGCCAGACUGAGCGUGAGAGUGUUCCUGGUGUUUCGAAUGAGCCUAACCUCCUCUACGUUGCGCUUGGGCCUCCUUUUAUACUCUCAAGGGGUUACCCACAGGUGGCAACGUAGACUAGAAGGGUAGAAAUGGAAAAGGAUGCGGUAGGUGCAGCUACCGCUACUGUGGACACAGUGCACCCUACCUAACUCUGACGGCAGGGGACAAGGUCAUUGAAUGCUCGUCUGUGUCGCCUAAACAGUACCGAAACGGACCGCUAGGGACGCCACCGCUUGCCACGAUGGUUAUCUUGUCAGCGCCUGCUUGCCACCGCGCACCCCUAGCUGCACGGCCUCCUGCCACGUGCGCUUGGGAGAGUCCUAGAGCGACACGUUAGCAGGUGUGCUGGAGCGCGGGCACGAAGUGGGGGUUUCCCGCGACAAGCUCCUUGCCGCGGUCGUCGUCUUGUCGUGUUCGGGAGCUUGCCGCUCACCGGGCCUUGCCGGGGCGCGCGGCGCAUCGCGGCAAGCUUUCUUGGUAUGCCUUGAGUGGUCUUCCCGGCAAGCUCCUCUUGCCAGGGUCUUGUCUGGCCUUCCCGGCAAGCUCCUCUUGCCGGGGUCUUGUCUUCUUCCCGAUCAGCUUCUCUUGCCGGGGCCUGGGUUGGCCUUCCCGGCAAGCUCCUCUUGCCGGGGCCUUGGUUGGCCUUCCCGGCAAGCUCCUCUCGCCGGUGCCUUGGUUUGAGUACUUUGUUCUUGAAUGGUCUUCAAGGGAACCACGGAGGGUCUUGGCGGUCACCCGGCAAGCCUUGCCGCGGGAUGCUGCGACCGCCCGUGCACAAGUUCGGGGUAAUAGGGUACCCCUACUCUAGUACACCGACAGAUCCCAUCUUGGAGCCUUCGCCGGCACACUGCUGGAGGGGGAAACGACCACAGAGGGCCUCUACAUCAACAUCCUUGCCCCUCCUAUGAGUUGUGAGUUGUUUACCACAGACCUUCGGGUCCAUAGUUAUUAGCUAGAUGGCUUCUUCUCUCUUUUUGGAUCUCAAUACAAUGAUCUCCCCCUCUCUUGUGGAGAUCUAUUUGAUGUAAUCUCUUUUUGCGGUGCGUUUGUCAAGAUCCUAUGAAUUGUGAGUUUAUGUUCAGAUUUAUCUAUGGUUAUUAAUUGAAUCUUCUCUGAAUUCUUUUAUGUAUGAUUGAGUUAUCUUUGCAAGUCUCUUCAAAUUAUAGGUUUGGUUUGGCCUACUAGAUUGAUCUUUCUUGCCAUGGGAGAAGUGCUUAGCUUUGGGUUCAAUCUUGCGGUGUUCUUACCCAGUGAUAGAAAGGAUUGCAAGACACGUAUUGUAUUGUUGCCAUCGAGGAUAAAACGAUGGGUUUUAUAUCAUAUUGCAUGAUUUUAUCCCUCUACAUCAUAUCAUCUUGCUUAAUGCGUUACUCCGUUCUUAUGAACUUAAUACUCUAGAUGCAUGCUGGAUAGCAGUCGAUGUGUGGAGUAAUAGUAGUAGAUGCAGGCAGGAGUCGGUCUACUUGUUUUGGAUGUGAUGCCUAUAUACAUGAUCAUGCCUAGAUAACAUCAUAAUUAUUCGCUUUUCUAUCAAUUACUUGAUAGUAAUUUGUUCACCCACCGUAAUACUUAUGCUCUCGAGAGAAGCCUCUAGUUAAACCUAUGGCCCCCGGGUCUAUCUCUUAUCAUAUUUGCUUUCAAUCUACUUUUAUUUGCAUCUUUACUUUUCUUGCAUCUAUAUUAUAAAAUACCAAAAAUAUAUCUAUCUUAUCAUACUAUCUUUAUUAGAUCUCACUUUCGCAAGUGGCCGUGAAGGGAUUGACAACCCCUUUAUUGCGUUGGCUGCGAGUUCUCAGUUUGUUUGUGUAGGUGCGUGGGACUUUUGAGGAGCCUCCUACUGGAUUGAUACCUUGGUUCUCAAAAACUGAGGGAAAUACUUACGUUGCACUUGCUACAUCACCCUCUCCUCUUCGGGGAAUACCAAUGCUAGCUCAAUACGUAGCAAGAAGGAUUUGUGGCACCGUUACCGGGGAGGUCUUCGCUCAAGUCAAGACAUACCAAGUACCCAUCACAAACUCAUCUCCCUCGCAUUUACAUUAUUUGCCAUUUGCCUCUCGUUUUCCUCUCCCCCACUUCACCCUUGCCGUUUUAUUCGCCCUCUCUUUCCCAAUCUCCUCCUCUCUUUUUCGGUUGCCUCCUUUUGUGUGCUUGUUUGCCGUUUGACCUUAUGGCUACGCCUAAGUAACCUGAACACCUUCUCAGAAGGAUGGAUGAGAUUGAAUCAAAUAAUAGAAGCUUUAUGAAUUUGCAAUUUGAGCAUAAUAAUAUCUUUAGUAAAGAGCUUAAGGAACAAAAAAGUUUUUGGGAUUUAUAAACAAAGAGCUUGAUGAUAUGAAUAAAGAAUUCUAUGGUGUUAACGCUCAAAUUACUCGACUUGAAAAUGCUAUAGCCAAAAUUUCUGACAAGCCAGCCACCUUAGUCAAUAAGAUGGCCGCUAAACCAGAAAAAAUACAUGAAAAUAUUGAUGAGGAUCUUAAAGUUAUUGAUACGUCUCCUAUUAGAUCUAUGUUGUGCAAUAUGAAUUUUGAUGAUUAUGGGACUGAUGAUGAAUCAACUUUGCCUAGAAGGCGUCCCAAAAAUUCGGAGUCUUUAGAUCUUAAUGCUAAAUUUGGUAAAAGAGAGAUUGGAGAAUCCUCAACUUCUAAUAAUAUUGAACCUACUAUGUCGGAUUUCAAGGAAUUUGAUUAUGAUAAUUGGUCUUUAAAAGGUUGUAUUUCCUUGUUGCAAUCCGUUGUUAAUUCUCCUCAUGCUUAUAGUCAAAAUAAAGUUUUUACCAAACAUAUUGUUGAUGCCUUGAUGCAAUCUUAUGAUGAAAAACUUAAGUUGGAAGUUUAUAUACCUAGAAAACUUAAUGAUGAGUCGGAACCUACUAUAAAUAUUAGAAUUAAAGAUUUUGAGUGUUUUGCUUUGUGUGAUUUGGGUGCUAGUGUUUCCACAAUUCCGAAAACUUUAUGUGAUAUUCUAGACUUCCAUGAUCUUGAUGAUUGCUCUUUAAAUUUGCACCUUGCGGAUUCCACCAUUAAAAAGCCUAUGGGAAGGAUCAAUGAUGUUCUUAUUGUUGCUAAUAGAAAUUUGGUGCCCGUAGAUUUUAUCGUUCUUGAUAUAGAUUGCAAUUUUUCUUGCCCUAUUAUUCUUGGAGGACCUUUCCUUAGAACGAUUGGUGCGAUUAUUGAUAUGAAGGAAGGGAACAUUAGAUUCUAAUUUCCUUUAAAGAAAGGCAUGGAGCACUUUCCAAGAAAUGUAGUCAAAUUACCUUAUGAAUCUAUCAUGCGUGCUACUUAUGAAUCAAGUGCCAAAGAUGGCACUCGUUAGAGCUAUCCUUGCUUUUAUGCCUAGCUAGGGGCGUUAAACGAUAGCACUAGUUGGGAGGCAACCCAAUUUUCUUUAUGUUCUUUGUUUCUGUUCCUCUUUAGUGUUAAAUUUUGUUUCUACUUUCUGUUUAGAUGUGUUUUUAUCUUUUGUUUAGUGUUUGUGCAAAGUAGAACCUAUAGGUUAAAAUAUGAUGAUGGUUGAUUUGAUUCUGCUGAAAAACAGAAACUUUGCGCUCAUAAGAAAGAAUUCAAUAAAUCAGAGAAAAGAGAUUUUGCGUUGAUUCAUUUUGAUGCUGAUCAAUAAACAAAGUUUCCAGUACGUCCUAUUUUGGUAGGAUUUUUAGAGUUCCAUAAGUUUGCGUUAGUUACAGAUUGCUACAAACUGUUCUGUUUUUGACAGAUUCUGUUUUUCGUGUGUUGUUUGCUUAUUUCAAUGCAUCGAUGGCUAAUAAAUUAGUUUACAAACCAUAAGGAAGUUGGAAUAAAGUAGGUUUAACACCAAAAUAAAUAAAGAAUGAGUUUAUUUCAGUACCUUAUGUGGUGGUUUUGUUUUUUUUCACUAACGGAGCUUAUAAGAUUUCCUGUUGAGUUUUGUGUUGUGAAGUUUUCAAGUUUUGGGUAAAGCUUUUAUGGACUAUGGAAUAAAGAGUGGCAAGAGCGUAAGAUUGGGGAUGCUUAUGGCACCCCAAGGUAUUCAAGAAUAGCCAAAAGCCUAAGCUUGGGGAUGCCCUGGGAUGGCAUCCCCUCUUUCGUCUUCGUUCAUUGGUAACUUUACUUGGAGCUAUAUUUUUAUUCGCUACAUGAUAUGUGUUUUGCUUGGAGCGUCGUGUAUUAUAUUGGUCUUUGCUUGUUAGUUUACCACAAUCAUCCUUGCCAUAACACACCUUUUUGGAGAAGCCUAUUUGAUUAGAAUUUGCUAGAAUACGCUAUGUGCUUCACUUAUAUCUUUUGAGCUUGAUAGUUUUUGCUCUAGUGCUUCACUUAUAUCUUUUAGAGCAUAGUGGUGGAUUAAUUUUAUAGAAAUUGCUAGUCUCUCAUGUUUCACUUAUAUUAUUUUCAGAGUCUCUUAGAGCAGCAUGGUAUUUGCUAUUGUCACAAAGUUGGUCCUAGAAUGAUGAUCAUCCAAGUUGGGUAUAAUAAAAACUAUCAUAGAAAGUGAAUUGGAUGCUAUGAUCAAUUUGAUGCUUGAUAAUUGUUUUGAGAUAUGGAGGUAGUAAUAUUAAAGUCAUGCUAGUUGGGUGAUUAUGGAUUUAAAUAAUUCUUGUGUUGAAGUUUGUGAUUCCCGUAGCAUGCACGUAUGGUGAACCGCUUUGUGAUGAAGUUGGAGCACACUUUUAUUUAUUGAUUGUCUUCCUUAUGAGUGGCAGUCGGGGACGAGCGAUGGUCUUUUCCUACAAAUCUACCACCCUAGGAGCAUGCGUGUAGUGCUUUGGUUUUUGAUGACUUCUAAAUUUUUACAACAAGUAUAUGAGUUCUUUUGAUUAAUGUUGAGUCCAUGGAUUAUACGCACUCCUUUCCCCCUCCAUUAUUGCUAGCCUGUCUUGUAUCGUGCAACUUUCGCCGGUACCAUACACACACCAUACUCCUUCCUCAAAACAGCCACCAUACCUACCUAUUAUGGCAUUUCCAUAGCCAUUCCGAGAUAUAUUGCCAUGCAACUUUCCACCGUUCCGUUCAUAUGACACACAUUACUUUUGUCAUAUUGCUUUUUGCAUGAACAUGUAAUUGACAUUGUAUUUGUGGCAAAGCCACCGUUCAUAAUUCUUUCAUACAUGUCACUCUUGAUUCAAUGCAUAUCCCGGUAUACCGCCGGAGGCAUUCAUAUAGAGUCAUAUUUUGUUCUAAGUAUCGAGUUGUAAUUGUUGAGUUGUAAAAAAAAUAAAAGUGUGAUGAUCAUCAUUAUUAGAGCAUUGUCCCAGUGAGGAAAGGAUGAUGGAGACUAUGAUUCCCCCAUAAGUCGGGAUGAGACUCCGAACGAAAUAUAUAUAAAAAAGAGGCCAUAAAAAGAAGAGCAAAGGCCCAAAUAAAAAGAAAUAUGAGAGAAAAAGAGAGAAGAGACAAUGCUACUAUCCUUUUACCACACUUGUGCUUCAAAGUAGCACCAUGAUCUUCAUGAUAGAGAGUCUCAUAUGUUGUCACUUCCAUUUACUAGUGGGGAUUUUUCAUUAUAGAACUUGGCUUUUAUAUUCCAAUAAUGGGCUUCCUCAAAAUGCCCUAGGUCUUCAUGAGCAAGCAAGUUGGAUGCACCCCACUAGUUUUCCUUUGUUGAGCUUUCAUAUAUUUAUAGCUCUAGUGCAUCCGUUGCAUGGCAAUCCCUACUCACUCACAUUGAUAUCUAUUAAUGGGCAUCUCCAUAGCCCGUUGAUACGCCUAGUUGAUGUGAGACUAUCUUCUCCUUUUUUGUCUUCUCCACAACCACCAUUCUAUUCCACAUAUAGUGCUAUGUCCAUGGCUCAUGCUCAUGUAUUGCGUGAAAGUUGAAAAAGUUUGAGAUUAUUAAAGUAUGAAACAAUUUCUUGGCUUGUCAUCGGGGUUGUGCAUGAUUAAAUACUUUGUGUGAUGAAGAUAGAGCUUAGCCAGACUACAUGAUUUUGUAGGGAUAACUUUCUUUUGGCCAUGCUAUUUUGAGAAGACAUGAUUACUUGCUUAGUAUGCUUGAAGUAUUUCUAUUUCUUAUAUCAAUAUGAAUUUUUAUUUUGUAUUACUUGGAUAUGAUCAUUCAUGCCACAAUGAAAGAAAAUUACAUUAUGAAUUAUGCUAGGUAGCAUUCCACAUCAAAAAAUUUCUUUUUAUCAUUUACCUACUCAAGGAUGAGCAAGAAUUAAGCUUGGGGAUGCUCGAUACGUCUCCAACGUAUCUAUAAUUUUUGAUUGUUCCGUGCUAUUAUAUUACCUGUUUUGGAUACUUAUGGGCUUUAUUUUACAUAUUUAUAUCAUUUUUGGGACUAACCUACUAACCGGAGGCCCAGCCCAUUUUUUUUGCCUGUUUCAGUAUUUCGAAGAAAAGGAAUAGCAAAUGGAGUCCAAACGGAAUGAAACCUUCAGGAGCGUUAUUUUUGGAACAAAUAUGAUCCGGAGAGCCUGGAGUGCAAGUCAAGAAAGCUCUGAGGGCCCCACGAGAUAGGAGGGCGCACCCCCGUGUCUCAUGGGCCCCUCGGGCGUCCACCGACGUACUUCUUCCUCCUAUAUAUACCUAUGGACCCCGAAAACUUCCGGGGGCACCACGAAACACAAUUUCCACCACCGUAACCUUAUGUAUCCGCGAGAUCCCAUCUUGGAGCCUUCACCGGCACUCUGCCGGAGGUGGAAACGACCACGGAGGGCCUCUACAUCAACAUCCUUUCCCCUCCUAUGAGUUGUGAGUAGUUUACCACAGACCUACGGGUCCAUAGUUAUUAGCUAGAUGGCUUCUUCUCUCUUUUUGGAUCUCAAUACAAUGAUCUCCCCCUCUCUUGUGGAGAUCCAUUCGAUGUAAUCUCUUUUUGCGGUGUGUUUGUCAAGAUCCGAUGAAUUGUGAGUUUAUGUUAAGAUUUAUCUAUGGUUAUUAAUUGAAUAUUCUCUGAAUUCUUUUAUGUAUGAUUGAGUUAUCUUUGCAAGUCUCUUCGAAUUAUCGGUUUGGUUUGGCCUACUAGAUUGAUAUUUCUUGCCAUGGAAGAAGUGCUUAGCAUUGGGUUCAAUCUUGCGGUGUUCUUACCCAGUGACAGAAAGGGUUGCAAGACACGUAUUGUAUUGUUUCCAUCGAGGAUAACAAGAUGGGGUUUAUAUCAUAUUGCAUGAGUUUAUCCCUCUACAUCAUAUCAUCUUGCUUAAUGCCUUACUCCGUUCUUAUGAACUUAAUACUCUAGAUGCAUGCUGGAUAGCAGUUGAUGUGUGGAGUAAUAGUAGUAGAUGCAGGCAGGAGUCGGUCUACUUGUUUUGGAUGUGAUGCCUAUAUACAUGAUCAUGCCUAGAUAACGUCAUAAUUAUUCGCUUUUCUAUCAAUUGCUUGAUAGUAAUUUGUUCACCCACCGUAAUACUUAUGCUCUCGAGAGAAGCCUGUAGUGAAACCUAUGGCCCCCGGGUCUAUCUCUUAUCAUAUUUGCUUUCAAUCUACUUUUAUUUGCAUCUUUACUUUUCUUGCAUCUAUAUUAUAAAAUACCAAAAAUAUAUCUAUCUUAUCAUACUAUCUUUAUUAGAUCUCACUUUUGCAAGUGGCCGUGAAGGGAUUGACAACCCCUUUAUUGCGUUGGUUGCGAGUUCUCAGUUUGUUUGUGUAGGUGCGUGGGACUUUUGAGGAGCCUCCUACUGGAUUGAUACCUUGGUUUUUUAAAUUGAGGGAAAUACUUACGCUACACUUGCUGCAUCAUCCUCUCCUCUAUGGGGAAAACCAACGCUAGCUCAAGACAUAGCAUUGCUUAAGUUGUUCACUUAGAGGCAUCAGCUUUUCGGUUCCAAUGUAUUGGGACCAGAACAACUUCUCCAUUGAGCUCCCCUCUUCAGCAUGAUAGAACUCUGCGGCAUCCAAAAUGCUGCAUGGCAGAUCUACGAAAGCCCCUGGAGAGCUCCGAAUUCGUGUAAGUAACAAAAAUGACUCCUCCACAUGCUUGCUUUGUAUAAAGAAUGCCAUACCCUUCGCUAUCUUCUUGGCCACUUGGAUCUCCUGGAGGGCCUUUUGGGCUUCGGCCUUGGCGUCUGUCGCACUCUGGAGGGCCUUCGCAAUCUCAGACUCUUGCGUCUUGAAGUCAUGCUCCAAGGACUCAAACUUCUUGCUGUACCUCUCCCACCCGAGCGUCUUGCUUCUCGCGCUCGGUGCACUCCGUAGCCGCCUUGGCUUCAGCCGCGGACAUCGCUUUCUUCAGGGCCGCCACUUCGCUCGUGGCUCCUAUCAAAAACCAUGAUGCUUUUUGUUAGCAUCAUUACUUUUUCUCCUCUAUAUGACACACAGACGGGGCUUCUUCUUCACGAGGCCGAGCUCUUCUUCGGCCUGCCAUAGUUCGCGCUUGAGUCCGGCAACCUCAGCCGUGCGUGCAGCGGCAGUCAGCAGCAAUGCCUGUUUGUUCACAAAGACAAGUACUAUUAGCUUCCUAUGGUUUUUUAGUUGACCCUCCGUUUGGCUUUUUCCCCCAAACACCAACCAGAGUAUCAGGGGCUACAUUCUAUCGGGUGAUAUUUCCUCACACUUUUUCGUUACUUACCCUGUUAGUAGGCUGGUGCAGGCUUCGGUCAAUCCGCGCUUGGCGGACCGAACCUUUUCAAUCACCGCACUCAUAAGAGUACGGUGCUCAUCAUCAAUGGAAGCGCCUCGAAGCACUUCCAACAAAUUAUCCGAUGCCUUAGGCUGGGGGGAGGUCAUUGGCACGGCCGGCUCGCUCUCCUUCGCGAGGGUCUGCCUUCUAUAAUCCGGAGCUUUUGGAGGCUCCGGCGUAGUAACCGGCUGGGAGCCAGACUUGUUGUGGCUCCCGUCAGCAUAAUCCAUGGGGGUCUUACCCCCCAUGCGCCCGGCGUCUUGGAUCUCGCCUUGGGGCAUCUCCGGAGCCGUCGCCUCCUGCUUUGGUAUCCUUCGGGACAACACCUCGUUGUCGUCCGCAGGUCGUGGGGAGGUGGCCGUCGGGAGUGAAUUCAUCUCCGACUCGCCCAAAGACUCCUCCGAAGAGGACACCCCGAGAUUGGACCCGGCUGGACUGCAUAUACGUUUUCGGCGUUAUUGAAAGCCAUAAGGUGAAAACCGCACAAAAAAUAUUACAGAAUGCGGAUACUUACGACCUCGCCCGGGGCUUGCCCCUGGGCAGCCACUCCUCGUCGCUAUAAGCAGCGGUUGAGGAGUGAUCUGGAAGGGAUGCCUUUCCCUUCUUCGGUAUCCCGGCCUCCCCCGACGGGGCGGCCUUCCUUUUCUUCUCCUCCCUGGUACGGGGAGGGGGCAUUUUUUCAUGUUUUCCCCCGUCUUCGGGAGGAGGGGGAAUCUUCCUCGUCAUCUUCGGAUGACGAUUGUAUAACGACCUUGCACCGGAGACCUUUUCUGGUCCCCGCGGCCGCCUUCUUGGACCCUUCGGCCCCCUCGGUUGAGGCGGCCUUCCUCUUUCUCUCCUCCCCUUUGUGGGAGGAGUGCGCUUCGUCAUCUUCGGGCGAGGCGUCGGGCGCGGCCUCGCGCCGGAGACCCUUCUGGGUCCCCAUGGCCUUCUUUUCGGCCUUUUUCUCCGGCACCUUGUAAGGCGCUGGAACCAGCAUCUCCGCCAGGAGUGCGUCUACUGGGUCCUCAGGCAAUGGAGCCGGACAGUCAAUCUACUCCGCCGUCUCCACCCAAUCCUGUUUGGUCAGCAUGGUGACUUAAAAAUCCUCCCCCGCAUGUACUAGGAACGGAACAUCUUGUAAUAGUCAGAGAACUUACCGGACUGGCGAGGCGCAUUGCGUUGAGCCCAUGGUCCUCAGAAAGGGGAGGAGGAACUUCGCCGGUCUUGAACAUCACCUUCCAAAUUUCUUUGUGCAUUGUGUCGAAAAGCUCCAGCAGCAUCUGAUGUUCGGCCGGGUCAAACUCCCACAUAUCAAAUGCCCGUCUCUGACAUGGGAGAAUCCGGCGAAUGAGCAUGACCUGGACCAUGUUGAUGAGCUUGAUAUUCUUGUCCCUCAUAUUUCUGAUGCAGGUCUCGAGUACGGUCAGCUCCGUGGGUUCGCCCCAGGCCAGGCCCUUCUUCUCCCAAGAAGUGAACCGCUUGGGGAUUCCGGAUCUGAAUUUGGGGGCCGCCACCCAGUUGGCGUCGCGCGGCUCGGUGAUGUAGAACCACCCUGAUUGCCACCCUUUUAUGGUCUCCAUGAAGGAGCCAUCAAGCCAUGUGACGUUGGGCAUCUUGCCCACCAUGGCGCCUCCGCACUCCGCCUGUUGGCCGCUCACGAUCUUCGGCUUCACGCAAAAGAUUUUCAGCCACAGGCCGAAGUGAAGCUUGAUGCGGAGGAAGGCCUCACACACGACGAUGAACGCCGAGAUGUUGAGGACAAAAUUCGGGGCUAGGUCAUGAAAAUCUAGCCCGUUGUAAUACAUGAGCCUGCGGACAAAUGGGUGGAGUGGAAAUCCUAGUCAGCGGACGAAAUGAGGGAGAAAUACUACUCUCUCCCGAGACUUUUGGGUCGGGGUGUCCCUCUGCUAGAAGCCUAUGCGCGAUGCCCUCGGCUAGUUAUCCGGCCUCCCGAAGCUUGGUAAUGUCCUCCUCCAUGACAAAGGAGGCCAUCCACUUGCCUCCCGCUCCGGACAUGCUGCGGUCUUAUAGAGAAAGUGAGAACUUGGGCGCUGGAGCUCAAGGGUGCGAGGACGGAUGAGCAAAUGAGGAAGAAGGCGUGGGUGAAAAUGGGGGAUCCUUUUCCCUUUAUAAAGGCAAUGCAGGAUGUGCGCCUCCCCACUUGCCUCUCUAAAUCAUUUAUUUUCCAAGCGCUUCGAUUGAUGGUGCUGGUUGGGUCACCCAUACGCGUAUUGAUGGAGAUCCCGUGAUAAGGGGACACGAUCUCUGCUUUGACAAGACGUGCCCGAGAAACCGCCUCGCGAUGUGUGCGGGAGCUGGAUGUAAAAAGCGGUUCGAAUUAUGACCGGACCACGGCGUACUGUCACACUGCGAAGGACUGUCGGCAGAUUAGAUUCGUGGGCUAUUGUUCUCUCUACGGCGGUAUGUGAAGAACCGGACACGGUCCUUGUGUUCGGAAUUUAUCUUGGAGUAUUCGGAGAUGGAACCCGCCUCGCUAUGUCGAAGACAAUCUAUGCGCCGGACUCAUCGUCAUUGAAGCCUGGUUCAAGGGCUACUGAGGGAGUCCUGGAUAUGGGGGUAUCCGGACAGCCGGACUAUAUGCUUUGGCCGGACUGUUAGACUAUGUAGAUACAAGAUUGAAGACUUCGUCCCGUGUCCGGAUGGGACUCUCCUUGGCGUGGAAGGAAAGCUUGGCGAUUCGGAUGUAGAUCUACUUUUCUGUAAACCGACUCUAUGUAACCCUAGCCUCCUCCGGUGUCUAUAUAAACCGGAGGGUUUAGUCCGUAGGACACAACAACUAUCAUACCAUAGGCUAGCUUCUAGGGUUUAGCCUCUCUAAUCUCGUGGUAGAUCAACUCUUGUAAUACUCAUAUCAUCAAGAUCAAUCAAGCAGGAAGUAGGGUAUUACCUCCAUCGAGAGGGCCCGAAUCUGGGUAAACAUCGCGUCCCCAGUCUCCUGUUACCAUUAGCCUUAGACGCAUAGUUCGGGACCCCCUACCCGAGAUCCGCCGGUUUUGACACCGACACCCCCUCCACCCAAGGGUGAUCCCGUGUUUGAGCUCAAACAUUUACCUGAUAAUCUUAAAUAUGCUUAUCUUGAUGAAAAGAAGAUAUAUCCUAUUAUUAUUAGUGCUAACCUUUCAGAGCAAGAAGAGGAAAGAUUAUUGAAAACUCUGAAGAAGCACCGUGCUGCUAUUGGAUAUACUCUGGAUGAUCUUAAGGGCAUUAGUCCCACUCUAUGCCAACAUAAAAUUAAAUUGGAUGAAGGCUCCAAACCAGUUAGAGAUCCUCAAUGACGGUUGUCGGUGUCAAAACCGGCGGAUCUCGGGUAGGGGGUCCCGAACUGUGCGUCUAGGCGGAUGGUAACAGGAGACAAGGGACACGAUGUUUUUACCCAGGUUCAGGCCCUCUCGAUGGAGGUAAAACCCUACUCCUGCUUGAUUAAUAUUGAUGAUAUAGGUAGUACAAGAGUUGAUCUACCACGAGAUCAGAGAGGCUAAACCCUAGAAGCUAGCCUAUGGUAUGAUUAUUGUAUAUCUCUAUCGACUAGCCUGGCCUCGGUUUAUAUAAUGCACCAGAGGCCUAGGAUAACAAGAGUCCUAGCCGAAUACGCCGGUGAGGAAGGAGUCCUUGUCUUGGUCACCAAGUCUUGCGGAAUCUUCCUUGUAUGCGGCAGCUGUCCGGACUGGCCCAUGAGUAUACGACCAUGGGGGUCCUCGGCCCAAUCUAACAGAUUGGGAGAUGACGUGGUGAGUACCCCCUAGUCCAGGACACCGUCAGUAGCCCCCUGAACCGGUCUUCAAGUUUAGGGACGCUCCUCGAUUCUUCCAAACCGUUCUUCAUCUUCAGUUGUCGGUCUUAAAAAUUGGUUCAACAAAUCUUCUCAUCUUCGAUCUUGAGGAUCGCCGAAAUGCAUUCGACGAGUUUACACGUCGGGUAUCCGAGGAGCCCCGUUAAGUUUCCGGCCUUUAUCAAUGCCUUGUUAUUUUUAUGCCACACCUCGGGUUUGAAGUUGUUCCCGGGCGGCAGCGUCCUCUUGCGUCCGAGCUCCAACGCCGGACUGCAUUUGAGGUAUCUUUUGCAGCCAAGCACCAAUGUCGGACCGCUUCCCAGCUCUAACGCCGGAAUGUAUCCAAGCUCCAACGCCGGACUAUGUAUCCGAGCUCCAACGCCGGACUGUAUCCGAGCUCCAACGCUGGACUAUGUAUCCGAGCUCCAACGCCGGACUGUAUCCGAGGUGUCGUAAAUCACCUUGGUUCAAAGAAGUUUGAAGGAGUUUGGCCGAGCUUAAUGCUGGAAAUGCCCUCUAUGGAGCCAGCCGCUAGCGCCUGAGCUUUAGGCCAGACUGCUUCUGAGUUGGUGCACCACCCCGAAUGUGGGCCGAUUUUUGUCAAUAUUUUUGAUUGGUGCAAUUUAUUCUCUGCCGAGAUAUAUAGCCAGUAGCCCUCAAGGUGGGUAUCGGUCUAAAAGCCGAGAUGCACAUGAAGGAUGACAUAAGACCGCUGAUCCCCGUAGCCGCUGAGACUCAGGUUGAUUUGCAAAAUCGGUUUGAGGAUCAAGUCCUAGCUCGCUAGAAUACUUCGGGACACAAAAAGCGGCAUGCUCAGUCCUCAAGACUCAGGUUGGGUGCGGCUGACCAACCUGAGGAUCAAAAUCUCCUCGGAGACUGUAUUACACUUAAAAUUUUCUGCAUUGGACAGGCAAUGCAAUAGCCCCCGAGACACUGGUCGGGUGGCAACACUAGAUCAGGGGAUCGAUGUGGCCCUUUAAUAUUUGUAAAUAAUAAGCCCGAAGCCUAGUAGCCCAGUAGCCCCCGUGGCUUAAUGCGGGCACGUGUGGCCGAAUUAAGGAUUGAUAUCCAUAGUAAAAUCAAAAAUCAUGUGUAAUGACUCUAUGUAUCCAAGUACUUUACGUCAUUAAUGCUCGAAUCCGCAUUGUACAAAACUUUGUUGACCGACCAUCGGCUUCCACCUCCUCGUCCAAUAGCCGAGGAGUGUUUGUCCUACUUUAUAAAGCCUUUAUGAGGGCAAAGAUUUACAACAAACAAGGCAAUCUGGCCAUACGGUUUUAUAAACAAAGGUACGCAGAGAGAUAUGUUAUAUUACUGUUUAACAAAAGAAAUAUCUUCCAAAGAAAAUAGUCCCGCUAUCGGUUCCUUUAUUUGGGUUGUCAUGCUAAGCAUGAUCAUGAAACCUCAGCUCCAACGUAAGAGCAAAAUAUCGAUGAUUUAGUUUGGGAGGCCAGUUAAUAUCCCGUGAUAGUGUUCGGCGAUAGUCGAGGUCAAGCCGUAAACACUUCGGCCAUUGUAUGAAUGGCCCGUCGUUUAACACCGUCAUCGGAUCGCUGACCAGUUUACGCUUAUUAUGACAGUUAGUUUUCGGCUUUCUCCACUGAGGUGCUUAACCAUGUGAGCUGGAAGCACAAUCACAGUGGUUUUCCCUUUGCACACCUAGCCGAACAAAGCGGAACGCAGGAGGCAAGCGCAGGAGCCGGGCAACCCAACUAUUGACCGAAGACAUAAUUCGAAACCGAUGCAUAUAUAGCAAUAUCCUAGAAUGUUUUUGCUGAAUCUCUAAAGGUGUCCGGCGUUGCACUGCGAGACUUUUGCUGCAAACACACAAAUAGUUUAAAAGUGCCAUAAGCUUGGAAAACCAAAAAACGUCAGUAAAAACUUGAUGUCCGAACAAGAUCAAGUGUUCGGUGCCAAUCCGAAAAUUAGCCUUAGCAAAAGAAUUGCUUCUGUCGUGCUUUAACAUGAUACAUCCUAUCUCAAGGCUUCAAGCGGGUCAGCCUACGUAUUCAACCUCCUAUCCCGAGGGCGGAGUACUUCUCAUUAGUCCAGUUUAGCAAACUAAACUCUAGCGGCUUUGAGAGAGAAAUUAGGCUCCCCGGCUAGUGACCACACGAUCGUGUCGAAAAAAGGAGUGAUAGAUAAUAAUAAAAACUUUGCAACGACUAAGAAGACAAACACUUAUUAUAAAACGGCUCAAAUAAAUUUAAGAGCCCCCAAGUGACUUGGGUAAAAUAAUGAUUGCAUGUACCGAAGACUUAUAUCAUAUAUAUGUUCAACCGAACUUUAAACGCGUCUUAACCGACCGUCGGCUCCUCCCUCUUCGGUCAAGGACCGAAAAGUAUUAUGUACUCCAUCUGUCGAGAAUAUCGACGGUGUUUCCAAUAACCAGGCAAUCAGGCCAUAAGGCUGUAACAGACAAAGCACGCUCAGGGAACUUAUGCUAUAUUACUGCGAAGUGUAAGAAGCAUCUUCGAAGAAAAUAGUACCCCCACCGAUACCUUUCUUCGGUGCUCAUUGUUAUUAUGAGACUUGUGCAAUAGAUUUUUUGUACUCAUGAGUUCCGUUGUGUGCCGACCAUCAUUGAAAACUAUAAGAGCGCUAGCUUUCGGCGUCACCCAGUCUGAGGUCCGGCUCGGAUGACCCGAUCCUGACAAUCGCAGAGGUGCUCCCUUUACUCCCUAGCCAAACAAUCGGGAAUGUAGGGGUAAACACAGGAGCGAGGCAACCCAGCUUGCAAAUCGCUUAAGUCAAUAUGGUGCAUAUUGUGGCGUAAUACACGAACAAGGAAUGAAGCCGUACAAGUAUAAUCAUAUGCAAGAGGAAAAGCUUCAUGAGGGAAGCCCCCAAGUAAACGGGGUAUUUGAAUUUGCACGUCACAAACAAAGUUUGGACAAGGAAAUUUUUGCAAGCAACUUUUUUCCAAAAAAGUAUAAUGCUUGGAUGAGCCAAACACAAGUUAAAAAUUUAAAACUUUGAGCAUGAAGGCAACUUAGCUGGUUAAUGUGUUCGGUAUUGAUGACGCGGUCCGAGCUUGAUGCGGGACAAGGUUCCAUCCCCCAAGCCGGUCCCGAGGUGGCGGAGCAAAGAGCUCGGCACUCUGAAGUGGUGACAUAUUCAUGAAGGAAGCUCAAUGUUGGACGACAAGGUUAUGCCGAAGUCCCCGGCAUGGGGUAAUGAAGUGUUGACAAAGCCCCCCGUCCAGCCGAGGUGACGCCAAAGGAUAUAGUCCGACUGGAUCAUUUUCCCGUGCACAAAAAAUAGUGCAAACCGGAGAUAAUAGUAAUAAUAAUAAAAAAUUCAUUGCAUAACAAAUAAUUUAUGCAAAAUGAGUAAUAAAAGAAAUAUGACCUGGCGCCGAAGUCAAUGACGAUGCAGGGCGGCGGCGUGAUGCGGUAAAGGCAUUGCAAGGCCUGAAUUCACAAGCCGGUUCGAGUUCUGGAUGCGGCGUUCGCCAGACUAUGUAUGGAAACUGACCGAACCACCAUGGGACCGUCGUUAAUGCGGCCACCAUUUGAUAGACCUGUGUACAUAUGAUGGACAAAUCAGUGUAAUAAUUCGUUGGGAAAAAUGAACCCAAACAAGCAAAAAAUACUAGGAUUAAUAGCACCUGGCUUAUUUGUUGUAGCAAUCCGAAGAAAGGUGAUUCCCAAAAUUGGGACUCGAUCCGCGCACCUAUCGCCUGAUGGGCGAUAAAGCAACGGCAUGGCGAUGCUGGCAAAGGUUGGCUCGCCGAGGCAAAGCCCUCGGUCCAGCUAAUGUGAUGGAGCUGGUCGGCCAGCGACGCCGAAGUCUCCGGAGUAGGUUGAUAAAGAGAUGAUGAAGCCCCCGGUCCAGCUAACGUGAUGAAGCCUCGGUGUCAGCCAAUGAGUCGAAGUAGGUCGGCGUGAUGGACACCAGCUUGAAAAAGCAACAGUGCGGCCCUGCCGAUGCAGGUCGUGACGUGGUCGAUGCCGGCUUGAUGAAGUGACCGCGCGGCGAUGCACGUGUGCCCACUCUAUGUAAUCCGUGGGGCAGCGAUGUUGGUGAUGAUUUAUCCUUCGCGAUGCCGGACUCUUGUUCGGCUUGCCGAGAUGAUGAUCCAAAAAAGUUGAGCGCAGCUCAACAAAGUGACGAUGUGUCUAGCGCAGGUCGGCAGCCGUGGAGCAAUAUUGCCGGACUGGUUUGACAGCAGCAUGAUGUUGAAGAUCAUGUUCAAAAGAUUUUAAAGUUAGUGGGAUGUGUUUGGGAACAAAACACAAUACCCCAUACAAAACUUUCUUCAAAAAGGAUGUCCGAAAUCCCGUUCGUAAAAAGGAUGAACUCAGGCCGGAUUUGUUUUCGCGUAGAAAACAUAUCCAAAAAGUGAUGCACUAAUCGGAAGGUUCCCGGAGUUUGGACGGUCGGAUCGAGCUGAAAUUUUGAGGGGUGGUAGAUAUAGCAAUUCCGCAGUCGAUCAACGGUCGGAUCUUCCAAAGGAGGUCCGAGCUAGAAGCUGGACACCACGCCCUAAACUCAUCCAUAUUCUCGUCCAGAUUUGACAGGGCUCCGAUAUAUUGUAGAUUGUCGGAGAUUCCUCCAUCAGAACUCGAUGAAAUUUAGCAUGGCUGUUGUAGAUGUAAUUCCGCACUAUUCCACCGAAGCAAUCAUCAAAACUACGCUCGAGGAGGCGGUGACGGCAGAUACAAGUUUGCUGUCCAGAAAAACAGCACGGUCGCCCGAGGGUAAUGUUGAUGUUGAGCCCCCGGGCUCCCUGGGUGAUUCCUCCAUGAUCUUGAUAGAGAUCAGAGCUGAUGUUGAUGAAGGCUCUCAUCCGAACAUGACGAUCUGAGGUAGGGUGCAGUACUUGGUCGAACCAAGGUGACCAAUCGAGCUGGUGACGAAGAUGCCGAAGUCGCAGUUGAUCUGCAGGCGAGCCAUCGACCUUUUGCCGAACACACAGCAGAACUCUCAAUGAAAGCACCAAUGUCGGUGUCAAAACCGGUGGAUCUCGGGUAGGGGGUCCCAAACUGUGCGUCUAGGCGGAUGGUAACAGGAGACAAGGGACACGGUUUUUUUACCCAGGUUCGGGCCCUCUUGAUAGAGGUAAAACCCUACUCCUGCUAGAUUAAUAUUGAUGAUAUGGGUAGUACAAGAGUUGAUCUACCACGAGAUCAGAGAGGCUAAACCCUAGAAGCUAGCCUAUGGUAUGAUUGUUGUAUAUCUCUAUCGACUAGCCUGGCCUCGGUUUAUAUAAUGCACUAGAGGCCUAGGAUAACAAGAGUCCUAGCUGAGUACGCCGGUGGGGGCAGAGUCCUUGUCUUGGUCGCCAAGUCUUGCGGAAUCUUCCUUGUAUGCGGCAGCUGUCCAGACUGGCCCACGAGUAUACAGCCAUGGGGGUCCUCGGCCCAAUCUAACAGAUCGGGAGAUGAUGUGGUGAGUACCCCCUAGUCCAUGACACCGUCAAUGGUUAAAUCCUAAGAUGAGAGAAUUGGUAAGAAAGGAGAUACUAAAGCUCCUUGAGGCAGGUAUAAUUUAUCCCGUUGCUGAUAGUGAUUGGGUAAGUCCUGUCCAUUGUGUCCCUAAGAAGGGAGGUAUUACUGUCGUUCCUAAUGAUAAAGAUGAAUUGAUCCCGCAAAGAAUUAUUACAGGUUAUAGUAUGGUAAUUGAUUUUCGUAAAUUAAAUAAAGCUACUAAGAAAGAUCAUUACCCUUUACCUUUUAUUGAUCAAAUGCUAGAAAGACUAUCCAAACACACACAUUUGUGCUUUCUAGAUGGUUAUUCUGGUUUCUCUCAAAUACCUGUGUCAGCGGAGGAUCAAUCAAAAACUACUUCUACUUUCCCUUUCAGAACUUUUACUUAUAGACGUAUGCCUUUUGGUUUAUGUAAUGCACCUGCUAUCUUCAAAGAUGCAUGAUGGCUAUAUUCUCUAACUUUCGUGAAAAUAUUUGUGAGGUAUUCAUGGAUGAUUUCUCUGUUUAUGGAUCCUCUUUUGAUGAUUGCUUGAGCAACCUUGAUCGAGUUUUGUAGAGAUGUGAAGACAGUAGCCUCGUCUUGAAUUGGGAAAAGUGCCACUUUAUGGUUAAUGAAGGCAUUGUCUUGGGGCAUAAAAUUUCUGAAAGAGGUAUUGAAGUUGAUAAAGCUAAAGUUGAGGCUAUUGAAAAGAUGCCAUGUCCCAAGGACAUUAAAGGUAUAAGAAGUUUCCUUAGUCAUGCCGGUUUUUAUAGGAGAUUCAUUAAGUACUUUUCUAAAAUCUCUAGGCCUCUGACUAAUUUAUUGCAAAAAGAUAUUCCUUUUGUAUUUGAUGAUGAUUGUUAGAAGCAUUUGAGAUACUUAAGAAACCUUUGAUCACUGCACCUAUUGUUCGGCCACCUGAUUGGAAUUUACCCUUUGAAAUUAUGUGUGAUGCUAGUGAUUAUGCUGUAGGUGUUGUUCUAGGGCAAAGAGUUGAUAAAAAAUUAAAUGUUAUCCAGUAUGCUAGUAAAACUCUUGAUACUGCCCAGAGAAAUUAUGCUACUAUUGAAAAAGAAUUCUUAGCGGUUGUAUUUGCAUGUGAUAAGUUCAGACCUUAUAUUGUUGAUUCUAAAGUUACUAUUCACACUGAUCAUGAUGCUAUUAAAUAUCUUAUGAAAAGAAAGAUGCUAAACCUAGACUUAUUAGAUGGGUACUCUUGCUCCAAGAAUUUGAUUUGUAUAUUAUUGAUAGAAAGGGAGCUGAGAAACCUGUUGCAAACAACUUAUCUAGGUUAGAGAACGUUCUUAAUGAUCCACUACCUAUUGAUGAUAGCUUUCCUGAUGAACAAUUAGCGGUCAUUAAUGCUUUGCGUACUGCUCCAUGGUAUGCUGAUUAUGCUCAUUACAUUGUUGCUAAAUUUAUACCACCUAGUUUCACAUACCAGCAAAAGAAAAAGUUCUUUUAUGAUUUAAGACAUUACUUCUGUGAUGACCCACACCUUUAUAAAGAAGGAGUAGAUAGUGUUAUUAGAUGUUGUGUACCUGAGCAUGAACAUGAACAUAUCCUACGCAAGGGUCACUCCAAACCAUAUGGAGGGCACUACGCUAGAGAUAGAACUGCACAUAAGGUAUUGCAAUCCGGUUUUUAUUGGCCUACUCUCUUCAAAGAUGCCCGUAAGUUGGUCUUGUCUUGUGAUGAAUGUCAAAGAAUUGGUAAUAUUAGUAGACGUCAAUAAAUUCCUAUGAAUUAUUCUCUUGUUAUUGAAGCAUUUGAUGUUUGGGGAUUUGAUUAUAUGGGACCUUUUCCUGCCUCCAAUGGAUAUACACAUAUUUUAGUUGCUGUUGAUUACGUUACUAAGUGGGUAGAAGCUAUUCGAACUAGUAGUAUUGAUCAUAACACUAUGCUUAAAUAAGUUAUUUUUCCGACGUUUGGAGUCCCUAGAUAUCUCAUGACUGAUGGUGGUUCACAUUUUAUUCAUGGUGCUUUUCGUAAAAUGCUUGCUAAGUAUGACGUUAAUCAUAGAAUUGCAUAUCCUUAUCACUCAUAGUCUAGUGGUCAAGUAGAAUUGAGCAAUAGAGAGCUCAAAUUAAUUUUGCAAAAGACGGUCAAUAGAUCUUGAAAGAAUUGGUCCAAGAAACUUGAUGAUGCAUUAUGGGCCUACAGAACUGCAUAUAAAAAUCCUAUGGGUAUGUCUCCGUAUAAGAUGGUAUAUGGGAAAGCAUGUCACUUACCUCUCGAACUUGAACAUAAAGCAUAUUGGGCUAUUAAAGAGAUCAACUAUGACUUCAAACUUGCCGGUGAGAAGAGGUUAUUUGAUAUUAUCUCACUUGAUGAGUGGAGAACCCAAGCAUAUGAGAAUGCUAAGCUGUUCAAAGAAAAAGUUAAAAGAUGGCAUGAAAAAAGAAUACAAAAGCGUGAGUUUAACGUAGGUGAUUAUGUGUUGCUAUUCAACUCUUGUUUAAGAUUUUUUGCAGGAAAACUUCUCUCUAAGUGGGAAGGUCCUUACGUUAUUGAGGAGGUCUAUCGUUCUGGUGCCAUAAAAAUCAACAACUUCGAAGGCACAAGUCCGAGUGUGGUGAACGGUCAAAGAAUUAAACAUUAUAUCUCAGGUAAUCCUAUAAAUAUUGAAACUAAUAUUGUUGAAACCGUAUCCACGGAGGAAUACAUAAGGGACACUUUCCAGAACAUUUCAGACUCCGAAAAGGAAUAGGUAUGUGGUACGGUAAGUAAACCGACUCCAAAACAAUUCUAAUGGCAUUUUUUCUCCAUUUUGGAAUAUUUACGAAUUUGGGAAAGCAAGAAGUAAUCCGGGAAGGACACGAGGCCUCCGCGAGGGUGGAGGGAGCCCACCUUUACUAGGCGCGCCCCCUGUCUCAUGGGCACCUCGUGUGCCUCCCGGACUCCAUUUUCUUGCAUGCUACUUCUUUUGGUCAGUAAAAAUUCAUUAUAUAAUCUCCAGAAGGUUUUGACCACCGUAUCACGUAAAAAUCUUCUAUUUUCAUUUCGAGCCGUUUUUCUGACAGAUCUAAAGCAUAAUGACGUCACCCUCCUUCAACAAUGAAGACAAGGAUGCUUGGCUAUUGAAGAUAGAGCUGAAAAGAGAAGGACCUGAGGAGAUCAACAAGGAUGAAGGGAUCAAGAAGGCCAUGGAGGAUCAAGCUUCGGCUGUGGAAGAAGAAAACACCCCCAACCUCUACCUAACCUCUUUACCCCAACUGACAUUGAAGCUUUCAAGAUGAUUGAGUUAGCUCGCAUACAAAACAAGUAUCUCACACAGGAAAAUAUUUUGUUGAUGGAUCAUAUCAUUGCACUCAAGGGCAUUAUCCGCAAGUUGGAAGAGCUUUUACAUUCGAUGUGCGAUUAUCCACCAUCAUCAUCACCACCUUCAUCACCUCCGAGGACAUAACCACAUGGGUAUGGGCACUCCCCUUGGCAACUGCCAAGCUUGGGGGAGGUGCCCCGGUAUUGUAUCACCAUCACACUCCUAUCUUUACCGUUUUUCUUAGUUCGAUCCUUUUAGUAAUAUCUUUAUCUAGUAGAAUAAAGUUUUGGUAUGAAUUAGUUUUGAGUUUUGCUUUGUGAUCCUUCUAUGUAAUCGAGACUGUGGGCUAUAUAAUAAAGAUUAGUGUUGAGUCAAGGGCUUUGCUAUCUUGCUAUGAUCUUGAGAAAUAGAAAGAAUAAAAAGAAUAAAAGAGUUCAUAUUGAUCUUAUGGAUAGUAAUGACUUCACACAUAGAGAGUAUGAUGCUUAAAAGUUGUUGAAAGUUGACAAACAUAGUUUUGGUCAUCGUUGCAAUUAAUAGGAAGUAAUAAAGAAAGAGAGGUUUUCACAUAUAAAUAUACUAUCUUGGACAUCUUUUAUAAUUGUGAGCACUCAUUAAAGUAUGACAUGCUAAAGAGUUGAUGUUGGACAAGGAAGACAACGUAAUGGGUUAUGUUUUCUCACAUCUCAGUUAAAGUAUAUAGUUAUGGAUCAUUCCAACAUGUUGAGCUUGCCUUUCCCCCUCAUGCUAGCCAAAUUCCUUGCACCAAGUAGAGAUACUACUUGUGCUUCCAAAUAUCCUUAAACCCAGUUUUGCCAUGAGAGUCCACCAUACCUACCUAUGGAUUGAGUAAGAUCCUUCAAGUAGGUUGUCAUGAUUGCAAGCAAUAAAAAUUGCUCUCUAAAUAUGUAUGACUUAUUAGAGCGUAGGAGAUCAGCUUUAUAUGAUCGUGUGAUAUGGAAGUAAUAAAAGCGACGAACUGCAUAAUAAGAUAUUGUGCAUCCAACCCUCAAAGCACAUGACAACCUCUGCUUCACUCUGCGAAGGGCCUAUCUUUUACUUUAUGUCUUUUACAUUAUGCAAGAGUCAAGGUGAUCUUCACCUUCCCCUUUUUCAUUUUAUCCUUUGGCAAGCACCUCGUGUUGGGAAGAUCCUGAUAUAUAUAUAUAUAUAUAUAUCCAAUUGGAUGUAAGUUAGCAUGAACUAUUAUUGUUGACAUCACCCAAAGGUGAAUAUGUUGGGAGGCGAAAUUAUAAGCCCCUAUCUUUCUUAGUGUCUGAUUAAAACUCCAUAACCAUAAGUAUUGCAUGAGUGUUAGCAAUUGUGGAAGACUAUAUGAUAGAUGAGUAUGUGGACUUGCUGAAAAGCUCUAUUCUUGACUCUUUCCAAUGUUAUGAUAAAUUGCAAUUGCUUCAAUGACUGAGAUUAUGGUUUGUUAGUUCUCAAUGAAGUUUCUGAACCAUACUUGACAUUGUGAAUAGAUUGUUACUUGAGCAUAAGAAAUUAUAUGACAAAAUCUAUAUAUGUUGCUGUUAUAAGAAUGAUCAUGAUGACCUCAUGUCCAUAUUAUAUUUUUAUUGACAGCUCUAUGUCUAAACAUGUGGACAUAUUUUUUGUUAUCGGCUUCCGCUUGAGGACAAGCAAGGUCUAAGCUUGGGGGAGUUGAUAUGUCCAUUUUGCAUCAUGAUUUUAUAUCAAUAUUUAUUGCACUAUGGGAUGUUAUUACACGUUAUGUCACAAUACUUAUGGCUAUUCUCUCUUAUUUUACAACGUUUUUCAUGAAGAGGGAUAAUGCCGACAGCUCAGAUUCUGGCUGGAAAAGGAGCAAAUAUCGGAAACCUAUUCUGCACAGCUCCAAAAGUCCUGAAACUCCACGGAAGUCAUUUUUGGAAUUAAUAAGAAUUAUUGAGCAAAGAAAGUACCAGAGGGGGACCACACCCUGGCCACGAGGGUGGGGGCCUCCCCCUACUGGGCGUGCCCCCCUAUCUCGCGGGCCCCUUGUUAGCCCUCCGGUUCCCAUCUUCUGCUAUAUGAAGUCUCUUACCCUGGAAAAAAUCAUAAGCAAGCUUACAGGACGAAACUCCGCCACCACAAGGCGGAACCAAUCUAGGGCUCCGGCGGAGCUGUUCUGCCGGUGAAACUUCCCUCCGGGAGGGGGAAAUCAUCACCAUCGUCACCACCAACGAUCCUCUAAUCGGGAGGGGGUCAAUCUCCAUCAACAUCUUCACCAGCACCAUCUCCUCUCAAAACCCUAGUUCAUCUCUUGUAUCCAAUCUUGUAUCAAAACCACAAAUUGGUACCUGUGGGUUGCUAGUGGUGUUGAUUACUCCUUGUAGUUGAUGCUAAUUGGUUUACUUGGUGGAAGAUCAUAUGUUCAGAUCCUUAAUGCAUAUUAGUACUUCUCUGAUCAUGAACAUGAAUAUACUUUGUGAGUAGUUACGUUUGUUCCUGAGGACAUGGGUGAAGUCUUGCUAUUAGUAGUCAUGUGAAUUUGGUAUUCGUUCGAUAUUUUGAUGAGAUGUAUGUUGUCUCUCCUCUAGUGGUGUUAUGUGAACGUCGACUACAUGACACUUCACCAUUAUUUGGGCCUAGAGGAAGGCAUUGGGAAGUAAUAAGUAGAUGAUGGGUUUCUAGAGUGACAUAAGCUUAAACCCUAGUUUGCGUUGCUUCGUAAGGGGCUGAUUUGGAUCCACUAGUUUCAUGCUAUGGUUAGGUUUACCUUAAUACUUCUUUUGUAGUUGCGGAUGCUUAAAAUAGGGGUUAAUCAUAAGUGGGAUGCUUGUCCAAGAAAGGGCAGUACCCAAGCACCGGUCCACCCACAUAUCAAAUUAUCAAAGUAACGAACGCGAAUCAUAUGAGCAUGAUGAUAACUAGCUUGACGAUAAUUCCCAUGUGUCCUCGGGAGCGCUUUUCUCAUCAUAAGAAAUUGUCCAGGCUUUUCCUUUGCUACAGAAAGGAUUGGGCCACCUAGCUGCACCUUAUUUACUUUCAUUGCUUGUUACCCGUUACAAAUUAUCUUAUCACAAAACUAUUUGUUACCUACAAUUUCAGUGCUUGCAGAGAAUACCUUACUGAAAACCGGUUGUCAUUUCCUUCUGCUCCUCGUUGGGUUGGACACUCUUACUUAUCUAAAGGACUACGAUAGAUCCCCUAUACUUGUGGGUCAUCAUGCGGCCAUGCUCUUUCCUAUACUCCAGCUUGGUGCAUCCAGGUAGAAAUCAAUAGGCUCUGUUGUUGGCGCAAAGGUCAUCCCAGGUAUCCAUACUUUGAUCUUCUAGCGCUCCUCUUCCGGUACAGAGGUGGAGAAAGUGCCUGUGAAGCUUGGUAAUUCGAUGUUCAAAUACUUAGUGACUUCCUUCAAGUGCUUUCCGAAAGGGGUGUCGCCAUCCGGUUGAGUGAACUUGUUCCUGGGAUUCACCAUCUAUAGAGUAGAAAGCAAGGAGAAUUAGAAACGAGUAGAGAAAAGAAAUCAUGUGGCUCAUUCUAGUGGUCACAUCCUGCAGUCAGCGUGUGCUCUAAUACCAUCUUGUAGUGACCAGACCGCAAACGGUCAAGUCUCUGUGCAUCAGUGUCAUCCCUGGAAUGGUAAUGCUGACACACACAGUACUUGAGGAAUUAUAACAGAGUCUCAAUCACACUUAUUACAUCGAGUCCUCAUAAAGAGUAUGAUUACAAAAAUAUAAUGGCUGAAAGCCAUCUAAACUAGAUAACUUCGGAAGCUUCAAAGGUAAAUGAGUCCAUCAACUCCAACGGCAUAGCUGAGUGCAAAACUGCAACCUAUCGCACCUUAUUCGUCGUCUUAGUAGUCUGCAACAUAAGACGUUACAGCCUGAAACGGGUCAACACAUGGAAUAUGCUGGCAUAGUUACUCUGUAAAGCAAUGAAAUGCAAUAACUAUAUCUACAUGCAAUAUUUUGCUGGUGGAGGCUGUAAGUUUCAUGAUUUUGCAUAAAGCUAGUGUUUCCCUACAACAAAGGAAUACAUUUAUUUAACUACUCCCAUGUUGCCCAUUAUUUGAGAAGGUAACCCCAACUCAAAUCCCAAUUAAAAGUAUCAUCAUUAACCCAACUCAAUUUAAUUAAAGUAACGUGAUGAGAUCACAUCAAUAAAUUCAAGUACUAGAUACUCAAACGUCCAUAACCAGGGACACGGCAAACCAUGAUUAGUUUAUACACUAGACAGAGGUUUGCGCACUUCUCCCUACAAGACUCGCCCGCAUCCAUGAUCGGAUGAUCGAGACAUAGCCUUUCUGAAGCAUUAACUCUCUACUCCGGGUAGACAGUACCACCUAGGACCCUCUACAUCUACUAGUCUACCUCUUCAAGAGCUCACGCAACUUACUCAACUAUGCCAGAGCCCAUAAUGGCUUGUGGCUGCACACGGAAGUUUCUAGCAUGAAUAAUCUUAUGAUCCCUUUGAGCCUGGGUGGCAUUCCAUAGGAUAAUCACACGGAUACCCCGGGAUUUCCAAAAAUAGGCAACACUUGGUUCCCCAGGUGCCCCAACCAAUCCACCCAGAUAUGUAUUAAAGUUGCCACCUUAAUGUUAUCCAUAAUUAAAAUAACUCUCAAACUUCCAUGUGUGAAUCACGAUCCAAUCCCCAUCUACGAGCAUGGCUAAGAAAUAAUAAGCAUAAUGUAUAUUCAAGGGGUGAUCAAAAGGUAUUAGGUUCCUACCUCAAGCACUACAACCAAAACCACAUGUUCCCAAUCCUACUAAAUGCAAAUAUUUUUUGAGCAAUACUAAUGCAUAGUAAAAACUGGGUAUAAAAGAGUAUGAUCAAAGUGUAACUUGCCUUGCUAACGAUUUGCAAACUCUAGAGAUUCGUAGUAACAAGCUUCGCACUCCGGGUAAUCUAUCGUGGACAAACAAUAGCAUACAUAAGCAAUCACUCAAACAAAACACGAGAGAAACUGAGAAAAGAUCCAAAUCGAACAUGAAACAAGAAAAUGGCUUAAACUAGCAAGAGUCAAAACCUAACAGCAAUAUUAACAUGUGAAUUAGAUCUUAACAGUAGAUAUAUGUGACUAGCUACGAUUCGCAAAAAGAUUUAACUCAAAUGGAGCAACGCAACUCAAAAUACGAACGAAACAAGAUCGUUUACUAAUCUGGACUAAAGUCAAAUUUUACAGUAGCAAAAUCAUUUUCAAGUUGGUUAUCCAGAAAGAACAGAACAAAACGAAGAUUUUGGCGCUGGUUUCAUCUAAUUUGGAUAAACAAUUAAAAAGUUAUGCUAGUUUAAAGACGAGAGGCUAAAUCACGAUAAAAAUAUUCGCGGAUAAGUCCCUGGCCGAAAAUAAACUGAAAAGAAAAAGACUACCGAAUGAACGUUCGCUGACUGAACUAAUCCGACAAAUAAAGUUCGUUAAAACGAACGAACGGACGAACAUCCGCUAAAUAAAAUAACCGAACGAAUAAUUGAUCUAAAACAAAACCGCAAAAACCUAAAAAAUCCAGGCGGUCCGGUUCGUACCGGCUCAGGAAAAACUGUAGGCGGCGGCGGGGUCAAUGGCGGCUGCAGCGGCUGACGGCGGCGAAGCGGGGUGGUGGGUCCAGCGUCGCGGGGCGCUGGUGGCGGUGGCUAGAAGUGGCAGCGGCAUGCGGCGGCGACGGCACGCAGCGUGAGCGGCGGCGGGGCGGUNNNNNNNNNNNNNNNNNNNNNNNNNNNNNNNNNNNNNNNNNNNNNNNNNNNNNNNNNNNNNNNNNNNNNNNNNNNNNNNNNNNNNNNNNNNNNNNNNNNNNNNNNNNNNNNNNNNNNNNNNNNNNNNNNNNNNNNNNNNNNNNNNNNNNNNNNNNNNNNNNNNNNNNNNNNNNNNNNNNNNNNNNNNNNNNNNNNNNNNNNNNNNNNNNNNNNNNNNNNNNNNNNNNNNNNNNNNNNNNNNNNNNNNNNNNNNNNNNNNNNNNNNNNNNNNNNNNNNNNNNNNNNNNNNNNNNNNNNNNNNNNNNNNNNNNNNNNNNNNCCGGGAGAGGGAGGGGGGGGGGGCGACGACAGCUUGCGGGAUGGGGCAGCUAGGUCAGAGUGAGAGAGGACUUCGGCUCGGCCACGGCGGCGAUGUCGGUGGCGGCGGCGCGGGCCGGCUUGGCUGGGCCAUUGGCCCAAUCGGGCGAAGGAACUUUUUUUUAAAAUAAAUUCGCCCAAAGAAAAAAUUUCCUAAUAAAAUAUAAAAAAUCUAGAAAAUGCCAAAAACAAUUUUCACCAUCUUAUUAAAAUAUUUAGAACAAACUCAACAUUUUUCUGGCAUAAAAUGCAAUUUUCAAAAAUGUUUAUUAUUCUAAUUGAAAUAAAAUAGCAGAUAAAAAUACAAAUAAAAUCAUAAUUUGAUUUUGAAAUUCUUUCUCCAAUAUUUCUCUUAAUUUUGAAGAAGUCAUAUUAUCUCUCUAAGUUAAUUUUAAUAAUGGAAAUAAUUGGAGAGAAAAAUAAUAAAAAUCAAAUUGACCCAUUCUUCAAUUUUGAAAUGAAUGCAAAUAUGAUUUUUGUGAAACCUACAUCUCUCUCCUUGGGUCCUUGAGUUGCUUAAGAUUUCUAGGAUCUCAACAAAAUGCAAGAAUAUGAUAUGCACAUGAUGACCUAUGUAUGACAUCCAAAUUGAAAAUUGGGAUGUUACAUUUCCCAAGUUCGGGCCACCUUGCGGUGUAAAACCUACUCCUGCUUCGUGGUGGAUUUCCUUGGUAGGAGGAUGAGUAUGAAUUAGUACAUGUGUGAGCUGCCUCCGGAGGGCUCAAUGGCAGAAUGAUUCAAUAUUUCUCCAUGGUGGAGACUAACCUAUAUUUAUAGUGGCCUUGGUCCUCUUCCCUCAUAGCUUAGGCGGGAAGGGAAAUCACAACGGCCAAUUUUGAAGGGGGACAGGAGUACACCCUAUCUUGAGUAAAGGUGGUCUUCGCCUGCAAAUCUUCUGGUCAUGACGUAGUGGUGGGCUCGGUGAUGACCUUCGUCCUACCGAGCCCGCGGUCUUGGUAUUGUUGCGCUGGAAUAAAACCUUUGGGGGAUUCCUUGGGAACCCGUGUACGUCCUUGCCUACUUAGCUCCAAAGAGGAAACUGCACCGUAUUUUUCCCGCUGGCGCCCUGCUGGCCUUGGUUGUCAUGGCUCACGUCACCGUGCGCCUCGCGAGGUGAGGUGAUUGCCUAGAGAUAUCUGCUCCACGGGAGGUGUCCUCAGGUGGUCGCUCCUUGGGAGAUCUUGAUGUCGAUCGCCUCGCGGGGUGGGGGGCCUCGUAAGGGUCUUUGCUUGUUCGUGAGCUCCUGCUGCUUGGCCGCGCCGGGCCAUGUUGAGGCCACGCGCUAGGCCACGGGCAGAAGGGUCUGGGUACCCUUGGUCCCAGAACGCUGACACCAGCACCCGGGCCCAUGGCACGCUCGGCAUAGCUUUGAGGCCAAGGCAGAGAGGGGAGGGCGAAGCGACGCGGGCCCUAACUGCCUAAGGGUCAGGCUUGACGCAUGGGACACGACGGGCCACAGACACCCCACUUACCCAUGUCGCGUCGAUAAUUGCCCGGGCUAACAAAAAGCUGGCGCUUGUGCAGCGAGGCCAACCUUGCUCGAAGGUGGAGGGGCACCGGUUGGCCCUCUCUGAUCUCCUAUAAGAAGGCGAAGGGGCUGAACCGCUAACCAUCUCUGUCUUCUUGUCGACUCACCUCCAGUCCUUGUCGCGGUAGCCGUGGCGCCUGUGAGGAGGUUCACUACCGCCGAGAAGGGCAAGGCUCCGAAGGAGGGACCGGAGCCGCCGCAGCCCAAGACGGGGCACGACCUUCCCCACAAGUCCGCUGCUACACGUGCAGUGUCAUCUCGGUGUCGUGGGCGCCCUCCAUUGGUGGUCUGCAUUGGCUCCGGCAGCCGUGCAAAGAGACCCACUCACGAAAGCGGUUGUGGAGGCCAUGGCGGUCAUGGCUAUGGGGGGAAUGGGGCGGCCGCCCGUCCUCCCUGACCACAGUCCCACUCCGCCGACAAGGCCUGCAAGUUCGUCAUGUGGAUGGAGAGUCCACCCCGCACCUGGCUCCAUCGCGCGCUCCUUCGUGACGGAGCUGGCAGCGGACAGGCCCAUUGAGUUAUGGCUGCAGCCCUCCGGCUGCUACAACAAGUCCUCAUGGGCGGUGGUCGAAGUCACUCCCUCCGGCUAUGUUUACAUGACUCGGGGGUGACAGUCGUUCGCCUGUUCCUGUGGCCUGGAGGGAAGGCACACCCUCCAUUUUAGGUUUGACAGGGUGGUGACGCUCUUUGUCAAGAUCUUCGAGGAGGCCGGCGGAUGCUUGUGAUGCUGCCCGGAGGGCGACAGCAGCGGCAACGACCAACCUCCUGUAAUGACGACAGCGUGCGGAGGUGGCGGCGACGUCCGCGGCAGUGAACUUGCACCUGGCGACGGCCGCGGCACCUCCUCCGGGGACAGCGGAAGGGACAAGACUACGACGAGCCGCGACGCCACCGCAUCAAGCUGGAGGAUGACUCUGACUAGGCGCCCGUGCGGUCGGAGCUGGCGCUUCAGGAGCUACGACCCUCGGGAGGCCGUUUCUUUUGCGCUUUUUUUAUUUCCUGCAUUGAAACCAUCAAGGGCCCCAUGGGGUCGUGUAAGGAACCAUGUCACUUGCACCUAUAUCUUUAAUGCUUUCCACUUGUGUUUUGAGUUGUGUUGGCGUAUUUCGUUUGGCCUCGAGUCCCUUUUCCUUUGCGAUAACUUAGUGCUCUGCAUCAUCGGGACCCAGUCCCCAGGAAAACUUCUAACAUCACUGGUAUGCCAGGUCGUGAUGCCGUGUGCAAGGCCAGGAGGUCAGCGGCCCGAGGUCCGGUAAGAGCUCCUGAGGCGCGAUGCUCGGGAGGUCCCCCUUGACGCGCAAGAGGCUUUUGAGAGAAAAUGGGGUUUUCGUCCGUGCAAGAUCGCAAAAACGAAAGUGAGGCGUGAAUGGUAAGGCUCGCACCAGGCCGUUGAUACAUCCAUUUUGCAUCAUGCUUUUAUAUCAAUAUUUAUUGCAUUAUGGGCUGUUAUUAUAUGUUAUGUCACAAUACUUAUGCCUAUUCUCUCUUAUUUUACAAGGUUUAUCAUGAAGAGGGAGAAUGCCGGCAACUGGGAUUCUGGCUGGAAAAGGAGAAAAUAUUGGAAACCUAUUCCGCACAGCUCCAAAAAUCCUGAAACUCCACGAAAGUCAUUUUUGGAAUUAAUAAGAAUUACUGAGCAAAGAAAAUACCAGAGGGGGCCCACACCCUGGCCAGUAGGGUGGCGGGCGCGCCCCCCUACUGGGCGCGCCCCUGGUCUCCUAGGCCCCCUAUUGGCCCUCCGGUGCCUAUAUUCUGCUAUAUGAAGGCUUUUACCCUGGAAAAAAUCAUAAGCAAGCUUACGGGACGAAACUCCACCGCCAUGAGGCGGAACCAAUCUAGGACUCCGGCGGAGCUGUUUUGCUGGGGGAAACUUCCCUCCGGAGGGGAAAAUCAUCACCAUCGUCAUCACCAACGAUCCUCUCAUCCGGAGGGGGUCAAUAUCCAUCAACAUCUUCACCAGCACCAUCUCCUCUCAAAACCCUAGUUCAUCUCUUGUAUCCAAUCUUGUAUCAAAACCACAAAUUGGUACCUGUGGGUUGCUAGUAGUGUUGAUUACUCCUUGUAGUUGAUGCUAAUUGGUUUACUUGGUGGAAUAUCAUAUGUUUAGAUCCUUAAUGCAUAUUAAUACUCCUAUGAUCAUGAACAUGAAUAUGCUUUGUGAGUAGUUACUUUUGUUCCUGAGGACAUGGCUGAAGUCUUGCUAUUAGUAGUCAUGUGAAUUUUGUAUUCAUUUGAUAUUUUGAUGAGAUGUAUGUUGUCUCUCCUCUAGUGGUGUUAUGUGAACGUCGACUACAUGACACUUCACCAUUAUUUGGGCCUAGAGGAAGGUAUUGGGAAGUAAUAAGUAGAUGAUGGGUUGCUAGAGUGACAGAAGCUUAAACCCUAGUUUAUGCGUUUCUUCGUAAGGGCUGAUUUGGAUCCACUAGUUUCAUGCUAUGGUUAGGUUUACCUUAAUACUUCUUUUGUAGUUGCGGAUGCUUGCAAUAGGGGAUAAUCAUAAGUGGGAUGCUUGUCCAAGAGAGGGCAAUACCCAAGCACCGGUCCACCCACAUAUCAAAUUAUCAAAGUACCGAACGUGAAUCAUAUGAAUGUGAUGAAAACUAGCUUGACGAUAAUUCCCAUGUGUCCUCGGGAGCGCUUUUCUGAUUAUAAGAAAUUGUCCAGGCUUGUCCUUUGCUACAAAAAGGAUCAGGCCACCUUGCUGCACUUUAUUUACUUUCAUUGCUUGUUACCCAUUAGAAAUUAUCUUAUCACAAAACUAUCUGUUACCUACAAUUUCAGUGCUUGCAGAGAAUACCUUACUGAAAACCGCUUGUCAUUUCAUUCUGAUCCUCGUUGGGUUCGACACUCUUACUUAUCGAAAGGACUAUGAUAGAUCCCCUAUACUUGUGGGUCAUCAGGCGCGUAGAAGGUGACUUAGCUUAGGGUGGUCGUAGCUCGCGAAGGAUUCCUGCGUCAUGAGGGCAAGCUUCCUUGGAGCUUUGAUCCUCUGUACGCUUCAUCUCAAGCGAUGCCCGCGCUGCAGGACCGCGCCCCUCUUCCCGUGCUCCCUCGCGAGGUUUACCCAUUGUUUCCUCGCUCCCCAAGGUGCUCUACGUCCUCAGGACCCGGCCCUCGAGUGGAGCUCAGCCGCCACUGGUAUAGCAGGUCGUGAUUCCUGGGACAAGGCCAGGGGAUGAGGGCCUAAUAGCUAGUAGGGGUUCCUGAGUCAUGAUGCUCAGGAGCCACCCUUUUAACGUGCAAGUGGCUCGUGGGAAAAGGAGUGGUUUGCCUCACUGGGAUUGCAAGGGAAAGGGACUUUGGCCAGCAAAACGUGGCAGCUCAAGUGAUUUUACUUAGCCUGUAACAGGUCAAACCGCCACCUGAUUAAGGCGGAUCCUCCUGAGGCGGCAGGGCAUCAUGGAGGAGCUACUCGAACGCAUGUCUCCCAAGGUUCCCGCGCAUUUGAUAGAUAACGAAAUACAAGGGCCGACACGUGCUUGCUGGUCUGCUCAUGAUUGUUCCAUGAGAAGAUGAAGGCACUAAGGACCUGGUGAGGUGACGUGCACGGGGCUGGCCCGUGAGCCAGAGCUCAGUCGCUUAGAUUUAUAAGUGCUGUUGGGACGGACCCAAGCAUAGGCGCCGUGCCAGUAGCCCUAUGAUAGCCUGGUUUUUGCCGCCUCUUCUUUGCCCGAUUUUCAGUUGGUUUGAAUUUGAGUUUGGAGUUUUUGAAUCCUUUCAUUGGACUUAACCAAUUGGGUACCCCUUGACUUUCACCCAAGUGCUUCAUCUCCCUCUCAAACCAUCACUCCAUCUCUGGUUCACCUCAUAAUAUCAUUUAGAAUAUUUUUCUUGAAUGAAAAAUAUUCAUUUUCCCUCCUAAACCCUAGCUAUCUCAAUGUGCUCCAAAGCAACCCGAAUUUUUCUUGCCCAUAAAAUCCUGAGAAAAAAUCCAAUUAUUCUUUGAACCCUAGGGCACCUUUCUGAGAAAAAAUAUAUUUCAUCACUUUUGGAAUAUUUUGGCUAUAGAAAAUAUUUUCAUUUCUGGACAGAAAUGGUAGUUUCUUCAGCAACUACCAUUUUACUUGCUCCAUUGUAGCUGGUUUUUCUUGUGCUUCUUCACCUUAGUAAAUGUUGGUUAGCCUCCAAAGCCCAACCCUCAACUCCCAGUGGUUUGACCACAAUAAAAUCUCAAAGUUACUGUCCAGAAACUUACUUGGAGUGUAAAUUCAUUUCUACUACACCUGAAACCCAACCCAAGUGUGGUAACAGACAAAUCUACCAUGGACUACAUGCCAGACAUGAAGUUUGGGCUUACGUUGGCUUGAGGUCAUAGUUCACGCGGUGACUGUGUUUGUCCAGGCAUGCUGGCAUGCAAAACACGUGCUCUGAGUGCCGCCGAGCGCUCUGUUGCGCGCGUUGAGGGAGUCCCGGAUUAGGGGGUGUCCGGAUAGCCGGACUACCAUCAUCGGCCGAACUAUCAUCGGCCGGACUAUCAUCAUCAUCGACCGGACUCCAAGACUAUGAAGAUACAAGAUUGAAGACUUCGUCCCGUGUCCGGAUGGGACUUUCCUUGGCGUGGAAGACAAGCUUGGCGAUACGGAUACGUAGAUCUCCUACUAUUGUAACCGACUCUAUGUAACCCUAGCCCUCUCCGGUGUCUAUAUAAACCGGAUGGCUCUAGUCUGUAGGACCGAACAACAACAACCAUUACAAUCAUACCAUAGGCUAGCUUCUAGGGUUUAGCCUCCUUAAUCUCGUGGUAGAUCCACUCUUGUAAACAUCCACAAUAUCAAUAUCAAUUAAGCAGGACGUAGGGUUUUACCUCCAUCAAGAGGGACCGAACCUGGGUAAAACAUCAUGUCCCUUGUCUCCUGUUACCAUCCGCCUAGACGCACAGUUCGGGACCCCCUACCCGAGAUCCGCCGGUUUUGACACCGACACGCGUGCUCGCUGCUUUGCCUGCCCGAUCGUGCCAAACCGCGCCACCAUCAUCGUCUCUACUCAAUUAACUCCGCCCUGGCACUCGCCAUAGUGCGCGGCGCACUGUGCUCGUCGUCUUCCUCUCGCCCCUGUGCUCGUCCCCGUCCGCCAACAAUCCCCGCGUGAGCUACGUCUUCUUCCCCGUCUCUCACUGACGCUGUUCGCCGGGCGCCACGGGCAGGUGUCUAACGGCAGGGCCCGAACCCCGCUAGCUGCUCGCCAAUAAAUACGGCCACCCCCCAGCCUCCUCGAGCACCCUCAUCCACUACCACACACUCCACAAGCACGUAGAAAGCCGUAGCCGGCCGGGCAGGCCGCGGGCUGCCGUCCCCGAGCUCGAGCUCGCCGGCGAUCCCCUCGGGUCGUCCCCACAGCUCCAGCCCCUCCCGGGCCGUGGCAACCCUUCCAGGGCCUCCGCCACUCUCCGGUGGUGUUGUUCCGCCCAGUUGGAGCCCCUGGAGUCGCCCCUAGUUGCCGUCGUCUUCGUCUCUACGACCGCUGCUCUCUGCCUCCGCUGGAGAGGCUGUUUCCAGCACCGUCCGACCACCCCUAGCCACUCUACGGGUACGGGCAGGUGCGCCUCCGUCUCCUCUCUCGACCCCUCCCUCUCGUUUUGGCCCAAGAGCCCUCGCCGCCGGCAUGCACUCUGGCGAAGCCUCGCCGCUCCUUGUUUCCUCCUCCCCUCCACCUCACCUGACUAGCGGGGCCCGCUAGUCAGCCACUCUAUACGCGCGCAAAGCAGUACGAGUGGUGGCGCCCUGGGCUUUUACGCCUACGAUGUCACACCCCCCAGUCUGUUUAUUUUUAAUUCAAAUUUCAUUUAAAUCCAGAGAACUUCAAACGGCCAAAACUUUUUAACCAUAAGUCCAAAUGAUUUGGUUCUUUUUGCAUUGUGUUCUUUAUCAAAAAAUCUAGCAGCUCACCAAGAUAGGGUUUUCCCCUGCUGUCUAGAUUUUCUGGUGAAUUUUAGAAGGUUUCUUGAUGAUUUCUUUUUGUGUUUUUAAAUAUUUUCAGAAGGCCAGGCUUGUCUUGAGGAUCACCAGGAGGAUUGUGAACCUCAUCUGCACUAAGGCAAGCCACAGAAACAUUUUCAUAGUGCGACUACAAUAUUUGUUAUUUUCUACUUGAACAAAUGAUUAUCCAUGCUUUUAAAUUAUUAAUAUGUUAAUUAUAUUCUGUUAGAUGCUUGUUAAAGUGAAUAUGCUUGAUUUACAGAAAGCUUGAAGUGAACUUACUUGGUAAACUAGCAAGGAUUUAGUUUUUGGGUGAUGAAAGAAUAAUAUGGCUAUGGAUAUGAAUAAUUAGUGGAAUUAUUUUCUUGCAUGAGUAAAAAUGAUAAAUUUGCUAGAAAAGGUUCUGGUUGAAGUGAGGCUCGAUCUUAACCAGAGAAGCAUCAUGAGUUGUUGAUGCUCAGUGUGAGCAUAGUUGACUUAGUCAUUUCCGUUGAUAUGUGAUGCAUAUGUUGGUGAUGCAUGCCAUGGCAUUAUGACGCUGGUUAUUUUCACUUUAAGUUGAACCUGAUAAUAACUCAACUUGAAUAUGUUGUUGACCGGGUCAUGGUGCCGCUGAAUCGAGUCUUUCCCAGUGCAACCACAUUUGCCGGUAUGGGAUGGACUUCAUUCGUUUGAUUGUCAUGCCUCUGGUCGGUGCGUCCAACUAGGGAAGGUUAUGGGCGUGUUGUACCCUGGCCCGGUAAGCAGGCAUAACCUUGUGUGCCCGUUGUUAAGUUUUUGGUACCGGGUCCUCGUGUGGGAUCAUUUGGCCACAACGGUGGUCGUUGUGUCUUUGGUAGACACAGGGCCACCCAGGACUAGCCCGAUGGGGAGUGAGUCAGAGUGGCUGGGAGAGUGUCAUGGCAAUGGAGGGGUUUCUUCGGAAUGCCAUUGGUCCACCCAAAUGGGAGUGCGAGGCCAUGGGUUCCAUCAUGUGGGUCCAGUGCGCUACCUCUGUAGAGUGUAUUAAUCUAUCGAUAGCUGAGUCCACGGUUAAGGACACGCUCGAAAGUACGUCACACCAUGGGUCAACAUUUAAUGAAUUUUGCACACUAAGUAUGAAGUUUGCAUUGUGUUGGUGGCGGGAAGGCCAUUGUGUUGAUUUGGACCAGAUGUUGGUCGUCGUUGUGAUCGCCGUAAGGAUCACGAGCCAAAUAUUGGUGGUGGUUGUGAUCGCCGUAAGGAUCACGGGCCAAAUAUUUGUCGUGGUUGUGAUCGCUGUAAGGAUCACGGUUUGGGGCCAAUUAUUGGUCAUGGUUGUGAUCACCGGAAGGAUCACGAGAUGUCUCUGGGUUGGCACGUUUGUGAUCCAGGAACAAUCACGUUUGGUAAGCCAGUCCGAGGGACGAUUAUCACAAGAGCAUGGUCACAUCAUGUUGAAUAUAUUGUUGCAUGGUUAUAAAUUGGUUAAUUGUCAUGAUAUUAUUUCUCAUUAUGUUUAUGCUUGUUGUGAUCUUGCAAGUACAUUCAAUGUACUGACAUGGCGUGUCAUGCCAGAUUUCAGGAAAGUCCCGUUGGAAAGGAGUGCUGUCCGAGUCUAGAUUGUGUCCACAUCGAUGUCCUUGUGCUAUGGAGUUCCGCUACAACGUUGUUCCGCUGCCGCGUAGUUAUUAGGAUCGAGGCCCCUUUAUGUUCACUAAAUAAUUUACAUAUUGUUUAGCCGCACUGCGUGUGCCGCUUGGCCUCGCCAACUGUUGUAAUAUAAACUUUGAUCCGCUAGCAUCAAUAAAGCGGUUGUUUUCUGUACCAAGUUGUUGUGUGUUGCCAGAAGACAAGGUCUCUGGGCUGGCAAUGCAUGGUAAACCGGUUGCUCUAAGCCGGGGUGCCAGAAUGCUUGGUAUUAGAGCCGCGCUAACUGUAGGCCAUGCUAGACUACGGCGAGUUAACCGGAUGCUAGAUACGAGUUGUAGUUGAGUGCCGGUAGCAUUUGUAGCUGGUUGUUUCAUUGCAUGCACUGAAUUUAUUUUUAUGCUAACCUGCUAAUGGUUGUGAGUGUAGAUGGCUCUGGUGCCGUAUCCGUGCCAGUUACAGCUGAUACCGUACACGUCGUUGCAUCUCCUUCGCAACGUGUGGCAUCGGCUGUACCCCCUCGGUGACGACCCAGCCUAUCGUGUGUACCGGGAGCGUCUAGCUGACUCAGUGUAUGAGUAUCAUGCCGUGGUUACUUUGCGCACCAGUUUCGAUUCCAGCACUUACACUCGUACCUCUCGGAGCGGUUACGCUUCUACCGCUUCUCAGGCUGUCCAGUUUGCUGCAUUCGAGGUACUUGUUGAGCUUCACUACAACGAGGUUUGGAUGCAGAAUCACCUAGGUUUCUACUACUAUCCUUCUCUACAUGAUAAUGGUCGUGUCCGUUUCCCUAUCAUUGAUCCAGAGUCUGAUAGUGUUGCUAGCCACCUUUCUCGUUAUAUCACUGCUAGCUAUCUUAUGAUCUACGAGCUGGCUCAAGAGCUAACUCGUGCCCGUACUGCUCUAGCGUCUGCUAGAUCAGUCACUACUCCAGCUUCUGUGGGAUUUACUCCUUAUAUUCCCGCCAAUUCUAGUUCCCCUGUUUCACCGGUUACUCCUCCAAGUAGCUCGGGCACCGCGACCGUGAGUCCACUCAGUGCUCCUGUUGAGUGGUUUCACUUCUCGCCACUUCCGUAGCCCCGAUGCUUCACCCUCCACCUACCCCAAAGGGAGAACCCUCGAGGCAGCGUCGUCGUGUCACCUUUAACCCAGAGGUCUCAGUUAACCAUGUCAGUUCAGGAUCCGAGUCCGCUUCAGGAGAGGACCCCCAGCACUAGCAUAGCAGUAGAGUUUCCGAGUAUCCGCAGUCGUCAGUAUGGUGUACGGAUGUAGUCGUACGAGCCAUGAUGUUUCGUUUCUUGUAUGAGAUUAGCUGAACCUAGCAUGUUGUUAUCUUUCAUGUAUGAGUCUAUGUAUAAUUAUGUUGGAACUCUAUUUUAUUCACCGUAUUUUCUUUGUCAUUUCGGUUUUUCUUGGGCUUUUGUUGCUGGCUUUCCCCCAAUUUAUUUUGAAUGCUUCUCAUCUCGGUUCCGUUGCCUUGGGAAAAAUCAUAAUAGGAUGACGCGGGGAGGCAGCAGUAGCAACGUUCGCAUGGGUUCUGUUGUCCGUCGUACCGCACGACAAGCAGGACACUCACCUGAGCCGUACGUUCCACCACCGCCUCCACCGCCAAAUCCGCCUUCCACCGAGAAAAUUCUGCGUAUGUUUGAGGAAAGGCGGAAUAAUGAUCUGAUUGAAAUAUUAAGAAGUGUUCAAGUUGUGGUUGGACAGAAUGGGAAUCAGCCCGGUCAUCACUCCAAGCUGUCCGAUUUUCAAAGGACGAAGCCUCCCUGUUCAGUCAGGCUAUUGAUCCCUUGGAUGCAGAUGAUUGGUUGAGACCCAUGGAGAAGAAGCUUGAGAUUGCUCGUAUUGAAUGAGAUAAGGUUCCAUUUGCAACUCAUUAUCUUGAAGGCGCUACUGCCAUAUGGUGGGCGAAUGAAAAAGCCAUGUGGUGUGCUGAUGAAGAAGUCACCUUGUCAAGAUUCAAGGAACGAUUCCAAAAAUAUCACAUCCCUACGAGUGAUGGGGGUUGGGUGUGACAUAUGCCAAAGGAUGGCUUAUCAUGGUGGAAGCGAGUAGAACGUCACCGGUGCCUGGAAGCGGGAUGAGGCGUAGACACGAAAGCCGGCACACUUUACCCAUGUUUGGGGCUCUCCUAGGAGAUAACACCCCUAGUCCUGCUCUGUGGGGUCUCCGCAUGACCACUAAGGCACAAGUGAUUCAAUGGUGCUCCUUGAGCGGUAUGCUAGAGGUAGAAGGAGGCAGGGCUAGCUAGCUCUCUUCUUCCUCUAGGGUGGAGUCUAGUUAUAACAGGUUGGGAACCCUUCGCAUGGGUGCCCUGGGGUUUAUAUAGGCCUACCCCCAGGGGUACAAUGGUAAUCUGGACGGGUGUUGGACCCGGCUAUUAGUGUCUCUGAUCGCCGGCUUCUCCGCCGGCUGCUGGGGCCCGCCGCCUGGCAGGCUCCGCUGAAUGGUCUGGUACGGAGCCGACAAGCCGCUCCUACCGCUUGCGGGUCUGGUGGGUGUCUGGUCGCUGUAGCCGUGACGCUAAUGAUGCAGGCUUGGUCAGUGGAGCGUGGCUACAGUCCUGCCGCCUGGUGGGAGAUCACUAUAGCCACACCAUGUCUUAUCUGGUUAAUGGUGCACGUGCCUCAAGGGAGGAACUGUCCGCCUGCUGGAGGCCGGCCUCCCUAAGGUCUGGCUGGUCUAGCCUCCGUCAUCUUUCGGGCUCUCACUACCUAGUAGAGCCCGCCGCUUGGAGGCCGUACUGACAGGCCGUCGUGGGAGCAGGGCUCCGCCUGUCAAGAGUGACGUGGAGGGGGAGUGGCAACAGUGUCGCGCCGUGCGGAGAUCUCUGCCUGUAUGGGGCAUUGUAGCCAUGCCAAGCCCAGGAUUUGGGGAUGAGGUACUACACUGUAGCCUCACUCUGUCUUGUCCUCUUGAUAAAGGGCACAAACUCUGAGGGUGCGGGGAGGCCAUCUGCUAGGACUGACCAUUCUUGGUGUUGUCUGCUGGUGGGUGGCCGCCUUCGGGCAGCCGUCCAUUGAGCUAGCCGGCCACUGGAAGGCAGUGCUUCAUUCUGAGGUCUCGUGGGGCGAAGCCAGCCCAAAGUCUUGAAAUGCUCAGGGACUCGGGUGAGACUAACCGUGGCCCAUUACUCUGACAGUAGUCCCUGAAGUUGGUGGGGCGUCGUGGUCGAUGGGCCAUGAAGUCCAAGCAUCUCCCCCUCUCGUCGCGCUCUGAUCGAACGCUCGACCCGUCUUGUGACGCGCCGACUGCCGGAGUUGACCUGACAAGGCGGGCUCGUCCGCCAAUUUCGAACUCCAAGGCGGGAAACAGAUGGCGUCCCUGCUAAGCUUCCCCAGGCCUGCCGCCCUCCACGAGCACGCCACGCGGCGCACGUCAGCCUGGCCAGCCUGCCAUCCCAUGCUCCUAAUGGGAUGUGACAGUGGGCCGGGCCCGCCACUACUGGGCACCGGCACACGGGCGGAUCCGCUGCGGCCGAGGCAAGCGGUUGCGAUUCCCGCAAGAGUUACUGCGCAUUAACUCUGCGCAAUAAUCGGGGGGUCGUGGGGUCAUGGGCGCAAUUAAUCCCACGAUCCAAUGUCCUGCCCCCUCGGCUUCACAACCCGAGGGCUAUAAAUGGGGGGAGGCAGGGGAGCGGCGGAGCACGCGCACCCUCCUCCCCACACUUUCUUCCUCCUCUCUCUCUCUGCUGCUGCUGCUUAGCGCCCGCCGUAGUGCCGCCGCAGCUUGCCAUUGUCGAGCUCUUGCUCCACACACAGCUCCGCUCGAUCACCAUGGCGCGCGAGAAGGGUGGGGAUUGGGACGGUUCGACAGUGAUCGAGGAUCACCUUACCUUUCUCCGGGCCACGCACAGGAUGCCCAAUGCGGCAUUCGUCAAGGUGCGGGUGCCGCCGCGGGAGGAGAUCUUGCCGGCGCCGCAGGGGGACGAGUGGGUCGUCUUCCGAUCGCACUUGUUCAGGGACUUCAACCACAUCCAGCCGCACCACAUGACGCCCAACAUCGUGACGCUGUUGUCCGCCUUCGUCACGGUGUGCGAUGGCUACCUCGGCAUCCUCCCCACCAUCGAGCGGUGGGGAGCUUUCUUCUACGGCAAGCUGGGCACCUCCGCCAAGGAGACGGCGGCCGAGUGUGGCGCCUACGUCGUCGUGCGCUAGCGGGCGAAGAGGAACGCCUUCCCGGUCAUCAAGCUGUCACAGUCGGUGAAACUGUGGCAGCAAUCCUACUUCUACGUUGAGAACAUCGACCCGGCAGUCGACUUCCUCAAUCAUCCGGCCUACGAGGCUGGCUCCCCUGUUGGCCUUUGGCCCAACUGGGGCUACAAGCCGAAGCCUGUGUCGGCGGACGCGGCUGCCGCCAUCUGCCGGCUCCGGGUGCUUCAGGAGUCGGAGGGUCUCGUGGUGUCUGACCUGCUGAUCGCCUUCAUCGAGCGCCGGGUUCUCUCGCUCGAAGGCCGCCCUCAUCUGAUCUGUCGGAUGAGUGGGCACCACGACCCGAGCAGGAUGUGCAUGAAGGAGAUGCCGACUACCGAGGUGGCGAGGAUGGUGAACGACAUCUCCGACCUCAAGGUGUCGGAGGGAGCCUGGCGGUUCGGAAGCGGCCGUACUCCCGCGACGACCCGCUGCCUGCCGUAAGUUUUUUCUUUUUAGUUCUUGCUUUAGUCUUGGUCUUGGUAUGAAGUGGCUCCUUCUCUGGAGUGCAUAUUUAUAUGUCUGCGGUGACGGCGGCCAUCGUGGGGCCGGGUGGUGACUACCAGCCGGACCGGGAGGUGAGCGACAAGAUCGACCCCAACUUGGGGGCGGCUGCCUUGGAGGAUGACGCUAUAGGCGGCGGCGACGGAGCAGGCGGCUCCGAAGAAGGGGGCGGCAUGGAGACCUUGCCCACCGACGACGACGAUGAAGAUGAGUCGCGCCCUGCCCGGAGCACCGCUAACACUGGCGUAGGCCCCUCCGCCGUACCGUUUGCUCGAGGCGGCAAGCGCAAGCAGAAACAGGGCGCCACCCUGUUCGGCAGCGCGCCGAAGAAGCCCAAGAACCCGGCCGCGGCGACCAGGCGGAAAGAGGCCGCGACGAAGGUGGCCAAGUACCAGAGGCAACCAAAGGUACCGAUCAUGGUGUCAGUGUAAGUAUUUCUCUUAUGCUUCCACUUUCUUGCCGAUCUGGCCUAAAAACUUCUUUAUCUUUCUUUCUUAUCUCAGGGCCCUCCUCGCCCUUGAAAAGUCGGCCACCACCUUGGUCAUAAGGUCGGCGGAGACCUCCACCACCACCCGGCGAAUCGAUCCAGCCACCGACCUCCGGGAGGCGCAGGAGCGAAACACGUGGGGGGUUGCGUGAGGAGCAGGAAGCCGCCCAGCUGGAGAAGGCAGAGGCUGACAAGGCGGCGACAUUCGUGGCGAGGAAGCUGGCGUAGGCGGAGGCUGAUGCUGCGACGAAGGAUCGUCUUGCGGAGGCCGCGCACCGCCAUGAGCCGCUGCUCGUGGCUCCCCUGAAUUCCGCGCCCCCUCUGCCAGAGUUUGUGGCGACGACCGGGGGAGCCGGCGAUGAUCAGCCGAUCAUGGAGAGGGAAGGAGGCGACGUUGCCAUGCCGGGCGUCAUCGUGCAUCUGCCACCGUCGACCGGCGGAGCACAACACAGGCAGCCGGCUGGCUAGCCGGUGCCGCCAGCUGGGAUCGAGGUGGUGACGGGCCCAACUCCUGAGGCCCACUGAUACGUCUCCGUCAUAUCUAUAAUUUUUGAUUGUUUCAUGCCAAUAUUGUUCAACUUUCAUACACUUUUGGCAACUUUUUAUAUUAUUUUUGGGACUAACAUAUUGAUCAAGUGCCCAGUGCUAGUUCCUGUCUGUUGCAUGUUUUAUGUUUCACAGAAAACCAAUAUCAAACGGAAUCCAAACGGGAUAGAAACGGACGGAGAAUUAUUUUGGAAUAGUUGGGAUUUUCCGGAGGAAGAAUCAAGGCGAAACAGUGUCCGAGGUGGCCACGAGACAAGGGGGCGCGCCCCCUACCCUUGGGCGCUCCCUGGGCGCUCGUGGGCCACCCAUAAGGCGGUUGAGGCCCUUCUUUUGCCGCAAGGAAGCUAAUUUUACAAGAAAAAUCUGGGCGAAAGAUUUACCCCAAUCGGAGUUACGGAUCUCCAGAUAUAAAGGAAACGGUGAAGGGGUAGAAUCAGGGAACGCAGAAACAGAGAGAUAGAUCCAAUCUCGGAGGGGCUCUCGCCCCUCCCACACCAUGGGAGCCAAGGAACAGAUAGGAAACCCUUCUCCCAUCUAGGGAGGAGGUCAAAGGAAGAAGAAUAAGAAGGGUACCCCUCUCCCCCUUGCUUCCGGUGGCACCGGAGCGCUGCCGGGGGCCAUCAUCAUCACCGCGAUCUUCACCAACACCGCCGCCAUCUUCACCAACAUCUCUACCAACUCUUCCUCCCUCUAUGCAGCGGUGUAACCUCUCUCUUAUCCGCUGUAAUCUCUACUUAAACAUGAUGUUCAACGCUAUAUAUUAUUCCCCAAUGAUGUAUGGCUAUCUUAUGAUGUUUGAGUAGAUCCGUUUUGUCCUAUGGGUUAAUUGAUGAUUGUGAUUGGUUUGAGUUGCAUGUUUUAUUAUUGGUGCUGUCCUAUUUUGCCCUCCGUGUCGCGCAAGCAUGAGGGAUCCCCGUUGCAGGUUUGCAGUAUGUUUAUGAUUUGCUUAUGGCGGGUGGCGUGAGUGAACAGAAGCACAGACCCGAGUAAGUAGGUUGUUUGCGUAUGGGAUAAAAGGGGACUUGAUACUUUAAUGCUAUGGUUGGGUUUUACCUUAAUGAAUAUUUAGUAGUUGCGGAUGCUUUCUAGAGUUCCAAUCAUAAGUGCAUAGAAUUCCAUGUAAGGGAUGAUAUGUUAGCCUAUGCCUCUCCCUCAAAUAGAAUUGCAACAGUGAUUACUGGUCUAGUUAUCGAUUGCCUUGGACAAAUAACUUCCUCGUAACAAAAAGCUCUCUACUAAUAUUUACUUUGUUGCUUCUUUAUUUAAACAACCCCUAGCUUUUAUUUACAUGCUCUUUAUUAUCUUGCAAACCUAUCCUAUCACACCUACAAAGUACUUCUAGUUUCAUACUUGUUCUAGGUAAAGCGAACGCCAAGCGUGCGUAGAGUUGUAUCGGUGGUCGAUAGAACUUGAGGGAAUAUUUAUUCUACCUUUAGAUCGUCGUUGGGUUCGACACUCUUACUUAUUGAAAACUGUUGCGAUCCCCUACACUUGUGGGUAUUCACCCACAGACCCGCGCGCCACCGUGUUGCGAAGGCGUUCUCGGCGCCGUGACCACUGGAGGCCGGUGCCGCGAGCUCGUCGGUCCCGGACACCGAGGCGACUAGUGCCGCGCCCACUGGCUGAGUGUGUGGAGGCGGGACGGGAGCCUUGAACGAGGCGGCCUUGGAUGGCCAGGCCAAGCUUCGGGCCGAAGCCGACGCCCUCAAGCGGUGCAACGAGGCAUUUCUGAACUCGCCAGCAGUCAUCCGAGUAAACUUCUCUCUUGUUCGUUUUUGAUCUUCUUGUUUCUUGGUGGGGGCACGCCAGCGCACCCACUGGGUGUAGUCCCCAAGUUUCGGGCCGGCUGCUGAGCAGGCGGUCCGGAACUUUAACUUGCAAGCAUCAAACGCUAACUUCUUCUGACAACCUUAUUGCGGGAUUCCCACAAUCUUCGCGCGACCACCUUCAACUCCGGAGUCCGGGAGCUAGAGAAGCAGACCGCCAACUUGUCCAAGAGCCGGAGUAAGUCUUGUCUUCCUUUCUCCGCGGGGGCGCGCUGGCGCACCCGCGGGCUGUAGUCCCCGAGAUUUGGGCCAACAGCUGAGCAGUCAGGCCGGAUCUUCCUAGCAACCGUAUUUCUUUUGUUGACUGUUGAUAACUUCUUUCUCUGCGGGGGCGCGAUAGAGCACCCGCGGGCUGUAGUCCCCGAGAUUCGGGCUGAUUGCUGAGCAGUUGGGCCGGAUCUCCUCGGCAACUGCAUCUCUUACUUGCUAAGUGUUGUUGUUCUUUCUUCUUUUUUCUUUGUAGAAGCCAACGCCGCCUUGCAGCAGCAGCUGGGCGAAGCCAACACCGCGCUUCGUGAUAAGGAGGCGGAGUGCAGCAAGCUGGCCGAGGAGCGUGACCGACUGGUCACGCAGCUCGUGGAGUAGACGGAGCAUCUCAAGACGGCUCAGAAGGAGGCGAAGAUGAAGGAGACCAACCUCCUUGCUGAGUUCGAGAUCGAGCGCUCCGCUUGGGCCGACAAGGAGGCGUAGCUGAUUGCGUGCUUCAGCAGCAUUGAGGACUUCAUCGCCGGUAGGCCUCUUCUUUUUUAUUUCUUUCUUUGAGUCGCCGGCCCUUAUCCAGGCCUACUGUUGGCUUCUGACAUCUAACUUUCUUGCCCUUCAUUCAAACAGACUUGUUCCCAGGCCACUCCAUCGCCGCGAACCAGGCCAUCGAGGCUCAACGCCAGGAGCGGAGGGCUGAAGGCAUGCAGAUUGCCGCCGACGCCCCCCGGACCCUUAGCGAGCAACUCCUCAGCAUCCAGGGCCGCCUGCGAUCAGCCCAUGAGAUGUUGCGCUGUCUUCAGCAUGUCGGGGCCCAGGCGAUCUCCACCCUCUGGCCGGGCAUGCAGGCUCCGCGCACUCCCAGUCAGACUGUCGACUGGCUGGAGGUGGCGGCCGGCCGCGUGGAGGCCUGGAAGGGCUCCUCGGCCCGGGAUGGAGCGCGCCGAGCCCUGGAGUUCGUUAAGGCAUGGUACCCUGGGCUAGAUCUAGCCCAGCUGACCACGUUUCGACUGGAGGCGCAGGAGGAGCUAGUGGCAGUGGAAGGCGACCUUGUCAGUAGGGCGGCGGCGAUCACCGACUACACCGACACCAGCGUCUUCAUCCCGAAGGUAGUUGAAGAGGGCGCCGAGGUGCCGCUGGAGUGGCUCAGGCUGAACCCGGAGGACAGCGAGGAAUCGACUGAGAUAAUCGACUCCAACAACAAAGGGGAGGAGGGGGAGGAUGAGGAAUGCGAGGAUGACGCGCCGGAGGUCGGAGCGGAUGGCCAGCCUCAACCUGACCGCGCCUCGAGCAACGACCCGCGCUCAAGUGCGCCGACUGCUGCUGAAGGCAACCAGGCGGAGACCGACCAACCGCCUGUUCCACCGACUAGCGCCGCCGACUCUGCUGUCCAGUCGUCCACCGCUCCGACCGAUGCCACCGACUCCGCCAUCCAGUCAGGACCUUCUACUGCCCCAACCGGCGCCACUGACUCCACCUUCCAGCCGGAACCCUCUGUUGCCCCUUAGGGCGUUGUCUUUAUUUUUCUGCUCAUUAGUCUCGAAAAACUUUUAUUAAAUUUGCACAAUUCCACUCGCAGGCUGUAUAUCAAACUCUGUUGAAUGCUGGCGAGUGGGCCUUUUGCUAUGUAAAUAUCCCUUGUCGCCAAUUAUGCUUUGUUUGUCGGCUUCUGAUUUUCCUUGCUUUCUGCUCCUUGCUUUUUUCCUUUGCCGCCCUCCCUUGGCUACCCUCUUGCCAGCCAAACAGCCGCUCUGCCGACUAUAGCCAGGUUGAGUAAUUAGCUAUUUAUGGGAGGGCAAGUACUUAGCCGCUUGGAGUGUUGGCAAGGUAAGCAUAAGCCGGCCGGCCGGCUGCUCGGCAGCCGGCUGAAAAGGCGGGAUGCCGGCCUCAGCUAUAUGCGCAAUUUUCCUUAGCCAUUUUUCAUGUGGGCAUUGUUUUGCAACCCCUGCCUGCCGUACAGUCGCUCUGCAAGCUGCGGCUUCUGACAGGGGAAGUUUUUUGGUGCCGACACACUACUUGUCCGACUACAGGAGGCGGCAUAUAGCAGAAGGCGGCUAGCCUCCGGGCCGUCUGGUCGAACCUGGUGCUAGGCGGAAUAAUAAAACAACACGCUCAUAGGCAUAACACUUAUCAUAUAGAUAAAAGAGGGUAGUCCCCGAGCUCUUCUUAGGGGACCCGGAGUCGUCGUACUUAAUACAAAGGAUAGCGUGAUACAUACUGCUUUUAACUGUAAAAUCUUCGGAGAAGAUUUGUGUUCCAUGGCCUUUCCAUCUCCUUGCCUGAGUCAUCACUUUUGCGUGCUCUGGGCUUCUGAGCAUCGAUCAGGUAGUAGGAACCGUUGCCCAUCACUUUGCUGACAAUGAAAGGUCCUUCCCAAGGUGCCGAGAGCUUGUGCUGGCCGCCUGUUCGCUGGAUCAGCCGGAGCACAAGGUCUCCCUCUUGGAAGGAUCUUGGCUUCACCUUGCGGCUGUAGUAUCGGCACAGACUUUGCUGGUAGAUGGCAGAUCGGCUGAGUGCCAACAGCCGGCCCUCUUCCAUCAGGUCGACGCCGUCUUCUCGUGCCUCCUUGGCGUCUGCCUUGGUGUACAUGGUGACUCGUGGGGAGUCGAACUCUAUGUCCGUCGGGAUGACGGCUUCAGCGCCGUAGACGAGGAAGAAGGGCAUGAAGCCAGUCGACUUGUUUGGAGUUGUGCGCAGGCUCCAGAGGACGGCCGACAGCUCAUCGAGCCAACAGCCAGCCGAAUGUUCUAGAGGCUCGACCAGUCGGGGUUUGAUGCCUGACAGAAUGAGGCCGUUUGCUCGCUCCACUUGGUCGUUUGACUGCGGAUGAGCAACGAACGCUAAGUCCAGUCGGAUGCCCUGUGUCGCGCAGAAAUGAGCCAAGGCUCCUUUGGCAAAGUUUGUGCCGUUGUCGGUGAUGAUGUUGUGUGGUAUGCCAAACCCAGUGGUGAUGUCGGCGAUGAAAGUCAUGACAGUUGGCCCAUUCAGCUUCUUGAUUGGCUUUGCUUGUAUCCAGUUGGUGAACUUGUCCACAGCGAUAAGAAAAUGAGUCAUGCCACCACGGGUUGUCUUGAAUGGCCCCACAAUGUCCAGCCCCCAAACGGCAAAGGGCCAGGAAAUGGGGAUGGUCUUGAGCGCAGAAGCCAGCAAGUGUGGCUUGGAGCGGAACUUCUGGCACCCUUUACACUUCUGGACCAACUCCUUGGCAUUUUCUAGAGCAGUCGGCCAGAAAAAACUGUGGUGGAAAGCUUUGGUAACAAGGGAUCUUGAAGCCUCGUGGUGACCACAUUCACCUUGGUGGAUAUCUUUGAGGAUUGCUUGAACCUAGUCCGGCUCUACGCAGCGCUGGUACACACCAGGGACACUGCACCGCACCAGCUCCUUGUUGACUAUGGUGUAUGCUGCUACCCGCCGUUGCACUUGUCGGGGUAGGAUCUCGUCAGUCGGCAGCUCUUUAUUCACCAGAAAGUUGAGGAUGGGUUGAGCCCAUGAAGGUGUUGCUAUUUCUUCGAUUGCCACGACUGCAACUUGUACAAGGGCAGUUGGGCCUGGAGGUGGCGGGUUGAAGUUGGCUACCGCCUGUUGAGCUGAAGAAGUCCCCGGGCCGACUGCUGCAGCCCCCGGGCCGGGUUCUGAAGUCCCCAGGCCAGGUGCCACGGCUGUAGUCCCCGGGCCGUUUGUCGAGGUCCCCGUGCCGGAUUCUGGGGCCCUCAAGUUGGAUCUGACUGCUUCAGGAGGGGCCGACACGAAUAUGGAGUCGGAAUCUGGUGACGGCUUGACAGAUGGCUUGAGGAGGCGCUGUAGGGCGACACCGGCUGGUAUUGCUUGCCGGGUGGAGCCGAUCCGUGCCAGGGCAUCUGCUUGCUCGUUGUCAUUUCUUGGCACAUGGAGGAACUCGCACCCGUCAAAAUAUCCACUGAGUUGUUGUACGAGGAAGCAGUAGCUCGCCAUAUUUGCAUCUUUGGCAUCCCAGUCGCCUGACGACUGCUGGACCACUAAGUCGGAGUCACCAUAGCACAGGAUCCGGCGAAUGCCGAGUUCCAUGGCAAGACGGAGCCCGUGUUUGAGUGCCUCGUAUUCAACUACGUUGUUGGAGGCGGCAAAGUGGAUUUGCAGCACAUAUCUGAGCUUGUCGCCUUUGGGAGAGGUGAGGACGAUGCCUACUACGUCUUGAGCUUGCGUUGGUUUUCUUUGAAGAGGAAAGGGUGAUGCAGCAUAGUAGCGUAAGUAUUUCCCUCAGUUUUUCAGAACCAAGGUAUCAAUCCAGUAGGAGGCUCCUCACAAGUCCCACGAACCUACACAAACAAACAAAUAACUCGCAACCAACGCGAUAAAGGGGUUGUCAAUCCCUUCACGUCCACUUGCGAAAGUGAGAUCUGAUAGAGAUAAUAUGAUAAGAUAAAUAUAUUUUUGGUAUUUUAUAAUAUAGAUGCAGAAAAUAAAGAUGCAAAUAAAAGUAGAUUGAAAGCUUAUAUGAUAAAGUAUAGACCCAGGGGCCAUAGGUUUCACUAGAGGCUUCUCUCAAGAUAGCAUAAGUAUUACGGUGGGUGAACAAAUUACUGUCGACCAAUUGAUAGAAAAGCGAAUAAUUAUGAGAUUAUCUAGGCAUGAUCAUGUAUAUAGGCAUUACGUCCGUGACAAGUAGACCGACUCCUGCCUGCAUCUACUACUAUUACUCCACACAUCGACCGCUAUCCAUCAUGCAUCUAGAGUAUUACUUUCAUAAGAACAAAGUAACGCAUUAAGAAAGAUGACAUGAUGUAGAGGGAUAAACUCAAGCAAUAUGAUAUAUACCCCAUCUUUUUAUCCUCGAUGGCAACAAUGCAAUACGUGCCUUGCAACCCUUUCUGUCACUGGGUAAGGACACCGCAAGAUUGAACCCAAAGCUAAGAACUUCUCCCAUGGCAAGAAAGAUCAAUCUAGUAGGCGAAACCAAACUGAUAAUUCAAAGAGACUUGCAAAGAUAACUCAAUCAUACAUAAAAGAAUUCAGAGAAGAUUCAAAUAUUAUUCAUAGAAACUUUAUCAUAAACCCACAGUUCAUCGGAUCUUGACAAACACACCGCAAAAAGAGAUUACAUCGAAUAUAUCUCCACAAGAGAGGGGGAGAACAUUGUAUUGAGAUCCAAAAAGAGAGGAGAAACCAUCUAGCCAAUAACUAUGGACCCGAAGGUAUGUGGUAAACUACUCACAACUCAUUGGAAGGGCUAUGGUGUUGAUGUAGAAGCCCUCCAUGGUGGAUUCCCCCUCCGGCAGAACGCCGGCGAUGGCUCCAUGAUGGGAUCUCGUGGAUACAAAAGGUUACGGUGGUGGAAAUAUUUCUUCGGUGGCUCCCUAGAUGUUUUCAGGGUAUGUAGGCUUAUAUAGGAGGAAGAAGUACGUCGAUGGCCGCCUGAGGGGCCCAUGAGACAGGGGGCGCGCCCUGUAGGGGUGGGUGCGCCCCCAUCCUCAUUGCUGCCUCGGCUGCUUCUUGACUUGCACUCCAAGUCCUCUGGAUCAUGUUCGUUCCAAAAAUCACGCUCCCGAAGAUUUCAUUCCGUUUGGACUCCGUUUGAUAUUCCUUUUCUUCGAAAUACUAAAAUAGGCAAAAAAACAGCAAUAUGGGCUGGGCCUCUGGUUAGUAAGUUAGUCCCAAAAAUGAUAUAAAUGUGUAAAAUAAAGCCCAUGGACAUCCAAAACAUGUAAUAUAAUAGCAUGGAACAAUCAAAAAUUAUAGAUACGUUGGAGACGUAUCAAGCAUCCCCAGCUUAAUUCCUGCUCGUCCUCAAGUAGGUAAAUGAUAAAAACAGAAUUUUUGAUGUGGAAUGCUACCUAGCAUAAUUCUGAAGCUAAUUUCUCUUUAUUGUGGCAUGAAUGUUCAGAUCCAGGUGAUUCAAAAUAAAAGUUCAUAUUGACAAAAGAAAUAGCAAUACUUAAAGCAUACUAAUAAAAGCAAUCAUGUCUUCUCAAAAUAACAUGGCUAAAGAAAGUUCAUCCCUACAAAAUCAUAUAGUUAGUCUAUGCUUCAUUUUCGUCACACAAAGAUGUACCCAACUUCUAUACCCCCGAUGACAAGAUAAGCAAUUGUUUCGUACUUAAAUAAUCUUUUUCAACCUUCAUGCAAUACAUGAGCGUGAGCCAUGGAUAUAGCACUAUGGGUGGAAUAGAAUAAUGAUUGGGGAUUGUGUGGAGAAGACAAAAAGGAGAAAGUUUCACAUUGACGAGGAUAAUCAAGGGGCUAUGGGAAUGCCCAUCAAUUGAUGUCAACAUGAGGAGUAGGGAUUGCCAUGCAACGGAUGCACUACAGCUAUAAAUGAAGGAAAUCUCAACAAAAGAAAACUAGUGGGUCUGCAUCCAACUUGCUUGCUCACGAAGACCUAGGGUAUUUGAGGAAGCCCAUCAUAGGAAUAUACAAGCCAAGUUCUAUAAUGAAAAAUUCCCACUAGUAUAUGAAAGUGACAACCUAUGAGACUCUCUACAUGAAAACAUGAUGCUACUUUGAAGCACAAUAUAUGAGACUCACUACAUGUAGAACAAGGUGCUACUUUGAAGCACAAGUGUGGAAAAAGAGAUAGUAGCAUUGCCCCUUUAUUUAUUUUACUUUUUUUUCUUUGGCCUUUUUUUGGCCUUUCUUUUUUCUUUUUGGGCAAUGCGCUAAUAAUGAUGAUCAUUACACUUUUAUUGAUUACAACACAUGAAUUACAACUCAAAACUAGAACAAGAUAUGACUCUAUAUGAAUGCCUCCGGUGGUGUACCAGGAUGUUGCAAUGAAUCAAGAGUGACAUGUAUAAAAAAUCAUGCAUGGUGGCUUUGCCACAAAUACGAUGUCAACUACAUGAUCAUGCAAUGGCAAUAUGACAAAAGUAAUGUAUGUCAUGAUGAUGAUGAACGGAACGGUGGAAAGUUGCAUGGCAAUAUAUCUCGGAAUGGUUAUGGAAAUGCCAUAAAUAGGUAGGUAUGGUGGCUGUUUUGAGGAAUAUAUAAGGAGGUUUAUGUGUGAUAGAGCGUAUCAUAUCAUGGGGUUUGGAUGCACCGGCGAAGUUUGCACCAACUCUCAAGAUGAGAAAGGGCAAUGCACGGUACCGAAGAGGCUAGCAAUGAUGGAAAGGUAAAAGUGUGUAUAAUCCAUGGACUCAACAUUAGUCAUAAGAAUUCAUAUACUUAUUGCAAAAAUGUACAAGUCAUCAAAAACCAAGCACUACGCGCAUGCUCCUAGGGGGAUAGAUUGGUAAGAAAAGACCAUCGCUCGUCCCCGACCUGCCACUCAUAAGGAUGCACAAGCCACGUACACUUCAUGCUUCAAAUUUGUUACACAACUUUAACCAUACGUGCAUGCUACGGGACUUGCUAACUUCAACACAAGCAUUCUUUAAAUUCAUAAUCACCCAACUAGCAUGACUUUAAUAUCACUACCUCCGUAUCUCAAAACAAUUAUGAAGUAUCAAGUUUAUCAUAGCAUCCAAUUCACUUCUUAUGAUAGUUUUUACUAUACCCAACUUGGAUGCUCAUCAUUCUAGGACCAAUUUAUAACCAUAGCAAACCAUGCUGUUCUAAAAGACUCUCAAAAUAAUAUAAGUGAAGCAUGAGAGAUCAAAAAUUUCUUCAAAAUUAAUCCACCGCCGUGCUCUAAAAGAUAUAUGUGAAGCACUAGAGCAAAAACUAGCUAGCUCAAAAGAUAUAAGUGAAGCACAUAGAGUAUUCUAAUAAAUUUCAAUCAAGUAGGCUUCUCCCAAAAGGUGUGUUACAGCAAGGAUGAUUGCGGUAAACUAAAAAGCAAAGACUAAAAUAAUACACGACGCUCCAAGCAAAACACAAAUCAUGUAGCAAAUAAAAAUAUAGCUCCAAGUAAAGUUACCAAUGAACGAAGUCGAAAGAGGGAUGCCUUCCGGGGGCAUCCCCAAGCUUAGGCUUUUGUCUAUUCUUGAAUAUCUUGGGAUGCCUUGGGCAUCCCCCAAGCUUAGGCUUUUUCCACCCUUUAUUCCAUAGUCCAUCAAAUCUUUACCCAAAACUUGAAAACUUCACAACACAAAACUCAACAGGAAAUCUCAUAAGCUCCGUUAGUGAAAGAAAACAAAACCACCACAUAAGGUACUGUAAUGAACUCAUUAUAUAUUUAUAUUGGUGUUAAACCUACUGUAUUCCAAGUUCUCUAUGGUUCAUACCCUUACAUACUAGCCAUAGAUGCAUCAAAAUAAGCAAACAACACACGAAAAACAGAAUCUGUCAAAAACAGAACAGUCUGUAGAAAUCUGUAAGUAACGCAAACUUAUGGAACUUUAAAAAUCCUACCAAAAUAGGAAGUCCUAAAAAAUUUGUUUAUUAAACAUCAGAAAAAAGAAUCAAUGCAAAAUCUCGUUUAUGUGAUUUAUUGAAUUGUUUCUCGUGAGUGAAAAGUUUCUGUUUUUCAGCAGAAUCAAAUCAACUUAUACCAUCGGUUAUCCUAUAGGUUCUACUUGGCACAAACACUAAAUAAAACAAGAAAACACAUCUAGUCAGAAAGUAGAAACAAAUUUUAUUGAAUAACAGUAAGGAAAAAUCUUGGGUUGUCUCCCAACAAGCGCUUUUCUUUAAAUCCUUUUUAGCUGGGCAUUGAGAUUUCAAUGAUGCUCACAUGAAAGACAAGAAUUGAAGCAUAAAGAGAGCAUCAUGAAACACGUGACAAACACAUCUAAGUAUAACAUACUUCCUAUGAAUAGGCAUAUUAUAAGCAAACAAAUUUCAAGGCAAGCAAGAACUAGCAUAUGAAAGGAAGAAGAAAGAGAGGAUAGCAAUCUCAACAUGACGAGAGGUAAUUUAUUAAGAUAAAAAUUUCUACGACCAUAUUUUCCUCUCUCGUAAUAAUUACAUGUAGGAUCAUAGGCAAAUUCAACAAUAUAGAUAUCACAAAACAUAUUCUCAACAUGAUCCACAUGCAUGCAAAGUUGACACUCUUCCAAGAUAGUGGGAUUAACAUUAACUAAAGUCAUGACCUUUCCGAACCCACUUUUAUCAAAAAUAUCAUAAGAUUGAACAUACUCCAAAUAUGUGGGAUCUAAAGUUUACACUCUUCCAAACCAACUUUCAAUAUUAUUGCAAACACUAUUAUCAAUCUCAUAUUCAUUAUGGGGCUUAAAUAAAUUUUCAAGGUUAUAAGAAGAAUCACCCCAAUCAAGAUCAUUGAAACAAGUAGUAGACAUAGCAAAACUUGCAUCCCCAAGCUUAGGGUUUUGCAUAUUAUUAGAACAAUUGACAUUGAGAGAAUUUAUAGGAAAAUCAUGGAAAUCAUGCUUUUUAUUCAAGGAGUUAUCGUGAAUCUCUUCAUAAAUUUCAUCAUCGUAAUUUUCAGAUUCACAAAUUUUUAGCAAAGCUUCAUAAAGAUAAUCUAAUGCACAAAACUCACUAGCAAUUGGUUCAUCAUAAUUGGAUCUCUUAAAAAGAUAGCAAGCGGAUGAGGAUCAAUAGAUCUUAAGUUCUCUGUUUAGCAAUAAAUAAAAAACUAGUCCAACCAAACGAGCAAAUGAGCCAAGUAAUACAUCAAAGCAAAAAGACGAACAACAGAAGGGCGAAUAAAACGGCAAGGGCGAAGUGGGGGAGAGGAAAACGAGAGGCAAAUGGAAAAUAAUGUAAAUGCGAGGGAGAUGAGUUUGUGAUGGGUACUUGGUAUGGCUUGACUUGAGCGAAGACCUCCCCCGCAACGGCGCCGAAAAUCCUUCUUGCUACAUCUUGAGCUUGCGUUGGUUUUCCUGGAAGAGGAAAGGGUGAUGCAGCACAGUAGCGUAAGUAUUUCCCUCAGUUUUUGAGAACCAAGGUAUCAAUCCAGUAGGAGGCUCCUCACAAGUCCCACGAACCUACACAAACAAACAAAGAACUCGCAACCAACGUGAUAAAGGGGUUGUCAAUCCCUUCACGUCCACUUGCGAAAGUGAGAUGUGAUAGAGAUAAUAUGAUAAGAUAAAUAUAUUUUUGGUAUUUUAUAAUAUAGAUGCAGAAAAUAAAGAUGCAAAUAAAAGUAGAUUGAAAGCUUAUAUGAUAAAGGAUAGACCCAGGGGGCAUAGGUUUCACUUGAGGCUUCUCUCAAGAUAGCAUAAGUAAUACGGUGGGUGAACAAAUUACUGUUGAGAAAUUGAUAGAAAAGCGAAUAAUUAUGAGAUUAUCUAGGCAUGAUCAUGUAUAUAGGCAUCACGUCCGUGACAAGUAGACCGACUCCUGCCUGCAUCUACUACUAUUACUCCACACAUCGACCGCUAUCCAGCAUGCAUCUAGAGUAUUAAGUUCAUAAGAACAGAAUAACACAUUAAGAAAGAUGACAUGAUGUAGAGGGAUAAACUAAAGCAAUAUGAUAUAAACCCCAUCUUUUUAUCCUCGAUGGCAACAAUACAAUACGUGCCUUGCAACCCUUUCUAUCACUGGGUAAGGACACCGCAAGAUUGAACCCAAAGCUAAGCACUUCUCCCAUGGCAAGAAAGAUCAAUCUAGUAGGCCAAACCAAACUGAUAAUUCCAAGAGACUUGCAAAGAUAACUCAAUCAUACAUAAAAGAAUUCAGAGAAGAUUCAAAUAUUAUUCAUAGAUAAACUUGAUCAUAAACCCACAAUUCAUCGGAUCCCGACAAACACACCGCAAAAAGAGAUUACAUCGAAUAGAUCUCCACAAGAGAGGGGGAGAACACUGUAUUGAGAUCCAAAAAGAGAGAAGAAGACAUCUAGCUAAUAACUAUGGACCCGAAGGUAUGUGGUAAACUACUCACAACUCAUCGGAAGGGCUAUGGUGUUGAUGAAGAAGCCCUCCGUGGUGGAUUCCCCCUCCGGCAGAACGCCGGCGACGGCUCCAAGAUGGGAUCUCGCGGAUACAGAAGGUUACGGUGGUGGAAAUAUUUCUUCGGUGGCUCCCUGGAUGAUUUCGGGGUAUGAAGGCUUAUAUAGGAGGAAGAAGUACGUCGGUGGCCGCCCGAGGGGCCCACGAGAAAGGGGGGCGCGCCCUGUAGGGGUGGGCGCACCCCCCACCCUCGUGGAUGCCUUGGCUGCUUCUUGACUUGCACUCCAUGUCCUAUGGAUCACGUUCGUUCCAAAAAUCACGCUCCCGAAGGUUUUAUUCCUUUUGGACUCUGUUUGAUAUUCCUUUUCUUCGAAAUACUGAAAUAGGCAAAAAAACAGCAAUACGGGCUCGAGCUCCGGUUAGUAGGUUAGUCCCAAAAAUGAUAUAAAUGUGUAAAAUAAAUCCCAUAGACAUCCAAAAUAGGUAAUAUAAUAGCAUGGAACAAUCAAAAAUUAUAGAUACGUUGGAGACGUAUCAAUGCCGGUUCCCAGACCGGUGCGCAUCUUUGAACCAUCAAAUCGCAUUCGCCAAUGGGUGGAGUCUGGCACUGGCGGCAUAUACUGGGUCUCAGCCCAGUCGAUGAGGAAGUCGGCCCAGUGACUUGAUGGCGGUGCGAGGUUGGUAGUAGAUGGUGUAGGGGGCCAGAUAAAUGGCCCAUUUGGCCACUCGGCCUGAGGCAUCUCGGCUUCCAAUGAUCUUAGUAAGUGGAGCAGUGCAGACAACAGUAAUUGGGUGCUCUUGAAAUUAAGGCUUUAGCUUCUUGGCGGCAAAGGGCACACCAUAGCACAUCUUCUGAUAGUGGGGGUAGUUUUGCUCGGAAGUGGACAACACCUCUCUCAGGUAAUACACCGGCCUCUGGACCGGCAAUGCUCUACCUUCCUCCUUGUGCUCCACCACUUUGACUGUGCUGCCACCCGACUGGUGGCGGCGAUGUAGAGGAGCAUGGGCUCUUUUUCAGUCGGAGCCGCCAUGAUAGGCGGGGUGGUCAACAUCUUCUUGAGCUGGAGAAAAGCUUCGUCCGCCUUGUCGUUCCACUCAAAAAAGUGGUCUUCUUCACGAGCUGGUAUAGGGGAAGAGCCUUCUCGCCCAGCCGACUGAUGAAAUGGUUGACUGAUGCCAGGCAACCAGUGAACUUCUGCACGUCCUGUCGGAGUAAUGGGCCACGGGUAGGCUAACCCGAGCCCCAAGACAUUUCAGGACAUUGGGGAAGGCCGCGCCCCUCAGGCCGAGUCCCAGAAGCGACUCCAAAGUAUGCCGAGUCCCAGACGGCGACUCCGGAGAGGCCGACUCCAAGCUGGCGACCUCCAGAGAGGCCGACUAUGGAGAGUCGGCCCGUGACUCCUCCCCCGUCCUGAAGCACGACGCGGGGUACGGUCACGGCGUGGCUGUUCCCCCCUCCCUGCUCACGAAGGGCCAGCAUGGCUACAGUGGGCCGUAUCGCUGGAAGAUCUCCGGCGAGGCGCGGCACUGUUGCCAUGCCUGCCCUGACCUCAGCCAUAGUGCGCAGAACACUGUGCCCACGACGUCGGCCUGUACAACCCGAGGGCGGCGGGGCCGCCUGUCAGUGGGUGGGCCGAAGGCGGCCUAGGUGCCCGAAGACGGACCUGUGGGAGUCGGCCUCCCUGGAGUCGGCCGACUCCUCCCCAGGGCCCCACGAGCCAUUAACCAGAUAAGAUCGGGAAUGUCAAUAGUGAUCGCCCGAUAGACGGCGACACUGUUGCCACGACCCAAUGACCAAGCCUGCGUCAUCAGGAGUGCCGCUACAGCGUCGCGCCUGUCCGCAGGACCCGCCAGCCGGCGGGCCCAGAAGCCGGCAGGAAGGACAGUGGCCUGAGAGACAGACGGCUAGGACCCGCGCCCAGCCGUAUUACUAUUGUACCCCCAGGGGGUAGGCCUAUAUAAACCCCCUGGGGCACCCAUGCAAAGGGUUUGGAUCUGAAUAGAGAUAGACCAGAUAGCACGGUAGGAGAGAGCUAGCCUUGCCCUCUCCUGCCUCCCAAAACAGCUCUAGGAGCACCAUUGUAGUCACCUUGCUUGAGUGAUCAUGCGGAGACCCCGCAGAGCAAAAGUAGGGGUGUUAUCUCCUAGGAGAGCCCUGAAGCUGGGUAAGUUCCGCUGGCGUGCAUGUCUUCGCCUCAUCCCGCUUCCAGGCACUAGCGACGUUCUACUCGCUCCCACCAUGAUAAGCCAUCCUUUGGCAUAUGUCGCAUCCAACCCCCGACAUUUGGCGCCCACCGUGGGGCGAGGUGCACCGUCGUCCGGAGAUCUGCUCUAGACGGGAACCGUAUUCCUUCCCGGCGAGCACGGCGAGCCCGGCACACCGGAUGGCGUUUGUGACGACGCACUGCACGGCGCAGAGAUCGCCUGUGCGGCCAGCUGCCUCACCGAUCUUAUCGGUGAGGUUCGCCUCUCCGAUGAGCCUGCGUCCGACGCAGGCACGAGUGUCCCCGAGGCCUCCUCGCGGGCCUCCUCGACCAACUCCACGUCGCCGGCGAGCCUGCCACGGACCUGGAGUCCAUAGGAUCCACCGACCCGAUGCUGGUCGACUCCGACACCGCGUCGCUCGACGCGUUCCCCACCAACAUGGUGGUCUACGACGAGCCGCUCUCAUACGCGGGGAGCGGCGGAAGCACCGUCACUGAGGUCCUCGUCCUCGAGAACGGCGAGCUCUCCGGCGAACGAGUGCAUGACCCGCUCGACGCGGCCCUGCGAGGCCUUGCGGCGCCGAUUCCAGAAGACGCCGACGCCGAGACGCUGGAGGCACUCCGCCUUCAGCUCGUCGAGGGCGCGAAGAAGCUGGCAAGCAUGAGGCGCUUGUCAGAAGCUUACCAACGCGAGAUGGAUCGUGCCAUAGGCGGCUCGCCGGCUCCGACUGGGCCUAGCCGCCUAGGCGCGGUCCGACAGCGCGGCGUGGCAAUCGCCAACAUCUUCGGGGCUGAUCGCCCUGUGUACGCCACGCCCGCAGAGAAUAUCCGUGCCGCCCAGGCGGCGGCAAACGAGCUCGACAACUUCGAAGGUGAAGAGCGCCGCAUAAUGACGGAGCGAGUUCAACAGCUCCUCGACGCGGCCGCCGCGCAGAAUGGUGCCGGCUGCCGCACCGAGGCGCCGCAGCGCCAAAACGACAACCCACCACCUCGCGGAGAUCAAGGUGAGAUGUCUCGGACGCUGACUGGAGGGGCCCGUGGGAAGAAGGACAAGGAGCCGGCUGUCAGCCACAGUCGGACUCACAUCACCAUCGAGCGCGACCAAGACGGCCGCCCCAGAGCGGUGGAACGGCGGGACGACUACCAGCCUCCCCCUCCUCGUGGAGAAAGGCGAGUCUCCCCACCGCCCGUGGAACAUCCGACUCUCGGCGACCGCCUUGGCCGCCGAGAGGGAGUCAGAGAGAACGACGCCCGCCACCGGAUCGACUGACUCCAUCGAUCCCUGGCGCUGGAAGAAGAAGACGAGUUGGGUCCCCCCUGCUUUGGACCCGGCAUCCGGGACGAGCCCUUUCCCAAAGGGUUCACGCUCCCCCGAGACACGCCCAAAUAUAUCGGCACCGUGAAGCCGGAAGAUUGGCUGAUCGACUACUCCACAGCUGUCAACAUAGCGAACGGCAACAAGCGUGUUGCCGUAGGAUAUGUCCCUCUCAUGCUCCAGGGCUCGGCCUGGACGUGGUUAAACAGUCUGAAGCCUCGCAGCAUCAAUAGUUGGGUUGACUUCAUCGAGGCUUUUGUCCGCAACUUCACGAGCAUGUACAAGCGACCUCCCAAGCCACGCCAGCUCUCCUUGUGCGUGCAAGGCCCUGACGAGUCUACUCGCGACUACCUCACGCACUGGGGCGAACUCCGGAACUCCUGCGAGGGCAUGCACAAGGUGCAGGCCACCGAGUACUUUACUGCCGGCUGCAGAGAAGGCACCCUCCUCAAGCACAAGCUCCUCUGCGACGAGCCGGAGACCCUCGACGAGCUGCUGAUCACGGCGGACAAGUACGCCACGGCCGACUCCUCCAUGAAGGCGGAGAUCUGGGUCAGCACAACUGGCAAAGUCACCCCUCAGGCUCCAAGAACUCUGGCUGGAGACACCAGUCGGCGGCAACACCAGAAUGACCAGAAGCGCAAAGCCUCGUAGCCGAUUUCCAGCAGUCGGCAAGUGGCGACAGCAGAAGACCAGCAAUUGGAGGGACCGCCUCCGGUGAAGCGGCAGAAGGGCGGCCAGUCCAAUUGGCUGCCGGCUUUCUGCUACGAGCAGACUCUGGAUGGUCCCUGCAAGUUCCACAGCGGCGCAAAGCCGUCCAACCAUACCACAAGGAAAUGUCACUGGCUGACCAGAAUGGCCCCAGUAGCCGGCCGUCAGGCCAGUCGGCGCGAUACAAGACGAGUUCCCGGACGAACACGGAGCCUAUGUGGUGUUCACAAGUGUAGCGAAUGACCGGCGUAGCAGGCGCCAACAGCAGCAAGAAGUAAAUGCGGUUGCAUCAAGUACUCCAGAGUUCAUGCAUUGGUCCGAAAAGCCUAUCAGUUGGAGCAGAGCUGAUCACCCAGAGGUGAUGCCGAGUCCAGGCUCCUACGCCUUGGUCUUAGGCGCCACGCUUGCGACGGACAGGCGGGCCGCUCGCUUCUCGCGAGUACUGAUAGACAGAGGCAGCAGUAUCAACAUCCUGUACAAGGAUACGAUGGAGAAACUAGGAAUCAAGCGAAGACAACUUCAGAGCAGCCGGACUGUGUUUCACGGAAUCAUCCCUGGCCUUUCCUGCUCGCCAAUCGGCAAGAUCCUGAUAGAUGUCCUCUUCGGAGACAAGGAUCAUUUCCGCCGAGAGCCAAUUUGGUUUGAGGUGGUGGACCUUGAAAUCCCAUAUCACGCAUUGCUUGGCCGACCCGCCCUGGCCAAGUUCAUGGCGGUACCCCACUACGCCUACCUCAAGAUGAAGAUGCCGAGUUCCAAGCGAAUCCUAACCGUGGCCGGCGACUACAGGAAGUCGUCCACCUGCGCGGCCGAAAGCAGCCAGCUGGCCGAGUCCUUGGUGAUCACAGCUGAGAAACGGCUUCUUGAUCGGGUCGUGACGAUGGCCGGCAAGCAGCCCAAGUUAUCGCCCGACCCCAAGGAGUCGGAAGCAGAAGGAUCAUUCAAGCCGGCCAAAGAAACAAAGAAGAUACCGUUGGACCCAGGGCACCCGGAGAGGUACGCUAUCAUGGGCACUGGCCUUGACAGCAAAUAGGAAGGCGAGCUCGCCGAUUUCCUCCGUGAGAAUCGCGACAUCUUCGCAUGGUCCCCCAAGGACAUGCCUGGUGUCCCGACGGAAUUCACCGAGCACUAGUUGCAUGUCCGAUCUGAUAUGAAGCCCGUCAGGCAGCCCUUGCGCCGCCUGUCAGAAGAAAAAAGAAGAGUUGUUGGAGAAGAAAUAGUCCGGCUCCUGGCGGUCGGCUUCAUCAUGGAAGUGUUUUUCCCAGAGUGGCAGGCAAACCCGGUACUGGUGCUGAAGAAGAACAAGCAGUGGCGGAUGUGCAUUGAUUAUACAAGCCUCAACAAAGCUUGCCCCAAGGACCCAUUUGCUCUGCCAAGAAUCGAUCAGGUGAUAGACUCCACAGUCGGAUGCGAGCUGUUGAGUUUCCUAGAUGCAUAUUCAGGAUAUCACCAGAUCAAGUUGAACCCGGCUGACGGUGUCCUGGACUAGGGGGUACUCACCACGUCGUCUCCCGAUCAGUUGGAUUGGGCCGAGGAUCCCCAUGGCCAUAUACUCAUGGGCCAGUCCGGAUAGUUGCCGCAUACAAGGAAGGUUCCACAAGACUUGGCGAUCAAGACAAGGACUCCUCCCCCACCGGCGUAUUCGGCUAGGACUCUUGUUAUCCUAGGCCUCUGGUGCAUUAUAUAAACCGAGGCCAGGCUAGUCGAUAGAGAUAUACAACAACAACCAUUACAAUCAUACCAUAGGCUAGCUUCUAGGGUUUAGCCUCCUUGAUCUCGUGGUAGAUCCACUCUUGUAAACAUCCACAAUAUCAAUAUCAAUCAAGCAAGAUGUAGGGUUUUACCUCCAUCAAGAGGGCCUGAACCUGGGUAAAACAUCGUGUCCCUUGUCUCCUGUUACCAUCCGCCUAGACGCAUAGUUCGGGACCCCCUACCCGAGAUCCACCGGUUUUGACACUGACAUUGGUGCUUUCAUUGAGAGUUCCUCUGUGUCGUCACCGAUAGGCUUGAUGGCCUCUUCAAUCGACAACGACGCAGUCCUGGGUGAGACUUUUCUCCCCGGACAGAUCUUCGUAUUCGGCGGCUUCGCACUGCGGGCCAACUCACUUGGCCAUCUGGAGCAGAUCGAAAGCUACGCCCCUGGCCAUCAGGUCGGGUUUGGAAGCGUAAACUUCACGGCCGAUAUCCGCGGGGACUUGAUCUUCGAUGGAUCUGAGCCACAGCCGAGCGGGCCGCGGUGUCACGAUGGGCACGACCUAACUCUGCCGCCGGACAGCACCUUGGAGGCCGCACACGAAUCCGCUCCGACCCAUAGUCCGGAGCCGAUCGCUCAGAUCGAGGACGGAUGGCUGGACACCGCCUCGGGAGCUGCAACUUCUACGGCGAUGGAGCCCAACACUUACCUUGUCCCGCAUAAAGCUCAUGACUCCGAGGUGCCGGACUCUCUGCCGAACCCCGAACCUCCUGCGCCCCUGCCAGUCGAAUCCGACUGGGCGCCGAUCAUGGAAUUCACCGCUGCGGACAUCUUUCAGCACUCACCCUUCGGCGAUAUCUUAAAUUCGCCGAAGCAUCUCUCGCUAUCCGGAGAGCCCUGGCCGAACUACGGCCAGGAUGGUUGGGACGCGGACGACAAAGAAAUUCAGAUACUUCCGCUUUAUUCUCAAACACAUCCCAUUAAUAUUAAAAGUAUUUUUACAAUACGAUCUUCACCAUCGCGCCGGUGUCAAACCGGCUCGGCAACAUCACUCCACGACGGCCGACAUGCGCUAGACGCGUGGUCGCUUUGUUGAGCCGACCUCAACUUCUUCGGAUCAUCCUCUCGGCAAGCCGGACAAGAGUCCGGCAUCGCGAAGGAUAAAUCAUCGCCAACAUCGCCACUCCACGGAUUACAUGGAGCGGGCACACCUGCAUCGCCGCACGGUCACUUCAUCAAGCUGGCAUCGACCAUGUCACGACCUGCAUCUGCAGGGCCGCACUCUGGACCGGGGGCUUCAUCAUCUCUUCAUCAACCUACACCGGAGACUUCGGCGUCGUUGGCCGACCAGCUCCGUCAUGUUAGCUGGACCGAGGGCUUUGCCUCGCCGAGCCAACCUUUGCAAGCAUCGCCAUGCCGUUGCUUUAUCGCCCAUCAGGCGAUAGGUGUGCGGAUCGAGUCCCAAUUUUGGGAAUCACCUUCCUUCGGAUUGCUACAACAAAUAAACCAGGUGCAAUUAAUCCUAGUAUUUCUUUUUGCUUGUUUGGGUUAAUUUUUCCCAAGGAAUUAUUACUCUGGUUUGUCCAUCAUAUGCACACAGGUCUAUCAAAUGGUGGCCGCAUUAUCAACGGUCGCAUGAUGGUUCGGUCAGUUUCCGUACAUAGUCCGGCGAACGUCGCAUCCAGAACUCGGACCGACUUGUGAAUCCAGGCUUUGCCACGCCUUUAUUGCAUUACGCCAACGACCUGCAUCGACAUCGACUUCGGCGCCAGGCCAUAUUUAUUUUACUACUCACUUUGCAUAAAUUAUUUAUUAUGCAACAUUUUUUUUAAUUCCUAUUAUUACUAUUAUCUCUGGUUUGCACUAUUUUUUGUGCACAGGAAAAUGAUCCAGCCGGACUAUAUCCUUACGUCACCUCGGCUGGAUGGGGGGUUUCGUCAACACUUCAUUACCCCAUGCCAGGGACUUCGGCAUCACUCUGCCGUCCUGCAUCGACCGUGCUAUGUCACCACUUCGGAGUGCCGAGCUCUUUGCUCCACCACCUCGGGACCGGCUUGGGGGAUGGACACUUGUCCCGCACCAAGCUCGGACCGCGUCGUCAAUACUGAACACAUUAACCAGCUAAGUUGCCUUCAUGCUCAAAGUUUUAAAUUUCUAACUUGUGUUCGGUUCGACCAAGCAUUAUACUUUUUUGUAAAAAAAAGUUGCUUGUAAAAAUUUUCCUUGUCCAAACUUUGUUUGCACAUACUUGAUGCGCUACCCGCGCUCAUUAUACCUGGGGGCUUCUUUAACAGAAGCUUAUUAAUUCGGGCUUUAUGCCCAACACAUGUGUCACACUUCCGCAUGUACCUUUUAUUCACCAUUAUAUGCAUCGAUAUGACUUAAGUUUUGGCCAAGCUGGGUUGCCUGGCUCCUGUGCUUACCCCUACGUUCCCGAUUGUUCGGCUAGGUGGUAAAGGGAGCACCUCUGCGAUUGUUACUGCCGGGUCAGCCGGAUGUGUACCUCAGACUGGGUGAAACCGAAAGCUAGCAUUCUUAAGGGAAUACUCGGUCGGUGAACUAAAAGAUGAUUUCUUACCUAUUUAUUUACCUGCCCCCAGAUGUUUUUCUGCUCUUUUCGCAGUCCGGACAUGCACUUUAGGGCAUGUCUCCCAGGGAAAGGAACCCCUAACGGAACUAUUCUCCCUGGAAGAUGUUUCUUACUAACCAUGUAAUAUAACAUAACUAGUUGGACACUUGUCUGAUAAAGCACUAAUGACCCCUACGCCUGGUCUCCACGCAUGCCCCGGUUUUUAUAACCGCGAGGGUAUUCGGACACACUCCGGACUAUUGGGUCCAGAGGUUGAAGCGAAAAGGUCCACUACGACAAACGAUCUACAAUCCGGCUAGAAGACAUUCUACAUGUCACCUUACAUUUUAUAGUCAACUUUUACCCAAGUCGCUUGGGGGCUCUUAUGUUUAUUUGAGCUGUUUCAUACUAAGUGUUUUUCUUCUUAGUCGUUGCAAAGUUAAAGCACGGUAGAAGCACUUUUUUUUCUAAAGUCCAAUUUUCGUAUUGGCACCGAACACUUGAUCUAGUUCGGACAUUAACCUUUUUGGCUUUUCGAGCCCAUGGCACUUUUAAACUAUUUGUGUGUUUUCAGCACAAGUCUCGCAGUGCAACGCCGGACACCUUUAGAGAUUCGGCAAAAACAUUCUCGGAUAUUGCUAUAUAUGCAUCGGUUUCGAAUUGUGUCUUCGGUCAAUAGUUGGGUUGCCCGGCUCCUACGCUUGCCUCCUAUGUUCCGCUUUGUUCGGCUAGGUGUGCAAAGGGAGAACCACUGCGAUUGUGCUUCCAGCUCGCAUGGUCAAGCACCUCAGUGGAGAAAGCCAAAAGCUGACUGUCACAAUAGGUGUAAACUGGUCAGCAAUCUGAUGACUAUAUUAAAUGACGGGCCAUUCAUAAAAUUGGCUGUUUCCGGCUUGACCUCGACUGUCGCCGAACACUACCGGGGGCUAGUAACUGGCCUCCCAAACUAAAUCCUCAAUAUUUUGCUCUUACAUUGGAGCUGAGGUUUCAUGAUCAUGUUUAGCAUGACAGCCCAAAGAAAGGAACCGAUAGCGGGACUAUUUUCUUUGGAAGACAUUUCUUCUGUUAAACAGUAAUAUAACAUAUCUCUCCGCGUACCUUUUUUUAUAAAACCGUAUGGCCAGAUUGCCUUGUUUGUUGUAAAUCUUUGCCCUCAUAAAGGCUUUAUAAAGUAGGACAAACACUCCUCGGCUAUUGGCCGAGGAGGUGGAAGCCGAUGGUCGGUCAACAAAGUUUUGUACAAUGCGGAUCCGAGCAUUAAUGACGUAAAGUACUUGGAUACAUAGAGUCAUUACACAUAAUUUGUGAUUUUACUAUGGAUAUCGAUCCUUAAUUCGGCCUCCCGUGCCCGCAUUAAGGCUCGGGGGCUACUGGGCUUCGGGCUUAUUAUUUACAAAUAUUAAAGUGGCACAUCAAUCCCCUGAUCUGGUGUUGCCACCCGACCAGUGUCUCGGGGGCUACUACAUUGCCUGUUCUAUGCAGAAAAUUUUAAGUGCAAUACAGUUUCCGAGGAGAUUUUGAUCCUCAGGUUGGUCGGCCACACCCAACCUGAGUCUCGAGGACUGAGCACGCCGCUUUUUGUGUCCCGAAGUAUUCCGCCGAGCUAGGACUGGAUCCUUAGACCGAUUUUGCAAAUAAACAUGAGUCUCAGCGGCUACGGGGAUCAGCGGUCUUAUGUCAUCCUUCAUGUGCAUCUCGGGUUUUAGACCGAUACCCACCUUGAGGGCUACUGGCACCAAUCAAAAAUAUUGACAAAAAUCGGCCCACAUUCGGGGUGGUGCACCACCUCAGAAGCAGUCCGGCGUAAAGCUCGGGCGCUAGUGGCUGGCUCCAUAGAGGGCACUUCCGGCAUUAAGCUCGGCUAAACUCGUUCAAACUUCUUUAAACCAAAGUGAUUUACGACACCUCGGAUACAGUCCGGCGUUGGAGCUCGGAUACAUAGUCCGGUGUUGGAGCUCGGAUACAUAGUCCGGUGUUGGAGUUCAGAUACCAUCCGGCGUUGGAGCUCGGAUACAUAGUCCGGCGUUAGAGCUGGGAAGCAGUCCGGCAUUGGUGCUCGGCUGCAAAAGAUACCUCGAAUGCAGUCCGGCGUUGGAGCUCGGACGCAAGAGGACGUAGCCGCCUGGGAACAACAUCAAACUCGGGGUGUGGCAUAAAAAUAACAAGGCAUCGAUAAAGGCCGGAAACUUAAAGGGGCUCCUCGGAUACCCGACAUGUAAACUCGUCGAAUGCAUUUCGGUGAUCUUCAAGAUCGAAGAUGAGGAGAUUUGUUGAACCAGUUUUCAAGAACAACGACCGAAGAUGAAGAACAGUUCGGAAGAAUCGAGGAGCGUUCCCAACUUGAAGACCGGUUCAGAGGGCUACUGACGGUGUCCUGGACUAGGUGAUACUCACCACGUCGUCUCCCGAUCAGUUGGAUUGGGCCGAGGAUCCCCAUGGCCGCAUACUCAUGGGCCAGUCUGAACAGUUGCCCCAUACAAGGAAGGUUCCACAAGACUUGGCGAUCAAGACAAGGACUCCUCCCCCACCGGCGUAUUCGGCUAGGACUCUUGUUAUCCUAGGCCUCUGGUGCAUUAUAUAAACCAAGGCCAGGCUAGUCGAUAGAGAUAUACAACAACAACCAUUACAAUCAUACCAUAGGCUAGCUUCUAGGGUUUAGCCUCCUUGAUCUCGUGGUAGAUCCACUCUUGUAAACAUCCACAAUAUCAAUAUCAAUCAAGCAGGACGUAGGGUUUUACCUCCAUCAAGAGGGCCCAAACCUGGGUAAAACAUCGUGUCCCUUGUCUCCUGUUACCAUCCGCCUAGACGCACAGUUCGGGACCCCCUACCCGAGAUCCGCCGGUUUUGACACUGACACCGGCUGACAGACUGAAGACCGCUUUCAUCAUGCCGUUUGGAGCCUUCUGCUACCUGACCAUGACGUUCGGCUUAAGAAACACCGGCGCCACCUUUCAGCGUUGCAUGCAGAAGUGCCUCCUGAAGCAACUUGGCAGAAACGCCCACGUCUAUGUGGAUGAUGUAGUGGUGAAGACGAAGAAGCGUGGAACCCUGCUGGAGGACCUCAAGGAAACCUUUGAGAAUCUGCGCCAAUUCCAGAUCAAGCUCAACCCAGAGAAGUGCGUUUUUGGAGUACCAGCCGGCCAGCUCCUCGGUUUCUUGGUCUCCGAACGCGGCAUAGAGUGCAAUCCUAUGAAGAUCAAGGCCAUCGAGAGGAUGGAAGUACCCAGACGACUGUUAGAUGUGCAGAAGUUCACCGGCUGUUUGGCAUCCAUCAGCCGAUUCCUCAGUUGGCUGGGCGAGAAGGCUCUCCCCUUGUAUCAGCUCAUGAAGAAGACGGCCUUCUUUGAGUGGACUCCCAAGGCGGACGACGCUUUUCUCCAACUGAAGAAGAUGUUGACUACUCCCCCUGUGCUGGCGGCUCCGACUCCCAAAGAGCCCAUGCUCCUAUACAUUGCCUCCACCAGCCGAGUAGUCAGCACAGUCAUUGUAGUCGAGCGCAAGGAGGAAGGCAAGGCGCUACCUGUCCAGAGACCGGUAUAUUACCUGAGUGAAGUACUGUCGACCUCCAAGGAGAACUACCCCCAUUACCAGAAGAUGUGCUACGACGUGCAUUUUUCCCGCCAAGAAAUUGAAGCCUUACUUCCAGGAGCAUCCAAUCACCGUGGUCUGUACAGCUCCGCUGGCCGAGAUCAUCGGAAGUCGAGAUGCUUCUGGCCGAGUGGCCAAAUGGGCCAUUGACCUGGCUCCCUACACCAUCUACUACGUGGCCCGCACCGCCAUCUAGUCGCAAGCGCUGGCCGACUUCCUCGUCGACUGGGCCGAGACCCAGUAUCUGCCGCCAGCGCCCGACUCCACCCAUUGGCGGAUGCACUUUGACGGCUCCAAGAUGCGCACCGGCUUGGGAGCCGGCAUUGUCCUCACAUCCCCCAAGGGCGACAAGCUCAGAUAUGCGCUGCAGAUCCACUUCGCCACCUCCAACAACAUGGCCGAGUACGAGGCGCUCAUACACGGGCUCCGGCUUGCCAAAGAACUCGGCAUUCGCCGGAUCCUGUGUUAUGGCGACUCUGACUUGGUAGUCCAAUAAUCAUCCGGCUAUUGGGAUGCCAAGGAUGCAAAUAUGGCGAGCUACCGUUUCCUCGUCCAGCAGCUCAGCGGAUACUUCGAGGGAUGCGAGUUCCUCCACGUGCCAAGGAACGAGAACGACCAAGAAGACGCCUUGGCACGGAUCGGCUCCACCCGCCAGGCAAUACCAUCUGGUGUCGCCCUCCGGCGCCUUCUCAAGCCUUCUAUCAAGCCGUCACCAGAAUCAGAUUCAAUCUUUGUACCGGCUCCGCCUGAGGAAGACGGACCCGACUCCAAGAAGCACAUAGUCGAAGCCGGCCCAGGGACUUCAGAACCCGGCCCGGGGACUGCUGCGGUAAGAUCGAAGACCCCAGAGCUCGGCCCGGGGACUACUCCAGUCAGCCCCGGGACUUUUUCAAACCAUCCAGCGGCUGCGGACUCCAACCCGCCGCCUCCCAGCCCGGCCGCCCUUAUCCAGGUCGCACUAGUGAUAGUUGAAGAAAUAGCAGCACCUUCAUGGGCCCAGCCCAUCCUCAGAUUCUUAGUAAACAGAGAGCUGCCAACUGAUGAAAUCUUGGCCCGACAAGUGCAACGCCGUGCAGCAGCCUACACCAUAGUCAACAGAGAGCUGGUCAGGCGCAGCGUUACCGGCGUCUUCCAACGCUGUGUCGAAGCAGAACAAGGCCAGGCAAUCCUCAGAGACAUCCAUGAAGGCGAGUGCGGUCACCAUGCGGCCUCCAGGGCACUCAUCGCCAAAGCCUUCCGGCAUGGUUUCUUCUGGCCAACCGCCCUGGAAGAAGCCAAAGAGUUAGUCCAAAAGUGCAAGGGGUGCCAGAUUUUCCGUUCCAAGCCACUUCAACCAGCUUCCACACUCAAGACUAUCCCCAUCGCCUGGCCCUUUGCAGUCUGGGGUCUGGACAUGGUCGGACCAUUCAAGACGGCACGAGGUGGCUUGACUCACCUGCUUGUCGCAGUGGACAAGUUCACCAAGUGGGUGGAGGCGAAACCCAUUAAGAAGUUGAAUGGUCCGACUGCAGUGACCUUCAUCGCUGACAUCACAACUCGGUACGGCAUCCCACACAACAUCAUCACCGACAAUGGCACGAAUUUUGCCAAAGGCGCCUUGGCCCGUUUUUGCGCGACACAGGGCAUCCGACUGGACCUAGCGUCCGUUGCCCAUCCGCAGUCAAAUGGCCAGGUGGAGCGAGCGAACGGCCUCGUCUUAUCCGGCAUCAAGCCUCGACUCAUCGUCCCGCUGGAGCGAUCUGCCGGCUGUUGGCUUGAGGAGCUGCCAGCCGUCCUCUGGAGUCUACGCACGACACCAAACAAGUCAACCGGCUUCACACCCUUCUUCCUCGUCUAUGGUGCCGAAGCCGUCAUCCCAACGGACAUAGAGUUCGACUCCCCACGGGUCACCAUGUACACCGAGGAAGAAGCAGAAGAAGCACGACAAGACGGCGUUGAUCUGCUGGAAGAGGGCCGGCUGUUGGCACUCAGCCGGUCCGGCAUCUACCAGCAGAGCCUGCGUUCAUACUACAACAGGAAGGUCAGGCCAAGAUCUUUCCAAGAAGGCGACCUUGUGCUCCGGCUGAUCCAGCGAACAGCCGGCCAGCACAAGCUGUCGGCACCUUGGGAAGGCCCCUUCAUCAUCAGCAAGGUGCUAGGGAACGAUGCCUACUAUCUGAUCGAUCCUCAGAAGCCCCGAGCGUGCAAGAAGGACGACUCCGGCAAAGAGGCAGAGCGCCCGUGGAAUGCAAAUUUUCUUCGAAGAUUUUACAGUUGAUGCAGAAUGUAUCGCACUACCCCUCUAUAUUAAAGUAUUAAGAAUUUGGGCCCCCCCGAGACGAGCUCGGGGACUGCCCCUUUUGUUAUCUGUAUGAUAAGAAUUAUGCCUUCGAGAACAUCACUUUCAUUACAAGCCGCUUGGCACCGGGCCAGUCGGCCCGGGGACUAGCCGCCUUGUGCUAUAAAGAGCUUCCCACAGUCAGACAAGUAGUGCGUGGUGCCCAAUCCGCCUCCUGGCAAAGCCGCAGCUCGCAGAGCGACUGUGAGGCGAACAGGAGUAAGGAAGAACGGGCACCCACACGAAAAAUGGCUAAGGACCUAAAGCAUGAACAUAGCGUAAGACGGCCUCCAGCAUUUCUAAAGCAGAAAGCCGACUCAUGAGUAGCCGGCUCGCCGUCUUUAUUAGCCUUCUGUCAAGGACGGCCGACUCUUGGGUAGUCGGCCUUUCGCUUUCUAUCCGACUUGCUAAAGAAACUCUAAACGGCCAAGUACUUGCCUUCUCAAAGUAGCCGAGCACUUGACCCAGCAACAGUCUGUAGAGCGGCUGUCCGACUGGCAAGCAGUGACUAGGGGAAGGCGGCAAAGGAAAAAGGCUAAAGAGCAGUAAGCAAGGAAAGACGGAAAUCGGAUAAAUAUUUACAUAGGCCCUUGGCCGAAUCUUCGAUUAGAAGUUCAAGAACCACCCCGCGGGUGGAAUUGUUCGAAUCUAACAAGUUUUUCAAAAGAUCACUAAGACAGACAAGCAGUGGCGAAAAAUGAAGCCUAGGAGGCGGCGUCGGGGAUCGGAGGAUCGGAGGAGACGGCGGUGUCAGGCGCUGGGUUAGUCGGCUGGGCGGUCUCGGCUUGAUCAGCUCCGGCGGCAGUCGCCUUCUCUUGACGCGGCUCAUUGCUGGAGGCGCGGUCGAGCUGAGGCUGGCCGCCUGCUCCGUCUUCUGGCACCUCCGCCUCGCCUUCAUCCUCCGCCUCGUCCUCCUCCUCAGUGCUGGAGUCGAUCACCUCCGCCGAAUCUUCGCCAUACUCCGGGUUCAUCCCGAACCACUCUGGCGGCACUUCCUCGCCGCCUUCGGCCCGCUCGGGGACGAAGACACUGGUGUCCAUGUACUCAGUGAUGGCCGUUGCACGCUCGAUAAGGGAGCCCUCCAUGGCCUCCAGCUCGGCCUGGGCUUCUGACCGGAACGUGGCCAGACGGUCCAGGUCCAGCCCUGGAUACCACGCCUUGACGAACUCCAAGGCCCGGCGUGCUCUGGCCCGGGCCGAGGAGCCCUUCCAAGCCUCAAGACGGCCGGCAGCGACCUCCAGCCAGUCGGCAGUUCGGCUGGCGGUGCGCAGAGCUGGCGUGCCUGGCCACAAGGCGGCAACCGCCUGGGCACCGGCACGUUGGAGCCAGCGCAACAGCUGGUAAGCCGGACGAAGACGGGCUUCAAUGCUCAGAAGCUGCUCUUCGACGGUUCGGGGGGAAUUAGCGGCGAUCUCCUCAUCGUUUGCCCUUCGCGCCUCACGAGCAGCCUCGAUGGCCAGAGGAACUGCCUGCGAAUGACCGGGGAAGAAGUCUGCCAAGACAAAAAAGAAGCAAGUCAAAAAAAUCAGAAGUCGGCCUAACACAUAGUCGGAAGCCCGAAGAAGCGAAAGAAACUUAUCAUCAACGAUAUCCUCGAUCUCGUGGAAGCCGGAGGUCAGCAUCGCCUCCCUAUCAGUCCAGGAGGAGCGCUCGCUCUCGAACUCGGCCAGGAGUGCGGUCUCCCACUUCUCGGCCUCGUCCUGCGCCUUGUUGAGCAGCUCCUUCUGCUCGGCCAGCUGCGCCGCCAGCAGGUCGCAUUCCGUGGCGAGCUUGCCACACUCCUCCUCCUUGGCACGACGGGCGGUAUUGGCCUCGCCCAGCUUCUCCUGAAGAACGGCGUUGGCUUCUAAGGAGCAAAAGAAGAGACAAAGUAAGUCGUUAGCAAAAAAAAGAUCGCCGGGAAGAUCCGGCCCGACUGCUCAGCAGUCGGCCCGAAUCUCGGGGACUACAGCCCGCGGGUGCGCCAGCGCGCCACCGCGAAGAAGAAGAACUCACUCCGGCUUUCCGACAAGUCGGCAGCCCGCUUGCUCAACUCCUCAACAUUGCGGUUGAAGGCAGUGGCGCGGAGGUUGUGAUACUCCUGCAAUAAGUCACUGAAGACAAAGUUAGUGUUUGGAACUCGCCAGAGCGAGUUCCGAACCGCCUGCUCAGCAGCCGGCCCGGAACUCGGGGACUACACCCAGUGGCUGCGCUGGCGCGCCCCCACAGAGAAAAAACAAGAAUCCAAAGGGAAAGAAACUUACUCGGACGGCCGUUCGUGCGGCCAGAUGCGCUCUGGUGCAGGCUUGAAGGGCGUCGCCCUCGGCCCGCAGCUUCGCCUGGACUUCCAGGAGCAGUUGAUUUAAUGGCCCGGUGCCGCCUCUGUGCACCCACCCGGUGGGCGCGGCGCUUGUGGCCUCGGUGUCUAGGGUUGCCGAGCUGGCAGCGCCGAUCUCCAAGGAUGCGGCGCCGAGGUCGCCCUCUCAAGACGACAGCGCACUGGCGAGGCGACUUGGAGAAGCAGCCGCGCCUCGGCCUCGUCCAUGACCGGCGGCUCCGACUGACUCACCGGCUGUUUGCCGUGCGGCCUCCCAGACGGCGGUGGAGGCGGUGGUGGUGGAACGAGGGUGUCCAACAUAGAAGCCUCGCCGUCCUCCUUCUCCAUGAUGGGGUUCUCGGUGCCGGCCCCUCCGGUUUGCCCCGUGAACUCCGGAGGCGGCCGCACAGACGAGAGUGGGGGGACGAGCAUCGCUGAUCGGUGACGCGCGGCCUCCUCGGCACGCCGUCUCGCUGCGAGGGUAGCUUCGGCGUCCUCCAGCUUCUUCUGGGCGGAGGCGGCCGCCUUGUCGGCCUCCGCCUUCUCCAGACGUUCGGCUUCCUCCUCCUCGCGCUUCUCCCGCGCGUUUCGCUCCGUCGCCUCCCGGAGGUCGGCGAUGGGGUCGGCCCGCCGAGAAUUGGCGAACGUCUCCGCCGACCCCAUGACGGAGGGGACGACGACUCUCUCAAGGGAGAGAGGGUCCCUGGAGAAGAUUGGAGGGAGCAUAAAGGAAAACCCGGACGAGAUUCGAUAAAGGAAAAUAAAAAAGCGUAAAGACUUACGCAGAGACUAGUGGCGGCCUCCUCACUUCCGUUCGGAAGCGGUUGGCCUUCGCAGCCGCCUCCUCCCGUCUGGUCGCGGCGGCCACCCCCUUUAUCUUCUUCAACUUGGUGCCAGACGCACUCGGCCCGGCGUGACGCCUCUUCAAACCACCCUGAUUGGCGGAGGAUCCGACCUUCGGCUGGUGGCGUGGGGCGACUUCCCCUUCGGCGUCGUCGUCGGGCCAGUCGGCGAAGGUGGCCGAAGGCCUGAAGUCGCCUUCCGCUCCUUCUCCCCCGCCUUCGGCGUCGGCUUCCAUCGCCGCUGCCCCCAGGUCAGGGUCGUCGACGUCGCUCUCCGCACGGUCGGGAUCAUACUCGCGGGGCUGUCUCGUGGCACCGGCGGCAGGCUGCAUAAGAGGAUUCUAGUUCAGAAGAAGCCAACAAGAGUCAGAAGCCGGAGUCGGCUGCGGAAAAAUGACAAAACAGUAGGAAGACGCGACUUACCACUGGUGGAGGGUUGUCGCGCGAGUACGGCUCCUUGCCGAACUGCCAGUCCUCCUCGUACUCGCAGUGCGUGAUGUAAUUCACCAUAUUAGCCACCUCUUUGCGGGGCAUCUCCUUGGUACUCAUCCGACUUGGGUCUCGGAGGCCGCUCAUCUGACAGAUCAGGUGAGGCAGGCCUUGGAGCGGGAGAACUCGGCGCGCCAUGAAGGCGGUCAGCAAGUCGGCCCCGACGAGUCCCUCCGACUGUAUCAAGACUCGGAGUCGCGCUACGGCGGCGGCUCCGGCAAGGGUUAGCGACUUGACUCGGUGAGACCAGCUGGGGAGCCUCCCGGUCAUGGGAGCGGCGUUGUAGGGCGGCAGCUUGACCCAGUCACCGUCGGAGGCAAGGUUCUUCACGUAGAAGUACGAGCGCUGCCACAUCUUCACCGACUUGAUCAGCGCGAUGGGAGGAAAGGGGUUGUCAGCCGUCGAGCGCCGCAUCGCGAUGAAGGCGCCGCACUGAGCCGGCACACCAGCGAUGUGCGUGCCAAGCUUAGAAGAGAAGAAUUCUCCCCACAGCUCGACGGUGGGGAGAACGCCGAGGAAACCUUUGCACAGAGUGGUGAAGGCGGAAAGCAACACCACCAUGUUCGGAGUGAGUUGGUGCGGCUGAAGACUGUGGAACUCCAGGAACGAGCAGAAGAAGCCGCUCGCUGGCAGCCCCAGGCCGCGCAUAAGGUGCGAGCGAAAGACAACCCGCUCGCCCUCUUCCGGCGCCGGCCGGAUUUCCUCCUCCGGUGCGGCGCGGGCGCGCACGAGGUCCGCGCUGGGAAGACGGCGUGUCCGGCGGAGGAACUCGAUGUGUUCUUCCUCUAGCUCCGAGCUGUCCCACACGCCGGAGCGCACGGCAGGGGCCGCGGCAGAGGAAGAGCUCAUCGCCGCAGUAUGGUGUGCUCUUGCUCAAUGGCGGAGGAAGGAAGGAGAGAAAGCAAGAUGAGGCGGGGGAGCGGGGAAGAAGGGCGCGCGAGCUGUGCCGCUCCGCUUCCCCCCGCCUACUUAUAGCCCUGCGGGCUGAGAAGCCGAGGGGGCGGGCGUGGGAUUAACUACGCACGAUGUCCCACGCCGCCCCACGAUUUACCCCACGAAGUUACUGCGCGCAGUAACGACGUGGGAAAACCAACCGUCCACGGCCGCAAUGGAUCCGUUCGUAUGCUGAGGCACGGUAGUGGCGGGCCUCGCCUGACGGCCCGUCCCAUCGCGCGUGUGGGUAGGCAGACUGUUCUCUCCACGUGGAACCACGCGAUAGGACCGCCCUGAUGGCAGCGGGGAGGUGUAUCAGGCACGCCGCCUGGUUUCCUGCCGCGACUUUCGAACUGCGGCUCUUCACUAAAACUCCGACUUUCGACAGUCGGCCCAAGGGAAGACGACCCGAGUUCCAGAGUCUGCACUUUUAAAGAUUGAAGCUAUUGAAGCCCCACAAUGCAGCGACCGCAGGGCUUCACCAGCUUCGGGGACUACUGUCGGAGUAAUAGGCCACGGGUAGGCUAACCCGAGCCCCAAGACAUUUCAGGACAUCGGGGCAGGCCGCGCCCCUCAGGCCGAGUCCCAGGAGCGACUACAAAGUAUGCCGAGUCCCAGACGGCGACUCCGGAGAGGCUGACUUCAAGCUGGCGACCUCCAGAGAGGCCAACUAUGGAGAGUCGGCCCGUGACUCCUCCCCCGUUCCGAAGCACGACGCGGGGUACGGUCACGGCAUGGCCGUUCCCCCCUCCCUACUCACGAAGGGCCGGCAUGGCUACAGCGGGCCGUAUCGCUGGAAGAUCUCCGACGAGGCGCGGCACUGUUGCCAUACCUUCCCUGACCUCAGCCACAGUGCGCAGAACACUGUGCCCACGACGCCGGCCUGUACGACCCAAGGGCGGCGGGGCCGCCUGACAGUGGGUGGGCCGAAGGCGGCCUGGGCGCCCGAAGACGGACCUGUGGGAGUCGGCCUCCCUGGAGUCGGCCGACUCCUCCCCAGGGCCCCACGAGCCAUUAACCAGAUAAGAUGGGGAAUGGCGAUAGUGAUCGCCCGAUAGACGGCGGCACUGUUGCCAUGACCCAAUGACCAAGCCUGCGUCAUCAGGAGUGCCGCUACAGCGUCGAGCCUGUCUGUGGGACCCGCCAGCCGGCGGGCCCUAGAAGCCGGCAGGAAGGACGGUGGCCUGAGAGACAGACGGCUGGGACCCGCGCCUAGCCAUAUUACUAUUUUACCCCCGGGGGGUAGGCCUAUAUAAACCCCCUGGGGCACCCAUGCAAAGGGUUCGGAUCUGAAUAGAGAUAGACCAGAUAGCUCGGUAGGAGAGAGCUAGCCUUGCCCUCUCCUACCUCCCGAAACAGCUCUAGGAGCACCAUUGUAAUCACCUUGCUUGAGUGAUCAUGCGGAGACCCCGCAGAGCAGCAGUAGGGUUGUUAUCUCCUAGGAGAGCCCUGAAUCUGGGUAAGUUCUGCCGGCGUGCAUGUCGUCGCCUCAUCCCGCUUCCAGGCACCGGCGUCGUUCUAUUCGCUCCCACCAUGAUAAGCCAUCCUUUGGCAUAUGUCGCAUCCAACCCCCGACACGUCAAGCAGUCGGGUGGGCACCUCCAUCUUCUCAAUGGCCUUGAUCUUCACAGGGUUGCACUCUAUGCCGCGCUCUGAGACCAGGAAGCCGAGAAGCUGGCCAGCUGGUACUCCAAAGACGCAUUUCUCCGAGUUGAGCUUGAUCUGAAAUCGGCGCAGGUUCUCAAAUGUCUCCUUGAGGUCUUCCAGCAGCAUGCCACACUUCUCCGUUUUCACCACCACAUCAUCCACGUAAAUGUGGGAGUUUCUGCCGAGUUUCUUGAGGAGACACUUCUGCAUGCAAUGUUGAAACGUGGCGCCGACAUUUCGCAAUCCGAACGUCAUGGUCAGGUAGCAGAAGGCUCUGAAUGGCGUGAUGAAGGCAGUCUUCAGCCUGUCGGCCGGGUUAAUCUGAUGGUACCCUAAGUACGCAUCCAAAAAACUCAGCAGCUCGUGUCCGGCUGUGGAGUCUAUUACUUGGUGAAUUCUUGGCAAGGCAAAGGGAUCUUUGGGGCAAGCUUUGUUGAGGCUGGUAUAAUCAAUACACAUGCCCCACUGCUUAUUCUUCUUCAGCACAAGAACUGGGUUGGCCAACCAUUCUGAAAAGAAUACUUCCAUGAUGAAGCCGACUGCUAGAAGCCGGGCUAUCUCUUCUCCGACAACUCUUCUCUUUUCUUCCGACAGGUGGCGCAAGGGCUGUUUGACCGGCUUGGCGUCAGGUCCGACAUGUAACUUGUGCUCGGCGAAAUCCGUCGGAACACCCGACAUGUCUUUGGGAGACCAUGCAAUGAUGUCCCGAUUCUCACAGAGGAAAUCGACGAGCUCGCUUUCCUAUUUGCUGCCAAGGUUUGGACCAAUGACAGCGUGCCUCUCCGAGUGCUCCGGGUCCAAGGGUAUCUUCUUUGUUUCCUUCACCAGCUUGAAUGAGCCCUCAACUUUCGACUCCUUGGGGAUGGGUGACAUUUCCGGCUUCUUGGCUGCCAUCACCACAACCCAGUCAAGGAGCUGCUUCUCAGCUGCAAUCACAAGGGACUCGGCCAGCUGGCUGCUGUCUGCAGUGCGGGCGGAUGACUUCUUGUACUCUCCGACUAUGGUCAGGAUUCCCUUGGUGGUCGGCAUCUUCAUCUUGAGGUAAGCAUAGUGGGGGACCGCCAUGAACUUGGCCAGAGCAGGACGGCCAAGUAGCGCAUGGUAGCGGCUCUCAAGGUCCACCACUUCAAAUCAAACUGUCUCUCAACGGAAGUGAUUCUCGUAUCCAAAGAGAACAUCAAUCUGGGUCUUGCCGAUUGGUGAGCAGGAAAGGCCAGGGACUAUGCCAUGGAAUACAGUCUGACUGGGUUGAAGCUGCUUCUGCUUGACUCCCAAUUCCUCCAUUGUGUCACGGUACAGGAUGUUGAUGCUGCUGCUGCUAUCUAUCAGGACUCUAGAGAAACGAGCUGCCCACCUCUCUGUUGCGAAGGUGGCAUCUAAGACCAGGGCGUAAGAGCCAGGGGAGGGCAUCACCUUCGGGUGGUCGGCCCUGCACCAACUGAUGGGCUUUUCAGACCAAUGCAUGAACUCUCGAAUAUCUGAUGCCACUGCUUGUACUUCUUGUUGUUGCUGCCGUCUGCUACGUCUGUCGUAGGCCACACUGGUGAAAACAACAUAGGCUCCGUGCUCCUAUGGAUACUCAUCUUGUAUGGCGCCCACUAGCCGAACAGCCGGCUGCUGGGGCGGAGGAGGCGGCGGGCCGGCAGGAGGAGGAGGCAGGAGUCCAUCUCCCUUAGCGAUUCUGGUGAGCCAAUGGCACUUCCGAGUGGUGUGGUUGGACGGCUUCACACCACUAUGGAACUUGCAGGGUGCAUCAUUGGGCUUGACGCCCUUCUGAUGGUUGGGUGGAGGCUGCCCCUCCGGCUGCUGGUCUUCGACUGUCGCCACCUGCCGGCUGGUGGAAGCCGGCUGCGUGGCCUUGCGCUUGUUGUCGCUUGGCUGGUGUCGCCGACUGGUGUCACCAGCCGGUGUCCGAGGAGCCUGAGGAGCUACCUUGCCGGAUGCAUCAACUAGGAUCUCCGCCUUCAUGCAGGAAUCGGCAGUAGCGUGCUUGUCAACGAUGAUCAGCAGUUUGUCGAGCGUCACAAGGUCGUCACAGAGAAGUCGGUGCUUGAGGAGGGUGCCCUGUCGGCACCCAACGGUGAAGUAUUCGAUGACCUCCACCUCGUGCACGCCUUUGCAAGAGUUGCGCAGCUUGGCCCAGCGUGUGAGAUACUCACGAGUCGAUUCGCUGGGCCCUUGGACGCACAAGGAGAGCUGGCAUGGCUUGGGAGGCCGCUUGUACAUUAUGGUGAAGUUGCAGAUGAAGGCUUUAGUGAAAUCAACCCAGCUGUUGAUGCUGCGGGGCUUCAGGCUGUUAAGCCACGUCUGGGAUGUGCCUUGAAUUAUGAGCGGAACAUACUUCACAGCAACACGCUUGUUGCCGUUCGCUAUGCUGAUGGCAGUGGAGUAGUCGACCAGCCAGUCCUCCGGCUUCAUGGAGCCAAUGUACCUGGGCGUAUCUCUUGGGAGCAUGAACCCUUUAGGGAAGGGCUCAUCUCGGAUUCGUGGGCCGAAACAAGGUAGACCCAACGCGUCUUCUUCUUGUAGCGCCAGGGAUCGGUUGAGGCGGUCGAUCCGGUGGCGGGCAUCGUUCUCUCCGACUCCUUCUCGGCGGCCAAGGCGGUCGCCGAGUGUUGGGUGCGUGAUAGGCGGCGGAGUGGGGUGCCUUUCUCCGUGAGGCGGAGGGGAGGCGGGUCGCCUUGCCGCUCCACUACUCGAGGGCGGCCGUCUGCGUCACGCUCGAUGGGGAGGUGAGUCCGACUGCGGCUGGCAGCCAGCUCAUUGACUCUUCUUCCGCAGGCGCCGCCAGUCAGCGUCCGGGAUGUUACGCCAUGGUCCUGGCGAAGGGGCGGUUCGUUGUUCCGACGGACGGGCACUUCGGCACGAUAGCCAGCUUCGUGCUGCUCAGCGGCCGCGUCAAGGAGUUGCUGGACUCACUCCGUCAUGUGGCGACACUCGUCGCCCUCGUACUUGUCCAACUCAUACGUCACCGCCUGGGCGGCCCGGAUGUUUUCUGCAGGCGUGGCGUAGACGAGACGAUCCAUCCGGAACAUGCUGGCGAUGGUCGCGCCAUGCUAUGGGAUCGAGCAAAUGUGGCUAGGCCCCUCAGUAACUGGUGUGCCACCAACAGCUCGGUCCAUCUCGCGCCGGUAGGCUUCCGAGAGGCGUCGCAUGCUGGCCAGUUGGCCGGUGCUCUCGAGGAGUUCAACGCGGCGUGCUUCCAGCGUCUCAGCGUUUGCGUCUUCCUGGAUGGGCGCUGAAGAGUCUCGCAGCAUCGGAUCGAGUGGGUCUCGGACGCCUCCGUCCGAGUGCUCACCACUAUUGAUGACAAGCACCUCCGUGAUGGUGCUUCCGCCGCUGUGCUCGCGAGGAGGCGGCUCGUUGUAGACGACCACGUUGGUGGUGAACGCGUCAACCGACACCGUGUUGGAGUCGAUGAUCAUCGGGUUAGUGGAGCCAACCAACUCCAAGUCAACAGCAGGCUCGCUGGUGACAUGGAGGUGGUUGAGGAGACUGACGAGGCGGCUCUCGGGGCGGUCGGUGCCCGCGUCGGAGGCAGCCUUGUCGGAGAGGCGGAUCUCGCCAACAAGGUCGGUGAGGCAGCUCACCGCGCAGGCAAUCUCCGCAUCGUGCAGCGCAUCGAGGCUGACUCCGUCGGGCGUGCUAGGCUGGCUGCGCUCGCUAGGAAGGAACAAGGUUCCUGUCAAGAGAAGAUCUCCAGAUGACGGUGCACCUCACCCCAUGGUAGGUGCCAAAUGUCGGGGGUUGGGUGCGACAUAUGCCAAAGGAUGGCUUAUCAUGGUGGGAGCAAGUAGAACGUCACCGGUGCCUGGAAGCGUGAUGAGGCAUAGACACGAACGCCGGGGCACUUUACCCAGGUUCGGGGCUCUCCUAAGAGAUAACACCCCUAGUCCUGCUCUGCGGGGUUUCCGCAUGAUCACUAAGGCACAAGUGAUACAAUGGUGCUCCUUGAGCUGUAUGCUAGAGGUAGAAGGAGGCAGGGCUAGCUCUCUUCUUCCUCUAGGGUGGAGUCUAGUUCUAACAGGUUGGGAACCCUUUGCAUGGGUGCCCUGGAGGGUUUAUAUAGGCCUACCCCCAGGGGUACAAUGGUAACCUGGUCGGGUGCUGGACCUGACUGUCAGUGUCUCUCGUCGCCGGCUUCUCCGCUGGCUGCUGGGGCCUGCCGCCUGGCAGGCCCCGCUAACUGGUCUGGUACGGAGCCGAAAGGCCCCUCCCGCCACUGGUGGGUCUGGUGGGUGUCUGAUUGCUGUAGCCAUGAUGCUAAUGACGCAGGCUUGGUCAGUGGAGCGUGGCUACAGUCCCGCCGCCUGGUGGGAGAUCACUGUAGCCACACAAUGUCUUAUCUGGUUAAUGGUGCACGGGCCUCGAGGGAGGAACUAGACGCCUGCUGGAGGCCGGCCUCCCUCAGGUCCGGCUGGUCUGGCCUCCGCCGUCUUCCGGGCUCUCACUGCCUGGUAGGGCCCGCCGCCUGUAGGCCGUACCGAUAGGCCGUCCUGGAAGCAGGGCUCCGCCUGUCAGGAGUGACGUCGAGGGGGAGUGGCAACAGUGUCGCGCUGUGUGGAGAUCUUCGCCUGUACGGGGCACUGUAGCCAUGCCAAGCCCAGGAUUCGGGGGUGAGGGACUACACUGUAGCCUCACUCUGUCUUGUCCUCUUGAUGAAGGGCACAGAUUCUGAGGGCGCGGGGAGGCCGUCUACUAGGAGCCGGCCAGUCUUGGUGCCAUCUGCUGGUGGGUGGCCGCCUUCAGGCAGCCGGCCGUUGAGACAGCUGGCCACCAGAAGGCGGUGCUUCAUUCUGAGGUCUCGUGGGGCGAAGCUGGCCCAAAGUCUUGAAAGGCUCAGGGACUCGGGUGAGACUACCCGUGGCCCAUUACUCCGACAACGGGAAUUAUGAAGACUAAGCAGCGUGAAUUUCUUGCGCUCCUCCAAGUAAAUCAGCCUGUGGAUGAAUAUUUGCAAAAAUUCAAUCAUCUCGCAUGUUACUCCCUAUGGCAACUGAAGAAAGAAAGAUUGACAGAUUUCUUGGCGGAUUAAACCCGCAACUACGGUGUACUCUUAGUAUGUUCAAUUUCCUAGACUUCCAAACCCUGGUGAUCAAGGCUUUCAUUGCUGAAUGAGAGCACAAGCUUGUAUCAGAUAAUAGGUCUGCUAACAAUGAUCACAAGCGCAAGUUUGAGCCAAGGAAGGAGGUAAAACCAGCGCAAAAGGCUCGUACCUAGCAACAGACUCAGGUGGAAUACAAGCCCAAUUGGCAACAGAAUGUUAACAAGACCACCACUCAAGUCAAGAAUGUCGUAACCAACCCAGUGCAAGAGGAGCGUCUGCGUAACAAUUCUUGCUUUAGUUGUGGGCAAACCGGACAUUAUGCCAAACAGUGUCCCAAGAACAACAGGUUGAAUGCUAUAUUCUAGCCACAAGUCCAUUUUAUGGAGGCAGGCUUGAACCAGCAAAAUAUCACGGCAUACAUUCGUCACCUCUCCCCCGAUGAAGCCCAAGAGAACCCCAAAGUCGUCAUUGGUAUGUUUUCUGUUAAUAACAUACCUGCAGUGAUUUUAUAUGACUUUGGGGCUUCCCACUCUUUUAAUUCUCGGAGUUUUGUUGCCCAAAACAAAUUUCCAUGUUCGCUUUUGGGCAAGAAUAUGCUGGUACAAACCCCGGGAUCCUUAAUCAGAAGCAAUCUAGUCUGUCGAAAUCUGGAAGUCAAUACCAAUGGAGUCUGUUUUCCAAGUUCCUUGAUACUUAUCGAGUCUAAUAAGUUGGAUGUUAUCUUGGGUAUGAAUUGGCUGACUCAAUAUCAAGUAUGCAUAAAUUGUGCGACCCGAGAAGCCACUUUGACCAGCCAACAAGGGCAGACUACAAAAUUCUGUGCUCGUAGAAGCAUACCCGCGAAACAAAUGGUCUUCACCGCAGUGGCGGAAUUUGAAUUAAUUCCUGUGGUCAGUGAGUUUUCUGAUGUAUUUCCAGAAGAAGUGCCAGGCAUGCCACCGGAUCGAGAGAUUGAGUUUGCAAUAGAUCUUAUGCCCGGGACCACACCAAUACACAAGAAGUAUUACCGAAUGCCUGCAUCAGAAUUAGUGGAGCUAAAGAAACAGCUUGACGAAAUGCUCCAGAAAGGAUAUAUCUGUCCCAGCUCUUCACCAUGAGGAUCACCUGCUAUCUUCGUGGACAAAAAGGAUGGCAGCCUCCGCAUGUGUGUGGAUUACCAUCAGCUGAAUGAUGUCACAAUCAAAAACGAAUGUCCACAACCAAGAAUUGAUGACCUAUUUGAUCAGCUCAGUGGGGCCAAGGUAUUCUCCAAGAUUGAUUUAUGGACUGGAUACCAUCAGCUCAAGAUUAAAAAGGAGGAUAUUCCUAAGACCGAAUUCACCACUCGAUGCGGUCUUUAUGAAUAUACAGUUAUGUCUUUUGGUCUCACCAACGCCCCUGCCUUCUUCAUGCAUAUGAUGAACAAAGUAUUCAUGGACUUCCUCGAUAAGUUCGUGGUAGUCUUCAUUGAUGAUAUACUUAUUUACUCAAGAAGUGAAGAAGAGCAUAAAAAACACCUCCGAGCAGUGUUACAACGACUCCGUGAACAUCCGUUAUACACCAAAUUCAGUAAAUGUGAGUUUUGGCUCAAGCAAGUUGGAUUUAUUGGACAUGUGCUCUCCGCCGAAGGUAUAGGCGUGGACCCGAGCAAAGUAAAGGAUGUACUCGAUUGGUUGCCACCCACAACUGUAUCUCAAAUCCGGAGUUUUCUUGGAUUAGCCGGAAAUUACCGUCAUUUCAUUGAAGGGUUCUCCAAGAUUGCUAAACCCAUGACAGAGCUGCUCAAAAAGGAUAAGAAGUUUGAAUGGACUGAGGAUUGUGAAAAAAGUUUCAAUGAGUUAAAGAAACAGUUGACAACUUCACCGGUAUUGACUCUUCCACAUAUCUACCGCAGUUUUGAUGUGUAUUGCGACGCUUCCAGGCAGGGACUUGGAUGCGUACUUAUGCAAGACGGCAAGGUAGUAGCUUAUGCCUCACGACAGCUACGACCCCACGAGGGAAAUUAUCCUUCUCAUGAUUUGGAGUUGGCAGCGGUGGUUCAUGCUUUAAAAAUUUGGAGACACUAUCUCAUCUGGAAGAGGUUCCAAAUUUUUACAGAUCACAAAAGUGUCAAGUAUAUAUUUACUCAACCAGAUUUAAAUCUCCGUCAACGAAGAUGGCUUGAGUUAGUCAAGGAUUAUGACCUUGGAAUAAAUUACCACCCGGGUAAGGCCAACGUGGUUGUCGAUGCGCUCAGUCGAAAGCCCGUCAACCUAAAUGUCAUAUUGGAAUCCUUGCCUCCUGAACUCCAAGAAGAGAUUGCUCAGCUCAACCUGGUCAUAGUAGAUGCUGGCCUUGCUAACAUUUUGGCAGUUACCCCCACAAUUGAGGAAGAGAUCCGCAAGGCCUAGUCGGAUCACACUGAUCUACAGAAACGUGCCAUGCAUAUGGUAGCAAGUCAGACUUUCGAUUUCUCGAAGGAUCAGAUUGGUACCCUCCGAUUCCGGGGAAGGAUUUGUGUUCCCAAUUAAGCAGAUUUAAAGUCGAAGAUCCUGUCAGAAGCACACGAAUCCUCGUAUUCAAUUCACCCUAGAGGUACGAAAAUGUAUGAAGACCUUCGACAAACAUUCUGGUGGGAUGGGAUGAAGAAAGACAUUGACUAUUUCGUGGCCUGUUGCAACAUAUGCAACAAAGUGAAGGCAGAGCAUCAGAAGCCAGCCGGACUUCUCCAACCGCUGCCAGUGUCAUAAUGGAAAUGGGAUGAUGUCUGUAUGGAUUUCAUCACAGGACUACCUAAGACUCGACGCGGCAAUGAUGCAAUCUGGGUCAUAGUGGAUACAUUAACCAACGUAGCCCACUUUAUCCCGAUCAGAACCACAUAUCGAGCAGAUGAACUUGCACAAUUGUAUGUAUCCAGAAUAGUCAGUCUGCAUGGAGUCCCCCGAACCAUCACUUCUGACCAAGGUUCACUUUUUACCUCCACUUUUUGGUCCUGACUCCGUCAAGCCUUGGGGACAGCAUUAAAAUACAGUACCGCUUAUCAUCCUCAGACUGAUGGACAGAUAGAGCGGGUAAACCAAAUACUCGAAGAUAUGCUGCGAGCCUGUGCUUUGGCCCAAGGACUGAAAUGGGAAGACUGUUUGCCCUAUGUUGAGUUCUCCUAUAACAAUAGUUUCCAGACCAGCUGAAAGAUGUCACGGCAUGAGGCUUUGUUUGGCCCUAAGUGCCGCACUCCUUUAAAUUGGUCUCAAACUGGAGAUAGCCACAUUUUCGGAACUGAUCUCAUGCUGGAAGCCGAGAAGCACGUCAAGGAAAUCAGAGACAGAUUGUAGUUGGCCAAAUCUCGACAGAAGAUUUAUUAUGAUGCAAAGCACCGACAGAUCAGUUUUGAACCCGGAGAACAUGUAUACCUUCGAGUCACGCCUAUGAAAGGAGUCAAGAGAUUUCAGACUCAUGAAAAGUUGGCACCCAUAUUUAUUGGUCCAUUUCCAGUUAUGUCACGAGUGGGUACUGUUGCAUAUUAGUUGGAGCUACCCCCUGAAUUGUCAGACGUGCACAACGUGUUUCAUGUUUCAUAGUUACGGUGUUGCAUAUCACCGCCGGAGAAAAAGACUGAUAUGACGGAAAUAGAGCUGGCCAAGGAUUUAACCAACAAAGAGAGGCCAGUUAGAAUCUUGGAUCAGAUGGAAAGAGUCACUCGCAGUAAGGCAUGGAAGUUUUACAAAGUCCAACGGAAGCAUCACACAGAGUCAGAAUCAACAUGGGAAUCAGAAGAAUAUCUAAGGGCACAUUAUCCAGAAUGGUUUUCACAAGCAAACUAAUCUCGAGGACGAGAUUCAUUCUAAGUGGGGGAGGUUUGUGACAGCCUGGUUUUUGCCCCCUCUUCUUUGCCUGAUUUUCAGUUGGUUUGAAUUUGAGUUUGGAGUUUUUGAAUCCUUUCAUUUCGACUUAACAACUUGGGUACCCCUUGACUUUCACCCAAGUGCUUCAUCUCCCUCUCAAACCAUCACUCCAUCUCUGGUUCACCUCAUAAUAUAAUUUGGAAUAUUUUUCUUGAAUGAAAAAUAUUCAUUUUCCCUCCUAAACCCUAGCUAUCUAAAUGUGCUCCAAAGAAACCCCAAUUUUUCUUGCCCAUAAAAUCUUGAGAAAAAUCCCAACUAUUCUUUGAACCCUAGGGCACCUUUUUGAGCAAAAACAUUUCAUCACUUUUUGGAAUAUUUUGGCUACAGAAAAUAUUUUCAUUUCUGGACAGAAAUGGUAGUUUCUUCAGCAACUACCAUUUUACUUGCUCCAUUGUAGCUGGUUUUUCUUGUGCAUCUUCACCUUAGUAAAUGUUGGCUAGCCUCAAAAGCCCAGCUCUCAACUCCCAGUGGUUUGACCACAGUAAACUCUCAAAGUUACUAUCCAGAAACUUACCUGGAGUGUAAAUUCAUUUCUACUGCACCUGAAACCCAACCCAAGUGUGGUAACAGUCAAAUUUACCACGGACUACACGCCAGACAUGAAGUUUGGGCUUAGGUCGGCUUGAGGUCAUAGUUCACACGGUGACCGCGUUCGUCCAGGUGUGCUGGCAUGCAAAACAUGCGCUCUGAGUGCCGUCGAGCGCUCUGUUGCGUGCGUGCUCGCUGCCCUACCUGCCCGAGCGUGCCAAACCAUGCCACCAUCAUCGUCUCUACUCACUUAACUCCGCCCUAGAACUCGCCGACUCGGGAGCUCGCCGCAGCGGGCACGGGCACGGUCCGACCAAUGCCACAGUGCGCGGCGCACUCUGCUCGUCGUCUUCCUCUCGCCCCUGUGCUCGUCCCCGUCCCCGAGCUCGAGAUCGUCGGCGAUCCCCUCAGGUCGUCCCCGCAAGUCCAGCCCCUCCCAGGCAAGGGAAACUCUUCCAGGGCCUCCUCCCCUCUCCGGUGGUGUCGUUCCGCCCGGUUGGAGCCCAUGGAGUCGCCCCUAGUCGUCGCCGUCUUCGUCUCUGUCGACUGCUGCUCUCUGCCUCCGCUGGAGAGGCUGUUUCCGGCACCGUCCGACCACCCCUAGCCACUCUACGGGUACGGGAAGGUGCGCCUCUGUCUCCUCUCUUGAUCCCUCCCUCUCGUUUUGGCCCAAGAGCCCUCGCCGCUGGGCCCGCUAGCAAGGCCCGCUAGCGAAGCCUCUCCCCCUCCACCUUACCUGACUAGCAGGGCCCGCUAGUCAGCCACUCUGUACGCGCGCGAAGCGGUACGAGUUGUGGCACCCUGGACUUUUACGCCUUCGAUGUUACCCCCCCACACACACACAGUCUGUUUAUUUUUAAUUCAAAUUUCAUUUAAAUCCAGAGAACUUCAAACAGCCAAAACUUUUUAACCAUAAGUCCAAAUGAUUUGAUUCUUUUUGCAUUGUGUUCUUUGUCAAACAAUCUAGUAGCUCACCAAAGAUGGGAUGUUUCCCUGCUGUCUAGAUUUUAUGGUGAAUUUCAGAAGGUUUCUUGAUGAUUUCUUUUUGUGUUUUUAAAUAUUUUCAGAAGGUGAGGCUUGUCUUGAGGAUCACCAGGAGGAUUGUGAACCUCUUUUGCACUAAGGGAAGCCACAUCAACAUUUUCAUAGUGCCACUAAAAUAUUUGUGAUUUUCUACUUGAACAAAUGAUUAUUCAUGCAUUUAAAUUAUUAAUAUGUUAAUUAUACUCUGUUAGAUGCUUGUUAAAGUGAAUAUGCUUGAUUUACAGAAAGUUUGAAGUGAACUUAGCUGGUAAACUAGCAAGGAUUUAGUUUUUGGGUGAUGAAAGAAUAAUAUGGCUAUGGAUAUGAAUAAUUAGUGGAAUUAUUUUCUUGCAUGAGUAAAAAUGAUAAAUUUGCUAGAAAAGGUUCUGGUUGAAGUGAGGCUUGAUCUUAACCAGAGAAGCAUCAUGAGUUGUUGAUGCUCAGUGUGAGCAUAGUUGACUCAGUCAUUUCCGUUGAUAUGAGAUGCAUAUGUUGGUGAUGCAUGUCAUGGUAUUAUGACGCCGGUUAUUUUCACUUUAAGUUGAACCUGAUAAUAACUCAACUUGAAUAUGUUGUUGACCGGGUCAUGGUGCUGCUGAAUCGAGUCUUUCCGAGUGCAACCACAUUUUCCGGUAUGGGACGGACUUUAUUCGUUUCAUUGUCAUGCCUCUUGUCGGUGCCUCCAACUAGGGAAGGUUAUGGACUUUAUUCGUUUCAUUGUCAUAACCUUGUGUGUCUGUUGUUAAGUUUUUGGUACCGGGUCCCCGUGUGGGAUUGUUUGGCCACGACGGUGGUCGUUGUGUCUUCGGUAGACACGGGGCCAGCCAGGACUAGCCCGAUGGGGAGUGAGUUAGAGUGGCCGGGAGAGUGUCAUAUCAAUGGAGGGGUUUCGUCGGAAUGCCGUUAGUCCACCCGAAUGGGAGUGCAAGGCCAUGGGUUCCGUGGUGUGGGUCCAGUGCACUACCUCUGCAGAGUGUAUUAAUCUAUCGAUAGCCGAGUCCACGAUGAAGGACACGCUCGAAAGUAGGUCACACCAUGUGUCAAUAUUUAAUGAAUUUUGCACACUAAGUAUGAAGUUUGCAUUGUGUUGGUGGUGGGAAGGACAUUGUGUUGAUUUGGACCAGAUGUUGGUCAUGGUUGUGAUCGCCAUAAGGAUCACGGGCCAAAUAUUGGUCGUGGUUGCGAUCACCGUAAGGAUCACAGUUUGGGGCCAAUUAUUGGUCGUAUUGUGAUUGCCGGAAGGAUCACGAGAUGUCUCUGGGUUGGCACGUUUGUGAUCCAGGAACGAUCACGUUUGGUAAGCCAGUCAGAGGGACGAUUAUCAUAAGAGCAUGGUCAUAGCAUGUUGGAUAUAUUGUUGCAUGGUUAUAAAUUGGUUAAUUGUCAUAAUAUUGUUUGUCAUUAUGUUUAUGCUUGUUGUGAUCUUGCAAGUACAUUCAAUGUACUGACCUGGCAUGUCAUGCCAUAUUUCAGGAAAGUCCCGUUGGAAAGGUGUGCUGUCCGAGUCUAGAUCGUGUCCACAUUGGUGUCCCUGUGCUAUGGAGUUCCGCUACGACGUUGUUCCGCUGCCACGUAGUUGUCAGGAUCGAGGCCCCUUUAUGUUCACUAAAUAAUGUACAUAUUGUUCAGCCGCACCUCGUGUGCCGCUUGGCCUCGCCAACUUUUGUAAUAUAAACUUUGAUCCGCUGGCAUCAAUAAAGCGGUUGUUUUCUAUACCAAGUUGUUGUGUGUUGCUAGAACACAAGGUCGCUGGGUUGGCAAUGCAUGGUAAACCUGUUGCUCUGAGCCGGGGUGCCACAAGCCCCGUCUCAUGGGACGUUCAGGAGGAGAGUGGGCAACGCGCGGAGCCCGCAGGGUAGAGAAUCCAUGUGACAUCAAGUGCAGGGAUUAAUAGUCAUCAUAACUCAUGAAAGCAUAACUGUUUCAAGGUACAUGAACGGAAUGAUGCAACUGCAGGAGCGGACCCUUACCGCCGAGGAUAAUGCAGCCCAAGGGGCACCCUCAAUUGAACAAACAAAAGGUCACGUGGUAAAGAUGUUACGAAGGCGUCGAGGUAGUCGAUGAAGCGUGUCGUGAAGGUUGAACCCUCAUGAGUCGGACGGCUCCGGAGCCUCGAGAGGCUUGUGAGGUCCAUGGGGCACGCGAGGGCCAGGUCUCCUAAGUCGCCACUGUGGCACCCCGGCUCAGAGCAACCGGUUUACCUUGCAUUGCCGGCCCAGAGAUGAAGUCUUCUGGCAAUACACAGCAACAUGGUACUGAAACAACCACUUUAUUGAUGCUAGUAGAUUACAUAGGUCUGAUAUUACAUCAAGAUUCGAGGCCAAGCAUCACACACGGUGCCGCUGCACGGUAUGUACAUUAUUUAAUGAAGAUGAUGGAGCCUCGAUCGCACGAUCUAUGCAGCAGCAGAAGAAAAACGUAGAGGAACUCCAUAGCACAGGGACACCAAUGUGAACACGGCCUAGACACGAGAUGCGGUCCGAUGCGAACUGACUUGCGUGAAAGCUGGCAUAACACGCCAGGUCAGUACAUUGAAUGUACUGGCAAGCUCACAACAAACAUAAGCACGAUGACAAACAAUAUCAUGAUAUUUAAACAGAUUUAUUCAAUGCAAAACUACUACUACCAAACAAACAUUUCAUGCAAUGAGUCCAAUAGACUCGCUUACGAGACGGUUACCACAUAACCAAACAAUGACCAUACGCUGGUGACAACGGAAACCAAUCACUCAUGAGCACCUCAAGUGUUCAUGCUUUCGUCACGAACCAAUGCAUCACAUCACUCACUUAGUUUGCGAGAUUAUUAGAAAAGUUGAUCCAUGGUGUGACUUACUUCCGAGUUUUGCCCAUAACCGAGGACGCGGCUAUCGAUAGAUUAAAUACACUCUACAGAGGUAGCACACUUUACCCACACUACAGAAUACCUAGCCCCGCAUUCCCGUUCGGGUGGACCAAAGCAUUCCGACGAAACUCUUUGAGGGAGUCCUGGAUUAGGGGGUCCUCGGACAACCAAACUAUAUACUUUGGCCGGACUGUUGGGCUAUGAAGAUACAAGAUUGAAGACCUCGUCCCAUGUCCGGGUUGGACUCCCCUUUGCGUGGAAGGCAAGCUUGGCAAUUCGGAUAUGUAGAUCUCCUUCUUUGUAAUCAACUCUGUGUAACCCUAGCCCCCUCCGGUGUCUAUAUAAAUCGGGGGGUUUAGUCCGUAGGACAACAACAAUCAUAAUCAUAGGCUAGCUUCUAGGGUUUAGCCUCUACGAUCUCGUGGUAGAUCAACUCUUGUAAUACUCAUAUCAUCAAGGUCAAUCAAGCAGGAAGUAGGGUAUUACCUCCAUCGAGAGGGCCCGAACCUGGGUAAACAUUGUGUCCCCCACCUCCUGUUACCAUUAGCCUCAGACGCACAGUUCGGGACCCCCUACCCGAGAUCCGCCGGUUUUGACACCGACAUUGGUGCUUGAAUUGAGAGUUCCACUGUGUUGUCACGAUAAGGCUUGAUUGCUCCUUCAAUCAUCUACAACAAUACUAUCCAGGGUGAGGUUUUCCUCCCCGGACAGAUCUUCGUAUUCGGCGGCUUCGCACUGUGUGUCAACUCGCUUGGCCAUCUAGAGAAGAUCGAUAGCUACGCCCAUGGCCAUUAGGUCAUAUUUGGAAGCCUGGACUACACCGCCGACUUCCUCGGAGAUUUGAUCUUCAACGGAUUCGAGCCCAUGGCAGGCGCGCCGAACAGUCACGAUGAGCAUGACUUAGAUCUGCCAUAGGACGGUGUUCAGGAGAUCACACCUACGGCUACCCCGGCUUUUAAUCCGGAGGUGAUCGUGCCAUCCGAGGAUGGGUGGAUGGACCCCGCCACAGAAGCCGCACACUCUUCAGCGCUAGAGCCGAACACAGACUUCACCUCCACAGAGGUCUGUGUCAUCGAACCCUCGGACUCGUCUCCGCCAUAGGUUCCGAACCACGCACAUCUAUGCCUAUCGAAUCUGAUUGGGAACCGAUCAUGGAGUUUUCCUCCACGGAUAUAUUUCAGCACUCACCCUUGGGCGACAUGCUAAAUUCACUGAAAUUUCUCUCCCUGUCAGGAGACUCUUGGCCGAACUAUGUCCGGCUUAAGUGGGAAGCGGAUGACGAAGAAAUUCGUUACCCACCCACCACCCACUUGGUAGCCACUGUUGAUGACUUAACCGACAUGCUUGAUUUUGACUCUGAAGACGUCGACGAUAUGGACGACAAUGCUGGAGAGGAACAGGAACCACCGCCCAUAGGGCGCUGAACAGCCACCUCAUCAUAUGCUAUAUACAUGGUGGACACCCCCAAAGAAAGUGAUGGCGAUGAGUCCACAGAGGAUAAUCCCCUUGAGAAGCAAUCUAAGCAUCGGCGUCAUUGGCGCUUCUCUAAGCCUCGCCAUAGCAAAAAUGCGAUACGGGUACAACAGACAAUAACGCUCCAAAUAAUGCCGAAGAUGAAAACAAUCCCGCCCAGCCAGGCUUCGAGCAGGCCGAGCGGAAGGAUGGGCAAGCUGGCCCUAAGGAACAGGCAACAGAUGGAGAAUCAGAGGAUGACAAUUACAAGCCCCUCUCUGAAGACGAAGUGAGCCUUGGCGACGAAGAAUUCAUCGUGCCUGAGGAUCCCGUCGAGCAGGAGCGCCUCAAGCGCUGGCUUAUAGCCACUACAAACAGCUUGAAGAAAAAGCAGCAGUAGCUUCAAGCUGAUCAAGAUCUACUAACGGAUAGAUGGACUGAGGUCCUGGCAGCCGAGGAAUACGGACUCGAGUGCCCAACCAAAAGUUACCCAAAGCGCAGGUUGCUACCUCAACUCGAGGAGGAGGCAUUAAAGCCAACACUACCAGCGCAGGAUGUGGCUGACCAGCCACCUUGUGGCCGAGACAAAGCGGCGUAUCAGCCUGAACACCAGCCCGCACCCCGUCGCCAAUCAAACAAAAACACCAAGGCCUGGGGCUACACGCAGGACCUGCAAGACGUAUUGGUAAAGCAGGAUAGAUAAGAUCGAUCUAUGGAUCACGGGGGCGCCCCCCAAUGCGUGACGAUGACCGUCAUGCCGGAUAUACUAAAAGCAUAUCUGGCCGGGCCGAAUACAACAGACCAGACUCAUUUGAACUGCGUUGUGAUAUAACCCGGCAUAGAGGCGCCGCACACCCCCUAUGCUUCACUGAUGAAGUAAUGGAUCAUGAAUUCCUAGAAGGGUUUAAACCCGUGAACAGUAAAUCAUACGAUGGUACAAUAGACCCCGCGGUAUGGAUUGAAGAUUUCCUCCUCCACAUUCACAUGGCCCGCGGCGAUGAUCUACGUGCCAUCAAGUACCUCCCAGUAAAACUCAAAGGACCGGCUCGGCAUUGGCUGAAUAGCCUGCCGGCAAACUCCAUUGGUAGUUGGGAGAACUUGGAAGACGCAUUCCUGGACAACUUCCAGGGCACUUAUUGCAACCAUCAGAUGCUGAUGACUUAAGUCACAUAACCCAACAGCCCGGAGAGUCAGCCAGGAAAUUCUGGACUCAGUUCCUAACUAAAACGAACCAGAUUGUCGACUGUCCAGAUGUCGAAGCCCUGGCAGCCUUUAAGCAUAACAUCCGCGACAAGUGGCUCGCCGUACACCUCGGCCAAGAGAAGACGAAGUCCAUGGCAGCCCUCACGACACUCAGGACCCGCUUUUGUGCGGGCGAGGACAGCUGGCUGGCUCGUAGCAACAUCACAUCAAGAAAUCCUGGCACUUCAGAUGCCAGAGAUAGCAAUGGCAAGCCACGACGCAAUAGACAUAAGCGUCGCAACAAUGGCGACAACACCGAAGACACGACGGUCAAUGCCGGAUUUAGUGGCUCUAUGUCCGGCCAGCGGAAAAAGCCAUUCAAAAGAAACAAUCCAUGCCCGUUCAGUCUUGUCAGGACCCCGACUCAAUGCCACACCGAUCUAGCAUGUAACACCUCAUAUCACUUUGCGGCCUAACACAUGGUAUUCCCACGGGUGACGCCUUGCCAGGCCUGGGACCAUUUGCGCCUUUUGGCACAUGUAUACGAUAGUGUCGCUAGCAUCCAUAUGACAAGUAGCCCGGGCUGACAUGGCUAGUCGUGAACCCAAAGUGGCGCUAACUUACAGGGACAAGCAUACAUGACCCAACAACGAACGUGUCGGUCGUCAGCGAGUGAAUUCGGGCUGUAGCAGCUGGGCUAGCAGGACUCCGGAGAAUCCGGGCUAUACCAGGCUAACAGGACUUCGGUAGACACCGCGUGACAUUUCCCCGAAGGGACAGACACAGGAUCAAAGAAGGACACAUGCAGGCUAGCCUAAGUGCUCCGGAGCAGUAGCAAGCUACCAAGGCUCAAUGGAAGCACUAGGAGAGAUUUCCCGGUAAGAGAUGCUACCAAGGAUAAACAACUAGAUAGUCAGAUCCCACACAUACCAAGCAUUUCACUAGCAUACACAGAAUAUGCUCAAUAUGUGCAAAUACAACAUGGCAUCACAACAUGACUCUACAACUCAAGUAUUUAUUCAAUAGGCUCCGAGGAGCGAGAUAUUACAAACAUGGGUCUCAUGACCCAACAUUCAAAGCAUACAAGUCAAAUCACAUGCGGAAGCUUAACAUGUCUGAGUAUAGACAUCUACAAAUGAAAAAGGCUGAGAAGCCUGACUAUCUACCAGAUCCUGCCGAGGGCACAAGAUCGUAGGUGAGGUAACAAGCUAAACGUCGAAGUCUACGUGGAACUACUAGCGAGACUGAAGUCUCUCUGCAAAAAACAUAAAUUAAGCAACGUGAGUACAAAUGUAUCCAGCAAGACUUACAUUAGAACUAACUACAUAUGCAUCAUUAUCAACAAGGGGGUGGUGGAGUUUAACUGCGGCAAGCCAGCUUUGACUCGGUGGCGAUCCUGAACUAUGACUGCAAGUAAAUCUUUUGAGGUGGCGCACAUGAGUCCACAUAUUCAUCAUAUCAAUACACCACUAUGGAUCUGCUCCCAUCUCUCUACGAGAACGCCAUCCAUAGCACUCUCGCUUAUCUUGCGUAUUUUAGAGUGUCCACUUUCACUUGUCUAUGAACUAUAUAGGCAACCCAGAAGUCCUUUACCGCGGACACGGCCAUUCGAAUAGAUCAUAUUAACCCUAUAGGGGUGUACUUCUUCACACACGCUCUCGCCACUUACCGCCAUGUACACGUCAUGUAUCUCGGCAACCUUCAAGCAGAAGCCUGGCGAGGGUGUCUUCCACAACCUGACUAACUAGACAAGUAUCUCGUCCAGGUUUAUCGCCUAUUCGGGUUCCAUCCGCAAGGAGAUCUGGCCGGGGUGUCGCUCACGGCCCCAAACGAUGUGUGAAAGUUCCCAAUCCCACCAUCCGGGUGCCACUUGGUACACCGGGCCACUGUGCCUAGUCUGUCCCAAGCCCACCUGUACCGGGUGCCACUUGGUAGACUACUAACACUACCUACAAACACCAGAAACUAGUUGCAACUCCUCGACAGAGAUCAUGUUGAUUAAUAAGUCGAGAGGGGUCGAGUUACCAGAACCCAAUGUGUGGUAGUAACAGUUCAUGGAUCACAAAGAGAGGACUCAGUUCCUAAGGACGGCUUCAAUGAGACAACCCACCAUGUACUCCUACAUGGCCUCUCACCGCUACAUUUAUCAAACCAUGUUCACACACUUAGCUCACACACAGUAGGACAUGUUCACAACAUUCCAAUUCAUCCCCGAUGAAUCAGACCAGACUCAACUCUAAGAAGUAGCAGGCAUGAAAAACAAGCAUGAAUGAGUAGGCACAUCAGGGCUCAAACAACUCCUACUCAUGCUAGUGGGUUUCAUCUAGUUACUGUGGCAAUGACAGGUCAUGCAGAGGAAAGGGGUUCAACUACCGCAGCAUGUAACAGUUGAAUCGUUGUGUUCCUAAUGCAGUAAAAGAGAGCAGGAGCGAGAGAGUGGGAUGGUAUCGGAAUGAACAAGGCGUUUUUGCUUCCCUAGCACUUCUGAAGAUAGUAUAAUUGUUCAUUUGUGUCAUUGAUCACAUCGUCGAAAUGCGUCUACCAAGAGGGGGCAAUUACCGGCAACUGAGAAAGAAACACAAUCAAUGCAAUGCACAAUAUGAUGCAUGCUCAUGACAUGGGAAUAUGAGUGUGUUGGCCUAGUGCAACUACGACCAGAUGUAUUUGGGUCAUUUUGAACCGAAGGUUCAAUCCCAAACUCAAAUUAUGAAUUUAAAUAGUGCCUUAUCAUGUUUUGAUAUAAACAGCAGGUUUAAGUUGCUUUAUCAUGCAUGAAACUAGUGCAGAUGGAUAGAUUGGAUUUUUGUGAUCAUUUUUCAUAUAUAACUUGUUUCAUUUGGAGCUACGGUUGAAUUUAUAUGAUUUUUAGAAUUUACGCCUUUUUCUGGAUUUUCUGAUUAAAUAGAACUAAACUAAUUCCAGAAAAGGAUUUACUGCAUCAGCCUGACGUCAGUGUGAUGUCAGCAGGUCAACUAAGUCGGUCCAGGUCAAACCUGACUAGUGGGGUCCACUGGUCAGUGGCUGGAGAUGGCUAGUGCCGCUGACAAGUGGGCCCAGUCAACAGCCAUGUCAGCUUGGUCAAAGCUGGCGCGUGGGUCCCGUUGGGUUAUAACUAAUCUAAGCAGAAAUAAAACUGGAGUUAAUUAGGGUGUAGGGCCCAUGUGUCAUUGGCUCAAGGGGUUGUUUAGUGGGAUGAUUAGCCGCUAAUUACGCGGCCACGUCGGACGCGCCGGCGAUUAAAUGACGGCGACCACGGCUCGUGGCGGCGACGCUCGGGAUCGGGCUGUAGGCCAUGGUUUCGAGCGCAGUUUGGUCCUAAGAGACGCUGGUGCUCGUCCGCAUCCAACGGAGCCAUCGGCUCGCGCUGGGGUGGACCGUAGUUACAUCGGCGACGACAAGCCCGGCGGCCGGAGCUCGGGCAAGCUCGGCAACGACGCUGCGGUGCAUGGGGGAACUGGCUGACGAUGGUUUUGGGUUUCAGGGAACAUUCUGAGCAUGUAGCGGUGCUUGGACGCGACGAAAACGACCUCUAGCCACGGCGGCUUGAAGUCUGGCGGCGGUGAGCUCACGGCUCCGGCGACUAACGUGGUUGAGGGAGGAAACGAUGGCAGGCUAGGGGGAAAAGAGAAGGAGCUCGUAGCGCGUCGGGUGAGGGUCUCAGCGAGCUCGGGGAAGGCCUGACGAUGGCGAAUCAAGCGGCGGGGAUCGUCGGCACCGAGGUUGAAGAAGACAUCCAGGAUGGUGACGCGGUGCUUCCCGGUUUUUUGGCUCGGCGUGGACGAAGAGGGCGAAGAUGCGGAGCUCAGGGACGCGGAGAGGGAGCGAGGGAGUGGCUGUGGCCACGGUGCUGCUCAUCGGCGGCGGCGGUGCGGUUCGAUGAGGUGGGCAAAAGGCAAGGGAGGAAGAACCAGAGGAGGGGGAGAGCUCCAGGGAGAGACGGGAGAAGUGCAGGGUCGUGCUCAUCCCCUGGGCCUGUCGUGCUGGCUAGGGAAGCAGGCAGGAAGGAGGUGGCGUUGGCGUGUGCGCAUCCGGCACGCAGCUGCUUCGGGGCGAGGGGGAGGAAGACGACAGAGGGGAGGAGGUGGGCUGGGUCGGCCAGCUCAGAUGGGCCGCCAGCUGGACUAGAGCGCCUGGUAAGUGCCCACGUGAGCCUCUCUCUCUUUUAUUCUCUGUCUUUGUUUCUGGAUUUAGUAAAAAUACUAAACCUAUCUAAAAAUCCUGAAAUAAAUUGUGGGCACUGUUGAAAUGUUUUUCAGUGGCCCUCAACCAUUAUCAGAAUUAUUUGGGCAAAUAAAAUAUUUAUAGUAUUUAAAUGGCCAAAUUCAAAUACUUUAUGAUUUAAUUCAAAAAUCCAGAAUGGUCCUAGAAAGGUGUGCACCAUUUUUGGCAGGGGUUCUAGACCAAUUCAAAAAUGAUGAACUUUUCCAAAGGCAUUUUGGGUUCAUUGAAAAUGACUUUUAUUUGAACCUAGUUGGAUUCAUUUGUGCUAGGGUUUGGAUCAAUUCCCAUUUCAAGUUUAAAUGCAAUUUAAACAUGAUACAACAAAUGUCUAGCUAGCCCACAUCAUAACAGAUCUAGGGAUGUGACAGCUCACCCCCACUAAACAAGAAUCUCAUCCCGAGAUUCAAGACGUGAGGUAGGAAGACAGAAGGGACACAAAGCUAGCACAAACUUCAUGAUUCAGGUUGCACUUCAUAAGAACAUUGAUUUGAUCCUCAUCUUUGUCUCGAUGUCUUUCUUUGAGAACUCCAACCAACAUGACAACGAGAAGAAAGGAAAAUCUCUAGAAGAAUCAGUCUUCUUGAAGAUCGAACAACUCAGGAUCAACUCACAUAAUGAGAUAUUGAAACAUCUCUCGAGCUGAGGCAUAGAACAUACAACUAGAGGGAUGGAGUGAAACAGACGACGAAGGUUCACUAGAUAGGCGAUAGUUCCACACUUAAGAAGGUGGUGAAUGGUUGUGAAUGUAGCGAGAAGUUGAGUUGCCAUGAUUCUAUAACGGGGCACCUUAGAGGAGGUGAUUCGUAGAAUUAUCCCUUAAGUGGAAAAAAGAAUUACUUUUGAUACAUAGAUCAUUGAAAAUCUUCUUACCAGGCUAAGGCAAUUCACAAAUGAUUGUUUGACGGAGUUCGAAGAAAUUGCAUACUCAGAUCGGAAUGGAAACUAUUGUUAUAGAACAACUCGGCAAACGGAAGGCACAUUCCAAUUGAUACCGACAAUAUAACCAAGUGACUGAGCGUGCUCUCAAGAACUCGAGCAUUUCCAUAUUCAUCAAGGUCUUACCAGCAUCCGUGCCAAGGAUCCUGGCCACAACAUACUACCAUGAUGAAUAAUGAUGGAGGAUGCAGGUGCAGAGAAGGACAACACUUUCUCAGAUUUUACCUUGACGACGCCAAGCAAACAAAAUCUGGAGGAUCAACCGAGAGACAUUUAGCACUCCGCUUCUAAUGUUCUCCUUGACGUUCCAGGUACCACGAUCAUGCUUAAAAGCAUCGACAUGGCCAUCAAGUAAAGGUCGGACUUCGGAAUACAAAGGAUCCAUAAGGAACAACUUCUAUAAUAAGUCACUCGAAAUCCGCAUGGAGAAGAUGGUCGACUUGCUCAAUCAAGAUACUAAAAUGAUAGAUCUUUCGGCUAGGUGUGUCAGCCAGAACAUCAACCUUGUCGGGACCUACAUCAUAGAUCUUGGAAGGGUUCCAACCAUCAUAUCUGCUUGAGAUUCAGAUCUGGUUGGUAACUGAAUAUUUUAGACAACAUGUGUGGAAAAGAAAGUUUGCAACACAAACCGACGAGAUGACGUUGCAAGAUUCUCGGGAUAAGAACUACGAUACCAAGCUCAAAAACUUGAGCUGGCUCUGCUACAUACAUGUGAACAUGCUGUCCCAGACAAGCAUGACCACGUAGUAUUCUUAUAAUAAAACACUACCGAGUUUAGGUGGGGAACCAUCAUCAAGGAUAUUGGAAUCUUGUGCAUGAACUAAUAUUCACACAACAACUCCUUUUCCUCAAACAAAUCAAUCAGUGGCUUGGUGUGCUAGAAACACAUACGGAGUGGAGGCGGCCAACCUACCAAACCAUAGAGUACUUCCCACAUAUGCGUGACUAACUUGGGAUGAUCCCAGAGGAAGCAAAAACAAGCUUUCUCGAAUUCACAGCGGCAACUUGCAUCAAAUGCACAUGAAUUUAGAGCAAGCCACUUCUUUCAUACAAACAUAUGCUUCAUGAGCUAGCAUGAAGAAAUGCUUUCAAAAAUUUCCAACACCAGCUUUAAUGUUCAACAUGAAUCAUGGAGGAGAUAAAGACGUUGUCGAUGGGCUUAACACCAAUUUAUCAAGAUUUCCAUAAGAUGGUUUGCAUGGUUAUGUGAACAAGAUGAUAGCAUUGAUCAGGCCAAAAGAUGUAAUGAUGUAUGCUCGAGGGAUCAACCACGAGUAAGACAACAUUACGAACAUCGUUGGUACCGAUUUGAUUUGGUGAUAGCCCAUACUCAAAUCAAAGUUUUUAUAAGACAAUAGGUCCAUCAACUGAACACAGGGACCAAUCGAUGAAGAUAUCAUCUUUCUUCAACUAACACACAGACACAAAGAUAUCCCUUUGGAAUGAGCUAAGUUAGGCAAGCUUUUAUCUUCCAACUCUCCAAGUUGUUGUUUAGCUUAACCAACUAGCUCAGGGGUAUCCAACACAGAUUCUUGGAGAAAGGCAUGGCUACAAGAAACCAACUUGAUCACGAACUCAACAUAGCGGUCAGGUGACAACCUAGUAACACUUCCGAGAAGAUAUUCGGAAAAUCACGAACCACCGAUAUGUUACUAAGCUAGAGAACAAUGUUGCUUUUCAGGGCAAGAUGAUGUGACCAAGAGAGUGAUGGAUUGCCAAAAUCCUAACUCAUUGAUCGAAGAGUACACCGAAAAUAAGGACUAGGUAGCACAAUCUAUCUUAGAAUGAUGAUUCAAGAACCAACACGCUAAGAAUGAAAUUAUUGUCCUUUAACUACCAAGCAACUGGGUUGCUAGGAGUAUUGAUUUCACGCAUCAUAGUUCACCUGUCGGCAUUCCGGUUGCAACAACACAGAAAACUGAGGAAUGAGCAAUGAUGGCAGGAAGAAUCACUGCGUCAAGAAUUCAUAAGAGGUGGUGCAAUUCUCAUGACAUUCUUGACAUAAAGAUGGUAGCACUCCAGGUUAGAACAGAGCAAAAGCUGGAUUGGCAUUUUGAUCUGCUGAAUACAACUACUUUGACUCAAUCCUAGAAAUGGACGAGGUACUGGAGUUUGUUUCUCCUAGUCAUUCCGGAAUAGUAUGGCUUGACGGACCACAAGAAUAAUAGGCAUCGAUAUCACGAAUGCACAACCAGUCCUGACUAUCAAUUGAUAGAUGAGGGCCAGAAAACAACUAAAGAGGGACAACUCAAAAGAACAUCUGAUUUUCUAAGUUGUGGAUGUAUAGAUUAGUGUGUCGAGCAAAGCUCAACAUUUCUUCCUGAUAAUCUAUGCAGAAAGGUAGGACUGGCAGAUUCACAAUGCAGAAUGGAGGACUCAUCAAGAGCACUCUUAUUGUGAUCUUUUGGUUCAAGAACUUCUGCCAUAAGAAGUUUAUGGUAUUUGGAAGAAGGAUAUACCACGGACCUCGAGGACUAUCGCAAAGGUUACUAAUAUCCUAAAGGAACUAGCAAACACUAACAACAUGAAGUGAGUAGGGUUAAUCUCGGGUUAAAAACCCAGGAGUAGAAUACCUACUAACUAAAUUGCAUCACGGGAUGCUUUCGAGAAUGGUGGCCAGAAUCAUCACACUAGGAACGCAAAACAUGGUUAGCUUACUAGGUGGCACUCUAAGACACCUAGGGUCAUAGUAAUAGCUCUAACAUAUAUGCCAAGGCAACAGAGUACCUCAACUGAACGAUUAGUGUGGUUAAUCUGGCCCAAAGGGACAUCAAAAUGAGAGGAAGGGAUUUUGCAAAUGCUUCAGACUAUUUAGAAACCUAGGAUGACUCGGACAGCAUAACGGCUGUAAAUGCUCAAAGGAUUUGAGACAUCCUACAAAUGAUGGCAUAACCACUCGAGCGUUACAAUAUCAAGGUUCCGAGAUCAACUAUGAACACACAGAGGUAGAAGAAACUGGACUAAGGCUUAAAUCCAACAAUCUUAUAAGUCUAUGGAUUAGUAACACGUGAUCCUGAUAGAAAGAAGAGAUAGCCUAGUUCCUUAACCCGUAGGAAAGAUAAGACGACUCGGAUCAGAAGGGCAUAGGGUAUAAGGAGAAAAAAGAGCCUUACGUUCCAUCCCAUAAUCAAUUCCCUUAUAUAACUAAAGCAUUUCUAGACUCAAGUUCGACCAGUUUGGCUUGGUAAUCCUACAGGCAGUCAGGCUCUGAUACCAAAGCUGUCAGGACCCUGACUCAAUGCCACACCAAUCUAGCAUGUAACACCUCAUACCACUUUGUGGCCUCACGCACGGUAUUCCCACGGGUGACGCCUUACCAGGCCCGGGACCAUUUGCACCUUUUGGCACACGUAUAUGAUAGUGUUGCUAGCAUCCAUAUGACAAGUAGCCCGGGCUGACAUGGCUAGUCGAGAACCCAAAGUGGCGCUAACUUACAGGGACAUGCAUACAUGACCCAGCAACGAACGUGUCGAUCAUCAGCGAGUGAAUCCGGGCUGUAGCAGUUGGGCUAGCAGGACUCCGGAGAAUCCGGGCUGUAGCAGGCUAACAGGACUCCGGUAGACACCACGUGACAUUUACCCGAAGGGACAGACACAAGAUAAAAGAAGGACACAUGCCGGCCAGCCUAAGUGCUCCGGAGUAGUAGCAAGCUACCAAGGCUCAGUGGAAGCACUAGGAGACAUUUCCCGGUAAGAGAUGCUACCAAGGAUAAACAACUAGAUAGUGAGAUCCCACACAUACCAAGCAUUUCAAUAGCAUACACACAAUAUGCUCUAUAUGUGCAAAUACAACAUGGCAUCACAACAUGACUCUAUAACUCAAGUAUUUAUUCAAUAGGCUCCGAGGAGCGAGAUAUUACAAACAUGGGUCUCAUGACCCAACAUUUAGAGCAUACAAGUCAAAGCACAUGCGGAAGCUUAACAUGUCUGAGUAUAGACAUCUACAAAUGAAAAAGGCUGAGAAGCCUCACUAUCUACCAGAUCCUGCCGAGGGCACAAGAUUGUAGCUGAGGUAACAAGGUAAACAUCGAAGUCUACGUGGAACUACUAGUGAGACUGAAGUCUCUCUGCAAAAAACAUAAAUUAAGCAACGUGUCUACAAAUGUACCCAACAAGACUUACAUUAGAACUAACUACAUAUGCAUCAUUAUCAACAAGUGGGUGGUGGAGUUUAACUGCAGCAAGCUAGCUUUGACUCGGUGGCUAUCCUGAACUACGACUGCAAGUAACUCUUUUGAGGUGGCGCACAUGAGUCCACAUAUUCACCAUAUCAAUACACCACUAUGGAUCCGCUCCCGUCUCCCUACGAGAACGCCAUCCAUAGCACUCACGCUUAUCUUGCGUAUUUUAAAGUAUCCACUUUCACUUGUUUAUGAACUGUAUAGUCAACCCAGAAGUCCUUUACCACGGACACGGCCAUUCGAAUAGAUCAUAUUAACCCUACAGGGGUGUACUUCUUCACACACGCUCUCGCCACUUACCGCCAUGUACACGUCAUGUAUCUCGGCAACCUUCAAGCGGAAGCCUGGCGAGGGUGUCGGGCACGACCUGACUAACCACACAAGUCUCUCGUCCAGGUUUAUCUUUUAUUCGGGUUCCAUCCGCAAGGAGAUCCGGCCGGGGUCUGGCUCACGGCCCGAAAUGAUGUGUGCAGGGUUCCCAAGCCCACCAUCCGAGUGCCACUUGGUACACCGGGACACUGUGCCUAGUCUGUCCCAAGCCCACCUGUACCGAGUGCCACUUGGUAGACUACUAACACUACCUACAAACACCAGAAACUAGUUGCAACUCCUGGACACAGAUCAUUUUGAUUAAUAAGUCGAGAGGGGUCGAGUUACCGAAACCCAAUGUGUGGUAGUAACUCUUCAUGGAUCACAAACACAGGACUUAGUUCCUAAGGACAGCUUCAGUGAGACGACGCACCAUGUACUCCUACAUGGCCUCUCACUGCUACCUUUACCAAAUCGUGUUCACACACUUAGCUCACACAUAGUAGGACAUGUUCACAACAUUCCAAUUCAUCGCCGAUGAAUCAGACCUGACUCAACUCUAAGCAGUAGCAGGCAUGACAAACAAGCAUGAAUGAGUGGGCACAUCAGAGCUCAAACAGAACUCAUGCUAGUGGGUUUCAUCUAGUUACUGUGGCAAUGACAGGUCAUGCAGAGGAAAGAGGUUCAACUACCGCAGCAUGUAACAGUUGAAUCGUUGUUGUCCUAAUGUAGUAAAAGAGAGCAGAAGCGAGAGAGUGGGAUUGUAUCGGAAUGAACAAGGGGGUUUUGCUUGCCUGGUACUUCUAAAGAUAGUAUAAUCCUUCAUUGGUGUCAUUGAUCACAUCAUCGAAACGCGUCUAUCGAGAGGGGGCAAUUACCGGCAACUGAGAAAGAAACACAAUCAAUGCAAUGCACAAUAUGAUGCAUGCCCAUGACAUGGAAAUAUGAGUGUGUUGGCCUAGUGCAACUACAACCAGAUGGAUUUGGGUCAUUUUGAACCAAAUGUUCAAUCCCAAACUCAAAUUAUAAAUUUAAAUAGUGCCUUAUCGUGUUUUGAUAUAAACAACAGGUUUAAGUUUCUUUAUCAUGUAUCAAACCAGUUCAGAUGGAUAGAUUGGAUUUUUCGAAUCAUUUUUCAUAUAUAACUUGUUUCAUUUGGAGCUACGUUUGAAUUUAUAUGAUUUUUAGAAGUUUAAGCCUUUUUCUGGAUUUCCUGAUUAAAUAGAAUUAAACUAAUUCCAGAAAAGGAUUUACUGCGUCAGCCUGAUGUCAGUGUGACGUCAGCAGGUUAACUAAGUCGCUCCAAGUCAAACCUGACCAGUGGGGUCCACUGGUCAGUGGCUGGAGCUGGUUAGUGUCGCCGACAAGUGGGCCCAGUCAACAGCCACGUCAGCUUGGUCAAAGUUGGCGCAUGGGUCCCGUUGGGUUAUAAUUAAUCUAAGCAGAAAUAAAACUGGAGUUAAUUAGGGCAUAGGGCCCAUGUGUCAUUGGCUCAAGGGGUUGUUUAGUGGGGUGAUUGGCCGCUAAUUACGUGGCCACAUCGGAUGCGCCGGCUAUUAUACGACGACGACCACGGCUGGGGUGGACCGUAGUGACAGCGGCGAUGGCAAGCGCGGCGGCCGGAGCUGGGGCAAGCUCGGCAAUGACGUUGUGGUGCACGGGGGAACUAGGUGACGGUGGUGUUGGGUUUCUGGGAACAUGCUGAGCACGUAGCGGUGCUUGGACGCGAUGGAAACGACCUCUGGCCAUGGCGGCUUGAAGUCCGGCGACGGUGAUCUCACGGCUCCGGUGACUAGCAUGGUAGAGGGAGGAAACGACGGCAGGCUAGGGGGGGAGUAGGAGCUCACAGCGCGUCAGGCGAGGGUCUCAGCGAGCUCGGGGAAGGCCUGACGGUGGCGAAUCAAGCGGUAGGGACCGCCAGCACCGAGAUUGAAGAAGACAUCUAGGACGGUGACACGGUGCUUCCCCGGUUUCUUGGCUCGGCGUGGACGAAGAGGCCGACGAUGCGAAGCUCGGGGAUGCGGAGAGGGAGCGAGGGAGUGGCUGUGGCCAUGGUGGUGCUCAUCAGCGGCGGCUGCGCGGUUCGGUGAGGUGGGGAAAAGGCGAGGGACGAAGAACCAGAGGAGGUGGAGAGCUCCAGGGAGAGAGGUGAGAAGUGCAGGGUCGUGCUCAUCCCCUGGGCCUGUCGCGCUGGCUGGGGAAGCACGCAGGGAGGAGGUGGCGUUGGCGCGCGCGAGUCCGGCAUGCAGCUGCUUCAGGGCGAGGGGGAGGAAGACGAUAGAGGGGAGGAGGUGGGCUAGGCCGGACAGCUCAGAUGGGCCGCCAACUGGACUAGAGCGCCAGGUAAGUGCCCAGGUGAGUCUCUCUCUCUUUUAUUUUCUAUUUUCUAUUUUCUGUCUUUGUUUCUAGAUUUAUUAAAAAUACUAAACCUUUCUAAAAAUCCUAAAAUAAAUUGUGGGCACUGUUGAAUUUUUUUUCAGCGGCCCUCAACCAUUAUCAGAAUUAUUUGGGCAAAUAAAAUAUUUAUAGUAUUUAAAUGCCCAAAUUCAAAUACUUUAUGAUUUAAUUCAAAAAUCUAGAAUGGUCCUAGAAAGGUGUGCACACUUUUUGGCAGUGGUUCUAGACCAAUUCAAAAAUGAUGAACUUUUCCAAAGGCAUUUUGGGUUCAUUGAAAAUGACUUUUAUUUGAAUCUAGUUGGAUUCAUUUGUGCUAGGGUUUGGAUCAAUUCCCAUUUCAAGUUUAAAUGCAAUUUAAACAUGAUACAACACAUGUCUAGCUAGCCCAGAGCAUAACAGAUCUAGGGAUGUGACAAGUCUGGACCGCAUACUUGAUCGCUCGUGUCAAAUUCACGGUACCCCCAAUAAACCAGCCAACCAUACCAACAGAGAAUGCUGGGUGUUCAGACAGGCCGGCAAGUUGAAUGCCGAAAACAAGGAAAAGGGGUUGCAUAGCGAUGACGACGAGGAGCCCCAGCCGCCGAACACAGGAGGACAGAAGAAAUUUCCUCCCCAGGUGAAAACGGUUAACAUGAUAUACGUAACCCAUAUUCUCAAGUGGGAAUGGAAGCAUGCGCUAAGGGACGUCUAUGCGAUGGAGCCAGUCACCCCAAAGUUCAACCCAUGAUCUUCUUGCGCGAUCACUUUCGAUCGCAGGGACCAUCCUACCAGUAUCCGUCAUGGCGGUUCGGCCAUAUUGGUCCUCGACCCCAUCAUUGGCGGAUUCCACCUCAUACGAGUCAUUAUGGACGGUGGCAGCAACCUGAACCUGCUCUAUCAGGAUACUGUGUGCAAAAUGGGCAUCGACCCCUCAACGAUCAAACCCACAAAAACCACCUUUAAAGGUGUCAUACCAGGUGUAGAGGCCUGUUGCACGGGCUCAAUCACACUUGAAGUGGUCUUCGGAUCUCCGGACAACUUCCAAAGCGAGGAUUUAAUCUUCGAUAUUGUCCCCUUCCGCAGUGGCUAUCACGCACUGCUCGGACGAACCGCAUUUGCCAGAUUCAAUGUGGUACCACAUUAUGCAUACCUAAAGCUCAAAAUGCCAGGACCUCGCGGGGUUAUAACAGUUAAUGGAAACAUAGAGCGCUUGCUCCGUACGGAGGAGCACACUGCAGCCCUCGCAACAGAAGUAUAGAGCAGCCUUCUUAGGCAGACCGCCAAUUCGGCAAUAAAGCCCCCGGACACCGUCAAGCGAGUCCGGAGUACCCUGCAACAGGAUCGUCCGGCACAUACAGAGCUCGCCUAGCAAUUCGGCCUCCGUCCAAGUCCUAGUCAAGCGUUGAAAUUUGUGCCACGCGUACAUAAUUACGCGCUCAAAAUACCAUGGGCAUAGGCGGAGGCACGGCUACGACACGGUCCACAAUGCGGCUCAACCGCCCCAGGAUCUGUAUAUCUUCACACCUUUUCUUUUCAAGUCCCUAUUUUCGGGAAGCCCUUCCGAUAGUCCGACUAUCGGACCCAUAACAGGAUGGAAAUACCAAGGAGACAAGAAGCUUUGGCGUACAAGGGAAUCCCCAGCUGGUCUCUAAUAAUGAUCGCUAUACCUGUUUUACAUACCCGCACGCAGCUCGCUCUUGGUAAGGACGUGUCAAACAGUCCCAUUUCACGCAUCGCACUACUUGCAUACACAUGCCUCGAUGUAUUAUUCAAAUAACAAUGGAAAAUAAUGUACAGCGUCAGCUUAUCAUUGCAUUUCUUUAUCUUUUUCCUUGACUGAUUUAUUUAUUGCAACCGUACAUUCUGGUACAUCCAGUCCGCCAGGGGCUUUAGUGCACCCCAUAACACGGCAAGAAAUGUUCAAAAACUUUCGACAGUGCGGCAUCCCGAACUUAUAGCAUUAUAUGCAUCAGCUCCGAAUCAUGUCUUGGGUCAAUAGUUGGGUAUGCCCGGCUCCCAUGUUUUGCUUCCUUACGUUCUGGUACAUCGGCUAAGGUGGCACGGGGAGAACUACUGCGAUUGUGUCCCAGUUCUUCCGGACGAGCACCUUAGUAGAGAAAGCCGAAAACUGACUGUCAUGAUGCAGCAGAGCUGUUCGCUGUUUGAGAGGUCUCAAAUCCUUAAAGCUUUUUUCCGCUUCGGGCGAGGAAUCGGCCUUGUCCGAUUUAGGCGUGUAUAGCGCCCCAAAUUCGGCCUUCCGAAUACCAGGGGCUAUGCCAAAAUUUAAAAUUAUAGAAUUCUAUGGCUAAGUGAGAGUGAUAAAGUUGUAUAGUCCGAUUGCCUGGUUCGUUGCGCUAAACACCUCCUUAAAGGACCAAAUUUUUUGAUAAAGAGUGCUUAGGUUUAUCCCGAACACCCCAGUACUAGUUACAUGGGGGCAGAAGCCGACGACUGGCCAACUCUCAAAUUUUAUAAACGGCCGCACAGAAAGUAAAAUUUUAAAUCAACAAGCGUUUUAUAGCGGAAAUGAACUUGUUUUCAUAUUACAGGAUCAAAUGAGUACAUUCAUUCAAAUAUUACAUCCUUAGCACAUUCCUUCGCCACAAGGUGGGCAUCCUUCAGGACACUGUCAUAAUACUUUUCGGGGUGGCGAUGCUCCUUUCCCUCCAGCGGCCCCUCCGUCACCAGCUUCUCGGCAUCCAUCUUCGCCCAGUGCACUUUCGCGCGGGCGAAGGCCCUGCACGCACCUUCAAUGCAAACUGACCGCUUAAUGACUUCAAGCCUCGUACAGGCACUCACCAGCCGCUUUACAAGGCCGAAGUAGCUGCUGGGCAGGGGCUCAGCAGGCCAUAGCCAGACAAUGAGGUCCUUCAUGGCCAGUUCGGCCGCCUUGUGUAAUUCGACCAGUUGCUUCAGCUAGUGGCUCAAGGGCAUCGGAUGUUCGGUCCCAGUAUAUUGAGACCAGAACAACUUCUCCAUCGAGCUCCCUUCUUCGGCUCGGUAGAACUCCACGGCAUCCGAUAUGCUGCACGGCAGAUCUGCGAACGCUCCUGGAGAGCUCUGAAUUCGGGUAAAUAAAAGGAAAGUCUCCUUCACAUGCUUGCUUUGCAUAAUGAAUGCCUUACCCGCCGCUAUCUUCUUGGCUGCCUGAAUCUCCUAGACGACCUUUUGGCCUUCUGCCUUGGCAUCUUGUGCGCUCUGAAGGGCCUUCGCAAGCUCGGACUCUUGCGUCUUAGAGUCACGCUCUAAGGACUGAUACGUCUCCGUCGUAUCUAUAAUUUUUUAUUGUUCCAUGCCAAUAUUCUUCUACUUUCAUAUACUUUUGGCAACUUUUUUUUACUAUUUUUGGGACUAACAUAUUAAUCUAGUGCCCAGUGCCAGUUCCUGUUUGUUGCAUGUUUUAUGUUUCGCCGAAAACCAAUAUCAAACGGAGUCCAAACGGGAUAAAAACGGACGGAGAAUUAUUUUGGAAUAUUUGGGAUUUUCUGAAGGAAGAAUCAACGCGAAACGGUGUCCGAGGUGGCCACGAGAUAGGGUGCAUGGGCUUUGCAGCAAGAAAGCUAAUUUGAUGAGAAAAAUCUGGGCGAAAGAUUCACCCCAAUCGGAGUUACGGAUCUCAGGAUAUUAAAGAAACGGUGAAGGGGUAGAAUCUGAGAACGAAGAAACAGAGAGAUAAAUCCAAUCUCGGAGGGGCUCUCGCCCCUCCCACGCCAUGGGAGCCAAGGACCAGAGGGGAAACCCUUCUCCCAUCUAGGGAGGAGGUAAGAAGAAGGGGGGCUCUCUCCCCCUUGCUACCGGUGGCGCCGGAGUGCUGCCAGGGGCCAUCAUCAUCACCGCGAUCUACACCAACACCUUCGUCAUCUUCACCAACAUCUCCAUCACAUUCCCCCGUCUAUAUCCAGCGGUCCACUCUCCUGCAACCCGCUGUACCCUCUACUUUAACAUAGUGCUUUAUGCUUCAUAUUAUUGUAUAAUGAUGUGUUGCCAUCCUAUGAUGUCUGAGUAGAUUUUCGUUGUCCUACCGGUGAUUGAUGAAUUGCUAUGAUUGGUUUAAUUUGCUUGUGGUUACGUUGCUGUCUUGUUGUGCCCUCUGUGUCACGCAAGCGUGAGAGAUUCCCUCUGUAGGGUGUUGCAAUACGUUCAUGAUUCUUUUAUGGUGGGUUUAUUGAGUGGCAUAAGCAUAAACCCGAGUAAGGGGACUAUUGCGUAUGGGAUAAAGGGGACUUGAUACUUGAAUGCUAUGGUUGGGUAUUACCUUAAUGAAUCUUUAGUAGUUGCGGAUGCUUGCUAGAGUUCCAACCAUAAGUGCAUAUGAUCCAAGUAGAGAAAGUAUGUUAGCUUAUGCCUCUCCCACAUAAAACUUGCUAUCGGUCUAGUAACAUAGUCAAUUACUUAGGGACAAUUCCACAACUCCUACCACCACUUUUCCACACUCGCUAUAUUUACUUUAUUACUUCUUUAUCUAAACAGCCCCUAGCUUUUAUUUACGUGCUCUUUAUUAUCUUGCAAACUUAUCCAACAACACCUACAAAGUACUUCUAGUUUCAUACUUGUUCUAGGUAAAGCGAACGUCAAGCGUGCGCAGAGUUGUAUCGGUGGUCGAUAGAACUUGAGGGAAUAUUUAUUCUACCUUUAGCUCCUCGUUGGGUUCGACACUCUUACUUAUCGAAAACUGUUGCGAUCCCCUACACUUGUGGGUUAUCAAGGACUCAUAUUUUUUGACGAAAUCCUGGAGCUCUUGCUGGACCUCGUCUACUCGGGCCUCUUGCUUCUUGCGCUUGAUGUGCUCCUUGGCCGCUUUGUCUUCGGCCUCAGACAGCGCCUUCUUCAGGGCCGCCACUUCUGUCGUGGCCCCUAUUAAAGUUCGUGACGAUUCUAUGAUAUAAAACCAUUCUUUUCUUUAUCAAUAUACAGACGGGGUAUCACUUCCCUUUGUUCUCCUCGAGAUGCCUCUUCAUGAGGUCUAGCUCUUCCUUGGACCACUCUGAUAACCCGCAAGUAUACGGGAUAGUUUUAGCCUCUUUCGAUAAGUAAGAGUGUUGAACCCAACGAGGAGAAGGUAGAACAAAUACUCUCUCAAGUCCUAUCGGCCACUGGUACGACUCUACGCACGCUUAGUGUUCGCUUUACCUAGAACAAUAAUGAAACUAGAAGUACUUUGUAGGUCUGAUAGGAUAGGGUUGCAAGGUAAUAAAGAGCACGUAAUAAAGGCUAGGGGCUGUUUAGAUAAAGAAGUAAUAAAGUAAAUAUAGCGAGUGUGGAUAAGUGGUGGUAGGAGUUGUGAAAUUGUCCCUAAGCAAUUGACUACGUUACUAGACCGGUAAUCACUAUUGCAAUUCUAUUUGAGGGAGAGGCAUAAGCUAACAUUCUUUCUCUACUUGGAUCAUAUGCACUUAUGAUUGGAACUCUAGCAAGCAUCCGCAACUACUAAAGAUUCAUUAAGGUAAAACCCAGCCAUAGCAUUAAAGCAUCAAGUCCCCUUUUAUCCCAUACGUAAACAACCUACUUACUCGGGUCUGUGCUUCUGUGACUCACGCCACCCACCAUAAGCAAAUCAUGAACAUAUUGCAAACCCUACAGAGGGAAUCCCUCACGCUUGCGCGACACGGAGAGCACCAUAGGACAACACCAAUAAUAAAACAUGCAACUCAAACCAAUCAUAGAAAUUCAUCAAUCACCGAUAGGACAACGAAAAUCUACUCAAACAUCAUAGGAUGGCAACACUUCAUUGGAUAAUAAUAUGAAUCAUAAAGCACCAUGUUCAAGUAGAGGGUAUAGCGAGAUGCGGGAGAGUGGACCGCUGAAUAUAGAAGGGGGAAGGUGAUGGAGAUGUUGGUGAAGAUGACGGCGGUGUCAGUGAAGAUCGCGGUGAUGAUGAUGGCCACCGGCAGCGCUCCGGCGCCACCGAAAGCAAGGGGGAGAGAGGCCCCCUUCUUCUUCUUAUUCUUCCUUGACCUCCUCCCUAGAUGGGAGAAGGGUUUCCCCUCUGGUCCUUGGCUCCCAUGGUGUGGGAGGGGCAAGAGCCCCUCCAAGAUUGGAUCUAUAUCUCUGUUUCUGCCUUCUCAGAUUCUACCCCUUCACCGUUUCUUUAAUAUCCGGAUAUCCGUAACUCUGAUUGGGGUGAAUCUUUCGCCCAGAUUUUUCUCAUGAAAUUAGCUUUCCUGCAGCAAAAGAAGGGCAUCAACCGCCUUACGGGUGGCCCACGAGAGUGCCAGGCACGCCCCGGGGUGUGGGCGCGCCCCCCUGUCUCGUGGCCAGCUCGGACCCCGUUUUGCGUUGAUUCUUCCUUCGAAAAAUCCCAAAUAUUCCAAAAAAAUUCUAUGUCCGUUUUUAUCCUGUUUGGACUCCAUUUGAUAUUGGUUUUCUGCGAAACAUAAAACAUGCAACAAACAGGAACAAGCACUGGGCACUGGAUCAAUAUGUUAGUCCCAAAAAUAGUAUAAAAAGUUGCCAAAAGUAUAUGACAGUUGAAGAAUAUUGGCAUGGAACAAUCAAAAAUUAUAGAUACGAUGGAGACGUCUCACCCUCCAGGUCCUACUUCAGUUCGGAGACCUCCGCAGUAUGAGCGGCAGCGGCCAGCAGCGACACCUGCUUAUUCACAUAGACAUAUUAUGAUUAGACUCCUGUGGAUGUUAUUUGAUCCUCUGUUUGGCCUUCCUUUCGGAAGACCAACCAGAGCAUCAGGGGCUACUGUCUAUACUGUGAUAUUCUCUCAUAAUUGGAUUACUUACCUCAAAGCCUGUUAGGAGGCUGGCGCAGGCUUCGGUCAAUCUGCUUUUGGUAGACCGAACCUUCUCGAUCUCCGCACUCAUGAUGGUGCGGUGCUCUUCGUCAAUGGAAGCGCCGCGAAGCGCUUCCAGCAAGUUGUCCGAUGCCUCUGGAUGGAUAGAGGUCAUCAGCACAGGUAGCUCGCCCCCCUAGUGCGAGCAUCUCCAGCCGUUGGCCACCCAGGAGGCGCUAAAAAUCGCCCCCUGGGGGCGCCCGGCGCUUAACCGCGCACUGGGGGCGUGAUGCCCCCAAGUCGCGGCACCCAUGUUUUUUUUUAAAUUUUAAUUACAGCACAAACACGGUGCAAAUUCAACCAAACUUCGGUGAGUUCGUUCAUAUUUAAACAUAUUUUAUGAAAAAAAACUACUAGGCUGCUCCUGGCCGUCUCCCUCGCCGCUCCUCACCGCCCGCCGCCCUUGCAGUUCUACAUGCCGAGGAGGCUGUAGAACCGCGUGUAGUCGCCGCCGUCGUCAUCGUUGUCAUCAUCGUCGUCAUCGCCUCCGCUGCAGCCGCCAUCCCUACUGCAACCCUCCCCUAGUUGGCGCGGCGGGUUGGAUGGUUCGGGGGCCUCCUCUCGUCGUUGCUGUCGAGGAUCACGAUGCCGUGCUCGUCCUCGCGCCCACGUUUGCGGGCGGCUAUCUCCUCCAGGGCCCGGUGCUGCCGGACCAUCUCGUCGCGGAGGUAGUCGUCCCGCGCCCACCGUAGGGCCUCCUGGUCGGAGAAGCCGCGCCGGGCUAUCUCCUCGUACUCCACGGGGAGGCCGGUGUCAAAACCGGCGGAUCUCGGGUAGGGGGUCCCAAACUGUGCAUCUAAGGCUAAUGGUAAUAGGAGGCUGGGGACACAAUGUUAACCCAGGUUCGGGCCCUCUCGAUGGAGGUAAUACCCUACUUCCUGCUUGAUUGAUCUUGAUGAUAUGAGUAUUACAAGAGUUGAUCUACCACGAGAUCAGAGAGGCUAAACCCUAGAAGCUAGCCUAUCGUAUGAUUGUUCUUUUUUGUCCUACGGACCAAACCCUCCGGUUUAUAUAGACACCGGAGGGGGCUAGGGUUACACAGAGUCGGUUUACAGAGGAGGAGAUCUACAUCCGAAUCACCAAGCUUGUCUUCCACGCCAAGGAGAUUCCCAUCCGGACACGGGACAAAGUCUUCUAUCUUGUAUCUUCAUAGUCCAACAGUCUGGCCAAAGUAUAUAGUCCGGCUGUCCGGAUACCCCCUUAUCCAGGACUCCCUCAGUAGCCCCUGAACCAGGCUUCAAUGACGAUGAGUCCGGCGCGUAGAUUGUCUUCGGCAUUGUGAGGCGGGUUCCAUCUCCGAAUACUCCAAAAUUAAUUCCGAACACAAGGACCGUAUCCGGCUCUGCAAGAUAACAUUCCAUAUACCACCGUAGAGAGAAUAAUAAUAAUCCACGAAUCUAAUCUGCUACCAAUUCUUCGAAAAGUGACAUCACACCACGGUCCGGUUUUUAUUCGAAUCGUUUUCUACAACCUGCUUCAGCACACAUCACGAGGCGGUUUCUUUGGCACGUCUUGUCAAAGCAGAGAUUGUGUCCCCUUAUUGCGGGGUCUCCAUCAAUGCGGGUAUGGGUAACCCAACCAGCGCCAUUAAUCGAGGCGCCUAAAAAAAUAAGUGAUUUCGAGAGGCAAGUGGGGAGGCGCACAUUCACAUCGCCUUUAUAAAGGGGCAGAGAUCUCCCAUUUUCACCCACGCCUUCUUCCUCCUUUGCUCAUCAGUUCUCACACCCUAGAGCUCUAGCGCCCAACUUCUCACCUUCCCCGUAGGACCGCAGCAUGUCCGGAGCGAGAGGCAAGUGGAUGGCCUCCUCUGUCAUAGAAGAGAACAUUACCAAGCUUCGGGAGGCCGGAUACCUGGCAGAGAGUAUCGCGCACAGGCUUCCGACAAAGUGACAGAUUACCCCAACUCCGAAGCCUCGGGAGAGAGUAGUAUUUCUCCCUCAUUUUGUCUGUGGACUAGGAUUUCCACUCCACCCGUUCGUCUGCGGGCUCAUGUACUACUACGGGCUAGAUUUUCACAUCUGGCCACGAAUUUCGUCCUCAACAUCUCGGCGUUCAUCGUCGUGUGCGAGGCCUUCCUCGGCAUCAAGCCUCACUUUGGCUUGUGGUUGAAGAUCUUCUGCGUAAAGCCGAAGAUCGUGAGCGGCCAACAGGCAGAGUGCGGAGGCGCCAUGGUGGGCAGAAUGCCCAAUGUUACAUGGCGUGAUGGCUCCUUCAUGGAGACCAUAAAGGGGUGGCAAUCAGGGUGGUUCUAUAUCACCGAGCCGCGUGACGCCAACUGGGUGGCGGCCCCCAAAUUCAGAUCCGGAAUCCCCAUGCGGCUCACUUCCUAGGAGAAGAAGGGCCUGGCCUAGGGCGAACCCACGGAGCUAGCCAGACUUGAGACCUACAUCAGAAGUAUGAGGGACAAGAAGAUCAAGCUUGUCAACGUGGUCCAGGUCAUGCUCAUUUGCCGGAUUCUCCCGUGUCAAAUACGGGCAUUUGAUGUGUGGGAGUUCGACCCGGCCGAACACCAGAUGCUGCUAGAGCUCUUUGACACAACACACAAAGAAAUCUGGAAGGUUUUGUUCAAGACCGGUGAAGUCCCUCCUCCCCUUUCUGAGAACCAAGGGCUCAGCACAACGCGCCUGGCCAGUCCUGUAAGUCCCUUGAUUAUUUACUAGAUGUUCCCUUAGUACAUUCUGGGGAGGAUUUUUAAGUCACCUUGCUGAUCGAACAGGAUUGGGUGGAGACGGCGGAGUGGAUCGACUAUCCGGCUCCAUUGCCUAAGGACCCAGUAAGCGCACUCCUGGCGGAGAUGCUGGUUCCGGCGCCUUACAAGGUGCCGGAGAAAAAGGCCGAAAAGAAGGCCACGGGGACCCGAAGGGGUCUUUGGCACGAGGCCGCACACGACGCCUUGCCAGAAGAGGACGAGGCGCACUCCUCCCACGAAGGGGAGGAGAGGAAGAAGAAGAAGGCCGCCUCAACUGAGGGGGCCGAAGGGUCGAAGAAGGUGGCCGCGGGGGACCAGAAAAGGUCACCGGUGCAGGGUCGUGAUAGAGUCGUCAUCCGAAGACGACGAGGAAGAUUCUCCCCCCGGAGACAGGGGAGAACAUGAAGAGAUGCCUCCUCCCCAUGAUAGGGAGGAGAAGAAAAGGAAGGCCGCCCCAUCGGGGGAGGCCGGGACGCUAAAGAAGGGAAAGGCAUCCCUUCCAGAUCAAUCCACUACCUCCGCCUUUAGUGAUGAGGAGUGGCUGCCCAGGGGCAAACCCUGGGCGAGGUCAUAAGUAUGCGCAUUCCAUAAUAUUUUCCAUAUGACUUUUGACCUCAUGGUUUGUAAUGACGCCGAACACGUAUAUGCAGUCUGGCCGGGUCCGACCUCUAGGAGUCCUCUUCGGAGGAGUCUCUGAAUGAGUCGGAGAUGAAUUUGCUCCCGACGGCGACCUCUCCACGACCCGUGGAUGACACCGAGGUGUUGUCCCGGAGGAUGCCAGAGCAGGAGGCGAUGGUUCCGGAGAUGCCCCAAGGCAAAAUCUCGGGCGCCGGACACGUGGGGGAUGAGAACCCCAUGGAUUAUGCUGACGGGAGCCAUAGCAAGUCUGUCUCUCGGCCGAUUAUUGCGCCGGAGCCUACAAAGGUUCCAGAUUCUGGUAAGCAGUCCCUCGCGAAGGAAGGCAAGCCAGCCGUACCGAUGACCUCCGCCUAGCCGGAGGCAUCGGAUAAUUUGUUGGAAGUGCUUCGAGGCGCUUCCAUCGAGGAUGAACACCGUACACUUAUGGGUACGGUGAUUCAGGAGGUUCGGUCCACCAAGAGCGGAUUGACCGAAGCCUGCACCAGCCUGCUAACAGGCUUUGAGGUAAAGAGAGUGUGAGGAAAUAUCACCCGAUAGACAGUAGCCCCUGAUACUCUGGUUGGUGUUCAGAAAUAAAAGCCAAACGGAGGGCCAACUAAAAAUUCGCAGGAAGCUAAUAGUUUUUGUCUGUAUGAAUCAAACAGGCACUGCUGCUUACCGCCGCUGCGCGCACGGCUGAGGUUAGACUCAAGCGCAGACUGGGGCAGGCCGAAGAAGAGCUCGGCCUCGUGAAGACGCAGCUCGAGGCGAACAAAGGUAAGAGAAACCCCGUCCGUAUGUCGUAUGGAGGAUAAAAAGUUGGUGAUGCUAAUAAAAAGCAUCAUGGCUUUUGAUAGGGACCGCGACCGAAGUGGCGGCCCUGAAGGAAGUAUUGUCCGCGGCCGAAGCCAAGGCGGAUAUGGAGCGCACCGAGCGAGAGAAGAAAGAUGCUUGGGUUGGAGAGGUACAGCAAGAGCUCCAGGAGCUCGGCAAGAAGUUCGGCUCCCUGGAGCAUGACUACAAGACGCAAGCGUCUGAGCUUGCAAAGGCCCUCCAAAGCGCGGCCGACGCCAAGGCCGAAGCCCAAAAGGCCCUCCAGGAAAUCCAGGCGGCCAAGAAGAUAGCGGAGGGUAAGGAAUUCUUUAUGCAAAGGAAGCAUGUGGAGGAGUUAUUUCUUUUACUUACACGAAUCCGGAGCUCUCCAGGGGCAUUCGCAGAUCUGCCACGUAGCAUUUCGGAUGCCGCGGAGUUCUAUCGCCCUGAAGAGGGGAGCUCAGCUCUACGGAGAAGCUGUUCUGGUCCCAAUAUACUGGGGCCGAACACCCGAUGACUCUGAGUGACCAACUGAAGCAGCUGGUCGAACUCCACAAUGCGGCCGAACAGGCCAUGAGGGACCUCAAAGUCCGGAUGUGGCCUGGCGAGCCCCUGUCCAGCAGCUACUUUGGCCUGGUGAAGCGGAUGGUGCAUGCCUGUCCACGGCUAGAAGUUAUCAAGCAGUCUGUAUGUAUUGAGGGUGCCCGACGGGCCUUUGCCCGCGCGAAGGUGCAUUGGGGCAAGCUGGAUGCUGAGAAGCUCGUGAAGGAUGGACCCCGGAGGGCAAGGAGCAUCGCUGCCCCGAGAAAUAUUAUGAUGGCGUUAUGAAAGGCGCUCCUCUUGUGGCGAAUGAAUGUCCUAAGAACAUAAUUUUAAGUGAAUGUACUCAUGUCGUUCAUGUGAUAUGAGAAUGGGUUUAUUUGUGCUAUAUAACACUUUGUUUUUGAUUUAAAAUAUUACCUUCUCUAUGGCCGUUUAUCAAAAUCUGAAAGUAGGCCAGUCGUCGGCUUCCGCACCCUUGUUACUAGUACUGGGGUGUUCGUGGAAACCCAAACACUCUUUAUCCAAAAUUUUGGUCCUUUAAGGAGGUGUUUAGCGCAGCGAAUGAGGCAAUUGGACUAUUCGGCUUUAUAACUCUCACUUGGCCAUAGAAGUCUAUAAUUUUCAAUUUCGGCGAAGCCCCUAGUUUUCGGAAGGCCGAACUGGGGCAUUAUGCACGCCUAAAUCGGGCAAUGCCGAUUCCUCGCCUCAAGCGGAAAAAAUCUUUAGGGAAUUUAGUACCUCGCGAACAGCGACCAGCUCUCGCCGCAUCAUGACGGUCAAUUUUUGGCUUUCUCUACUGAGGUGCUCGUCCGGAAGAACUGGGACACAAUUGCAGUAGUUCUCCUUGCACUACCUUAGCCGAUAGAACGGAACGUACGGUACCAACACAAGGGAGCUGGGCUAACCCAACUAUUGGCCCAAGACAUGAUUCAGAGCUGAUGCAUAUAAUGCUAUAAGUUCGGGGUGCCGCACUGUUGAAAGUGUUCGGACUUUCCUUGCCAUUUUAUGGGGCUCGAUAAGAAGCCCCUGGCAAACUGACCUUACCAAAACGUACGGAUGCAAUAUUAAAUAAAUAUUCAACAGGAAAUAUGAGGAUAGUAAUAAGAAGCUAACGCUAUGUACUACUUCCAAUUUAUUUGGACAAUACAGCAAAACGUAGGUGUACAAUUGAUGCAUUAAGCAGAAAAAUAGGAUAAUUUGACAUAUCCUAUCCAAGGGCAGGCUACAUGCGGGUAUGUAAGAACUAGUAUAACGAUCAUUGAAGAAGACCACCUGAGUAUUCCCUUGUGUGCAAAAGCCUCUUGCCUCCUUGGUGCCCCCUCCAUAAUGAGUCCGGUUAUCCGAUUUCUUCUGAAGGGGCUGCCCGAAAGUGGGGUCCUGAAAAAGGGAAAAAAAGUAUGCGGGCCUCCUAGCGGCUGAACCGCACUCUGGCCACAUUGUCAUUUCACCUCCACCUAUGCCCAUGGUAUUUUGAGCGCGUAAUUGUGCACGCGUGGUACGAAUGCCGCUUGAAUUGGGCUGGGUGGAGGCCGGAUUGCUAAUCGAGCUCAUGGCGUGCCUGACUAUCCUGUUGCGGGGUACUCUAGACUCGCUUGACGGUGUUCGGGGAUGUCGUUGCUGGAUUGGCUGUUUGUCAGAGGAGGCUGCUUUGUACUUCUGCCGCGAGGGCCGCAGUAUGUUCUUCCGUACGGAUGGAGUGGUCUGUAUUUCCAUUGACUGUUAUGACCCCGCGAGGUCCUGGCAUCUUGAGCUUGAGGUAUGCAUAGUAUGGUACUGUGUUGAAACGAGCGAACGCGGUUCGUCCAAGUAGUGUGUGAUAGCCACUAUGGAAAGGGACGAUAUCGAAGAUUAACUCCUCGCUUCACAAGUUAUCUGGAGAUCCGAAGACCACUUCCAGUGUUAUCGAGCUUGUGUAGCGGGCCUCUACCCCUAGAAUUACACCUUUGAAGGUGGUUUUGGUGGGUUUGAUCCGUGACGGAUCGAUGCCCAUUUUGCACAUUGUAUCCUGAUAAAGCAGGUUCAGGCUGCUGCCACCGUCCAUGAGGACUCGCGUGAGGUGGAAUCCGUCGAUGAUUGGGUCGAGGAACAAUGCGGCUGAGCCGCCAUGACGGAUGCUGGUGGGAUGGUCCCUACGAUCAAAGGUGAUCGGGCAGGAUGACCAUGGGUUGAAUUUCGGGGCGACAGGCUCCAUCGCAUAGACGUCCCUAAGUGCACACUUUCGCUCCCGUUUGGGGAUGUGAGUGGCAUAGAUCAUGUUCACUAUUUUUACCUNNNNNNNNNNNNNNNNNNNNNNNNNNNNNNNNNNNNNNNNNNNNNNNNNNNNNNNNNNNNNNNNNNNNNNNNNNNNNNNNNNNNNNNNNNNNNNNNNNNNNNNNNNNNNNNNNNNNNNNNNNNNNNNNNNNNNNNNNNNNNNNNNNNNNNNNNNNNNNNNNNNNNNNNNNNNNNNNNNNNNNNNNNNNNNNNNNNNNNNNNNNNNNNNNNNGGGGGUUCUUCUGCCCUCCAGUGUUCGGACGCUGGGGCUCCUCGUCAUCAUCGCUAUGCAGCCCCUUGUCCUUGUUCUCGGUGUUUAUCUUGACGGCCUGUUUGAACACCCAGCAAUCACUAUUAGUGUGAUUGGAUGGUUUAUCGAGGGUGCCAUGAAUCUGGCACGAGCGGUCGAGUAUGCGGUCUAAACUGGACGAUCCCGGAUUGUUUCUUUUCAACGGCUUCUUCCGCUGGCCGGAUUUGGAGUUGCUGAAUCCGGCAUUGACUGCCGUAUCCUCCGCAUUGUCGCCAUUAUUUCGAUGCUUGUGUCUGUUGCGCCAUGGCUUUCCGUUACUGUCACGGAUGUCUGAAGUACCAGGGUUUCCAGGCGCGGUGUUGCUGCGAGCCAGCCAACUGUCCUCACCCAUGCAAAAGCGGGUCAUUAGUGUCAUGAGGGCCGCCAUGGUCUUCGGUUUUUCUUGGCCGAGGUGUCGGGCAAGCCACUCAUCACGGAUAUUAUGCUUAAAGGUUGUCAGGGCCUCAGCGUCCGGACAGUGGACAAUUUGGUUCUUUUUAGUGAGAAACCGAGUCCAGAAUUUCCUGGCUAACUCUCCGGGCUGUUGGGGUAAUGUGACCUAAGUCAUCAGCAUCCGGUGGUCGCACAUAGGUGCCCUGGAACUUAUCGAGGAAUGCAUCCUCAAGAUUUUCCUAGCUGCCAAUGGAGUUUGCUGGCAGGCUAUUUAGCCAGUGUCUUGCUGGCCCUUUAAGCUUGAGUGGGAGAUACUUGAUAGCAUGUAGGUCAUCACCACGGGCCAUGUGAAUGUGGAGAAGAAAAUCCUCGAUCCACACCGCGGGGUCUGUUGUGCCAUCGUAUGACUCGAUGUUGAUGGGUUUAAACCCUUCUGGGAAUUCAUGUUCCAUUACUUCAGCAGUGAAGCAGAGGGGAUGUGCGGCGCCUCUGUGUCGGGCUAUGUCACGGCGUAUUCCGAUUGGGUCUAGUCGGUAAUGUCCGGCCUGGCUGGAUGUAUCGUUAUUGUAUCCGGCAUGACGAUCGGUGGCAUGAGCUAUGGCGCGCCCUCGUGAUCCGUAGAUCGAUCUUGAUUGUCCUGCGUUGUUUUCCAAUAUGUCUCGCAGGUCCUGCUUAUUGCCCCGGGCCGUGGUGAACUGGCAUGGGGGCGCGGGCUGGUGUCUGGCCUGAUAGCCGGUUUUAUCCCGGCCACGAGGUGGCCAUUCAACCUCAUCUUGUGCUGGAAGUUCGGGCUCUUCGGCCUCUUCUUCUAGCGGUUUAUGCUUUGGGUAUCCCUUGCUCGGGGGCUCGAGUUCGUAUUCCUCGGCCGCCAGGACUUCGGUCCAUCUGUCUGUGAGCAGGUCUUGGUGAGUUUGGAGCUGCUGCUUCUUCUUCUUCAGGCUUCUUGCAGUGGCUAUAAGCUUACGCUUGAAGCUCUCCUGCUCUAUGGGAUCCUCUGGUACGCCGAAUUUGCCAUCACCGAGGCUCACCUCGUCUUCAGAGGGAGGCAUAUAGUUAUCGCCCUCCAAGUAUCCGUCCGUCGCCUGUUCAUCUGGGCUAACCAGCCCGUGUUCCUGUUUAGCUUGCUCGAAGGUGGGUUGAUCAGGAUCGUAUUCCUCUUCGGCACCAUCUGGAUUCUCUUCUCCAGUGCCGGUAUUGUUGUGGCGAGGCUUGGAGCGGCGCCGAUGACGCCCGUGUUUUGCUUUCUUCCCUGAGGGGUUGUCUUCCGUUGCCUCAUCGCCAUUGGUUUCUUUGGGAGUAUCCACCAUGUAUAUAUCAUAAGAAGAGGUGGCAGUCCAGCGCCCUGUGGGCGGUGGUUCCUGUUCUUCUUCUGCAUUGUCGUCUAUACCGUCAAUGUCUUCGGAGUCGAAGUUAAGCACAUCAGUCAAGUCAUAGACCGUGGCUAUUAAGUGGGUGGUGGGUGGAAAACGAGUUUCUUUGUCACCAGCUCCCCACUCAAGCCGGACAUAGUUCGGCCAAGAGUCUCCUGACAGAGAGAGAGACCUUAAAGAAUCUAGCACGUCUCCGAAGGGUGAGUGCUGGAAGAUAUCCGCGGCGGUGAACUCCAUGACUAGAGCCCAGUUAGAUUCAAUGGGCAUGGAUGCCCGCGGUCCGGAACACACAGCUGGAGAUGAGUCCGGGGGUCCGGUGACACAGAUCCCUUUAGAAGAGGAGUCUGUGUUCGGCUCCAACGCCGAGGUGUGUCCGGCCUCCGGGGCGGGGUCCAUCCACCCGUCCUUGGAAGGCGCGACCUGCUCCGGAACAAUGUCCGGAGCGGUAGCAGGUGCGAUGUUCCGAAUACUGUCCGACUGCUGAUCUAGGUCAGGCGCGUCGUGAUCGUUCGGCGCUCCUGACACGGGCCCGAGUCCGUCGAAGAUCAAGUCUCCGUGGAUGUCGGCGGUGUAGUUUAGGUUUCCAAACCUGACCUAAUGGCCAGGGGCAUAGCUAUCGAUCUGCUCCAAAUGGCCAAGCGAGUUGGCCCACAGUGCGAAACCGCUGAACACGAAGAUCUGUCUGGGGAGAAAAGUCUCACCCAGGACAGCGUGGUUGAAGGUUGGAGAAACCAUCUAGCCUUGCAGCGAUGACAUAGAGGAACUCUCAAUGAAAGCACCAAUGUCGGUGUCAAAACCGGCGGAUCUCGGGUAGGGGGUCCUGAACUAUGUGUCUAAGGCUAAUGGUAACAGGAGGCUGGGGACACGAUGUUUACCCAGGUUCGGUCCCUCUCGAUGGAGGUAAUACCCUAAUUCCUGCUUGAUUGAUCUUGAUGAUAUGAGUAUUACAAGAGUUGAUCUACCACGAGAUCAGAGAGGCUAAACCCUGGAAGCUAGCCUAUGGUAUGAUUGUUCUUUUUUGUCCUACGGACCAAACCCUCCGGUUUAUAUAGACACCGGAGGGGGCUAGGGUUACACAGAGUCAGUUUACAGAGGAGGAGAUCUACAUCCGAAUCGCCAAGCUUGCCUUCCACGCCAAGGAGAGUCCUAUCCGGAAACGGGACAAAGUCUUCUAUCUUGUAUCUUCAUAGUCCAACAAUCCGGCCAAAGUAUAUAGUCCGGCUGCCCGUAUACCCCCUUAUCCAGGACUCCCUCAGCCGGGCUCCGGCUUGGGCGCGACGAGGACGAAGCGGCCAGAGGGGGGGUGGAGUCGCUGAUGUGGACGUCUGAGCUACGGGUGCGCCCGCUAACAGGCGUGUCCUGGGGUUCCGGCUUGACGGGGCGGAGGCAGGAAGAGCCGGACAAGCGGCCGGACGAGGAGGAGGACGCCCCGGGCUGCUCCAUGCGCCUCGGCGCCCACAAGCUCCCACAUCGGCGAGAGAAGGAUGGGGGAGUGGGGUACUCGAGCCUCGUAUUGUUGCCCGCCUCGAUGUACUCGAGGACGGCCUCCAACAUGCGGCCGGGGAUGCCCCACCAUCGGUGCCGCCCCUCGGACUUGAGCCUUCCGGAGGGCACGACGCCGUUCGUGGCCUCGAGCUGUUCGGUGUGGCAGCGGCGGAAGAAUGGCUCCGAGAGUAGGCUGUCGGGGACGUACCGCGGCCCUUCCCUCACCGCCCGCUGCAGGGAGGCAUGGAUACGCGCGAUCUACGCACGCUGCGCCGCCCCAGUGGGCGGUGGUGGCACCGGGACGCCGCCGGCACUGAUUCUCCACGCCCCGGGCACCCGCAUGUCCAGCGGGACCGGGUACUUGGCCUCGAAGAGGAGCCGAGCUUCGUCCUGGUGAAGAUGGCGGUGGCCAAAGCCGUUCGCCACCUCCCCAUCACCUGGGAAGCGCUCGGCCAUGCUUUGAAUAGAGACGGUGAGAGGAGAGUGAGGAAGGGAAAGAAAUGGCACGUCGGCGGUGGAGGCUCUGUGCGUGUCUCCGGCGCGCUGGGGGUCGGCUUAUAUAGGCGGAGGCGCCGCGUACGCGUGGCCGCCGCAUGUAUGCGUGGUGGGCAAGGGGACGUGCAUCGUCCGGUCUUCACUGCACCGCCCGUGAGGCAUCAAUGGAGGCUGACUAGCUCGGCAGCGCGCAGCAGCUUUGGGAUUGAUUCGCCGCGGGAAACGGGGCGAUGAGGAUGAUGAAGCGGCGAGACGAGAGACGAGUCACUGGCAAGGAGGGCCCGUGGCUCUUUCAUGCCAAAAACGAUUCGCCCGGCGCCCCCGAGCGCCCCCAGCGCGUCGGGUUUGGGUUGGGUCCGUCGGUGCCAAUUUCGGUCCGAGCCGGCAAAAACUGGGCCCUUGGGGGCGCGACUAGGCUGAUUUUUUGGCGCCGGUGGACGAAAAGUUGCCUGGGGGCCUAGUUGGGGGCACAGAUGGAGGUGCUCUAAGGGGCUGCCUGCCUGAAUGCAGAACCACUGGAGGUUCCGGCGCAGUAUCCGGCUAGGGGCCAAACUUGUUGCGGCCCCCAUCAUUAGAAUCCAUGGGGGUCUUCCCCCCCAUGUGCCUGGCGUCUGGGAUUUCGUCUUGGGGCGUCUCCAGAACGGUCUCCCCUUGGUCCGAUAUCCUCUGAGACAACACCUCACUGUCGUCCGCGGGCCGGGAGGACGUGGCCGUCGGGGGUGAAUCGAUGUUCACCGCCGACUGGCCCAAAGACCCAUCCGAGGAGGAUACGUCGAUGUGGGCUUUGGAUAGACUGCACGAUCAUAUUUGACAUGAUAAGAAGCAAUAAAGCAGAACAUACCACAAGUAUUAUAGUGUCCAGAUACUUACGACUUCACCAGCGGCUUGUCCCAGGGCAACCAAUCCUCGUCGCUGUAGGCGGCUGCUGUGGAGUGGCCCGAAGGGUGGGUCUUUCCCUUCUUGGACCCUUCGGCCUCCCCAGGCAGGGUGGCCUUCCUUUUCUCCCCCCUGGUUGGGGGGGGGAGGACUUUCCUCUUCCUCCUCCUCGUUUUCGUUGGAGGAGCUUGCCUCGAUGUCUUCGGACGAUAAGUCCGAUACAACCUUGCGCCGGAGACCUUUCCUGGUCCUCUUGGCCUUCUUCUCCAGCACCUCAUAGGGCGCCGGAAACAGCAUCUCAAUUAGAAGAACCGAUGCUGGCUCUUCAUGUAGUGGAGCUGGACAGUCGAUCCGCUCCGCUAUCGCUACCCAGUCCUGUUAAAUUGGCGUGGAGGCUUAGAUCCCUCCCACGAAUAUACUGGGGAAAGGAACAUCUUGUGAAAUAUAAAGAGCUUACCGAAUUGGCGGCGCGCUUUGCGCUGAGUCCGCGAUCCUCGGUAAUGGGAGGAGGAACCUCGGCGGCCUUGAACAGCACCUUCCAGACGUUUUUGUACGUCGUGUCGAAGAGCUCUCGCAGCAUCUGGUGUUCGGCCGGGUCUGGAGUCCGGUCAGCUCUACCGAUGAACACCAGGCUAAGCCCUUCUCUUUCCAGGAGGUGAGCCACAUGGGGCUGCCAGAUCGAAAUUCGGGGGCCGCGGCCCAGUUAGCAUCGCGCGGUGCCGCCGCCCAGUUGGGGUCGCGGUCGGUGAUAUAGAACCACCCUGAUUGCCACCCCUUAAUGGUCUCCACAUAGGAGCCUUCGAGCCAGGUUACGUUGGGCAUCUUACCCACCAUGGUGCCUCCACACUCCGCUUGCUGGCCGACCACCACAUUCGGCUUCAGAUUGAAUGUCUUCAGCCACAGGCCGAAGUGGGGCUUGAUGCGGAGGAAGGCCUCGCACAUGACGAUAAACGCCGAGAUGUUGAGGAUGAAAUUGGGGGCCAUAUCAUGGAAGUCCCGCCCAUAGUAGAACAUGAGCCCGCAGACGAAGUGAGCAAGGAAUACAACCCUCUCGUGGGGCUCUGGAGUAGGGACGAUUUGCCCUGCGUCUGGGAGCCGGUGCACGAUGUUUACGGCCAGGUAUCCGGCUUCUCGGAGCUUCGUAAUGUCCUCCUCCGUGACGGAGGAGACCAUCCACUUGCCUCCCGCUCCGGACAUGUUUGGAAUGGCUUUACGGAGAAGGUGAGAACUUGGGCGCUGGAGCUCGAGCGUGCGAGAAUGGAUGGGCAGGGGAAGAAGAAGGCGUGGGUGAAAAAUAGGAAUCUUUAUCCCUUUAUAAAGGCGGUAGAAACUGUGCGCCUCCCCACUUGCCCUGUAAAAUCGCUUAUUCCCCAAGCGCCGCGAUUGAUGGCGUGGUUGGGUUACCCACACCCGUAUUGAUGAGAAUCCCGUGAUAAUGGGACACGAUCUCUGCUUCGAUAAGACGUGCCAAGGAAACCGCCUCGCAAUAUGUGCAACAGCUGGUUGAGAAAAACGGUUCGAAUAAUGAUCGGGCCGUGGCAUGAUGUCACGCUAUGGAAAGUUGUCGGCAGAUUAGAUUUGUGGAAUAUUGUACUCUCUACGGUGGUAUGUGUAAUUUGUUUUGCAGAGCCGAACACGAUCCUUGUGUUCAAAAUCUUCUAUGGAUUAUUCGGAGAAGAAACCCACCUUGCAAUGCCGAAGACAAUCUGCGCGCCGGACUCAUCGUCAUUGAAGCCUGGUUCAGGGCUACUGAGGGAGUCCUAGAUUAGGGGGUCCUCGGACAACCGGACUAUAUACUUUGGUCGGACUGUUGGGCUAUGAAGAUACAAGAUUGAAGACCUCGUCUCGUGUCCGUGUGGGACUCUCCUUUGCGUGGAAGGCAAGCUUGGCAAUUCGGAUAUGUAGAUCUCCUUCUCUGUAACUGACUCAGUGUAACCCUAGCCCCCUCUGGUGUCUAUAGAAACCGGAUGGUUUAGUCCAUAGGACAACAACAAUCAUAAUCAUAGGCUAGCUUCUAGGGUUUAACCUGGGUAAACAUUGUGUCCCCCGCCUCUUGCUACCAUUAGCCUUAGACGCACAGUUUGUGACCCCCUACCCGAGAUCCGACGGUUUUGACACCGACACCCUCCCUUUGUCAUGCACUCUCCCCAGCCACUCCAACCAACUCCCCCUCGGGGAUAGGUCUUGGGUGGCCCCGUGUCUACCAAAGACACCAACGGCCACAGUCAUGGCAAAACGGUCCCAAACGGGGACAAGGUACCAUAAAAACAAAACGAUCACACAAGGUUAUGUCUGCCUACCGUCCCAUAAGGUAGAUGUGGUCGCACUGAAUUAAAAACCCUAUUCAGUGGCACCAUGAUGUGAUCAACAUCAUAUUCACGUUGAACUUAAUCAAGUUUAGCUUUGAUAAAAACUUUUUAUCAUUAACAUGAUAUAAUCAAAAUAAUCCUGCAACUACUCGUCAUGCAAAACAAACAACUCAUAUUCAUCGAUCAAACUUAACAACACAUGCAUCUUGCAAUACUAAGAAUCAAACUUCUCUGGUUAUAACUCAUUUUCAUAACCAAGCAAUAUUUUAUUAGUUCAUUAUUUAAAUAAGACCAUUACUAGCAAAAUAACUAUCAUUGAUUUCCAUAGAAAUUUUCAUAGUGCAAAAUAUUACUCUACCUAGCCAAACAAGUUCAUGCAUUCAACCAGAAGCUAAAACAAGCAUAUCAAGCAUGGUAAAGUAACUAGAAAUUAACCAAAGUUAUUUAUCAAAUUUUAAAUUCAGAUAAUAACUCAUAUUCAGGUAGAAAAUCAUAGAUAUUGAAAUAACACGAUCCAAAUGCUGGUGUGGCUUGCCUUAGUAUAGAGGUGGAUCACUCCCCUCUUCGUUUGCUUCAAGACAAGCUUCUCCUUCUGAUAAAUAAUUUAAACCACAAAAAUAAUUAUCAAAACACAUUCUGAAAAUCACCAGAAAUUCUAGACGGCAAGGAAAAAUACACCUUCUGGCGUGCUACUAGAGUUUUCUGUAACAAAGACAAUACAAAAAGAAUCAAAUCAUUAGGACCUGUGGUUUAGAAAUGGUGGCUGGUCAAAGUUUGGUCAAAUUUCUGAAUAAAUUUGAAAUAAACAUAAAAUCCUAGGGGAGGGGGUGACGUCGAAGGCGUAUAACAAAAAUACGCCUCCACUCAUACCGCUUCGGGCGCGAGUGGUGAGACCGACUGGUGGGUCCCGUGCGUCAGGGGCGAGAGAGAGUGAGAUCGGAGGGAGGCGGGGCUUCCCCGGAGCUCACAGCGGUGACGAGGGGGUUCGGGGCAAAACGGGAGAGAUAGAAUUGAAGCGGGGCUCGAGGCGCACCUUAUCGUACCCGUGGCUUGGCGAGAGGUGGCCGGAGCUCAUCGCAGUUGAGAAUGCAAGCUUUGGUGGCGGAGGGGAUUCGCCGGAGAGUAAGGAGACGAUGGCCAGAGGUCCAGGCAGCACCAGGAGACCCCCAAUGCCCCACCCAAGCAGCUGCUUGAGCUAAAGAGGCACCGGAGCGCGGUGGCUGGACUACGGGGAUCGCCGGAGUCCUCGGGUCGGGGUGACGGCCAGAGGCCUGCCCGAUCGGGCUUUUGCUCGUCUACAUGUUUGUGGAGGUGGUGUGGAGUGGUGCGUGGCCAGCAAGUGAGGAGGGGGCGCUAUAUAUAGCAGGAGCGGAGGGGGGGACGUGUCGCCAUCGGAGCUCUCUGGACACACGGCGAACAACGAUGAGAAGCUCUAACGAGAGGGGGCAAGCGCUCAGCGUCAAUGCAGAAGCUUGCCCACGCACGCGGAUGAGCAUAGGAGGCAGUUGGAGAAGCGGACAAGUGCACGCGCACACUGUGGCCUUUUGGCCGCGACAUGCCCGUGCUUGCUGCGGCGGCUCCGGUGUCGGCGAGCACCAGCGAGCGGUCAAGGGUGAUGUGGCGAGGCUGGUGGCACUGUGUGGUAGUCAGAGGUGAGCACUGGAUCGAGCACGCGCGAAAUAGAGCGCAAGGCGCCAGCCAAAGCGCGCUGAGACGCAUGCUAGGAAUCAUGUCCACGCAUGGUCACCAGGCUGGCAUGGUCAAAACGACACCCAGGAGAGGCCAAACCUUGUCUACAUGCUCGACUGUGCAGUGUUUAGUCUAGGGGAGUUGAUGGCUCAUGCCCAGGCCAACCAGAUUAGACUUCACUAAGCUGACAAGUUUCUGUACAAAAACUUGGCCGCCAAGUUUGGCCACCUUCUAGAAGGCCAUUAGCACUAAUCUCCUGGGGUUUAGGGUUUCUUAGGAGGGUGUUGAAGCUCAAGAAAGAUCAAGGUUAAAAGCUCACAGAAUAAUGUACUUGCUGUAGAAAGUGGAUAUCUGGUCCAGAAGUGAAAAUAUUUUCUACAGCCAAAAUAUUGGAAAAAGUGAUGCAAUAUUUUCACAUGGGAAGUUGUGCCAUGGUUCUAAGAAUAUUUGGAUUUAUCUCAGAUUUUUCUGAGCAAGAAAAAUAGAGGUUGCUUUGGACCACAAGAUUCUGAAGUGAGUUUCAGAGGGAGAAAUGAAUAUUUUUCUUUUAUGAAAAAUACUCAUUUGAUUAUUUUGAGGGUUUGACCAGAGGAAUAGAGAAGAUAAGUCACUUGGGUGAAAGCCAAGGAUAUGCCCAAGUGACAAGCCCAUUUGAAAAGAUUCAAACUCCAAAUCAAAUCAGGGCAAAAACCACGAUAAAACCAAAUCCGAAAAGAGAGAAGGCAAGUCCGGAAAAAGAGAGAAGGCAAAAUCCAGGCUGUCACAAACCUCCCCCACUUAAGAUGAAUCUCGUCCUCGAGAUUCGGUUUCUUCGGAAAACCAUUCUGGGUAUGCAGUCCUUCAAAAAUCCUCUCUUUCCCAGGUCGCUUCCUCUUCGGUGAGGUGCUCCCACUGAACCUUGUAAAACCUGAUUUCCUUGUUGCGAGUGACCCAUUCUGUCUGAUCCAAGAUUCUGAUUGGGUUUUCCUCAUAAGUUAAAUCCUUAGCCAAUUCUAUCUCUGCCAUAUUAGUCCUUUUCUCCGGUGGCGAGAUACAUCUUCUUAGUUGUGAUACGUGGAACACGUUGUGUACUUCUGAUAGUUCCGGUGGCAAUUCCAACUGAUAUGCAACUGUUCUGACUAUGGCCAUGAUGGGGAAUGGACCGAAUAUCUGGGUGCCAAUUUUCCAAGGGUCUGAAACCUCUUGACUCCUUGUCGAGAUUUGGCCAAUUGCACUCUGUCUUCCCACUUUUGUCGAGAUUUGGCCAAUUGCACUCUGUCACGGAUUUCCUUGACUUGCUUCUCUGCUUCGAGCAUUAAAUCACUUCCGAAGAUACGGCUAUCUCCGGUUUGAGACUAGUUCAAUGAAGUGCGGCACUUCCGGCCAUACAGGGCUUCAUAGGGUGACAUCUUUAAGAUGGCCUGGAAACUGUUGCUGUAGGAGAACUCGGCGUAAGGCAGACAGUCUUCCCACUUGGUUCCUGGGGCCAAUGUACAAGCCCUGAGCAUAUAUUCAAGUAUUUGAUUUACUCGUUCAGGUUGUCCAUCUGUCUGAGGAUGAUAGGUGGUGCUGUAUUUCAACGCGGUCCCCAGGGCUUGAUGUAGUCGGGACCAAAAUGCGAAUGUGAAGAGAGAUCCCCUGUUGGAGGUGAUAGUCUUAGGUACUCCGUGCAGACUGACGAUUCUUGACACAUACAGCUAUGUGAGUUGAUUCGUGCGGUAUGUGGUUCGGAUAGGAAUAAAUUGUGCCACCUUUGUUAAGUGUCCACUGUGACCCAUAUUGCGUCAUUCCCUUGAUGAGACCUGGGUAGUCCGGUGAUGAAGUCCAUGCAGAUAUCAUCCCAUUUCCAUUGGGAUACUGGCAGAGGUUGGAGGAGUCCUGUGGGUUUUUGGUGUUCCACCUUUACCUUAUUGCAUACGUCGCAACAGGCCACAAAGUAUGCGAUGUCUUUCUUCAUUCCAUUCCACCAAAAUACCUGACGAAGGUUGAGGGAGUCCCGGAUUAGGGGGUGUCCGGAUAGCCGGACUACCAUCAUCGGCCGAACUAUCAUCGGCCGUACUAUCAUCAUCAUCGACCGGACUCCAAGACUAUGAAGAUACAAGAUUGAGGACUUCGUCCCGUGUCCGGAUGGGACUUUCCUUGGCGUGGAAGGCAAGCUUGGCGAUACGGAUACGUAGAUCUCCUACUAUUGUAACCGACUCUAUGUAACCCUAGCCCUCUCCGGUGUCUAUAUAAACCGGAUGGCUCUAGUCCGUAGGACCCACCAACAACAACAACCAUUACAAUCAUACCAUAGGCUAGCUUCUAGGGUUUAGCCUCCUUGAUCUCGUGGUAGAUCCACUCUUGUAAACAUCCACAAUAUCAAUAUCAAUCAAGCAGGAUGUAGGGUUUUACCUCCAUCAAGAGGGCCCGAACCUGGGUAAAACAUCAUGUCCCUUGUCUCCUGUUACCAUCCGCCUAGACGCACAGUUCGGGACCCCCUACCCAAGAUCCGCUGGUUUUGACACCGACAUUGGCGCUUUCAUUGAGAGUUCCUCUGUGUCAUCACCGAUAGGCUUGAUGGCCUCUUCAAUCGACAACGACGCAGUCCUGGGUGAGACUUUUCUCCCCGGACAGAUCUUCGUAUUCGGCGGCUUCGCACUGCGGGCCAACUCACUUGGCCAUGUGGAGCAGAUCGAAAGCUACGCCCCUGGCCGUCAGGUCAGGUUUGGAAGCCUAAACUUCACGGCUGAUAUCCGCGGGGACUUGAUCUUCGAUGGAUCUGAGCCACAGCCGAGCGUGCCGCGCUAUCACGAUGGGCAUGACCUAACUCUGCCGCCGGACAGCACCUUGGAGGCCGCACACGAAUCCGCUCCGACCCAUAGUCCGGAGCCAAUCGCACGGAUCGAGGACGGAUGGCUGGACACCGCCUCGGGAGCUGCAACUUCCACGGCGAUGGAGCCGAACACUUACCUUGUCCCGCAAAAAGCCCAUGACUCCGAGGUGCCGGACCCCCUGCCGGACUCCGAACCUCCUGCGCCCCUGCCAGUCGAAUCCGAUUGGGCGCCGAUCAUGGAAUUCACCGCUGCGGACACCUUUCAGCACUCACCCUUCGGCGAUAUCUUAAAUUCGCUGAAGCAUCUCUCACUAUCCGGAGAGCCCUGGCCGAACUACGGCCAGGAUGGUCGGGACGCGGACAAUGAAGAAAUUCAGAGCCCACCCACCACCCAGUUCGUAGCCACCGUAGACGAUCUAACCGACGUGCUAAACUACGACUCCGAAGACAUCAACGGUAUGGACGACGAUGCCGGAGACAAUCAAGAACCAGCGCCUACAGGGCACUAGAAGGCCACCUCAUCACAUGACAUACAUAUGGUGGACACCCCAAAGGGAAGCGAUAACGACGAACAACGAUACGCGGCAGAGGAUAAUCCCGCCGAUAAACAACCAAAACGGCGACAUAGACGCCGCCCUAAGUCCCGCCUCGAUCAAAGCAGCAUUCCUAACGACCCAGCGAUAGAGCAGGGCAAACCAGCGGACGACGAACAUACAACCAAGCAACCAUCCGAACAAGACGAACCAGAUAAUCAACCACUUCACGGAGCAAUCAACAGUCCGGACACAACACCGGAGCAUAAGAACCUUCACAAAAGACUCGUCGCCACUGCAAGAAGUUUGAAGAAGGAAAAACGGAAGCUCAAAAAAGUGGAAGACAUACUCAGAACAAAGUGGGGCAAAGUACUCAAGACCGCAGACAAAUAUGGCAAUGGCCAUCAAACAAAGAGCUACCCGAAGUGCAAGUUGCUGCUAGAAUUUGACGAGGAAGCCAUAGAACCCUCACAGUCAAAAAAUAAAGAGGCCGCCUAGCCAGAUAGACGGCCAGAUGACAGGCCAAAAGCGACAAGCGGCGCCGCACACAAGCCGACUUAUGAUCCUGGGAAAACGGACGGCCCAACUAGGUCCAUCUACGGGCCAAAAAAGAGGGCCCCAGGAAGUAACACAACACGACAAGUGUUCGAAGACAGCGGCACACCCAAAUACAGGGGCGCCGCACACCCGCUAUGUUUUACUGAUGAGGUGCUGGAUCAUGAAUUUCCAGCAGGGUUCAACCCCAUAAACAUAGAGGCAUACGACAGCACAACAGACCCCGGAGUCUGGAUAGAAGAUUACAUACUACACAUACACAUGGCUAGAGGAGAUGAUCUCCACGCCAUAAAAUACCUACCCCUCAAGCUCAAAGGGCCAGCUCGGCAUUGGCUCAAAAGCCUCCCAGAAAACACUAUUGGAAGUUGGGAAGAGCUUGAGGACACGUUUAGAGUAAAUUUUCAAGGGACUUAUGUCCGCCCUCCGGAUGCAGACGAUCUGAGUCAUAUAACCCUACAGCACGGAGAGUCAGCGCGCAAAUUCUGGAACAGGUUCCUUACCAAAAAGAACCAAAUAGUCGACUGUCCGGACGCGGAAGCCUUAGCAGCUUUUAAACACAACGUCCGAGACGAAUGGCUCGCCAGACACCUCGGCCAAGAGAAGCCAAGAACAAUGGCCGCGCUAACAAGCCUCAUGACGCAAUUUUGCGCAGGAGAAAACAACUGUCUAGCAAGAUGCAGCACCAGCGACCCGAGUACAUCCGAGAUCAGAGAUGGAAACGGAAAAUCACGGCGCAGGAAAGAUCAGCGCCGGAAUAAAGAAAAAAGCCCAAAGGGCAUGGCGGUCAACACCGGAUUCAAAAGCUCGCGGCCAAACAAUAAAACACUGCCUCUUAAGGACAUAGCGACGAGCUAUCAAAUUUAAACAAAAUCUUAGAUUGGAUAUGUCAAAUCCACAGUACCUCCGGAAGGCCUGCAAACCAUACCAACCGAAAUUGUUGGGUUUUUAAACAGUCCGGCAGACUCAAUGCCGGACACAAGGGGCUCGAUGCGCCAAGCGAGGACGAUGACGAACCCCACCAGCAGAGCACCGGAAGUCAAAAGACUUUCCCACAAGAAGUCAAAAUAGUAAACUCGCUUCAUGCGAUAGUACGGAAAACCAACACGGCACUCGCUAAGACAAGUGUCGCACGGUCCACCCCAGCGGAACAUCGAGAUUGGAUGUCAAAACCAAUCACUUUCGACCAUCUGGAUUAGUCCAGAAGUAUCCGGAACGCAGGAUAGACUGCCCUGAUAUUGGAUCCCAUAAUAGACGGACUGCAAUUCACGCAGGUUUUGAUGGACGGCAGCAGUAACUCAAACCUGCUAUAUCCGGACACAAUCCGCAAGUUGGGAUAGACCCUACUACAAUUCGGCAUAGCCGCACUUCCUUCAAAGGAGUGGCGCCAGGCCCUUACGCCAAGUGCACAGGUUCAUUAUUACUAGAAGUUGUGUUCGGGUCACCUGACAACUUCCGACGAGAAAAGCUAACCUUUCAUGUCGCCCCAUUUAAAAGUAGCUAUCAAGCAUCACUGGGACGGGAAGCUUUCGUCCGCUUCAAUGCAAUACCACAUUACGCGUCUCUUACGCUUAAAAUGCCCGGUCCGCGUGGCACCAUUUCAUUAAAAGGUCGCCUGAGACCCCGAACACGGCUGGACGAGUCCGGAACAAAUAAGCUAGGGGCUACCUAGCCGCACAUCCCUUCACAAGGGUUUGUACAUAUAAGCCAUAAUGAGCUAGCAUAGGCUCAACUUUAUUAAUCUAUAUUUCAAUUUUUUAUGCACUUUCUCGCAUGAUUUCUUUUCAAACUAAGUUCCUCUCUUUUUACAGAUGAACAGCGUGCACACCCGUCCAGGAUACGGCACAACGGAGACACAGGCGCAGACGUGCAGUAGGGACCCGUUGCAAGGACUCUUUUCAGACUAAGACCCUACGUAAACCUUUCUUACUGUCUCUUGUUGCUUUAAUCCCCUGGUUUCUCAUUAUAACCAGAGUGGAGACUGGCGUUUUGGCAUCGGCCGCGCCAGAAGAACUUGCCCGUACCUGGACACAAGGGGCUUAGGGCAUUGUUUUGCCCGCUAUUGUAAAGACCGAACACCUUCGGGAGUGUUUGGUGUCUCGAGUUAGGCCAUAUAUGCAUUAGCUCCGAAUCAUGUCUUUGGUCAAAUGUUGGGUUUGCCCGGCUCCUGUGUUUUGCUGCCUUACGUUCCGUAUCACCGGCUAACGCGACACCAGGAGAACUACUGCGAUUGUGCCCCAGUUCGGCUGGGCGAGCACCUCAGUAGAGAAAGCCGAAAACUGACUGUCAUGAUACAGCGAGAGACUGGUCAACCACUCGAUCGACCAUGGGAAUGUUUAGAAUUCCUCCGCUUUGACGAAGGGCCGUUUCUUGGUCAGGCACAUACGCGCCCCAAAUUCGGAGAGCGCGGUGCCCCCAGGGGCUAUGUCGUAGCCCCACCCUCGAACUCCAUGGCUAAGUGAAAGUGAUAAAGCAUUAUAGUCCGGUUGCCUCGUUUGCUACGCUACCACCUCCUUUACAGGACCGAGACGUCGGAUUAAGUGUGAAAACGCGUUUUUUUGCAAAGACCCCCGCACCUUGUGCGUGGGGGCUGAAGCCGACGACUGCCAUCUUUCAGGUUAUACACACGUAUACAUGAACGGCCGCAUAGGAGAUAUUCUAUUACUUGACCGCACAAGUAUAAAAGGCGCUUACAUCAUAAAUAUUGUUUUACAUCAUAAAAACGUUCAUUCAAACGUAAUAUUUUUUGAGCACUGCGACUCUAUUACACGAGCACCACGCAGCACUUCGCCAAAAUAGUGCUCGGCGGGUAACCGGUUAUCGUCCGAACCCGGGGUCGCAACAGCGGUGGCAUCCAUCUCUGUCCAACGUGUCUUCACACGGGCGAGUGCCAUCCGCGCACCCUCUAUGCAGGCCGACCGCUUCAUCGCCUUGAUAUGCGGCACCGCCCCAAGAAAUUGAUGCAAUAAGCCAAAGUAACUCUUCGGCUUGGGCCUAUCCGGCCAGAUAUGGGUCACUAUAUCCGUCAUAGCAAGCCCGGACAACCUAUUUAGCUCAGCCCACUCGGCCAAACGGUCGGUCAGCGGAAGUGAACACUCCGGACUAUGGAAUUGAGACCAAAACAGCUCUUCCGUCUUGUGAUCCUUCUGGCUUCGAAAAUGCACAACGGCAUCGGCCGCACUCGCUGCUAAGUCCAUAUAAGGGUCCUCUGGACCCCACAGUUGGCCCAGCUGAGCAUAUUUUGGAUCCGUAAACCUUCGACGCAGCAGAAAAGGCUUACCAGCUACAAUAUCUCCGGCGUGGCGCAGCUCUUCCUUUAUAGCCUGCAUUGCAGAGCGGGCAUCCUUGGCUUCGGCGGUGGCCUUCCCCAGGUCUUCUUGCCCCGCUAGGCGCUACUUCCCAAGAGCCUCAUUGCGGUCGGUAGCAUCUUUUAACUUCACGGCCAUUUCGGCCAUCUCUUCCCUGCUCCGGCAGUGUGCGACCCUUUCGGCCGCUAACUCCUCGGCCGCCCUUGAGGCCGCCGCAUUACUCCUUCUGGCCUGCUCCUUGGCUUGAGCAAGUUUGGUCCGAAGGCUCUCCACAGCAGUGGCACUAUCUGCAUUUCACACACAUGUUAUAAGGAGCUGGCUUCGGCUCCCUUACCAAGUGACCGCACAUAAACACUUACCUUGCGACUCAUCAAGUCGCCUGUUGACGAGCGUGAUGUCCGCAUCCGCAACAGCGAGUUGCCGCUUUAGUUCAGCAACUCCAUCAGUCCAGCUGGCCCCCGGACGACCCGCCACCUACAUCGGCACGGCGGAAAUUUAAACCUGCAAUUUUGAUCCUCGGCACGCUCUCGAUUUCGACAACCUACCGAGUCUCAGGGGCUACUAUCUAUACAGGGCGCAUUCUAUAUGCAAAACUGUUAAAAGGUGUGUCAUUUUUACGUACCUCAAACCCCGCCAGCAAACUCCUGACGGCAUUAUGCAACCCGCCUUCGGUGGACGAAAUCCUUUCAAUCACCAUGCUCAUCAAUGCGUGGUGAUCUUCUGAGAUAGACGCCCUCUCAAGCAGAUCGUUCAGCCAUACACCAGUUGGCGCCGAACUAUCCGGCUUUGCCAAACCAGGGGGCUCCCUCCGUGACGACACUUCAGGCUCGUCCACCCUAUCCGACGGCGCCCCGGACGGAGGCGUCUCGCUCUCCAUCAUCUCCGGACGAAGGUCCCCCAAAGACGAGCUCAUUUGUAAAGAACGGAGAUCCGAACUACAAGGUAAAAACUUUAGUUAUCCUCAGAAGCACAAAUAGGGAUGUCCCUUAUUAUAAAACUCCUUUCUUUCUACUUACGGCUCAUUGGAGGGCUAAUUCUUUAAGGGAGAUUGUGCGGCCGGGGCCUCCCCGGACGCAGGACCCUCUGGCGAAGAUUUCUUCCCCCAUUUAGGGGCAUUUGCCCCCGGGUCCUCGGAGGUAGUUCUCUUCUCCCCUUGGAGGGAGGGAUUCUCGAUCACCCCUCUUUCAAGAGCCUCCUUAGGCGAGGCAGUAGCUUUCCUGCUUUCCCCUUCGCCUUCCUCUAGAGGCGCAACCUCAAGCAUCCGGACCAGCACGGAAUCCGGCGCGGUCUCAGGGAGGGGGGGUGGACACCAUAUCAAUUUUGCUUCCGCUAUCCACUCCUGUUUGGAAAGAAGUUGGUCAUAAGGCGAAUCAUCGAAAGGAAAACAAACGGUAUGUCCGGACUUGGAACUACUUACUUGAGUAUCCAGGCGAUUGCAGCUUAGGCCAGCAUCCUCAGUCAAUUCUAGACGCGCCUUUUGCGAUCCGAAGAAUAAUUUGUACAUCUCCAGGGGUGUCAUACCCAUGAAGUGUUGAAGAAUCCGUGGGCCCUCCGGAUUGAACUCCCACAGCCGGAGAGGGCGGCGUUUGCAGGGCGGGAGACGCCUAAUCAGCAUAACCUGCAUUACCACCACCAUAUCAACCUCCCUCGUUUGGAGAUCUCGAAUCCAGCCCUGCUAUAGGGGCACGUCCUUUGACGGCCCCCAGUUGAGCCCUUGGUUGAUCCACGACAUCAACCGUCGUGGAGGUCUCGGGUGGAAUAAGGGCGGCGGCUUUUGUCUGCGGCCCCUCGGAACGGUAAUAUAGAACCACUCUUGCUGCCACGGGCCGAGCUCCUCUUGGAAGGAGCCAGCGGGCCACGGGGCAUCAGCCCUCCUACUUAUGGCCGCCCCGCCGCACUCCGCUUGACGCCCCCCGAUCAUCUUCGGCGCCACAUUGAAGGUCUUCAGCCACAGGCCGAAGUGAGGGGUGACGCGGAGGAAGGCUUCGCAGACAACAAUAAAUGCGGAAAUAUGGAGGAUGGACUCCGGAGCCAAAUCGUGGAAUUCCAACCCAUAGUAAAACAUGAGCCCUCUCAUAAAAGGAUCCAUCGGGAAGCCAAAACCCCGACGGAGGUGGGAUACGAAAACGACAUACUCGCCGGGCUCGGGGGAGGGGAUGGCCUGCCCUUCGGCAGGCAACCUGUGCGAAAUCUCAUAAGCCAAGUACUUGGCCUCCCACAGCUUUAGCACGUCCUCCUCCGUGACGAAGGAGGGCAUCCACCGGCCCUGGAGAUCGAAACCGGACAUCGUUGAAGGUCCAAAGCGCUCGAAUCUGGAGCUCUAGGUGCUGGAACUUGGAGCGGGGAGAGGAUUCGAUGGAGGAUUGAAGAAAAGAAAUGAGCCUUGGUCCCGUUAUAAAGAGGGAGAAUACUGAGAGCCGUCUCCGUGACCGUUUGGGACUCGCCUUCGAUAGAGGGGGCGUGGCGACGGGCGCGGUUGGGUUACCCACGUCCGUAUUGAUGAGAAUCCCGGAUUAAGGGGGAACACGAUCUCUGCUUCGACAAGACAUGCCAAGGAAACCGCUUCGCUAAAUGCGGUGAGGUGGUAGAGUAAAAAAUGAUUCAAGUAAUGUCCUGGUAGUGGCGUGACGUCAUGCCGCAAAAAAUGUCAGCAGAUUGAACUUGUGUAUAUAUUAUUCUCUCUACGGUGGAAUGUGGAACUUAUUUUGCAGAGCCGGACACUAUCCUGGUGUUCGCAAUCUUCUAUCAUUCGGAGGAAGAACCCGCCUUGCAAUGCCAAGCAAUAUACGCGCCGGACUUAUCGUCAUUGAAGCCUGGUUCAGGGGCUACUGAGGGAGUCCCGGAUUAGGGCGUGUCCGGAUAGCCGGACUACCAUCAUCGGCCGAACUAUCAUCGGCCGAACUAUCAUCAUCAUCGACCGGACUCCAAGACUAUGAAGAUACAAGAUUGAAGACUUUGUCCCGUGUCCGGAUGGGACUUUCCUUGGCGUGGAAGGCAAGCUUGGCGAUACGGAUACGUAGAUCUCCUACUAUUGUAACCGACUCUAUGUAACCCUAGCCCUCUCCGGUGUCUAUAUAAACCGGAUGGCUCUAGUCCGUAGGACCCACCACCACCAACAACCAUUACAAUCAUACCAUAGGCUAGCUUCUAGGGUUUAGCCUCCCUGAUCUCGUGGUAGAUCCACUCUUGUAAACAUCCACAAUAUCAAUAUCAAUCAAGAAGGACGUAGGGUUUUACCUCCAUCAAGAGGGCCCGAACCUGGAUAAAACAUCAUGUCCCUUGUCUCCUGUUACCAUCCGCCUAGACGCACAGUUUGGGACCCCCUACCCAAGAUCCGCCAGUUUUGACACCGACAAAGGUCCUUAUACAUUUUGGUACCACCGGGAUGACUUGAUUAUGGUGCUUCAUGCGCUUCUGCCAAUAUCAUCUUCUUUAGACUUCCUUGGUUGGGUACGCAGAGUCUUCCUCGAAACCUUAGUGAACCUCGCUGAUCCAUAGAGAAGUCGGGUGGAUGCCCUUGGUGCAUCUUCUGAACAUAUCUUUUUGACCUCCAAUCAUUUGCUUGAGCGAUGCGGAUUUCUUCUUUGAGAGUAUGGGCAACUUCCAAUAUAUUGGCAAGACGGGCGUCGGUGAUUACCAAAUUGGGCUGUAUGAUUUCUUCAUAAAGCUUAGGAGGCAAAAAAACCAUUAGAGCAUUAAGGUUGGCUGGUUUGCGACUGAGGGUGUCAGCCACCACAUUAGCUUUGCCCGGGUGAUAAUUUAUCCCGAGGUAGUAGUCCUUAACUAAUUCGAGCCAUCUUUGUUGUCGAAGGUUCAAAUCGGGCUAAGUGAAUAUAUACUUGAGACUCUUAUGAUGGGUGAAUAUCUGGCACCACUUCGCAAUCAGAUAGUGUCUCUAGAUCUUCAAAGCGUGUACUACCGCGGCCAUUUCCAAAUCAUCGGUAGGGUAGUUUCCUUCGUGUUCCCGUAGUUGUCGAGAUGCAUAUGCCACCACUUUGCCAUCUUGCAUGUGUACGCACCCUAGUCCUCUUAUGGAUGCGUCAUGGUAGAUGUCUGGAAGAGUCAAUACUAGUGCUGUGGUCAGCCGAGUUUUUAACACGUUGAAACUCUUCUCGCAUUCCUUAGUCCAUACAAACUUCGUAUCCUUCUUCAGAAGCUCAGUCAUAGGCUUGGCGAUCAUCGAGAAGCCUUCGCUAAAAUGGCAAUAAUAUCCGGCUAGUCCAAGGAAACUCCGGAUUUCUAAGACUGUGGUGGGUGCGGACCAAUCAAGAACAUCCUUCACCUUGCUUGGGUCCACUGAGAUUCCUUCUGCCGAGAGGAUAUGCCCGAGGAAUCCCACUUGUUGGAGCUAGAACUCACAUUUGCUGAAUUUGGCAUAAAGCUGAUGGUCGUGAAGCCUUUGCAGAACUGCUCGAAGAUGCUCCUUGUGUUCAUCCUUGCUCUUGGAUUAAAUGAGGAUGUCAUCAAUGAAUACCACCACAAAUUUAUCCAAGAAGUCCAUAAACACCUUGUUCAUCAUAUGCAUAAAGAAUGCAGGAGCGUUGGUGAGGCCAAAGGACAUAACGGUGUACUCAUAAAGACCAUAUCGAGUGGUGAACGCGGUCUUAGGGAUAUCCUCCUUCUUUAUCUUGAGUUGAUGAUAUCCAGUCCUCAAAUCAAUUUUUGAGACUACUUUGGCCCCAAUAAGCUGAUCAAACAGGUCGUCGAUCCUUGGCAGUGGAUACUUGUUUUUGAUGGUGAUGUCAUUUAGUUGUCGGUAGUCUACACACAUUCGUAGACUGCCAUCCUUUUUGUCCACGAAGAUUGCUGGUGAUCCCCAUGGUGAAGAGCUUGGUCGAAAGUAUCCUUUUUGCAACAUAUCAUCCAUUUGUUUCUUCAAUUCCACCAAUUCUGAGGAAGGCAUCUGAUAAUAUGUCUUAUGUAUCGGAGUGAUUCCAGGCACCAAGUCAAUCGCGAACUCCAAAUCUCGGUCUGGUAGCAUGCCUGGCAAUUCUUCCGGAAAGAUGUCUGGAUACUCACUGUCCACAGGAAUUAAAUCCACUUCUUCGGCCACUUCUACGAAAACCAUAUCUUUCAUGGGGAUUCGCCUGCGGGCAUAAAAACUCGUGGUGCAACCUUCCAUAUUUUUCAGGGUAGCUUCUCUAGUCGCACAGCUGAUGCAGACUUGAUAUUGAGUUAACCAAUUCAUGACCAAAAUGACGUCCAAUUUGUUGGAAUCGAUGAUUAUCAACGAGGUUGGAAACUUGACGCCCUUGAUGUCAAUUUCCAAAUUUCAGCAGACGAGAUUGCUUCUGAGUAGGGAUCCCGGGGAUUGUACCAGCAUGUGCUUUCCCAAAAUCGAACAAGGAAUAUUGUUUUGGGAAGCAAGACUCCAUGAUAUAAAAGGGUGGGAAGCCCCAGAGUCAAAUAAAAUUACAGCGGGUAUGUCAUUAACAGGAAACAUACCAAUGACGACUUACGGGUCCUCUUGAGCUUCGUUUGUGGAGAUGUAGUUAAUUUGACCUUGAAUCAUAUCUGGGGCGGGAUACGGCUCCAUGUAGUUGACUUGCGGUUGGAAUGGAGCUACUUGCUUUCUGUUCUUGGGACACUGCCUGGCGUAGUGUCCGGUUUGACCAUAGCUGAAACAUGUAUUGUUGUGCUGACAGUCUUCACGCACCAGACUGGUCACAACAUUAUUGACUUGUGUAGUAGUCUUGUUGACAUUCUGCUGCCAAUUUGGUUUGUACUCCACCUGAGUCUGUUGCCAAGUACGAGCCUUUUGCACUGGUUGCAUAUCCUUCUUUGGCUCGAAUUUGCGCUUGUGGUCGUUAACAGCUGACUUGUGGUCAUGUAGGAGCUUGUGUUCCCUUUCGGUGAUGAGGGCCUUGUUCACCAGCAUCAAGAAGUCUGGGAAAUCAAACAUGCUGAGAGUGCACCUGAGAUGCUGAUUCAGGCCUGACGGAACCGGUCGAUCUUCCGCUCUUCGGUGUACACAUCGUGGAGAGAAUAGCGGGCCAAAUGGUUGAACUUGUUUAGGUACUCGUUGACAGUCAUGCUGCCUUGAGUGAGAGCGAGGAAUUCACACUGCUUGAUUUUCAUAACUCCGGUGGGAAUAUGAUACUUGUUGAAUUGUUCCUUGAAUUUGUCCCAAGUAAUUUCCUCGUCUGCAGGCCAUAUUGCAUUGGCAUUAUCCCGCCAUAUCGUGGCAGCUCCUUCGAGAUAAUGCGUUGCAAAGGGAACCUUGUCUCUUUCUUCAGUGCGGGCAAUCUCCAGUUUCCUUUCCAUUGUCCUUAGUCAGUCGUCGGCGUCCAAAGGAUUAGUAGCGUGGCUGAAACUGGGAGGCUUGGUUCGCUGAAUGUUUGACAGUUUGGAGUGAUGGCCAUUCUGGUUUCCAUUCUGCCCAACCAUAACUUGUACACUCUUCAGGAUUUCCAACAGGUUGUUGCUUCUUAUUUCUUCAAACAUUCUCAUGAUCUGAUCGGUGGAAGGCGGUUGUGGCUGGUACCGCUCGGGGGAAUGUCCCGCCUGUCUUGCGAGUGAUGGAUAGGGGUAUCCUCACAAGCUUGGCUGCUGCAACCUCCACGCGUCAUCCUAUUUUUCGUUUUCCCAAUACAUAGCAACCAUGAUGAGAAAAAUCCAAAAUGGGGGAAAAAGCCAAUGACAAAUCGUGGAAGAAAACAGCGAACGAAAUCCAAGGCGUAUAAAAAGUUCCAACAUAAUUAUACAUAGUCCCAACAUGAAAGUAACAUCACAGCAGGUCUACUACCCUCGUACAUGAAACUACGCAUCAUGACAAGUGUAGGUACAACCAUACAUCAUGCUCAUGACUACCACGAUACUCUAACAGUCUACUUCUCGGUCGGUGCUACUGCAGGCUCGUCUCCUGAGUCGGACCCUCAUCCUGAGCUGAUAGCAGAGUCCUCUGGACCAAGAGAAACGCGACGACGCUUCCUUGAGGGCUCUCCCUCAGGGGCAGGCGGGGGAUCGGAUCUAAGCAUAGAAGUAGCAGGAGUAGAGACAAGGGAAGACAAUGCAGCAGGGGUGCUGCGAGGGUUCACCGUCAGAGGGUUAACGGUACCCUGCGAGGUCGUCGGUGGAACAGGGGUGGGAAGAACCGGAGAAGAAGUGUAGAUAACAGCGGGAAGAGGGUUCCUCACCCGAGUGCGAGAGCGGUGCGAGCACGUGAAAGCUCCCGAGCUACUCGUAGUUUAGAAGAUAACUAGAUGUGAUGUAGCGAGAAAGGUGGCUAGUGGGAUGAUCGCACGCCGGAUUAAUCAAAGGAAAAUGGACACACCCAUUCUUGUGCAGAGAUGGGUAGUAGAAGAGACCAGGGUGGGUAUGCAUGCGAACCUCGUUGUAGCACAAGUCUACAAGAUCCUCGAGAGCAGCAAAAUGAAUUGCCUGGGAUGGCGUAGAAGCAAGACCACCCUUAGUCGAACGAGUGUAAGCGUCGGUAGGUGAACUGUGAUGUAGAGUGACCUCAGCAUAAUGCUCAUACAAUGCACCGGCCAGAUGCUCGCGAUACACCCGAUACUCUAGAUCAGCACCCUCUGGGUAGAUUUGUCGCCACACAUUCUAAAGCAGAUGCGACGAUGUGUAUGGAGCUCGCUCAGGAUGGUACAAGAUCGGUACUGGUGCCAUCUACACUCAUAAAUCAUCCGGAUAGUAAUAACAAAUAAACAUGCAUGCAAUGCAAUAAUCGGCACUCAAACGAAGCUAUCUACCAUUUUACUAGCGCACUUACGGUCUAGCGUGUCCUACAAUCAGCGCGGCUCUGAUACCAAGUGCUGUGGCACCCCGGCUCAGAGCAACCGGUUUACCUUGCAUUGCCAACCCAGAGAUCAAGUCUUCUGGCAAUGCACAACAACAUGGUACAGAAACAACCGCUUUAUUGAUGCUAGCGGAUUACAUAGGUCUGAUAUUACAUCGAGAUUCAAGGCCAAGCGGCACUCACGGUGCUGCUAGAUGGUAUGUACAUUAUUUAAUGGACAUGACGGGGCCUUGAUCGCACGAGCUACACAGCAGCGGAAGAACAACAUAGAGGAACUUUGUAGCAUAGGGACACCAACGUGAACAUGGCCUAGACACGAGAUGCGCUCCGAUGCGAACUGACUUUCCUGAAAGCUGGCAUAACACGCCAGGUCAGUACAUUGAAUGUACUUGCAAGCUCACAACAAACAUAAGCACGAUGACAAACAAUAUCAUGAUAUUUAAACAGAUUAAUUCAAUGCAAAACUACUACUACCAAACAAACAUUUCGUGUAAUGAGUCCCACGGACUCACUUACCAGACGGUUACCGUGUAACCAAACGGUGACCAUACCCGGGUCACAACGGAAACCAAUCACUCAUGAGUACCUCAAGUGUUCAUGCUUUCGUCAUGAACCAAUGCAUCACAGCCCUCACUUAGUUUGCAAUAUUAUUAGAAAAGUUGAUCCAUGGAGUGGCUUACUUCCGACUUUUACUCAUAACAGAGGACGUGGCUAUCGAUAGAUUAAAUACACUCUGAAGAGGUAGCGCACUUUACCCACACUACGGAAUACCUGGCCCCGCAUUCCCGUUCGGGUGGACCAAAGCAUUCCGACGAAACCCUCCCUUUUUCAUGCACUCUCCCCGGCCACUCCAACGAACCCCCCCUCGGGGCUAGGUCUUGGGUGGCCCCGUGUCUACCAAAGACACCAACAGCCACCGCGUGGCAAAACAGUCCCAAACCAGAACAAGGUACCAUAAAAACAAAACGAGCACACAAGGUUAUGUCUGCCUACCGGGCCAGGGUAUGCACGCCCAUAACCUUCCCUCGCGGGAGGCACCGGUGAGAGCCACAACAAAGGACCGAAUCAAGACCUUCCCAUAAGGUAGAUGUGGUCGCACUGAAUUAAACCCAAUUCAGUGGCACCAUGAUGUGAUCAACAUCAUAUUCACGUUGAACUUAAUCAAGUUUAGCUUUGAUAAAAACUUUUUAUCAUUAACAUGAUGUAAUAAAAAUAAUCAUGCAACUACUCGUCAUGCAAAACAAACAACUCAUAUUCAUGGAUCAAACUUAACAACACAUGCAUCUUGCAAUACUAAGAAUCAAACUUCUCUGGUUAUAACUCAUUUUCAUAACCAAGCAAUAUUUUUAUUAGUUCAUUAUUUAAAUCAAACCAUUACUAGCAAAAUAACUAUCAUUGAUUUCCAUAGCAAUUUUCAUAGUGCAAAAUAUUACUCUACCUAGCCAAACAAGUUCAUGCAUUCAACCAGAAGCUAAAACAAGCAUAUCAAGCAUGGUAAAGUAACUAGAAAUUAACCAAAGUUAUUUAUCAAAUUUUAAAUGCAAAUAAUAACUCAUACUCAAGUAGAAAAUCAUAGGUAUUGAAAUAACACCAUCCAAAUGCUGGUGUGGCUUGUCUUAGGGUAGAGGUGGAUCACUCUCCUCUUGGUUUGCUUCAAGACAAGCUUCUCUUUUUGAAAAAAUAAUUUAAACCACAAAAAGAAUUAUCAAAACACAUUCUGAAAAUCACCAGAAAUUCUAGACAGCAAGGAAAAUCCACCUUCUGGUGUGCUGCAAGAGUUUUUUUGUAACAAACACAAUGCAAAAAGAAUCAAAUCAUUUGGACUUGUGGUUUAAAAAUGGUGGCUGGUCAAAGUUUGGUCAAAUUUCUGAUUAAAUUUGAAUUAAACAGAAAAUCCUGUUGGGGGGGGGUGACAUCGAAGGCGUAAAACAAAAAUAAGCCUCCACUCGUACCGCUUCGGGCACGAGUGGUGAGACCCAUAGGUGGGUCCCGUGCGUCAGGGGAGAGAGAGAGAGCGAGAUCAGAGGGAGGCGGGGCUUCGCCGUAGCUCACGUCAGCGACAAGGGGGUUCGGGGCAAAACGGGAGGGAUAGAAUUGAAGCGGGGCUAGAGGCGCACCUGCCCGUACUCGUGGAUUGGCGAGAGGUGGCCGGAGCUCGUUGCAGUCGAGCUCGCAAACUCCGGUGGCGAAGGGGAUUCACCGGAGAGGAAGAAGACAACGGCUAGAGGUGGCUCCGAGGGCUUGGCGGGGUCCAGGCAGCACCAGCAGACCCCCAAUGCUCCGCCCAAGCAGCUGCUUAAGCUCGAGAGGCACCGGAGCACGGCAGCUGGACUGCGGGGAUCGCCGGAGUCCUCGGGUCGAGGCGACGGCCAAAGGCCUGCCCGACCGGGCUUCUGCUCGUCUACAUGUUCGUGGAGGUGGUGUGGAGUGGUGCGUGGCCAGCAAGUGAGGAGGCGGGUGCUAUAUAUAGUCGGAGCGGAGGGGGGGACGUGUCGCUGCUGGAGCUCUCUGGACACGUGGCGAACGUCGAUGAGAAGCUCCAACGAGAGGGGGCAAGCAUUCAGCGUCAACGCAGAAGCUUGCCCACACUCGUGGACAAGCACAGGAGGCGGUUGAGGGAGCGGACAAGUGCACGCUCGCACUGUGGCCUUUUGGCCGCAACGUGCCCGUGCUUGUUGCGACAGCUCUGGUGUCGGCGAGUGCCAGGGAGCGGUCAAGGGUGAUGGGGCGAGGCUGGUGGCACGGUGUGGCAGUCGGAGGCAAGCGCUGGAUCGAGCACGCGCGAAACAGAGCGCAAGGCGCCAGCCAGAGCAGGCCGAGAUGCAUGCCAGGCACCGUGUCCACACGCGGUCACCAGGCUGGCAUGGUCGAAACGACACCAAGGAGCUGCCAAACCUUGUCAACGCACUCGACCGUGCAGUGUUUAGUCUAGGUGAGUUGAUGGCUCAUGCCUAGGCCGACCAGAUUAGACUUCACUAAGCUGACAAGUUUUUGUACAGAAACUUGGCCGCCAAAUUUGGCCACCUUCUAGAAGGCCAUUAGGGCUAAUCUCCUGGGGUUUAGGGUUUCUUAGGAGGGUGUUUAAGCUCAAGAACUAUCAAGGCUAAAAGCUCAAGGAAAAAUGUACUUGCUGUACAAAGUGCAUUUAUGGUCCAGAAGUGAAAAUAUUUUCAACAGCAAAAAUAUUGCAAAAAGUGAUGCAAUAUUUUUACAUGGGAAGUUGUGCCAUGGUUCUAAGAAUAUUUGGGAUUUAUCUCAGAUUUUUCUGAGUAAGAAAAAUGAGGUUCCUUUGGAGCACAAGAUUCUGAAGUGAGUUUCAGAGGGAGAAAUGAAUAUUUUUCUUUUAUGAAAAAUACUCAUUUGAUUAUUUUGAGGGUUUGACCAGAGGAAUAGAGAAGAUAUUUCACUUGGGUGAAAGCCAACAAUAUGCCCAAGUGACAAGUCCAUUUGAAAAGAUUCAAACUCCAAAUCAAAUCAGGGCAAAAACCAUGAUACAACCAAAUCCGGAAAGAGAGAGAAGGCAAGUCCGGAAAAAGAGAGAAGGAAAAAUCCAGGCUGUCACAGCCACCGCCAGGCGUCAGGGCCUCGUGAGGCGCCAUAGCAUGCUGCGCCAGGUGCUGGUACGAGGCGCCAACAUUCAGCAGGCCGAACAGCAUGCAGACGUAGUUGCAAGGGAAGCUCCUACUUCGGCCAAUGUGUGAGGCGAGAAGAGGUCUUGGGAUGCGGCAAUGUUCAGGCCCAGGAUGUCAACGCAGACGCGUAAGCCAUCGCCCGUGUGCGUGCGGCGGCUACGCUGGGGCAUGUGGGGCGGCGCCCGUCGCACAUGGCUUGUGCUUCCUAAAGCUCCUCGAUCGCCUUGGUGAUGAAUUCUCGUGCUCCUGGUACUUCGUGCCAUGUUCCUUGCUUGUGGGGGGUGUCGAGCACGUGGAGGCACGCCUCCAAGUGCUUCCCAGGCACCUCACUAUCGCCCUGGUCCAGUCAGACACUCCCAAGAUGGAAGCCCCCAAGCCCAUCCCGAGGGAGGCACCAGGCGUGCCUUCCUAUGCGGGAGUAAGGGGCGCCCUGGUAGUAGGCGCGGAGCCUGAGGCACCGCCUGCGGGCUUCUUGGCCUCCGAAUGGCUCUUGGGGAGGAGGUACUUAUUCUUUGCGGAGGCAGCCUCAAGGGGCGCGACGUCACCUUCGCUAUCUGAGUUUUUGGACACCGCAGCCCGGUAGGCAUGCUCAAGGUAGUAGACCGCAUCCUUUUCAGCACGGCGACAAUGAUGACACCGCUGCACACUGGCAUCUUGAAGAUGUUGUAGCUAUGGUGGCUAGCCGCAAUGAACUUGGCGAGAGAAGGGUACCCCAGGAUGGCAUUGUACGGGAGGAUGAUGUGGGCCACGUCGAAGUCGAUGAGCUCUGUGUGGUAGUUUUCGCGCUUGCCAAAGGUGAUAGGAAGGCGCACCUACCCCAGGGGAAUAAUGGAGCCGUCAGUCACUCCAUAGAACGGCUUUGUGGGCAUGAGUUGUUCGUAAGGCACUUGAAGCAUCUCGAAGGUCUCCACUGAAAGCAUGUUGAGGCUAGAGCAACCGUCGAUGAGGGUCUUGGUGACUGAGACAUUGCUGAUGGAGGGCGUGCACAACAUGGGGAGCGCGCCAAUAGUAGCCGAACACCUGAGGUGGUUCCUUGGAGCUGAAUGUGAUGGCGUACUAUGACCAAAUGAGGGGACGGGCAGCUUCAAGCCUUGGGAGGGCCGCAUUCACCUCACGAGAGAAGUGCUUCAAGAUGUGGUUCGAGGCGGGUGCAUGAGCUUCGCUAAGGAUGCAGGCAAUGGCACGAGGCUCCUGGUAGCCCCCAGCCCCCUCGUCUUGUUGGUUGUCAUGGUUUCUCCUGGGCAGCGGCAGCAGAGAUGGGAGGCCAGCAUUGCCCUGCGGGCGGGCCUCGCGAGGCUAAUCGCACCAUGUGCCAUCGCGAGGGUGAUCAUGCCAGCCACCCUCGCAAGGCUAGUCACGCCAGCCCUGGCGGGAAUUGCGGUUGUCCAAGCGGCUUCUGCCACCGUCUAUUCGCUCGGGGCAGCGGCCCAGGCGCUCGUCCCGGAGCGCCCUAAGCUCCUGACAGUCAUCGGUGUUAUGGGUGUGCAGGUUAUGGAAGACACAGAAAGGCAAAGCUUCCUUGGCGGGCUCGUCGCGAUCACAGUCGCGCUUUAGCUCAGGUUCUGCUACCAGUACGGUGGGGCCCUUGCACUUUGCCUCCCUGGCCUUGACCUUCUUAUCUUUGGGGUCGACGUUUGGGUGCUCGAGGAGGGAGAGGCGGCCUUCGUCAGCCUUCACGCACUUGUCAGUCAGGUUGAAUAGCUCCAAUGCUAAGCACAUGUCAUCGUCGAUGGCGAGCUCCUCGCUCAUCUUGAUAUCUGUGACGCCUUAUGUGAACACGAAGAUGAUGACCUUGUUCGAAGCCUUCGGGAUCUUGAUGCGAACUUGGGUGAAGCGCUGCAUGUACUUGCAGAGGUUCUCACCAGGAUGUUGCUUCACGCGCUGCAAGUUGUUGACGGUGAGGGCACAACCAUGGGUCACUUGGAAGUUGGCGAUGAACCGCUUGCGGAGCUCAUCCCAUGAGGAGGUUGAUCCCUCCGGGAGGUGCAUGAGCCAGGAGUGCGAGCUAUCCUUAAGGGCCAUGGGGAACCAGUUCGCCAUGACCUUGUCAUCACCAUUCACUGCCUCAAAGCUCAGCAUGUAGAGCUGGAGGAACUCCAUAGGGUCGGGGAUGUCAUCGUAGUGCGGAGGCUGAUCCGGCGUAAACUUGACCGACCAGAUAACAUGGCGCAUCUCAUUAGUGAAGGCGCGGUAGCCUGCCGCGCUCACGGGCGCGGCCCACGUGAGAGGGGCACGAUCCUGGCGCCCAUGCGCAACGGCUUCCAGAGUGGCCCGGUCUUGAAACUGUCGUGGCGGCACCGGGAGCGCACGCGCGUCGUAUUAUGGCUGCUGCACAACCUGGCAGCUAGCUUCGUCCUCGGCCAGCACCGACGUGCCACGCGCCGGGUCGCGCGGACGCGCGUCACGCCUUGGUUUAGCUUUGUCGCCGUGCCGGGGAGGAGGCGGAGGCGCACCAUGUGCCACGUCGCCCACCCGAUAUGGUGGGGUGCAGAGCGAGUGGGAGAGCGCUUGGGCCUCGCCGGCGGCAUUGACGAGCUCGGUGAUACGGCCCAGCCAGGCAUCGUAGCCUUCAUUGGUGGGGCGGUAGCGCAGCAGCUCGCGCGCCAUGAGUAGCACAGCCUUUGUGUUUGCUGUCUUGCACGUGGGAGGACGAGGUCGUGGCAGGAGUGAGGGAAGGCAUGGCAGUGCGGCCAUCCCGCUGCAUAGAGAGCGGCAGCAAAGAGUCAUGCUACACGUGGGUGGCAAGGUCGGUGGCAGUGUUAGCCGCCGGAGAAGUGGAGCGGCGCAGGCCGUCAUGGCCCACCGGGGCCAUCUGGGCGGCCCGGCGCUUGGUGCGCACUCGGUGUGCCUCAUCCAUGGGGGUGACGAAGCACCGACGGAAUGAAGUAGGCGGACGAGGAAGAACUUUGACACGUCCCUACUGAAGGAAAUAUUCCCUAGAGGCAAUAAUAAAGUUAUUAUUUAUUUCCUUAUAUCAUGAUAAAUGUUUAUUAUUCAUGCUAGAAUUGUAUUAGCCGGAAACAUAAUACAUGUGUGAAUACAUAGACAAACAGAGUGUCACCAGUAUGCCUCUACUUGACUAGCUCGUGAAUCAAAGAUGGUUAAGUUUCCUAACCAUAGACAUGAGUUGUCAUUUGAUUAACGGGAUCACAUCAUUAGGAGAAUGAUAUGAUUGACUUGACCCAUUCCGUUAGCUUAGCACUUGAUCAUUUUGUAUGUUGCUGUUGCUUUCUUCAUGACUUAUACAUGUUCCCAUGACUAUGAGAUUAUGUAACUCCCGUUUACCGGAGGAACACUUUGUGUGCUACCAAACGUCACAACGUAACUAGGUGAUUAUAAAGGUGCUCUACAGGUGUCUCCGAAGGUACUUGUUGAGUUGACGUAUUUCAAGAUUAGGAUUUGUCACUCCGAUUGUCGGAGAGGUGUCUCUGGGCCCUCUCGGUAAUGCACAUCACUAUAAGCCUUGCAAGGAAUGUAGCUAAUGAGUUAGUUACAGGAUGAUGCAUUACGUAACGAGUAAAGAGACUUGCCGGUAACGAGAUUGAACUAGGUAUUGAAAUACCGACGAUCGAAGCUCGGGCAAGUAACAUACCAAUGACAAAGAGAACAACGUAUGUUGUUAUGCGGUUUGACCGAUAAAGAUCUUUCUAGAAUAUCUGGGAGCCAAUAUGAGCAUCCAGGUUCCGGUAUUGGUUAUUGUCCGGAGAUGUGUCUUGGUCAUGUCUACAUACUUCUGGAACCCGUAGGGUCUGCACGCUUAAAGUUCGAUGACAGUUAUAUUAUGAGUUUAUGUGUUUUGAUGUACCGAAGGAGUUCGAAGUCCUGGAUGAGAUCGGGGACAUGACGAGGAGUCUCUAAAUGGUCGAGACAUAAAGAUCGAUAUAUUGGACGACUAUAUUCGGACUUUGGAAAGGUUCCGAGUGAUUCGGGUAUUUUUCGGAGUACCGGAGAGUUACGGGAAUUCGUAUUGGGCCUUAAUGGGCCAUACGGGAAAGGAGAGAAAGGCCCCAAAAUGUGGCCGCACCCCUCCCCAUGGACUAGUCCGAAUUGGACUAGGGAGGGGGGGAGCCCCCUUCGUUCUUUCUCCUUCUCCCUUCCGUUUCUCCUACUCCAACUUGGAAGGGGGGAAUCCUACUCCCGGUGGGAGUAGGACUCCCCUAUGGCACGCCCAAGAGAGGGCCGGCCCUCCCUUCCUCUACUACUUUAUAUAUGAGGGAGGGGCACCCCAUGGAGACACAACAAUUGAUCAUUGAUCUCUUAGCCGUGUGCGGUGCCCCCCUCCACCAUAAUCCACCUCGAUAAUAUCGUAGCGGUGCUUAGGCGAAGCCCUGCGUCGGUAGAACAUCAUCAUCGUAACCACGCCGUCAUGCUGAUGGAACUCUCGCUCGACACUCGGCUGGAUCGGAGUUCGAGGGAUGUCAUCAAGCUGAACGUGAGCAAGAACUCAGAGGCGCCGUGCUUUCGGUGCUUGAUCGGUCGGGUCAUGAAGAUGUAUGACUACAUCAACUGCGUUGUGCUAACGCUUCCGCUUUCGGUCUACGAGGGUACGUGGACACACUCUACCCUCUCAUUGAUAUGCAUCACCAUGAUCUUGCGUGUGCAUUGGAAUUUUUCUGAAAUUACGGUGUUCCCCAACAGUGGCAUCGGAGCCUGGUUUUAUGCGUAGAUGUUAUAUGCACGAGUAGAACACAAGUGAGUUGUGGGCGAUACAAGUCAUACUGGUUACCAGCAUGUCAUACUUUGGUUCGGUGGUAUUGUUGGAUGAAGCGGCCCGGACCGACAUUAUGCGUACGCUUACGCAAGACUGGUUCUACCGACGUGCUUUGCACAUAGGUCGCUGGCGGGUGUCAGUUUCUCCAACUUUACAACCGAGUGUGGCUACGCCCGGUCCUUGCGGAGGUUAAAAAAACACUAACUUGAUGAACUAUCGUUGUGGUUUUGAUGCGUAGGUAAGAACGGUUCUUUCUCAGCCCGUAGCAACCACGUAAAACUUGCAACAACAAAGUAGAGGACUUCUAACUUGUUUUUGCAGGGCAUGUUGCGAUGUGAUAUGGUCAAGACGUGAUGCCAUAUUUUAUUGUAUGAGAUGAUCAUGUUUUGUAACUGAGUUAUCGGCAACUGGCAGGAGCCAUAUGGUUGUCGCUUUAUUGUAUGCAAUGCAAUCGCCCUGUAAUUGCUUUACUUUAUCACUAGGCGGUAGUGAUAGUCGUAGAAGCAAUAGGUGGCGAAACGACAAGGAUGCUACGAUGGAGAUCAAGGUGUCGGGCCGGUGACGAUGGUGAUCAUGACGGUGCUUCAGAGAUGGUGAUCACAAGCACAAGAUGAUGAUGGUCAUAUCAUAUCACUUAUAUUGAUUGCAUGUGAUGUUUAUCCUUUAUGCAUCUUAUUUUGCUUUGAUUGACGGUAGCAUUAUAAGAUGAUCUCUCACUAAAUUUCAAGGUAUAAGUGUUCUCCCUGAGUAUGCACCAUUGUGAAAGUUCUUCGUGCUGAGACACCACGUGAUGAUCGGGUGUGAUAGGCUCUACGUUCAAAUACAACGGGUGCAAAAAAGUUGCACACGCGGAAUACUCAAGUUAAACUUGAUGAGCCUAGCAUAUACAGAUAUGGCCUCGGAACACUGAGACCAAAAGGUCGAGCGUGAAUCAUAUAGCAGAUAUGAUCAACAUAGUGAUGUUCACCAUUGAAAACUACUCCAUCUCUCGUGAUGAUCGGACAUGGUUUAGUUGAUUUGGAUCACGUGAUCACUUAGAUGAUUAGAGGGAUGUCUAUCUAAGUCGGAGUUCUUAAGUAAUAUUAUUAAUUGAACUUUAAUUUAUCAUGAACUUAGUCCUGGUAGUAUUUUGCAAAUUAUGUUGUAGAUCAAUAGCUCGCGGUGUUGCUUCCCUAUGUUUUUAUAUAUGUUCCUAGAGAAAACUAAGUUGAAAGAUGUUAGUAGCAAUGAUGCAGACUUGGUCCGUGAUCUGAGGUUUAUCCUCAUUGCUGCACAGAAGAAUUAUGUCGUUGAUGCACCGCUAGGUGACAGACCUAUUGCAGGAGCAGAUGCAGACAUUAUGAACGUUUGGCUAGCUCAAUAUGAUGACUACUUGAUAGUUUUGUGCACCAUGCUUUAUGGCUUAGAACCGAGACUACAAAAACAUUUUUGAAACGUCACAGAACAUAUGAGAUGUUCCAUGAGAUGAAAUUGAUAUUUUAGACUCAUGCCCGUGUCAAGAGGUAUGAGACCUCUGACAAAUACUUCGCCUAAAAGAUGGAGGAGAAUUGCUCAACUAGUGAGCAAGUGCUUAGAUUGUCUGAGUACUACAAUCACUUGAAUCAAGUGGGAUUUAAUCUUCCAGAUAAGAUAGUGAUUGACAGAGUUCUCUAGUCACCAUCACCAUGUUAGUAGAACUUCAUGAUGAACUAUAGUAUGCGAGGGAUGGCGAAAACGAUUCCCGAGCUCUUCGUGAUGCUGAAAUCGACGAUGGUAGAAAUCAAGAAAGAACAUCAAGUGUUGAUGAUUGACAAGAUCACUAGUUUCAAGAAAAGGGCAAAGGAAAAGAAAGGGAACUUCAAGUAGAAUGGAAAGCAAGUUGUCACUCCCGUGAAGAAGCCCAAAGCUGGAACCAAAGCCUGAAACUAAGUGCUUCUAUUGCAAAGGAAAUGGUCACUGGAAGCGGAAAUGCCCUGAAUAUUUGGUGGAUAAGAAGGAUGGCAAAGUGAACAAGGGUAUAUUUGAUAUACAUGUUAUUGAUGUGUACCUUACUAGUGUUUAUAGUAACCCCUGAGUAUUUGAUACUUGUUUGGUUGCUAAGAUUAGUAACUCGAAAAAGGAGUUAUAGAAUAAAUAGAAACUAGUUGAGGGUGAAGUGACGAUGUGUGUUGGAAGUGGUUCCAAGAUUGAUAUGAUCAUCAUUGUACACUCCCUAUACUUUCGGGAUUAGUGUUGAACCUAAAUAAAUGUUAUUUGGCAUUUUCGUUAAGCAUGAAUAUGAUUUGAUCACGUUUAUUGCAAUACGGUUAUUCAUCUAAAACAGAGAAUAAUUGUUGUUAUGUUUACAUGAAUAAAGCCUUCGAUGGUCAUACACCCAAUGAAAAUAGUUUGUUGGAUCUUGAUCGUAGUGAUACACAUAUUCAUAAUAUUGAUUCCAAAAGAUGCAAAGUUGAUAAUGAUAGUGCAACUUAUUUGUGGCACUGCCGUUUGGGUCAUAUCGGUGUAAAGCGCAUGAAGAAACUCCAUAAUGAUGGAUUUUUGGAAUCACUUGGUUAUGAAUCAUUUGAUGCUUGCGAACCAUGCCUUUUGGGCAAGAUGACUAAAACUCCGUUCUCCGGAACAAUGGAACGAGCUAGUGACUUAUUGAAAAUAAUACAUACCGAUGUAUGCGGUCCAAUGAGUGUUGAUGCUCAUGGCGGGCAUCGUUAUUUUCUGACCUUCACAAGAUGAUUUGAGCGGAUAUGAGUAUAUCUACUUAAUGAAGCACAAGUCUGAAACAUUUGAAAAGUUCAAAGAAUUUCAGAGUGAAGUGGAGAAUCAUCGUAAAAAUAAAAUAAAGUUUCUGCGAUUUGAUCACGGAGACAAAUAUUUGAGUUACGAGUUUGGUCUUUAAUUAAAACACUGUGGAAUAGUUUCACAAACUCAUGCCACCUGGAACACCACAGCUUAAUGGUGUGUCCGAACGUCAUAACCAUACUUUAUUGGAUAUAGUGCAAUCUAUGAUGUCUCUUACCGAUUUACCACUAUCGUUUUGGGGUUAUGCAUUAGAGACAGCUGCAUUCACUUUAAGUAGGGCACCAUCAAAAUCCAUUGAGACGACACCAUAUGAACCGUGGUUUGGCAAGAAACCAAAUUUGUCGUUUCUUAAAAGUUUGGGGCUAUGAUGCUUAUGUGAAAUAUUUCAACCUGAUAAGCUCGAACCCAAAUCGGAGAAGUGCGUCUUCAUAGGAUACCCAAAGGAAAUUGUUGGGUACACCUUCUAUCACAGAUCCGAAAGCAAGAUUCGUUGCUAAGAAUGGAUCCUUUCUAGAGAAGAAGUUUCUCUCGAAAGAAGUGAGUGGGAGGAAAGUAGAACUUGAUGAGGUAAUUGUACCUUCUCCCUUAUUGGAAAGUAGUUCAUCACAGAAAUCAGUUCCAAUGAUUCCUACACCAAUUACUGAGGAAGUUAAUGAUGAUGAUCAUGAAACUUCAGAUCAAGUUGCUACCAAACCUCGUAGGUCUUCCAGAGUAAGAUCCGCACCAGAGUGGUACGGUAAUCCAGUUUUGGAAGUCAUAUUACUAGACCAUGAUGAAGCUACAAACUAUGAGGAAGCGAUGAUGAGCCCAGAUUCCGCGAAAUGGCUUGAGGCCAUAAAAUCUGAGAUAGGAUCCAUGUAUGAGAACAAACUAUGGACUUGAUUGACUUGCUCGAUGAUCAGCAAGCCAUGUUAAAUAAAUGGAUCUUCAAGAGGAAGACGGACACUGAUAGUAGUGUUACUAUCUACUAAGCUCGACUUGUUGCAAAAGGUUUUUGACAAGUUCAAGGUGUUGAAUACGAUGAGAUUUUCUCACUCGUAUCGAUGCUUAAGUUUGCCUGAAUCAUGUUAGCAAUUGCCACAUUUUAUGAAAUCUGGGAAAUGGAUGUCAAAACUGCAUUCCUUAAAUGGAUAUUUCUUAAAGAAGUGUUGUAUAUGAUACAACCAGAAGGUAUUGUCAAUCCUAAAGGUGCUAACAAAAUGUGCAAGCUCCAACGAUCCAUCAAUGGACUGGUGCAAGCAUCUCGGAGUUGGAAUAUACGCUUUGAUGAGUCAAUCAAAGCAUAUGGUUUUAUACAGACUUUUGGAGAAGCUUGUAUUUACAAGAAAGUCAGUGGGAGCUUUGUAGCAUUCCUAAAACUAUAUGUAGAUGACAUAUUGUUGAUUGGAAAUGAUAUAGAAAUUCUGGAUAGCAUAAAAGGAUACUUGAAUAAGAGUUUUUCAAAGAAAGACCUCGGUGAAGCUGCUUACAUAUUGAGCAUCAAGAUCUAUUGAGAUAGAUCAAGACGCUUCAUAAGAUUUUUCAAUGAGUACAUACCUUGAUAAGAUUUUGAAGUAGUUCAAAAUGAAACAGUCAAAGAAGGAGUUCUUGCCUGUGUUGCAAGGUGUGAAGUUGAGUAAGACUCAAAACACGACCAUGUCAGAAAAUAGAAAGAGAAUGAAAGUCAUUCCCUAUGCAUCAAUCAUAGGUUCUAUAAAAGUAUGCCAUGCUAUGGACCAGACCUAUUGUAUACUCUGCCCUGGUUUGGCAAGGGAGUACAAUAGUGAUCUAGGAGUAGAUCACUAGACAUUGGUCAAAAUUAUCCUUAGUGGAAUAAGGAUAUGUUUCUUGAUUAUGGAGGUGACAAAAGGUUCGUCGUAAAGGGUUAGGUCGAUACAAGUUUUGGUACUGAUCCAGAUGACUCUAAGUCUUAAUCUGGAUACAUAUUGAAAGUGGGAGCAAUUAGCUAGAGUAGCUCCAUGCAGAGCAUUGUAGACAUAGAAUAUUUGCAAAAUACAAACGGCUCUGAAUAUGACAAACCCGUUGACUAAACUUCUCUCACGAACAAAACAUGAUCAUACCUUAGUACUCCUUGGGUGUUAAUCACAUAGCGAUGUGAACUAGAUUAUUGACUCUAGUCAACCCUUUGGGUGUUGAUCACAUGACGAUGUGAACUAUGGGUAUUAAUCACAUACAUAUGUGAAUAUUAGUGUUGAAUCACGUGGCAAUGUGAACUAGAUUAUUGACUCUAGUGCAAGUGGGAGACUGAAGGAAAUAUGCCCUAGAGGCAAUAAUAAAGUUAUUAUUUAUUUCCUUAUAUCAUGAUAAAUGUUUAUUAUUGAUGCUAGAAUUGUAUUAACCGUAAACAUAAUACAUGUAGGAAUACAUAGACAAACAGAGUGUCACUAGUAUGCCUCUACUUGACUAGCUCAUGAAUCAAAGAUGGUUAAGUUUCCUAACCAUAGACAUGAGUUGUCAUUAGAUUAACGGGAUCACAUCAUUAGGAGAAUGAUGUGAUUGACUUGACCCAUUCCGUUAGCUUAGCACUUGAUUAUUUAGUAUGUUGAUAUUGCUUUCUUCGUGACUUAUACAUGUUCCUAUGACUAUGAGAUUAUGUAACUCCCGUUUACCGGAAGAACACUUUGUGUGCUACCAAACAUCACAACGUAACUGGGUGAUUAUAAAGGUGCUCUACAGGUGUCUCCGAAGGUACUUGUUGAGUUGACAUAUUUCGAGAUUAGGAUUUGUCACUCCGAUUGUCGGAGAGGUAUCUCUGGGCCCUCUUGGUAAUGCACAUCACUAUAAGCCUUGCAAGCAAUGUAGCUAAUGAGUUAGUUACAAGAUGAUGCAUUACGUAACGAGUAAAGAGACUUGCUGGUAACGAGAUUGAACUAGGUAUUGAGAUACCGACGAUCGAAUCUCGGGCAAGUAACAUACCGAUGACAAAGGGAACAACGUAUGUUGUUAUGCGGUUUGACCGAUAAAGAUCUUCGUAGAAUAUGUGGGAGCCAAUAUGAGCAUCCAGGUUCCGCUAUUGGUUAUUGUCUGAAGACGUGUCUCGGUCAUGUCAACAUAGUUCUCGAACCCGUAGGUUCUGCACGCUUAAAGUUUGAUCACAGUUAUAUUAUGAGUUUAUGUUUUUUGAUGUACCGAAGGAGUUCGGAGUCCCUGAUGAGAUUGGGGACAUGACGAGGAGUCUCGAAAUGGAUGAGACGUAAAAUUGAUAUAUUGGACGACUAUAUUCGGACUUCGGAAAGGUUCCGAGUGAUUCAGGUAUUUUUUCGGAGUACCGGAGAGUUACAUGAAUUCGUAUUGGGCCUUAAUGGGCCAUAUGGGAAAGGAGAGAAAGGCCCCAAAGGGUGGACGCACCCCUACCCAUGGACUAGUCCAAAUUGGACUAGGGUGGGGGCGCCCCCUUCCUUCCUUCUCCUUCUCCCUUCCCUUUCUCCUACUCCAACUUGGAAGGGGGGAAUCCUAUUCCUGGUGGGAGUAAAACUCCCCUAUGGCGCGCGCAAGAGAGGGCCGGCCCUCCCCUCCUCUACUCCUUUAUAUAUGGGGGAGGGGGCACCCCAUGGAGACACAACAAUUGAUCAUUGAUCUCUUAGCCAUGUGCGGUGCCCCCCUCCACCAUAAUCCCCCUCGAUAAUAUCGUAGCGGUGCUUAGGUGAAGCCCUGCGUCGGUAGAACAUCAUCAUCGUCACCACGCCGUCGUGCUGACGGAACUCUCCCUCGACACACGGUUGGAUCGGAAUUCGAGGGAGGUCAUCGAGCUGAACGUGUGCAAGAACUCGGAGGUGUUGUGCUUUCGGUGCUUGAUCGGUCGGGCCGUGAAGACGUACGACUACAUCAACCGCGUUGUGCUAACGCUUCUGCUUUCGGUCUACGAGGGUACGUGGACACACUCUCCCCUCUCAUUGAUAUGCAUCACCAUGAUCUUGCAUGUGCAUAGGAAAUUUUUUGAAAUUACUGCAUUCCCCAACACCUACAUGGCGCGCCAAAUGUCGGAAUUGGGGCUCCAUGGACCCAAACAAGGUUCGAAGUCUGGGGCAUCAAACGAAGGAUCCUGCCAUGCUAUAGGUCGCUGCUCACCAGCCCACGGCCUGGAUCCGAUGAGUUCGGGCGAGCGGGAAGAAGAAGUGGACAUGGUGAUUUACCCAGGUUCGGGCCACCUUGCGGUGUCAAACCCUACUCCUGGUUGGUCGUGGAUUGCCUCGCGAGGAGGAUGAUUAUGAACUAGUACAAGUGUGAGCUGCCUUGAGAGGGCUCCAUGAUAGAAGGAUUCGAUCUUUCUCCAUGGUGGAGACUAACUCAUAUUUAUAGUGGCCUUGGUCCUCUUCCCUCAUAGCUUAGGCAGGAAGGGAUACCACAACGGCCAAAUUUGAAGGGGGAUUGAAGUACACCCUAUCCUGACUAAAGGUGGUCUUUGCCUGCAAAGCUUCUUAUCGUAACGCAGUGGUGGGCUCGGUGAUAACCUCCGUCCCGCCGAGCCAGCGGUCUUGGUCUUGUUGCACCUGAAUGGAAACCUUUGGGGGAUUCCUUGGGAACCCGUGUACGUACUUGCCUCCUUAGCACCAAAGAGGAAACUGCCCCGGACUGCGCCCGUCGGGGCCCUGCUUGCCUUAGUCGUCAUGUCUCACACCACCGCGCUCCUCGCAAGGUGAGGUGCCUUCCUAGAGAUAUCCGCUCCUCGGGAGGCAGCCUCACGUGGCUGCUCCUCGAGAGAUCUUGAUGGCAUUCGCCUCGUGAGGAGGGGGGCCUCGCAAGGGUCUUUAAUUGCUCGUGAGGUCCUACUGCUGGACCGUGCUGGGCCGUUGUUGAAGCCACACGCUAGGCCGCGGGCAUACGGGUCUGGGACCCUCGGUCCCAGAAUGUUGAUAGUAGACCCUGGGCCCACGGCACACUCGGCCUGGCUUCGAGGCAAAGGCAGAGAGGGGAGGGCGAAGCGACGCGGGCCCUACCUGCCUAAGGGCAAGGCUUGACUCGUGGCACACGACGGGACGUGGACACCCCCACUUCCCCAUGUCGCCUCGAUAACCACCCUGGAUGACAGUCUGGCACGCGUGCAGCUGAUAACCCACAAGUGUAGGGGAUCACAACAGCUUUCAAGGGUAGAGUAUUCAACCCAAAUUUAUUGAUUCGACACAAGGGGAGCCAAAGAAUAUUCUUAAGUAUUAGCAGUUGAGUUGUCAAUUCAACCACACCUGGAUAACUUAGUAUCUGUAGCAAACUAUUUAGUAGCAAAGUAGUAUGAUAGUAAUGGUAACAGUGGAAAACGUAAAGAUAAUUGUUUUGUGGUAAUUGUAACAGUAGCAACGGAAAAGUAAAUAAGCGAAACACAAGAUGUGAAAAGCUCGUAGUCAUUGGAUCAGUGAUGGAUAAUUAUGUCGGAUGCGAUACCUCAUGUAAUAGCUAUAACCUAGGGUGACACAGAACUAGCUCCAGUUCAUCAAUGUAAUGUAGGCAUGUAUUCCGAAUAUAGUCAUACGUGCUUAUGGAAAAGACCUUGCAUGCCAUCUUUUGUCCUACCCUCCCGUGGCAGCGGGGUCCUAGUGGAAACUAAGGGAUAUUAAGACCUCCUUUUAAUAGAGUAUCGGACCAAAGCAUUAAAACAUAGUGAAUACAUGAACUCCUCAAACUACGGUCAUCACCGAGAAGUAUCCUGAUUAUUGUCACUUCAGGGUUGUCGGAUCAUUACACAUAAUAGGUGACUAUAGACUUGCAAGAUAGGAUCAAGAACACACGUAUAUUCAUGAAAACAUAAUAGGUUCAGAUCUGGAAUCAUGGCACUCGGGCCCUAGUGACAGGCAUUAAGCAUAGCAAAGUCAUAGAAACAUCAAUCUCAGAAGAUAGUGGAUAAUAGGGAUCAAACCCUAACAAAGCUAACUUGAUUACAUGGUAAAUCUCAUCCAACCCAUCACCGUCUAGCAAGCCUACAAUGGAAUUACUCACGCACGACGGUGAGCAUCAUGAAAUUGGUGAUGGAGGAUGGUUGAUGAUGAUGACGGUGACAAAUCCCCCUCUCCGGAGCCCCGAACGGACUCCAAAUCAGCCCUCCCAAGAGAGAUUAGGGCUUGGCGGCGGCUCCGUAUCGUAAAAUGCGAUAAAACUUUCUCUCCGAUUCUUUUCUCCGUGAAACAGAAUAUAUGGAGUUGGAGUUGAGGUCGGUGGAGCCUCAGGGGGCCCACGAGACAGGGGGGGUAUGCCCAGGGGGGAGGGUGCUCCACCCACCUGAUGAGGAUACAGACCUGGGGUAGGGUCAUAGGCCUGACCUAUACGUCCUACCUAAGGUCACUACCCCAGAAGAUAAAAAGACCAAGAGUCAACAGGAGAGCACCAGUCGAGUACAUCGAGUGCAAUCCACUCGACGAUCACAUCACUCAAUAGUCACCCCCUACCAUUAAUCGACUAUAUGGGGAGUCACUCGACUGUAUCAAAGACCAGGAGUCGGAAGAUCAUGCAAUGGCCGGACGUUCACUCCUUAGUCUUUAUGAGCAUUAAGAAUACUUAAGACUGGCAUUACCAGUAACGCCCCUUACUUUAUGUACAUUAAGCCCCUUGUAAUGGAGGAUGGCGGGGGUCCUGGCGCACUCUAUAUAAGCCGCCCCCUCCUCUGGGACAAGGGUUCGCACCCCCUAUAAUACAACACACAUAAUCCAAUCGACCGCCUCUCGGCACCGAGACAUAGGGCUAUUACUUCCUCCGAGAAGGGCCUGAACUCGUAAACCUCGUGUGUAAAACUUCUCCAUAGCUAAGAUCUUGCCCCUCCAUACCUACCCCCCUUUCUACUGUCAGUCUUAGGACCACGACAGUUGGCGCCCACCUUGGGGCCGGUGUCUUAGCGACUUGUUGGUGAAGUUGCAAGUUUUACCGAUCAUCAUCAUCAUGGUUUCCAGCGGCGGAUUGGCUGAGGGCCACGAGAUCCAUCUCGGUGCGCUCGUUUUCGUCGCCGACGACUCCGCGUGGCUUCAAGAAGCUCCCCUGGACACUGAGGCGCUCCCAGUGCGAGGGGCGAUGCAAUUCCGUGCGUGCGUUCACGGCAUCCUUCUCCGGCAGCCGUCGACUCAAUAUUAGUUGGCUACGAUGGUGUUUUCCCUCCCCGCUGUUCGCCGCCGCAAGCGGUCCGGUGGGUGAAACACGUGGUGGCUCGGCAUUCGACGACCCAUCAAGUCGCGGCAAUCGAGCCCGACGAAACUCUCCAUGGCCUGUUCGAUCUGUCGACUGGCUCCGCGGAGACCGCAUCCGAGUGUGAUAGCAGCGAUCCUGCGGCCGAAGUCUUGAUGGUCGAUGGGCCUCACAACCCGCCCGGUUUCCGCCGCGAGGGCGGCGGGGAUGGAGGCGGUGAUCCAUCGCACGUUCAUGAGGAAUACCGACCCGAGCCCCUCUCUUCACAGCAGAGGGAAGAACUUCAUCGCCGUAACAUGGAUGCACUCCACACGCCCAUUGUUGGAGAAACCCCCGAGGCUCUGGCCUUGGAGGAGGUACGCUUGGCUAAUUUGGCUGAGCGCACUCGACUGGAUAACCUUCAGCUGGCUCUCAACGAGCGCGCUCAGGAGCGGAUCCAUGAGUCCAUCUGACAACAACUUUUUCCGCCUCCACCUAAGGUAUACCGCACUCCGAUUCAGAAUCUCACAGCUGCGGCCCGAAUAGCAGAGUCGAUCCAACCUUCCCAGUCAGAAGCUGGCAUAGGGUUGAUGCAGAUCCGGGCCCUGCUUAGGGCAGCAGGAGAACAGAAUACAUCAAUAUCUCAGUCGCGGAAUAGGAUUCACAGCAGAUCCGUUGCAGCGGACAUGGUUCAGUCGGCUCACAGCCCAAGAUCGCCUCCGCGGCGGGAAGGCCGUGGGCAGUAUGAUCAUCCACUCGACCGUGACAAUCGCCGUCGAGGACCCAUGCCUCCCCCGAGGAGUGCGUCAUAUGUGCCUCGGUGGAACGAUGACAUGCGCCGUCACAGUGGUGAGCGCAGGGCUUCAGUCGACACAAGGGAACCGGGCUUCGAUGCGUCGUCUAUCCUCGUUCAACGCCUGGUCGACCGGAACAGACACACAGAGAAGACCCAGGCAGAGAUCGUCCAAGUGGAACCCGAGUGCAUGUUUCUGGUCCCGAGUGUUUUAGCAGGGCCAUUAGGGAAGCAGUGAUUCUGCCCAACUUCAGGUUGGCGUCCGGAGUCAGUAAGUUCACCGGCGAAUCUAAGCCUGAAACUUGGCUUGAAGAUUACCGAGUGGCUGUAUAGAUUGGCGGUGGAAACGAUGAGGUUGCGAUGGAACAUCUUUCUCUGAUGUUGGAAGGGUCAGCCCGAGCGUGGUUGACUCAGUUGCCUCCAAGCAGUAUAUACAGCUGGGAAGAACUGGCUCGAGUGUUUGUCAGAACUUUCAAAGGCACGUGCAAAUGACCAACGGGGUUAACCGAGUUGCAGCAUUGUGUUGAGAAGCCGGGUGAGACCUUGAGGGAUUUUAUCUAGAGGUGGUCCACUAUGCAUCACACCGUCGAAAAUGUCUCAGAGCAUCUGGCAGUGUGUACUUUCAAGGAAGGAGCCAAAUAUAGAGAGUUGGUCUUGAAAUUUGGCCGGACUGGGGAUAUGACUCUGACUCGGAUGAUGGAGAUAGCCACCCGGUACGCUAACAGAGAAGAGGAGGAUCGACUGCAUAGCAGGAAUAGAAAACCAGUUGGCCAAGAGGCCGGUGGAGGUAACUCCGGUCGGAAACAGAAGCAUAAGGCCGAACCAGCGGCACCUGGAGAGAUUGCGGCAAUGAAUCAAGGAAAGUUUAAGGGAAAAUCUAAGGGGCCCUGGCCCCCUAAAAAGGUAAAGGAUCAAGCAGGGAAUGACGUGCUGGAUUUGCCAUGUCACAUCCACCCAAAGAAAGAUGAACAAGGUAAUCUGAUUUACCUGAAACAUACAACUCGACAGUGUCGACUCUUGAUCCAGCAGUUCCGGGAGAAGCAGCCCAAUGAGAAGUGAUGACCCACAAGUAUAGGGGAUCUAUCGUAGUCCUUUCGAUAAGUAAGAGUGUCGAACCCAACGAGGAGCAGAAGGAAAUGAUAAGCGGUUUUCAGCAAGGUAUUCUCUGCAAGUACUGAAAUAAGUGGUAACAGAUAGUUUUGUGAUAAGAUAAAUUGUAACGAGCAACAAGUAACAAAAGUAAAUAAAGUGCAGCAAGGUGGCCCAAUCCUUUUUGUAGCAAAGGACAAGCCUGGACAAACUCUUAUAAUAGGAAAAGCACUCCCGAGGACACAUGGGAAUAUCGUCAAGCUAGUUUUCAUCACGCUCAUAUGAUUCGCGUUCGGUACUUUGAUAAUUUGAUAUGUGGGUGGACCGGUGGUUGGGUGUUGUUCUUACUUGAACAAGCAUCCCACUUAUGAUUAACCUCUAUUGCAAGCAUACGCAACUACAACAAAAGUAUUAAGGUAAACCUAACCAUAGCAUGAAACAUAUGGAUCCAAAUCAGCCCCUUACGAAGCAACACAUAAACUAGGGUUCAAGCUUCUGUCACUCUAGCAACCCAUCAUCUACUUAUUACUUCCCAAUGCCUUCCUCUAGGCCCAAAUAAUGGUGAAGUGUUAUGUAGUCGACGUUCACAUAACACCACUAGAGGCUAGACAACAUACAUCUUAUCAAAAUAUCGAAUGAAUACCAAAUUCACAUGACUACUAAUAGCAAGACUUCUCCCUUGUCCUCAGGAAAAAACGUAACUACUCACAAAGCAUAUUCAUGUUAAUAAUCAGAGGGGUAAUAAUGUGCAUCAAGGAUCUGAACAUAUGAUCUUCCACCAUAUAAACGAACUAGCAUCAACUACAAGGAGUAAUCAACACUACUAGCAACCUAGUAGCACCAAUCCCGGACUUGGAGACAAGAAUUGGAUACAAUAGAUGAACUAGGGUUUGGAGAUGAGAUGGUGCUGGUGAAGAUGUUGAUGGAGAUUGCCCUCUCCCGGUGAGAGGAGCAUUGAUGAUGACGAUAGUGAUGAUUUCCCCCUCUCAGAGGGAAGUGUCCCUGGCAGAACAGCUCUGCAGGAGCCCUAGAUUGGUUUCGCCAAGGUUCCGCCUCGUGGCGGUGGAGUCUCGUCCCGAAAGGUUGCCUCUGGUUUUUUUUCUCAUCGAAAGACUUCAUAUAGGAGAAGAUGGGCGUCGGAGAGCCACCAGGGGAUCCACGAGGUAGGGGGCGCGCCCCAGGGAGGGGGAGCGCCCCCCUCCCUCGUGAGCAGGGUGUGGGCCCCCUGGCCUUCAUCUUUGGCGACGAUUUUUCUUUAUUUAUUUUAAGAUAUUCCAUUGAGUUUCAGGACUUUUGGAGUUGCGCAGAAUAGGCCUCCAAUAUUUGCUCCUUUUCCAGCCCAGAAUUCCAGCUGCCGGCAUUCUCCCUCUUCAUGUAAACCUUGUAAAAUAAGAGAUAAUAGCCAUAAGUAUUGUGACAUAACGUGAAAUAACAGCCCAUAAUGCAAUAAAUAUUGAUAUAAAAGCAUGAUGCAAAAUGGACGUAUCAACUCCCCCAAGCUUAGACCUCGCUUGUUCUCAAGCGAAAAGCCGAUAACAAUAAAUAUGUCCUCAUGUUUAGAGGUAGAGGCGUGGAUAAAAAUAAAAUACGGGCAUGAAGGCAUCAUGAUUAUUUCUAUAACAGCAACAUGUAGAGAUUUUGUCAUAUGAUUACUUAUGUUCAAGUGAUGAUCUUUUCACAAAGCAAAAAGUAUGAAUCAGAAACCUUAUUGAGCACCAACAAAUUAUAACCUCAGUCAUUGAAGCAAUUGCAAUUUAUCAUAACAUCGGAAAGAGUCUAUGUCAGAGCUUAAAAGCAAGUCCACAUACUCAACUAUCACUUAGUCCUUCAUAAUUGCUAACACUCACGCUAUACUUGUGGUUACGGAGUUUUAAUCGGGCACAGAGAAAGAUAGGGGCUUAUAGUUUUGCCCCACAACCUUUUACCUCAAGGGUAAUGUCAAUAAUAAUGAUUCAUGCUCCCCUACAUCCAAUUAGAUAUAUAUAUCAUGUUCUUUCCAACAUGCUGAGCUUGCCAAAGGACAAAAUGAAAAAGGAAAGGUGAAGAUCACCGUGACUUUUGCAUAAGGUAGAGGAUAAUAAAAAAGGAUAGGCCCUUCGCAGAGGGAAGCAGAGGUUGUCAUGCGCGUUUAGGGUUGAUGCACAAAAUCUUAAUGCAAAAGAACGUCACUUUAUAUUGCCCCUUGUAUGUGGACCUUUAUUAUGCAGUCCGUCGCUUUUAUUACGUCCACAACAAGUUCGUACAAAGCUUAUUUUCUCCGCACUAAUAAGUCAUGCAUAUUUAGAGAGCAAUUUUUAUUGCUUGCACCGAUGACAACUUACUUGAAGGAUCUUACUCAAUCCAUAGGUAGAUAUGGUGGACUCUCAUGGCAAAACUGGUUUAAGGGUAAUUGGAAGCACAAAUAGUAUUUCUACUUGGUGCUGAGAAUUUGGCUAGCAUGAGGGGGAAAGGCAAGCUCAACACGUUAGAGGAUCCAUGACAACAUACUUUAUCUUAGAUAUAAGAAAACAUAACUCAUCAUAUUGUCUUCCUUGUCCAACCUCAACUCUUUAGCAUGUCAUAUUUUAAUGAGUGCUCCCAAUCAUAAAAGAUGUCAAUGAUAAUAUAUCUAUAUGUGAAACCUCUCUUUCCUUAUUACAUCCUAUUAAUUGCAACGAUGACCAAAGCUAUAUUUGCCAACUCCCAACAAAUUUUAAUCAUCAUACUCUCUCUAUGUGAAGUCAUUACUUUCAAUAAGAUCAAUAUGGACUCUUUGAUUAUUUUUAUUCUUUUCUUCUAUUCACCCAAGAUCAUGGAAAAAUAAACAAUCCCUUGACUUAACACUAAUCUUUAUUAUAUAGCUCAUGGACUCGAUUACAAAGAAGGAUCGUAAAGCAAAACUCAAAACUAGAUCAUGCCAUGACUUUAUUCUACUAAAUCAAGAUACUACUAAUAGGAUCGAACUAAGAAAAAUGGUAAAGAUAGGAGUUGUGAUGGUGAUACGAUACCAGGGCACCUCCCCCAAGCUUGGCAGUUGCCAAGGCGAGUGCCCAUACCCAUGUGAUUAUGUCUCCUUCUUUGUUGUUGGUUGAAUAUUCUUGGCGAUGAUUCCCCUCAAGAUACGGUUCUCCUCCUCGAGCUUAUUGACUUGCUGCUUGAGGUCCAUUAUUUCCUUGCGAAGCUUUCCUGUAACGGCUAAAGCUCCUUGUACCCAAGGGUGUUUCAUAGCUGCGGGAGAACAAGAGACACUCCUCCUCAUAUUUUCAUAAGAAAGAAAUCUAAUAUUAGAAGGGAUAACCGAGUUUGGAAUAGCUGAGCUCUGUAGUUCCCCCAUAGUAAACCCAGUUCGGAGGCGAGAGGUGACUUCUUGAUCUUCCAUGGUAUCUACCCUCAUUAGGUCAGCCUCCAUCUCUUCCUCCGUUGCUGGACCAAAGUGGUCAGCAUCGCUGUUUGCCCUUGGUUCCGGUCACGGAUUAGAUAUCCGGCUCCCCCCAACUGACUCUUGAGAAGACAUCUUUCUCAAAUCUGAAGUAGCAACAGCUCGAGACAAGAACAGGGGAUAUUUGCAUGAUACGAGAGUCAAAACCUUCGGGAGAAUAUAUAAUGAAUUUUUACCAGCCAAAAUACGUAUCGUACAAGAAAACGGAGUCCGGAGAGCACACGAGGUGCUCACGAGGUAGGGGGCGCGCCCAGGGGGGUAGGGCGCGCCCUCCACCCUCGUGGAGGCCUCGUGUCCUUCCCGGACUGCCACUUAUUUUUCUAUUUUUCUAAAUAUUCCAAAACGGAGAAAUAUUGCCUUAAAAAUUGUUUUGGAGUCGGUUUACUUACCGUACCACAUGCCUAUUCCUUUUCGGAGUCUGGAGCGGGCUGGAAAGUGUCCCUUAUUUAUUCCUCCGGGGUUACAGUUUCAAUAAUAUUGGUUUCAACAUUUAUAGGAUUACCUGAGAUAUAGUGUUUGAUUCUUUGACCGUUUACCACCUUCGGGUUUGUGCCUUCAAAGUUGUUGAUUUUUAUGGCACCGGAACGAUAAACCUCCUCGAUAAUGUAGGGACCUUCCCAUUUAGAGAGAAGUUUUCCUGCAAAAUAUCUUAAACGAGAGUUGUAUAGCAAUACAUAAUCACCUACAUUAAACUCACGCUUUUGUAUUCUUUUGUCAUGCCAUCUUUUAACUUUUUCUUUAAACAACUUGGCAUUUUCAUAAUCUUGGGUUCUCCAUUCAUCAAGUGAGCUAAUGUCAAAUAACCUCUUCUCACCGGCAAGUUUGAAAUCAUAGUUGAGCUCUUUAAUAGCCCAAUAUGCCUUAUGUUCUAGUUCGAGGGGUAAGUGACAAGCUUUUCCAUAGACCAUUUUAUACGGAGACAUACCCAUACGAUUUUUAUAUGCAGUUCUAUAGGCCCAUAAUGCAUCAUCAAGUUUCUUGGAACAAUUCUUCCUAGACCUAUUGACAAUUUUUUGCAAAAUUAAUUUGAGCUCUCUAUUUCUCAAUUCUACUUGACCACUAGACUGCGGGUGAUAAGGAGAUGCAAUCCUAUGAUUAACGUCAUAUUUAGCAAGCAUUUUACGGAAAGCACCAUGAAUAAAGUGUGAACCACCAUCAGUCAUUAAAUAUCUAGGGACUCCAAACCUCGGAAAAAUAACUUCCUUAAGCAUUUUAAUAGAAGUGUUAUGAUCAACACUACUAGUUGGAAUAGCUUCUACCCACUUAGUAACGUAAUCAACAACAACUAAAAUAUGUGUGUAUCCAUUAGAGGAAAAGUUCCCAUAUAAUCAAAGUCCCAAACAUCAAAUGGUUCAAUAACAAGUGAAUAAUUCAUAGGCAUUUCUUGACGUCUACUAAUAUUACCAAUUCUUUGGCAUUCAUCGCAAGACAAAAAAACUUACGGGCAUCCUUGAAGAGAGUAGGCCAAUAAAAACUAGAUUGCAAUACCUUAUGUGCAGUUCUAUCUCCAGCAUGGUAUCCUCCAUAAGCUUCGGAGUGACACUUGCGUAGGAUCUGUUCCUGUUCAUGCUCAGGUACACAACAUCUAAUGACACCAUCUACUCCUUCUUUAUAAAGAUGUGGGUCAUCCCAAAAGUAAUGUCGCAAGUCAUAGACAAACUUUUUAUUUUGUUGGUAUGUGAAGCUAGGUGGUAUAAAUUUAGCGACAAUAUAAUUAGCAUAAUCAGCAUACCAUGGAGUGCUACGAGAAGUGCUUAUGACAUUUAAUUGCUCAUCAGGGAAGCUAUCAUCAAUAGGUAGUGGGUCAUCAAGAACAUUCUCUAAUCUAGAUAAGUUGUCUGCAACGGGGUUCUCAGCUCCCUUUCUAUCAACAAUAUGCAAAUCAAAUUCUUGUAGCAAGAGAACCCAUCUAAUGAGUCUAGGUUUUGCAUCCUUCUUUUCCAUAAGAUAUUUAAUAGCAGCAUGAUCAGUGUGAGUAGUUACUUUAGAAUCAACAAUAUAGGGUCUGAAUUUAUCACAAGCAAAUACAACUUCUAAAAGUUCCUUUUCGGUAGUAGCAUAGUUUCUUUGAGCAUUUUCUAGAGUCUUACUAGCAUAAUGGAUAACAUUUAAUUUUUUAUCAACUCUUUGCCCUAGAACAGCACCUACAUCAUAAUCACUAGCAUCACCCAUAAUUUCAAAGGGUAAAUUCCAAUCAGGUGGCUGAACAACAGGUGCAGAGACUAAUGCUUUCUUAAGUAUUUCAAAUGCUUCUACACAAUCAUCAUCAAAGACAAAUGGUACAUCUUUUUGUAAUAAAUUAGUCAGAUGCCGAAAUUUUUGAGAAGUCCUUAAUGCACCUCCUAUAAAACCUGGCGUGACCAAGGAAACUUCUUAUAGCUUUGAUGUCCUUGGGACAUGGCAUCUUUUCAAUAGAAUCAACCUUGGCCUUAUCAACUUCAAUACCUCUUUCAGAAACUUUGUGCCCCAAGACAAUACCUUCAUUAACCAUAAAGUGGCACUUUUCCCAAUUGAAGACAAGAUUAGUUUCUUCACAUCUCUGCAAAACUCGAUCAAGAUUGCUCAAGCAAUCAUCAAAAGAGGAACCAUAGACGGAAAAGUCAUCCAUGAAAACCUCACAAAUUUUUUCACAAAAGUCAGAGAAUAUAGCCAUCAUGCAUCUUUGAAAGGUAGCAGGUGCAUUACAUAAACCAAAAGGCAUAUGUCUAUAAGCAAAAGUACCAAAAGGGCAUGUAAAAGUAGUCUUUGAUUGAUCUUUAGCCGACACAGGUAUUUGAGAGAAACCAGAAUAACCAUAUAGAAAGCAAUAAUGUGUAUGUUUGCAUAAUCGUUCUAGCAUUUGAUCAAUAAAAGGUAAGGGGUAAUGAUCCUUCUUAGUAGCUUUAUUUAAUUUGUGGAAAUCAAUUACCAUCCUAUAACCUGUGAUAAUUCUUUGUGGGAUCAAUCCAUCUUUAUCAUUAGGGACAACUGUAAUACCUCCCUUCUUAGGGACACAAUGGACAGGACUUACCCACUGACUAUCAGCAACGGGAUAAAUUAUACUGCCUCUAGAAGCUUGUGUAUUUAUUUUCUUACAACUUCUUUCAUUUUAGGAUUCAAACGUCGUUGAGGAUCACAAACUGGUUUGGCAUCCGCUUCUAAAUUUAUUUUAUGUUGACAUAGAGUGGGACUAAUGCCCUUAAGAUCAUCAAGUGUAUAUCCAAUACCGGCACAGUGCUUCUUCAGAGUUUUCAAUAAUCUUUCUUCUUCAUCCUCUGAAAGGUUAGCACUAAUAAUAACAGGAUAUAUUUUCUUUUCAUCAAGAUAAGCAUAUUUAAGGUUAUCGGGCAAUGGUUUAAGCUCAAACACGGGAUCACCCUUGGGUGGAGGAGGAUCCCGUAGGAUUUCAACAGGCAAAUUAUGUUGCAGGAUAGGUUCCUGUUUAAAGAAUACUUCAUCUAUUUCCCUUCUUUCAUUCAUGAACAUAUCAUUUUCAUGAUCUAGCAAAUAUUGUUCUAAAGGAUCACUAGGAGGUACAGCAAUAUAAGCAAGACCAAUAACUUCAUCCUUACUAGGCGAUUCUUCCUCACGAUGAUGUUUACUAAAUUUAGAGAAAUUAAACUCAUGAACCAUAUCAUCCAAGCCAAUAGUAACAACAUUCUUUUCGCAGUCUAUCUUAGCAUUAGCAGUAUUCAAGAAGGGUGUACCAAAUAUAAUGGGACAAAAGCUAUCUUGUGGAGAACCAAGAACAAGAAAAUCAGCGGGAUAUUUGGUUUUCCCACACAAGACUUCAACAUCUCUAACAAUUCCCACUGGAGAAAUAGUAUUUCUAUUGGCAAGUUUAAUUGUGACAUCAAUUUCUUCUAACUCAGCAGGUGCAAUAUCAUGCAUAAUUUCUUUGUAUAAGUCAAUGGGUAUUACACUAGCACUAGCACCCAUAUCACAUAAGCCAUGAUAACAAUGAUCUCCUAUUUUAACAGAAAUAACAGGCACUCCUACCACAUGUCUAUGUUUAUCUUUAUCACAAGGUUUAGCAAUUCUAGCAGUUUCACCCUGGAAUUGAAGAUCCUGCCUGUCGAUAUUAUUAGACAAGAGAUCUUUAACAAUAGCAAUAUUGGGUUCUACUUUGACUUGCUCAGGAGGUGUAUAAGUUCUAAUAUUGCUUUUAUGAACAACAGUUGAAGCUUUGGCAUGAUCCUUCAUUCUAGCCAGGAGAGGCGGUUUCUCAACAUAAGAAGUGGGAACAAUAGGAUCAUUAUAAGUAACAGUCUUUUCUUCAACUUUAAUAGGUGCAGCUACUUUUACUUCUAUGGGAGGAUGAUAUUUAAACCACUUCUCCUUGGGGAGAUCAACAUAAGUAGCAAAGGAUUCACAGAAAGAAGCUACUAUCUCAGAGUCAAGUCCAUAUUUAGUGCUAAACUUACGGAAAAUAUCGGUAUCCAUAAAAGAUUUAACACAAUUAAACUUAGGUGUCAUACCUGACUCCUUACCUUCGUCGAGGUCCCAAUCUUCAGAGUUGCAUUUAAUUCUAUCCAAUAAAUUCCAUUUAAAUUCAAUAGUCUUCAUCAUAAAAGAGCCAGCACAAGAAGUAUCGAGCAUGGUGCGAUUGUUAUCAGAAAGUCGAGCAUAAAAACUUUGCAUAAUUACUUCUCUUGGGAGCUCAUGAUUGGGGCAUGAAUAUAACAUUGAUUUAAGCCUCCCCCAAGCUUGAGCGAUGCUUUCUCCUUCGCGAGGCCAAAAAUUAUAUGUAUAAUUGCAAUCACGAUGAACAAGAUGCAUAGGGUAAUACUUUUGAUGAAAUUCCAAUUUCAAUCUUUUAUAGUUCCAUGAUCUCAUAUCAUCACAUAGCCUGUACCAUGUAAAUGUGUCUCCCUUCAAAGAUAAAGGGAAGGCCUUCUUAUUAACAACAUCAUCGGGUAUACCUGCAAGCUUAAAUAGUCCACAAACGUCAUCCACAUAGCGUAGAUGUUCAUCAGGAUGCCUUGUUCCAUCUCCUGUAAAAGUGUUAGCUAGCAGUUUUUCCAUCAUACCUGAAGGAAUCUCAAAAGGAGUUUCAUUUUCAAUAGGUUCAGUAGGUUGAGUAGGUUCAGUAGGUUGAGGAGCAACUCUUUGCUCUACUGGACGGGGUGAAGAUACCCCGAACAAGCCCCUCUGAGAAUUACUUUCCAUAGUAACAAGUGACAGAAAGUUUCAGCACACUAAAUAAAUUUUUCCUUACCAAAUUCCACCUACCAAAGGCGCUUCACUCCCCGGCAACGGCGCCAGAAAAGAGUCUUGAUGACCCACAAGUAUAUGGGAUCUAUCAUAGUCCUUUCGAUAAGUAAGAGUGUCGAACCCAACGAGGAGCAGAAGGAAAUGAUAAGCGGUUUUCAGCAAGGUAUUCUCUGCAAGUACUGAAAUAAGUGGUAACAGAUAGUUUUGUGAUAAGAUAAAUUGUAACAGAUAGUUUUGUAGCAAAGGACAAGCCUCUGAGAAUUACUUUCCAUAGUAACAAGUGACAGAAAGUUUCAGCACACUAAAUAAAUUUUUCCUUACCAAAUUCCACCUACCAAAGGCGCUUCACUCCCCGGCAACGGCGCCAGAAAAGAGUCUUGAUGACCCACAAGUAUAUGGGAUCUAUCAUAGUCCUUUCGAUAAGUAAGAGUGUCGAACCCAACGAGGAGCAGAAGGAAAUGAUAAGCGGUUUUCAGCAAGGUAUUCUCUGCAAGUACUGAAAUAAGUGGUAACAGAUAGUUUUGUAAUAAGAUAAAUUGUAACGAGCAACAAGUAACAAAAGUAAAUAAAGUGCAGCAAGGUGGCCCAAUCCUUUUUGUAGCAAAGGACAAGCCUGGACAAACUCUUAUAAUAGGAAAAGCGCACCCGAGGACACAUGGGAAUAUCGUCAAGCUAGUUUUCAUCACGCUCAUAUGAUUCGCGUUCGGUACUUUGAUAAUUUGAUAUGUGGGUUGACCGGUGGUUGGGUGCUGUUCUUACUUGAACAAGCAUCCCACUUAUGAUUAACCUCUAUUGCAAGCAUCCGCAACUACAACAAAAGUAUUAAUGUAAACCUAACCAUAGCAUGAAACAUAUGGAUCCAAAUCAGCCCCUUACGAAGCAACGCAUAAACUAGGGUUUAAGCUUCUGUCACUCUAGCAACCCAUCAUCUACUUAUUACUUCCCAAUGCCUUCCUCUAGGCCCAAAUAAUGGUGAAGUGUUAUGUAGUCGACAUUCACAUAACACCACUAGAUGCUAGACAACAUACAUCUUAUCAAAAUAUCGAACAAAUACCAAAUUCACAUGACUACUGAUAGCAAGACUUCUCCCUUGUCCUCAGGAACAAACGUAACUACUCACAAAGCAUAUUCAUGUUCAUAAUCAGAGGGGUAAUAAUGUGCAUAAAGGAUCUGAACAUAUGAUCUUCCACCAAAUAAACCAACUAGCGGCAACUACAAGGAGUAAUCAACACUACUAGCAACCUACUAGCACCAAUCCCGGACUUGGAGACAAGAAUUGGAUACAAGAGAUGAACUAGGGUUUGGAGAUGAGAUGGUGCUGGUGAAGAUGUUGAUGGAGAUUGCCCUCUCCCGAUGAGAGGAGCGUUGAUGAUGACGAUGGUGAUGAUUUCCCCCUCCCGGAGGGAAGUGUCCCCGGCAGAACAGCUCUGCAGGAGCCCUAGAUUGGUUCCACCAAGGUUCCGCCUCGUGGCGGCGGAGUCUCGUCCUGAAAGGUUGCCUGUGGUUUUUUUCUCAUCGAAAGACUCUAUAUAGGAGAAGAUGGACGUAGGAGAGCCACCCGGGGGCCCACGAGGUAGGGGGCGCGCCCCCCACCCUCGUGAGCAGGGUGUGGGCCCCUUGGCCUUCAUCUUUGGAGAAAUUUUUUGUUUAUUUAUUUUAAGAUAUUCCGUGGAGUUUCAGGGCUUUUGGAGUUGCGCAGAAUAGGCCUCCAAUAUUUGCUCCUUUUCCAUCCCAGAAUUCCAGCUACCGGCAUUCUCCCUCUUCAUGUAAACCUUGUAAAAUAAGAGAGAAUAGCCAUAAGUAUUGUGACAUAACGUGAAAUAACAGCCCAUAAUGUAAUAAAUAUUGAUAUAAUAGCAUGAUGCAAAAUGGACGUAUCAAGAAGGAGAAAGAGUCGGACAAAGAUGAAGAUGAAGAGGAAGACGAUGGUUAUCCCAAAGUCAAUUCCACUCUGAUGAUUUUUGCUGGCGUUGAAAGUAAGAGUCGAUUGAAGGUCAUCAACAUAGAAGUGAAUAUGGUCGCUCCUGCAGCAACGACAACCUACCUGAGAUGGUCUCAGACAGCCAUCACGUUCGACCAGUCUGACCAUCCUGCUCGUGUGGCCACCCCUGGGAGGCAAGCACUGGUGGUCGACCCCGUGGUUGGGGGCACUCGACUGACCAAAGUACUGAUGGACGGUGGCAGUGGUCUGAACAUCCUUUACGCUGAAACCUUGAAGGGGAUGGGCAUUUCGAUGUCCAAACUUAGCGAGAGCAACAUGAGUUUUCAUGGUGUUAUCCCUGGAAAGAAAGUCGAAUCACUCGGCCAGAUCGCCCUCGACGUGGUUUUUGGUGAUUCCAAGCAUUUCCGUAAGGAGAAGUUGACAUUUGAGGUUGUGGAUUUCCAGAGUGCCUAUCAUGCCAUCCUGGGUAGGCCAGCCUACGCUCGUUUUAUGGCUCGACCAUGUUAUGUGUAUCUCAAGCUGAAAAUGCCUGGCCCCAAAGGUGUGAUCACAGUUACUGGCAAUCGGCAGAAGACAGAGGAAUGCUUCCAGAAAGGUUCCAAAAUCACCGAUGCAUAAAUGGCAGCGGUUGAAUUGCAAGAGUAUCAGAAGAGUGCAGAUCCGAGUGAUUUGCUCCGAGCCAAGAAGCCCGCUAUAGACUCUGCAUUUCAGUCGACUGGUGAAACGAAGCCGAUCCACAUUCACCCGACCGAUCCCAAUGCUGCACCGACUCAUAUUUCAACAACACUCGACAGCAAAUAGGAAGAAGCGCUCAUCCAGUUCCUCCGUGAGAACUGGGACAUCUUCGCAUGGAAACCCUCUGACAUGCCAGGUGUACCUAGGGGACUGGCUGAGCACCGUUUGUGUGUUGACCCCAAGGUAAAACCCUUCAAAGAGCACCUUCGGCGGUCCGCCAUCCAGAAGAGAAAAGCAAUUGGCGAAGAAGUGGCUCGGCUAUUGGCAGCAGAGUUCAUCCGUGAAAUCUACCACUCCGAGUGGCUAGCCAAUGUAGUCAUGGUCACCAAGAAGGAUGAUUCACUUCGUAUGUGCAUUGAUUUCAAGCAUAUCAAUCGGGCCUGCCCGAAAGAUCACUUCCCUCUCCCUCGCAUCGAUCAGAUUGUUGACUCGACUAUGGGGUACGAGCGCUUGUCUUUCUUAGAUGCAUAUUCCGGAUACCAUCAGAUCUGACUAUAUGGUACCGAUGAAAUAAAUAGAGCCUUCAUCACCCCAUUCGGGUGCUUUUGCUAUGUCACCAUGCCUUUUGGUCUGAAAAAUGCCGGAGCCACAUUCCUGAGAAUGAUUCAGAAGUGACUGCUCACUCAAAUCAGUCAGAAUGUGGAAGCAUACAUGGAUGACAUUGUGGUCAAGUCUCGCAAAGGUUCCGACCUAUUGACUCACCUUGCAGAAACCUUUGCCAACCUGAGAAGGUACGACAUCAAGCUUAAUCCGUCAAAGUGCACAUUCGGAGUUCCGGGAGGAAAGUUACUCGGUUUUCUCGUUUCCGAACGAGGGAUCGACGCCAAUCCAGAAAAAGUUGAUACCAUUCUCCGAAUGAAACGCCCCGUGCGAGUGCAUGACGUUCAGAAGCUGACUGGUUGUCUGGCCACCCUGAGUCAAUUCAUUUCUCGUCUCGGUGAAAAGGCCUUGCCACUUUACCGAUUGAUGAAGAAGUCUGAUAAGUUCGAGUGGACUGAAGAAGCUGACGUAGCGUUUGCAGAGCUCAAAACCCUGCUUUCCAACCAGCCGGUGCUCCCUACGCUAAUCAGCAAAGAGCCUUUACUGCUUUACAUUGCAGCCACUAGACAAGUCGUCAGUAUAGUAGUCACGGUCGAGCCAGAAGAAGAAGGAAAAGCUUUCAAGGUUCAACGCCCAGUCUAUUAUCUCUCUAAAGUUUUGACUCCAUCCAAGCAACGAUAUCCACAUUAUCAGAAGCUUGUCUAUGGAAUAAACAUGACCAUGAAGAAGGUUGCGCACUAUUUCUCUGACCACUCCGUUAAAGUCAUCAGCGACGCGCCACUAUCUGAAAUUCUGAAUAACAGAGAUGCAACUGGUCGAGUGGCAAAAUGGGCGAUUGAACUCCUUCCAUUGGAUAUCAAUUUCGAGGCAAAGAAAGCGAUCAAGUCCCAAGCAAUCGCAUAUUUCCUUGCCGAGUGGACUGAGAAGCAAUUACUGACUCAAGUUCACUCGGAGCAUUGGAUUAUGUUCUUUGAUGGCUCCAAGAUGCUAAAUGGUUCAGGUGUAGUGGUAGUAUUGGUAUCCCCCCGUGGAGACAAGCUUAGUUAUGUUCUCCAGAUUCAUUUUGAUUCCUCCAAUAAUGAAGCCGAAUAUGAAGCACUUUUAUACGGGUUGCGUAUGGCCAUUUCACUCGGCGUCCGUUGCCUUAUGGUCUACGGCGACUCAGAUUUGGUGGUUAAUCAGGUGAUGAAGGAAUGGGAUGUCAGGAGCCCAGCCAUGACUGGUUACUGCUAUGUAGUGAGAAAGCUGGAAAAGAAGUUUGAAGGUUUGGAGCUUCACCACAUACCCCGAUUGAAAAAUCAAGCUGCAGAUGAGUUGGCAAAGAUAGGAUCAAAGAGAGAGGCCAUUCCCCGAAAUGUGUUUUUGGAACAUAUUCAUUCACCUUCAGUUCAGAAAGAUCCUUUCAACGAAGAAUCACCACAGCCCAAGACUGCCACAGAUCCGACUGAAGUCGAAAUCCUAGCCGUGGUUGACUUAGUCAUGGAGGUUUUGGUCAUCACGCCCGACUGGACAGUACCAAACAUUGCAUACAUUCUUAGGAACAAACUCCCAGAGGAUGAAGAAGAGGCUCGAAAGAUCGUCCGACGGUCUAAAGCCUUCACUGUGAUAAAAGGAUAGUUGUGCAGAGAAAGUGUAAUUGGGGUCUGCCAGAAGUGCAUCAUGCCAGAAGAAGGCCAAAUGAUCCUCAAUGAUAUUCACUCGGGGACCUGUGGUCACCAUGCGUCCUCUCGGACCAUCGUGGCCAAAGCAUACCGAGCCAGGUUUUACUGGCCGCACGCCAACGAGAUGGCAAAGGAAAUAGUGGAAAAGUGUGAAGGUUGUCAGUUUUAUUCCAACAUGUCCCACAAACCUGCAUCAGCUCUGAAGACUAUUCCACUCGUCUGGCCUUUUGCUGUUUGGGGAUUGGACAUGGUUGGACCUCUGAGGACCAGCAGGAGCGGAUUUACCCACGUGCUGGUAGCAGUCGACAAGUUUACCAAGUGGAUCGAAGCCAAGCCCAUUAAAAACCUUGAAGCAAGUACUGUUGUGAGCUUCAUCAGAGAGUUGAUAUGCAGAUAUGGCGUGCCGCACAACAUCAUCACUAAUAACGGAUCGAACUUCGACUCUAAUGAGUUUAGAGCCUUUUGUGCUUCCCAAGGCACGAGGGUCAAUUACGCUUCGGUCGCCCAUCCCUAGUCGAAUGCGCAGGCUGACCGAGCGAAUGGAUUGAUUCUCAAAGGACUGAAUCCCCGGUUUAUGCGUGACCUUAAGCACGCGGCAGGAGCUUGGGUCGAUGAGCUCCCAUUGGAGCUUUGGGGGCCGAGGACAACCCCCAAUCGAUCGACUGGACGGACUCCAUUCUUUUUAGUCUACGGAGCCGAAGCCGUUUUGCCGAGCGAUUUGCUCCACAACGCUCCCCGAGUCGAACUCUUCUCAGAAGAAGAAGCAGAGCAAGCUCGACAAGAUGCAGUCUACCUCCUGGAGGUAGAAAGAGAGAUGGCCAUGAUCCGGUCGACCAUUUAUCAGUAAGACUUGCGUCGAUUCCAUGCCAGGAACGUAAGAGGUCGUGCGUUCCAGGAAGAGGACUUGGUCCUCCGAGUGGAUCAGCAGAAGCCACACAAGCUCACCCCCGCUUGGGAAGGCCCUUUCGUCGUCACCAAGGUGCUCCACAACGGGGCAUACCGUCUCUUCAACGUCGAGCACAACAAAGAUAAACCGCGCGCCUGGAAUGCGGAACUGCUCCGCCCUUUUUACUCUUAAGUAUUUAGACUGAUGAGAUGUAAUAAGAAGUAACUCUUAGUUUGAUUAUCAAAAGACAUAAUUUUACAGUCUUCUGAAUGAUUGUUGUUUAUUUCUUUUGUAUGUGUUGCCUUAGCUGCGAAUCUGUUUCGCCUAGGAUGAAGUGAUAAAAAUCCUACCGAGUGUUGAGUCUGCCUCUCACUCGAGGGCUUAGCUGCAGCCCAGUGCUCGCCUAAGUUUGAAAAAUCCUACCGAGUGGUGAGUCUGCCUCUCACUCAGGGGUUUAGCUGCAGCCCAAUGCUCACUUAAGUUUGAAAAAUCCUGCCGAGUGGUGAGUCUGCCUCUCACUCGGGGGCUUAGCUGCAGCCCAGUGCUCGCCUAAGUUUGAAAAAUCCUGCCAANNNNNNNNNNNNNNNNNNNNNNNNNNNNNNNNNNNNNNNNNNNNNNNNNNNNNNNNNNNNNNNNNNNNNNNNNNNNNNNNNNNNNNNNNNNNNNNNNNNNNNNNNNNNNNNNNNNNNNNNNNNNNNNNNNNNNNNNNNNNNNNNNNNNNNNNNNNNNNNNNNNNNNNNNNNNNNNUCGCCUAAGUUUGAAAAAUCCUACCGAGUGGUGAGCAGCCCUCCCACUCGGAGGCUUAGCUACGGUCCGGUACCCGCCUAAGUAACAAAAGUCCUCCCAAACAGUAUGGGUCGAUCACGACCCUUCAUCCCCCCGGGGGUUGCACCGUCAAGAAGAAGGACGAGAUUGUGGUGAGCAGCACUCGCCUAAGUUUGAAAAAUCCUACCGAGUGGUGAGCGACCCUCCCACUCGGGGGCUUAGCUGCAGCCCAGUGCUCGCCUAAGUUUGUAAAAUCCUACCGAGUGGUGAGCGACCCUCCCACUCGAGGGGCUUAGCUGCAACCCAGUGCUCGCGUAAGUUUGAAAAAUCCUACCGAGUGGUGAGUGACCCUCCCACUCGGAGGCUUAGCUACAGCCCAGUGCUCGCCUAAGUUUAAAAAAUCCUACCGAUUGGUGAGCGACCCUCCCGCUCGGGGGCUGAGCUGCAGCCCAGUGCUCGUCUAAGUUUGAAAAAUCCUGCAGAGUGGUGAGCGGCCCUCCCACUUGGAGGCUUAGCUGCAGCCCAGUGCUCGCCUAAGAUUGAAAAAUCCUACCGAGUGGUGAGCGACCCUCCCCUCGGGUGCUUAGCUGCAGCCCUGUGGUCGCCUAAGUUUAAAAAAUCCUACCGAGUGGCGAGCGACCUUCCCACUCGGAGGCUUAGCUGCAGCCCAGUUCUCGCCUAAGUUUUAAAAAUCAUACCGGGUGGUGAGUGAGGCUGCAGGUUGCCCACGCCCCCCCCACCCAGGGGCUGCACCAUCAAGAAGGAGGACGAGAUUGUGUGCACACAACGAUUGGCCCCUUGCUGAUGACAGGAACGUCAAGACCAUUGCUGAGUACCUCGCUGAUGAGCUGAUCAAUGCUACCAAGGGCUCAUCAACGGGUCGACUGCUGACUCUUCUUAUGCACCUGCAUCAAACGAUGAGAAAACCGAUCCAAGUGAAGAACAGACUUCACUCGAAGAUGAACCCAACAUAUUUAACGAUAAAUCCAGAGAUUCCUAACCGCAGAUUAAAAGUACUCGGGCACCAGACCCGAAGGAGUUCUAAUGGUUACAAAAUCACUCGGCAUCCCGAGGCAAAUAAAGGUGAAGCAUAAUGUUUUUUCGAUCACUCGGCGGGAGAAGGACUGGCCGGAUCGCAGAAGCUGUCGAGGUCAAUGUUGUUGGCAAUGCGAGUGGCUGCCUCGAGGAACGUGUCUAUGAAGUCCUGGAAAGAGUGCUUCUUAGUAUUCGCCACCUUGAGGGCCGCCAGCUUCUCUUCUUUAGCCUCCUUGCAGUGCAUGCGAACAAGGGACAAGGCGACGUCGGCGCCACAGCGGGGAGAAGACUUCUUCCACUCUUGCACUUGGUCAGGGAUUUGGUUGAGUUGAGUCAUCAGCGACUCGAGACUUUGAGGAAGUUCUGCCUGAGGCCAGAGUUCGGCGUCCACUCGGGCCAUCGCGGCCUUCAGCCGAGCCAGAUAGUCGACUGCACCGUCCAAGCAUGAUUCCAGUCGAAGCAAGUUCAUCGCAACUUCAUCUUUCAUGGGACAGUUCAUGGGGUCGAGACCUGUCUCGACCCGUCCAGUUUCAGCUUCAAAGUCCUGACAGAGUUCUGUUCCAUCACAACAAACAAUGAGUCGACAGUAUUGCAAAUCUCAGUUGACGACAGUUAUCUAACUGAACAGUCAUACCUUCAAGCUUCAAGACAAUCUUCGCCGCGAGUUGUUCCAAAUGGGACUCUAGCUUGCCCGUCUUAGCCCUGAGACCGUCGACUUCAAUGGUCAGAUUCUCCUUGUCCUUCCUCAGUUGCUCGACCUCCCGAUUGGCGUCCGAGACGGCUGUCUUCAACUUCGCGUUCUCAUCCUCCAACUUGCCGACUAAAGCCAGCUUCUGGUCCACAAGCGUUGUCUUCUCACGAGCUUCUUUUUGAGCAACAGCAAGGUCCAUGUCCUUCUUCUCCAACGCCUCCUUCAUUCACUCUAAAGAAACAACACUCUUCAGACGAGCCUGAAAUUGGCAGUUUUCACUACGCACAUCUGCUUAUGUGAAAACACUCGGCUCUAAGAGAUUGAAUGAAAAGCAGUGGAAAGUCUACUAAGCAAACGGUCGAAUGGUUACCUCCCAUGAUAACCGUCUCUUCCUGGGAAGUCUUCAGAUUCUUCUUGGCAAGUUCAAGGUCAAGUUCAACGCUGAUAUGCUUCUUCUUUAAUGUCACGACCGACUUUUUCAAUAAAUAACUAUUGAGAAAAUCGAUCUUUAAAUCCCAGUAUAGGAAAAGUCAUCCUUCUGGUAGACAAAGCUUGAUAAACAGAGAACCAGUAGCAUCAAAUAUAUUACAGGGCUGAGCUAAGGCUGCUCAACAAUUUAUUACAAACUUGCCAAUAUCUUACAUAAGGGCGGUUAUGACACAGGGGUGUGGUGGCAUGCUACUAGCUCGAGGAUAAGUGGUGGAUAACUUGACUCCUAACUGGCAUCUCAUCGAGCGUCGAGGUGAGGCUCGAUGAAUUUUAUUCUGGGGUUGCGGAAGCGGAUAAUACAGUGAUCAAAACAGGAUCACACGGGACUGACUGGGACUCCUCUAGGCGUCGGACUCGCUAUCAAACUCUUCAUCCGUGAGAUCGCCUUCAUCAACAUCUGGCCAAAUCAACAAGUCAGGUGAGUACUUUGAAAGUACUCGCAAGACAGUUCGGACAAAAGAUAUAAUCAAUGAAUGCAUGAAUGCAUCAUGAAUAAAGGAUGAUGCUCAUAUAUCAAUGAUAAUAUUGCAGGACUUGAUAAAUAAAAUAAAUGACUGAAAACCAAUCGGGUGUCUGGAGCGACGCCCCGAAAGGUAAAUAAAUAAAAUGCAUGCCGCAGUCGGGCGUCUAAGCGACACCACAUAAAGGGCUUAAAGGAAAUGCCACAGUCGGACGUCUGAGCGACAUCACAUAAAGGGCUUUAAAAGAAAUGCCACAGUCGGACGUCUGAGCGACAUCAUAUAAAGGGCUUUAAAAGAAAUGCCACAGUCGGACGUCUGAGCGACAUCACAUAAAGGGCUUUAAAAGAAAUGCCACNNNNNNNNNNNNNNNNNNNNNNNNNNNNNNNNNNNNNNNNNNNNNNNNNNNNNNNNNNNNNNNNNNNNNNNNNNNNNNNNNNNNNNNNNNNNNNNNNNNNNNNNNNNNNNNNNNNNNNNNNNNNNNNNNNNNNNNNNNNNNNNNNNNNNNNNNNNNNNNNNNNNNNNNNNNNNNNNNNNNNNNNNNNNNNNNNNNNNNNNNNNNNNNNNNNNNNNNNNNNNNNNNNNNNNNNNNNNNNNNNNNNNNNNNNNNNNNNNNNNNNNNNNNNNNNNNNNNNNNNNNNNNNNNNNNNNNNNNNNNNNNNNNNNNNNNNNNNNNNNNNNNNNNNNNNNNNNNNNNNNNNNNNNNNNNNNNNNNNNNNNNNNNNNNNNNNNNNNNNNNNNNNNNNNNNNNNNNNNNNNNNNNNNNNNNNNNNAGUCGGGCGUCUAAGCGACACCACAUAAAGGGCUUAAAGGAAAUGCCACAGUCGGACGUCUGAGCGACAUCACAUAAAGGGCUUUAAAAGAAAUGCCACAGUCGGACGUCUGAGCGACAUCACAUAAAGGGCUUUAAAAGAAAUGCCACAGUCGGACGUCUGAGCGACAUCACAUAAAGGACUUUAAAAGAAAUGCCACAGUCGGACGUCUGAGCGACAUCACAUAAAGGGCUUUAAAAGAAAUGCCACAGUCGGACGUCUGAGCGACAUCGCAGACAGGGCUUGCAACAAAUGUAAAUAACAGACAUGCCACUGUCGGACGUCUGAGCGACAUCACUGACUGGGCUUGUAAUAAAUGUAAAUGAUAGGUAUGCCACCGUCGGACAUCUGAGCGACAUCACAGACAGGGCAGGUAAUUAAUGUAAAUAACAAGAUUAGUCCAUCCACAAGAAUAAUCUUUUAACCGGAUGUAUCACACAUAAAUCCCACCGGAGUUUUGUCACUGACGAUGAUACGUGACAAGAUAAGAUGAAUAUAGUACUUGAACAAAGUACAAGAUAAUUGAAAGAUUUGAGAAUCUGCAGAGUUCGGAUGAACUGACCACAGCCAACGGGUUUCCGUAGUCACGAAGGACUAGUCCCAUUUACGAUAUUUCAGUAGAAACACAUUUAACUAGUACACACAUAUUCCACCUCAUGAUGCCAGGAAUCACCCUGGACAACGUCCAAGAAAAACUUUGAGACGGGGAGGCCACAACCUCGAAUAGCAUGGGAUCGAAUUUCUAUACAUGCGCUCUAAGGGGUGCCCCCCUCUCGAUCCCAACCGGAAACACCCAUGCCCCCUGACCGGAUGACGGGCUUUAAUCCAGGGCCAUGGAACCCUCAUCCCGGCCUCUCUAAUUGGUGUGUACCAGGAAAACGAUUUGCAACUUACUAUGCCAUAUUCCUUUUGGAAAACAUGUGACAAUAUAGGAAGGAAUGAAUGGAAAUAUGAUUUGUUUCACGAUGACACAGAAGUCAAAUAAUCUGGCAUAAGACUGGCAUGUCACAACACUGCCAUCUUACCCAUCCUCAUGCCAACACAUGGCUAUGCAAAUAUGUAUCCAACAACAUAAUGCUUUCCGAAACUUACUUUCCGCUCAUGUGCAUGAAAUAUAACUUUCAAAGUGUUGUUCAUAAACAUGCCAUGAUGUCGGUGUACUAGAGUAGGGGUACCCUAGUACCCCGAACUUGUGCAUGGGCAGUUGCAGUCCGCCGCGGCAAGGGCUUGCCGGGUGACCGCCAAGAUACUCCGUGGAUCCCUCAGAGCCGUUCAAGAACAAAGUACCCAAGUAAAGAAGACAAGGCCCCGGCAAGAGGAGCUUGCCGGGAAGGCCAACUGAGGCAUCUCAAGGAACUUGCCGCGACGCACCACGCGUCCCGGCAAGGCACGGCAAGCGACAAGCUUCCGGGUGCGACAAGACCACGAUCGCGGCAAGACGCUUGCCGCGGCAAGCGGCCGCUCUGUGCCCACGCUCCAGCGCAUCCACCAACGUGUCGCCCUGGGGGCCUUUCCAGGCGCGGGUGGCGGAAGGCUGUGCAGCCAGCGGUGCGCAGUGGCAUGCGACGCUGACAAGAUCACCAUCGUGGCGAACGGUGGCGCCCCUAAUGGUCCUUUUCUGCACUAUUUGGGCGACACAGACGGGCAUUUAAUGCCCUUGUCCCCUGCCGUCAGGGUUAGGUAGGGUGCACUGUGCAGACAACUGUACCAACCACCUCUCUUUUUAUGUUUUUACCCAUCUUUACGUUGCCACCUGUCGGUGACCCCUUGAGCGUAUAAAAGGAGGCCCAUGUGCAACGUAAAGGGGGUUCGGCUCAGUUCGAAGCAGAAACACUCACACUCGGUCUCGUUAGCUGCUCACGUGUACUGUAACACUCAGCGCUCCCGAGCAAGAACACAAUACAAUCAGACAAGCAGCAAUAGGAGUAUUAUCUCUCCGGAGAGCUCCGAAGCUGGGUAAACUGCUCGUGUGCUUCGCCUCGAUCUUCUCUUCGUGCGACCUCCGCCCCCCGCCGAACCGAAAGGGGCUCGGUCCGCCGGUCCCAUAGGUGUUCGUGGAUCAGUUUCCCCGACAUCUUUGGCGCGCCAGGUAGGGGGCGUCGAGAUUGUGUGAACCUGAUCCGGCGUGCACACGAGCUAGAUCUUCAUCUUCUUCAUCGACAUGCCACCGAAGAAGAAGGGUUCGGAGGCAGCUGCUCCGUCCACAUCGAUCUCACCGCCACCGGAACAAACGGGUGGUGGGGUUGACGCUGGUGGAAGAACCAACAUCGACGAGGAAGCUCACGGUGCUGCCAGGUCCAAGGACAAGGCUGCACAAACCUCGGUGUCCGUACUUCCGCCGUGCCCCUCUCAGGAGGCGCAGGACCGACAGCAUCAUGGUAUUCGCAGUACCAUACGUUUGUUGGACCAAGAUCAAGCUGGUGGGUCUCAGGGCGCUCAAGACCAGCAUGCACGUCAGCGCGCCGGCACGAGCGAGGCACUGUCGCCUGGACGGGGUACUGCUCCUUCUAACAUAGUUAGAAGUCCGAGCAUGUCCCGCUCCUCGCACCGUUCGCCACUGCCGCCCACCACUCCAGCGGAAGCUUUGGCACGAGCUCAACUACUCCUGGAUUAUCCUCCAACGUCGGACAAGAUCGACGAAUGGAGGGCCACCAUUCAGAGCCUCAUCGGCUACGCCAACGGCGACACUCCGCGGCAGCCGAAUACAUCGCUGCCGCGGCAGGACUGCCAGGCGCGAGCCGGUGGUGACGAAACUGGUGGGGGUGCAACCACCGUGCACUCUCCACCCCGAAGUCCAAGAUCGCCGACUCACCGGAUCCACCUUGACAGCGACUCCACCGCAUCAUCGGAUCCGCGAGCUCGUCGCGAUCAGCGCCAAGUCCUUCACGAUCGACAGCAAGAAGACGCUCGAACUCGCAUUGAGCGACGAAGAGAAGCGCGGCGUCAAUCCGACCAGCGCGCUGGGCCUUCUGUCGACAUGCAUGCGCCAAGGGAACCAGGCGACCUGCCGUACGCGGGGGGCUGCCCUGCGUUCACUCGUGAGCUGCGGCAAGUCCAGUGGCCCAGUAGGAAAACUUUCAAGCCAGAUGUACCGGAGAAGUACGACGGCAAGGCGCACCCGUCGGAGUUCCUCAGCAUCUACACCAUCGCGGUGCAGGCUGCCGGAUGACGAUACGACAAGAUCCUUGCCAACUACUUCCCACUGGUACUCAAACCCAACGUCAGAUCCUGGCUCAUGCACUUGCCGGACAACUCCAUAUCUUCCUGGGCGGAUCUGUGCCAUCAGUUUGUCGGCGCCUUCACAGGCGGCCACAAGCCUCAUGGCCAAGAGAGUGACCUUCAUCUGCUCGCCCAGAAGGAAGGAGAGCCCCUGCGCAAGUACAUUCAGAGAUUCAGCAACGUACAGCACAACAUCCCAGAUAUCCACCCUGCCGCGGUAAUCAGCGCGUUCCAUCAGAACGUGCGGAACCGCAGGAUGCGGGAGGAGAUGGCGAUGUGCAAGAUCAGAGACGUCAGUGAGCUAUAUGCCCUGGUCGACAAGUGUGCACGUGCUGAGGAAGGGAGGAGACUCCCCGGAGAGAAUAUAGGAGCAGGAGGAUCUGACAGUGAGGAUACUGCCCCGGCAAGGAAAAACCGGCGGCGGAAUAAUAGAAAGAAGAAAGGCAAAGAGGUGCUAGUUGUCGAGCAUUCCGGCAACGGAGGUGGCGCCGGGAAAGCCAAAGCUGGUAGCUCCGGCAAGGAGAUUGCCGUAGAGGCUGUGGCGGUCGCCGACAAGCAGGACGGUACCAACAAGCAGUACUGCAAGAUCCACCGCUCCAAGGGCCAUGACCUCCAGAGCUGCAAGAAGGUUGAGCAGCUUGUUGAGCAGCAAAAGGAUGAAUACGAGCGGCGCGACAAGGAGAAGGCCCAGGAAGGUGCUGGAGUAUCCGGUAAGAAACGUCCCGGCCGGGGGGGGGGGGCGCCGCGGCAAGGCCAAGCAGCGGCAAGGAGACAGACUUCCCCGCGGCCGCGACAAAGAUGAAGAUGACGACGACGACGAAGAUAUAGAUGAUGAUGAGACCGACGAGCAGGAGUUUCAGAAAGCCACAGAGGUCCUGUGCAUUGACGGUGGUGCUUCUCUGCAUACUUCGCACCGCCAACUCAAGCAAUGGGUGCGGGAGGUUAAUGCAGCAGAACCACCCAUCGAGUCAAGCAGGACCCUGAAAUGGUCCAGCACGCCUAUCAUCUUUGAAAUUGAGGACCACCCUGAUCGCAUAACUGUGGUCGGGUGCUUGCCGAUGUUGGUUUCACCAACUAUCCGCAACCUCAAGGUCACUAAGAUCUUAGUUGACGGCGGGGCCGGCUUGAACCUGAUCUCCUCCGCGGUGCUCCAGAAACUCCAAAUCCCUGACAGCGAGCUCGAAGAGACUGGCACAUUCCAAGGAAUCAAUCCGGGAAGGAGCAAGCCGAAGGGAAAGAUCACGUUGCCGGUAACAUUUGGCAGCGAGCUGAACUUCAGGACUGAGAGGGUCACGUUUGACGUCGCUGACUUCCCAUUGCCUUAUAAUGGGAUACUCGGCCGUCCAGCACUCGCCAAAUUCAUGGCAGCCUCUCACUAUGCCUACAACGUGCUGAAAAUGCCAGGCCCGAUAAGUGUCAUCUCUGUCCCUGGCGACAAGAAGGAUGCUCUUAUCUGCGCCGACAAGAUCUACCGGGAAGCAGCAGCCGCAGCGGAUCACACGUCACUUGCCGCUGAAGCUCCCGGGGGGAAGAAGAAGACCAAGUCCGGCAAGAGAUCUGAUGCCCACUCCGGCAAGCACACCUCUUGGGAGUGCUGCGCUACCGUCGAGGACGCACCAUCGAGCUCCACCGGCAAGUGUAAGAAGGCAAUGGCAGCUCCACCUGAGACCAAGAAGGUGUCCGCCAAGGAGGACGGCACUGGUGGUACCUUCACCAUCAGUGCCACUCUCGACCCCAAAUAGGAAAGCACGCUCGUUGCUUUCCUGCGGGCGAACGUCGACGUGUUCGCGUGGCAACCAUCUGACAUCCCCGGUGUUCCCAGGAAAGUAAUUGAGCACCACCUGGCCGUCUGUCCUCAUGCGCGGCCCGUCAAGCAGAAAGUCAGGAAGCAGGCAGUGGAGCGCCAAGAAUUCAUCGCAGAAGAGAUCAUGAAAUUGGAAGCAGCAGGCCUUGUCAGAGGAGUGCUCCAUCCUACGUGGUUGGCCAACCCUGUAGUCGUGCACAAAGCUAACGGGAAAUGGAGGCUUUGUAUCGACUUUACCGAUAUCAAUAAAGCUUGUCCCAAAGACCCAUUUCCCUUGCCGCGCAUUGACCAGAUUGUUGACUCCACGGCCGGAUGUGACUUGCUUUCAUUUCUUGAUGCAUACUCAGGAUACCAUCAGAUCUUCAUGGCAGAAGAAGAUGGGGAGAAGACUGCAUUCAUCACACCAUGUGGCACCUACUGUUUCAUACGGAUGCCCUUCAGUUUAAAGAAUGCUGGUUCAACAUUUGCGAGGGUAGUCCAUCAUGCUUUUGAGCUGCAGAUGCACAGAAAUGUGGAAGCCUACAUGGAUGACAUAGUGGUCAAGAGCAAGAACAGGGCGACCCUGAUUCAAGAUUUAGACGAAACCUCCACAAGUCUGUGCAAGAUCAACCUCAAGCUGAACCCCGAGAAGUGUGUGUUUGGGGUCCCCUCCGGCAAACAUCUCGGGUUCUUUGUGUCUCAGCGGGGAAUUGAAGCCAAUCCCGACAAGAUCAAGGCCAUUGAGCAGAUUGAAGCACCAAAGCACGUCAAGGAUGUACGAAGGCUUGCCGGUUGCGUGGCUGCUCUCAGCAGGUUUAUCUCUAGAUCUGCUGAGCGCGCCCUGCCGUUUUUCAAAAUAUUGAAAAAGGCAGGUCCAAUGAAAUGGACUCCAAAAGCGGAGGCUGCGCUGUAGGACUUGAAGAGAUAUCUGUCCUCCAGUCCAACACUUGUCGCACCUAGGCCAAAAGAGAAGUUGCUGCUGUAUAUAGCGGCAACCAAUCAGGUGGUUAGUGCUGCGUUAGUGGCGGAGAGGGAGGCAGAUGAUGAGCCUGCAACCAUGGCAGACGCGUCCAGCGACAAGCAGUGGGCUUCACCAGCAAGCUCUAGUCCGGCAGGCUCUUAUCCGGCAAGUUCUGGUCCCGACAAAGAUGGAUCUGCGCAGACGCAUAAGGAGAUGCAGAAGAGAAUGGUGCAGCGCCCAGUUUACUUUGUCAGUUCCCUUCUGCAGGGGGCUAGGUCAAGGUACUUUGGUGUGUAGAAAUUGCGUUUUGGCCUUCUCAUGGCCUCGAGAAAGCUGGGCCAUUACUUCCAAGCACAUGAGAUCACAGUUGUCACUCGCUUUCCGUUGAAGAGGAUACUGCAAAAUCCAGAAGCAACAGACAGGAUUGUCGAGUGGGCACUGGAACUGUCAAGCUUUGGCCUCAAGUUUGAAAGCACUUCAACUAUCCAAAGCAGAGCAUUGGCGGAAUUCAUAGCAGAAUGGACACCAACACCAGAUGAAGAAAUUCCAGAGACGAGGAUCCCCGUCAAGGAGGCAAGUAAAGAGUGGCUAAUGUACUUUGAUGGUGCCUUCUCGCUGCAAGGCGCCGGUGCGGGCGUGCUGCUUGUCGCACCCACCGGAGAGCACCUCAAGUAUGUGGUCCAGAUGCACUUUCCCAAGGAGCAAUCAACGAACAAUACUGCAGAGUACAAAGGCUUGCUUGCUGGUCUCAGGAUCACGGCAGACCUUGGGAUUAAGAAGCUCAUUGUCAGGGGUGACUCACAGCUUGUCGUCCGCCAAGUGAACAAGAAUUAUCAGAGUCCGUUGAUGGAAGCUUAUGUUGAUGAAGUGAGAAAGCUAGAAGAGCACUUUGACGGCCUACAGAUGGAACAUGUUCCAAGAGCUCAGAAUGACAUUGCUGAUGGCUUGUCAAAGUGCGCCGCACUUAAGUUACCUGUGGAACCAGGGAUCUUUGUGCUCAAGCUGACUCAACCAUCUAUAACACCAUCAACUGGACAGAGCAAGAAGAGAAAGUUGAUUUCUGGUGACUAUUUUCCGGCAGAGCUCCCUGAAGCCGCCGCCAAGAAGGUCCCCAAGGUCAACACCAAGAGUGCUCAGGAGCAGUCUGCUCCAGCAAGCCUAACGGUUUGUUCCGUUGAAGCAGACGCUCCCGACAAGCUUGGCUCCGGCAAGCUUGCCGGGGAACAUCAAGCUCCGGCUGAACCGCAGGUUCUCGCCGUAGAAGCAGAUGUUUCUGCAGUAGCAGAAGUGCCUUUAGUCCUUGUUGUCGAGCCACAAGCUCUAGCAUGGGCACAGCAAAUUGUCCGUUUCCUUCAGACAGGAGAACUUCCCCAAGAGCAAGAAGAAGCGGAAAAAGUAGCCCGGCAGUCGAGUAUGUACCAGUUUGUCGACAACAUACUGUACAGAAGAAGACUCAACGGCGUGAAAUUGAAGUGUAUUUGCCGGGAAGAUGGACAGAAGCUGUUGGCAGAGAUACAUGGAGGCAUAUGUGGUCACCACAUUGGCGCAAGAGCACUUGCCGGCAAAGCUUUCUGGCAAGGUUUCUUUUGGCCGACAGCCCACCAGGAUGCAACUGCACAAGUAACCAAGUGUGAAGCGUGCCAGUUCCAUUCCAAGCAGAUACACCAGCCAGCUCAAGCUCUCCAAACGAUCCCUUUAUCCUGGCCAUUUUCGGUCUGGGGGCUCGAUAUCCUCGGCCCCUUCCCCUGAGCUGUCGGGGGCUUUGAGUACUUGUACGUUGCAGUCGACUAGUUCACAAAGUGGCCGGAAGUGGAACCAGUGAGAAAGGUGACAGCACAGUCAGCAGUCAAGUUCUUCAGGUCGAUUGUUUGCCGUUUCGGGAUCCCUAAAUGGAUCAUCACCGACAACGGCACACAAUUCACGAGCCGCACCUUCAUGCAGUACGUCCAAGAUCUUGGCGCCAAGGUCUGCUUCGCUUCUGUUGCUCAUCCGAGAAGCAACGGUCAAGCGGAGAGGGCGAAUGCUGAAGUGCUGCGCGGGCUCAAGACCAGGACUUUCGACAGGCUGCGCAGGUGCGGAAAGAACUGGAUUGAGGAGCUGCCGGUGGUUCUUUGGUCGGUCAGGACGACGCCAAAUCGAGCCACUGGACAGACGCCUUUCGCUCUAGUUUAUGGAGCAGAGGCAGUUCUCCCCACGGAACUCGUAUACGGAUCACCUCGAGUGCUCGCUUAUGAUGAGCUUGAGCAAGAGCAGCUGCGACAAGAUGACGCGCUGCUCCUUGAGGAGGACCGUCUUCAGGCUGCUGUACGAGCUGCUUGAUACCAGCAAGCUUUGCGCCGCUACCAUAGCCGCAAAGUUAAUGCCAGAAGCUUCGAGGAAGGCGACCUUGUUCUUCAGCGAAUUCAGUCCGCCAAGAAUUCCAACAAGUUGACCCUGAAGUGGGAAGGCCCUUGCCGGGUGAAACAAGUCACUAGGCCUGGCGUUGUCCGCCUUGAGACCGAAGAUGGCAUUCCGGUGAGCAACUCCUGGAACAUUGAGCAUCUUCGUAAGUUUUACCCGUAGGGCGCGGUUGCCAGAACCUGUUCUGGCAACCACCUUUUGUACAAGUCUUGCCGAUGUUGCAUGUAAUCCUUUGUACAAAGCCGGGCGCAGAUCCCGUGCAUAAGUAAAGCUCAUGUGCUCCGCACACCUUGUCAAUUUCAUGCAUUACAUUCUUUCUUGCAUACAUUAUCUGACACUUUGUGCAGCACCUACCCCCGGUAAGCAAUAACGAGACGAAAGGCCCCAUAUCUUUAUUUUCUCUUCUUUCUUUUUCUCAAACAAAGGAAAGAAAGGUUCCCUCGCACACAAGUUUGCCGGGGGGAAAGGAGAAGAUAAUGGUAUGGACCAGGCAUCGUUUAAAGAAGGUUCGCCUUGCCGGGAAGCAAACGACAGAAAAGCUAAGUUGCCAAAGUUUGAGCAAUUAGUUUUAAUUUUUAAGUUAUCUUCCUCGAACGACUGUGCUUUGUAUGGAAAACCUGUGCCCGGAGGAACCAACUCGUAGCUAGUUGCGCCCUUACUUUGUUUCGAGUCCGCUCAACAACUUAAGUGUGUUGCAACUAGUCGCGACAAGGUUUCUUGUCGAAGCGGCACUGCCAGCAGGCUGCUGACGUUCCGCACUCAGCGCUCGCGGCUCGGGUGCCUGCGCCGACAAGUUCCCUAAAAGCGUAGGGUAAAACAUACAAAGCUAGGGAUCUAGUAACAGAAAUAACAUAGCGAUCAUUAUCCAAAAUAAAGUUAUGUUACAAGAUAACUUGUCGCUGCUCUAACACAUUGUUCCCAUGACAUGACCAGCAGCGACAGGGAAAAAGAUAAAACGGGCAGCCUAGUCUACGCGACCGCCCUCAACCCUCUUGAUCUCGCUCACCUUGUCCACAAUGGGUGCGACAAGGGCCUUGAGCGCUUCCAGAUCGGCGUCGGGUGGCAGAGACCUGAGGACGUUGGUGAGGUUGAGGCCUGGGUUGCGGAAGGCCACCUUCACCAGCACCUUCUGAAGAACUCCUGCGCAAAUCUUGCGCGACUCAUCGGCCAGCUGCUUUGGGAUCUUCUCCCGAAGCCACUGGAGGGCCGUCGCCACGCCCUUGAAGAACAAGCUGAGCUUGGCGCUGGGUUGGAGAUGCUCGUCGGAAGAAUACCCGAAGUCCUCCAUCCCCAGCUGCGCCAGCUCCCCGUCGAUGACUGCGGCGAUAUUCACCAGACCCUCGGUCAAGUGCUCCACUGUCUCCCUGAAUGAGUUCUGGGUGACGGCAAUGCUCGCCAGCAGCGCCUCGUCGGCCUUGAUCUUCUCCGACAAGGUCACCUCUCGCUCCUUGGCGCCAUCCAGCAUCUGAGUCAGCGUGGCCAACUUCAGCUCGAGAUCCGCGUUGGAGUCCUUGGCGGCGCUGAGCUCCUUGCUCCUCUCAGCGAGAAGACCUUGCAGCUCGCCGUGGGCGGCAGCAUCCUUCUCGCGCUCGCGCUUGAGCACGGCAAGCUCCUCGCCGCUCGUCCUGAGAUUUGCCCCCAGCUGCGCCACUUUCGCCUCCAGCUCUUUCUUGGCGGCCUCGGCAGCCACGGCAGCGUCCUUUGCUUCCUUGAGGGCCCCGCCAAGUUUUUGCUCGCGCGCGACGAGCUCCUGCUCGUAGCUGUCAAGAUUGGCCUUCCGUUGCACCAACUCGCCUUCUCGCGCGGACUGCUUCUCGGCAGCAAGCCGUUGUUGCUCCUCAGCUUCAGCCUUCUCGAGGAGGAAGGUUGUGCGCUCCUCGGCGAGUUGCUCCCGCUCCUCCGCCAGGGACCGGAGAGUCUCCUGCCUGAGACCCCGGAGCUCCUCCGCGCGCUUCUCAAUGUCGACUCCCACCUUCGCGACAAGCGCUUCUUGGGAGGCCAGCUUGGCUUGCCGGGCGCGGUAGAGCAACGUCAGCUUGCGCAGCAGCCGCUCCUCUUCAGGCUCGUCGCUGCUGCUGGGCGCGUCAACCAGCGUCAAUCCGGUGGAAGCGAGCACCUCCCCGUCAAAGGCUUCUCCUUCGACCGGCGCCCUGGAGCUCGAAGCCCAGGGGAGCUUGAUGAAGAUGCCAUCGCCGGCCUUCAGGUAGGCGCCGGGCUGUGGCUCUUCGUAGCCUGGAUCUGCGGCAGCGGCAGGGGGAUCGGCGGUCGGUGCAGCGCCUGGCGCUCCUGCGGCCUCGGUGCUGUCAGUACGAUCGCCGGAUCCCUCGCCGGCUUCUGCGGCGGCAGCCUUGGCGGCCUCUUCGCCGGCGGGUUCAUCAAUGCCGGCCUCUCCUUCAGCGGCCUCGGUUUCCAUCGGCUUAGCGGCGGAUGGAUCUGAGGGACGAAGAAGGGAGAGAAGUCAAGAAAAUAUGCAAAAGGAAAGUUAGAAAAAGAAAAAUCCAAGGGCAAGUUUGUAGGCAAGUGGAUUACCUGUGCUAGGGUCUGCAGUCGUGGUCUCGACCACCGGAGGAUCACUGGCGCUGUCCCUUGCCGGAGAAUUGUCCCUUGCCGCAGAGUUCUCCCUUGACGGAGAGCGCUCCCUUGCCGGGGACUCCUCCCUUGGCGGCAUAGUCGAAGCAGAUGACACUUCGGGAGCAGCUUCCGGGCACUCCUGGUGAGGCUGUUCUGCUCCUACACAAAUCAACAGUCGAGAUAUCAGUAGAGAGAAGAGCACCCAUGAGCGCCUGUCAGCAAGAAGCAAACCAUGUACUUACGCUGGGGGCUGCGCUAGGGGCUGCCUUGGGGAGUAGCUGCCGGGUGCGUCAAGGUGGUCUCGGACACACCCCCUGCUGACACAGUGGGAUCGUCCUCGAUGACAAUCACCGCGGCCUUGGCUCUCUUCUCCACUCUCUGGGCCAGCGUCCUGAAAAGGAAUGGAUUCAGAUCGAAGCAAGUCAGAUACAAGACGAAAGCAACAAAGACAACAAAGGUUGAAGGAUUACAAAUACGACAAGGGGAUCUGACUAUUCUUCUUCGUCGUCGGAGCUGAGCGCGGAGAGAUUGAAGUCCGGCUCGCCUCCGGUGCGGCGAGGCGGAGGAGUAGGCUCCCUUGCCCGCUUGGCAGGGGCAGGCGCGGUGGACCGGGAAGAUCCCGCUCCGAUUGCCGCAGCGGUGUGAGGUGCUCCCACAUCAAUAGUGCUUGCCGCGGUCGAGCGCGUCGCGCGCUGUGACGGCUGUUGACUCGUAUGCCGCCCCGCCACAUCCCCGGCCCUGCGGAGACGCCUCCUUGCCGGGGCCGGGGGCUCCGCCUGCGGCAGACUGUCUGAAGGUUCGGGCUCUUCCUCGCCGGGCUCGCUCGCCUCAGUUUCAGGGCUGGCAAGAUCUUCCUCGCCGGCAAACUCCUCGCGCUCGGCAAGGCUUGCCGCCUCUGCUGCCUCUGCUUCCUCCACGGUGAACCCGAACUCACCCGCGGGAGCUGCUGCCGCAGCCUCCUCUGUCCUGGUGGCGAUGCGCUGCAGCUCCGCGUCGGUGGUGUCGCGGGUGAGGCUUUUCUGCUCGUCAGCGCAGACCCGCACUUCUUCCAAGUUGUCGAAGAACGCCCGCACGACGUCAUCCGCAGGCUCUUGCCAAGUUGGAACGAUUCCGUGGGAAUCGCACAACGGCAUCAUGGCGCAGAUCCGGUCAAGCGAAGAAUUAUUGCACAAUGGAACAACGCUCCUCGGCAAAACGAAUGGGUGCUGGGGAUCGCGUUUGAACAGCUCCAGGAGCAUUGCAUCCAGCUCCAGGACGGUGAAAUUGAAAUUGAGGCCUGGCCGCAACCUCAUGAUGUCCGCCGAGUUCUUAAAUUCCCAGGCGGGUCUCCCCCUCUCCUACAGGGAGGCGAUGCGGCGGCAAACGAAAUCUGCGCCAAUAGCGCCUACGGUGCACCCGGCAAGCCUGAGGCGAAGGAUUCGGGUGAUGGCGAUCUUCAGCCUCUCGUCUUUCGGGGCCAUGUUGCUCCAAUCGUUGCCGCGCACUAUGGGGGCUUGGCGCAGGGCAGUGAACGGCUGCGAGUUCUCCUCGAUGAUCCAGCACCACUCCGCUCUCCACUCCUCCCAUUUGCUGCGAAGCUCACCCUCCAGAUACGCUUCCUUCUUGCCGACUCUCGAGAUCCAGGCGAUCCCUCUGGCAAGUGGCUCUCCUCUCUCGACCCGAGGCAUGAAGAAGUGGCGGAAAAGGGCUACAUUGGGGUGGACUCCGACAAAGUUUUCGCACAAAUGUGCGAAAACUGCCAUGGUCAGGACGGCGUUGGGGGUGAAAUCAAGGAGGCGGAACCCGUAGGUGUUCAUUAUGUCGCAGAAGAAUUCCGAGAAGGGCAGGCACAGCCCGCAAUAGAAGAACAAUGCGAAAAAUGGGUACCCGUUUGGAGCCAGUUCCGAUGCGGCGGCCGGGAGCACCUUCGUGCGCGGGUGCGCUCGCGUCUCCGUCGACCAGAAGAGGUAAUAGUACUCCCUCUGCUCCUUGGCGUCGAGCUGAGGGGGGAAGAUGGCCCGCUCCUUCCGCAGCGCCGCGAGCCACUGCGCCUCGGCCGACUUCACGCCCUUCCCCUUGUCGGCUUUCGGAGCCAUGGCGGAGGUGGCGGGGGAAGUCGACGGCGUUGGUGGUGCUGGUGGCGACCGGGGGCGGAGCGCUGCUCUCUUUCAGCUUUGAGAAGAAAGGGGGAGCGACGGAGAUUUUCGAGGAAGGAGUAACAACCGGCGAAGUGGGGAAACUACCCCUGUUUCCCCUUCUUAUAAAGAGGGAGGGGGCGGACGUUUCACCCUUCCGAAUAAAGCACCCCCCACGAUCUCUCCCACGAUGCCGCACUCAACGCGUGCCGUUGGGGGAGGGCGCGGUGGAUACGGAGUAAGAUACGGCGUGGCCCAGGCCGCGUGUGCUCGUGCCCUGUUUUGGGCCUGGCCCAACAGUGCUCGGCAUCGUUUAUGGCCCAGGCCCGGGGGCUCCUGUCGAUGUACUAGAGUAGGGGUACCCUAGUACCCCGAACUUGUGCAUGGGCAGUUGCAGUCCGCCGCGGCAAGGGCUUGCCGGGUGACCGCCAAGAUACUCCGUGGCUCCCUCGGAGCCGUUCAAGAACAAAGUACCCAAGUAAAGAAGACAAGGCCCCGGCAAGAGGAGCUUGCCGGGAAGGCCAACCGAGGAAUCUCAAGGAACUUGCAGCGACGCACCACGCGUCCCAGCAAGGCCCGGCGAGCGACAAGCUUCCGGGCGCGACAAGACCACGACCGCGAUAAGAAGCUUGCCGCGGCAGGCGGCCGCUCUGUGCCCACGCUCUAGCGCAUCCACCAACGUGUCGCCCUGGGGGCCUUUCCAGGCGCGCGUGGCGGAAGGCUGUGCAGCCAGCGGUGCGCGGUGGCAUGCGACGCUGACAAGAUCGCCAUCGUGGCGAAUGGUGGCGCCCCUAACGGUCCUUUUCUGCACUGUUUGGGCGACACAGACGGGCAUUUAAUGCCCUUGUCCCCUGCCGUCAGGGUUAGGUAGGGUGCACUAUGCAGACAACUAUACCAACCACCUCUCUUUUUACGUUUUUACCCUUCUUUACAUUGCCACCUGUCGGUGACCCCUUGAGCGUAUAAAAGGAGGCCCAUGUGCAACGUACAGGGGGUUCGGCUCAGUUCGAAGCAGAAACACUCACGCUCGGUCUCGUUAGCUGCUCACGUGUGCUGUAACACUCAGCGCUCCCGAGCAAGAACACAAUACAAUCAGACAAGUAGCAGUAGGAGUAUUAUCUCUCCGGAGAGCUCCGAAGCUGGGUAAACUGCUCGUGUGCUUCGCCUCGAUCUGCUCUUCGUGCGACCUCCGCCCCCCGCCGAACCGAAAGGGUCUCAGUCCGCCGGUCCCAUAGGUGUUCGUGGAUCAGUUUCCCCGACACAUGACUAUACUAAAGUGCAAACAUGCAACAACACUCAUCAUAUCAAGAGUUCAAGCAUGCUUGCCUGGUUCGGAGAAGUCGGAGUUUAACUGUGUGAAGUUUGCCGCUCCGUCACCUCCUCCGGUAUCUAUAGUAUAAGAGAAAUACGUACGUAACGUAAAUACCAUGAGUGUACAGAAAAGUGUUCCAAAUAUUUUUCAAAUAAAUAUGGCAAACAACUAGACGAAAAAAUAAAGAUGACAGAAAAGGAAUCAAUCAAAAAUCAUUUUCUCUUAAAAAGUUAUAAGAGUUUUGGUCCGAGGACCCAUCUGUAAUGAAACAGAAAGUUUCCAGGGGGCUCUGCGGAAAAGUCCAGAAUAACGUUUCGUUUAAACGAAACAGCUGUGAGGCUGACAUGCGGGCUCCACCUAUCGGGUUUGAAAUUUCAAACGGAGAAAUAGAGCGUGACGGCGCCCAAGAGGUGCGGUGGUCGCCGGCGGCGAUCCACGGCGAGGCAAGGUGAUCGGGGGUUACCUUCGAGAUCAGUGCACCAUUCUGCGUCCGUGGGUGGUGGUGGUGGUCGCCGGCGAGCACUGUGUCGAUGGCGGCCCUUGCUCCGGCGGACGGCGGUUCGGGCAGUCGUGGAUCUCGCCGGAGGGAGCUGCGGUGAUCAAAUAGGAGUGGGGGUUAGUCUCCUAGUUGCUCGAGAGGGUUGCUGACGAAGUUAGGGCAUUGGAGACGGCCUCACCGGAGCGAAUCAAGGUGGAGGCCAAAGCGGAAUGGGGCGGCCGGAAUCAGGGAAGAAGGGCCCCUCGAGGCUCUCCCAGUGGCUAGGCGGGGUCUAGUAAGGUGGUGGAGUCGUGCGGGGGCGAGAGCAGGCUCGGGGGGUGCUAUAUGUAGCCGGCCCGAGUCGGUUGCCACGAACGGAUAAGUCCGGCGAGUGGAUUACGGCGGCGCUAUGGCUGGACGGGCGGCUUAGGAGCUUGAGCAUAGCCUUGGUGGAGUAGUGGUGCCAUUUUAGGGUCCAGCUCAGCACGGGAGGAACGUUUACGGCCUGCCCUCGACGGAACGGCCGCACGGCCUGUCGGCGGCAGAGAACGCGCUCUGCGCGUGCCAGGCCACGGCGACGGUGCCGCAUGCGUGCGCUGGCAAGGAGGUGGCCACGCGGAGCUACCAGGACGCUUGGGCGGCGCCGAACGGCGUUGAGCCGCCGUUUUUCUCCCUGUCGGCCGUUACGGUGCUACGGCCGCCGCAAAGCACAUCGGCGCAGGCGGGCCAGGGUGCCACUGACGCCCGGAAGGCGCCAAGCGCGCGUGUGAAGCUCCGGACAAGCAGGCCAGGCUGUGAGCAACGUGCCAAGGGCACUGUGGACAUGUGACUGAAGUUACUGACGGAGAAUGACACUGACCUCUGAAUUUACUGAAUGUGAAUAGUACUAGUGCAUGCAAAGUGUUCGACAGAAUGAUUCUGGCAUCUAGGGAUUUUUCCUUAAGCUGAUUUUUGGUGGAGUGGUCUCUUAUUGCAACUAGAGGUUUCCUGAAUUUUGGUGGAAUUUUUGGAGAAGUGUAGAUAUGAAUUUCACCAAAUUUGGAAAAUCUGGUCCAAACUUGCAGAGAGUGAAAUUUGAAAUAUUUGAAAAGAAGAUGAGUGGAUCAAGAUGGUUCUGGGUUGUGGGUACAAAGGACUAUCCAGGGGUGUUGAGUUGAGGUCAAAAAUCAAAAGCAUUAGGGUACUUGCUUUGCAAAUCACCUAGGCCCAAAAGAAAAGACAGAAUUAUUUUGGAAGGAGAAAUAAUUGGAAUAAAAUACAAAAAUGGAUUUUAUUAGUUUGGACAGAAUGCUUGGGUAGUACCAAAGUGGGAGGAGGGGUUUUUGGGGGAGUUUUACCAUAGGAGGCAUGGUAAAACCAGAGUGGAUCAAAAUCAAAUGAAAGACCAAAAAUCAAAAAGGUUUUGUUUUUAAAAGAAACUAAAUUCAACAAAAAGAUUUUUGAGAGGGCAAACUUAGAAGAUGGUUUUUAGGAAGGGUUUAAAUGACCUUCUUUCAAACCAAGCAAGGCUCUUUCUGAAAACAAAAUUUCACAAAAUUUUUGGAGUGUCACAGCACCUACCCCCUUAGGAAAAAUCUCGUCCCCGAGAUUUCAGAUGAUCCUUAAACAGGUGUGGGUGCUCUGUCCGAAGAAAAUCCUCGCUCUCCCAGGUUGCUUCAUUCUCGGUGUGAUUACUCCACUGAACUCUGAAAAACUUAAUGGUUUUCUGUCGGGUCCUCCUCUCAGACUCUUCUAAUAUUUUUAUUGGGUGCUCCCGGUAUGUGAGGUCCGGUUGUACGUCAAUAUUCUCAUGUGAAACUUGCUUCUCUGGGUUGCUCACGUAUUUUCUCAACUGCGAGAUGUGAAACACGUUGGAGAUACCGGAUAAGUCUCCGGGUAGGUCUAGCUGGUAGGCUACCAUGCCUCUUCGGGCCACUAUAUGAAAUGGUCCGAUGAAUAUUGGUGCUAGUUUCCCCUUAAUCCUGAAUCGUUGUAGACCCUUCAUAGGAGAAACUCUCAGAUAUACCAAUUCUCCGGGUCCAAAACUGAUUUCCCGAUGCUUUCGGUCGUAAUAACUCUUUUGCCGACUUUGAGCUGUUUUGAGUCGAUCUCUAAUUGUCUUAACUUUCUCCUCGGCCUCCUUGAGCAUAUCUGGGCCAAAGAUAUGGCUGUCUCCGGUCUCUGACCAAUUUAGCGGGGUACGACAUCUUCUCCCAUAUAGAGCUUCAAAGGGUGCCAUUUGCAAGCUGGCUUGAUAGCUGUUGUUGUAUGUGAACUCUGCAUAUGGCAAGCUUUCUUCCCAACUGUUCCCGUAGGUGAGGACACAGGCUCUCAGCAUGUCUUCUAGGAUUUGGUUUACACAUUCCGUCUGCCCAUCAGUCUAGGGAUGGUAUGCGGUACUGAAGGCCAGUUGGGUUCCCAGUGCCUGUUGUAGGUGAUCCCAAAAUAUAGAGACGAACUGUGUGCCUCUAUCGGAGAUGAUUGUCUUAGGGACUCCAUGCAGGCAGACGAUACGGGCAAGAUAAAGUAUGGCCAGUCUCUGAGUGGUGUAAGUUGUCUUUACCGGAAUAAAAUGUGCCACCUUGGUUAAUCUGUCGGUUAUGACCCAUAUGGCAUCGUUUCCGUGUCGUGAUCGUGGCAGUCCAACGAUAAAGUCCAUUCCAAUCUCGUCCCAUUUCCACUCGGGUAUCUUAUUUGGCUGUAAUAGUCUGGCUGGUUUCUGGUGCUCGGCCUUGAUACGUUGACAAGAGUCACAUCAUGCAAUGAACGUGGCUAUAUCUCUCUUCAUACCAUGCCACCAAAAAAAAUCCUGAAGGUCCUUGUACAUUUUUGUCCCUCCAGGAUGGAUUGAAUAUGGAGCUGUGUGACUUUCAGUCAAUAUCUGCUGUUUGAGGUCCUUGACAUUUGGUACGCAUAGCCUCUCUCCGUACCACAAUAUUCCUUGCUCAUCUAUGUUGAAUUCUGAGGCUCUCCCCAAACUCACUUUUCUUUUUAUGCCCUCAAUGCUGGGGUGUCCGUGCUGGGCUUCCUUGAUCCUUUCCAUCAGGGUAGGCUGUAUUUCUAUAUUCGACACACUGCCUUCGGUAACCAUUAUUAGAUUGAGUCGGGCAAAUUCCUGCUGAAAUUCUGGCCUCAACUUUGGUAUACUGUCGUCGUCCAUGCUGGUAUUUCGACUAAGUGCAUCUGCCACAACAUUUGCUUUUCCGGGAUGAUAGUGGAUUCCAACAUCAUAAUCCUUCACCAACUCUAACCAGCGUCGUUGCCGUAAAUUUAACUCUGGCUGGGUGAAAAUAUACUUAAGACUCUUAUGGUCUGUGUAUAUCUCACAAUGAUUCCCAAGUAGAAAGUGUCUCCAUUCCUUGAGUGCAUGGAUGACCGCUACUAAUUCCAAGUCAUGAGUGGGAUAAUUCUCCUCAUGCUUGCGUAGUUGUCUAGAGACAUCCGCAACUACCUUGCCUUCUUGCAUCAAUACGCAUCCGAGGCCUUUCCGGGAUGCGUCACAAUAUACCUCAAAAUUCUUGUGUAUAUCUGGCACAAUUAGUACUGGUGCCGUUGUUAAUCUGCUUUUUAGCUCUUGGAAGCUUUUCUCACAUGCUUCUGUCCAUUCAAACUUCUUGCCUUUCUUGAGCAAUUGUGUCAUGGGCUUUGCUAUAGUGGAGAAUCCUUCAAUAAAUCUCCGAUAAUAGCCUGCCAUUCCCAAGAAACUCCGUACGUCCAUUACGUUACCUGGUGGUUUCCAGCCAAGUACGGCCUUGACUUUUUCCGGGUCCACUGCAAUACCUUCUUGGGUUAGCACGUGGCCCAGAAAACCCACCUGCCUUAGCCAAAAUUCACAUUUGCUGAAUUUGACGUACAGUUGAUGUUUCCUGAGUUCCCCGAGUACAACCUUGAGAUGUUCGGCGUGCUCUUCUGUUGUUUUGGAAUAUAUCAUAAUAUCAUCAAUGAAUACUACAACAAACUUGUCCAUAUACUUCAUAAAUACAUUGUUCAUGAGGUGAACAAAAUAUGCGGGGGCGUUGGUUAGCCCGAAUGGCAUUACUGUGAACUCAUACAGUCCAUAUUUGGAGGUGAAGGCGGUCUUGGGAAUAUCUUCUGUUCGUACUUUUAAUUGGUGGUAUCCUGAUCUCAAGUCAAUUUUUGAGAAGACUUUGGCCUGUGCGAGCUGAUCGAAUAAAUCAUUUAUUCGGGGCAUUGGGUAUUUGUUCUUGAUUGUGACCAAUUUGAGAGCCCGAUAAUCAAUACACAACCUCAUUGUUCCAUCCUUCUUCUUGGCAAAUAAAAUUGGAGAACCCCAAGGUGAGGAGCUGGCUCGUAUGUUCCCUUUCUCCAACAAUUCUUUUAUUUGCUUCUUCAACUCUACCAAUUCGGAUGGUGCCAUUCUGUAAGGUUUCUUGUAAAUAGGAGCGGUUCCGGGUGCUAGCUCAAUGCUGAAUUCUAUCUCUCGGUCUGGUGGCAUGCCUGGUAGUUCUUCUGGAAAUACGUCUGGGAAUUCACAUACUACUGGAACCUUGUUCAUCUCGGAAACAUCCACCUUGUUUAUUCUAGGUUGCCGAGGUAUUUGUCUCUCUUUGGCUGAAACUUUUAUUUUCUUCCCAUGAUGGUGUGUGAGAAUCACGGUAUGGUUGAAGCAGUCAAUAAAACCUUUGUUGGUGGUUAACCAAUCCAUUCCUAGGAUCCAGUCCUUUGCUUUCUAGUACAAUAAGGUUGGCGUAAAACUUCAAUCCUUCAAAUUCAAUAAUCACACCUUGACAGUAACUCUGGGUCACUUGCUUAAUUCCAGGGGACUUGAUGAUCAUUGAUUUUUCCAAGGGAAGCAUCGAAAAAUUAUUUUGCCAAGCAAAACUUUUCGAAACAAAUGAGUGAGAAGCUCCAGAAUCAAACAAAACCACGGCAGGUAUUGUGUUGACGGGGUACAUACCGAGUACGAUAUGUGGGGCGUUCUGUGCUUCCUCUCGGGUCACGUGGUUCAAGUGACCUUUCCGGUGGUUGUUGUUGGGGUUGAAAUUGCUUCGCUUUGGUGCUGAAUUAUUGCCACCAUUAUUGAGCUUCGGGGUUGAGCUACUUGGCUUGGGGCACUGCUUGACAUAGUGCCCUUCUUCUCCACAAGCAUGAUAGGUAACGCCUGGGCGAUAGGUGAAUUCUUUGUCUCUUGCAUGGAAAUUCUUGAUUGGACGUGAAUUUUCCGUCGGGGUUUUGUGUGUUCUACCCUUCUGAAUUUCCGUCUUGUUUCUGGGGUUGCGAGCAAAAGUAGUCUGGUCCCUUUUGCGUUUGCGGAAAUCUUCCAGGCUAUGUCGCUCAUUUUCCAGAGUAAUGGCCUUAUCCACCAGUGUUUUAAAAUCUGGAAAGGUAUGCACAACUAGCUGGCACUUAAGGGCAGGUGCCAAGCCUUCCAAGAAUUUUUCCAUCUUCUUGCUCUCGGUCAUGCGUUCUUCAUUGGCGUAGUGAGACAGCAGAGUGAAUUGGUUGUUGUAUUCUGACACUGUCAUGGCCCUUUGCUUGAGUUCAUCAAAUUCUUUCUUCUUGAUUUUCAUGACGCUCUUAGGAAUAUGUGCCCCACGAAAACCUUCCUUGAAAUUUUCCCAUGUGAUUUCAUUUUCGUUGGGGUGCAUGUGCAGGAAGUUUUCCCACCAUGAUGUGGCUGCUCCUAUGAGAUAAUGUGGUGCAUACAAUACUUUUUCACGGUCUGAACACUGUGCGAUAAUUAAUUUUCUCUCCAUGUCUCAAGCCAGUCCUCGGCCUCAAGAGGCUUGUCAGUAUGAGAAAAUGUUGGAGGACGCGUCUUUUGUAACUUAGAUAAUUUGGAUUGCGAUUGAUACUGACCAUGGUUACUUCCCAUAUUGAUGAAUUGGUUCAUCAUUUCUUGGUGUUGAUGCUGACUCUGUUCAUACAAACGACAAACUUGUGUAAAAGUUGUUUCACUGCCCUGUUGACUUGUCUGACCCUGAGUGAAAUUGUGGUUCUGCGGUGUGCCAUAAUUUUCUUCUGGCUGAGUUGGCAUGGAGCGCGUCCAAGGACGAGACAUCUUUCACUCUGGGGAUAUAUUUUGUGAACUCGUAAGAUAAGAAAGAGAGCCGCAAAAAUCAAUAAAAUCACACACAAAGAGCAUUUUAAAUUCUAGGAUAUUUUUGGAAACACACGAUUGCGCGCGGAGAAGGACUAUUACAUAUCUUACAUGCGGGCAUAAUUAUACAUUACAUCACUCAGGAUAUGCGCACAUAAACCUGACAUGUUAUUUAAACUAGUGCACUCCUCCAGAUCCUACAUAAUGCGCAAACAGGCUACUUCUCACAACCUAUGUACAUAUAAACAUAUUACACAAGUCGAUACAUCGCAUGGCGUCUACGCGUACUCAGUCGGAGAUGGUGAGGAUCUGCCUUGGCCUGCCGAGGGUGAGACGCAGUGACGUUGGGGAAUCAACUUCCUCCUCACUAACAGGUUCCAGACGAGGAACGCUGCCUGAGCUGAUGGAGUAGGUGUCGUAGGUAGAGUACCCUGAAUAAAAGUGGGCGGAAUAGGUGGAGUAGCACGUAUGGGAGUGGGUGCAAAAAGUGGUGCAGCGCGAACGGGAGUGGGUGCAAUAGCCUGGUUGAAUUCCUCAGUGGUAGGUAGACGACGUGCAGUAGCGAGAAUGGUAGGCGAAUGAGAAGCUGAGGACGAGAUAAAGGUCAGCGGUGGAGCGGUGUGUAGGAGUUCCCUCCUGUUAGCAGCACAGCCAUGAACUGAGUCCAUGCGGACAGCUACGAGGUCGUCCACCAUGUUGUCAAAAGCUGCCUCCAGGGCUCGGAGGUACUCGACAAGCAUCUCAAAGGCCUCGUCUUGCUCUCAUCUGGGGCAAGAGAAUGAGUAGUGACAGGUGUAAGGAACAUGGCAUGGAAGGUAGCGAUAGCGACGGGUCUUCAUUGUAGGAAGGACAUCCCGAAGACGAGCUAUCGCCUCGCGGGCUGCCAUCUGCAUAGCAUGCCUCUCUGUAGGCAUGGCUCUCCCCAAGAAACGGAAGCGGCACAUCUCAACACGCCCUCCCCUGAAUUGCACCGCGGCUUGGUGCAUGGUCAGACUGUCGUUGAUCUUGUGUGGAUAAAGCGUGAAGACUGGGCGAACGGAUGGCCCCAUCACGACCUGAACGAUGAAGGAGAGGAGUUUGACGAACCCCUCUGGCAUGUUGGCGAACAUUUGAGACUCGCAGUCGCUGCCAGUCAUCUACAAAAGUAGGCAAAAAUUCUGAGUGAUCAGAUCAUAAAUUUUUAUGCUGACUGUCAGAAAGAUGACUACAUUUUGUAAAAACAAGAAUAAACACUGUCAUGCUAAUAAUUAAAUUAGCGAUUGCACCUAGUGGCUUCCUACAGUCAGCCUGGCUCUGGUUACCAAGUCUGUCACGACCGACUUUUUCAAUAAAUAACUAUUGAGAAAAUCGAUCUUUAAAUCCCAGUAUAGGAAAAGUCAUCCUUCUGGUAGACAAAGCUUGAUAAACAGAGAACCAGUAGCAUCAAAUAUAUUACAGGGCUGAGCUAAGGCUGCUCAACAAUUUAUACAAACUUGCCAAUAUCUUACAUAAGGGCGGUUAUGACACAGGGGUGUGGUGGCAUGCUACUAGCUCGAGGAUAAGUGGUGGAUAACUUGACUCCUAACUGGCAGCUCAUCGAGCGUCAAGGUGAGGCUCGAUGAAUUUUAUUCUGGGGUUGCGGAAGCGGAUAAUACAGUGAUCAAAACAGGAUCGCACGGGACUGACUGGGACUCCUCUAGGCGUCGGACUCGCUAUCAAACUCUUCAUCCAUGAGAUCACCUUCAUCAACAUCUGGACAAAUCAACAAGCCAGGUGAGUACUUUGGAAGUACUCGCAAGACAGUUCGGACAAAAGAUAUAAUCAAUGAAUGCAUGAAUGCGUCAUGAAUAAAGGAUGAUGCUCAUAUAUCAACGAUAAUAUUGCAGGACUUGAUAAAUAAAAUAAAUGACUGAAAACCGAUCGGGUGUCUGGAGCGACGCCUCGAAAGGUAAAUAAAUAAAAUGCAUGCCACAGUCGGGCGUCUAAGCGACACCACAUAAAGGGCUUAAAAGAAAUGCCACAGUCGGACGUCUGAGCGACAUCACAUAAAGGGCUUUAAAAGAAAUGCCACAGUCGGAUGUCUGAGCGACAUCACAUAAAGGGCUUUAAAAUAAAUGCCACAGUCGGACGUCUGAGCGACAUCACAUAAAGGGCUUUAAAAGAAAUGCCACAGUCGGACGUCUGAGUGACAUCGCAGAUAGGGCUUGCAACAAAUGUAAAUAACAGACAUGCCACCGUCGGACGUCUAAGCGACAUCACUGACAGGGCUUGUAAUAAACGUAAAUGACAGGUAUGCCACCGUCGGACGUCUGAGCGACAUCACAGACAGGGCAGGUAAUAAAUGUAAAUAACAAGAUUAGUCCAUCCACAACAAUAAUCUUUUAAUCGGAUGUAUCACACAUAAAUCCCACCGGAGUUUUGUCACUGAGGAUGAUACCUGACAAGAUAAGAUGAAUAUAGUAAUUGAACAAAGUACAAGAUAAUUGAAAGAUUUGAGACUCUGCAGAGUUUGGAUGAACUGACCACAGCCAACGGAUUUUCGUAGUCACGAAGGACUAGUUCUGUUUACGGUAUUUCAGUAGAAACACAUUUAACUAGUACACACCCAUUCCACCUCACGAUGCCAAGAAUCACCCUGGACAACGUCCAAGAAAAACUUUGAGACGGGGAGGCCACAACCUCGAAUAGCAUGGGAUCAAAUUUCUAUACGCGCGCUCUAAGGGGUGCCCCCCUCUCGGUCCCAACCGGAAACACCCAUGCCCCCUGACCGGAUGACGAGCUUUAAUCCAGGGCCAUGGAACCCUCAUCCCGGCCUCUCUAAUUGGUGUUUACCAGGAAAACAAUUUGCAAAUUACUAUGCCAUAUUCCUUUCGGAAAACAUGUGACAGUAUAGGAAGGAAUGAAUGGAAAUGUGAUUUGUUUGACGAUGACAUGGAAGUCAAAUAAUCUGGCAUAAGACUGGCAUGUCACAACACUGCCAUCUUACCCAUCCUCAUGCCAAAACAUGGCUAUGCAAAUAUGUAUCCAACAACAUAAUGCUUUCCGAAACUUACUUUCCGCUCAUGUGCAUGAAAUAUAACUUUCAAAGUGUUGUUCAUAAACAUGCCAUGACUAUACUAAAGUGCAAACAUGCAACAACACUCAUCAUAUCAAGAGUUCAAACAUGCUUGCCUGGUUCGGAGAAGUCGGAGUUUAACUAUGUGAAGUUUGCCGCUCUGUCACCUCCUCCGGUAUCUACGGUAUAAGAGAAAUACGUACGUAACGUAAAUACCGUGAGUGUACAGAAAAGUGUUCCAAAUAUUUUUCAAAUAAAUAUGAGAAAAAACUAGACAGAAAAAUAAAGAUGACAGAAAAGGAAUCAGUCAAAAAUCAUUUUCUGUUAAAUAGUUAUAAGAGUUUUGGUCCAAGGACCCAUCUAUAAUGAAACAGAAAGUUUCCAGGGGGCUCUGCGGAAAAGUCCAGAAUAACGUUUCGUUUAAACGAAAUGGCUGUGAAGCUGACAGGCGGGCUCCACCUGUCGGGUUUGAAAUUUCAAACGGAGAAACAGAGCGCGACGGCGCCCGAGAGGUGCGGUGGUCGCCGGCGGCGAUCCACGGCGAGGCAAUGUGACCGGGGGUUACCUUCGAGAUCAGUGCACCGUUCUGCGUCCGUGGGUGGUGGUGGUGGUCGUCGGCGAGCACUGUGUCGACGGCGGCCCUUGCUCCGGCGGACGGCGGUUCGGGCAGUCGUGGAUCUCGCCGGAGGGAGCUGCGGUGAUCAAAUAGGAGUGGGGGUUAGUCUCCUAGCUGCUCGAGAGGGUUGCUGACGAAGUUAGGGCGUCGGAGAUGGCCUCACCGGAGCGAAUCGAGGUGGAGGCCGAGGCGGAACGGGGCGGCCGGAGUUGGGGAAGAAGGGCCCCUCGAGGCUCUCCCAGUGGCUAGGCGGGGUCUAGUGAGGUGGUGGAGUCGUGCGGGGGCGAGAGCAGGCUCGGGGGUGCUAUAUAUAGCUGGCCCGAGUCGGUUGCCGCGAACCGAUAAGUCCGGCGAGUGGAUUACGGCGGCGCUGUGGCUGGACGGGCGGCUUAGGAGCUUGAGCAUAGCCUAGGUGGAGUAGUGGUGCCAUUUUAGGGUCCAGCUCAGCACGGGAGGAAGGUUUACGGCCUGCCCUCGACGGAACGGCCGCACGGCCCGUCGGCGGCAGAGAACGCGCUCUGCGCGUGCCAGGCCACGGCGACGGUGCCGCAUGCAUGCGCUGGCAAGGAGGUGGCCACGCGGAGCUACCAGGAUGCUUGGGCGGUGCCGAACGGUGUUGAGCCGCCGUUUUGCUCCCUGUUGGCCGUUACGGUGCUACGGCCGCCGCAAAGCACGCCGGCGCAGGCGGGCCAGGGCGCCACCGACGCCAGGAAGGCUCCAUGCGCGCGUGUGAAGCUCCGGACAAGCAGGCCAGGCUGCAAGCAACGUGCCAAGGGCACUGUGGACAUGUGACUGAAGUUACUGACGGAGAACGACACUGAACUCUGAAUUUACUGAAUGUGAACAGUACUAGUGCAUGCAAAGUGUUCGACAGAAUGAUUCUGGCAUCUAGGGAUUUUUCCUUGAGCUGAUUUUUGGUGGACUGGUCUCUUAUUGCAACUAGAGGUUGCCUGAAUUUUGGUGGAAUUUUUCGAGAAGUGUAGAUAUGAAUUUCACCAAAUUUGGCAAAUCUGGUCCAAACUUGCAAAGAGUGAAAUUUGAAAUAUUUGAAAAGAAGAUGAGUGGAUCAAGAUGGUUCUGGGUUGUGGGUAAAAAGGACUAUCCAGGGGUGUUGAGUUGAGGUCAAAAAUCAAAAGCAUUAGGGUACCUGCUUUGCAAAUCACCUAGGCCCAAAAGAAAAGACAGAAUUAUUUUGGAAGGAGAAAUAAUUGGAAUAAAAUCCAAAAAUGGAUUUUAUUAGUUUGGACAGAAUGCUUGGGUAGUACCAAAGUGGGAGGAGGGGUUUUUGGGGGAGUUUUACCAUAGGAGGCAUGGUAAAAGUAGAGUGGAUCAAAAUCAAAUGAAAGACAAAAAAUCAAAAAGGUUUUCUUUUUAAAAGAAACUAAAUUCAAGAAAAAGAUUUUUGAGAGGGAAAACUUAGAAGAUGGUUUUUAGGAAGGGUUUAAAUGACCUUCUUUCAAACCAAGCAAGGCUCUUUCUGAAAACAAAAUUUCACGAAAAAAAUUUGAGUGUCACAUUUAACUCAUUAAGACAAGCUCCAAGAUCACAAGACCUCUACAGUCAGCAAAAGUGCCAUGUCAGUCGACAGAAAUAAAGGACAAUUGACGGAGAAAAGCUAAUCUAAGACUGCUAUCGAAUCAAAUAUCCAACAAGUAGUCUCAGGGACUACACCCAGUGGGAGCACUUAGCGUGCCCCCACUGGUUCAGAUAAAUACUCAGUAGGGUCUGCCUAGCGUGAGUCCAAAAAAAAGAGAGAUACAUUCUAAGACCGCAGUCGACUGCCAGCAGUCGACCGUGGUCUCGGGGAAUACACCCAGUGGGUGCACUUAGUGUGCCCCCACUGGUUCAGAUCAAUACUCAGCAGGGUCUGCCCAGCGUGAGUUCAGACAGUCUACUAAGAUUCAACUCAAGUCGAGUGGAAUGGAAAAUUUUCCAGGCUAUAUGCAACAAAACACCCCAGUGGGUGAUCAGAUAUAAGACAAUAUUCGACAGGUCAGUCGGAGUCUUGCUGACCUAAACAUUGGCCUGAAGGGCAGUACUGGCGUUGUAGGCCACCUGGCUAGCCUCGUGCACCACCUUCACCUGCUCCAUGACAAGGUCCACCUGGCGAAGAGCUUCCCUGGCUACACUCGGCGAGUCAUCCGGACUCGGAUACACAGUAAAAAGUGAUGGUUACAGAGCAGCUUGAGCGGUCGCCGAGUCAGAGGUGUGAAGUUGCACUGGAGCGGCAGGAGUCGGAGCAGUCGAGCCCUCCGGACGAUCAGUCAUCAGCGGGCUGGCGAACAUGACUCUGGUCCGAACAGGCUCCCCGGAGUGUUCGACCACCGCCUCGAGCUCCGGUGUCGACUGAGGGACCUGAACUUCAAGCCUCCUCCUGCCGGAGCUUCCACCCUUCCUCCUCCUCUCCCGUAGAGGCGGCUCUUCUUCAUCGUCAGGGAGCACAACAACUUCUUCCAGAACUACAGAAAGAGAGAAAUGACAGAAAAUCUGCCGAUUGACGAUCUACUCAACUCAAUGAGGCUUGGUCGAUCAGACUUACCGACUCGUGAGGUGGCCUCUUCAUCUCAUGGUGCCUUAUCAAUGUCCAUGUCAGUGGCAGCAGAGGUGGGACUGGAAAGACACACGAAUUGGUUGGUCAGAACAAGAAAAUCUUCAGUCGAGCUACGGAAACGCAAACAAGAUACUCACCCCGAAGCAACAGGGACGUCCAUCUUGAUCCGUGGCAAUGUCUUUCGAGCUUUGGGAGGAGCGACUUUAGGCUGCUUGGCCACCUUCUCCGUCGGCUCCAGAGUCGACGUUCGAGCGUGCUUCUGGGUAGUGGCACUCGGAGCCACGCUUUUCCCGCGCCCGCCAGACGGGUCAUGCUGCUGUUUGGAUAGACGUUCAGAAUGAGGCGGCGAGUCGACCUCUUCCUCCUCGUCCAACUCCUCGCUCUCCUCCUCCUCCUAUUCUCUCGGAGACUCCCACUCACCACUCUCCUCAGCACUGUCCUCCCCUCCUGGUAUUGUGCCAAAGCAUGUUCACCCUUGGGCAUUGAAUGCAUCUCAGUGAAUACCUGCAAAGCAAACCGAUCGAGCAAGAGUCAGCCAACAUCAAGUACAGUCGGAACGCGAGCGGGAAACAGUCGGAACAAAGAGUGUACCUUGUCGGGUGGGUUGUCUUCACCAAAAGGGGCGACCCGCCUGGAUCCUCUUGGGUUAUCUUGGUUGCCUGUGAUGCCCUUCAACCACAAAGCUACGGUUUCGGGCGGCACUUCUUCUAGAUGGACCCGAGCGGUGUCGUCCGGUCCAGAAUACAGCCACAUCGGGUGAUCGCGAGCCUAGAGAAGCUGGAUGCGCUGAAUGAGGAACACUUCCAGCAAGUCCAGGCCGGUAAGGCCAUCAUUGAUGAGCUGAACCACUCGGUCCACCAACAUCCUCGUCUCCAUGGUCUCGGCAGCGGUUAAUUUCAGCGGAGCAGGAGUCUGGACACGAUCAAACAAGAAGGGGGGAAGACCGAUCGACUGACCUAGAGCUGCGACAUCCUGGCAGUAGAACCAGGAUGACUGCCAACCCCUAACAGAUUCAGGAAGAGUCACAACGGGGAAAGAGCUCCUAUUCCUCUUUUGAAUACCUAAACCCCCGCACAUCUGGAUGACGUGGGUCUUUGAGUCACUCGACUCCGCCUUUUUUACCGAUUGAGAGUGAAUCAUGAAGAUAUGUUUGAAGAGGCCCCAGUGCGGUCGGCACCCUAAGAAGUUCUCGCACAUCGAUACAAACGCAGCCAGGUACGUGAUGGUGUUGGGAGAAAAGUGGUGGAGCUGAGCGCCAAAGAAGUUCAAAAAUCCCUCGAAGAAAGGGUGCGGAGGGAGCGAGAAACCCUGGUCGACGUGAGUGGCAAGUAGAACACACUCACCCGGUCGAGGUUGAGGUUCCGUCUCCCCCUUCGGAAGCCUCACCGCCCCCUUGGCAAUCAGCCCGGACUCCUCCAGUUCGGCCAGAUCCUCCUGCCGGACCGGAGACCGGAUCCAAUCGCCCUGGAUCCAGCCCGGCGGCAGCCCCACGCGCGACGACGACCCGUGGCUCGGCUUCCUGCCCUUCGCCGCCCCCGUUGCCUUCUUAGCACGCUCUAGCGCCGCUGUUUUGUCCUUCACCAUGGCAUGGGAGCAACAGCGUCGAGAGCGGAGGCGCUGGGCGUGGUGGAGAAGCAGAAGAGAAACAAGGAACAACAGGCGUGCACAGUGCAAGCGCCUCGGCCCCGUCGCCUUAUAAAGGGCCACUUCCGAGUGACUGGCCCGCGGGUCCAGGCAAUCCCGUCAAAUCCUGCAAUAGAUGCGCGCAGCUGUAGGAUCAGAAGUAUGUCUAGAGGGGGGUGAUUAGACUACUUGACCAAUUAAACACUUAUCCUUUUUCCCAAUUUUAGUCUUUGGCAGAUUUUAGCUAUCUUAGCACAAGUCAAGCAAUCUUCACACAAUUCAAGCAAGCAUGCAAAGAGUAUAUGAGCAGCGGAAAGUAAAGCAUGCAACUUGUAAGAAUGUAAAGGGAAGGGUUUGGAGAAAUCAAACGCAAUUUGGAGACACGAUGAUUUUUGAGCCGUGGUUCCGAUAGGUGGUGCUAUCGUACAUCCACGUUGAUGGAGACUUCAACCCACGAAGGGUAACGGUUGCGAGAGUACACGGAGGGCUCCACCCAUGAAGUGUCCACGAAUAAGCAACCUUGUCUAUCCCACCAUGGCCGUCGCCCACGAAGGACUUGCCUCACUAGCGGUAGAUCUUCACGAAGUAGGCGAUCUCCUUGCCCUUACAAACUCCUUGGUUCAACUCCAAAAUCUUGUCAGAGGCUCCCAAGUGACACCUAGACAAUCUAGGAGACACCACUCUCUAAGAAGUAACAAUUGGUGUGUUUAUGAUGAACUCCUUGCUCUUGUGCUUCAAAUGAUAGUCUCCCCAACACUCAACUCUCUCUCACAGGAUUUGGAUCUGGUUGAAAGAAGAUUUGAGUGGAAAGCAACUUGGGGAAGGCUAGAGAUCAAGAUUCAUAUGGUAGGAAUGGAAUAUCUUGGCCUCAAGACAUGAGUAGGUAGUUCUCUCUCUCAGAAAUGGUAAGCUGGAAGUGUAUGUUUGUUCUGAUGGCUCUCUCCAUGAAUGAAGAGGAGGUGGAGGGGUAUAUAUAGCCUCCACACAAAAUGUAACUGUUACACACAAUUUAUCAAUCUCGGUGGGACCGAAUCAACAAACUCGGUCGGACCGAUUUAGUAAACCUAGUGACCGUUAGGGUUUUCAGUGGGACCGACAUGCAACUCGGUAGGACCGAUAUGGUUAGGGUUAGGGCAUAACGUAAUCUCGGUGAGACCAAUUACACAAACUCGGGACCGAUUUUGGUAAUAAGCCAACCAGAGAGUUGGUCAGGUAAACUCGGUGGGACCGGUUCGCUCAUUUCGGUUGGAUCGAAAUGUUACGAAAAGGAAACAGAGAGUUUACAUUGCAAUCUCGGUGGGACCGAUAGCUCACUUCGGUUAGACCAAAACGUUAUGAAGGGAAACAGAGAGAUUACAAUUCCAUCUCGGCGAGGCCGAGAUCCCUAUCAGCAAGACCGAUUUGCCUAGGGUUUGUGGCAGUGGCUAUGACAUCUGAACUUGGUGGCGCCGGAUAGAAAGAAUCGGUGGGGCCGAGUUUGACUUUAGGUUUAGGUCAUAUGUGGAUAUGAGAAAGUAGUUGAGGGUUUUUGGAGCAUAUCACUAAGCACUGUGGAGCAAGAAACUCAUUAAGCAACACCUCAUCCCUCCUUGAUAGUAUUGGAUUUUCCUAUAGACUCAAUGUGAUCUUGGAUCACUGAAAUAUAAAAUGUAGAGUCUUGAGCUUUUGAGCUUGAUCCAAUCCUUUUAUCCUUAGUAUUUUGAGGGGUAUCCACUUUCCUCAUCCAUGCCAUGCCAUUCAUUGAGCUUUUCCUGAAAUGUUCAUCUUGGAAUGAUGUUAGCUCAGUGAGCUAUAUGUUGUUAGGAAUUACCAAAACCACCUAGGGAUAGUUGCACUUUCAGCAGCGUACAUGGAGAAAAAGGCGGCACGGUAAUCGAGGCAUCGCUACUUAUCCGAGCCGCUUGUUUUGGCGCUCUCUGGCCCACGCGCUUCUCCAAAAAUUCAUAUCCCGCGAAAUCUGGGAUAUGCCGCAGACAAUCGCGCCCAAGAUCUCAUGCUCUAACACAGCACUCGAUGCUUGAUGUCACCAGUUCAUUCGACGGCUCACUGAAUGGAUUAAGGCGACUGAGUUGACACCGAUCUACCGAUGCAAGCGUUCAGAUUUGCAGAAAGCACUCGCAAAGGCCUGAAGAUCGGAGCAGGCUCAACUUCAGCCUACUUUCCACUCGCACCUUAAUCCAUUCGGGGGCUACUGAUGAGGAUACAAACCUGGUCUAGGGUCAUAGGCCUGACCUAUACGUCCUACCCAAGGUCACUACCCCAGAAGAUAAAAAGACCAAGAGUCAACAGGAGAGCACCGGUCGAGUACGUCGAGUGCAAUCCACUCGACGGUCACCCCCUACCAUCACUUGACUAUAUGGGGAGUCACUCGACUGUAUCGAAGACCAGGAGUCGGAAGAGCACGCAACGGCCAGACGUUCACUCCAUAGUCUUUAUGAGCAUUAAGAAUACUUAAGACUGGCAUUACCAGUAACGCCCCUUACUUUAUGUACAUUAAGCCCCUUGUAAUGGAGGACGGCGGGGGUCCUGGCGCACUCUAUAUAAGCCGCCCCCACCUCUGGGACAAGGGUUCACACCCCCUGUAAUACAACACACAUAAUCCAAUCGACCGCCUCUGGGCACCAAGACGUAGGGCUAUUACUUCCUCCGAGAAGGGCCUGAACUCAUAAACCUCGUGUGUACACAUUCACCAUAGCUAAGAUCUUGCCUCUCCAUACCUACCCCCCUUUCUACUAUCAGUCUUAGCACCACGACACCACCCUCGUGGACAGGGUGUGGGCCCCCUGGCCUUGAUUCUUUCGCCAGUAUUUUUUAUAUUUUCCAAAACUUAUCUUCGUGGAUUUUCAGGUCAUUCCGAGAACUUUUGUUUUCUGCACAAUAAACAACACCAUGGCAGUUCUGCUGAAAAUAGCAUUAGUCCGGGUUAGUUUCAUUCAAGUCAUGCAAGUUAGAGUCCAAAACAAGGGCAAAAGUGUUUGGAAAAGUAGAUACGUUGGAAACGUAUCAACUCCCCCAAGCUUAAACCUUUGCUUGUCCUUAAGCAAUUCAGUCUAUAAACUGAAAGUGGUAAAGAAAAACUUUUACAAACCCUGUUUGCUCUUGUUGUUGUAAAUAUGUAAAGCCAACAUUCAAGUUUUCAGCAAGUAUUAUGAACUAACCAUAACUUAGGUCUCAUAAUUACUCAUAUCAAUGGCAUAAUCAGCUAGCGAGCGAUAAUAAUAAAACUCGGAUGACAACACUUUCUUAAAACAAUCAUAAUAUGAUAUAACAAGAUGGUAUCUUGCUAGCCCUUUCUGAGACCGCAAAACAUAAAUGCAGAGCACCUUUAAAGAUCAAGGACUGACUAAACAUUGUAAUUCAUGUUAAAAGAGAUCCAGUCAAGUCAUACCCAAUAUAAAGGAAUAGUAAUGAAUGCAAAUGACAGUGUGCUCUCGAGCAGGUGCUUUUUAAUAAGAAGGUGAUGACUCAACAUAAAAGUAAAUAGAUAGGCCCUUCCCAGAUGGAAGCAGGGAUUUGUAGAGGUGCCAGAGCUCGAUUUUUAAAAUAGAGAUGAAUAACAUUUUGAGCGGCAUACUUUCACUAUCAAUGCAACAACAAUGAGAUGGCGAUAUCUUCCAUACUACAUCCAUUAUAGGCAGUUCCCAAACAAAAUGGUAAAAUAUUAUACUCCCCCACCACCAACAAGCAUCAAUCCAUGGCUUGCUCAAAACAACAAGUGCCUCCAACUAACAACAGCCCUGUGGGAGUUUUGUUUAAUUAUUUUGAUUUGCUUUGAUCUUUUUGGAUCAUGGGACUGGGCAUCCCGGUUACUGGCCCUUUCUCGUGAAUAAGGAGCGGAGUCCACUCCUCUUGAGAAUAACACACCUAGCAUGGAAGAUACAGGCAGACCUAGUUGAAACAUGAGCUGCUCGAGCAUACAAAACAGAAUUUCAUUUGAAGGUUUGGAGUUUGGCACAUACAAAUUUACUUGGAACGGCAGGUAGAUACCGCAUAUAGGAAGGUAUGGUGGACUCAUAUGGAAUAACUUUGGGGUUUAAGGAGUUUGGAUGCACAAGCAGUAUUCCCGCUUAGUAUAGGUGAAGGCUAGCAAAAGACUGAGAAGCGACCAACUGAGAGAGCGACAACAGUCAUGAACAUGCAUUAAAAUUAAUUCAUACCGAGUACCAGCAUGAGUAGGAUAUAAUCUACCAUGAACAUAAAUAUCAUGAAGGCUAUGUUGAUUUGUUUCAACUACAUGCGUGAACAUGUGCCAAGUCGAGUCACUCAAUUCAUUCAAAGGAGGAUACCAUCCCAUCAUACCACAUCAUAAUCAUCUUAAUAGCAUGUUGGCACGCAAGGUAAACCAUUAUAACUCAUAGCUAAUCAAGCAUGGCACAAGAAACUAUAAUCUCUAAAGGUCAUUGCAAAUAUGUUUACUUCAUAAUAAGCUGAAUCAGGAACGAUGAACUCAUCAUAUUUACAAAAACAAGAGAGGUCGAGUUCAUACCAGCUUUUUUCAUCUCAAUCAAUCCAUCAUAUAUCGUCAUUAUUGCCUUUCACUUGCACGACCGAACGAUGGGUAUAAUAAUAAUAGUGCAUGUGCAUUGGACUAAGCUGGAAUCUGCAAGCAUUCAACUCAAGAGAGAAGACAGAGUAAUAUGGGCUCCAAAUUAAAUCAACAAUCAUGCAUAUUAGAGCCUACUAAACAUUUUCAAUAUGGUCUUCUAUUCUCGACCCCCAAAGGAAAGGAAAGAAAAGAAAACUAUUUACACGGGAAAGCUCCCAACAAGUAAGAAGAAGAACGAGAAAUCUUUUUGGGUUUUCAUUUUAAUUAAUACAAGCAUGGAAUUUAAACUAACUAAUUUUUUUGGUUUUUCUUAAGGUUUAUCAAACACACAAGAAGAAAGCUAGAAAAAGAGAAUAAAACUAACAUGGAUAAUAUAAUGAAAGAGUAUGAGCACCGACAACUAGAAUAGUGUGUGAACAUGAAUGUAAAGUCGGUGAGAAAUACGUACUCCCCCAAGCUUAGGAUUUUGGCCUAAGUUGGUCUAUUGCCAAGGACCAUAGCUACUCUCCCCGGUGUACUGAGGGGUGUAAUCAGGAUACCACUGGUUGGCAUCUCCUCUGGAUCCCACUGGUAGGAUGAUGCACGAUAAGGGUCCGAUGAAGGUUCCGGCUCAGGCUCAGGAGUGGAUGCUUGGCCUCAAUGAGCGUACACCGCUUCCGGCGUGACAAGAUAAUUAACUGCAGUCAAAUCAAACAACAGAGGCGCAGGCAAAAUAAUAGUCUCAUUGUGUUUCUUAUUAAAUCUCAAGUUAUACAGGAGCAUCUUAUCAUCAUUAUAAACAAUAAACUCAUGUGCUACCAUGCUCCUAUAAUCUAAAAUGUAGCGAGGCAAUAUUGUCUCCUCUUUCUCAUGGUGCCUAAUAGGUAUCUCAAAAUGUUUAGCAAGACGUGCAGCAUACAUACCUCCAAAGAUGGGGCCUUUUGUACGGUUUAGGCUUGGCCGUUUAGAAAUUACGGCACCCAUACUAAAACUAUUAUCGCCAAACAAGGCAUGGAGAAGAAUAAUAAUAUCAGGAACAUUGAAGUUUCCACUAUUUCCACGACCAAUUAAGCAUCGACUAGCAAAUAUGGCAAAGUAGCGUAAAACAGGAAAGUGUAUGGUAGAGAUUCUCGCAUCGAAACCCUUCUUUGGAUCCCCUACAGUGAUGGUGUUAACAAAGCCAUCAACAUAUUUACGAUGUGGUUCAUCUAAUUUACCCUCUAAGGGUAUUUACAUACCACGCAAAAAUUACGUAAAGACAUUUCCCUGAAUUCAUCAUAUAAAUGAAAUGAUACUAAAGGCGGUGACUUCUUAGGAUAAUAAUAAAAGUUUUGCACGAAAGUAUUGGUGAGUAAGAGAUACUGAUUGAUCUGGUCGUGGAGGAAAUCAGUGAGGCCUGCAUUCUCGAUCGAAGAAUAAAAGUCUUCAUAAAUUCUGGCUUCUCUCAAGAAACCGUCAUAGGGCCAUUCAAACGGCCGUACUUCCGCUAUGUGAGGAAGAUUAUACUUGGCCUUUUCCUUAUCUUUAGCUUGUUUUUCCUGGGAGCCUUGGCUAGAAGAGCCCCUCAAAAAUCUCCUUAAUAUUUUCUAAAAAUUUCUGAAAUUUUAGUAAUUUCAAAAUAAAAGUGAAUAAAACUAAACAAGAUUGGUAGCAACUACUCCUACAAGUGCCUAGAGCCUAUAUAAUGCAUUAGAAUUGCUUGGGACCUCAUAAAAUUGACAUGCAAGCUCAAGAACAGGGUCACCUAUGCAGCAAAAAUUUGCAAUGAAUAAAGCACUAGAACAAAAACUAAUUGCACCAAUGGAGGAGUCACAUACCAAGCAACAAUCUCCCAAAGCAGUUUUGUGAAUGGAGCUUUGAGCAAGGAGAUCGAAAAUCGUAGCAAAAUGAGCUAGAACUCGUUCUUGAGCUGGAUGGUGAAUUUUUGGGAAGAAGAUGGAGUGUGUGGGUGCAGGAAUAAGUGGAGGGGGGCCACUAUGGGCCCACGAGACUGGGGGCGUGCCCAGGGGGUGUGAGCGCUCCCUCCACCCUCGUGGCCAGGUGCUUGCCCCCCUGCAGUGCUUUCAGUGCCUAAAAUCCUCAAAUAUUCCAUAAAAAAUUAUACUAAAUUUGCAGGGCAUUUGGAGCACUUUUAUUUUCGGGGUAUUUUUAUUGCAUGGAUAAUUCAGAAAACAGACAGAUAAUACUAUUUUUGCUUUAUUUAUUCUAAAUAACAGAAAGUAAAAAGAGGGUACAUAAGGUUGUGCCUUCUAGUUUCAUCCAUCUCAUGAUCAUCAAAAUGAAUCCACUAACAAGGUUGAUCAAGUCUUGUUAACAAGCUCAUUCUGAAUAACACGGAACCGGAGAAAUUUCGAAUAACAAUAAGUUACCUCAACGGGGAUAUGAACAUCCCCAACAAUAAGAAUAUCAUACUUUUUCUUGAUAGUAGGAAGAGGAAAUUCAAAACCUCCAAUAAUGAUAGUUGGACUUUUUCCAAUAGAAUUGAUUUUAUGAACUUGAGGUUGUUUCCUCGGAAAUUGUACCAUAUGCUCAUUACCAUUAACAUGAAAAGUGACAUUGCCUUUGUUGCAAUCAAUAACAGCCCCUGCAGUAUUCAAAAAGGGUCUACCAAGGAUAAUCGACAUACUAUCAUCCUCGGGAAUAUCAAGAAUAACAAAGUCCGUUAAGAUAGUGAAAUUUGCAACCACAAUAGGCACAUCCUCACAAAUACCGACAGGUAUGGCAGUUGAUUUAUCAGCCAUUUGCAAAGAUAUUUCAGUAGGUGUUAACUUAUUCAGUUCAAGUCUACGAUACAAAGAGAGAGGCAUAACACUAACACCAGCUCCAAGAUCACAUAAAGCAGUUUUAACAUAGUUUCUUUUAAUGGAGCAUGGUAUAGUUGGUACCCCUGGAUCUCCAAGUUUCUUUGGUAUUCCACCCUUAAAAGUGUAAUUAGCAAGCAUGGCGGAAAUUUUAGCUUCCGCUAUCUUUAUUUUAUUUGUAAUGAUAUCCUUCAUAUACCUAGCAUAAGGAUUUACUUUAAGCAUAUCAAUUAAGCGCAUAUGUAAGAAAAUAGGUCUAAUCAUUUCAGCAAAGCGCUCAAAAUCCUCAUCAUCCUUUGUCUUGGAUGGUUUGGGAGGAAAGGGCAUGGGUUUCUGAACCCAUGGUUCUCUUUCUCUACCAUGCUUCCUAGCAACAAAAUCUCUUAUCAUAACAUUGAUUCUUUGAUUGUGGGUUAUCAAGAUCAACAGCAGGUUCAAUCUCUACUUCAUUAUUUUUGCUAUGUUGAGCAUCAACAUGAACAUUAUCAUUAACAUUAUCUCUAGGUGCAUGUUCAUCACCUGAUUAUUUUUGAACAUCAGAAACAGAAAUAUCAUUGGGUUCCUUAGGUGUGUCUACCACAGGUUCACUAGAAGCAUGCAAAGUCCUAUCGUUUUUCUUUUUCUUCUUUUUGUAAGAACUAGGUGCCUCUAAAUUAUUACUCUGAGAAUCUUGCUCGAUUCUCUUAGGGUGGCCUUCAGGAUACAAAGGCUCCUGAGUCAUUAUACCAGUAUAGUAGCCACUCUAACAGCAAAGUCAUAUUUAUUAUUUAAUUCAACAAGCAAAUCACUUUAAGCUUUAAGUACUUGCUCAACUUGAGUGGUAACCAUAGAAGCAUAUUUGCUAAUGAGUUUAAGUUCACCUUUAACUCUAGCCAUAUAAUCACUCAAGCGUCCUAUCUCGAAAGCAUUAUUCUUUAAUUCUCUACCAACAUAAGCAUUAAAACUUUCUUGUCUAGACAUAAAGUCAUCAAAUUCAUCUAAGCAUGGGCUAUGAAAUUUCGUAGAGGGGAUUUCAACUUUAUCAUAUCUAUAGAGAGAAUUUACCUUUACUACCAGUGUCGGGUUAUCAAGACAAUGUGUUUCCUCAACAGGCGGUAUAUUAAGACCAUGUAUUUCUUAAAUAGGAGGUAAAUUCUUAACAUCUUCAGCUUUAAUACCUUUUUAUUUCAUUGAUUUCUUUGCCUCUUGCAUAUCUUCAGGACUGAGAAAUAGAUCACUUCUCUUCUUAGGAGUGGGUUUAGGAAUAGGCUCAGGAGUUGGCUCAAUUGGUUCAGGAAUUUCCUCAGGAAUUGGCUCAGGAGGAGUCCAAUUAUUUUCAUUAGUCAACAUAUUAUUCAAUAAUAAUUCAGCUUGGUCAAUUGUUCUUUCCCUGAAAACACAACCAGCACAACUAUCGAAGUAGUCCUUGGAAGCAUCGGUUGGUCCAUUAUAAAAGAUAUCAAGUAUUUCAUUUUUCUUAAGAGGAUGAUCAGGCAAAGCAUUGAGUAAUCGGAGAAGCCUCCCCCAAGCUUGUGGGAGACUCUCUUCUUUGAUUUGCACAAAAUUAUAUAUUUCUUGCAAGGCAGCUUGUUUCUUAUGAGCAGGGAAAUAUUUAGCAGAGAAGUAAUAAAUCAUAUCAUGGGGACUGCACACGCAACCAGGAUCAAGAUAAUUAAACCAAGUUUUAGCAUCACCCUUUAAUGAGAAUGGAAAUAUCUUAAGGAUAUAAUAAUAGCAAGACUUCUCACCAUUAGUAAACAGGGUGGCUAUAUAAUUUAACUUGAUAAUAUGUGCCACAACAGUUUCAGAUUCAAGGCCAUGAAAAGGAUUAGAUUCAGCCAAAGUAAUAAUCUCAGGAUCAACAGAGAAUUCAUAAUCCUUAUCAGUAACACAGAUAGGUGAAGUAGCAAAAGCAGGGUCAGGUUUCAUUCUAGCAUUAAGAGAUUGAUGCUUCCAUUUAGCUAACAACUUCUUAAGAUCAUAUCUAUCUUUGCAAGCAAAAAUAGCUAUAGCAGCUUCCUCAUUCAUAACAUAACCCUCAGGAACAACUGGUAAUUCAUAAUAAGGAGGGGAUUUCAUCAUCACUAUCAUCAAUAAUAGCAUCUUCAAUAAUUUCAUUCUCUCUAACCCUAGCAAGUUGUUCAUCAAGAAAUUCACCUAAUGGCAAAGUAGUGUCACGCACAGAAGUAGUUUCAUUAUAAGUAUCAUGCAUAGCAGAAGUGGCAUCAUCAAUAACAUGCGACAUAUCAGAAUUCAUAGCAGUAGCAGGUUUAGGUGUAGCAAGCUUACUAAUAACGGAAGGAGAAUCUAGUGUAGAGCUAGAAGGCAGUUCCUUACCUCCCCUCGUAGUUGAGGGCAAGAUCUUGGUUCUUUCGUAUUUCAAGUUCCUCAUAGUGAUCAACAGAUAUAAAUCCCAGGUGACUCAAAGAAUAGAGAUAUAUUCCCCGGCAACGGCGCCAGAAAUUAGUCUUAAUAACCCACAAGUGUAGGGGAUCGCAACAACUUUCGAGGGUAGAGUAUUCAACCCAAAUUUAUUGAUUCGACACAACGGGAGCCAAAGAAUAUUCUUAAGUAUUAGCAGUUGAGUUGUCAAUUGAACCACACCUGGAUAACUUAGUAUCUGCAGCAAAGUAUUUAGUGGCAAAGUAGUAUGAUAGUAAUUGUAACAGUGGCAAAAGUAAAGAUAAUAGUUUUGUGGUAACUGUAACAGUAGCAACGGAAAAGUAAAUAAGCGAAACACAAGAUGUGAAAAGCUCGUAGGCAUUGGAUCAGUGAUGGAUAAUUAUGUCGGAUGCGAUUCCUCAUGUAAUAGCUAUAACCUAGGGUGACACAGAACUAGCUCCAGUUCAUCAAUAUAAUGUAGGCAUGUAUUCCGAAUAUAGUCAUACGUGCUUAUGGAAAAGAACUUGCAUGACAUCUUUUGUCCUACCCUCCCGUGGCAGCGGGGUCCUAGUGGAAACUAAGGGAUAUUAAGGCCUCCUUUUAAUAGAGUACCAGACCAAAGCAUUAACACAUAGUGAUAACAUGAACUCCUCAAACUAUGGUCAUCACCGAGAAGUAUCCCGAUUAUUGUCACUUCGGGGUUGUCGGAUCAUAACACAUAAUAGGUGACUAUAGACUUGCAAGAUAGGAUCAAGAACACACAUAUAUUCAUGAAAACAUAAUAGGUUCAGAUCUGAAAUCAUGGCACUCAGUCCCUAGUGACAAGCAUUAAGCAUAGCAAAGUCAUAGCAACAUCAAUCUCAGAACAUAGUGGAUACUAGGGAUCAUACCCUAACAAAACUAACUUGAUUACAUGGUAAAUCUCAUCCAACCCAUCACCAUCCAGCAAGCCUACAAUGGAAUUACUCAAGCACGGUGGUAAGCAUCAUGAAAUUGGUGAUGGAGGAUGGUUGAUGCUAACGACAGCGACGAAUCCCCCUCUCCGGAGCACCGAACAGACUCCAGAUCAGCCCUCCCGAGAGAGAUUAGGGCUUGGCGGCGGCUCUGUAUCGUAAAAUGCGAUGAAACUUUCUCUCCGUUUUUUCUCCGCGAAACGGAAUAUAUGGAGUUGGAGUUGAGGUCGGUGGAGCCUCAGGGGGCCCAUGGGACAGGGGGGCGCCUCGUGGACAGGGUGUGGGCCCCCUGGCCUUGAUUCUUUCGCUAGUAUUUUUUAUAUUUUCCAAAACUUAUCUCCGUGGAUUUUCAGGUCAUUCCGAUAAACAACACCAUGGCAGUUAUGCUAAAAACAACGUCAGUCCAGGUUAGUUUCAUUCAAAUCAUGCAAGUUAGAGUCCAAAACAAGGGCAAAAGUGUUUAGAAAAGUAGAUACGUUGGAGACGUAUCAACAACGAGGCCAUCCUUGCUCGAAGGUGGAGGGGUGCCAUUUGGCCCUCUCUAAUCGCCUAUAAGAGGGCGAAGGGGUUGAACCCCUAAUCCACCGAUGUCCUCUUUGAAAAGAGCUUGAUGUCUACUACGCAACUUUAUUCUUGUAGACAUGUGUUGGGCCUCCAAGCGAAGUGUUUUGUAGGACAGUAGCAAUUUUCCCUCAAGUGGAUGACCUAAGUUUAAUCAAUCCAUGGGAGGCAUAGGAUGGAGAUGGUCUCUCACAAACAACCCUGUAAACAAAUAAGAAAAAGCCUCUUGUGUCCCCAACACACCCAAUACAAAUGGAAAAUUUUAUAGGUGCACUAGUUCGGCGAAGAGAUGGUGAUAAAAGUAUAAUAUGGAUGGUAGAAAUAUAUUUUAUAAUCUGAAAAAAUAAAAACAACAAGGUAGCAAUUGAUAAAAGUGAGCACAAACGGUAUUGCAAUGCUUGGAAACAAGGCCUAGGGUUCGUACUUCCGCUAGGGCAAUCUCUCAAUAGUGCUACUAUAAUUGGAUCAUAUAACCAUCCCUAAAAGUGCGAUAAAGAAUCACUCCAAAGUACAUAUCUAGCGGAGAACAUAAGAAGAAAUUGUUUGUAGGGUACAAAACCAGCUCAAAGCUAUUCUUUUAGAUCGUUCUAUCCAAGAGUUCAUACUAAAAUAACACCAAAUAAUUUUAGAUUCAUAAUACUCAAUCCAACACAAAGAACCUCAAAGAGUGCCUCAAGAUUUCUAGCGGAGACAAGAACGUGCAUCAACCCCUAUGCAUAGAUUACCCAAAUGUCACCUUGGGAAUCCGCGAGUUGAGCGCCAAAACAUACAUCAAGUGAAUCAAUAUGAUACCAUAUUGUCACCACGAGUAUUCAUUUGCAAGACAUAUAUCAAGUGCUCUCAAAUCCAUAAAAGUAUUCAACCCGAUUAAACGAAAUCUCAAAGGGAAAACUCAAUUCAUCACAAGAUAGAGAGGGGGAAACACCAUAUGAUCCGACUAUAUUAACAGAGCUCGCGAUACAUCAAGAUCCUGACAUCUCAAGAACACGAGAGAGAGAGAGAUAGAGAUUAAAAACAUAGCUACUGGUACAAACCCUCAGCCCCGAGGGUGGACUACUCCCUCCUCAUCAUGGUGGCCGCCGGGAUGAUGAAGAUGGCCACUGGUGAUGAUUUCCCCCUCUUGUGGACUGCCGGAACGGGGUCUAGAUUGGUUUUUGGUGGCUACAGAGGCUUGCAGUGGCGGAACUUCUUAUCUAGGGUUACCUCGGGUUUUUUUGGAAUAUUUGGUGAUUUAUAAGGCAAAGAGGGGGUGCGGGAGGUCACCAAGGUGGGCACAACCCUCGGGGCAACCCCCUGGCGCGUGGCCACUAGAUGUCUUCUGGUCCUUAAAAAUCCACAAAAAAAUUCAUGGUGUUUGGACUCCAUUUGAUAUUGAUUUCCCAGGAUGUAAAAAAACAAGCAAAAAAUAGCAACUAGCACUGGGCACUGGGUCAAUAGGUUAGUCCCAAAAAUCAUAUAAAGUUGCUAUAAAAUGAUUGUAAAACAUCCAAGAAUGAUAAUAUAACAGUAUGAAUACUUCAUAAAUUAUAGAUACUUUGGAGACGUAUCAGCGUCCCAAGCUUAAUUCCUACUCGUCCUCAAGUAGGUAAAUGAUAAAAGAAAUGAUUUAUGAAGUGUGAAUGCUAGCAGAGUACAUAAGUUUGAUCAAUGAUAAUUUCAGUCACUUUUCCUAGCGUCAUAAUAGCAAUUAUUUCUCAUAAAACUCAUCAUGUUAAACUAGCAACCAAUUCACAUGUUAAGGUUCAGACAAUGAAUGCUCUUGAAACUCAACGACCUAUAUUCUUAGUCACCAAACAAUUGCAAUUCAACGUAUUCAACAGAAUCUAAGUAAGAGCUCCACAUACUCAACCAUCAUAUAGUCUUUUAUGAUUGCUAACACUCACCGCAUACACAUGAGCAAAAAGUUUCAACUAGACACAUAGAAAGAUAGGGGCUCAUAGUUUCGCCUCCCAACAUAUUCACCUCAAGGGUGAUGUCAACAAUAAUAACUCAUGCUACCCAUAUUCAACUGGACAUAUGUGCCUAGAUCUUUCCUCGCCACAUGAUGCUUGCCAAAGGAGAAAAACAAAAAGGAGAGACAAAACUUUGACUCUUGCAUAAAAGUAAAUACAUAAAGUAAAUGGUAGGCCCUUCCUAGAGCGAAGCAGAGGUUGCCAUGCAGUUUUUGUUUGUAUGCUCAACCCCUUAAUGCAAAAGAAUGGCAUGUUAUAUUGCCCCUUAUGAUAGCAACCUUUAUUAUGUAGUCUGUCGCUUUUAUUCUUUGCCAUCACAAGUUCAUACAACGCUCAAUUUUCUCUUACACUAAAUGAUCUAACACUUUUUAGAAGCUAUUUUUAUUGCCUUAUUGCACCGAUGACAACUUACUUGAAGGCUCUUACUCAAUCCUUAGGUAGGUAUGGUGGACUCUUGAAAAUAAGAUUUGGGUUUAAAGGUUUUUGGAUGAACAAGUGGUAUCGCUACUUGGUGCGGAAUUUUUGGAUAGCAAAGAUGGGGGGAAAGCACCACAUGUUGAAGGAUCUAUCACAAUAUAACUUCUAUGGGAAUUUGAACAAACAUAAUUUAUUAUGUUGUCUUCGUUGUCCAAAGUCAACAAUUUUGGCCUAUAAUAUUUUGAUGGGGGCUCACAAUCACAAAAGAUAUCCAAGAGAGUGUAUUUUCAUGUGAAAGUUCUCUUCCUUCUACUAAUCAUUCAUCAAUUGCUUGUAUGACCAAUAUUGUGAUUGCCAAGACUCAAAAGAUUUCACUUUCUAAACCCAAUGUGAAGCUACCACUAGGCAUGAUAUGAACAUAUAAUUACAACUUCAUCACAUUCAAUUUAUUCAACAAUUUACUCAUAGGAUAUAAGUGAAGCACAAGAGUAGAUGACAAACUACUCCAAAAGUAUAUAAGUGAAGAUCAAGCGAGUAGAUAAGUGAAUAAGUAGCUAAUUGUGGACUCCCUUUUAUUUACAAACGGUCAGAUCUAAGUAUCUUAUUAAAAAAGCAAGCAAAACAAUAUAAAAUGACAUUCUAAGAAUAGCACACAUCCUGUGAAGAAGCAAAAACUUAGGAUCAACUGAUAAUUGUUGAUGAAGAAAGGUGGGAUGCCUACCAGGGCAACCCCAAGCUUAGAUGCUUGUGACUUCUUGAAAUAUUAUCUUGGGAUUCCUUGGGCAUCCCCAAGCUUGAGCUUUUAUGUCUCCUUAAUUCCUUUUAUAUCACGGUUUCCCUAAAUCUUAAAAACUUCAUCCACACAAAACUCAACAAGAACUCGUGAGAUAAGUUAGUAUAAACCAAUGCAAAAACCUUAUCAUUCUCUAUUAAUUAUUGCAAAUCACUAAAAUUAUUAUUCAACAUUGCAUACUAAAUCCCUCUGCAUAUUAAAUACUCCUAUCCUCAAAUAGAAUCAUUAAACAAGCAAACAUAUGCAAAUAAUGGAAACAUGACAGCAAUCUGCCAAAACAGUACAUCUGUAAAGAGUGCAGAAGGAUCAAUACUUAUUCAACUUAAAAAAAUCUGAAAAUUUAACACACUGUAGAAAAUUUAUCAGAGCUUAUUGUGCAAAAGUUUCAACAUUUUAUCACAUUCUGACUUUUCCCGGGAAUUUUUGCAACAGCGACGAACUUUCUGUUUUGGAACAGGAACUCAUAUACUUGCAAAAUAAGCAUGGUAAAGGCUAUCCUUGCCACUUUUAUUGAAAUAAAAGAUACAAAACAUUAUUCUAAAUAGAAAUAAAAUCUUAGAAAAAUAAAAUUACGCUCCUAGCAAAACACAUAUCAUGUGAUGGAUGAAAAUAUAGCCUCAAGUAAGGUUACCGAUAAUGUUUGAGACGAAAGACGAGAUGCCUUCCGGGGCAUCCCCAAGCUUAGUUGCUUGGAUCUUCCUUGAAUAUUACCUUAGGGUGCCUUGGGCAUACCCAAGCUUAGGUUCUUGUCACUCCUUAUUUUCCUCAUAUUGACAUCUCACCCAAAACUUGAAAACUUCAAUCACACAAACUUAACGGAACUUCGUGAGAUAGGUUAGUAUGAUAAAGAGCAAACCAUUUCACUUUAGUAUUGUGAAAGACAAUAUUCAUAAUUGUUUCCACACAAUGCCUACUGUAGCAUAUCAUUUCCACAAUUAAUAUUGAGAAAUAUAAGCCAUAGAAACUAGGAAACAAGCAAACUAUGCAUUGAAAACAGAAUCUGUCAAAAACAGAACAAUCUGUAGUAAUUUGUACUCCAACCAUACUUCUUAUACUCCAAAACUUCUGACAAAUUAGGACAACAUAGAGAAUUUGUAUAUCUAUCACCUGUAAAAGUUUCAGAUCAAAAUCACGUUCCAGUGAAUUUUAAAAAUUCCUGGACAUAGUGCAAAAGUUUCUGUUUUUGCACAGAUUCAAGUUAACUAUCAUCCACACUAUCCCAAAGGCUUUACUUGGUACUUUAUUGAAACAAAAGCAAUAAAACAUGAUUACUAAAGUACCACAAUUAUGUUAACACAUAAAAAUAGUUGGGUUAAAUGUUGGGUUGUUUCCCAACAAUAGCUUUUCUUUAAAGCCUUUUAGCUACGCAUGAAGAUUUCAAUGAUGCUCACAUAAAAGAUAUGAAUUGAAACAUAAAGAGAGCUUCAUGAAUCAUAAUUUCCUCUCUCAUAAUAAUUUUAAGUAGCAUCAUGAAUAGAUUUAUCAAUAUAACCAUCACAUAAAGCGUAGAAAUUUUAAUGAUCCAUAAGCAUAGAAAUUUUAUUACUCUCCACAUAAGAAAAUUUCUUCUCAUUCACAAUGGUGGGAGUAUCAUAUGAAACUCGAAUCCUAUAAAUUGUUUCCACAUUAAAAGAGUAAUGUUUAGAAAAAGGGUAAUUAUAACUAUGACAAGUUCUAUAGAUAUAAUCAUCACUACUUUUUAUAACAUAGGUAUCAUCACAAUAAUCAUCAUAAGUAGCAACUUUGUUCUUAUCAUAGAUAGGAUGCAUGCAAUCAUCAUAAAAAUUUGAUCAUUCAAACUAGGGGGGCUAAAAAGAUCAUCUUCAUUAAGCAUAUCAUCUCCAAGCUUGGGACUAACAUUAAUUGCAGCAAAUAAAUUCGCAAACAUGUCAUUCUCAUCAAACAUAGCAUAGCCAAGCUUGUGACUUGGCAUAUCAUAAGCAUAAUCACCGAGGGAGUCCUGGAUUAGGGGGUAUCCGGACAGCCGGACUAUAUACUUUGGCCGGACUAUUGGACUAUGAACAUACAAGAUUGAAGACUUCGUCCCGUGUCCGGAUGGGACUCUCCUUUGCGUGGAAGGCAAGCUUGGCGAUUUGGAUAUUAGAUCUCCUCCUCUUGUAACCGACUCUGUGAAACCCUAACCUCCUCCGGUGUCUAUAUAAACCGGAGGGUUUAGUCCGUAGGACAACAACAAUCAUAAUCAUAGGCUAUCUCCGAGGGUUUAGCCUCUAUGAUCUCGUGGUAGAUCAACUGUUGUAAUACUCAUAUCAUCAAGAUCAAUCAAGCAGGAAGUAGGGUAUUACCUCCAUCGAGAGGGCCCGAACCUGGGCAAAACAUCGUGUCCCCUACGUCCUGUUACCAUUAGACUUAGACGCACAGUUCGGGACCCCCUACCCGAGAUCUGCCGGUUUUGACACCGACAUUGGUGCUUUCAUUGAGAGUUCCACUAUGCUGUCGAUGUAAGGCUUGAUGGCCCCUUUGAUCAUCUUCGAUGAUGCGGUCCAGGGGGAGGUUUUCCUUCCUGGACAGAUCUUCAUAUUCGGCGGCUUCGUACUGCGGGCCAACUCUCUUGGCCAUUUGGAGCAGAUCGAUAGCUACGCCCCUGGCCAUCAGGUCAGGUUUGGAAGCUUAUACUACACUGCCGACAUCUGCGGAGACUUGAUCUUCAACGGGUUCGAGCCCAUGACAGGUGCGCCGAACAGUCACGACGGACAUGACUUUGAUCCACCGUCGGACGGUAUUCGGGAGAUCGCACCCGCGUUGGCGCCGGGAAUCAAUCUGGAGCAGAUCGUGCCAUCCGAGGACGGGUGGAUGGACCCCACCAUGGAGGCCGCACACUCAUCGGCGUUGGAGCCGAAUGCUGCUCCCACCUCCUGUGAGAGUGGUGUCAUCAGACCCCCGGACUCUUCCCCGGUUGCAGGAUCCAGCCUGAGCCGCAUACUCGACCGCCCAUGUCAAAUUCAUGGGACCCCAGGAACAGCAUCCAAUCAUAACAAUAGAGAAUGUUGGGUCUUUAAAUAGGUCGACAGGUCGGUGCCAGAAACGAUAAGAAGGGGUCUCAGAGCAAGAAGCCCAGAUCAUCAAACAACACAGGGGAAAAGAAAUUUCUUCCGCCAACCAAAACCAUGAACACAACAAGCACCACCCACAUAGGAGCGGACAUGCACUAUUCGGGACGACAACUCAACAAAGCAAGUUGCCCUGUCAUAUAAAAAUACGACCGAUCAUCUUCGAUCGACUAGACUGUCUGGCCAAUAUCAACCAGAGGUAUUCCCCUAUUGGCGGUGACAACAGUCCAAACUGGCUGCACCAGGACACGGCGCGCCCGAUAGGGAUUGAUCACUCGAGGACCCACUAAAAAACUCAUUUCAGUGUGUCAUAACCAGGCGCGAAGGUCAUUUAGGCCCCGCCUCUCUGGAGAUGGUCUUCGGAUCACCACAAAGUCGCCAUACCGAAGAAUCAACCUUCAACAUUACACCUCUAGGCAGUAGCUAUUCAAGCACUGCCAGGAUAAACUGCGACUCAACGCAUUAUCACACAAUGCCCACGACAAUCUUAAAAUACCAGACCCACAUAAUGUAGUCACAAUUACGGGCAAGACCGAGCUUCACCUCGGCACCGAAGAGUAUUCGGCCACUUUAGCAAUAGAAGCAGCGAGCCGCGGCUUUUUCAAUCGAACCUUGAUUCGACAGCCAAACUCCCGGACACCGAUAAAGGAGUCCGAACUGCUUCACGAUACCUCAGCCUGAUCAAGGCUCAAACAAACCCUCUAACAUAAGCUGGGCGGGCCACAUUCCACUGCUCAGCCGCUGCGUGUCACACACACACACCUUUAGCAUUUUUUGCAGGUUUGCCUUUGCGCAUAACUGGACCGGCGACAUGGAAUCAGCUCGAACGGACAAAGGGGGAAUCUUCACCCCACCGGAAUACAAUUCGGAUACUACUUCAGACCUGUGCACAGCUCCCUACCGCCCGGUCCCAACAGGUUCUGUCAUCAUGCCUCUCUUUUAUAACAUGCACCGUACUCAUAGCCGUAUUACUUGAAUACAACAUGUAGAGUCAUUUGACGCUUAUCUGCUAUCAUUUCUCACUGACAUUUUGUCAUAACGGCAUCCGAACAUCGUGUUAUGCGUUAAAACGCCAGGGGCCUCAUUGCACCCGCACUAUGGCAACAAAGUCCGACCACCUUCUCGGUCGUUCGGCACCCCGAACUUGUAGCAUUAUAUGCAUCGGCUCUGAAUCAUGUCUUGGGUCAUUAGUUCGGUUUGCCCGGCUCCCAUGUUUUGGUACCUUACGUUCUGGAAUAUCGGCUAAGGUAGCGCUGGGAGAACUGCUGCGAUUGUGUCCUGGUUCUUCCGGAAAAACACCUUAGUAGAGAAAGCCGAAAACUGACUGUCAUGAUAAGGCGAGAGCUGGUCAGCUGUUCGAGAGGUUGUAAAAUCUUUAAGGAUUUAUUCUGCAUAAUGCCAUAAGAAAAUGCAGAGUGCAAAGGAUCGGUCAACCAAUCAGGCGUUAUUAGAGCCCCUCGUGCGGUCUUCCGAACACCAAGGGUUGCGCCUCCCAUACUCGAAUUCCUAUGGCUAAGUGAGAGUAAUAAAGCCCUAUAGUCUGAUUGCGUGGUUCGCUGUGCUGAACACCUCCUUUAUGGACCCAAGAAUGGGGUAAAGAGUGUUUAGGUGUAUCCCGAACACCCCUGUAGUUCCUACGUGGGGGCAGAAGCCGACGACUGGCCAACUCUCAAGACUAAUAUAUAAAAUGGCCGUGCAGGAAUAAAAUUUUCACAAAACAGGCAAAUACAUAAAAGUGACUUUGUCCCGCCUUACAAAGGACAGCAUGACUGCCUUUAGGGAAAAAUAAUGUCUUUCGCACAUUGCUCUGCCACAAGGCGGGCCCCUUUCAGGACACCAUCAUAAUAUAAUUUGGGCUUGCGGUGCUCCUUCCCCUCCGGCGGCCCCUCGGUCAUCAGCUUCUCAGCAUCCAGCUUCCCCCAGUGCACUUUCGCACAGGCAAAUGCCAUUUGUGCACCUUCGAUACAAUUCGACUGCUUAAUGACGUCCAGCCGAGGGCAGGCACUCACAAAUCGCUUCACAAGCCCAAAGAAACUGCUUGGAAUGGGCUCGACGGGACAUAGCCGGAUAACCAAAUCCUUCAUGGCUAGUUCGGCCGCCUGGUGCAGUUCGAUCAGCUGCUUCAGCUGGUCGACAAACGGCACCGGAUAAUUCGACGCCAAAUACUGCGACCAAAAGAGCUUCUCCGCAGUCUCCUUGUCCUCAGCUCGGCAGAAUUGGGCAGCAUCAAAUAUGAUGCACGGCAGAUCCGCAAACGCCCCUGGAGAAAUCGGGAUUCAAUGGGUCACCCUGAAUCUUCCCUGCUAUCGCAUAUCAAUCACUUUGAAUAAGAAAAAGCCUUACCAGCCGGAAUUUUCUGCACCUCCUGAAUAUCCUUCAGAGCAGCCUGGGCUUCCUCCCGAGCAUCAUUUGCGGCUUGGAGAGCUUGGACGAGUUCGGAUUCUUUCAAUGAUAGACUCUGCUCCAAAGUCUUGCUUUUCUUCACGGCCUCUGAAGCUCUCGUUCAGCUUCAAUGACCUUGGCCUCGUGCUUCUCGCGGAGAACCUGCUCCGCGGCCUCCUUCUUUUCGGCCAAGGCAACAACCUUCUUGAGCGCCUCAAUUUCGGCAUUUGCUCCUAGAGUGCACGAUAUAAAUGCUUUAAUUAGACACAACUACUUACUUGUGCUAAAACUUACUAAAUUUUCAACAUACCUUGUUUAUCCUCCAACUUCUUCUUUACUCGACCGAGUUCCUCUUCGGUCCGCCCCAGACUCUGCUUAAGUCCGGACACUUCCGCAGUAUGAGAGGAGGCAGUUGCAGAAGACGCCUGAUUCAUAAAGAAAGAGAUAUAUGUCAUUAGCUGGGUCUCCUGCGGAUGGAAAUUUGAUCCCUUGUUCGGCUCCUAUCCUCACUGAACAGUGUAUCAGGGGCUACUAUCUAUACUAUGAUAGUCUUCCAAAAACUCCUAAAACAUACCUCCAAGCCUUUUAUAAGGCUAAUGCAGGAUUCAUUCACUCCGCUCUCAGCGGCCUGAAUCUUUUCUAUCACCGCGCCCAUAAGGGUGCGAUGUUCAUCGAUGAUGGAAGCGCUCUCCAGCGCUGUCGAUAAGCCGCCCAGCACCUUUGGUCGGACAGAGGUCACAGGUGAAGCAGGAUCGCCCCCUCCAGUCAAGAUGGGCCGCCUGCCUGAUCCCGGAACCUCAAGGGUCUCUAGGACUGUGUCCGGCCGUGGGCCGAAUCCAAGAUCGCCCCUGCCGCCGACGUCCAUGGGAACCGCCGCUCCCGCGUGUCCGUCCUCCGAGGUACGCCUCACCUGGUCCAGGUCCUUUUGGGACGACACCUUGAUGUCACAACCAGGCUGUGGAGAAGGGGCCCUUGGAGGCGUUUCGCUCUCCAAGGCAUGGGAACUCAAUGAAUCCUCCGAUGAGGACUGUUUGGCAGGAGAUCUUCCCGGACUGUAAAAAGUACGAUGAAAAUCAAAAUAUUACACUUUAGUAAUCCUGGAUGCAUGGACAUGUUCGGAUUUCAUGCACUUACAAAUUUACCAGGGGCUGGGAUCCCACUCCGGGCUGCUGUUGGUAGCCGUGGUGGACGCCUCGGGGAUGAGUGUUCUUCCCCUCUUAGGCGAAUCUGCCUCUAACGAUGAGCAGGCUGUCCUUUUCUUCCUUCCCCCCGUAGGGGACUCGUCCUCUUCCACCUCCUCGUACUCUUCGGAGGAGGGAUGGUCACUGGAGUCUUCAGACUUCAUGUCUGAGGCACCAUGACGACGGAGGCCACUCCUUGUCUCCUUGGCCUCUUUGUUGGCCUCUUUCUUCGGCGCCUCGUAAGGCGCUGGGACUAGCAUCUUAGUUAGAAAUGGUCCUGCCGGUUCUUCUGGCAGUGGGCCGGACAAUGAAUCUGCCCCGCCUUCUUCGUCCAUACCUGAGGUAAUCAUGGAAAAGCACAUUAAAAACAUCUCCCUCGGGACAUACCAAUGAAACAUGUGGAUGGCCAAGACAUAAUGAUGACUUACCGGACUUGCGGGGUGGGACAGUUGGUACCCGCGGUCCGCGGCGGAGUCCGACCACGUUUUGCCGGACAUAAAAAGCACCUUCCAGAUGUCCUUGUGCGAGGAGCCUAAAAGCUCCCGCAGGAUCUGGUGCUCGACUGGGUCAUACUCCCACAAAUUACAGCUUCUGUGCUGACAAGGAAGGACCAAGCAGACCAGCAUCACCUGGACUACGUCAACAAGCUUGAUGGCCCUGUCUUCCAUAGCUUUGACGCACGCCUGGAUUACCGACAGUUCGUUGGACGACGACCAGUUCACGCCCUUAUUGGGCGAGGACGUAAGCCGCAAGGGGGCUCCAGAUCGAAACUCAGGAGCGGCGGCCCAUAUUUUGCCGCACGGCUCAGUGAUGUAGAACCACUACUGCUGCCACUCCUUGACGGAAUCAUUGAAAGUACCUGUCGACCAUGUGACCUUGGGCAUUCUGCUCACCAUGGCGCCUCCGCACUCGGCAUGCUCGCCGUUCACCACCUUGGGCUUCACAUUGAAGAUCUUCAGCCAUAGUCCAAAGUGUGGCGAGAUACGGAGAAAGGCCUCGCACACGACGAUAAACGUUGAAAUGUUGAGGAAAGAAUUGGGGGAUAGAUCAGGAAAAUUGAUCCCGUAGUAAUACAUGAUGCCACAAACGAAUGGGUGAAGGGGAAACCCAAGCCCGCGGACGAAAUGGGGGAGGAAAACGACCCUCUCAUGGGGCUCCGCAGUCGGCACAAUCUGUCCCGCCGUCGGAAGACGGUGGCCGAUUUUCUUGGCCAAAUACCCGGCCGCCCGCAGUUUUUUAAUAUCCUUCUCCUGGAUGGAGGAGGCCAUCCAUUUGCCUCCUGCUCCGGAUCCGGACAUUUUCGGAUAACCUUUGUUGGUGGGAAAGAUGAAUGCCUGGAUGCUAGGGCUUGGGCGAAAGGAAAGGGAUGAGCAGAAGGAGAAGAAGGCGUGGGUAGAAAGGAAGAAGCCUUUCCCCUUUAUAGAGGCGAUGAAACUUUGUGCCUCCCCACUUGCCUAAUGAAAUCUUCUUGUUCCCCACUCACCGUGAUUGGUGUUAUGGUUGGGUUACCCACGCCCGUAUUGAAGAGAAUACCACGAUAAAGGGGCCACGAUCUCUGCUUCAACAAGACGUGCCAAGGAAACCGCCGCGCAAUAUGCGAGGUAGCUGGUUAGGAGAAAACGGUUCGAAUAAUAACCGGACCAUGGCAUGCUAUCACGCUGUGAAGAGUUGUCAGCAGAUUAGAUUUGUGAAAUAUUGUUCUCUCUAUGGUGGUAUGUGGAAUUUUGUCUUGCAGAGCUGGACACAAUUAAAGUGUUCGAAGAUUACUUUGGAGUAUUCGGACAUGGAACCCACCUUGCAAUACCAAAUACAAUCUGCGUGCCAGACUCAUCGUCAUUGAAGCCUGGUUCAGGUGCUACUAAGGGAGUCCUGGAUAAGGGGGUAUCCGGACAGCCGGACUAUAUACUUUGGCCGAACUAUUGGACUAUGAAGAUACAAGAUUAAAGACUCCGUCCCGUGUCCGGAUGGAACUCUCCUUUGCAUGGAAGGAAAGCUUGGCGAUUCGGAUGAUAGAUCUCCUUCUCUGUAACUGACUCUGUGUAACCCUAGCCCCCUCCGGUGUCUAUAUAAACCGGAGGGUUUUAGUCCGUAGAACAAGACAAUCAUAAUCAUAGGCUAGCUCCUAGGGUUUAGCCUCUACGAUCUCGUGGUAGAUCAACUCUUGUAAUACUCAUAUCAUCAAGAUCAAUCAAGCAAGAAGUAGGGUAUUACCUCCAUCGAGAGGGCCUGAACCUGGGUAAACAUCGUGUCCCCAGUCUCCUGUUACCAUUAGCCUUAGACGCACAGUUCGGGACCCCCUACCCAAUAUCCGCCGGUUUUGACACCGACAGCCAUCCUCUCACUCAAUGGCAACGAGCGCGUUGGAGCACUGAAUUGCGACCAGAACAGCCUUUCUAUUUCAUUAUCUUUAUGAUCCUUGAAUAAGUUGGUCGCAUCAGCCGUACUUUUUGCCAGAUCCGCAUACGCGUUUGCAGCGCUCCAAAGCCGAUCCAGAGGAGCGUACUUCAGAUCCAAGAACUUCAUCCGCAACAAAUAGGGGCUUCCAGCCGCGAUUUCUCCACCCUAUCGAAGCUCCUCCCACGUGUCUCUAAUCUCAGAACGCGUCUCCUUGGCCGCAUCAAGGUCCUUCUUCUGGUCAGCCGAUUUUGCCUGAUUCUCCUAUUCAAGGAGCUCAUACCGGCCGGCAAUGUUCUUCAGCUCCAAAGCCAUCUCGGCUAUCUUAUCUUCGCUUUGGCGAUGAGCAGCCUGUUCGGCUCUCAAAUCUUCAGCCGCCUUUAAGGCAGCCGCAUUACUAUCCCGGGCUUGUUCCUUGGCCAGGGCAAGUUCCGCCCUCAGGGCCUCCACGGUAGCAGCUCCGCCUGCAGCCAAAAGCAUAUUAACAAUAUGCUCCUCCUCUUAAUAUUCCCUAAAAUAAAUAAGGAAAAAAGAACACAUAUUCUGUGACUCGUCAAGCCGCUCAUUUUCAAGCGUGAUGUCGGCGUCCACCACAUCAAUCUCUCACCUUAGUUCGGCGAAUUCAGCGGUCCGGUCUAUUGCCGGCCCCUUAGCCACCUGUGCAUGAAUGCAGUGGGAUCAUUACUUAAGAGUGUGAUCCUCCGUUUGCCGCCUAGGGCUGGUAACCAGAGUCUCAGGGGCUACUAUCUAUACGAAGCACACCUAGCACGUGCAGUACAACCGAAAAAUUACGUAUUGCAUUACGUACCUCAAAGCCUUUGAGCAGGCUCACAAAAGCUUCAUUCAACCCGCUUGUGGCAGAUGAGAUCUUCUCAAAAACCGUACCCAUCAACGUAAGGUGAUCCUCCGAUAAAGCAGCUUGCUCCAAAAAUCCCGUCAGUGUGUCUGGCUGGGCGUCGGACUGUCCUGGACCCUUCCUAUUACCCCCCAUGGGAGCCGAACACUCCGGGCUCAGGGCAGCCGAAGUAUUAGCUUCUGGCCUCGGCGGAUCCAGACUCCUCCGUGAUGACACCUCAGGGUCGCCUGCCCCAUGGGGCGGAGAGGCAGGUGGGGUUUCACUCUCCAUCAUCUCCGGAAGAAGGUCCCCCGAAGACGAACUCUGUUGAGAAGAGCUACUAGCCGAACUGCAAAGGAUAGAUCCUGGUUAUUGUUCUUGGAGGAAGAAGAGAUAACUUUUUAUUCACGAUUAACUUACAGCUUGGUGGGGGGCUGGCCCGUUUGCAGGCAUAGUGCGGUGAGGAUGCCCUUCGAGGCAGGGCCCCCUGGUGAAGUUUUCUUCCCUUGUUUAGGCACCUCCGUUUCCAAGUCUUCAGAGGCGGCCCUUUUGUUCCCACAGGGGGAGGAAACAUUGGAUUCACCUCCCCGGUUAUCCUCCUUCGAGGAGGUAGUAAUUCCCCUGGUUUGGAUGCGCAAUGUGUGAAGAUCGGCUUCUUUAUUCUUCCCAUCGUCUUUCCCCGAGGGCACUUGACUUAGCGCACAUCUAAGCGUCCUGGCUAUUGCAGGACAAGGCGAGCCUUCGGGAAGUGGGGCCGGACACCUGAUCCUUUCCGCCUUACUUAGCCAAUCCUAGCCGCGGACAGGUUUUCAGAAUAAUGUUGUGAUAAAUGUAAAACAAAGUGUUCGAUUACAAGGUCUUACUUGGGUAUCUGGGCAGUUGCAGCUCAGGCCCGCAUCCUCGGUGGCGUCCGAACACUUUAUUCAUGGUCCGAAGAAUAACCUAUAUAUCCCUUCAAGCGUCAUGCCGAAGAAGUGCUGGAUAGUUCGUGGACCUUCUAGGUUGAACUCCCACAUACAGAGAGGUCGUCAUUUGCACGGCAGGGUCCGUCGAACUAGCAUUACCUAAAUUAUCCUGAUAAGAUUGAUAUCCCUUUCAAGAAGCUCCCGAAUGCGUCUCUGCAAUGUCGGUACGUCAUUAGCAGGCCCCCAGUCCAGUCCCAUGUUAGCCCACGACGCUAGUUGAGGCGGAAGGCAGGGGCAGCCGCCCACUUUGUGCCUCGGGGAGCUGUGAUAUAGAACCACCUCCGUUGCCACAGAUCGAACACCUCUGGGAAGGAAUCCUCUGGCCAUGGGGCAUCGGCGUUUCUGCUUAUUGCAGCGCCUCCGCACUCUACGUGAUGCCCCUCGAUCACCUUCGGCUUCACAUUGAAGGUAUUGAGCCAUAAGCCAAAGUGUGGGGUGAUAUGGGGGAAAGCUUCACACACGAUGAUAAAUGACGAGAUGUGAAGGAUGGAAUCUGGAGCUAGAUCGUGAAAAUCUAAGCCAUAAUAGAACAUGAGCCCUCUCACGAAGGGAUCAAGGGUAAAGCCCAAGCCUCGGAGGAAGUGAGAAAUGAAUACAACGCUCUCGUUGGGUUCGGGAGUGGGGAUGACCUGCCCUAGAGCAGGAAGCCUGUGCUCCCUGAGCUUCGCAAUGUCCUCCUCUGUGACAGAGGAAGCCAUCCACCGGCCUUGAAGGUUGGAUCUAGACAUGAUUGAAGGUUGUUGCCUAAGCUUGAGCUUCGGGUGUUGGAACUCGAGAUGCGGAAAGGCGCAAGCGUGGUAAGAAAGAGGGAUAGGCCUCGGCCCCUCUAUAAAGGGGGUGAAUAUCAAGCAUCCACGACGUGACCAUUUGGGACUUGCCUAAAAUUGAGGAAUCAUACCAACAUGCGCAGUUGGGUUACCCACGCACGUAUUGAUGAGAAUCCCGCGAUAAGGGGAACCCGAUCUCUGCUUCGACAAGACGUGUCAAUAAAACCGCCUCGCAACAUGUGUAGUGGCAUGCUGGGAAAAACGGUUCGUAGUAACCGAGCUACGGUGUGGUGUCAUGCUAGGAAAAGCUGUCAGCGGAUUGGAUUUGUGGAAUAUUAUGCUCUCUACGGUGGUAUGUGGAAUUUAUUUUGUAGAGCCAGACACGAUACUUGUGUUAGAAAUCUUCUAUGGAGUAUUCGGAGAUGGAACCUGCCUUGCAAUGUCGAAGACAAUCUGCGCGCCGGACUCAUCGUCGUUGAAGCCUGGUUCAGGGGCUAAUGAGGGAGUCCUGGAUUAGGGGGUAUCCGAACAGCCGGACUAUAUACUUUGGUCGGACUAUUGGACUAUGAAGAUACAAGAUUGAAGACUUCCUCCCGUGUCCAGAUGGGACUCUCCUUUGCAUGGAAGGCAAGCUUGGCGAUUCGGAUAUUAGAUCUCCUCCUUUUGUAACCGACUCUGUGUAACCCUAACCUCCUCCGGUGUCUAUAUAAACCGGAGGAUUUAGUCCGUAGGACAACAACAAUCAUUAUCAUAGGCUAGCUCCUAGGGUUUAGCCUCUACGAUCUCGUGGUAGAUCAACUCUUGUAAUACUCAUAUCAUCAAUAUCAAUCAAGCAGGAAGUAGGCUAUUACCUCCAUCCAGAGGGCCCGAACCUAGGUAAAACAUCGUGUCCCCUACCUCCUGUUACCAUUAGCCUUAGACGCAUAGUUCGGGACCCCCUACUCGAGAUUCGCCGGUUUUGACACCGACAAUCACUCUCAUCAUUAAUAGUAUGAAUAGCACCAACGGUAUAACAAUUGCUAUCAUCAUAAUUUCCCAAGUUGGUGCCAAAAAGAUUUUCAAGCUUAUAAUAAGUAUCAUUAUCUUCCCAAUUAUAAUCAUCACAACAAGCAAUAGGCAUAACAAAAUCAUCAUCAAUAGUGCUCUCGGACAUUCUGCCAUAAGACAUAGAAGCAAUAUCAUCAUCAAGUGCAUCAUCUUAUUUUUUAUCCAUUUUCAUGAGGAACAACAAUAAUAGGAGCAACAUUAUUUGGGAGACAUACCUUUUUACCUCUAUUAUUUCUUCUUUUCUUCUUCUUCACCACAUCAUGUGUGGAUUUAAUUAAUUUUUUCAAGCUUCUUAUUGAUGAGCUUGGUUGAAUAGGGAGCUCCUCCUCGUCACCUAUUUCAUCAUGAGAGACAAUAAGAGGGGAAGUGGAAAUCUUUAUCCUUUCAUUAGUAUUCCUUUCAUAUUCUAUUGGUUUUACCAUCUUUCUAUAGUUGGCAAUAUAAGCAUUCUCAUUACAAUUUACCAUGCAAAACAUAUAGAUAUUCUUUAGCUUAGUUUGAGUGUCCUCCGUGAGAAUGAAUACUUCAAAUCAACUAUUUUUAUGUGUCAAUUCUUCACUCCCCAAAAAUAUACAAAGCUCAUUAUAAAGUUCAAGGGUGAUCAAGUUAUUGCAAUAUUUGGACAUGACUCGAUCAUGGAAAAGCAUGCAUUGGAAUUUAAGGUGACCUACUUUAUUGCGAAGUUCACAAGUAAUAGGACAAAGAGAGCAUAAUUUUAUAGCAAAUUCAUCUAUCACUUUGAGCAAAGAAUAGGUUCUAUCAUGUUUAUGCUUGUUACAAAAUCUAUCUUCCCUAUAAGGCAUGUAUUCACAAACUUUAAACACUCCACAAAAAUUGACAUUCUUAUAGGAAACAUUUUUUGUCAUGACUUGUGCAAUCAUCAUUAGCAUUUUGGAUAUUCAAAGAAUUCAUACUAACAAAUUGCAAUCAUGCUCAUCAUUCAAAUAUUUUGUGCCAAACAUUUUAUUGACUUCUUCUUCUAACAGUUGAGCACAAUUUUUUGAUCCAUCAUUUUCAUGAAAGAUAUUAUAAAGAUGAUCAGUAAUAUGAUGCAACCUCAAUUCCAUUUUUAUGUAGUUUUCUUUUGUAAACCAAACUAGUGGUAAAACAAGAAACUAAAAGAUUCAAUUGCAAGAUCUAAAGAUAUACCUUCAAGCACUCACCUCCUCGACAAAGGCGCCAAAAAAGAGCUUGAUGUCUACUAUGCCACUUUAUUCUUGCAGACACAUGUUGGGACUCCAAGCGCAGAGUUUUGUAGGACAGUUGCAAUUUUCCCUCAAGUGGAUGACCUAAGGUUUAUCAAUCCGUGGGAGGCGUAGGAUGAAGAUGGUCUCCCUCAAACAACCCUGCAACCUAUCUCUUGUGUCCCAAACAGACCCAAUACAAUGGAAAAUUGUAUAGGUGCACUAGUUCGGUGAAGAUAUGGUGAUAAAAGUGUAAUAUGGAUGGUAGAAAUAUAUUUUAUAAUCUAAAUAAAUAAAAACAACAAGGUAGGAAUUGAUAAAAGUGAGCACAAACGGUAUUGCAAUGUUUGGAAACAAGGCCUAGGGUUCGUACUUCCGCUAGUGCAAUCUCUCAACAGUGCUAAUAUAAUUGGAUCAUAUAACCAUCCCUCAAAGUGCGAUGAAGAAUCACUCCAAAGUUCCUAUCAAGCGGAGAACAUAAGAAGAAAAUGUUUGUAGGGUACAAAACCAUCUCAAAUCUAUUCUUUUUGAUCGAUCUAUCCAAGAGAUCAUACUAAAAUAACACCAAAUAAUUUCAGAUUCACAAUACUCAAUCCAACACAAAGAACCUCAAAGAUUGCCCCAAGAUUUCUACCAGAGAAACAAAUACAAGAACGUGCAUCAACCCCUAUGCAUAGAUUACCCCAAUGUCACCUCGGAAAUUCGCGAGUUGAGCACCAAAACAUACAUCAAGUGAAUCAAUAUGAUACCCCAUUGUCACCACGAGUAUUCAUUUGCAAGACAUAUAUCAAGUGCUCUCAAAUCCAUAAAAGUAUUCAAUCCGAUAAAACAAAAUCUCAAAGGGAAAACUCAAUUCAUCACAAGAUAGAGAGGGGAAAACACCAUAUGAUCCGACUAUAUUAACAAAGCCCGCGAUACAUCAAGAUCAUGACAUCUCAAGACCACGAGAGAGAGAGAGAGAGAGAGAUUAAACACAUAGCUACUAGUACAAACCCUCAGCCCCAAGGGUGGACUACUCCCUCCUCAUCAUGGUGGCCGCCAGGAUGAUGAAGAUGGGCACCGGUGAUGAUUUCCCCCUCUGGCGGAGUGCCGAAACAGGGUCUAGAUUGGUUCUCGGUGGCUACAGAGGCUUGCGGAUGCGGAACUUCUCAUCUAGGGUUACCCUGAGGGUUUUUGGAAUAUUUGAUGAUUUAUAGGGCAAAGAGGGGGUGCAAGAGGCCACCGAGGUGGGCACAACCCACCAGGGCGCACCUGGGCCCCCAUGCCCGCUCUGGUGGGUUGUGCCCCCCUUGGGGCACCCCCAGGUGCUUCUCUGGCCCACAAAAUGUCUUCUUGUCCAUAAAAAAUCAACAAAAAGUUUCGCGGUGUUUGGACUCCGUUUGAUAUUGAUUUCCUGCGAUGUAAAAAACAAGCAAAAAACAGCAACUGGCACUGGGUCAAUAGGUUAUUCCCAAAAAAUGAUAUAAAGUUGCUACAAAAUGAUUGUAAAACAUCCAAUAAUGAUAAUAUAACUGCAUGAAUACUUCAUAAAUUAUAGAUACGUUUGGAGACGUAUCAAACAUCACUUUAUUUUUAUAGCCUGAUUUUUGUGGAUUUUUUAGAAAGUUACAAAUACAUUUUUUGCCACUCUAAGUUUUAGAAAGUGGUUACACCGGUACCCUGGAUCAUUCAAAUGGUCAUAUUAUUAUAUGAAAUUCAAUGUGCAUGGACGCGACCUCUAAAAUAUUACAUUGGCCCAUAAUAUUUCUGUUAUGUAAGGAUACAAGUCAAUAUUUCAAUUAAAUUGUACCAAAACUAGAAAGGAACCAUUAAUGGGGAAAAGGAAAGGGGUAUGAAUCAUUGUGCAUUUGCUCCUCUUUAUAAACACUGGUGCGGGAGAUAUAGUUUCAUAGAAGGACAACACCAAGAAAAAAUUAAGUAAUAGCAAGGCAGUCAUGAUGAUGGCACUUAUCAAGAAAAAGACACACAUUCUCUACGAUGUUGCUCUUUUGCUGAUGUGUACAACUUUUCUGUGUGGCCCUGCAGCAGCUGGGAGGGACAUAGGUAAUUUCCAAAUAUGUUUCUUGAAUGAGUUUCUCAAUAUUCAAUAGACCCAAAUGAUUAAGUAUCUUGUAUUCCAUAUGGAUUAAUUUGUAUGUUGUGGUGCUUCCUUCACUAUGUUUAGGUACCAACGCUGCAUUUGGAAACCAAUGUUUUACUUACUCGGUAUGCAUGGACCCAUAUCAAUACGCCGUUGAUUAUUGCAACAAAGAGUACAAAAUACUUGGCUAUGACGGGCAGAAAGGCUACUGCAAGAAGGAGAAUAACGGCGUGUGUUGUUGUGUUGCUCCCUCCCUAAUGUGAAAAUCAUGUUACACUAUCAUUUUAUAGAAAACCAUUGCAUCUAUUUGCUAGUCAAAAUAUCAAUUUAUGUGGAUUAUACAAGCAUUUCAAAAAAGUAUAGAGGUAGUUGCUUUCAAAGACCAACUAUAGUAGCCGAUCAAUUCUUCAGGUAAUAUGACACAACAAUGAGG